UUGUGCAAGAAAGCAGAAAACAAGUAUGGGGGAGAUCCCUCAACAUGCUAAACACACUCCGACUACACCACUCCACGAUUCAGGUACACACUCUGCACACUUCACUUUACACAUACAACUAUCUUGAUUAUGCAGAUUACUGUUUCCGAUAUGAUAAAAUAAAAAGAUUAAAAGAUUUCUAAUCAUGAUUAAUCUCAAUCUGUGAUAUUUCCUGAAAAACUUGCAAUUAUUGAAAAUCAUUUUAAAACCCUGUGUCACUUAAGUCAAUAUGGAAUAUAGAGUAUGAGUUUCUUAUUCUUGAUACCAUUGUUACUUGGAGAAUUUAUUUCAAAAUAUUCAAAAUUCUAGCUACCAUCCUCAGUGUUUUAUAUGCCUGAUAAAACUGAAAAUAUUGAUUAUGAUUAUAAAAGCUAUCUACUCUGUAUUGAGUUUGUUCAAAAUGAGUUAGACCCUUGUUGAGAGAUUUAUCAUGCUCCUAAGAUCAAGACAGUAUUUCAGAAAGAUUCACUCUUCCGAAGUAUUAUUGCAUUAGAGGCAUGGGCUAUGCAAAAAUAGAAAUAUUUCGAGGAAAUAAAAAGGAGCAAGUGCUCGACAACCUCGCAGAAAAAAAUGGACAAGUGUCCGGCAGUAGAAUUAGGGGUAUCUCGGUAUCCACUUAAAAAAAUGAUAGCCCAUGGUCCCUCUAAUAAGCAAUAUGCCAGCAAGAGUUGACAAAGAUUUUAAUUUCCAAAGUCUUUGAUCUAAGAGUAUGACAUUUCCCUCCUCGGAUCCCGUUUUGAUCAGGCAAUAAAUGCAAAGUAAGUAUGCUUGAGAAUUUUUGCAAAAAUAAAACAGCCUCAGUGAGAUAUAUACAAAAGAUAAUGAGUGAUCUGAGAGAAUCUAUGAGGAUAAAAAGGUAUGCUAACUUUCUUUCAAAAAUAUACAAAAACUCCAAGUGACAGGAUUGAGAAGAAAGGAUCUUUACUCUUAACCAUAAACUUCCCUGACUAUGGUACACAGUGGAAUUUUUAACACCCUGCAAUUAUAAAGAGAAUGUUUUAAAUGUUUACCCCAAAUAUUGUUCUUAACCAUCCUUUUCUCGAGGACGAGUAAAAGCCUAAGUAUGGGGGUAUUUGUUGACGGUUCUUAAGUAUCAAUUUUAAUUAUCAAAUAAACAAGAGAAAGGACCAAUAUGCAACUAACACCUAGAAUUAGGGUUUGAUCUGACAGAAUUCCACGAGUUUUGUUGUUUAUCUAUUUCUGUAGAGGGUUAUCAAGAAAUAAGGAAGAAAGGCCCACAUGUCGGGACUACAUAGAGAUAUCAACGCACCGCGCAAUUUUCUACCAUCUAGAAGACUCCAGAAGCCACGGGAAGAAGACGGAGGCCAAAAGGGGCCAGGCCCAGGGCGCCCGCCCUGGUGACCUGGGCGCCCGCCCCCCUCUGGAUGCCAAUCAGGACUCUCUUCGCUCGGGAUAUUCCACCGACCUAUUGGAUCAAGAAAAACAUAGUACCACCUCGCCUAUCAACCCAAAAACGCAUAGAAGGGGAGGACUAUAUAAGGAGACCCCCCUGGCCCCUGGAGAAGACAUGAAGAAAUUAUCAUAGAGACUGAGGGGUGCCCUCGAAGGAAAACCUCUUCUCUAAUUAAUAUUUCUUUUUAGGCUUAGCAACCAAUGUAAGGUAGAAAUAGAUCUUCUAGUUUCUACUAGAUUGAGAGAGAUAGAGUGGAGGUGUAGAUUGGAGGAAGCCCGGCCUGUCGGUGUCUACUCCAAGCUUGUACCUGCGGGAUCAAGUUCUCCUAACCCGAAGCUUGUUUCUAGGAUUCUUCAGUAAUUCGACUUCUAAAUUCUAGUAAGUUCUUGUUUCAUUGUUCUUAUGGUUUAUGAGUUUACUUUAAUCUCUUCGCGUAGAGUUUAGAGUAAUCAUUGCUGGCGUAAACGUGGUGUUUAGGCUGGGGUACUCAUAGAUAUUCCCUGACUAGCUGGACCGUGGUAGUAGUGAGGAACGUGACAAUUCCGAGCUACCUUUGUAGAUCACAUCUCGUUAGCAGGAAGGAUAGGGUUUAUAGGUGCGGGUCGAACAUCCUUUGUGUUGUCUAGAUUCCGUUAGCCUCCCCAUUAGAACAGUAGAUCAUCCUUACCAAGGUUAGAAGGAGACUACGGUUGCAGUCUUCUCUAUUUAUCACUCACAUCAAAAGACAUUCUUUGUGCCUAAAGGAUAGUAGUAAUAGACCGGUUAGUCAGAUGCACUCUUUCUCCUAGUGGUAAAAAAAUAAAUACGAUACUCUGGAUAAUUUCCCGGGUGAAGUGCUCACCGAUAUCCGUGCGCUUGCGGAUCAAUUCCUUAUUGCGUUCCCAAAUAUCAACAGUAUUCAAGUGGUGUUAGCAAGUGUCAACAAGCAUUUUUGGCGCCGUUGCCGGGGAAACGGUUGCUGAGUUGACUACGAACUUGCUUAAUCAUUUUCUAAAAAAUAAAAAAUAUAUAUAUAUACUUUUCCUUUUAUCUUUUGCCUUAUCUCUGCUAUUCUUUCUUCUUAUCUAAUCCUUGAUCUCUGGUCUAUUAUGAAUUCAAACAUGUCUAUCUAUGAAUUUCAUAGACCUACGGGCACACAUCUCGAACCACCAAAAUAUUCAAAGCCUAUCAUAGCAUCUAGUUUUGAGAUAGACCCCGAAUACAUAGAAUUUGUUCAAAAACAACCUUUCUCAGGAGAAGGUGAGGAAAACCCAUACACACACCUAAGAGAGUUUUAUCGAGUCUGUGACCUCCUUCGCAUAGAAGGCAUGUCCGAUGAGACCCUUAAAUGGAAGCUCUUUCCGUUCUCUUUAACAGAAAAAGCUAGACAUUAGUACAAACUCAAAGUAGGGAGUGUUCAUGGAAAUUGGAAGGAGUUAUAUAGUAGUUUUCUUUCUAAAUAUUUUCCAAUCUCCAAAGUGGUGGAACAUCGGCGUGAGAUUCUUUCUUUUAGACAACUGGAAGAAGAAUCUCUUGCAAAUCAUGGGACCGCUUUAUUAACCUUACUCUCACUGGCCCAAAGCUUUCUAUUCCAGAAGAAGUUCUUCUAAUUCACUUUUUUGAGGGCCUUAGUAGGAAAAGUAAGCAAACCCUUCAUGCGGCCUCUGGAGGAUCUUUCCACCACCUAUCCGCUAGCGAAGCUUGGAAUUUGAUUGAUUUAAUGAGCGGAAAGUCUCCUAGCUUUUAUAUCCCUGAGAAAGAGACAGAACCAGUUCCUAGACAAGAAGAAGAUGUUUUGAUAGCCAGAUCACAACCACUUCAAUUCCAAACUUUAGCUAUCGAUCCUAAACCAUCAAUACCCCAAAAUUCUCCAAGGGAGGAAGGAAUUCCGACCUUAAAUCUUUCAGAUGCUGAUGGUUUAGACUUCUGGUUCCAUAAGAGACCUUCAAGCAGGGAUAAUUCAAAUCCUCGCAAUAAUGGUUCUCUUAGAGAAUGUCCUGGUUCCUAUUAUGAAGAAGUCAAGGAUGACAUAUCAAGUGAAGGAGAGCUAAGCCAUAUAGAAAAUUCUAACACCUCCCCUUUCCUGAUCACAAGUUCCAAAUGGCUAGAAUGCGUAGAAUGGACGGAUAAGGAAGAAGUUUUAAUGGAUUCUGACUUUGGCUCAAUUUCAAAUGGUGAGUUCUUGACUCCCUUUGAAGAUGAGAUUCAUCCAACUACAGAAGAGGACAUAGGUGAGACCAAUCUAGGAGAAACUCCGAACAUUCAGAUUGGAGACGAAGAUAACAUUAAUGAGCAUGGAAUUUAUUUCAUAGCCACUUCGUUUGCUCCAUGCUCAUAUGAAACAUCUUCCCAAUCUAUUGGUCUCUCCAAUAUCACCACAUUUGAGAUCUCCAACCCCCUCUUCCUUUCUAUUUAUAAAAACUUUAAAAGGGCUGUUGUCGAUGCAUAUGUCUAUAAUAAAUAUUGCAGAUCUCGUUGAGUUGAUCUUGAUAUAGGUCAGCGUUGGAAGGGAAACCACUUCACCGACAUAAAUUGAUGAUUUCCCAAGGACAAGCUUAGUGUCCUAAAACAAGCACUGAUCAGAUCGUCACAUGAGCUUUUAAUUAUUUACAACAUUACCUUGUGUAUUGAGCAUAUAUGGAUAAUUGUAAAAAUAUUCCUUCGGGUAUUCUUGUCACUAACCUUUCCAGGAUUGGAGCAAGAAGAUCAGAUGAAUGACAAGCACAAGGUAUGUCCAACCAAUCUUCAUGCAACACUGAAUUAAAUUCAUCCAAACUUGAAUUUUGCAGAAUUCAAGCUUGGGGGAGUACUUUACAUAAAAACAUCCUUUGCCAUGUCGCUAUGUUGGUUGUCCCUACCUUUGAGACAUGCUCAAUUUGUUAAACACUAAUCAUUCUAUUUUCAUCUCAACUUGAGUAAGAUCUUUAUAAUGCUGUCAUGCUACCUUUGCUAUUCACAAGUAAGUGUUGGUUUGGAAGUACUCGACAUACUUCCAUUGACAUUUAAAUUAAGCGUGGUGUUUAGGUUAAAUAGCCUUCCUUAAUCUGAUUAGACAUGGAGUCUAGUUUGGUUACUGAACUAAAAAAACUGCUUGUGUAGACAUUGGUAUAUUUUGUCGGACUAACCCCUGCAGAAAAACUUUCAAUAUCGAUUUGGGAAGUCCUGAGAUAAACUCACAUUGGAGACAAAGAGAGAGACACAUCAAGUUUAACAAUUUACACAAGGAAGACGUAGCUCAUAAGAGAUGAUCGAUGGAGGGUGCCACGAACACGAUGCACAACCGGUAAGAAAGGAAAGCUUCCACAAGGUGAUACUGUACCAUCACUCUUCAAGUAAGGUAACAUCUUAAGGUACUUGACUAUCACUUUUAUAAGCUUCUCCUUGGUUCUGGCGUUCAUAUGAAUAAAAGAGACAAACAUGUAUGAUUUAUAACUUCAAAUUAACCAACCCAACUGAUUCAACAUGUUUAGUCCUUUAAUCUUUGUUCUUAGUACUACCUCCAUGAUCCCACACUCCUAAUCAUAUGAGCUAAAAUGUUGGACAUUCAAUCUUUGGGAAGAUAUAAAGAAAAAGACAUAUACAUAGAUAGAUUUCCAUAAGGUUGAGCGAUCUGAUCUGACAAAUGUUUUAAAUGCUACACUCAUAAACUUAUCACCCAUCAACUUUGUCUUACUCCCUACGCUUAAGGAUAGAGAAGAAUAAAUAUACUUUUGGUUCUGUUGGUGUUUUCCACCAACAGGGCCCAUGCACAUGAUCUCUGCCUUGUCUCUAUGAGCAGGUACACUUCGAGCAAAACAUGGUGGGGUUUUACAACUCUCAGAUUCCACCAAGUGAAAGACAUGGAUCUACGAGCACAAACACACUGAGCAAGAUACUGCCAACACCGCACUUCGAACUACUGGGCAAACGAAGAACAUGGGUGACACCAUAUUAAGAGGUGCAGACGUCAAGGUCCACAACUGAAUCAAAUGACGCACCUGAAGAAUGAACACGGUGAGAAGUCUUGUUCAGAAGACUUAAAACAUUGAAUCCUCGCCGAAAGGUAAAAUCGGUAGUUAUCCAUAUUUAUCCUUUCUGCAUUCCUUUUUCCCUUUAAUUAUUUACUUUCCUUAAAUAGCUUAUUAGUUAAUCAUGCUGUCUUGAAAAGAAAAUAAAAAUGUUAAAAAAUACUAAGCCCCAUGUGAGUAUGCUCGUGGCAUGAAACCCAUAAGUACAUUCACUGUGGUGGCGUAAAAAUAAAAUAAAUAUAUUCCUGUCCUAUAGAAAUGAAAAUAUAAAAAUAAAUUUAUGAUCCUACCAAAGAGAGUAAUAUUUAUUAGAGGAAGCUCAACAUGAUAAAGGCAAAGAGAUUUUAUGCUAACACUUAACCAGUUCCACAAAGCUUUGUUGUCUAUUUGAGCUCCACAGAAUUCAAGGAUCAAAGAAGACUAGCAGACGGAGGACAUUCUAAUCGCUGUCAGGGUGCUGCCGACAUUCAUAUACACCUCCACCACCUGCUAGCUACAUCAAAAGAAAUUACAUCAAAAUGCAGCUUGGGGGAGAGCACCCCCAUUUAUCCAGCUAAGUAUUUCUAUCUACGUUUAUACUUAUACUUUGUUAAAAUAAUAAAAAGAUGCAUAAUCAUAAAAACCCAAAUAAAGAUUUUAUGCUUAUAUAUAUCUUUUCUUAGUUUGCUAAAUAAAUAAAUAAAUAAAGUUUGCUAUGAACCCUCAUGAUAAACUGUCACAUGGAAAUGAUGAAUAGUUGCUCUGCCAUGACUAGUCAAAAUUGAAAUCUCUCUCAAGUUUAGGCAUGACUGUUAUGAAUUAAGAUUUGCCCUAAACCUAAACUUGUGGGAAGAGUACUUGAUCUAAAGUCUAAGUCGUUAACGGAUAUGAUAUGGGAAGGUUGAGCUACUGUUAAUCUGUUCCUAGAGAUGCUAGAAUUCUGGAGAAUUUUAUCGUUGAAAAUCUUUAAAAUGUUGCAUGAUGAGUUCCUGUAUGAUGAGAGUUUAAAAUCCCACCAUAGCCAUAUAUACAUGCUUAUUAGACUAUGAACCAUACAUUUACUUUUUACUGCUUAUGAGCAUUGAGUGUGGUCAAGCUGUGUAGACCCUUAGGAGCUUGUCAUGCGGUUAAAAUCAAGAUUCACUUGCAUGUUCACUCAUACAUGCUGCUUCUACUCCGGAAGUACGCAUCCACAUACAUCCACUCCUUUCCAUCUCCAGAUUCACCUAAAAUUAUUCUACUCCUAUCCAGGAGAGAAUAGCCAAAAAUAUUAUCAUAUCCCUGUUAUUCCCCGUGAAAUAAAUGCUCUUGAUAUUUUGGUUACUACCACUUACUACAUUAUUCUAGGAGGGUGAGUGCUCUGAAAAAAAAGAGAAAAGAAAAAAUAUAUGAGGAAAUAAAAAGGAGCAAGUGCCCGGAACCUUGAAGAAAACAAAAAGUGAGAUGAGAGGUAAAAAUGGACAAGUGUCCGAUAGUAGAAUUAGGGGUACAAGAUACCCACCUGAGAGAAAAGAAAAAAAAGAGAAAAUAUAGAGCAUCUCAUUCCCCUCAAAAAGCUCCAAAGUGCAAGAAAGGUAUGUAUCCCGUCAAAAGAGCAAAAGUAGAAUUAGACUUUCACCAUUGUUUUCACCAUUAUCACCAUCAUCACCAUACACCAUUCAUUCGCCACACAUGCACAUCUUGAUUUGACUUAUUGACUUGUUUCUCUAGAUCCAUGGUUUGACUAUGCAAUAAAUGUCUUGUAAGUAUGUAUUAGCUGUCUCCCACCUAUGAGCUCCAGAUAUCAAACCUUAUUAGAGUAGGGUGAGAGAGAAGGCAAUAUCACUAUGCCUCAUACCACAAAUACUACAUACUUUGAGAGAAGGCGUAUAUCAUCACUGCCUUGGUAAGGAUCCACAAAUACCACAAAAGAGAGAUUUGAGAGAGUCAUAAAAGGAAUCUCUGAGUUUUAUUUGAAAAUCUAGAAAAACUCCAGAGCUAUAGAUGAUCAAAGAACAAGAGACAUGGCGCUUGAAUUGACCGUUCUAUCUUUUAACUGCUCAAGACACAAGUGACAGUUGCAAGCCCCAUGGUGAAAGGUAAUAUAAGUAAGUUUAAAUCUUAACAGUUUACCUUAACCUAGAGAUGAGAUCUUGUUUGAACGCAUGUGUACCUUUAAGGCAUAAAACCACUGUAGAAACUCUUGAGUCCGUCCUUGCUCACGGACGAGCAAGAGGUAAGCUUGGGGGAGUUGUUGACGGUCCUUAAGUACCAAAUAUAAUCAUCAAAUAAAUAAAGAAAAGGAUCCAAAUGCCACCAACACCCAGACUUAGGGUUUUAUCUGACAGAAUUCCACGAGUUUUGGUGUUUGUCUAUUUCUGCAGGGGGUUAUCAGGAAAUAUGGAGGAAAGGCCCACACGUCGGGUUUACAUAGAGAUAUUAACGUGCCGCGCAAUUUUCUAUCAUCUAGAAGACUCCAGAAGCCACAGGAAUGAACGGGAAGCCGAGCAAGCUCGGGGGUAGGGCGCCCGCCCUAUCCCAGAGUCCAAUCAGGACUCUCUUUGAGGAUUACGCUCCACCGACCUAAAGGACCAAGAAUAACCGUUCAAUCAAUGUCGGUUUGAUCCGAUGGCCCAGAUUCACUUGAGGGGACUAUAUAAGCAGACCCCAUAGCCCCUGGAGGAGGCACCCCUUGAUCAUUAUUCAUUAUUCAUAGACAGAGCAAAAGCUUGGGUUUGUAGAUGAGAGCUCUCCUCUCAUCUCUAAACUAGAAUAGAUCUAGAUAGUAGCAAGAUGGAGAGCGAAGGAGGAUUAGAGGAGAGGCCGGUCUGUCGGUUCUUCUUCCGGUUGUACUUCGUCAUGAUCAAGCUCUAAUCAAGCUUGCUCAUGGGAUGACUCUGGUAAUCUACUUCUAAUUCAUUAUGCAAUUACUAAUCAUGUAUGUUCUGGUUCACAACUCUUUUGAGUACUUUUAAUCUAUAGGACCCUAUAGGUUAGAGUUGUAGUAUAGGUGUAAGCGUGGUGCUUAGACCAAGAUUACUUGUGGAUAUCCCCUAUCUAGCUGUAUCGUGUGGUAGGCCACGUAGGUGCCAGUUACGUUGGUCCCCUGUAGUCCACCUCUCGUUAGCAGGACGGGUAGGGUUUAUCGGCCUAUGGAUAAGCAUCCUUUGUGGUGUAUUCUUAUCACGUGGUUCGUCCCAGACAUAGACAUACCCCUUUGAAGUAGAGAAACCAUAGUUAUCCUCUCUAUUCUGCUACCAUCGCCCAUAUACUAGAUUGCUUUACUCUCUAUUCUCAUAUUAUCACCCAUUGUUAUCUUACCUUUAAUAUUGUUCUUAUUCAAUUCUACCAUCUUUACUAUUUACACUUAUCUAUCUAUCUUUGUUAAGUUAGAGCGUAGUUGGUUCUCCUGUUUCCCUGUGGAUACGAUAAAACCCUUAACCGGGUAAAAGCUACAAUGGUAUCCGUGCGCUUGCGGAUUUAUCUGUGUGCAUAUAAAUACCAUAGUACACUCUAGUGCCAUGCUAGGGAUGACAACCUAGUAUUCAAGUGGUGUUGGCAAGUCUCAACAAUGCCCUCCUCCUCCGGAUCCUUAAGGGAGAGAGUUCUGUGCCCAGCAUCUAUAACUGCACCCCAGUCAGUCAUCUUAUUCAUUCCGAUGAUAACAUCCAAAACCAGCCCUGGCAUGACCACAAGGUUUACACGAAACCUUCGGCCACUGAUAUCCAAGGUAGCCCCUGUUACUGCUUUGUUAGUCAACACAUCAGCCCCUGCUGAACUGAUGCGAUAACCACAACCCAACUUAGUAAUUGGUUGGUCAUGCUUUUGUGCAAAUGCUUGGCUCAUGAAUGAAUGCAAUGAUCCAGAAUGAAACAAAACAACUGCAAGAUGUUGGUUGACAGGAAACAUACCGGCUAUUACCGGUUCUCCUUCCGGGAUCUCCUCUAUCGAGGUAUGGUGCACACGGGCUGGGUAGGUCGUCUGCUGCUUCUUGGGGUAGGGACAUUCUUUAGCAAAGUGCCCCAUCUUGUGGCAGUUAUAGCACGACCGCUUGGUCAUGUUGUUAGCAGCAGGUGCUGCAGCUUGAAUUGCCUUUGGCUUGGUGGGAGCUACUGCUACCUUGUACGGCUUCUGCUGCGUUGGAUGCCCUGUGUUCCUUCUCUACGGCGGUCGGAACCUAGCACCUGGGACAGGAGGACGAUACUGCUGACGUCCUGCCACUGGUGCCUGUUGACAUUCGUUAAGUACAAUAAGAAUAUAAAAAAUUCCGCAAGAGCACAGAACAUCAUCGUAGCAUUUUACCGGGAGUAUUCUAGGUAUCGUUAUUUAUAUUUUACCACUAGGAAGCUAAGGUCAAAGAAUCUGAUAACUUACUAUCAUGCAUCUACUAAUUUAAUAAACCAACUAGACUAAAGUAGGGGUAAAUGAUAUAUGAUAGGUAAUAAUAUAAAGGUGAGAAUUCUAUGAUAAAUGCUUAGAUAGCCAUAGCGGGAGGACAACGGGAGAGACCUGGGUUCCUGUAUACUUCUCUAUUACUUCAGUUCUAUGAUAACAAAGAAUGAAUAGAUAUAGUAAUCACAUAUUAGCACUUUGGGACAUCAGAACACCAACCACAGAAAGAGAACUGGAAGGGGGCUGGGAAGCUCUGACUACGGUCCAACAAACACCGAUCUGAACGAGGUGGAAUACGUCGACCGUUAGGGCUGUCACUACCCAAGGGCUACCACAACAAUCCGCAGGACUGGGUGCAACCUCAGGUAACCUCUAGUAUAGACACCUCAUCUACACUAACGAUUACUACUCUAAUUACCAUGAAUAACUAGAGCACUCGAUGCGAACGGAGAUCCUAUGCCAAAAUAUAACAACUACACUACUCGAUAAUAAUAAAGGCAUAAAUGUAAAUAGAGAAGAUAAAUAUAUUAAAGCAUAAGUCUUACAAUAAUUAUAAAGACAUACCAAAACUCUGAAGACUUCUCCAGAACCGAAGCGCAGCUCCGCUCUCCCUAACUCCCGACUAGAACUAAUCUACUACAUUGGAAUGUCUAGCCCUAAUUCUCUAUAGAGGAAAGGUUAUCUUUCGGCACCUCUCAACUCUAUAAUGAUGUGUUCUCCUCCAAGGGCCAGGGGCCUUUGUGCCUUUUUGGUUCAGCAGGCGAUGUGGUACUAAACUUUCCACCAUAUCUCAUUAAAAUGCACAUAGGCCUUAAUGAACCAAAAUCUGAUUUGGGCCCAAUUAAUCUCGUAGCUCUUUUAUGUGGUGUCCUUCUUUUAUUAAUAUCUCUUGAUUCCAAACUCCAAAUAUAGCAAAUAAUAUAUGCAUUUCGAUCAGCUCGACGAGAUCUUUGUAAUGGUGUACUCCAUUCUGUAAUUGGUGCUUGUACCAGGGCGGGCGCCCCGGCCCCGGGCCCGUCUCGGCUUCGCUUCGGUCGAGUUGCUUCUAGAGUCAUCCUGAUUAUGGAAAAUUACCGCACACAUUAAUUCUCUAUGUAAACCUGACGUGUGGGCCUUUCCUUCGUAUUUUCUGAUAACCCCCUGCAGAAAUAGACAAACACCAAAACUCGUGGAAAUCUGUCAGAUGAAACCCUAAGUCUAGCGGUUGCAUUUGGAUCCUUUUUCAUGAUUAGUUGACGGUUAAAUGUGAGCAUUAAGGACCGUCAACAAGCUCCCCCAAGCUUAACCUUCGCUCGUACCUGAGCCAAGAUGGACUCAAGAGUUUCUGCAGUGGUUUCAUGCCUUAAAGGUACUCAUGCGUUCAAACAAGAUCUCAUCUCUGGGUUGGGUUAAACUGUUAAGAUUUAAACUUACUCAUUUUACCUUCCACCAUGGGGCUUGCAACUGUCACUUAUGUCUUGAGCAGUUAAAAGAUAGAACGGUCUAGUCAAGCGCCAUGUCUCUUGUUCUUCGAUUAACUAUAGCUCUGGAGUUUUUGCAGAUUUUCAAAUAAAACUCAGAGAUUCCUUGUAUGACUCUCUCUAGUCUCUCUUUGUUGGUAUUUCUAGAUCCUUACCAAGGCAGUAAUGGUGUAUGCCUUCUCUCAAAGUAUGUAGUAUUUUUGGUAUGAGGCAUAGUGGUAUUACCUUCUCUCUCACCCUACUCUAAUAAGGUUUUGAUAUUUGGAGCUCAUAGGUGGGAGACAGCUAAUACAUACUUACAAGACACUUAUUGCAUAGUCAAACCAUAGAUCCAGAAGAACAAGUCAAUAAGUCAAAUCAAGAUGUGCAUGUGUGGCGAAUGAAUGGUGAUAAUGGUGAAAAUAAUGGUGAAAGUCUAAUUCUACUUUUGCUCUUUUGAGGGGGUACAUACCUUUCUUGCACUUGAGGCUUUUGAGGGGAAUGAGACGCUCUAUAUUUUAUUUUUCUUUUCUCUCAGGUGGGUAUCUUCUACCCCUAAUUCUACUAUCGGACACUUGUCCAUUUUUACCUCUCGUCUCACUUUUUCUUUUUUUUUUCGAGGUUUCAGGCACUUGCCCCUUUUUUUCCUCGUAUUCACUUUUUUUCAGAGCACUCACCCUCCUGGAAUAAUGUAGCAAGUGGUAGUAACCAAAAUAUCUCAAGCAUUUAUUUUACGGGGAAUAACAGAGAUAGAAUAAUAUUUUUGGCUAUUCUCUCCUAGAUAGGAGUAGAAUAAUUUUGGGUGAAUCUAGAUAUGGAAAUGAGUGGAUGUAUGUGGAUGCGUACAUCUGGAGUAGAAGCAGCAUGUAUGAGUGAACGUGCAAGUGAAUCUUGAUUUUAACCGCAUGACAAGCUCCUAAGGCUCUACACAGCUUGACCACACUCAAUGCUAUAAGCAGUAAAAAGUAAAUGUAUGGUUCAUAGUCUAAUAAGCUUGUAUAUAUGGCUGUGGUAGGAUUUUAAACUCUCAUCAUACAGGAACUCAUCACGUAACAUUUUAAAGAUUUUCAAAGAUAAAAUUCUCCAGAAUUCUAGCAUCUCUAGGAACAGAUAAACACCAGCUCAACCUUUCCAUAUCAUAUCUGUUAACGACUUAGACUUUUGAUCAGGUACUCUUCCCGCAAAUUCAGGUUUAGAGCAAGCUUUAAAUUAUAUCAGUUAUGCCUAAACUUGAGAGAGAGCUCAAAUUUGAAAACUAGGUACUUGGCAGAGCAACUAUUCGUCAUAUCCAUAUAAGAGUUUAUCAUUGAAGUUCAGUUUGGCAUAGACACUUUAUUUAUUUAUUUAGCAAACUAAGCAAAGAUAUAUAUAUAAGCACAAAAUGUUUAAUUGGGUUUUUAUGAUUAUGCACUUUUUUUAUUAUUUGAGUAAAGUAUAAAUGUGAGUAGAAACACUUAGCUAGAUAAAUGGGGGUGGUCUCCCCAAAGCUAGAUUUUAACGUAAUUUCUUCUGGUGUAGCUAGCAGGUGGCGUAGGUGUAUUUGAAUGUUGGCAGCACCCUGAUAGCGAUUAGGAUAUCCUCCGUCUGCUAGUCUUCCUUGAUGCUUGAAUUCUGUGGAGCUCAAAUAGAUAAUAAAGCUUUGUGGAACAGGUUAAGUGUUAGCAUAAAAUCUCUUAGCCUUUAUCAUGUUGAGCUUCCUCUAAUAAAUAUUACUCUCUUUAGUAGGAUCAUAAAUUUAUUUUUAUAUUUUCAUUUUUACACGACAAGAAUAUAUUUAUUUUAUUUUUACGCCACCACAGUGAAUGGGUUUUAUGCCACGAGCAUACUCACAUGGGGCUUACUGUUUUUAACAUUUUUAUUUUCUUUCCAAGAUAGCAUGAUUAACUAACAAGCUAUUUUAGGAAAGUAAAUAAUUUCAGAAAAAAGGAAUGCAGAAAGGAUAAAUAUGGAUAACUACCGAUUUUACCUUUCAGCGAGGGUUCAAUGUUUUAAGUCUUCUCAACAAGACUUCUCACUGUGUUUAUUCUUUAGGUGCGUUAUUUGAGUUAGGUGUGGACCUUGACAUCUGCACCUCUUGAUACGGUGUCACCCAUGUUUUUCGUUUGCCCAGCAGUUCGAAGUGCGGCGUUGGUAGCAUCCUCCUCAGUGUGUUUGUGCUCCUAGAUCCAGAUCCUUCACUUGGUAGAGUCUGGGAGUUGGAAAACUCCUCCAUGUUUUGCUCGAAGUGUAUCCUGCUCAUAGAGACAAGGCAGAGAUCAAGUACAUGGGCCCUGUUGGUGGAAAACACCAACAGAACCAAAAGUGUAUUUGUUCUUCUCUAACCUUAAGCAUAGUGAGCAAGACAAAGUUGAUGGAUGAUAAGAUCUUGAGUGUAGCAUCUAAAACAUUUGUCACAUCUGAUCACUUAACCUUAUGGAAAGAUAAUCUAUCUAAGUACAUGUUUUUCUUUACAUGACUAUCAUUUUCCAAAGAUCGGAUGUGCAACAUUUUAGCAAAUAUGGUUAAGAGUGUGGGAUCAAGAAGGUAGUACGGGAACAAAGAUUAAAUGACUAAACAUGUUGAAUCAAUUGGGUUGGUUAAUUUGGAGUUAUAAAUCAUACAUGUUUGUCUUUUUAUCCAUGUUCAUGCCUAUAACACCCCAGUGUUAUGGUUGCAUCAAUCACAUCCAUGACAUGGGCAUCAUCAUCUACUCAAGCAUAUCAUGAUCAUUAUCUACCUUGAGUCAUGUCAUUUUAUGCAAAAAUGUGAUUUAACUUGUUAAAUUAUGCUUCCUAUGCUUAUGUUUGUUUGUACCAUGCUCAUGUUUGUGUGCUAUGCCUUGGUAAUUAGUUUAUCUAUGAUUAACUCAACCUUAGGAACAAUGUUCAUGUUGAUCACUUCUCCAAAACAGUCACUUAAGUCAUACUUCCAUGAAUAGGCCCUAGAAACCUCUUUUCCUUAGGCUUUUAAAACGAGUUUCAUAAAAUGUUUGCAUGUCAAAACUUUCUACAGCACAGUUGUAGCAACUUUUAUAAGGAACAAAAGUUGUUUUAUGGCUAUCUCGUGAAAAUGAUCACAUCUAGCUCUAAAGUGACCCACAAGGCAGAUUUGGGGCUGUUUCCAACACUUAGAAAAUUUUCUAAGUCUGGGAUCGCAGCAGUUUGCUCGAGGGUACCAGGUUGUUUAGCUUCCAGUUUGAAUUCUAGGCCGAAUCAAACCUUAAUCUUGUAAGCAAUGUUGGAGUCCUCAUGUAGCUCUACAGCAUGGAGCAAUUAGCCAGCAAAAUCAUCGAAUGGGUUAGGAGAUAAUCGCAGUGCAAAAUCGGGUUUCAGCUGGGAUCAGAGACUGAAAUGAGUCGCUGUCAGCAGAGGGGAGCUCACCGGUGACGCCGUGUGUCUGGACUCGUGGCGUCCGUACGUCGCUGUUGGUCCCGCUCGUCAGUCCUCAGCGUGUCCUACAGCUCGCCACGACGCCCCCGGUCGCGUGGACAGCGCCAUUUCCACUCUGGUUCGCCCUCUCUCGCCUUCGUCGUCUUCUCCGUGUCGCCGCCGCUGCUUCGGCGAGCUCGCGCGCUCGCGUCUCAGCGUCUCCGGCCAAGCGACUCCGUCCAGUGCUCCGCUAGCUUCCCCACAACACCGUCGUCGAGUUGGCUGCGGUUGCCGAACCUCGGUAAGCCCGCAUUGUCUUCUCUGUCGCGAGCUUACCUCGCCGGAGCUCCGCCAUGGUCACCGGCGUCGUGGCUAGGGCUCUGUAGUCCACCAUUUCUCUUCGUUCUUGUCCCAAAAGCUCCGCUGACUCAUGCUGAUGCUCGUCCGAGUUCUCUUUCGCCCGGUCUCCGACCAGAGACGCCGGCGGUCGGCCGCACACCACUGCCGUGCCGCCAUUCGCGAGGGCGAGGUACCUAGGGUUCGGUAGAGUUAGGGUUUCUGUUACCAAUCGAUGCGGAAGGGAGAGAGGAGCACAAUGGUGCUCUUGGUCGUCGCCGAGACCUCGCCGUCGACGAGAUCUCCGACGGUCAAGUCGCGCCUCUGCUCUCGGGUCACUGAUGUGUGGGGUCCGUUGACUUGCGGGGUCCCCUGUCAGUCUCUCUUUCUCCUUUGUCUGAUUUAGGUUUUGUGCUGUUUUUGCAAAAAUCAUCUCUCUUAUUCCUGUGAUCCAAAAAUUAUGAAAUAAACUUUGUGAUGUUCCGUGAGAUGGCUAGUUUUUAAUAAAAAUAUAACAUGUACCAUGGUUUCUGGGAAAAAUAAUUGUUAUGAUUUAAUCUUGAUUAUUUAUGUAUAAAUUCAUAUCAUUUUAUAUACUGCUCCUUUUGCUAUGAAAUUUUUAUGGUAGUCUCUGAGUGACAUUAGAAUGCUAGGAUAAAUAUCUCAUGAUUUUUGGAGUAACGUAUCUGUGAUAUGUAAUUUAUCUUUGUCAUAUGGCUUGUUUUCUUACUUAAAUCAUAAUAAAUAUUUGGUGCUUAUGCUGGUGCUGUACUCUGGUGUCAAACUUGUUUAGGGUAAUAAUAACAUGUAAAUAAUCUGAAAUCUGUUGGUUGACACUAUCUAAGCUAUGUUUCUUAAUUUAUGGAAUAAGCACCUUGUCACAUGUUAAAUGCUUAUCUUGAAUUUGGCAUGUGCAAUUGUUCUGAAAGUUUUAUGGUAAUGUCAAGAUGCUAUGAUUGUGUUUCUGUAAUUUUUGUAGAUUUUUCUGAGCACUUUUGCUUGUAUCUUGUCAUUAUGUCCCUUUAUAGAAUUAAAUUAAUAAAUGCCUUGUUGUUAAAUGAUGCUCUGGUAAUCUUAUGAUGUUCUUGUGCUUAUAAACCAUUUGGUUGGCACUAUUUAUGUUUUGGCAUUGUCACCAAAUAAUUAAUUAAAGGGUUAAAAGCUGUUAUGGAUAGCAAGGGAGUAAUCUAACCUUUACUUGUUGAUGUCUUGAUUUUCUGGAAGACUUAUCUAAAUCAAAGUUGUUGUAGAUUUUAUGAACCAGCUGUAGCUCAAAGUUGGGAUCAUUUGGUCCAGUAGUCUUGAAGUUAUGGCUUUUCCAAGUCAGGUUCCAGAAAUAGGUGCUUUCUGUUUUUCUGGGACAGAACCUGGAACUUUGUUUAAUUGACUUGUUUAUGAAUCUUGCCGUGAUGUUUAAAGAUGAAAUGUAGACAAUUUCAUAAGCUUUCCAGAAUGUCCUCAUUUAUGUUUGUUGGAUCUAUAUAGCAAUAGUUAUGACCUGUUUACUGAGCUGUUCUAUUAUGUGAUGCUUGCUGUUUGUAGUUUAACUUGGUAAUCUUGCUAAGUUAUUAAUCAUCUUGUGUGAUCAUGUUAUGAAAGUUACUCCGUGAAUGAGUGUCCAGUGAAGUUCUAAUUAUGUUAUCAAGCACCCAUCCUCAUCUAGGAUGCACACAUUCUUAUUCAUCGUGCAUGCAAUAGGUGCACCGGAAACGACCGCUUCGUACGAGCUCCAGGUGAACCCCGAGGGUCAAGAGAUCACGAGCCCAAAGAGGAGAUUGAGUGCCCGAAUCACGAGCCUGCAUCGUUCGUGAAAGGCAAGCCCCGAAGCAUCUUAUGUCUCCCACUUUAAUUUCGAAAGCUUUCUUUAUUAUGUUAUAUCUAUUGAUGCAUUACGUAUAGGAGUUGCGAUGAAACCCUUGCUGCAUUGUCUUUAUUGUUUGUCCAGAUAUCUUACCAUUGCCUGCUCAUAGAGUUAGGAUCAAGUAGCAGCUUAGCCUUGCUUAAUCGGUAGAAGUCGGGUGAUAUCCUGUCACCUGCGUGAGAUACGGUGUCUCGGAUCACGAUUGUCUAUAUGUGCUAUCGUGGAAGGAACCUGAUUAAAAUGAUUUAAGCCGGGUGGAGUUUUGCAAGGUUGUAGUAACUCCGUUUGUGGCAGCUAAGGACCGAUCGUUGUAUGUUCUCUUGUCAUGUUGAACGCAUGCCUAACACUUAGUUGGCCGGAUAACUCGUUCCGGCCACGAAGCCUAGUAGUAUGACUCAGGCCGGAAGACUGGCAAGUAUAAAGUGCGCACUACCGGAGGAAGUGCGGUGUGCGGGGGACCAUUGGCGUAAGACCAAAGGCAGGUGAGUUAAAAGUCCUGACCUCCUUGGCUGAGUGGUAGCCCUGGGAGUUUGGCGCUGAUCGGAGCCGCGAUUCCUGAGUCAUACCAAAGGUGACCCGCUUGCUCUCCGACGGGGGAUGCUUGGGUGAGUGCUAGGAAUAACUCUCCAGCUGGAUAGGAAUCGAUUCGAAUCGCCGUCUCUCCCGGAUAGUGAGAACUUGACAGAGCAGCGGCAAACGUAGCAUUCACUAAAAGAACAUUGGUUCGGGAUAAUGAUGAUAGCAAGAAAGAGCAUAUGAUGAACUUGAUAUGGUUAUUAUUGUUUGUAAUAAUCAAGUGAAGUGUUUUAGUACAGGCGCUAAUGUAGUGAUAGGCUAAUAAAGAUUAAAUGGAUGUCUUUACAAAUGGUAUGGUAAUCACUUAAGCUUUUGGCAAAUAAUGAGUCAAGCCAGCUACACUUUAUAGUCUAGCUGAGUACAUCCUCGUACUCAGGGUUUAUUCCCACCUAUUGUAGAUGAUAUCUUUUAUGAUGGCUUCUGCAAGACCUGUCUCCAUCCCGCUAGGGAUGAGGACUAAACCGUUGGGCACGGUUCUCUAACAACUUCGUACCUGUGCUUUUGGAGGGAUGGUAUAAGACUCUGGCAAUAACAAAGACUUGUGAACUGAACUUUGGAAUGUGUGUUGUAAACUAUUUUGCUUCCGCUACUACAAACUGGUGUUGUAAUAACUGGGUAACUCCGAUGUGGUGCCACUUCGACGGCAAUGAAUGACUAUGUAACAUUCGCUGUGUUAUGUUGAACUAUUACGAUCUUGGUUUGUUGCAAGUUGGUUUAAAGUCCUUCGAGAUUUCAGUUGACUACCGGGAUUAUAUGGGCUCAAGUUUGGAAACUUGAUUGUUAAUCUAUCGUUUCUACACUUGAUCUCUUAUAAUUUGGUCGGUUCUGUGACAGCUGGCAUCAGCGCAAGUUCAGCAUUAUAAAUGCAGCGUUUGUGUAUUUGAAAACAAAGAAUUUUUAAAUAAAAUGGUGAAAAUCAAUACCUAAGUUAUGCCAGUUUCGAAUCCUCCUUGCCCAUAUAAGGACUUUAGGUGGCUAAUUAAGUACUGACUUGGGGGGGUUUUAUUUAUGCAUCUCCGGCUGUACUCAGGUAUGGAUGUGUGAUGACCGCACUAUGCUACCCUAUGGUCUAAUGGUAGAGGUAGUUAUGGCUAGUAAGUUUCUGGUUAAUCAAUGUGAUGCACUUGUGCUUUUUGAUUCAGGACCAUCGCAUUCUUUUAUGAGUUCCGACUUUGUGUCUAAGCAUAAUCUCAAGGCAUUUACACUUGAUAAGGGCAGUUAUUGCAUUAGUGUUGCUGCAAAUGAUAUUUCUACCAAUCAAAUGGUUUUGGGGGCAACUCUGGAAAUAGGAGACCGUCAGUUUCUUGGUGAUUUGGUUGUGCUACCCGGUGUGGGUAUAGAUGUAAUUCUGGGAAUGAAGUGGAUGAGUGGCAACGGAGUUCUUAUCGACACCACCACUCGCGUAGUGAUGUUGAGAGACCCGAAUACCAAAGAGGCGUUCUUAGUGCAACUUCCUCGUGAUAUUGAUAUACGUAGCACGAUGAAUGCAGUUACAUCUAGGGCCAUCAAAGAUAUUCCGGUAGUGUGUGAGUUCCCGGAUGUAUUCCCUGAUGAUUUGCCCAGGCUUCCUCCAGAUCGGGAUGUGGAGUUCAAAAUUGAAUUGCUUCUAGGUACUGCUCCUAUCUCAAGAAGACCAUAUAGAAUGCCACCAAAUGAGCUAGCUUAGCUUAAGACCCAACUGAAUGAGUUGUUAAAGAGGGGUCUUAUCCGUCCUAGUUCUUCUCCUUAGGGUUGUCCGGCUAUCUUUGUGAAGAAGAAGGAUCAGUCCUUGCCCAUGUGUGUGGACUACCGUCCUCUGAAUACGGUGACCAUUAAGAAUAAAUAUCCUCUUCCUCGCAUUGAUAUCCUGUUUGACCAGUUAUCUAAAGCCAAGGUAUUCUCCAAGAUUGAUUUGCGAUCUGGGUACCAUUAGAUCAAGAUCCGUCCUGAAGAUGUACCUAAGACAGCUUUUUCGACGAGGUAUGGGUUGUAUGAGUAUCUUGUCAUGUCCCUCGGUCUUACAAAUGCACCUGCUCACUUCAUGUAUCUCAUGAAUUCAGUGUUCAUGCCCGAAUUGGACCAGUUUGUAGUGGUCUUCAUUGAUGAUAUCUUGGUAUAUUCUCGCAAUGAAGAAGAGCAUGCUGAGCAUCUGCGUGUAGUGUUGACACGCUUGCGUGAGCAUCAGCUUUACGCCAAGUUCAGCAAGUGCGAGUUUUGGCUAAAGAAAGUACCUUUCUUGGGCCAUGUUUUAUCUGAAGAAGGUAUCUCGGUGGAUCUGGCUAAAGUGCAAGAAGUGCUGGAUUGGAAGGUUCCAACUUCGGUGCACGAGGUUCGGAGUUUUAUAGGUCUGGCUGGGUAUUAUCGUCGAUUCAUUCCGGAAUUCUCAAAAAUAUCCAAGACUAUGACUCGCCUACUCCAAAAGGAUGAGAAGUUUGUGUGGACGAAUGAGUGUGAAGAGGCAUUCCAUAAGUUGAGGACAUUGCUUACAUCAGCUCCUGUCCUAGCUCAGCCUGAUAUCGAGAAGCCAUUCGAUGUCUUUUGAGACGCGUCUGGUAUCGGCCUAGGCUGUGUGUUGAUGCAAGAAGGUCGUGUUAUCGCUUAUGCCUCGCGCCAACUUCGAAAGCAUGAGGUCAAUUACCCUACUCAUGACUUAGAAUUGGCUGCAGUUAUUCAUGCUUUAAAAAUCUGAGGCACUAUUUGUUGGGUAAUCUGUGUAAUAUCUACACAGGUCAUAAGAGUCUCAAGUACUUCUUCACUCAACCUGAAUUGAACACGCGACAGCGAAGAUGGCUUGAAUUAAUUAAAGAUUAUAAUCUUCAAGUGCACUACCAUCCGGGCAAGGCAAACAUGGUUGCGGAUGCCUUGAGUCGAAAAGCGCACUGUCAUUCAGUUCAAAUGGAAGAUCCAUUGUUGUCACACCUUAUGCACCCACUUGUGCUCAACCAGAUUUCUCUCGAGAGUUCUCUUCGCAAUCGAGUUAUCGAAUUGCAGCAAACAGAUGUAGGCAUAUACCAUAAAAAGAGGAAAAUGAAGGAAGAAGAAACCAAGCAUUUCAAAGUCGAUGAGAACAGAAUUCUAUGGUUCAAAGAUCGACUUGUGGUCCCAAAGGACCGUGAGCUGCGAAAUCAGAUUUUAUCUGAAGCUCAUUCAUCCAAAUUGUCUAUCCAUCCUGGAAGUAGCAAGAUGUAUCAGGAUUUGAAACCUCUGUUUUGGUGGACAAAGAUGAAGGAGAUUGCUGCUUUUGUCGCUCGUUGUGACAACUGUUGUCGUGUGAAGGUCGUUCACAUGAAAGCAGACUUACUUUAACCAUUGUCAAUUCCUGGUUGGAAAUGGGAAGAAGUCAGUAUGGAUUUCAUCUCUGGGCUCCCAACUUCUGUUAAGGGUUACGACUCUAUAUGGGUGAUUGUAGAUCGUUUGACCAAGGUUGCUCGUUUCAUACCAGUUCAAACUGAUUAUCGUCCACAUCAGUAUGCAGAGUUGUAUUUCGAGCACAUUGUCCGUCAGUAUGGUGUGCCUCGAACUAUCAUUUCAGAUCGUGGAGCACAGUUCACUGCCCAUUUCUAGGAGUGUCUACAUGAGCAAAUUGGUACGCACUUGGUUCGUAGUUCGGCAUAUCAUCCCCAAACGGCCGGCCAAACUGAACGUGUUAACCAAAUCCUAGAAGACAUGUUGAGGGCAUGUGCUCUCUCUUCAAAGGGUUCUUGGGUAAAGUGGUUGUCGUUAGCUGAGUUCUCUUAUAACAAUAGUUAUCAAGAGAGCAUCAAGAUGGCUCCAUUUGAAGCCCUGUAUGGUCGAAAAUGUCGAACCCCGUUGAAUUGGGUGGAAUCCGGGGAACGAAGGUAUUAUGGCAUCGAUUUUGUGAACGAAGCGGAGCAGCAAGUCCGUACUAUCCAGCAACACCUAGAAGCUGCUCAAGCUCAUCAGAAAAGUUAUGCUGAUAAGAGAAGGAAGCCGAUUGAGUUUGCAGUCGGUGACCAUGUGUAUAUCAAGGUGUCUCCGAUGAAAGGUGUACAAAGGUUCGGAGUCAAGCGAAAGCUUGCACCUCGUUAUGUGGGACCUUAUCGGAUUCUUGAGAAGAAAGGGAAUGUAGCAUACAAAGUUCAAUUACCAGUUGGGCUUCGAGCUAUUUUUGCUGUCUUUCACGUAUCACAAUUGAAGAAAUGCCUUCGUGUUCCAGAGGAACGAGUGGAAAUUCAGGAUAUCAAGUUGAAAUCUGACUUGGUGUAUGAAGAGAAACCUGUAGCGGUUGUUGACCGCAAGGAAAGGGUGACACGAAAUCGGGUGGUUAAGUUCUACAAGGUGUUGUGGAGUAACCACGGGGAGGAAGAUGCCACUUGGGAAACGGAGGACUAUUUAAAAGAAGUUUAUAAAACCUUCUUCGAAAAUCAGUAAGCUUCCAAAUCUCGGGACGAGAUUUUUAUAAGGGGGGAGGGUUGUAACACCCCAGUGUUAUGGUUGCAUCAAUCACAUCCAUGACAUGAGCAUCAUCAUCUACUCAAGCAUAUCAUGAUCAUCAUCUACCUUGAGUCAUGUCAUUUUAUGCAAAAAUGUGAUUUAACUUGUUAAAUUAUGCUUCCUAUGCUUAUGUUUGUUUGUACCAUGCUCAUGUUUGUGUGCUAUGCCUUGGUAAUUAGUUUAUCUAUGCUUAAAUCAACCUUAGGAACAAUGUUCAUGUAGAUCACUUCUCCAAAAUAGUCACUUAACUCAUACUUCCAUGAAUAGGCCCUAGAAACCUCUUUUGCUUAGGCUUUUAAAAAGAGUUUCAUAAAAUGUUUGCAUGUCAAACCUUUCUACAGAAAAUUUGUAGCAACUUUUAUAAGGAACAAAAGUUGUUUUAUGGCCAUCUCAUGAAAAUGAUCACAUCUAGCUCAAAAGUGACCCACAAGGCAGAUUUGGGGCUGUUUCCAACACUUAGAAAUUUUUCUAAGUCUGGGAUCGCAGCAGUUUGCUCGAGGGUACCAAGUUGUUUAGCUUCCGGUUUGAAUUCUAGGCCGAAUCAAACCUUAAUCUUGUAAGCAAUGUUGGAGUCCUCAUGUAGCUCUACAGCAUGGAGCAAUUAGCCAGCAAAAUCAUCAAAUGGAUUAGGAGAUAAUCACAGUGCAAAAUCAGGUUUCAGUCGGGAUCAGAGACUGAAUGGAGUCGUCGUCAGCAGAGGGGAGCUCACCGGUGACGCCACGUGUCUGGACUCGUGGUGUCCGUACGUCGCUGUUGGUCCCGCUCGUCAGUCCUCAGCGUGUCCUACAGCUCGACACGACGCCCCCGGUCGCGUGGACAGCGCCAUUUCCACUCUGGUUCGCCCUCUCUCGCGUCCGUCGUCUUCUCCGUGUCGCCGCCGCUGCUUCGGCGAGCUCGCGCGCUCGCGUCUCAGCGUCUCCGGCCAAGCGACUCCGUCCAGUGCUCCGCUAGCUUCCCCGCAACACCGUCGUCGAGUUGGCUGCGGCUGCCGAACCUCGGUAAGCCCGCAUUGUCUUCUCCGUCGCGAGCUUACCUCGCCGGAGCUCCGCCAUGGUCACCGGCGUCGUGGCCAAGGCUCUGUAGUCCACCAUUUCUCUUCGUUCUUGUCCCAAAAGCUCCGCUGACUCAUGCUGAUGCUCGUUCGAGUCCUCUUUCGCCCGGUCUCCGACCAGAGACGCCGGCGGUCGGCCGCACACCACCGCCGUGCCGCCAUUCGCGAGGGCGAGGUACCUAGGGUUCGGUAGAGUUAGGGUUUGUGGUACCAAUCGAUGCGGAAGGGAGAGAGGAGCACGAUGGUGCUCUUGGUCGUCGCCGAGACCUCGCCGUCGACGAGAUCUCCGACGGUCAAGUCGCGCCUCUGCUCUCGCGUCACUUAUGUGUGGGGUCCGUUGACUUGCGGGGUCCCCCUGUCAGUCUCUCUUUCUCCUUUGUUUGAUUUAGGUUUUGUGCUGUUUUUGCAAAAAUCAUCUCUCUUGUUCCUGUGAUCCAAAAAAAGUGAAAUAAAUUUUGUGAUGUUCCUUGAGAUGGCUAGUUUUUAAUAAAAAUAUAACAUGUACCAUGUUUUCUGGGAAAAAUAAUUGUUAUGAUUUAAUCUUGAUUAUUUAAGUAUAAAUUCAUAUCUGUUUAUAUACUGCUCCUUUUGCUAUGAAAUUUUUAUGGUAGUCUCUGAGUGACAUUAGAAUGCUAGGAUGAAUAUCUCAUGAUUUUUGGAGUAAUGUAUCUGUGAUAUGUAAUUUAUGUUUGUGAUAUGGCUUAUUUUCUUACUUAAAUCAUAAUAAAUAUUUGGUGCUUAUGCUGGUGCUCUACUCUAGUGUCAAACUUGUUUAGGAUAAUAAUAACAUGUAAAUAAUCUGAAAUCUGUUGUUUGACACUAUCUAAGCUAUGUUUCUUAAUUUAUGGAAUAAGCACCUUGUCACAUGUUAAAUGCUUAUCUUGAAUUUGGCAUGUGCAAUUGUUCUGAAAAUUUUAUGGUAAUGUCAAGAUGCUAUACUUGUGCUUCUGUAAUUUUUGUAGAUUUUUCUGAGCACUUUUGCUUGUAUCUUGUUAUUAUGUCCCUUUAUAGAAUUAAAUUAAUAAAUACCUUGUUGUUAAAUGUUGUGGGGUUAACAUAUGAUGUUCUGAUAAUCUUAUGAUGUGCUUGUGCUUAUAAGCCAUUUGGUUGGCACUAUUUAUGUUUUUGCAUUGUCACCAAAUAAUUAAUUAAAGAGUUAAAAGCUGUUCUGGACAGCAAGGGAGUAAUCUAACCUUUACUUGUUGAUGUCUUGAUUUUCUGGAAGACUUAUCUAAAUCAAAGUUGUUGUAGAUUUUAUGAACCAGCUGUAGCUCAAAUUUGGGAUCAUUUGGUCCAGUUGUCUUGAAGUUAUGGCUUUUCCAUGUCAGGUUCCAGAAAUAGGUGCUUUCUGUUUUUCUGGGACAGAACCUGGAACAUUGUUUAAUUGACUUGUUUAACUUAUGAAUAUUGUUGUGAUGUUUAAAGAUGAAAUGUAGACAAUUUCAUAAGCUUUCCAUAAUGUCCACAUUUAUGUUUGUUGGAUCUAUAUAGCAAUAGUUCUGACCUGUUUACUGAGCUGUUCUGUUAUGUGAUGCUUGCUGUUUGUAGUUUAACUUGGUAAUCUUGCUAAGUAAUUAAUCAUCUUGUGUGAUCUUGUUAUGAAAGUUACUCCGUAAAUGAGUGUCCAGUGAAGUUCUAAUUAUGUUAUCAAGCACUCAUCCUCAUCUAGGAGGCACACAUUCUUAUUCAUCGUGCAUGCAAUAGGUGCACCGGAAACGACUGCUUCGUUCGAGCUCUAGGUGAACCCCGAGGGUCAAGAGAUCAACCCGGAGGUAGAGGUCCAGCAAGCCGGAUGUUGAUAUUUGGGAACGCAAUAAGGAAUUGAUCCGCAAGCGCACGGAUAUCGGUGACCACUUCACCCGGGAAAUUAUCCAGAGUAUCGUAUUUAUUUUUUUACCACUAGGAGAAAGAGUGCAUCUGACUAACCGGCCUAUUACUACUAACCUUUAGGCACAAAGAAUGUCUUUCGAUGUGAGUGAUAAAUAGAGAAGACUGCAACCGUAGUCUCCUUCUAACCUUGGUAAGGAUGAUCUACUGUUCUAAUGGGGAGGCUAACGGAAUCUAGACACUACAAAGGAUGUUCGACCCGCACCUAUAAACCCUAUCCUUCCUGCUAACGAGAUGUGAUCUGCAAAGGUAACUCGGAAUUGUCACGUUCCUUGCUACUACCACGGUCCAGCUAGUCAGGGAAUAUCUAUGAGUACCCCAGCCUAAACACCACGUUUACGCCAGCAAUGAUUACUCUAAACUCUACGCGAAGAGAUUAAAAGUGAACUCAUAAACCAUAAGAACAAUAAAACAAGAACUUACUAGAAUUUAGAAGUCGAACUACUGAAGAAUCCUAGGAGCAAGCUUCGGGUUAGGAGAACUUGAUCCCGUAGGUACAAGCUUGGAGUAGACACCGACUGGCCAGGCUUCCUCCACUCUACACCUCCACUCUAUCUCUCUCAAUCUAGUAGAAACUAGAAGAUCUAUUUCUACCUUACAUUGAUGGCUAAGCCUAAAAAGAAAUAUUAAUUAGAGAAGAGGUUUUCCUUCGAGGGCACCCCUCAGUCUCUAUGAUAAUUUCUUCGUGUUUUCUCCAGGGGCCAGGGGGUCUCCUUAUAUAGUCCUCCCCUUCUAUGCGUUUUUGGGUCGAUAGGCGAGGUGGUACUAUGUUUUUCUUGAUCCAAUAGGUCGGUGGAAUAUCCCGAGCAAAGAGAGUCCUGAUCUAGCUCCAGCAGGGGGCGGGCGCCCAGGUCACCAGGGCGGGCGCCCUGGGCCUGGCCCCGUUUCGCCUCAGCUUCGGUCUCGUGGCUUCUGGAGUCUUCUAGAUGGUGUAAAAUCGUGCGGUGCGUUGAUAUCUCUAUGUAAUCCUAACAUGUGGGCCUUUCUUCCUUAUUUACUGAUAACCCCCUACAGAAACAGAUAAACAACAAAACUCGUGGAAUUCUGUCAGAUCAAACCCUAAUUCUAGGUGUAGGUUGCAUAUUGGUCCUUUCUCUUGUUUAUUUGAUAAUUAAAAUUGAUACUUAAGAACCGUCAACACCGGACACAAGGAGCCCGAAGAGGAGAUUGAGUGCCCGAAUCAUGAGCCUGCAUUGUUCGUGAAAGGCAAGCCCCGGAGCAUCUUAAGUCUCCCACUUUAAUUUCGAAAGCUUACUUGAUUAUGUUAUAUCUAUUGAUGCAUUACGUAUAGGAGUUGCGAUGAAACCCUUGCUGCAUUGUCUUUAUUCCUUGUCCAGAUAUCUUACCAUCGCCUGGUCAUAGAGUUAGGAUCGAGUAGCAGCUUAGCCUUGCUUAAUCGGUAGAAGUCGGGUGAUAUCCUGUCACCUGCGCGAGAUAGGGUGUGUCGGAUCACGAUUGUCUAUAUGUGCUAUCGUGGAAGGAACCUGAUUAAAAUGAUUUAAGCCAGGUGGAGUUUUGCAAGGUUGUAGUAACUCCGUCUGUGACAGCUAAGGACCGAUCGUUGUACGUCCUCUUGUCAUGUUGAACGCAUGCCUAACACUUAGUUGGCCGGAUAACUCGUUCUGGCCACGAAGCCUAGUAGUAUGACUCAGGCCGGAAGACCGGCAAGUAUAAAGUGCGCACUACCGGAGGAAGUGCGGUGUGCGGGGGACCAUUGGCGUAAGACCAAAGGCAGGUGAGUUAAAAGUCCUGACCUCCCUGGUAGAGUGGUAGCCCUGAGAGUGCGGCGCUGAUUGGAGCCGCGAUUCCUGAGUCAUACCAAAGGUGACCCGCUUGCUCUCCGACGGGGGAUGCUUGGGUGAGUGCUAGGAAUAACCCUCGAGCUGGAUAGGAAUCGAUUCGAAUCGCCGUCUCUCCCGGAUAGUGAGAACUUGACAGAGCAGCGACAAACGUAGCAUUCACUAACAGAACAUUGGUUCGUGAUAAUGAUGAUAGCAAGAAAGAGCAUAUGAUGAACUUGAUAUGGUUAUUAUUGUUUGUAAUAAUCAAGUGAAGUGUUUUAGUACAGGUGCUAAUGUAGUGAUAGACUAAUAAAGAUUAAAUGGAUGCCUUUACAAAUGGUAUGGUAAUCACUUAAGCUUUUGGCAAAUAAUGAGUCAAGCCGGCUACACUUUAUACUUAGCCUUGCAUGAUCCUUGGUGUCUUUUAUGUUUUACUAGACGGGUAAGUCUAGCUGAGUACAUCCUCAUACUCAGGGUUUAUUCCCACCUGUUGCAGAUGAUAUCUUUUAUGAUGGCUUCUGCAAGACCUGUCUCCAUCCCGCUGGAGAUGAGGACUAAACCGUUGGGCACGGUUCUCUAACAACUUCGUACUUGUGCUUUUGGAGGGAUGGUAUAAGACUCUGGCAAUAACAAAGACUUGUGAACUGAACUUUGGAAUGUGUGUUGUAAACUAUUUUGCUUCCGCUACUACAAACUGGUGUUGUACUAACUUAGUAACUCCGAUGUGGUGCCGCUUCGACGGCAAUGAAUGACUAUGUAACAUUCGCUGUGUUAUGUUGAACUAUUACGAUCUUGGUUUGUUGCAAGUUGGUUUGAAGUCCAUCGAGAUUUCAGUUGACUACCGGGAUUAUAUGGGCUCAAGUUUGGAAACUUGAUUGUUAAUCGAUCGUUUCUACACUUGAACUCUUAUAAUUUGGUCGGUUCUGUGACAAUGCCAGAAUCAAGGACAAGCUUAUAACAGUGACAGUCACAUACCUUAAGAUGUUACCUUAAUUGAAGAGUGAUGGUACAAUAUCACCUUGUGGAAGCUUUUCUUACUCAAUGGUUGUGCAUCUUGUUCGUGGCACUCUUCGUCUCGUUGCAUGGAUUAUCUCUCGAGCUAUGUCUUUCUUGUGCAAAUUGUUAAACUUCAUGUGUCUUCUUCUUUCUCUCCAUUCUGAAUUUAUCUCAGGACUUCUCAAAUCGAUAUUGAAAAUUUUCCUACAUGGGUUAGUCCAACAAAAUAUACCAGUGUCUACACAAGCAGUUUUUAGUUCAAUAACCAAACUAGACUCCAUGUCUAAUCGGAUUAAGGAAGGCUACUUAACCUAAGCACCAUGCUUAAUUUAGAGUACAUUGCACUCACCAUACAACAACUAAUUAAGUGGGUGCAUAUUAGUCCAACAUCUUCUAAUUUGUCCAAUCUAAUACAACAACUAUCUAGGUUGGUACUUAUUGGACCAACAUCUUUAUCAGUUCAAGCCAGCCAUGAAUGACAAUAGGUUGGAAUUAAAAUAAUAUUAUGGCAUAGAAAGAAAAAUGAUCGAGUUAGAAUUUUUCAUAUAUGAAAUCAAUAACAACUUUUAUAUUUGGCCGGAUUCAUAAAUGAUAUCGUAUAGUAAAUGAUUCAAGCUGAUUGAUGGAUGAAACGAGCAUGCUAGGUUCUAUAGCUUGCAAAGAUAGUGAUUCAGAGUGUAAAAAGAUGCGUUGUUACAAUACUUGGACCAUAUAUGCACGAAUAAGCAAGUUCUUGUAUCAAAUUAAACUAACGAGAAGAUUAUGGAUCAAUAUGCACUCACCUAUAUUGUUGUUGUAUUAAAUUGGACAAAUUACAAUAUGUUAGACUAAUAUGCACCCACUUAGAUACUUGUCGUAUGAUGAGUGUAAUUUACUCCUUAAUUUAAAUGCCAAUGGAAGUAUGUCGAGUACUUCCAAACCAACACUUACUUGUGAAUAGACAAAGGUAGCAUGACAACAUUAUAGAGAUCUACUCAAGUGGGGAUGAAGUAGAACAAUUAGUGUUUAACAAAUUGAGCAUGUCUUAAGGGUAGGGACAACCAACAUAGCAACAUGGCAAAUGAUGUUUUUGUGUAAAAUAUUCCCCCCCAGCUUGAACAAGUCAUGUUUGGAUGAAUUUAAUUCAAUGUUGCAUGAUGAUUGGUUGGACAUACCUUGUUGUUAUUCUUCACUGUUUUACUUCAAGCCUGAAUCGCGAAGAUAACGGGAUUGCUUCCCCCAAGCUGAAUGUUGACAUAGUCUUUAAUCUUGAAUCCGCACAACACAGAUGUUCUUCAAUAUUCUUGAGCUUCAAAAUGUCAGUGAUGAUUGCAGCGCUUCCAAGUUGAUGAAGAUAUCUUGAUCAUUGGGGAUUCUCUCUUUAAAUCAUGUUAAACUCAAAUAGACAACAAAACUUGUGGCACCGAUUAAACAUUAGUAGUUGGCCACUUAAGCCUUAGUUGUCCAAGCUUUUUCAAGCUCAAAAAAUUUUAAAUCUGCCGGUAUCUGUUGGUCUAGCACGUCAAUGUUUGAACCAUAUUCAUUUCCAAUUACUAGCGGGGGCACUGAUUGCUUUGAUUGUUCCCCGAGCUGUGCUACACCCUUGCAUGCUCUUUUCUCUUUAUUCUUCUCUUCUUCUAUAUAUUUCCUUAAAGUGCAAUCAUAGUCCAAUAAAGAUGAUGAUUCUUUCUGAGCUUCACGCCUCUUUCUUUGUUGAGCCUCAACCCUUUGUCGUAGAUCUUCUGGCUGUAGUAAGAGGUAUUGCUUCUCAAGGUUUCGCUUGGCUUCUCUUUUAGUCUUAAGUUUCUUGAAGAAACUAUCCACAUCUGAUUUUACCGAACCAUCUAGUUCUGCAUCAGUCUUCUCAUAGGACAACGUCUUAGGAAUGAUAGCUUGUUUCUUUUCGGAGGCUUUCUUUCUUGGCGGCGGGGCGGCCGACACAUUUGAUUGUGUGGCCGGCCUCUUCUUUCGUGUUGGAGCCACGUGUGGAGGCGAUGGGUCGGCCGGUGGUGGUGUUGGAGCCCGAGGAGGCGGCAUUGGAGCCCUAGGUGGUGUUGGAGCCCUAGGUGGCGGUGUUGGAGCCUGAGGUGGUGGUGUUGGAGCCCGAGGUGGCGGUGUUGGAGCCCUAGGUGGUGGCGAUGGAGCCUGAGGUGGUGGCAUUGGAGACUGAGGCGAUGCAGCCGUGUCUUGCACUCCCUCGUCAUCACCCGCAGCACUAUGACAUGUUGGUGACCACCUAUGAAACCAAAAGGUAUAUGAGUAAUCCGCUAACUAAGGGAAUGCAAAAUAGAGUUAGUGAACAAAUGUAUAGUCAAUUUUCAUCCACACCUAGGAUUAGAUUCAUAACGAGGAGGUGGUGGUAGACUACUAGGUGAUGCCCCAGGAAUAAUGAUGUAGUGCUUGUGCCAACAAAUAAAAGUCUUCUCUGCUUCUCCUAGAGUCUUCUCUCCAUCACCUCCUUCUAUCUCAAGCUGCCAUUACUGAAGCCUUUGACAACUCUAUCACCGAGACACUAGCAUAUCCAGGUGGAACUAUUGCCCCAUGGAUCCUUGGUGUCUUCAUAGGGUCGAUAGGAGUUACAACAGCGAUAGCAACCAUGAUUGUGGUAGUCCACUGUGGAAUGUGCAGCUCACAUGUUGUUAGAGGUUCAGUGAUGUCAUCCACCGGAAAGUGCAGCCCACGUCGUCUUGAAUAGUUGGCAUCUCCGUGGAAGCGCAACUGCUUUUGAACUGACCGGGAGGGCUAAUGUUGACUCUAGGCUCUGAUGCAGUUUGCCUUUGUAUAGAACUUACUACCAUCUGCACUUGUCUUUUGAUCUCCUCAUUCAUUCUCUCUUCAAGCGCAUUCUCUCGCGCUAUCGCUUCACGAGCCGCUUCGCGUGACUCCAUCACCAUUGCCUCCAACCUACGCAACCGCUCUGCUUCCUCUUCCUUCUUUCUUUCAAGGCUUCAAUAAGUCAGUCUAUCUUUAGGGAAGCCAUGCUUCCACGAUACCUCCCCAUAGCCUCUUGUUCGCCCACCGUGUUCAGCAGUCUCCAGGGCGUAUGUCAGCUCAUCCUUUUCUCUAUUUGGCUGCCAGGUGCCACUUUCAACUAAUCCUCUAGCAUAGGCCACUCUCUGUCCUACUCUCUCGAGCUUUUCGCCAUACACUAUCUUUCCGGUCUCUAGAUCUAUGGUUCCCCCGUGACUGAAGAACCAAUACUUGGCACGCUCAGGCCAGUGCAUUGAUUUUGGUUCGAUCCCUCUCCCAAGAAUCUCCUGUUCCAACUUUUGCCACUUAGGAAUAGUAGUCCUGUAGCCACCUGAACCCAAGUGAUGGUGGUAUUGCUUUUGUUUAGCAUUUUCCUGAUUCUUGAUCAUCCGUGCCUGACCCUCUUCUGAGUUUUUAAACUCUACGAACUCAUCCCAAAAAGGCCUCAACUUGACGUAGGCCUUGUUGGUGAAAUCCGGUGUCUGGCCAUGUGCAACAAAAAGUCUUGUAUAAUGUCUUCUUCCAAUCUUGAAAUUGUUUGGCCAUCUUCUGCAUAGCCCAUAUUUUAACCUUCUCCUUCAAAGCUUCAUCUUGUGUAUCGAGCGUGAAAUGUUGAAGGAUAUCUAGCCAAAUCAAUUCCUUGUCACGAUCUGAGACAAAACUAAUAUUAGAAUUAUCUUUCUGUUGCCUCCAUUCACGAGCACUGACCGGGAGCCUAUCCCUUACAAGGUACCCCCAGUGCACAACAAUUUUUUUAGAAUUGGCCCCAAGCACUUGUCCUGUACCCUCAUCGAAUUCCGACAGAAUAUACCGACCCUCCAACGGCUUCUUCGAGCCGCGCACUUUUCUACUCUUCUCAGAAGUUGUCGCCGAUUUAGAGGGCCACACAAACAAGUAUAAAUAUAUUAGUACAAAUGCCAUUUAUUUUAAUUUCAUAUAUAUAUAUACAUAUAUACUAGAUUGUAGAUAGACCUCAUCAGGAUUGUCUCCCACAAGUUCUUCAUAAUCAGUAAAGUACUGACUCCCAUCAUCUUCGCCUUAGGGAUCUGGAUUGGCGCCGCUGUUGAUUAGGUCCAUCAUUGCAUCAUCCAUGUUGUCAUUCGGAUUGGCCAUUUCUGCAAAUUGGACGCCAUCAUCUAAUAAUACUUAUAUCUUUUAUAGAAAUGUCAUAAAAUUUUAAAUUGUUUGAUUUCUAAAAAGGAGAAUUGCAUUUUUUCGUGAAUGAAGUAACUUGGCAUAACGAUUUGUAACUUCGCUUAACAAUGUGUUCACUGUGCGUUAGAACAAUCUAGAAACAUGUACGUUUCGCGAGCGCGUGUGUUUGGUCGAUCGGAGUACGACAAGUGUAGAUGUAGAGUACGUUUUGCCGGCAUGGGGAUGCAGAGGAGCGCGGCUACAGCGCCCACCGCGGUGGACGAUACGAUAGCGACGAAGACCGAAUGGCUCCAGAACCACCGGGCCCUCGAGUCUUCAGCAGAGCAAUCCGCAGCACGCCCUGCCAAGCCUGUUUCGACCCCCGACCAGCAUUGCCAAAUACAACGGCGAAACCAAGCCAGAGCUGUGGCUGGCAGACUUCCGGCUAGCAUGCCAGUUGGGAGGUGAUCGAGGAGACCGCUCGCAGAUGGCUAGCAUGCCAAUUACCGCUCUUCAUCUCCGACACCGCUCGCAGAUGGCUUGAGGAGCUCCCCGCCAACUAGAUUCACGACUGGACCGAUUUGGUCUGGGUGUUCGAAGGCAACUUCAAAGGGACCUACAUACGACCCGGAAACUCAUGAGACCUCAGCAAGUGCAAGCAGAAAUCAAGAGAAACUCUCCGAGAGUACGCUCGACGCUUCUCGAAGCAGCGCACUGAGCUCCCGCACAUCCCCGACCACGACAUCAUUCUAGCCUUUGUCUCAGGCACCACAUGCAUGGACCUGGUACGAGAACUAGGUCUAAACUGGUGUCACACCGCAAAAUUCUAACUUUGGGAUAUGACUUAGAAAACACUAAAAACAAAGACAAAGAAUUUAUUUUUUUUAUAAAAUGUUCCAACUUUAUUUAUGUUGACAACAUUUUAGAUAGUGAAAAAUGUGGGUUUCUAAAAUUUUUGUAAAUCAACUUAGUGGUUUGUUGCAUUCAUGUCGUUGCAUAGCGCUUAUGCUUGAAAAAUAAAUUUUGUUUGUUUUCAAGAUACACCUUGGGUUGAUCCCCAACUUCAUCUUUCCAAACAUCAAACCAAUAUCUAAAAGUUCUAAUCAAAUCUUUUGUCCACAAACUAAAUCCCUAGCCUAACCCUCUCCCUCACUCGCUUUCCUCUUCCUUUUUUGGACUCCUACUUAUUUUUGAUCAAGUCCUCCCAACCCCUUAAAUCUAAAUUAUAUGACCACUCUAUAUAUCUCUCUCCUUGUUUACACAAUUCUACCAUCACUUUGAUCAAGCCAAGUUCCUUGUCUUGCUUUGGAUCAAGUCCAAACCAGCCCAAAACAUCCAUCUUUCUCUCCCACCUCAUGCACGAUUCUCUACUUCUCUUUUAUGUAAAAAGGAAAAUAGAAACCCUCCUCACAUCUAUGUGUCGUCAUCCCCUUGGGCAGCACCUGAUCUUUUCCUACAUGCACAAACUUCGUCAACUAAUUGCUCCUUAAUUCCUCCUUUUCAAUUCACUAAUAAUCUUAUUGACUGCAUGUGGAAAGCACCAUGCAUAGACAGUUAACUUUUGCAGCUACACCAGCACUUCCUCUCUUCUCCAUGCAAAGAUAAAUCCUCUAUUAAUUUCCUUGACUUCAUCAAGUAUAUCUUUAUCCCAUCUCACCAGUUGUAUGUAAUGGCAGCCAUGAAUCUCUUUCUCUUUUCCUCAUGACACCUAUCCUUCAUGUAAAAUAACAGCAGCAUUUAACUCUUUAGCCCCUUGAUUACUUUGUCUCUUUCAUGUGGAGAAAUCACCCUUCUCAUCUCUAUGGCGACUGCUCAAUAAUUCUUUCUUUUUAUUUUUUAGACACACUUCAAUCCUUCAUUUGUUUUCCUUUACUUCCAAUGGCAUGCAGCCAUCUAUGCUCUGGCUACACCCACGUUUACUCCUUUUUCUCUCAUGCAAGAGAACAACAACAACUAAUUCUUCCCCUUAAAUUACAAUGGUAACACCUUUGUUUAAUCCUUUCCUUUGAGUAUCCUUUAUCCCAUCAGUGUGCAUGCAACAGGUAGCCAUACCUCUUCUCUUCCUCCUCCCUUACUGCCAAGGGCGCCUCUCCCUUCUCCUCCUGCUCAAUAUUAAUGUGCACCCAUUCAUUCUCCUAUUGACUCACCUCUAUUAUUUCUAUUGCUUUACUCCAUUGUUUCAUUUGCAUGCAUGCAGAAAAUUACAACCAGCAAUAUCUCCUCCCCCUUGCUCACAUGAGCAGGUCAUCACUUCUCCUCCCAAUGGCGCAUCUUCCUUUUCUCUCAUGCAGAAAACUGCAGCCAAUGUUCCCACUUAAUUCCCUUUACAAGCCCCUCUUAUUCUCCAAUGCAGCUCUCUAAUUGCAUGAGUAAUGAAGGGCUCAUGAAACAGCCAUGCAUCACCCUUUCUCCCUUAUUUCUUUUAUGCUCGACACACACAGGAGCUGCCACUCUCUUCCCAUGCAAAACAACUACUACAAAUAAUGCUCUCCUUUGAUUCCCAUGAGACACACACCUGAUUUCAAUAGCACCUAUUUACUCCAUCGGUUUUACUCUCUUCAUUUGCAUGCAUCCAUGCAGGAAAUAGCAGCCAUAUAUUUUCCCUCUUCCUCUCUUUCUCAUGCACAACAACAGCUUUAUUUCCUCCUCCAUUUCUCCUUCACGCACACUGCAGAUGGACAGCCCCUCUUCCCCUCUCCUAUGCCAGCACUGUCUCACUCUCAUGCAGAAAUAAAAAGGCAAUACAUAAUGCUCUUCCUUAAUCACCUAGCCUCUCUUGACUCCUCUUCAAUUGCAUGCAUACAUUCACAGCCAUAUCUCCUCUCUUUUCCCACGCACAACCAGCAAGACCCCUCUUCAAAACCCUCUUGAUAGCACAUAUUUUUUCAUUGCCUUUUUAUUUCACUUCAAUGGCAUGGACACAUGCAGCUGCAGCAGCUAUAAACCCCCCCCCCCUCAUCUCCUCCUCUCUCCCUCACGCAAGCACCAGAGAAGGAGCAUCCCAUCUCCUCCCCUCCCUCCAUCAGUUGGGCGCCCCUCCUCCUCUCUUUUCCCCAUGGCUGCAGCUCCAACUCUCCCUCCUUUCUCUCCACAAAAAACAGCAGCCACCGCCUCUUCUCCUUCCAAUUCCUUCACCAUGGAUGGCCACUCCUCUCCCCUUCAAAUCCCUCUCCAACCUCUCCAUCAAAAUGCACUGCCCUCUCAGCAACAUUUUUGUUUUGCUGCUGCACGUUUCUUCCCAUCAUCGGAGUCAUGGAAUUCUUCACAUCUUUCUUGAGGACGCCAUGGUGCUGCAGCGCUUCAUGGAGCUCACCCCAAUGUCUUUUCCCAUCUCCCAGAACCUGCAGCAGAAACUCAUCGACCAUCAUCGCUGCUGCUCUUGUGCAGACCAUGGUGAGGUCGUCCUUCCCUCUCCUCUCUGUGAUCUUGUUUCAUAUUCCCCACUCAUGCAUCUCUUUGAUCUAUUGUGAGGCAUGGAUGAUCCGCCAAAGCGAAUAUGCCACUGCUCCAUUGAUCACCAACAUUGUCUUUACCUGUCAUCGACACUGACCGCUGCCAUCACAUUCAUCUCCAACUGUUCCUAACCCCAAUGUGAGAACCAAACAUUUUCCUCUAUCUUAUAUGUUCAACUAUAUCAAAGUUUUGUCAUCUUGAUUCAAGUGGAUAGAUUUGUAGUGCAGUUUUGGCUAAGAACGUAUUGUCGUCUAUCAUGGACAGCAGUGUUGCUGCUGGUUAUCACGCAUGUUCCCGGCAAUCUGCACCUCUGUUUUGCAAUUCCUUUAAUCCAUGUGUGUAUCAUAUAUUUGCCCAUGUCUCUUUAAAUUUUUAUGGCCAUAGAGCUUAAUAUGAAAGAGUUAUAAAUGUUCUUGUGCAUGAUGUCCCUGCUGUCCCGCAGCAGAGUUUCUGCCGGUUGGCAUGUGUAUUCCCGAUGAUCCAUCACUCCAGUGAUCAUGUCCUUCAACCACAGCGUGUUUUCUACCUUUGCACACACCCCUGAGAAAUUCCAUGGCAAUAGAAUUCAAGAUGAAAGAGAUAUCAUCAUCUUUUCGGUGUUUGCUGUCCCUGCUGUUUCAGCAGCAUUGUGCCUCUGUUUGAUAGUGUUGUUCCCCAUCAUACAUUGAGUUAAAUCAUCAAACCCUUCAUGAAGCAUGUGUGUCUUAUCAUUGUACACAUCUCUACAGGUUGGCUUGGCCAUAGGUGUCUCAAUGGCUGAGAUGUUGAGGCCAUAGUACCUGCUACUCCUGCUGUCUAGAAAUCAGUCAUGCCACCCAUUUUGAGUUUGUGUUCUCCGCCUAACAGAUGGUCAAACCACCAUUCCCUUUUACAAGAACAUACCUCAUACAGUCCACGAUGACUACAAAAUAUGUAUUGUUCAUUUGUGCUAAUCAGAGCAUGUCAUCAAGGAUCAUAACCCCUGUUGUCCGCUGCCACGCACAUCCUAGGUGCACCGGUGUCUCACCACGUUCCCCACCAAACCAUUGUUCAAAUCACUGAUCUCUCUUGCAUGACUGUGUCUAUGGUUGUUGCACACAAAUCCACCAAAUAUCUAUCACAGAAGCUUAGCAUAGGCCUGCGUUUUGUUGGCAAGAACCACUACUUCCCAUCGCACAUGCAUGCUCAGUCGGUGUGCAGCUCAUUGUAAUCAUAUCCCCUAUGGAUUUAGCUACUUGCUUUGGUGCACUAGUAACCAUAAUAUGAUCCCAUAUGAUCUCUCAUAUGCAGCAGCACUUAUAUAUAUAUAUAUAUAUAUAUAUAUAUAUAUAUAUAUAUAUAUAUAUAUAUAUAUAUAUAUAUAUAUAUAUAUAGAGUAAUCAGGAUGCACAAACCUUACUUGCAGCCUUGCUUCCACCUUAAAUCUAUGGUCGCAUUGCACUCGCGAAGUUCUAGCCAUUCCAACCAUCAUAGUUGUUCUUGCCUCAUUGUGUUCUAUAACCACAUAUAAAUAAUCUUGAUAGUAUCUCACCAUAUCAUCUCACUAUUGUGUAGCCAUUGCCAUGUAUAUGCUUUCUCUCAUCAAGCUUGCAUAGCCAGCACGUGUGAUCAAGCCCUUAAAUCUUCAUAUGCUUACUUCAUUCUUCAUAAUCUGUAGUCUAUCUUGUAUACAAUCCUCUGAUCAUUUAUUAUUCAUCUAUAAAUCCUUAUGCUCUCUAAAUCUUUCAAGUUAGCACACAUACAUCAUGUUUAUUCCAUUCCUAUCAUUUAUCGAACCUUCUGACUUCUACCUUUGAACUUUCAUGUCUUCUAAACCAUAGCUCCGUUUAGUUGUUUUUGCGCUCAACGUUCGUAGUUACAAGCCUUACGUGUUUAAAACCUUUAAGUCUUAUUUUGUAAUGCUUGGUGUGUUGUUUUUAGGUUCUCUUGUGAUGCUUGUAUCGAUUGUUUGCUGACGUUAGAAGUGGAGCUACAUGAGGAGUAUAUCUUUGAGAAGUGGAACCAUUGGCAAGUGUUUUGGAAGGCAAGUGUAACAUGAGUACCCUUGUUACCUAAUAACUAUAUAAUCAUCUUUUCAUAUGCAUGUGUCUAAUUUGAUGAACCCCUAAGGACUUUACCUAGAACUAUUGUAUCUUGUAUCCUUGUUUACCCUGGGUUAUGCAUAUGGGUAGUUUGCUUAGUCCGCAAUCACCAAACUGUACAACAUUAAUACUGAUUAAUGAUUAUGGAAUCAAUAUUAUAAUGAUGCUUUCUAGCAACAUGGAUAUCAGGGGGCUAGAGCAUUGGGCCUCUCUGGGUGCUCUAGUCUGCCCUCCGUAAGGACUGAAUCUUAAAGCAGCAACCCAGGACUUACAAUACAACCAUGAGAAUCACAUGGCUCUGAUCUUAAUCAAGUAUCUAGUACGUCUCUAGCUUGUUAGUGGUUACCGAAAGGCGCAAGAGGGGGGUGCCUCGUGGUGUAUAGUUUUGCUCCUACCUUGGUGUGUACAGUGCCACGACCACAUGUGCCUCUUGGAGGAGGUCUCUAUGCACACUUGCCACUGAAACCUCGCGGCCACUAACUAGUUAGGGUGUCUACUGAAAGGUUACGUAGUGAUCCCUGCCAACUUACCUUGGAAGUGAGUCAAGAGGUUGGCUCCCUUGGGCAAAGGGCAAUCACGACUCAUGGGUCAAGAUGUACAUACUCUGCAGAGUUAUAAAAACUGAUAUAUUAGCCAUGCUCACGGACACGAGCGGCCUGGAUCCUUUUUGAGAUAGAUGGUUCUAUGGAUGGUUUGGGUGAUGAGUAAUGUUGAUGUUAAUUAUACUUCUCACCUUGGGAGCUUAAGCAUAACCUAGAAACAUAGGUCUAAUAACAAAAUAUGACCAACUAAAAAUGCUUAUCGCAGUCAAACCAAGUCAAGCCUUUUGAGCCUUGCAUCCCCUCAUGUUAUACUUGUUGAGUAUGGUGCGCUCACACUUGCUUUACAUUCAACAAUCAAAAAUCCCAGAUGGGUACCAGAUGGUCAGUCAAAGAGAUGUUCCAAGAGAAUAGGCGAGUGUACCCUCAGUCAACCGUCCCUGUGGAGUAUGGAGACCCAAAGUAAAGAUUAAGAAUAGUUUUCGCUAUGCUUUGUAAUAGAUGUAAGCCUUGUUGUAACUAUUUUUUGAUAUGUAAUAAACAUUGUUCUUGAUAUUCUCCAUAUUUGUCGCUAUAUGUGUCGUGUGGACAUCUUGGGCACACAUAUAGUUAGCGCUUGGUAUUCUUUGGAAAACCGGGUGCGACAACCGGCCUCAGACCGUCGACGAACUGAUGGAUAUGGUGGCGAACUACGCUGCGGGUGAGGAAGCGGUCGGUGCUUUCUUCAGCCACGAAGGAAGCAAAGGGAAGGCACCAGUGGACGACGAUGAGGGCCCCAGCAGAGGGUCUAAGAAAGGAAAGAAGAAGAAGAAAGCACGACCAUUCAAGCAAGAGGCUCUCGACGAUGACUUCGUCGCCGCCGUAGAGCGCAAAAAGCCUCGAGGACCCCCAGAGGGGGCCGUCUUCGACAAGAUGCUCAAGGAGCCCUGCCCAUAUCACAAGGGAGGGGCAAAUCACAAGCUUGAAGACUGUCGCAUGCUGCAAAAGUACUUCGACAGCCUGGGGCUGAAGAAGGACGACCAAAGGAAAGACAAGAGCGACGACAAGGGGGGAAACAAAGAAGACGAAGGCUUCCCUGCCAUCCACAACUGCUACAUGAUCUACGGUGGACCCUUGACGCAGCUCACCACGAGGCAGCGCAACAGGGAGCGCCGCAAGGUCUUUGCGGCAAGGAUGGCGGUGCCCCAGUACCUCAACUAGUCGAACACCCCCAUCACCUUCAACCGCGACGACCAUCCCAACAGGGUGGUCGCCCCCGGCGUAUACCCGCUUGUCGUCGACCCUAUCAUCGUCAACACCAGGCUCUCAAAGGUCCUGAUGGACGGCGGCAGCAGCCUGAACAUCAUUUACCUCGAGACCCUCAACCUUCUUGGCAUCGAGAGGGCGCAGCUCCAACCAAGCGCGGGCGGUUUCCAUUGCGUCGUGCGCGGAAAAAAGGCAUUGCCAGUAUGUCGAAUCGACCUGCUGGUGUGCUUCGGCACAGCCGCCAACUUUAGGAAGGAAACUCUCACCUUUGAAGUGCUGGGGUUUCGCAGUACGUACCACGCCAUCAUCGGACGGCCAGGAUAUGCCAAGUUCAUGGCUAUCCCCAAUUACACCUACCUAAAGCUGAAGAUGCCCGGGCCCAAAGGAGUAAUCACCGUCAGCUCCUCUUAUGAGCACGCAUACGAGUGCGACGUCGAAUGCGUCAAGUACGGAGAAGCCAUCGAGAGCAACGCAGAACUCGCUUCGAAGCUCAAGGCCCUCGCCGCCGAGGCUCCAGAGCCCAAACGUCAUGCGGGCAGGUUCGAACCAGCGGAGGGCACGAAAAAAAUCCUGCUCGACCCCAACGGCUCCAACGACAAAGCGCUGAUGAUCAGCACCGACCUUGACCCCAAAUAGGAGGCCGUGCUCAUCGAAUUUCUCCAUGCAAACGCCGAUAUGUUUGCAUGGAGUCCUUCGGACAUGCUUGGCAUACCGAGGGAAGUCACCGAGCACUCCUUGGAGAUUCAAGCCGGUUCCAAGCCAGUGAAGCAACGAUUGCGUCGCUUCGAUGAGGAGAAACGCAAGAUCAUUGGCGAGGAGAUCCACAAGCUUUUGACGGCUGGAUUCAUCAAGGAGGUUCAUCAUCCUGACUGGUUAGCAAAUCCUAUAUUAGUUAAGAAAAAGAAUGGGAAAAUGAGGAUGUGUGUCGAUUAUACGAGUUUGAAUAAAGCAUGUCCAAAGGUUCCUUUUCCUUUACCACGCAUCGACCAGAUUGUUGAUUCCACCGCGGCAUGUGAGACCCUUUCGUUCCUUGAUGCAUACUCUGGCUACCAUCAAAUAACGAUGAAAGAGUCCGACCAGCUCGCGACAUCUUUUAUCAUGCCUUUUGGGAUGUAUUACUAUGUGACCAUGCCCUUCGGGGUUUGAAACGCUGGGGCGACAUACUAGCGAUGCAUGCUCCACGUGUUCGGUGAGCACAUAGGGUCGACGGUCGAGGCAGACGUCAACGACAUCGUCGUCAAAUCAAAAAAACGAGACGACCUGAUUCAGGACCUUGAGAUCGCCUUUAGCUGUUUAUGCGCUAAUAGAAUCAAGCUCAACCCCGAGAAGUGCGUCUUCGGUGUGCCUCGAGGCAUGCUCCUGGGUUACAUAGUCUCCCAAUGCGGCAUCGAGGCUAACCCCAAAAAGGUCUCGGCCGUCGCAAGGAUGGGGCCGAUUCGAGACGUCAAGGGCAUGCAGAAAAUUACGGGGUGCCUGGCGGCGCUGAGCCGUUUCAUUUUGAGGUUAGGAGAAAAGGUGUUGCCGCUGUAUCGGCUCCUGAAGAAAGCUGAACAUUUCUCUUGGACCCCCGAGGCCAAAGAAGCCCUCGACAACCUGAAAAAGACGCUAACCACCACCCCGAUCCUAGUUCCCCCUCAGCCUGCAGAGCCUCUGCUCCUAUACGUCGCAGCAACGACCCAGGUCGUCAAUGCGGCUGUGGUGGUCGAAAGGCCGGAGGAGGGACACGCGUUACCAGUCCAGCGGCCGGUCUACUUCAUCAGCGAGGUGCUCUCGGAAACUAAGGUACGAUACCCCCAGAUUCAAAAGUUGAUCUAUGCCGUGAUUCUCGCCCAACGUAAGCUACAACAUUACUUUCUCGAUCACCCGAUCACGGUGGGCUCGUCCUUCCCCUUGGGAGAGAUCAUCCAGAAUCGAGAGGCCACCGGGAGGAUCGCCAAAUGGUCAGUCGAGCUCAUGGGUGAGACCCUCACUUAUGCGCCUCGCAAAGCCAUCAAAUCUCAAGCCCUGGCGGAUUUCGUCGCGGAAUGGACAGACACUCAGCCCCCCCAGCUCAGGUUCAAGCCGAGCUGUGUACGAUGUACUUCAAUGGAUCCCUCAUGAAGACGGGAGUUGGUGCAGGCCUGCUGCUCGUCUCACCCCUCGGUGUCCACAUGAGGUAUGUCAUUAGGAUACACUUCGCCGCGUCUAACAACAUGGCAGGGGUUCGACGCGUCGACAUUCGAGGCAACUCCUAGCUGGUCAUCGACCAAGUGAUGAAGGCCUCGAGCUGCCAUGACCCAAAGAUGGAGGUGUACUGUAAGGAAGUACGUAGGCUCGAGGACAAGUUCCACGGCCUCGAGCUCGUUCACGUCACACGACGAUACAACGAAGCAGCCGACGAGCUCGCUAAGAUCGCGUCAACUCGAGGCACUGUCCCACCCGAUGCGUUCUCGAGAGAUUUAUAUGAGCCAUCUGUCAACUUGGGCACGGGGGCUAAUGCCAAAACUUCCAAGCCUACCGACGCUGACGAAGCCUUAUUAGCGACAACAGACAUGAUGGAGAUCGAGCAACGCCCAGUUCGACCGUUCGACUUGCGUACGCCGUUCCUUGAUUGCCUGGUCCGGUGCGAACUGCCAGAAGAUCGAUCUAAGGCCCGUCGUAUCGCGCGACGGGCCAAAUCAUACGUAAUCUAUGGCGAAAGCAAAGAGCUAUACCGACGAAGUCCAACAGGGAUUUUGCAGCGCUGCAUCACCAUAGAAGAGGGUCGAAAGCUCCUCGAGGACCUACACUCGGGGGCUUGUGGCCACCAUGCCGCUCCUAGAACCCUUGUAGGAAAUGCUUUCCGACAAGGUUUCUACUGGCCGAUGGCCGUUGCUGACGCCAUAGAGCUCGUUCGCUCGUGCCAUGGGCAUCAAUUCUAUGCCAAGCAAACCCAUCUCCCCACUCAUGCUCUCCAGAUGAUCCCCAUCACCUGGCCAUUCGCAGUAGGGGGUCUCGAUCUCGUGGGCCCUCUCUAGAAGGCGGCAGGAGGAUACACCCAUUUACUGGUAGCCAUCGACAAGUUCUCCAAAUGGAUCGAGGCUCGACCCAUCACAAACAUCCCCUCCGAGCAGGCUGUCCUCUUCUUCACCGACGUAAUCCACUGGUUCAGGAUACCCAACGUCAUCAUCACCGACAAUGGCACCUAGUUCACCCGCAAAAAGUUCUUGGACUUCUGUGACCGGCAUCACAUCCGUGUGAACUGGUCUGUAGUAGCUCACCCUCGAACUAAUGGCCAGGUCGAGUGUGCCAACGACAUGAUUUUGCAAGGACUUAAACCGAGAAUCUACAACUGGUUGAAGAAAUUCGGCAAGAAAUGGGUCGAAGAACUCUCCUCGGUCCUAUGGAGCUUAAGGACGAUGCCAAGCAGGGCCACGAAAUAUACCCGUUCUUCAUGGUCUACGGCUCCGAGGCUGUGCUUCCAACAGACCUUGAGUAUAGGUGUCGACGAAAGCUGGUCGGCAGUCUACCUUGGGGUAUACCCACGGUAGUAGUUUAUCGGUAGACGGUGCGCAAACUACGAACUCGAUGGUGACGCAAGACACGGACAAGCUUUUUAUCCAGGUUUGGCCGCCGAGUUGGCGUAAUACCUACGUCCUACGUCUGGUUGUAUUGAUUUGUGUUGAGAGAAUAAUCCUGUCCUAGGGGGUCCCUUGCCCCUCCUUAUAUAGUCUGGAGGGCAGGGUUACAGAUCUGGAAACUAAUCCUAGUUGGUUACAAUUGCCAUGGAUAAUUCGAUAUCAAUUCCUAUUCUAACCGACUAGAAUCCUGCUUGAUCUCCACAUCUUGUUUCCUUGCGCGAAACUCCAGGCUGUCGGAUCAAGCCUUGAACUCGUCUCGUAAUGGGCCAAGCCUCCUGGCCAAAGCCUAGCCGUAAGGGUAUAGGGGUUUAUACCCCCACAGCUAGUCCCCGAGCACCAUGUAUUGUGAUGUAACACGCCGUCUUGAGCUUCUUCGAUCAGUGAGACUUGACGUCUUCAAUAAGCAGGAAAGUCGCCCAAACAGUUGCAACGGUUCUUUGACCAACUCAAAAGACAGUUGAUCAACAUUGACAUCGAAGAAGCGAGUUGUUCGAAGAAUGCAUGGUGCUCUAAAUUAAAAAAGAUUUCUUUCCUGGUGAAGUGUGCCCACUUUACUUUUUUGAAAGGUAUAAACCUCAAAAAAGCAAGCAUAUUCACCGCAAGGUGAAGUGUGCCCACUUAGUCCCCGAGCCUGGUAGUAGGUGACGUAGGCACGUGGUGCCAGGGUCAAAAUAAAAGUUCUCAAAGAAAUUCUGUAACUGAGAUGCAUCGCUAGAUGCAUCGUACCGAUGUAGUCCCCGAGCUUGCUGGAAGGUGAAGUAUGAGCCUUGUAGCAAGGUCUAAAAAAUUGAAUUUACCAGUCCGUCUGCAAUUGAAUAGACUAAUCGACCAGUCCCCGGGUGUAUAAUAGUAUGACGACCAGUCCCUAAGCACCAAGUGCGCUCCUUAGAAUUCUGCGUUGCUAUACUGUACGACCAGUCCCCGAGCAUCGAGUGCUCGGUGGUCGGUGCAGUCUUUGAAGUUUCGAGCUGAUAGACUGGGCGACCAGUCCCCGAGCGUCGAGUGCUCGGUGGUCGGUGCAGUCCUUGAAGUUCCGAGCUAAUAGACUGGGCGACCAGUCCCCGAGCGUCAAGUGCUCGGUGGUCGGUGCAGUCCCCGGAUUGUUGACUCUCUGCCAUAUUUGUCUUCUUGUUAUUGAAAAGAUCUUUCCAUUUAAAGUUGACAUGACGAGACCUCCUGACGGGGUGUCAGAUGGAUGCAUGAAAAGUUGCGCCUGGCAACUGUGCAACCGCCCUUUGCAUGGUUUGAGAAAAAGGAAACCAUCAAUUGGUACGAAAACUCCGCCGCAUUAAUUGUCUAUAAUCAUUAUAAACCGAAACGCCGCAUCCGCCGCAUGGUCCGCCCACUUCUCGAGAAUACGGGAAGUGGGAGAGGUGGAGUUGCGGGUUAUAAGAGCCUGACAGUUCCGCCUGUACUGCAUACCCUGCCAUUGCCUCCAAGCCUUCCACUCUCGCCUCCUUCAAUCAUCUGCAUCUUCCUAACUCAAGCCCAAUUUCUCACCUCCAAUGGCGAAGAGCGACUCCAAGAAGAGGGCCAAACUGAUGGCCAAGGAGUGGAAAAAGUCCCACAGCACCACGAAAUAUCUUGGUGACCUCGUCGAUAUGGGGCUUCUGCACAUCCCGGAGCUCGGCGGCUGGAGGGCACCGGAAGGGGAGAGCUACCCCGACCCCCGCGCCGGUGAGAUCGUCGUAUUUGAAGAUUUCAUUAAGAGGGGCUUUGGGGUUCCUGUUCAUCCUUUUCUUCAAGGUCUUCUUUUGUAUUAUGAGAUCAGGAUUUGCGAUCUGCACCCGAACUCAAUUCUCCUCAUCUCCACUUUUAUCCACCUGUGCGACGCCUAUGUUGGCAUAGAGCCGCACUUCGAUCUUUUUCGUUAUCUUUUCUGCUUGAGGAAGAAGGGAGCAGUUGGAGGCUCCAAGGUUGCAGGUGGAGUAUACCUCAACCUUCGUGAUGGAAUGAAGAAUCGCUACCUGCACUGUCCAUGGAACACUUCCUUGACCGAAUGGUACAGGAAGUGGUUCUACAUUAGGGAGGAACCGGGCAGCUCCACGUUCUGCGAUGUGGGAUACAUUCCUGAGAAGAGGGUGAGCUGGACCGACCGCCCGGAUUUCGACGGUCAAGUGGCGGAUCUCAUGAAGCUGAUCGACUGUUCACGCCUGGACGGGCUUGGCGUGGUCGGCAACUUCAUUUGUCGCCGGGUGAUGCCCUGCCAGAAGAGGGUGCACUCGGCGUACGAGUAUGCCGGAAGCGUGGACCCGAUCAGGAUGCGGCCGGAGAUCUUGGAGAAGGCGGAGGUACAACAGCUGUUGAACGAGCUGUUCAACUUCGCGGAUGGAGGCUUCAUCCGUGGCAGUGAUCGGGUGCAAGCGUUCAAGUUAGGAUGACCAGCACCAAAGGUAUGUAGCAGAUUAUUUUGUUUUAGCAUUCGUUUAUCGUCUGCAGCUGACUCAUCUUUGUUGCUUUUGUAGAUCGGCGAUGUCGACCGUUGCACAGUGUAUGUAUCACUGGCACCGGGGAUAGAGAAUCCUGCGGGAGAAGACCCGCCAGAAGAGGACGCUGCUCGGUGUACUCAUUACACCAUUAGUGAGGAGGACCAAGCCCGCCCCGUCCCGACCACCGAGGAAAGGGUGGCGGGGAAAAGGCCAAUGCCUGCGGAUCCGUCGCCGGCGCCGACACUGCCGGCAGAGAGCAGCCGAGAGUUAAAACGGUGUCGGUUCGUUCGGAUCGACGACGACGACGAGGAGGAGGAGGCCGUACCGUCGUUGGUACGGAGGCCUCCUAGCCGUCCGGACAGCGGGCCGACCAUUGCUGAUCGAGUGGCCGGCGACCCUCCUGCGCCUCGUGCUGCGGAGUCGGGGGCACAGGUGCCGACUGGCCGGAUGAGGAGGAGGUUCACUGCGACCCACCGUCGCUCAGACCUGUAAGUGUUCGACUUACGUAUUUCAGCGAUUUUUUUUUUGUUCCUUUAGCGCGGCGUCGGAUGUCAACCCCAGCCAUGCUGCUGGCCAGGGGACGAGUGAGCCGGUCAGCGCUGCUGAAGACGCGGCCCCGCAGACCGCAGAGCAGCCUACGGCUGCAGCCGUGCCUGGGAGCACCGAGGAGCUCCCGGCCGCGGCACCGACUACGACAGGCAGCCCGACCAGGGUUGAGGAGGCUACGGGGACGCCUCCCCCAGCUAGUGCCGCGGAAGGGGAGGGCAGAGCCCCGACCCCUCCUCCCGCCGGGGAGAGUGAAGUCCUCACACCGCCCCGAGCAGGAGCCGCUUCGACUGCAGGCUCCCUGGAUCUGGUCCGGGGGCCAGUAAUGCCUGCGACCACUACCGGGGGCAACGCAGCGCGGGAGGAGGAAAACCAGGCGACCUCCGACGACGAGGUGGAGGAGAUUGAGGGUCGUCCUCGUGACGGCCGCCAACACGUGUAUGUGUGGCGUCAACGCGGGGAUCACUUUAUCGGUCAUGAGGAGCUCGCCGAGACCAUGGAGGCCGCCAGGGUGGAGCGCGCGGCCAAACGCCUCGUCGACGAAGUUAAGGUAAGCAAUUCUUUGUACUGCUGUACAUUCUGUGCGCUGUCUUGCUUGGUCGUCAUAUUUUCGUUUUGUAGGGCGCAAUGAAAACGGCGAAGUACCGGAAACGGUGCUUUGACCAGAUAGAAGGCGUCGUGGCCGAGAACAAGGCCUUGGCCGCGGAGGUAGACCGGCUGCGAUCGGAAGUCGGGGAGAAGGUGGCCGAGAUGAACGCCCAGGAGGAGCGUCAUCUCGAGCUCACUCGUCGCUUGGCCGACCUGUACCGGCAGCGAGAAGGUUAGUCACGCGCUCCGAGCAGCUUUGUGUAGUUGUGUAGUUUGCUUUACUGACCAGGUUAUGAUUCACAUAGACUUGGAAGAGGAGGUGGCGCGCCUCCGACAAGAGAAGGAGCAGCUCAGCCAAGAGCUCGCCGGUGCGCUGGAGUCCGGGCGCCGAGCAGGAGAGGAAUUGGGUCGGAAGGACCGGGAGUUAUCUAGUAAUGGGUGCCGCCUCGUUAUCUGCCGCUUGUCGCCCCUUUAGUUUUUGAUAUGCUGAAAAUAAUGUCCUGUUUCGUUUGCAGUGCUCAAGGUGAACGCCAAGAAGCACCUGGAUGAGCUGGUCAAGGACCGGGACUCCUGGAAGGUCAACUAUUGUAAGAUCUGGAAAGGAGUAUCCCCGGUCCUGGACCUGAUCAGUCCCGAGCUCCCGGAGAGCCAGCCCCGCACGCCGAAGUUGACCCCAGUCGAGAAGGCGCAACGGGCGUGGGACUGGCUCCAGCAGUUCGUGAAGGACGCCGGGGAGUUUGCUGGCGCGCAUGUCCUUAGCAUGGUGCGCGCCCAUUAUCUCCUGGUCGACUUGACCAGGCUGGAGAAGGGGUACCCCAAGGAGGUCGUCCCGCAGGAGGCGGACGAGCUUCGGGGUGGUCUGCUGGAUUUGUCGUCGACGGUGAUCGGCGACAUCAAUCUGUGCGGAACGGCCACUCCCCCAGACCAGCCGGGUUCAGAUAGGUCGGCCAGGGAGCUGUCAGGCGCGUCCAUUGCGGGAGAUGGGCGGUCGACGCCUGCGGUCUCGACCAGCCAGGCGCCGGUGGCCCCGACCCCUUCGUCCGGGCAGCAGGGCCAGGCGGGUGAUCAGCCCGAGCAGCUAGGCCAAUAGAGUAGUCUGUAGGAAUAGACUAGUGUCUGCCCGUCAGGGUAUUUAUUGUAACUUUGUAUGUAAAGUUUGUAAUAAAGAUUGCUUUUUGUCAUGACUGUCGUUUUGAGCGUUGUAUAAUUAUCUUAGUGACGUGUCACCGUAUUCGACUUUGUAGUCGCUAAGAGCUUCCGUUGCAGAAGUUUUGCCGAGUUCUGCGUGCAACAAAGUAUAGGCAAAAAAUAGAAAAUUUUAUUAUUGACAAUUAUAAGAUACUUACAAAGGAAAGUUAUGAAAACUUUAUGGAUAAAAUCGUCGCAGUUUGUCUAUGUGCCAAGAGUUGGGCACGCGUGUUCCAUCUGGGUAUGCCAAUCUGUAGGACGUGGGUCGUGUGACCUCGGUGACCACGAAGGGUCCUUCCGAGGGAGUGGAUAGCUUGUGCAUUCCCUCCUGGCUUGUUCUCCACCUAAGUACCAGAUCGCCGACCACGAAAGAACGGUCCUUGACGUUCCUGUUGUGGUAUGGCCUGACUGCCGCGAGAUAUUUUGCUGUUCGGAGACAAGAAUUCAGACGCUUUUCCUCCAUGCAGUUGAUUUCGAGUUCUCUGGCGUUGUCGGCCGUCGCCUGGUCGAAGUGUUCGAUCCUAGGGGAUCCGAAGGUUAUGUCAUACGGCAGGACUGCCUCGGAGCCGUACACCAUGAAGUAGGGAGACACUCCUGUGUUUCGACUGGUCUGAGUUCGGAGGCCCCAGACCACUGCCGGCAACUCUUUCAUCCAUCGACCGGGUGCUCUGUCGUUCUCAGUGUAUAGCCUUUUCUUUAGGGAAUCAAUGAUCAUUCCGUUAGCAUGUUCAACUUGACCAUUGGCCCGUGGAUGAGCCACUGACACGUAUUUUAUGACUAUGCCCCUGUCGUCGCAGAAGUCCCAAAAUGUGGUGCCAGUAAACUGAGUACCCAGGUCGGUGAUUAUGCUGUUCGGGAUGCCGAAUCUGUGUAUGAUUUGAUUGAGGAACUCCACAGCCUUCUCAGAGGUUGCUUUGACCAGAGGCAUGUAUUCGAUCCACUUGGAGAACUUGUCGAUUAACAUGAAAACAAACUUGAAGUUGCCCGGGGCUGGUUUAAAUGGCCCGAUCAUGUCAAGCCCCCAGCAAGCAAAGGGCCAGGACGACGGGAUGGUUUGAAUUUCGUGAGCAGGUACGUGGGUCCUCUUAGCGAAAAACUGACAUCGUUCGCAGUGUCGAACCAAUUUUUCUGCGUCGUUGACCGCGGUUGGCCAAUAAAAACCUGCCCGGAAGGCUUUUCCGACCAGCGUUCUGGAUGCAGCGUGAUUGCCGCAAGAUCCAGCAUGUAUGUCUUCUAGGAGCUUGAUACCAUCAUCUUGGGGUAUGCACUUGAGCAGUAGUUCGGAGCUUGCGUUUUUUCUCAUGAGUUUACCGUCAACCAGGAUGUAGUUCUUUGACCAUCGAAUGAGGCGCUCAUUCUCUGUUUUGUCCUAAAGGCCUGUCCCGUCCGAUAUAUACUUGAUGAACGGGGUACGCCAGUCACUACUACCGGUUGUCGGAGUGGCAUCGUCUAUGAGCAUUGCCUCGGUGGGUUGCUUGUCGACCAGGGUGGAGCCUACGCUUGGCUCGUGAAUGUCCUGGACGAAAAUACCCCGCGGGAUCUGGCCCUGAGAUGACCCUAACUUCGACAACGCAUCUGCUGCUUGGUUCUUAUCCCGGACCACGUGGAUGUACUCUAUGCCAUAGAAGUUGGUUUCCCAUUUGCGAAUUUCUUUGCAGUAGAGAUCCAUCUUCUCGUGGGUUGCGUCCCACUCCUUGUUGAGCUGGUUGAUAACCAAAGCGGAGUCGCCAUAGACAUAGAGGCGCUUGACUCCCAGCUCAACGGCUAGUCUUAUGCCAUGCAGGCAUGCUUCGUAUUCGGCGACAUUGUUUGACGCCGGAAAAAGGAUCCUAAGGACGUAACGCAGUUUGUCCUUGUUGGGUGACACGAACAGUAUCCCAGCGUCGGCACCGUUGAUGUUCAAGGACCCGUCAAAGAACAUUGACCAGUGGUCGGAGACAUCGGGAACGGGAGGCUCAUUGAGAUCCGUCCAUUCAGCAAUGAAAUCGACCAGGGCCUGAGACUUGACUGUGGUGCGACUCUGGAACUCCAGGGAAAAUGGGCAUAAUUCCAUCGCCCAUUUCACGAUUCUGCCGUUGGCGUCUUUAUUGCGCAGAAUGUCCCCGAGAGGGAAACUGGUUGUUACCAAGACUCGAUGGCCGUCGAAGUAGUGCUUCAGCUUUCCUGAUGUUAUUAGAAUGGCGUAUAUAAGCUUCUGUAUUUGUGGGUACCUGGCCUUGGACUCAUUUAAGACCUCACUUAUGAAGUAAACGGGUCUCUGGACCUUAUAGGCAUGACCUGGUUCAUCUCGCUCGACCACUACAUCGGUGCUUGAGUUGGUGCUGGAACCCUGGCCGUCCCGUAGUUCUCGGAUUGUCACCAUGUUGACGUAGUGACGACCGUUCCUUUUCGGCGACCAACCUGCCUUGCUGAAAACGGAUUGGGUGUGCCGUGAGUAAAGAGAGGCCGAGUUGUUCAGGCCGCAGGGAUAAUCUUCCUUCUUGAGCUUAACAGAUCGUCCUGAGGGUGUUGAGGUUAUCGUCAGAGACGUUCCCAGCCGUUCGUGUGUAGCGACACGAGUUGGCCGGCGGGAUUUGAAAAAAUCCGCUGGAGCAGCUUGGUCAGGCUGAUGUAGAAUUCCGUCUACUAGUUGGGAAACUUCAAGUAGCUUGGAGUCAGCGCGAUCAAGCGCUUGGAGAAGGUCCGAGCAGUCGAUCUUCUUUCCCUUGUAGAGCGGGAACGGUGGUCGGGCGCUUGGCGCCGCCACGCGAGUGGUCGGAGACGUCGUGAUCUCAGAUCGGAUCUGAGUUUCUUUCGAAACCGUGGUCGUGAGGCCGCCGCUACACGUCGUCCACGUGAUCUGGCUGACGGUGAACGUGAGGCCUUCAGGCACGAUCGCGGAAGCUGGGAUCGUGACCAUCUUGUUCGCCGGGGAAGUUGCACGCACACCCCCUACCUGGCGCGCCACUGUCGACGAAAGCUAGUCGGCAGUCUACCUUGGGGUAUACCCACGGUAGUAGUUUAUCGGUAGACGGUGCGCAAACUACGAACUCGAUGGUGACGCAAGACACGGACAAGCUUUUUAUCCAGGUUCGGCCGCCGAGUUGGCGUAAUACCUACGUCCUGCGUCUGGUUGUAUUGAUUUGUGUUGAGAGAAUAAUCCUGUCCUAGGGGGGUCCCUUGCCCCUCCUUAUAUAGUCUGGAGGGCAGGGUUACAGAUCUGGAAACUAAUCCUAGUUGGUUACAAUUGCCAUGGAUAAUUCGAUAUCAAUUCCUAUUCUAACCGACUAGAAUCCUGCUUGAUCUCCACAUCUUGUUUCCUUGCGUGAAACUCCAGGCUGUCGGAUCAAGCCUUGAACUCAUCUCGUAAUGGGCCAAGCCUCCUGGCCCAAGCCUAGCCGUAAGGGUAUAGGGGUUUAUACCCCCACAAUAGGUCACCUUGACUCAAAGCCUACAACGAGCAGACAAAUAGGGAGACCCGAGAGAACGUGGUUGACCAGCUCGAGGAAGCUCGAGACAUGGCCCUCCUCAACUCAGCAAGGUACCACGAGAAGCUCCGACGCUAUCACGACAAGCACGUGUGCAAAAGGGAUCUGAACAUGGGCGACCUCGUCCUACGCCGAUGACAUAGUAACCAAGGACGCCACAAGCUGACUCCACCCUAGGAAGGCCCAUACGUGGUGGCCGAGGUCUUGAAGCCGGGGACGUACAAGCUCGCAGACGAAAAAGGGGCGGUCCACACCAACGCGUGGAACAUCGAACAGCUACGUCGCUUCUACCCUUAGAGCUUUGAGGCUUUACAUUUUCAUGCACAUUUUGUACCGAGACCCUGUGAAUGAAUAUGUGAAUAAAUGAGAAUAUUUUUUCAAGUAGUACACGCUAUCACCGGUCAAAUCUCGAUGUUAGGAGGAAGUCCCAACUAUGAACCAUCAUAGUCGACACUCGCUUGGGGGCUAGCAGGGGGGACCCCCCUAGGUUCCUAAAAAUCGAACGACAUUUCCUUUUCAAGCCCUAAGGAAACCCCACAAGAUCAAGUAGCAAAGGCACCUCGAGCCCCUUAAGGGUUGAGAAACGUCGAGCCUGAGAACCCUUACGCCCCCAGGCUAUGGUAACUCUACUGACUUCCUCACCCUUGAGGCAAUCAAAGAUGCCUCAACAAAAGAUCGAACGAGAAUACAAACUUAGGCAGGAAAGGAAACAAAGGAAAUUCGAGCGUAAAAAUAAACAAAUAUACAUGAAAAUCACAAGUCUUAAGACUACUCAAGCCACAUCAUUUAGUUAAGAAAAGUGAUAAGUAUUUUACAAUGGGUCUAAAUACCCAGAAUAGGCUCGCAGGCCUUAGCCCACAUCUCUGCCCUCACCACCGUCUUCUGCGCCCGAGCUAGUCUCAGGGGGGAGUACCUCUAGCUCGAACAGCUUCGCCAGCCUUUCCCUAGGGACCUCCGCGUUGUCGAUCAAGGCAUGGAGCCUCUCCUCGUUCUCGGCGUCGGUUUUGGAAAUAUCAGUGACAAAGCCAUGGGACACCACCUCCAUGUCGUAGGAGAAGCCUGAGCAGACGACCGCCAUCGCUCACUUCACCCCAGUAUGAAGGGCGUCCCGCACCCGAUCCCUCAGCGUGGCACCUAAGUAGCACAACUGGUCGACCAGCGCAUCGCCUCGAGCUGCCUCCCUCAACUCAUCCACAAGCUCGAGCUCCCAAGAGGCUGAAAGGUCACUUAUCGUAGUCCUUAGCCGACUAUUUAGAGCAACCUCCCCAUCGAGCUGUAGAACCGGCAUCGACCUGGGCGGCCAGGAGAUCAUCCUUAAGCCCUACAAAGAUCAAUAAAGGAGAGUUAGAAAGCACGGGAAAGAAACGUGACUAAAAGAAACACGAAAGCCAGACCACACUUACCGCGAAUCCUUUCUUCAAGAGUCGUGUUCUCACCAACUAAGUCGGUGUUGGCCCUCUCGAUCUCCUUAUAAGAGCGAGCCAGAUCAGUAUUUGCGACCCGCAAGUCCUCGAUCAUCUUACCCGCUUGUAAGACGGCUCCCUCCUUCUCCAGCAGCACUUUCUUCAGAUGGUUGUUGAUGGUCCUUAAGUAUCAAAUAUAAUCAGCAAAUAAAUAGAGAAAAGGAUCCAAAUGCAACCGACACCUAGACUUAGGGUUUUAUCUGACAGAAUUCCAUGAGUUUUGGUAUUUGUCUAUUUCUGCAGGGGGUUAUCAGGAAAAAUGGAGGAAAGGCCCACACGUCGGGUUUACAUAGAGAUAUUAAUGUGCACCACAAUUAUCCAACAUCUAGAACAGUCCAGAAGCCACGAGAAUUAGCGGGAGGCCGAGCGGACCCUGGGGUAGAGCGCCCGCCCUCCCCCUGUGGGUGCGCGCCCUGCCUUAGAGCCAAUCAGACUCCACCUCGCGGAUCAUGCUCCACCAACCUAAAGGAUUAAGGAAAACCAUGCGAUUAAUGUCGGUUUGAUCUGACGGUCCAUAUUCAUUUAGAGGGACUAUAUAAGCAAACCCCCUGGCCCCUGGAGGAGAGGACCUCUAAAGCCCUAAUUCAUUCAUCUAUCUCGGGAGAAGAAAUCUCUGAUCAAGACCUAGAGCCUCCACAUCAACUAGAUCUCUAGUUUAGCAUAGCUACAUAGGAUUAGAACUAGAAGGAGUCAAUCUUCGAUUGGUUUUCGGAUCUAUCAAGAGGAUUGUUGGUAAUUCCUCUAUUGUUCUUCAUUUGUUCAUCAUUGUUCUUCAAUAUUAUGAAUAUGACUUUGUUCUACUUCAAUAUAUUGAUUAUGACUUUGCUCUACGUGUUUGUAUUUGCAAUUAUAUCAUUCUUAGUUUAUCAUAGUUAUAUGCUUGGCUUAGUUAGAUUGGAUUUAUAUACAUGUCUAGGAUCGUAUAGCGUUUAUCCAUGUGUACAGUGGGUAAAUGAUAAGUAUUGUGUAGGCGUGGUGCCUAUACCGUAUUUAUCUGUGAUUGUACCCUAUAUGCUAGAUCGCGGGGUAGUUCGUGGUAGUGACAGCUCCAUUGAUUCUUAUAUAGUCCCCCUCUCGUGUAUAGGGCAGGCAGAGCAACAUUAUUACAGGGGAGUGAUUGCUAUGUUUCUCAUCUUUCUUGAUAAUAUCACUAUGCAUGGGCGUAGUCCUGUCUGGCAAUGAUUGCCAAGUAUAAUUGCACUAACUAUGAUAUGCUAGACUUUAUAGUUAAGAAUAACUUAGGAAAUAUUGUUGUAGUUCAUCCUAAUUUCAUGCUAAUGACUAGCUAGAAUAUCUGUUGAGGUGCUUAUCAUUAUUAUAUGUGGCUAGUUAUGCUGAUCAGAUUAAUUAUGUUUGUCACCAUUCAUACUUUAUUUAUAUUUUAUAUGACAUUUAUCCCUGUAUGAAAAAGAUAGAUAAAUGCUCUCUAUUAUACAUGCAAUGAUAGAUACUCAAUUCCAUCUUCCAUUCCAUAAUCAACAUUGAUGAUUAGCAAUCCCUUCCCAGUGGUAAAAAUAUAAAUAACGAUACCUGGAAUACUUCCUGGUUAAAAUGCUACAUCGGUAUUAAUUUGUGCGCUUAUAUAUCCCAUUUAUUAUUUAUCUAGAUGAGUAAUUUCAUAUUUCAAUACCGUGGCUCUCAUGUCAUGGUGGGGAAUGACAACUUGGCUUAAGUGGCAUGAGGGAUAGGUUCGGCAGUUUUGGAGUCAUUAUUAGAAUUAUAAAACUAAGUCUACUUUUGGUAAUGACGUUAAGAAUGCCCAACAAGCAUUUGUGGCGCCGUUGCCGGGGAAGGUUGAUUACUAAUAAGGAAUGAAUACAGAAUUUUGAGUCAUCAUUCGCAUCACUAAUAUGAUUGAGAUUAUCAAUUCUCUCGUAUAGCUUUACGCCUGUAUUUUUCUAUUUUGAUUAUUUUAUGCAGGGUGAUGUAUGAAUAGAAGACAUCUUCCAAGAAAUUUUGUUGACAACCCCGAAGCGUUAUUCAGAAAAACAAUAGCCAAGCUCAAGAAGACAUCGUCAACACUUCAACACGAAGCUUCAUCCAAUUUAGAAGAUCGCCGAAGUUUCAUCCGGAACUUGUCGACUGAGUUCGGAGCCAUGGCGAACAAGUCGAUCCACGAGUACUCAGCUCCCACUACGGACAACAUCCGCACUGGACCUGCUGCAGAGAUCGAUGAUAACUUUGAGCUCAAGCCUGGGCUCAUCAACAUGGUGCAAGCUAACCAGUUCUGCAGAAAGGCGCACGAAGAUGCUAGUGCUCAUCUCCAACACUUCUUGGAGAUUUGCAGCACAUUCACCAUGUCAGGAGUCCCCAGAGAUGCUAUACUACUUCGCCUCUUCCCUUUCUCACUGUUGGGGAGAGCGAAGCAGCGGUUCUACGCUACAAAGGAGAAGAAUACUACUUGGGCACUCUGCUCCACGAACUUUCUGGCUAAGUUCUUUCCCAUGGGCAAGAACAAUGCUCUCCGUGGGAAAAUUACAAGUUUUCAGCAACAACAUGAUGAAUCCGUUCCAGAAGCAUGGGAGCGCUUCCAAGACUACAUCUUAGAAUGUCCCCAUCAUGGAAUGGAGAGCUGGCUAGUGAUGCAGACGUUUUAUCAUGGGCUCGGCAAUAGUGCCCGUGAGACCAUGGAUGCUGCAGCUGGAGGAGCAUUCCUAUCCCUCACCAUAUCACAAGCUACAGCUCUUGUGGAGAAGAUGGCAUCCAACCAAGGUUGGAAUGAAGAGAGGACCCAGACACGCAAGAAGGGUGGAGGUAUGCUCCAGCUCAAGGAGGUAGAUAUGUUGUCUGCCAAGCUAGACCUGCUCAUGAAGAAGCUCAAUGAUAGAGCUGGAGAUAAGAAGGAAGUCAUGCACGUCUACGACUCUCACAUGACUUGUGAGGAGUGUGGAAAUACUGAACACUCAGGCAAUCACUGCCCUGAGAUGCUUGAGGACCUGAACUACAUCAUUAACAACAACAACAAUUACUACAACCGUCCUCAGCAAAAUCAAGGUUGGAAUCAACAGAGGCCUAACUACUCAGGUAAUUAGCAAGGUAACAAUUCUUACAAUAAUAACAAUAAUUUUCCACCUCUGAGAGAGUUAGUGUCUAAUCAAGGAAAGCUAAUGGAUAACCUAUCUAAGAAAUUGGGAUCUAAUGAUAAAAUGCUAGAAAAUAUAAAUAAUAGAAUGGAUAAUUUCUCUUCUGCCAUAAAGAAUCAAAUUAGCUUUAAUAAAAUGAUUGAAUCUCAGUUAAAUCAAAUAGCUGUUGUGGUUCCUGCUACUAACCCUGGUAUACCAUGACAACCGGAAGGAUUAUAAUCUGCAAAUCUUGUAGACAUGUUUGAUAAAGGUAACUACUGGAGUAACCCCGUUGCGGAAGUAACUACUGACCUUCUGUCGGUCAAGAGAGGCGAUCCAGGAUGCCCCGUCAUCCCGAUCUCCAUCGGCAUGGUGGACUUUCCAGAAGCACUCUGUGACUUUGGCUCCAGUGUCAACAUUAUGCCUAGGGUAUUCUAUGAAAAAUUAUUUACAUAUCCUUUACUAGAAACAACCAUGUGUUUGCAGCUUGCAGAUCGGACGCUAAGUUUCCCAAAGGAAAUAUUGAAGAACCUUUGCGUCCGAGUUUGUGCCUUGUACGCCCCAGUAGACUUCAUGUUUAUAGAGACUGGUAAUGAUGAGAGGGCACCCGUCAUCUUAUGGAGGCCAUUCCUGAACACCUCAGGAGCUGUCAUCUACGCUAGUGCUGCCAAGAUCAGUUUCUACAUCAAGGGGAGGAAGGAGACAUUUUCCUUCAAGAACAAGACUGCACAAAUCCUAGAGCAAUCCCGACAUGAACCAAGGAAGAGGACCAACAGGAGGAACAUAAACAAGCAAGUGUGGACCGAGUCAUCUAAGAUGGUCAAUGCAGUUCAUGGAGGUCAAGAUCAUCGACUCAAGUCACCGUUCCUGACCAAGAAGGACGACCCAAGUAUGCCAAGCAUCCAGUGCUCCAUUAAUGGGUAUAACUUCUACAAGACGCUUUGCGACACCGGAUCGGGCGUCAACAUAAAGGCCGUAGUCACCUAUCAGCUCCUGUUCGGAACCAUGCCCCUAAAACCAACAUACAUUCAGCUCUAGAUGGCAGAUCAGACAUUCCGAAAGGUUGAAGGUAUAGUAACUGAUGUCCGUGUCAAAAUAGACGAUCAUUUUGUCCAUACAGACUUUCAGGUUAUUGACAUGGGAGAAGACGAGUAUGAUCCACCAAUCAUCCUUGGGAGACCGUUCCUCAGCACCGUUAAAGCAAUCAUCUACAUUGGAACCGGAGAAGUCCACAUGCACUUCCCCUCUGACAUGGUACACCGCUAUUUUACUGAGCCUAACUAUAUAGUUGAAGACUCUAAGCAGGUCAUGUCAAGAAGAAGACGACGCAACCGAGGAGGCAAAUCAUCAAGGACAGAUGGGCAGACUACGAAGGAGAAGUGGUAAGGUCUGAAGACAUACACCUUGAACAGAACUGUCCUGAGAAGACCGUAGCACCGAGUCAGGUGUGGAAAGAAAAGAUAGUUAUACACGAAGAGGAGGCGCUGCCGAAACCACCGACUACGCCAUCUAGCGAAUCUCAAGACGACUAAGAAAACAGAGAGUCCUGUUCGAAGGACUUAAAACACAGAACACCUUGCCAAAAGGUAAACUUGGUAGUUAUCCUUUUCCUUUCAAUUAUUUAAAAUAGUUUGUCUAGUUAAUCAGGUUAAUAUCAUCUUGAAAAGAGAAAAUAAAAAUGUUAAAACUAGUAAGCCCCAUGUGAGUACACAAGUGGAAUAAAUCCCAUUAGUACAUUCAUUGUGGUGGCAUAAAAAAAAUAAUAAUAAUAAAAUAAAAAUAUUCUUCUGCUCUACAAAAAUAUAAAAAUAAAAUUGUGAUCCUACCAAAGAAAGUAGCAUUUGUUGAGGAGGCUCAACAUGAUAAAGGGCUAGAUAUUUAUGCUAACACCUAAUCAGUUCCACAAAGCUUUGUUGUCUAUUUGAGCUCCACAUAAUUCAAGGAUCAAGAAGACUAGCAGACGGAUGACAUUCUAAUCGUUAUCAGGGUGCUGCCGACGUUCAAAUACACCUCCACCACCUGCUAGCUACAUCAGAAAAAUUACAUCAAAAUCCAGCUUGGGGGAGAGCACCCCUAGUUAUCCCGUUAAGUAUUUCUAUCUAUCUAUAUACUUAUACUAUAUAUAUAUAUAUAUAAAAAUAUACAUAACCAUGAAAAACCAAAUAAAGAUUUUGUGCUUAUAUAUAUAUCUUUUGCUUAGUAUGCUUAAUAAAUAAAUAAAGUGGCUAUGCUAAACUGAAUCUUAAUAAAACUCUAGCAUGGAUAUGGAAUAGUUGCUCCGCCUAAUUUUCAAAUUUGAAGUUCUCUCUCAAAUUUAGACAUAACUGUUAUAAUUUAAAGCUUGCUCUAAACCUGAACUUGUGGGAAGAGAACUUGAUCUAAAGUCUAAGUUGUUAACGGAUAUGAUAUGGGAAGGUUGAGCUGCUGUUUAUUUGUUCCUAGAGAUGCUACAAUUCUGGACAAUUUUAUCUUUGAAAAUAUUUAAAAUAAUACAUGAUGAGUUCCUGUAUGAUGAGAGUUUAAAUUCCUACCACAGCCAUAUAUACAUGCUUGGUAAGACUUUGAGCCACACAUUUACUUUUUACUACUUAUGAGCAUUGAGUGUGGGCAAGCUGUGUAGACCCUUAGGAGCUUGUCAUGUGGUUAAAAUCAAGAUUCACUUGCAUGUUCACUAACACAUGCUACUUCUACUCCGGAAGUACGCAUCCACAUAUGUCCACUCAUUUCCAUCUCUAGAGCCACCCAAAAGUAUUCUACUCCUAAUCCGGGAGAGAAUAGCCAAAAACAUUAUCCCAUUCAUGUUUUUCCCUGUAAAAUAAAUGCUCGAGUUAUCUUGGUUACUACCACUUGCCAUAUUAUUUCAGGAGAUGAGUGCUCUAAAAAAGAGAGAGAAAGGAUACGAGGAAAUAAAAAGGGACAUGUGCCCGGAACCUCGAAAGAAAAGAAAAAGUGAGACGAAAGGUAAAAAUGGACAAGUGUCCGACAGUAGAAUUAGGGGUACAAGAUACCCACCUGAGAGGAAAGAAAAAGAAAAUGUAGAGCAUCUCAUUCUCCUCAAAAAGUUUCAAAAGAGCAAGAAAGGUAUGUAAUCCCUCAGAAGAGCAAAAGUAGAAUUAGACUUUCACCAUUGUUAUCACCAUCAUCACCAUACACCAUUCAUUCGCCACACGUGCACAUCUUGAUUUGACUUAUUGACUCGUUUCUCUGGAUCCAUGGUUUGACUAUGCAAUAAAUGUCUUGUAAGUAUGUAUACUUUAUCUCCCACCUAUGAGCUCCAAAUAUCAAAAGCCUUAUUAAAGUAGGGUGAGAGAGAAGGCAAUAUCACUAUGCCGCGUACCAAAAAUACUACAUACUUUGAGAGAAGGCAUAUACCAUCACUGCCUUGGUAAGGAUCCAGAAAUACCACAAAAGAGAGAUCUGAGAGAGUCAUACAAGGAAUCUCUGAGUUUUAUUUGAAAAUCUGCAAAAACUCUAGAGCUAUAGCUGAUCAAAAAUAAGAGACAUGGCGCUUAACUAGACCGUUCUAUCUUUUAACUACUCAAUACAGAAGUGAUGGUUACAAGUCCCAUGGUGAAAGGUAAAAUAAGUAAGUUAUAAGUUUUGACGGUUUACUCUAACUCAGAGAUGAGACCUUAUUUGAAAGCAUGUGUACCGUCAACUUUUAAAGGCAUUCCAACAACUUCUGAUCCACCACUAAGAUUAUCCAUGCUCAGGGACGAGCAAGAGGUAAGCUUGGGGGAGUUUGUUGACGGUCCUUAAGUAUCAAAUAUAAUCAACAAAUAAAUAGAGAAAAGUCUGCAAAUGCAACCGACACCCAGACUUAGGGUUUUAUCUGACAGAAUUCCACGAGUUUUGGUGUAUGUCUAUUGCUGCAGGGGGUUAUCAGGAAAUAUGGAGGAAAGGCCCACACGUUGGGUUUACAUAGAGAUAUUAACGUGCACCGCAAUUAUCCAACAUCUAGAAGAGUCCAGAAGCCACGGGAAUGAGCGGGAGGCCAAACGGACCCGGGGGCAGGGCGCCCGCCCUCCUCCCUUGGGUGCCCGCCCUGGCCUGAGAGCCAAUCAGACUCCACCUCGCGGAUCAUGCUCCACCGACCUAAGGGAUUAAGGAAAACUGUGCGAUUAAUGUCGGUUUGAUCCGACGGUCCAUAUUCAUUUGGAGGGAAUAUAUAAGCAGAUCCCCUGGUCGCUGGAGGAGAGGACCUCUGAAGCCCUAAUUCAUUCAUCUAUCUCAGGAGAAGAAGUCUCUAAUCAAGCCCUAGAGCCACCACAUCAACUAGAUCUCUAGUUUAGCAUAGCUACAUAGGAUUAGAACUAGAAGGAGUCAAUCUUCGAUUGGUUUCCGGAUCUGUCAAGAGGAUUCUUGGUAAUUCCUCUACUGUUCUUCAUUUGUUCAUCAUUGUUCUUCAAUAUUAUGAAUAUGACUUUGUUCUACUUCAAUAUAUUGAUUAUGACUUUACUCUACUUGUUUAUAUUUGCAAUUAUAUCAUUCUUAGUUUAUCAUAGUUAUAUGCUUGGCUUAGUUAGAUUCGAUUUAUGUACAUGUUUAGGAUCGUAUAGCAUUUAUCUACGUGUACAGUGGGUAAAUGAUAAGUAUUGUGUAGGCGUGGUUCCUAUACCGUAUUUAUCUACGAUUGUACCCUAUAUGCCGAAUCGCGGGGUAGUUCGUGGUAGUGAUAGCGCCAUUGAUUCUUAUAUAGUCCCCCUCUCGUGUAUAGGGCAGGCAGAGCAACAUUAUUAUAGGGGAGUGAUUUCUAUGUUUCUCAUCUUCCUUGAUAAUAUCACUAUGCAUUGGCGUAGUCCUGUCUCGCAAUGAUUGCCAAGUAUAAUUGUACUAACUAUGAUAUGCUAGACUUUAUAGUUAAGAAUAACUUUGGAAAUAUUCUUGUAGUUCAUCUUAAUUCCAUGCUAAUGACUUGCUAGAAUAUCUGUUGAGGUGCUUAUCAUUAUUAUAUGUGGCUAGUUAUGCUGAUCAGAUUAAUUAUCUUUGCCACAAUUCAUACUUUAUUUAUAUUUUAUGUGACAUUUAUCUCUGUAUGAAAGAGAUAGAUAAAUGCUCUCUAUUAUACAUGCAAUGAUAGAUAUUCAAUUCCAUAUUCCAUUCCAUAAUCAACAUUGAUGAUUAGCAAUCCCUUCCUAGUGGUAAAAAUAUAAAUAACGAUACCUGAAAUACUUCCCGGUUAAAAUGCUACAUCGGUAUUAAUCUGUGCGCUUGCAGAUCUCAUUUAUUAUUCAUUCAGAAGAGCAAUUGCCUAUUUCAAUACUGCGUCUCUCAUGUCAUGUUGGGGAUGACAACUUGGCUUAAGUGGCAUGAGGGAUAGGUUCGGCAUUUUUGGCGCCGUUAUCAGAAUUAGAAAACUAAGUCUACUUUUGAUAAUGACGUUAAGAAUGCCCAACAAUGGUCGAUGUCAUCAGAGAGGCUGCGAGAACAGAUUCGCUCUGCCUCGAGGUCCUCACAGGCCUUCUUCCCAGCCUCCUCCGCGGCGCUUCGAGCGAUCUCGCUCUUCACACACUCUUCCUUUAUCUCACGAUAAGCCUCCCGGGCAGAGGCGAGGUCUGGUUUAACGAGGCUCUUCUCCUUAUCAAGCUCGGUGGCCGCAUCUUUGUAAUGCGUGGCCUCUUCCCGGGCCUUGGAAGCUGUCUCCUUAGUUGAGACGGUCCGCUCCCUCAGCUGCACGACCUCCUCUUUCGCUUUCUCUGAGGCCUCCUGAGCCUCGGCCAGGGCUGCCUCCCUCUCUUUCUUCUCCUCUGAAGCCGCCAUGUGGUCCUUGUACGCCUGGAGAAGCUUUUCCUGCGACUUGAGGAGUUGCUCCUUGAGAAGAGGGAGCUGCUCCCAACCGCCUCUCGUCACAUGAAUAAAACCCGACUUUGGGCGGGAGGUCUCUUUCAGAUCCUGCAGCAAGUAACCAAAUAAUAAGAAUACGAGACUAAAAAUUCCCAAAUAACAAAGGUAAGAAGAGGCUUAUAAAGAAAGCCUGGCCGAGCCCAUUGUUGACGAUGUCGGACAUAAGUCCCACAACGUGCUCCAUCCAGAGACGAAGCUCCUCGAGGUGUUCCCACUUCUCCGCCUCCUUCCGGUCGUCCAUCAUGAUAUUAGGCUCCUUCGGAUAGGUAGAGGCUCAAAGGCGGAUCCUCCCAGGGCCCCAGUUCUCCAUCUCCUCCUCCGUGCAUGCCUUGAUGCCCCGGAUGAGCUCUUGAAUGGUCUCGAGCGACCCCCGUGGUGCAAGAACAGGUCAACGAGGGAAGGGAACCGCCCGUCGUCAUCUACCGACCACCAAGUCCCGGCCUCACCAGUAUCGCCUCUGCCUGAGGUCCCAGCUUCAUCCUCCCCAACGGUUCUAAGAUCCACCCAUGGCCGUUGAUCUCGAAGGAACCCAGGAGCGAUCCCCUUGAUACCGUAAAUCAUGCCCUUGAUCUCAGACUGGGGAUCUGCUGGUGUGCGCAUGGCACAAGCGAGCGCCACCAGACCAUCUUCCCGCCCAGGCUCGGCUGGGAUGGAGGCAGGCCCUCCUGGACAGAGCCACGUGGGGGUUGGAGGACCAUAGACCGGUAGUCCCUCUUCCCCGGUCUCGGGCCCUUGCGACGGAAGCGAUUCUGGAUUGCGCGGGCUUCACGGUGGCUAUUCGAGCAGCUCUUCCAGCUGUUGACUCCGCUGCUGCUGCUGUCGUUGAAGCUCCUGCAGGUCUUGCUGCCGGCACUGCUCCAACUGCUCCUCGAGCUGUUCUCCCCUCUGUAGCUGUGGCUACUCCUCCUGUAGCAGCAGCUGCUGCUCCUGCUGCAGCUGCUGCACUUGCGCCUCUUGCGGCAUUUGGCUCUGUUCUUCUUUUCCUUCUUCUUCUCCUCCCUUACGUCCCUCCUCUUCCCUUUUCCUCCUCUCCUCGAUGGGCCAUGGCGUCCGUUUCCCGACAGGAGCGGCCUCGACCUCCUUGUCCACAGUGCGAGCAUCCUUCGAAAGCGGAUCGCCACCGGGCCCAUCGUUGAUGGUGAUGGGGUCACCGAUACCCCCAGACUGCGGAGGCUCGGGGGCUCCCUCCUGGCCCUGAGGGCGAGGCAUCUCGACCCACACAGAUGAGGGCAAGAUGGUUCCAGAGACGUCGCCUCCCUCCAACGGUCGAGGCAGGGUCCCCUCGAUAUUAGUAGACGGUCGAGGAUCGGACACUACUACAGAAUGAGGCAUUGGUCGAUGCCCAAAAUGGCCAAAAACCUUGGCCUUUUUGCGGCCCGAGGUUAAAGGCCCCUUUAACACCCGGUUCGUAACACGAACCGGUGUUAAAGGGGCCUUUAACCUCGGGCCGCAAAAAGGCCAAGGUUUUUGGCCAUUUUGAGCAUCGACCAAUGCCUCAUUCUGUAGAAGUGUCCGAUCCUCGACGGUCUACUAAUAUCGAGGGGACUCUGCCUCGACCGUUGGAGGGAGGCGACGUCUCUGGAACCAUNNNNNNNNNNNNNNNNNNNNNNNNNNNNNNNNNNNNNNNNNNNNNNNNNNNNNNNNNNNNNNNNNNNNNNNNNNNNNNNNNNNNNNNNNNNNNNNNNNNNGGACCCUUUAGCACCGGUUCGUGUUACGAACCGAUGAUAAAGGGACCCCUUUAGCAGCGGCCAGUGCCACGGGCCGAGGCAAAGCCUUUAGCACCGGUUUGUAACACAAACCGAUGCUAAAGGGUGACCCUUUAGCACCGGUUUUUUCCCUGAACCGGUUCUAAAGCUCUGGUUUAUAGGCCCGCCUUCUCCUCCCCUCUGCCCAUUUGAAACCGAUAGCACCAUUGUUGUUCUUGGAGCUUCUUCUUCCUUGUUCUUCAUCUCCGACGCCCAUCGUUGAUCUUCUUCGACUCCGUCAUCGUUUCUUCGUGCUUGGAGGUGACUAACUUUUGUCUUUCUUGUCUUUUUCAUGUUGUUUUUGGCUUGUGAUGUUCCCAUUAUUUUUAGCUCAAAUCCACUUUGUUAUUUUGAAUCAUUCACAUGAAUUAGUAUUCAUAUAUAUAUAUAUCAUAUUUCAUGGUUGACCUAGUAUUAAUGUAGUUUGCAAGAAUGAAUUAUAGUAUCUUUUUAUGAUCUUAGAAAGUAGGAUAGUUCAAAUUAAUUGGUUUGUUAAUAUCACUUGAUUUAUUUUUAUUACUACAUAAUGUCCAUUGUAUAAUUUAGAAGAUUUGUUGAAGUAACUAGACAAAUAAAGGAUAUUAUUAGGCUCUUCUUUAAUCAUACAUGUUUACUAGUAAAUGUGGAAUUUAUAAUUGUUUAAAAAUUGUGUAUGGAUAGUAGAUGGCAACCGUGACCGGGUCUUCGGUCUCUCAACGGGUUCAAAAGUGAUACCGGCCGGAACUCCCUCUCAUUACUUGUGGCAAGUGUGGGCAGAAGAUUGUGAUGGAGUACAAAGUGUCGAAAGAGGGAGUAAACAAGGGUCGUAUAUUCUACAAGUGUUCGGAUCGUAAUGUGAGUUAUUUCCAGACAUUUGCUUAUAUAUGUGCAUAUUUUUUUAAAUGAUAUUAAUUAAACUUUUGAUUCUCUCUUUUAAUUUCAGUGGGACGGUACCGGCGGAUGUACAGGUUGGUACUGGGAGAAAGAAUACAUUGAACACAUUAAGAAAUCUUUUGCACAGGUGGUUGAGGCUGAAGGUGGUGAGGCAGUGAGCCAACGAAAGGAGUUCAAUGAGGUUGAUCAAGCGAAUGAUCUAUCUAUUAUAGUUGGGAUCGGACGCGAACUAAUUAUGUUGCUUAAGUGCAUUUUAGUUUUGGUUUUUUAGUGCUAGUUGCGAUUGUAUUUGUUGUAGCAAAGCUUUCCUGAAUUAAUCAACUAUGUAUCUUAGACAUGUUGUGCAAUAAGAUGAGAAACUAUAUGUGUGCAUGGUUUUCAUAAUAUAUAUGUUAUAUUUAAUGCAGAUGGUAACACGUAAUUGGUUAUAUAAUGCCGAUCGACGCUCCGAAGAGUUCAUUAAUGGCGUGCACUAUUUCUUAAGUGUGGCCGAGACAAAUAAGAGGGACAGUUUCAUGUGCUGUCCAUGUGCCGUGUGCAAGAAUGUGACAGAAUAUUUUAACUCAAGAACUCUUCAUUCACACUUAUUAAAGUCUGGUUUCGUACCAAACUAUAUUUGUUGGACCAAACAUAGAGAAAGCGGGAUUAUAAUGGAUGAAGGUGAAGAAGAAGAAGAAUUAUACCAUGCCAAUAUUAUUGCUCAGUACGGUGGCUUCAAUGAUGUUGCAAUGGGGGGAUAUAAUGAAGAAGAAGUAGCGGCCGAAGAUGAUCGGGGCGGUGAUGCUUUUGGUGAUGCCAUCCGUGAUGCACAAAGAGAAUGUGAAAGUGAUAAAGAGAAAGCCAAGUUCGAGCGCAUGCUGGAGGACCACAGGAAAUCGCUAUAUCCCACCGCUGAAGAGGGGCAAAAAAAGCUGGGUACCACAUUGGAAUUGCUGCAAUGGAAGGCAAAGAAUGGUACAUCUGACAAGGAAUUUGGGCAGUUAUUAAAGAUCAUAAAAAAGAUGAUUCCGAAAGGCAACGAAUUGCCCACCACUACGUAUGAAGCAAAAUAGGUUGUCUGCCCUUUGGGAUUAGAAAUCCAGAAGAUACACGCAUGUCCUAAUGACUGCAUCUUCUAUCGUGGGGAGGAAUACGAGAAUUUGGAUGCAUGUCCAGUAUGUAAGGCAUCACGGUAUAAGAUUAGACGAGAUGAUCCUGGCGAUGUUGAGGGUGAAGAACGUCAUUGGAAGAAAAUUCCUGCCAAGGUUAUGUGGUAUGCUCCUAUAAUACCACGAUUAAAACAUCUGUUUAGAAAUAAGGACAAUGCAAAGUUGUUGCGGUGGCAUAAAGAAGACCGUAAGAUAGACAAUAUGUUGAGACACCCUGCCGAUGGAUCCCAGUGGAGAGAGAUAGACAGAGAAUUCCCACAUUUUGCAGAUGAUGCUAGAAACUUGCGGUUCGCCUUAAGUAUAGAUGGUAUGAAUCCUUUCGGUGAGCAGAGCAGUAGUCACAGCACUUGGCCAGUUACUCCAUGUAUGUACAUCCUUCCUCUAUGGCUAUGCAUGAAGCGGAAGUUUAUUAUAAUUCCGAUGCUUAUCCAAGGACUGAUGCAACCUGGCAAUGACAUAGAUGUCUACCUAAGGCCAUUAGUUGAGGAACUUCAACUUUUAUGGAGCAAACCAGGAGUUCGCGUGUGGGAUUAGUACAAACAAGAGCACUUUGACCUGCGAGCAUUGCUGUUUGUAACAAUCAAUGAUUGGCCAGCUCUGAAUAAUCUUUCAGGCCAGUCAAACAAGGGAUAUAAUGCAUGCACACAUUGUUAUGAAGACCUUGACUAUGUAUUUUUGAAAAAAUGUCGAAAGGUCAUGUACCUUGGCCACUGUCGGUUUCUUCCUGUGAACCACCCAGUACGAAAGAAAGGCAAGCAUUUUAAAGGCAAGGCAGACCACCGGACCAAACCCCUCAAUCGAACCGGGGAUGAUGUACUCGAAAUGGUCAAGGAUAUAAAAGUGGUAUUUGGAAAGGGACGAGGCAGCGAACCUAUUCCCAAGGAUGCUAAGGGACACGUACCCAUGUGGAAGAAGAAAUCCAUAUUUUGGGAGCUACCUUACUAGAAUGUCCUAGAGGUCUGCAACGCGAUCGACGUGAUGCAUCUAACAAAGAAUCUUUGUGUGAACUUGCUCGGAUUCAUGGGUUUCUACGGGAAGUCUAAGGAUUCACUUGAAGCAUGACAAGACUUGUAGCGCAUGAAAGAAUGAGACAACCUGCAUCCAGAAAAGACAGAUGAUGGACGUCAUUACUAAAGCCCUGCUAGCUACACUCUGAGCAAAGAAGAGAAGGAAAGCAUGUUUGAAUGUCUUGGUAGCAUCAAUGUCCCAUCUGGAUUCUCCUCCAAUAUCAAGGGAAUAAUUACUGUGCCAGAGAAGAAAUUCCUGAACUUGAAGUCCCAUGACUGUCACGUUCUAAUGAUGCAAUUGCUGCCGAUGGUUUUAAGAGGAAUUUUACCUCCACACGUAUGUCUAGCCACCGUAAAGCUAUGUGCAUUCCUCAAUGCAAUUUCUCAGAAGGCAAUCAAUCCAGAGCAACUAGCUACUCUGCAGAAUGAUGUCGUUCAAUGUCUCGUCAGCUUUGAGUUGGUGUUCCCUCCAUCCUUCUUCGAUAUCAUGACACACCUCCUAGUUCAUCUGAUCAAAUAGAUUCGUAUUCUCGGUCCUGUGUUCCUACACAACAUGUUCCCCUUCGAGAGAUUCAUGGGUGUCCUAAAGAAAUAUGUCCAUAGUCGUUCCCAGCCAGAAGGAAGCAUUGCCAAGGGCUACGGAACAGAGGAGGUCAUAGAGUUCUGUGUUGACUUUAUUCCAUACCUUGACCCAAUUGGCAUUCCUGAAUCUCGACACGAGGGCAGACUCUGUUGAAAGGGAACACUUGGGAAGAAAACAUAUAUUGGUAUGGGAGACGAUUACUUCAAUAAAGCACACUACACAGUUCUCCAGAACUCCUAAUUGGUGGAACCAUAUGUUGAGGUACACAAAGAUUUCCUACGGUCCCAGUGGCCCGGGAAGAAUGAAGCUUGGAUAAUGCGUUAGCACAUGGAAACUUUUGGUGAUUGGUUGCGCAAAAAAUGUCAAAGUGAUGAAAACAUUGAUGGUCAGCUUUAUUUGUUGGCUAGGCAACCAUCAUGGCAUGUCCUCACGUACAAAGGGUACGAGAUAAAUGGUAACACAUUUUACACAGUUGGCCAAGAUAAAAGGAGCACCAACCAAAAUAGUGGUGUACGCGUGGAUGCCAUGGAUCCAAAUGGGAACAGACAAACAUAUUAUGGACGCAUAGAAGACAUUUGGGAACUGGUCUAUGUAGCUAAUUUUAAAGUUCCUUUGUUCCGGUGCCAAUGGGUGAAGAUGACCGGAGGUGAAGAUUUGAGCCAAUCCUAAACACAUUUGUUCAAAAUCCAAGACGGGUUUUGGUCAAACUUGGUCAAAUGACAAACUAAAUUACUUAAAAUGAAAAAAAAUUUGAAUACCAAGUUGUUAGAUAUCAUCAAGAUCUAAACUUUUUAUAUACACAAUUUUUCCAUUUGAGAAAGUUUAAGUUAACAAUACCCACCAAAUCUUGAAUCUCACACAAACUAUAUGAAACUAUAUGUGUCAAUUGUGGAUUUUCAACUACACCUUCCCAAAACUUUGUCAAAUGCAAAAAUGGUCUAUAUAUUAAAUAUAGAUUUUGAUGAGUGCAACAAUAUUGGUAUUCAUGACUUUUCCAUUCGAGACCAUCUAGGGUUCCGAAACCGCUGCGUGGCUAUGAAUUCUGUGAAAAUUCAAAAUUCAAUGGUUCAAACUUUUCCAAAUGAAAAGUUGACCAUUAGACAGAAUGUAGAACAUGAUGUGUGUAUCAAACUUUGUAUUCAUGACUUUUCCAUUUGGGACCAUCUAGGGUUCGGUCAUAGGGUGUUUUUGUAAAAACCAAUGCUUUGACUUUGGUCAAACUUGAUCAAAUGGCCCAUUUGAUGACUUCAAAUGAAAAAAUUUUGAAUACAAAGUUGUUAGAGAUCAUCAAGAUUUACAUUUGAUAUAUUGACCAUUUUUCCAUUUAGAUAAAUUUGAGCCAAUCAUAAGCAUAUUUGUUUAAAAUCCAAGACGGGUUUUGGUCAAACUUGGUCAAAUGACAAACUAAAUUACUUAAAAUGAAAAAAAAUUGAAUACCAAGUUUUUAGAUAUCAUCAAGAUCUAAACUUUUUAUAUGCACAAUUUUUCCAUUUGAUAAAGUUUAAGUUAACAAUACCCACCAAAUCUUGAAUCUCACACAAACUAUAUGAAACUAUAUGUGGCAAUUAUGGAUUUUCAACUACACCUUCCCAAAACUUUGUCAAAUGCAAACAUGGUCUAUAUAUUAAAUGUAGAUUUUGAUGAGUGCAACAAUAUUGUUAUUCAUGACUUUUCCAUUCGAGACCAUCUAGGGUUCCGAAACCGCUGCGUGGCUAUGAAUUCUCUGAAAAUUCAAAAUUCAAUGGUUCAAACUUUUCCAAAUGAAAAGUUGACCAUUAGACAAAAUGUAGAACUUGAGGAGUGUAUCAAACUUUGUAUUCAUAACUUUUCCAUUUGGGACCAUCUAGGGUUCGGUCAAAGGGUGUGUUCAUCAAGAUAUAUAUUCUUAUAUGAUAAAUAGAUUUUUUAUUUAAUGAAAACUAUACCCAACUAGCAUUCCUAGUAACAAAUAACAAAAAUAAAAAGUUUUACGUCAAUAUGAUGUGAAAAUAGAUUUCCAGUUGAUUGGACAUAGUUUUUGUAAAUUUAUUGGAAUAAUAUAUUUUUGCAUUAACAAAAUACUAAACAUUUCUUACAAAAUUAUUGCAAAUUAUAAAAAGACAGUAAGAUAUUUAAGGUUAAAAAUUUUCAUGUGUACAUUAAAAAAAUUACAAUAUAUGUCUCUGUUCAAAAAAUAUUAUGCAAAAUAUUUAAUUUACUAUACAUUUUAUAAUAUAAACUGUAUAUAUAAACACUUUAAAAACCCUAAAGUAAAAAACAGGGCCUAGCACCGGCCCAUAGUGGGAACCGGUGCUAAAGGGUCCUGAAAAUUUCAGAAGCACGCCCUAGCGCGCGCAGGACCCUUUAGCACCGGCUGGUAACACGAGCCGGUGCUAAAGGGUCACCCUUUAACACCGGCUCGUGUUACCAGCCGGUGUUAAAGACCCUUUAGCACCGGUGCCAGCCACGGACCAGUGCUAAAGGGUCCGCAGGAGUUGCCCUGGAUCCGGCAGUUCCUUCGUCUUCAUCUUCGUCUCUAGCGCCGCCGCGUUCAUCUUCGCCACCGUCGUCGUUUCGACUCCAUCGCCGCCGCGACCGUCUCCACCAGAGCCGCCGCGGCCCUCCACCAACGCCGCCGCCGUGGCCAUCCACCAGCGCCACCGCAGCGGCCCACCAGCGCGCGCCGGCCACAUCUUCCACGUCGAUCGAGAACUCCGGCCGUCUCCUCGCUCCUAUGUACUAGAUCAAUCAAACUCCGGCUAAAUAAUCUGCAAAAUGAAUGAAUUGUUAUGAUAUAUAUAUACAUAUAUAUAUAUACAAUUGUUUAUCAUAAAUAUAUAUAAUAAAUGUAUAUAUAUGUAUAUAUAUAAUAAAUGUAUAUAAUAAAUAUAUAUAUUUAUAUAUAUGUACAUAUAUACAUUUAUAUAUAUUGUGUUUUGAAUUGUUAUGAUAUAUAUAUAUAUAUUAUUUUUUAUAUAUUAUUCUAGUAUAUUAUUAAUUCUAGUGUUUUGUAUAUAUAUUAUUGUUUGUACUAUUAUUCUAUUAUUAUUUUUAGUAUAUUAUUCUAGUAUAUUAUUAAUUCUAGUGUUUUGUAUAUAUAUUGUUUGUACUAUUAUUCUAGUAUUAUUUUUAUAUAUUAUUCUAGUAUAUUAUUAAUUCUAGUGUUUUGUAUAUAUAUUAUUGUUUGUACUAUUAUUCUAGUAUUAUUUUUAGUAUAUUAUUCUAGUAUAUUAUUAAUUCUAGUGUUUUGUAUAUAUUAUUGUUUGUACUAUUAUUCUAGUAUUAUUUUUAGUAUAUUAUUUUAGUAUAUUAUUAAUUCUAGUGUUUUGUAUAUAUUAUUGUUUGUACUAUUAUUCUAGUAUUAUUUUUUAGUAUAUUAUUCUAGUGUAUUACUUGGCUUUAAAGACUUUUUAGUAUAUUAUGAAUUCCAGUGUUUUAGUAUAUUAUGAAUUCUAGUGUUAUUGUUAGUAUUAUUUUUUAGUAUAUUAUUCUAGUGUAUUUCUUAUCUUAUAUAGAAUAUAUAUAUGUAUGGUUGCAGACAUAGAAAUGGCUGACCGUGCUCAUGAUGAUCCUGAUUAUAUGGAAGGUGUCAUUCAAAAUAUGAUCAACGACGGUAGUCAGUACUUUAUUGAUUACAACGAGAUCAUGCAAGGCAAUCCGACUAAACAAUAAGAGGGCAAUACCCCUGAGCAAUAAGAGGGCAAUGCGCCUGAGCAACAACUUGUCGUGCAACAAGAAGGAAAUACUGGCGAGGUAUGUAAAUGUAAACAUAUAUAAUUAAUGCAUCUCUUACAUUAGGUUUUAGACUUACUUGGUUAUUAAUUUAGUAUUUUGUUUCUAUAUCUACGUGUAGCCUUCUGGAUCGACCUCUACGGGGAGAAGCAUACCUCCACAAGGGCCAAAGAAGCCGUUGGAGGGCCGCUAUGUAAUCUCUGAGUUUGAGAUAGCUACAGGCAGAUGACUUGGUGAACUUGCAAAUAAAUAUGUUAGUCAUUGUGGAUAUCUUGUGAGAGAUCAAAUACCGAUCAGUGCUCGUGAAUGGAGAGAGAAGCGAGGUGCUCCUGAGAUCAGUUUUGUCUCUGAUCGUGACAAAGAGUUAGUUUGGAAAGCCGUCACAGACGUUUUCACCUUCGACACCAACGAUGAAGAGUUGAAGGUGCGAAUUUAUGACUGGACUAUGAAGAAGAUGGCGGUACUGUUCUAAAAUUGGAAGAAGACUUUGUACAAUAAAUUUGUCAAGAAAAACGAGACUCCAAAUUUCAACCUCAAGCAAUACGUAAAGCUGAGGGCCUUCUUAGAUGACUUCGUGCAGUACAAAACAUCAGAAGAGGGCGAGGAACGAGCCAUUAGAAACAAAGAGAAUGCAAGUAAAAAGACAUACCACCAUCAUAUGGGAUCAGGUGGUUAUAAGAGUGCUAUUCCCAAGUGGGACUGAAUGGAACAGUAGAUGCUUGCUAGGGGGGUCACACCCGAGACAAUAGCAAAGAAUUGGAGCGAGCGCUCCAAGCAUUGGUUCUACGGUCAUGGGGGAAGCAUGGACCCAGACACCGGGGCGCUAGUUUGGGGCCAAGAAAUCUCUAGAGCAGCUGAGAGACUAGUCCGUGCACGAGAGGCGGUUCAGUCUGGUGAGUUCAGGCCUAACAGGGAGAAGGAUGAACUCACCUAUGCGCUUGAAAAUGCUCAGCACGGUGGGCGUACGAGAGGCUAUGGGGCAGUUCCGUGGCUGCAAUCAUUCCAAACCGAUCAAGAUACCUACAGAAGCUGCCAGAGAAAGAAGGAUGAGGAGGCAGAGUGGAUCCGCUGCCUGGAAGCUUUUGUUCUGCAGUCACAAGAGCGCGAGAAAGCUCGUGAAGAAUGGAUGCAGGCGGAGAUUCAAAGGCAAGUGCAAGCAGCACUUAGUCAAAUGAUGAAAGUGCAAGGUACAUCACAGCCUGAGGUCAACGUUAGCCCCCAGGCUAGUUGAAAAGCAGCUGCGCAUCCACGGAAGUACCAAUCAUUCAGGAUGACACGAAGCUACACUUCCCCGUGGAUGAUGUCACAGAGGCUUUUACUACCUAUGAGCUGCAUGUACCAGAUGGGAAUGCAACAAAAAAGGUGGCUAUCCCUGUUGUCAACCCUAUCGACCGAACGAGACUCCAAGAAUCCAUAAUCGACCAGUACCUGGUGAAUAUGCUAGCGUCUCGGUUGAUAGGGUUGAGAAAGGUUGUGGCAAUGUGCCUCUAGACAUAGAAGGGGGAGACGGAGAGAAGACCUUAGGUGAAGCUGAGAAGACAUUUAUUUGUUGGCGCAAGCGCUUCAUAAUUAUUCCUCAACAUAGGUUUGUGUGUGAUUUUACUUCUUAUAUUAUUUAUUAUGUAUUGAAAUUAAAAAGUUUGCUCACAAAACUUGUAAUUGUUUUCUUUGCAGGGACUCCUCCAACCUAAGUCCAGUUCUCUCCCCAGCGCAUCAUAGUGCUACGGGCGGUGACAAUGCUGGAUCUCCUCCAAUACCUGCGGCGGCCACAUCGACCCCGCCACCGCCUCCACCACGGUCUCCACCUCCUCCACCGAGGUCUCCAACUCCUCCACCGUGUUCUCCAACACCGAAAAGAUUGGCCCCACGACCUCCACCCCCUACACCGCCCUCUCCAAAGAGUACACGGUUGGUCCACUCGCCUCCAAAGCGAGGUAGUCAGAAGCGGUCCGCCCAAGAACGACCGAAGUCAUCGGUCCCACCUCCAAAGAAGGCUGCCUCAGCAAAGAGAGCUAAGACACCAGAAAAAUUAUAUUAUAAAAAGAGUGAAGAGGAGGUAAUUGCUGUAUCCAAAGCUGAGGUGAAACAAUUUUUUGAUAAAUUGAAGGAGGAUAGAAAAAAGCGGCUAAACCCAGAAAAGCCGUACUUUUAUGUAAAGCCAUCGGAACUGAGGCAGAAGGUGGCGGACCAGCAAAAGAAGCAACGCGAAGCUCAGAAAAGGCCAGCACUUUCGGACUAUGAGCGGUCUCUGGUCAAAUCUUCACAGCCUAGAAAGAGAGUAGGAAAGGGGGUCCCAUAGCUUCGAGAAGUAUCAAAACCGGUGCCCCCUUUGAUUGUGCCAAAUCAAUACGGCUCAAAUGAAGACUUGAUGGCAAAGAAAUCCUUAGCGUUGUCUGAGCUAGACUCUCUUGAGCGUUACUUUGGACAGAGCGGUUUAAAUAUGAAAGAAAUUGCCGCCAUUAUUUGAUGCCAAACAUUUGAAAAAGCUGAGAUAGUUGAUCAAUGGAGGGUAAGAUAUGAACCGGGCAGGAGUCUAUUCGACCCUCAGCGUUUACAUGAGCUCGACACACAAAUGUUUGCAAUAAACAAAUGGUGCAUUGAGGCGUCUAAAAGCGGAGAGAAUUGGAUUUCUGUUCGUAUUAGACAACAUCACUACUUCCAUGGAGAUGACCUCAUAUACGUGCAGUUCGAAGAAUUGCACCAAUUAUGUCACCUCGACGCUCUCGACAAAUCUCUUGUCAGCUGCAAACAUAAAGGGCUAAUACCCGAUUCAAACGUUAAGGCGUUCCAGCCGAUUUGACCUUACAAUCGACAAAGGUGGUAACUCGACCACUUUGGUCCCGACAACAGCGAUGUGCCCGGAUGUCACGGCCAAGAGGUGAUCACGCAGAACUUGAGAACGCGCCGAGUUUGACUCGACGAAUUCCUAAGAACUUGUAGUAAAAAGAAAAAUAUGACGAAGUCGUCGAACAAGUAGAUGCUAGAAUAUGAGUAAAAACUUGUGUUUGAUUGAUUGAUAGAUCUCUUCAUUACAAGGCCCUAGGGUGUACAUUUAUACCCUGCUCAAAGAGCUACAAUCAGACACGACUAGGACUCAAAUUCCAAAUUAAACGGAACCCGUAUACAAAACGAAUUCUAAUGACUAAGGAAAACAUUAAACUACCCCCUCGUAACCGAUCAGGACACUGCCACGGAUCAAUCGGCAACUUCCAUGCUUUUCUUCAGAAUCAUCGGCAAACCACCUGUUACAACCAUCGGCAAACAUCGGCUCUGGUCAUCGGCAUGAACACAUCAUCACCCCUGGACUUAGUCAUAUUCAAUUGUUCCCCUAUCGGCACCAUCCCUCCAUCGGCAACUUCCCUGUAGACUAGUUAUCGUUGCUUCAUCUGCUGAUCUAUACUUUACUAACACCAGGUUCACGUCCGAAGAUACGUGUCCAAAAACAGUGUCAACACAUGCCCCCAAUUUCAGAGUAUAAAAUCAUUAAUGCUCCGAAAUUCUCUACAGUAAUGAUGCCUUUCCGCAAUUAAUUCUCCUAAUUUGGUAAUCGACCGUUAAAUCCGAACAACCUUGGCCCGAUUCUCCUAUAGAUUCCUCGAAUUCCUCAACCUCCGGAACCGAAUCUCUCCAAUUUAUGCGCCCAUCGGCAAUAUUACCGUUAGAGGGAACUGCCGAUGAACCGAUCAGGAGAUCUUGUACAGUGAAAUAUCUUCAAAACCGCUUGCUGUCAAAUCACCUGCAGAAUCCCUUGAUUAUCGUGCGAACAGUUACCAUAUCCACCUGAACACCCUCAGAUUUCACGGAUGCGGCAAAGAGAUAAGUCAGAUUUGCCCCUGCCUGAUUUGUCCUAUAAAUAGUUCCUUCUCCGGUACUCCUCCUCCAUCUUAUCAUUCUACAGCCCAAAAUCUACUUUCCUAGCGGCGGCACCACCUGAGGAUUCCAUGAACUUCAACGAAGGUCUUCUCCACCAAUCCCCCAAGUCUUCAACCCUCUUCCAUGCGAGAAAAUGGCCAUCAACUUCGUCAUUCCUGAGGUCAGUUUACCACCCUUCUUUUUCCACACUCUUGCUGUAUUCCUGUUCAUCCGCAAUUCCUUUUACUGAAGACUCCUUUUUCUUUUUGUCCUUUUUAUCCUCAAAAACUUUUAGGAUUUGGCUGAUAAGAUCGUAAUUCCUACCGAUCAACCUCACCUCCAAUGUCUUGGCCCGCUAGGAAAUCCAGAUCCCACCGAUCUAAUAAACGCAGAGACAAACAGAAUCCCCUUUAGUGCCAAAAACUUCUCUCUAGAUCUAUGGAAAGAUGCCUUCCGUUCCUGGCCCAGUCCUACCAAAGGAUGGAAGGAUUGGUUCCUGAGAGUCAGUCACUCAAAUGAGGUUCAAUGGGGCGAGCGGAAGUUAGACCAGUGCAUUAGAUUGUCUCUUGCCUAUAUGGAGAGGAAUGAGUCACUGUUAAUCGCUGCCUCGUACUUUUGGUCAGACACGCUCAAUGCUUUUGUGUUUGGUCAUGGCCCUGCUUCUCCUACACUUGCCGAUGUACUUAUGCUCACCGGCUUAGACAUAUCCACUGCCGAUAACAGCCAUCUAUUUGACACCAAACCCAGUUCUAAGGUAGAAACUCGUGCUAUCGGCGGCUGGUCUGGGUACAUUCAGAAGUACCGAAAAACAGGACUUGUCAGUGCAAAGGAACAGACCACCUUCCUGAAUAUGUGGCUGGACAAGUUUGUAUUCUGUGGCCGAUCGGCAGGACCAACCUCUGUUUAUUUAUCGGCAGCAAAAAGAUUAGCCAAUGGUGGCCGAUUUCCUCUUCGCCGCUACUUGCUCGGUUCUGCUUAUCACCUCCUCCACCAAAUAGCCAAGAAACUUCUGCUGGGUCAAUCCAUCGGCAACCUAGGAGUUCCUUGGUGGUUUAUCAACAUGUGGCUUAGUCUCCACAUGCACAAAUGUCUCGAAUUCGACCUCCUUGCACAGCGCUUCCCCAGGGACAUAGCCGAGGAUUAUGAAUUGGAUGAAGAAGAAUCGGCAACUCGUUCCCCCUUGAACUUUGGCAAAGCUGCCAUAGUUUUACCUGGCACUGGUGGUAAUGAAGACCAUGUCAGCAGAUUCUUUCAGACUCUCUAUGAAGGUCUGACCGGAGAACAGCGGGCAUGGAUGCCUUAUGAAGAUCUAGACACCAGAUUUCCUCUGACUUUCCACCCCUUCAAUGAUACUCUCAACAAGGACUGUGAUGUGAUGAUGGCAAUUAUCACCCCGAGGGCCAUACCAGUGAACUUCUUUGGUAGUGGGAAAGCUUCCAAUCUGACCUAUGAGUUUUACAACCCAUCGGCACUAGCUCGCCAACUGGCUUUCGGUCAACUGCCGAUUGCACUUUGCUACGCCGAUGUGGGAAAGCCGAGGGAAACCAUCACCAGCAAUCUUGAGUGGAUUAGAAUAGCUCAACUUCCACCAAACGCUGAUACAGAUGUCGAUCUAUCGGCUUGGAUUCUGGCUCUCUUCAUUACCUAGGCAUACAAACAGUGGUGGGAGGAGUGGAAAGAGCAGUUGUUCUGCAGAUCGGUCCUCAUAUACCUUGGCAUGAUCGACUCCAAAUACAAAGUCCCCGAUAAUACUGUAAGUAUUUUAACCGAUGCUUCAAUCUUAUUAUUUUUCGCUUUUGUCGGCAACUUACUUCCUCUAUUUUACACAGGUUGACAAUACACCACCAUCGGUCAACAGAAUUGGUAAGCCAAUUGAACUCCCUCCAUCGGGGCCGAUUUCUUUGAUCGGUAAUAAUGCUCCAAGUCUGGCGGCCCUAAUGCACCGGGGCGCACGUCUCAAGAAAAUCACCACCAAGCGGACCAAGACAUCUCCAUCGGUCGCUGCUGCUGCUCUGGCACAAGUUUUCAAGGUAGAAUGUUUUUUUACCUCUUCAAUAUGCAUCGAUUCCGUCCCAUACUUAUAUGGCUUUUUCAGGAUACAUCGGCAGGCAUGGGCACCUCAUCGGUAACUUUCUUAACCAUCAUUCCAUUAAUACUCUGUUACACUCGUACUCAUAAAACCUUCAUUGUUGUAUCAGCAAACUGGCAAAUCGGCCAAGACCAGAAGCGCCAAAGCAAGUGCCGAUGCCCCCCAAGCCAGUCAAACUAAGAGAAAGGACCCUAAGAGCACCAAGUUACAGGCAAAACGCCAGAAAACGGCACCACCUUCUUCUCCUCCCCCAGUGUCACCGAUUCACAUACAAUCGUCCCCUUCUUCACCAGAAGUUCAAACUCAACAAGCACCAUCUCCAACUCAGCCGCAAGAAGAACCCCAACCAGAAGAACCUCAGCCAGAAGAACCCCAGCCGGAAGAGAUAUCAACUGAUGUACACGAGCAGACCGCCGAUCCAGUGAGCUCAAUCAUAGCAUCAGUAGCCUCCUCAAUCCAGACAAGCGUCGCACCCCCUCAAGGUAAAUUACUGCCUAUGAAAUCAUUGCCAAUGGACCUACUUUUGCACUUUAUAAUUAUCUCUGUCAAUCUUUCAGCUGACAUAGUUUUAUCGGCAACUCCAGCCGGUCAACCUGUGGUACCAUCGGCCUCAACUAGCCAGAGGCAAGAGAUAGCUCUGAAACAAGUAAGUUAUUUGAUUAUCAUUCUUUAUUUUACUAAUAUUUCAUCAUCAAAUAACUCAUGUCCUUUUCUCUUUCAAGAACAAGAUUCUCCCAACAACCUGUUCUCCUUUGCCAUAGAAAUCUCCGAAGAUGAAGGUGAGGAAGCGAGUUCUUUUCAAGCAAUUGGGAUCUCAUCGGCAGAAAUUAGAGCAAAGCUGGAGGACCUACUGGCCCUGCUUCACCAGGAUACAGCCCAACUAGUCGAUGACUCCGAUCCAGCCAAGGUUCUAUUUAAAGCUCUCAGAGGCCAGAUCCCUGCCGAUGCCGAGGAAAUCCUCUUCAAGGCCGCACAUUUGGAGAGUCGACAGCUUUAGUACCAAAAGGCCACUCAGUGCCUCGCCGAUAGGGCUAGUUAUGCCCAGCUUUCAGAGGAGGUGAUGAAGGUAAAGCAUCUUGCCGAUGAGAAGCAUAAGAGCAUCGGCAUUCUAAAAUCCUCAAGAGACGUGCUGAAGCAAAAGAUCUCUGACCUAUCGGCGAAAAGAGAAGCCCUGUUGGUAGAACUUUGUCUCAAGCUCAACAAGAAGAAAGCCAGCUACCUGAAGCGAUCAAGACUCUCGAAUAGGAGCGAAACAUCCAAGCUCGCAAGGCACUGCAGAUGAAGAAGAAGCUGAAACCGGUGGAAGGUUCUACCGAUGAAGACAUCAAAGAGAUAGAAGAAGCUGAUCAAAUUCGUCUGCGUGCUAUAUCAGCUAUCCAAGCCUUGCUGAAUGUAUGAACUCUUCAUCGGCGGCGUACUUCGCUUUCUCUUUAAAACACUUCUAAUCAUUUUGGGCUAGCCGAUAGGACUGUUAUCGGCACCCCUUUUAAAACAUUGAGUCCGGCCCCAGAUACACUUUGAUCCAGCCGAUAGGAAUGUUAUCGGCACUUAAACUUUCAUGCAUCAAUCCAUAUGCUAGGAUAAUAUUUCUUUAGGUAUUUGCCAUUCAACUUCCUAGGAAAUUCAACUCCUUCGAGAGUUUCUAAAAUAUAGGCAUUGCCAAGAGCAAAUCUAUUUAUCCGAUAGGGACCCUCCCAAUUGGGAGACCACUUCCCAAAUUUUGAACUUUUAGUCCCGAUCGGUAAGAUUAGUUUCCAUACUAAGUCUCCAUCGACAAACCCUUUAGCCUUUACCUUCUUAUCAUACCAUCUGGCAACUCUCUUUUUAUUUUCUUCUAUACUCAUCAAAGCCCUCAGCCGAUGCCCUGCUAAAUCAUCCAACUCAUCUUUCAUCAAAGUAGCAUAGUCAUCGGCAGUCAAUUGAUCUUGAAAAGAUAAUCACCUAGAUCCAGUCUUAAUUUCCCAAGGUAGCACUGCAUCGUGUCCAUACACCAACUAAUAAGGUGAAACUUUGGUCGACCCAUGACAAGCCAUCCGAUAUGACCAUAAAGCUUCAUUCAAUAAUGUAUGCCACCUCCUAGGAUUUUCUUCAAUCUUCCGUUUAAUAAGCUUGAUAAUUCCUUUGUUGGAUGCCUCGGCCUGCCCAUUAGCUUGAGCAUAAUAAGGAGAAGAAUUUAACACUUUAAUUCCCAUACCGAUUGCGAACUCAUCAAACUCCCCCGAUGUAAACAUAGUACCCUGAUCGGUAGUAAUCGUUUGAGGAAUACCAAAUCGGUAAAUAAUAUGAUCUUUCACAAAAUCAAUCAUAUUGGCCGAUGUAACUUUCUUCAAAGGAAUAGCUUCAACCCACUUGGUGAAAUAAUCAGUAGCAACUAAGAUGAACUUAUGCCCUUUGCUAGAUGGUGGAUAAAUCUGGCCGGUCAAAUCAAUAGCCCAUCCUCGGAACGGCCAAGGUUUAACAAUGGGAUUCAUGGCCAAUGCGGGCGCCCUUUGAAUAUUGCCAAAUUUCUGACAUCCUUGACACCCUUUGAAAUACUUAAAACAAUCCUCAAGUAUAGUUGGCCAAUAAUACCCAUUUCUCCUGAUCAUCCAUUUCAUCUGAAAAGCCGACUGAUGUGCUCCACACACUCUCUCAUGGAUUUCCCCUAUCAAACUUUUAGCUUCAUCCUCACCUAAGCACUUGAGAAGAACUCCAUCGAUCGUUCGAUAAUAUAAUUCAUCUUCGAGGAGCACAUACUUGGUAGCUUGAAACCGAACACGUCUCUCAACCUUCUUAGAUGGAUUCCUUAAAUAAUCAAUGAUUUCUCUUCUCCAAUCAUCGGCAUUGAUUGCCGAUAACGUGUUCAAUAUGGGUUGAUAUCCCGAGGCAUGCUGAGCCAACCGAUUAGCCUCCUCAUUAUGUAACUGAGGAACAUGUUCUAAUCGGAAAUCCUUGAAUUCCUUUAAUAAUCGCAUACUCUUUUCAUAAUAGGCUAUCAAGACCUCGCUUCGGAUCAUAGCUUCCAGCCAAUUGAUUUAUAACCAGCAUAUAAUCCCCGAAGACUUCAACAGCAUCAGCAUGAACUUCUCUUAACAAUUCCAACCCCUUGAUCAAAGCUUGAUAGUCGGCUUGAUUAUUCGUUGACGUGGCAACAAUCGGCAAAGAGAACUCAUACUUCCUUCCCUGAGGAGAAAAUAACACUAUGCCGAUUCUUGCCCCCCGGUCACACGUGGAUCCAUCAAAGAAGAGCGUCCAAGGCAUAAUUUCCAAAGUCUCCACUACACCGCAAUGUUGAGUCACAAAAUUGGCCAUAACUUGCCCUUUAACCGCUUUAGCCGAUUCGUAACCUAGAUCAAAUUCCGACAGUGCCAAAAUCCACUUACCGAUUUGUUGAUGCAAAAAGAUCUGCAAACACAAAGGGCUAAUACCCGAUUCAAACAUUAAGGCGUGCCAGCCGAUUUGACCUUACUAUCGGCAAAGGUGGUAACUCGAAUACUUUAGUCCUGACAACAGCGAUGCGCCCGGAUGUCACGGCUAAGAGGUACUCACGCGGAACUCGAGAAUACGCCGAGCUUAAGUCGACGAAUUCCUAAGAACUCGUAGUAAAAAAUAAAAAGUAUGACAAAGUCGUCGAAAAGUAGAUGCUGGAAUAUAUGAGUAAAACGUGUGUUCGAUUGAUUGAUAGAUGUCUCAUUACAAGGCCCUAGGGUUCAUAUUUAUACCCUGCUAAAAGAGCUACAACUAAACAUGACUAAAACUCGAAUUCUAAAUUACACGGAAUCCGUAUACAAAACGACUUAAAUAAACAAGGAAAUAACAAAGCUAUCCCCCGUGACAAGCUGAAAUCCUUCCAUAAACCGAUCAGCAGUUUCCGGACUCCCCCUCCGUAUCAUCGGCAGACUCUUUGCCAUGGUCAUCGGCAGACUCCCCCAUUAUAACCAUCGGCAUAAACACAUCACUGCCUGCAGACCUAGUCAUGUCCAACCUCUCCUUCAUCGGCAACCAUCUUCAUCGGCAAUUCAUCCUGUAAACAGCACACUGCCACCUUAUCCUGCCAUCCUGGACGCGUGUCUCAAAACGGUGUCAACACAUGCCCCCCAAUUUCGGAGUAUAAAACUAUUAAUGCUCCGAAAUUUUCUGCAGUAAUGAUGCCUUUUCCCGCAAUUAAUGCUCCUAAUCUGGUAACCGAUAACCUCAAUCUGAACAACUCUGAUCCUAUUCUUCCGCAGAUUCCUCGAAAUCCCCAACUUCCUAAACGGGCAUCUCUCUCUCAACCGUACAUCGGCAAUAUUACCGUUACAAAGAUCUGCCGAUGUACUGACCAGGAUGUUCGUACAAACAGCUACCUCCCCUUUAUUCGCCCAUCGGCAAUAUAACCGUUAUAGAAUGCUGCCGAUGGACCGACCAGGAGAUCUCGCACAGUAAAAUAUCUUCAGAUAAUGACCGCUUCCCGUCAAAUCACCUACACAAUCCCUUGAUUACCGUGCGAACAGUUACCAUAUCUACCUGAGUACCCUCGGAUUUCUCGGAUGCGGCAAAGAGAUAAGUCAGUUUUGCCCUUGCCCAUUUUGUCCUAUAAAUAGUUCCUUCUCGGGUACUCCUCCCCAUCACAUCAUUCCACCACCCCAACUUUACUUUUCCAGCGGCGGCGCCAUUCGAAGCUCCCAAGACCUCCGACAAGCACUCCUCCUCACCAAUCCCGGUGUCUUCAAACACUCUCUUCGCAUCAAGAUGGCCAUUGGCUUCGUCGUUCCUGAGGUCAGAUCUCCAUCCCGUCUCAUGUAUAUUUUGCUCGUAUCCCUGUUCAUCCGUAAUUCAUUUUACUGAAUAUCUUCCUUUUCCUUUUUUUCUCUUGUGUUUCCUUUACGCCCAAAAUCACUAGGAAUUGUCCAACAAAAUUGUUAUCCCCACCGAUCAACCACACCUUCAAUGCCUCGGCCCUCUAGGGGACCCAGAUCCAACCGACCUUAUCAACGCAGAAACCAACAGGAUCCCCUUUAGAGCUGAAAACUUUUCUUUAGAUCUGUGGAAAGACACCUUCCAUUCUUGGCCCAGCCCUACCGUAGGGUGGAAAGACUGGUUCUUGAGGGUCAGCAAUUCCUAUGAAGUCCAGUGGGGUGAAAGGAAGCUAGCCCAAUGCAUCAGGCUAUCUAUUGCCGAUAUGCACAGGAACGAAUCACUGUUGAUCGCUGCAUCUCAUUUUUGGUCAGAUACCCUUAAUGCUUUUGUCUUUGGCCACGGCCCUACUCUUGCCGAUGUAGCUAUGCUCACUGGUCUGGACGUGUCUUCUGCCGAUAGCACCCACUUCUUUGAUACCGCUCCUAGUGCCAAAGUGGAGACUCGUACUAUCGACGGUUGGUCAGGGUACAUUCAAAAGUACCGUGGGAAGGGGCCUGUUACCAUAAAGGAACAAACCACCUUUCUGAACAUGUGGCUAGACAAGUUUGUAUUCUGUGGUCGAUCGGCAGGACCGACUUCUGUCUAUCUAUCGGCAGCAGAGAGACUGGCUAACGGUGGCCAAUUUCCUCUCGGCCGAUACUUGCUUGGCGCUGCUUACCAUCUUCUCCAUCAGGUAGCCCAGAAACUCCUGCUUGGUCAGUCUAUCGGCAACUUGGGAGGCCCCUGGUGGUUUAUUAACAUGUGGCUCAAUCUGCAUUUGCAUAAGCGCCUUGACUUCAACUUGUUCACACAGCAUUUCCCAAGAGAUAUAGCUGAAAAUCAUGUGUUGGGCGAAGAGGAAUCGGCAACACGUGCCCCCCUGAACUUUGGCGAAGCUGCCAUAGUUCUACCUGGUUCAGGGAGUAAUCCGGAUCAGAUCGGCCGAUUCUUCCAGACUCUGUAUGAGGGCUUGGCCAGAGAUGAACGACCAUGGUUGGCUUAUGAUGACCCAGACAGUAUGCUCCCUCUAACCUUCAAUCCAUUUGAUGAAGCUCUUGACAGGGACAAUGAGGUGAUGAUGGCAAUUGUGACUCCCAGAGUCAUACCAGUGAAUUUUUUUGGUAGCACAAAAACCUCUCCCCAAACCUAUGAAUUUUUCAAUCCAUCGGCAUUAGCUCGUCAGCUAGCUUUUGGCCAGUUGCCAGUUGCACUUCCUUGUGCCGAUGUGAUAAAACCCAGAGAACCCAUCACCAACUUUCUUGAGUGGAUUCGAGUAGCCCAACUACCACCAAAUGCCGAUACAGAUGUAGAUCUGUCAGAAUGGGUUCCAGCUGCCUUUAUCACUCAGGCAUACAAGUUAUGGUGGGCAGAAUGGAAAGAGCAUCUAUUCUGCAGAUCGGCCCUCUCAUACCGCGGCAUGAUCGACGCCGAAUACGAAGUCCCCGAUGACACUGUAAGUAUUUCAAACCGAUGUUUCAUUUUUUCAAUAUUAUUUCCAUCGGUAGCUUACCCUUGUAUUCCUUUUGCAGGUUGACAACAUCCCCCCAUCGGUUAGCAGGAGUGGCAAGCCGAUCGACUUGUUUCCAUCAGGCCCGAUCUCCUCAAUCGGCCACAAUGCUCCCACUCUGGCUUCCGUCGUGCAUCGGGGUGUGCGCCUCAGGAAAGUCACCACCAGGAGAACUCAGACAUCACCAACGGUAGCUACUUCCACUCUGGCGCAGGCUUUCAAGGCAAUUUGUCAAAUCUUUUUCUUUUACACUAACCAUCUUUAUAUCGGCUAUAUCUGUGCUUAUAAACCCCUUUUCGUUAUUGCAGCAAACCGGUGCAUCGGCAAAAGCCAAACGUUAAAGUGCCGAUGCCCCCCAGUCUAGCCAACCAAAGAGAAAGGGCACCAAAGGUGCUAAGGCUAGAACAAAGCGCCAGAAAGUGGCAACUCCCCCUCCUCCUCCGGUGUCUCCAAUUCCGGUGGAGUCUUCUCCUUCUUCUCCAAAAGUCCAGACACAGCAAGUACCGUCUCCCCAACCAAUGCAGGAAGCACCACAGAUGGAACAACUCCAGCAAGAAGAACCUCAAUUAGAAUUACCCCAAUCUUGAGAUGUGCCGGCCGACGUAGGCGAUCAAACUACCGAUCCAGCAGGUUCAAUCAUACUAUCGGUAGUUUCCUCACUUCAGACAAGUAUCGUCCCUCCUCAAGGUAACGUACUCUCCUCAAAAUUACUAUCGAUGAGCUUCUUCUCUUCGAUCUUAUAACCUUUUCUGUUAACUUUCAGCUGACAUCGUCCCAUCGGCAACACUUGCCGAUCAACCUGUAGCUCCAUCGGUAUCUUUCAGUCAAAGGCAAGAAAUUGCCUUGAAGCAAGUAAGUCAUCCAACUUUCCACUAGUAUUGUCUGCCGAAGCUCUGACCAUAAAAAUGACUUAUUACAUCCUCACUUUCAGGAACAAGAUUCUCCCGACAGCUUAUUCUCCUUCGCCAUUGAUAUCUCCGAAGAAGAAGGUGAGGAAGCAAGCUCCUCUUGGGCAGUUGGGACUGUAUCGGCAGAAACUAGGGCUAAGCUGGAAGAGCUAUCGGCCAUACUUCAUCAAGACACAGCUCAAAUGGUCAACGAUUCCGACCCAGCCAAGGCCCUGUUCAAGACCCUUAGAGGCCAAAUUCCUGCCGAUGCUGAAGAAACCCUCUUCCAGGCUGCACACCUAGAAAGCCGCCAGCUGCAUUACCAGAGAGCCACUCGGCGCCUUGCCGAUAGAGCUGCUCAAAUCCAGCUCUCUGAGGAGAUGAUGAAAGAAAAACUCUUAGCCGAUGAGAAGCACAAGAACAUCGGCACCUUAAAGUCCUCAGGUGAUGCACUGAAGCAGAAAGUCUCUGAUCUAUCGGCAAAAAGAGAAGCCCUGCUGGCCGAACUCAAGCAAGUAGAGGAUGCUCUGUCUCAGGCCCAGCAAGAAGAGAGCCAACUGCCAGAGACCAUCAAGAACCUCGAGCAAGAACGAAAUGCCCACGGUCGCAAAGCGCUGCAGUUGAAGAAGAAGCUGAAGCCGAUAGAAGGUUCUGCUGAUGAUGUUACCAAAGAGAUAGAAACAGCCAAUCAGAUCCGGCUGCGCGCCAUAUCGGCAAUCCAAGCGCUGCUGAACAUCUGAAGCUCUCAUCGGCAACACACCUUUGUUCUUCUGCAUUUCAGCUUUCUUAAUGUCUUAGUCUAGCCGAUAGGACUGUUAUCGGCAUCUUUUGAAACAUUAAGUCCAUCCCCAGAUACACUUUAAUCCAGCCGAUAGGAGUGUUAUCGGCAUUUAAACUUUUAUGCAUCGACCCAUAUGCUAGGGUAGUACUUUUUUAAAUAUUUGCCAUUUAAUGCUCUGGGAAAUUCAACUCUUUCGAGAGUUUCUAGAAUAUAGGCAUUACCAGGAGCCGAUCGACUUAUUCGAUAAGGACCUUCCCAAUUAGGAGACCACUUUCCAAACUUCGAACUUUUAGUCCCGACUGGCAAAAUUAAUUUCCAUACCAAAUCCCCCUCGGCAAACUCCUUAGCCUUCACUUUCUUAUCAUACCAUCUAGCAACUCUCUUCUUAUUUUCUUCUAUACUCAUUAAAGCUUUUAACCGAUGCCCUGCUAGAUCAUCCAACUCAUCGGUCAUCAAGGUGGCAUAAUCAUCAGCAGUUAACUGAUCUUGAAAAGAUAAUCGCCUAGAUCCGGCCUUAAUCUCCCAAGGCAACACUGCAUCAUGUCCAUACACCAAUUGAUAGGGUGACACCUUGGUUGAUCCAUGACAAGCCAUCCGAUAAGACCACAGUGCUUCAUUCAACAAUGUAUGCCACCGCUUAGGAUUUUCUUCAAUCUUUCGUUUAAUAAGCUUGAUAACUCCUUUGUUAGAUGCCUCGGCCUGCCCAUUGGCUUGAGCAUAAUAAGGAGAAGAAUUCAACACUUUAAUCCCCAUACCGAUUGCGAAUUCAUCAAACUCCCCCGAUGUGAACAUAGUGCCUUGAUCGGUAGUAAUUGUCUGAGGAAUCCCAAAUCGGUAAAUAAUGUGCUCCUUCACAAAAUCAAUCAUAUUGGCCGAGGUGACCUUCUUCAAAGGAAUAGCUUCAACCCAUUUAGUGAAAUAAUAAGUGGCAACCAAAAUAAACUUAUGUCCCUUACUAGAUGGUGGAUAAAUCUGGCCGAUCAGAUCGAUAGCCCAUCCUCAGAACGGCCAAGGCUUUAUGAUAGGAUUCAUAGCCGAUGCGGGUGCUCUUUGAAUGUUACCAAACUUUUGACAACCUUGACACCCCUUGAAAUAUUUAAAGCAAUCCUCAAGUAUGGUCGGCCAAAAAUAUCCAUUCCUUCGAAUCAUCCACUUCAUCUUUAAAGCAAUCCUCAAGUAUGGUCGGCCAAAAAUAUCCACUCCUUCAUGGAUUCCUCCCAUCAAACUUCUAGCUUCAUCAUCACCCAAGCAUCGGAGAAGAAUUCCAUCAAUAGUUCGAUAAUACAAUUCAUCUUCGAGGAGCACAUAUUUGGUUGCUUGAAAUCGAACUCGUCUUUCAACUUUCUUAGAUGGAUCUUCUAGAUAAUCAAUAAUUUCCUUCCUCCAAUCAUCGGCACCGAUUGCCGAUAUUGCAUUAAUCAUAGGCUGAUAUCCCGAGGCAUGCUGAGCUAACCGAUUGGCCUCUUCAUUAUACAAUCGAGGAAUAUGCUCUAAUCGGAAAUCUUUGAAUUCCUUCAACAGUCGCACGCUUUUCUCGAAAUAAGUUAUGAGAACUUCACUUCGGCAUUCAUAACUCCCGGUCAAUUGAUUUAUAACCAACAUAGAAUCUUCGAAGACUUCAACAGCAUCAGCACGAACUUCUCUUAACAACUCCAAUCCCUUGAUCAGAGCCUGAUACUCAGCCUGAUUAUUUGUUGAUGUAGCAACAAUCGGCAAGGAAAAUUCAUACUUCCUCCCCUUAGGGGAAACUAAUAUAAUGCCGAUUCCUACCCCCCGGUCACAUAUAGAUCCAUCAAAGAAAAGCGUCCAGGGUACAAUUUCCAAGGCUUCUACUACACCACAAUGCUGAGUCACAAAAUCGGCCAUAAUCUGCCCUUUGACUGCCUUAGCCGAUUCGUAACGCAGAUCGAACUCCGACAGCGCUAAAAUCCAUUUACCGAUCCUGCCACUCAUAAUCGGCAUGGAUAGCAUGUACCGGACCACGUCAUCUUUGCAAACAACAGUGCAUUCGGCCGAUAGCAGGUAAUGCCUCAAUUUGAUACAUGAAAAAUAUAAGCAUAAGCAUAAUUUCUCAAUGGCCGAAUACCUGGUUUCAGCAUCAAUCAACCUCCUACUCAAGUAAUAAAUUACCCUCUCUUUCCCUUCAAAUUCUUGAACUAAAGCUGAACCGAUAACCGUUCCAUCGGUAGACAAAUACAAUCUGAAGGGCUUUCCCUGUUAAGGUGGAACUAGAACUGGAGGAUUCACUAGAUACUUCUUGAUUUCAUCCAGAGCCAACUGCUGUUCUUCUCCCCAAAUAAAUUCUUGAUCGGCUUUCAAUUUAAGAAGAGGACUGAAAGCACGAAUCUUACCAGACAGAUUAGAUAUAAAUCUCCUGAUAAAAUUUACCUUGCCGAUCAAGGACUAGAGCUCAGUAUUGUUGGUAGGGGCCACUAUCUUAUUGAUGGCAUCAAUAGAUCUUCGACUAUUUUCAAUCCCCCUUUGAUGUACCAUGAAACCAAGAAACUGCCCUGCCGAUACACCAAAUGCACACUUAUUGGGAUUCAUCUUCAAUCCAUGCUUCCUUGUGCACUCUAGCACUUUUUGUAAGUCGGCAAGAUGUUUUGAGAAAUCCCCAGAUUUAACCACCACAUCAUCAAUAUAGAUCUCUACCAGCUUGCCGAUGAACUCAUGAAAUAUAAAAUUCAUGGCCUUUUGAUAAGUAGCACCAGCAUUCUUCAACCCAAAGGUCAUGACUAUCCAUUCAAAUAACCCAACAUGACCAGGACACCUGAAUGCGGUUUUUGGAAUAUCUUCCUCUGCCAUGAAAAUUUGAUUGUAUCCCGCAUUACCAUCCAUAAAGCUAAUGAUCUGAUGACCAGCCGCAGCGUCAACCAGCAGAUCGGCAACAGGCAUUGGGUAUCCAUCCAUCGGCGUAGCUGUAUUGAGAUUCCUGAAAUCAAUGCACACCCGAAGCUUCCCGUUUUUCUUGUAAACCGGAACGACAUUGGAAAUCCACUCGGCAUACCGACACUGCCGAAUAAACUUAGCUUCAAUGAGUUUGGUGAUUUCGGCCUUAAUAUCAGGUAGAAUGUUAGGAUUACAUCGGCGAGUUGGUUGCUGAUAUGGCCGAAAUCCAGACUUGAUGGGUAACCGAUGUUCAACAAUUGAUCGGUCUAAACCAGGCAUCUCGGUAUAAUCCCAAGCAAAGCAAUCUUUAUAUUCCUUUAACAAAUUAGUUAAUUGUUGCUUACACUCAUGAUCUAAUUUAGCACUAAUAAAAGUAGGUCUAGGCUUAUCACCACUACCUAUAUCUACUUCUACCAAAUCAUCGGCCGAUGUGAAUCCCUGGCCUAAUUUUCCAUCAUCGGCGAAUCUAUCCAUUAAAAACCGUCGUCAGAACCGACUGCUUGGAUCGGUGAAAUCUCAUAAUCGGCAACUUUGAGAAAAUCUUUCUCCCAAACUUCCCCUGAAAUGCACCUAGUCCUCUCAUAGGUAUCCGCCUCUGCCGAUGCAAUAACAUAAGAAGAAUCCCCUGGGACGAUCUCAAUCUUGUCACCUACCCACUGAACCAAGCAUUGGUGCAUUGUAGAUGGGAUGCAACAAUUGGCAUGAAUCCAAUCUCUUCCCAACAAUAAGUUGUAAGCACCCUUUCCACUGAUGACGAAGAAAGUUGUCGGCAAGGUUUUGCUGCCGAUAGUCAACUCCACACAUAUUGCCCCCUUGACUGGAGACACGUUUCCUUCAAAGUCUUUGAGCAUCAUAUCGGUCUUGGUCAAAUCCUGAUCCCCUUUCCCAAGCUUUCGAUAUACUGCAUAGGGCAUAAUAUUAAUAGCAGCGCCACCAUCAACUAGGAUCUUGGUCAUCGGCUGCCCAUCAACCCUUCCUUUGACGAACAGAGCUUUGAGAUGCUGCCUUUCAUCAUCGGCAGGUUUCUCAAAGAUAGCUGUCAUGGGAUCUAGAGCCAGCUGAGCUAUCUGAUCGGAAAAUUCCAACUCAUCAUCACUGGAUGGUGCAAGAAACUCCAUCGGCAACAUAAAGACCAUGUUAACUCCUGCCGAUGGACCUUCCCUCUUAGUGUCUGAUGGCUGCUGACUUCCAGAGCCCUCGCCUUUGCUUAACUCCUCUUGCCUUUCUCGUUGCAAUCUCCUCUUCUGUGUCUUGGUUAACCAUUCAGGACACCAUGGAGGAAGUGGCUUUUGCCUUGCUGCUGGGCGUCGAUUCUCUCUUGACUCCAUCCGAUGCGUGUUGGCAUCCCUGCAAAAUAUGAACUCAUCGGGAAUCCGCGCAUUAGCCAUCUCUUCGAGCUCUUCCUGGUUCCUGGGAAAAUAUGGGACACGAUCACCCAGGCUAUCGUGCACACUGAGCUUGCCCCCUAGCCGAUCAUGAACUGAUGCUCUUCCUCUGAUCGGCCCAUUAAAUCGCCGAUUGUCAUCAUGAUAACGCCGAUCAGUCCUGUCGUACCGAUCAUAACCAUUGCACUCAGGGCAGUCUCUGACAGUGGGAAGCUUAAUAUUUUCCUCCCAACAAUGGAUGAAGAACGGACAGUUCCAAUGAUCUCUAUGCCGAUUCCACUCCUGUCGGCGUCUUUCUUCCUCUCGUCGAUAAUCUUCUUGCUGGCGCCGAUAUCGAUCUUCCCGUUGCUGCUAGUUCUCUCGAGGCCUUCUAUGAGUUAUAACGAUGCCAGAUCGAGGAGGCCUACCUGAAUUGGUUCCUUCCUGGACCAAACCUUUACCUUUUGCAUCAGCAGUAUUAAUCUGAUGCUGAGGAUCUACCGAUGCACUUUUCUCAGCUGCUUCCGAUGUUAAAACCUUGGCCUUCCCCUUUGCAUCCAACAUGUUUGUCGGGAAAGGAUGUUGGUCUAUCUUCAUCGGCUUCUGAGUCUUGGAACUGUCAAAUUUAAUUCUCCCAGACUCUAUGGCCGAUUGCAGCUGUUGUCUGAAAACUUUGCAUUCAUUGGUGUCAUGAGAAGUUGCAUUAUGCCACUUGCAAUAUUUCAUCUUCUUCAACUCCUCUGCCGAUGGGAUCACGUGAUUAGGAGACAGUUUGAUCUGACCUUCCUGGAGUAGAAAAUCAAAUAUUUUAUCGGCUUUAGCGAUGUCAAAAGUGAACUUCUCUGGUUCCUUCUGCCCAAAAGGGCAAGACAUCGGCUUCUUGUUCUUUACCCACUCUGCCAAGCCGAUGACUGGUUCCUCGUCAGAAUCUGAGCUUGUUGCCUCAUCAACAAAUGAUACCUUCUUGUUCCAUGCUCUUUUGGGCUCGAAAGGCUUGAGGUCUUGAUCAGAAAUCCUCUGCACCAAAUGACUUAAGCUUUCAAACUCCUGAGAGGCAUACUUAUCCCUGAUAUGUGGCAAUAAACCCUGGAAAGCCAAAUCGGCUAGCUGCCGAUCAUCCUGAACCAGACUAUAACAUUUAUUUUUGACCUCCCGUAUCCUCUGCACAAAGCCUUCAACCGAUUCAUCAUUGCGUUGUCUCAAUUUGACCAAAUCGGUAAUCUUCUUCUCAUGAACUCCAGAAAAGAAGUACUUGUGGAAUUGUUUCUCCAGACCGGCCCAAGUAAUCACUGAAUUAGGAGGUAAUGAUAUGAACCAGGUAAAGGCCGAUCCAGACAAUGACGAUGAAAAUAGACGAACCCUUAAUUCGUCCCUGUUACCAGCUUCUGCGCAUUGAAUGAUGAACCUGUUGACAUGCUCCAUGGUUGACGUGUCGUCUUGCCCGGAAAAUUUGGUAAAGUCUGGUACCUUGUACCGAUGUGGAAGCAGGAUCAAAUCAUAUGCGGGAGGAUACGGUGUCUGAUAGGAGUAAGUGUUGACUUUGGGUUUUAUCCCAAAUUGUUCCCUCAUUACUUCAGCGAUCUUAUCGGCCCAAUAUGCAUCGGCAUCCUGCCGAUGUGGCGGCUGCGGAUCUGGCGCCUGGUGGCGAGCCUCCACGUGUCUGUUUGGGGCAUGAUCUGCACGGAACAUUGGGUUGAUCAUCUGACCUCCAAUCUGCGGACCACCAAACUGCUGUCCACCGAUUUGCUGCCCCCCCGAGUUGCUGUCCGAUAUUCAUUGGCUGAUUGGGGAUCCCCUGACUCUGGAAUCUGGGAUAGAUCUGUCCUUGCUGGAACCCUGUAGCCUGGUAACUCUGUUGGGGCGAUUGUGGAAAGACUUGCCGUCCAAGCCAUCCAUUAUUAGCGUUCAUCGGCAUAGGCGCUGCCGAUGAUUGGUAAUUGGGUACCAUCAUUGAAUUGACAUACCCCGACUGGGCCAUAGACCUCUGUUGCAUCAGCAUUGAAUCUGCCGAUGCAUUAGGCAUCUAGAACAUUGAAUCUUGAGGAUUCCCAGUGUGAGGCCUUGCAGUAGUAGUUGUGGUAUACCGAGGACUCUGGUUCCACGACGCAUUGGGGGGCACCGAUGCUAUAGGAGUCUUGCCCCUCAUGUCAGUUAUCUGUGAUGUACCCGGUGUUAAUUUUGGAGGCAUACCGUAACCCCACCAGUUGGGAGGAAGAGUCAACCCUGACAUUGCCGAUGCCAACAUAUCUGUUGUUAGUUUAUUCUGCCCACUUGAAGUCUGUGGGUUGGUUGUCAUCGGCACAGACAGUGCACCAGUAGCUCCCGAUGUGCUUGGAGGGACGGCAGAUUGUGCACCUGUGGCCGUUAAAGCAGCCGAUGGAGCCGUAACCUCUGGUGCUGUUGGUUGAUGAUGAUUAGGGCCCACAUAAUCUGGAGGGAUUUGUCCUUCCUUGAAAGUUCUUGCUACGGCAUUGAAAACCGUAUUAGAGAGAACACCAGCUUGGUUGAUCAAAGCACGGUUGAUAGCACUGUCAACCAUGUCUUGGAGCUUGCCCGGAUUGGCUUCGAAAGUAACCUGCCGUGGCGUCGGCAGAGCAUCUUUCUGGAUCACUUCGCCACUCCUAUUUAUGCUGAAGGACUUCAAACAUUGCAGCCUGUAUUCCUCCAUAGCCUGGGCAAUAGCCUGCUUCUGCUCAUCCUUGAGAUUGGCCUCCGUCAUGGGGAUGACGUUCUCCUGAUCGAAGUCAGAGAUCGACAUGUUGAUCUUGAUCUUGAAUCUGGUCCCACCGGGCGUGCCAAAAGAUGUGUUGAUGCAAAAAGAUCUGCAAACACAAAGGGCUAAUACCCGAUUCAAACGUUAAGGCGUGCCAGCCGAUUUGACCUUACUAUCGGCAAAGGUGGUAACUCGAAUACUUUAGUCCUGACAACAGCGAUGCGCCCGGAUGUCACGGCUAAGAGGUACUCACGCGGAACUCGAGAAUACGCCGAGCUUAAGUCGACGAAUUCCUAAGAACUCGUAGUAAAAAAGAAAAAGUAUGACGAAGUCAUCAAAAAGUAGAUGCUGGAAUAUAUGAGUAAAACGUGUGUUCGAUUGAUUGAUAGAUGUCUCAUUACAAGGCCCUAGGGUUCAUAUUUAUACCCUGCUAAAAGAGCUACAACUAAACACGACUAGAACUCGAAUUCUAAAUUACACGGAAUCCGUAUACAAAACGACUUAAAUAAACAAGGAAAUAACAAAGCUAUCCCCCGUGACAAGCUGAAAUCCUUCCAUAAACCGAUCAGCAGUUUCCGGACUCCCCCUCCGUAUCAUCGGCAGACUCUUUGCCAUGGUCAUCGGCAGACUCCCCCAUUAUAACCAUCGGCAUAAACACAUCACUGCCUGCAGACCUAGUCAUGUCCAACCUCUCCUUCAUCGGCAACCAUCUUCAUCGGCAAUUCAUCCUGUAAACAGCACACUGCCACCUUAUCCUGCCAUCCUGGACGCGUGUCUAAAAACGGUGUCAACACGAUUCUACCACUCAUAAUCGGCAUAGAUAGCAUAUAUCGGACCACAUCAUCUUUGCAUACAACAGUGCAUUCGGUCGAUAACAAAUCGUUCCUCAAUUUAGUGCAAGAAAAAUAUAGGCAUAAACAUAAUUUUUCAAUGGCCGAAUACCUAGUCUCAGCAUCAAUCAAUCUUCUACUUAAAUAGUAAAUCACACGCUCCUUCCCUUCAAAUUCCUGAAUCAAAGCCGAACCGAUAAACAUCCCAUUGGUAGACAAAUAUAAUCUGAAGGGCUUUCCUUGUUGAGGCGGAAUCAAAACUGGAGGAUUUGUCAAAUAACUCUUGAUUACAUCUAAGGCCAACUGUUGCUCUUCUCCCCAUAUAAAUUCUUGAUCAGCUUUUAAUUUAAGCAAAGGCCUAAAAGCACGAAUUUUAUCAGAUAAAUUGGAAAUAAACCGCCUGAUAAAAUUUAUUGGAGCUCAGUCUUGUUGGUAGGAGCAACUAUUUUAUUAAUAGCAUCGAUAGAUCUCCUGCUAAUUUUAAUUCCCCUUUGAUGCACCAGGAAACCAAGAAACUGCCCUGCCGAUACACCAAAUGCACACUUGUUAGGGUUCAUCUUUAAACCAUGUUUCCUUGUGCACUCCAACACUUUUCGUAGAUCGGCAAGAUGCUUUGUGAAAUCCCCAGACUUAACCACCACAUCAUCAAUGUAAAUUUCUACCAACUUGCCGAUGAAUUCAUGGAAGAUAAAAUUCAUAGCCCUUUGAUAGGUAGCACCAGCAUUUUUCAAACCAAAAGUCAUGACUAUCCACUCAAAUAGCCCAACAUGACCAGGACAUCUAAAUGCAGUCUUUGGAAUAUCUUCUUCGGCCAUGAAUAUUUGAUUAUAUCCUGCAUUGCCAUCCAUAAAGCUUAUGAUCCGAUGCCCAGCCACAGCAUCAACUAGUAAGUCGGCAACUGGCAUCGGGUAACCAUCCAUCGGCGUAGCUUUGUUAUGAUUCCUAAAAUCAAUGUAGACUCGAAGCUUCCCAUUUUUCUUGUAAACUGGGACAAUAUUGGAAAUCCAUUCGGCAUACCGACACUACCGAAUAAACUUAGCUUCAAUAAGUUUAGUUAUUUCGGCCUUAAUAUCAGGUAGAAUAUUAGGAUUACAUCAGCGAGCUGGUUGCUGAUGUGGCCGAAAUCCAGACUUGAUUGGUAACCGAUGUUCAACAAUCGAUCGGUCUAAACCAGGCAUCUCAGUAUAAUACCAAGCAAAGCAAUCUUUGUAUUUCUUUAACAAAUCGGUUAAUUGUUGCUUACACUUAGAAUUUAACUUAGCACUAAUAAAGGUAGGCCUUGGCUUAUCACCACUACCUAUAUUUACCUCUACUAAAUCAUCAGCCGAUGUAAACCCCUGACCUAACUUUCCAUCAUCGGCGAACCUAUCCAUUAGAACUCCUCAUCAGAACCGACUGCUUGGAUCGGUGGAAUUUCAUAAUCGGCAACCUUAAGGAAAUCCUUCUCCCAAGCUUCUCCUGAGAUGCACCUGGUCCGCUCAUAGGUAUCUGCCUCUGCCGAUGCGAUAACUUAAGAAGAAUCUCCCAGGACAAUCUCAAUCUUGUCACCUACCCACUGAACCAAUCAUUGAUGCAUUGUUGAUGGGAUGCAACAAUUGGCAUGGAUCCAAUCUCUCCCUAUCAGCAAAUUAUAAGCGCCCUUUCCAUUGAUCACGAAGAAAGUUGUUGGCAAAGUCUUGCUGCUGAUGGUCAACUCGACGCAUAUUGCCCCCUUAACUGGAGACACAUUUCCUUCAAAGUCUUUUAGCAUCAUAUCGAUCUUGGUUAAAUCCUAAUCUCCCUUCCCAAGCUUUCGAUAGACUGUAUACGGCAUAAUAUUGAUAGCAGCCCCACCGUCGACUAAUAUCUUGGUCAUCGGCUGCCCAUCAACUCGUUCUUUGACGAAUAGAGCCUUAAGAUGCUACCUUUCAUUGUCGGCAGGCAUUUCAAAGAUAGCCGUCAUUGGAUCCAAAGCCAACUGAGCUAUCUAGUCAGAAAAAUCCAGCUCCUCAUCAUCACUGGACGGCGCAAGGAACUCUAUCGGCAACAUAAAUACCAUGUUGACAUCUGCCGAUGGCCCUUUUCCUUUUGGAUCCGGCUGCUGCUGAUCUUCAGACUUGCCAAAAUUCUCUCCCCUGUUCAAGUAUUCUCGUCUUUCACGCUGCAGCCUCCUUUUCUGUGUUCUAGUCAAUCCCUCUAGACACCACGGAGGAAGUUGUGGUUGUCUUGCUGAUGGGCGACGAGUUUCUCCUAACUCCACUCGAUAGGUGUUAGCAUCCCUGCAAAAUAUGAAUUCAUCGGGAACCCGUGCAUUGGCCAUCUCUUCAAGCUCCUCUUGGUUUCUGGGAAAAUAUCCAACACGGUCACCAAGUCUAUCAUGCACACUGAGUCUGCCCCCAAGCCGAUCAUGAACUAACACUCUCCCCCUAAUCGGCCCGUUGAAUCGUCGAUCAUCAUUCUGAUACUGCCGAUUAGGUCUAUCAUACCGAUCAUAACAAUUGGAUUCAGGGCAAUCCCUAACAGUGGGAAAUUUAAUGUUUUGCUCCCAACAAUGAAUAAAGAAUGGGUAGUUCCAGUGAUCUUUAUGUCGAUUCUAUUCUUGUCGGCGUCUCUCUUCUUCCCAACGAUAAUCCUCCUGUUGGCGCCAAUACCGAUCUUCUCGUUGCUGCCAAGUCUCCCGAUGCCUUCUAUGAGUUAUUACAAUGCCAGAUCGGGGAGGCCUUCCUAAGCUAGUUCCUUCCUGGAUCAAACCCUUUCCUUUAGCAUCGGCGGCAGUAAUCUGAUGUUGAGGAUCCACCGACGCACUUUUCUCAGCGGCUUCUGACGUCAAAACCUUGGUUUUUCCCUUAGCAUCCAACAUAUUUGUUGGGAAAGGAUGUUGAUCGAUCUUCAUUGGUUUCUGAGCUUUAGAAUUAUCAAACUUGAUCCUCCUAGAUUCUAUAGCCGACUGCAGCUGUUGCCUGAAAACUUUGCACUCAUUUGUACUGUGGGAUGUUGCAUUGUGCCACUUGUAGUAUUUCAUCUUCUUCAACUUUUCAGCCGAUGGAAUCACAUGAUUGGGUGACAACUUAAUCUGCCCUUCCUGAAGUAGAAAGUCAAAUAUCCUAUCGGCUUUGGUGAUAUCAUAUGCAAACUUUUCUAGCUCUUUAUGCCCAAAAGGGCAAGACAUCGGCUUCUUAUUUUUCACCCACUCUGCCAAGCCGAUGACUGGCUCCUCAUCAGAAUCUGAGCUUGCUGCCUCAUCAACAAAUGACAACUUUUUGUUCCAUGCUCUCUUGGGCUCAAAGGGUUUGAUAUCCUGAUCAGAAAUCCUCUGCACCAAGUGACUUAGGCUCUCGAACUCUUGAGAAGCAUACUUAUCUCUGAUAUGUGGCAACAAACCCUGGAAAGCCAAAUCAGCUAGCUGCCGAUCGUCUAGAACCAGACUAUAGCACUUAUUCUUGACUUCUCACAACCUCUUCACAAAGCUUUCCACCGAUUCAUCAUUGCGUUGCUUCAAUCUGACUAAAUCGGUAAUCUUCUUCUCAUGGACUCCAGAAAAGAAGUAUUUGUGGAAUUGCUUUUCUAGAUCGGCCCAAGUAAUCACUGAGUUGGGAGGUAACGAUAUGAACCAAGUAAAAGCCGAUCCAGACAAAGAUGACGAGAACAAACGAACCCUUAACUCGUCUCUAUUGGCAGCCUCCCCACAUUGGAUGAUGAACCUGUUGACAUGCUCCAUGGUCGAUGUGUCAUCCUGUCCAGAAAACUUGGUAAAAUCGGGUACCCUGUACCGAUUUGGAAGUGGAAUCAGGUCAUAUGCGGGAGGAUACGGUGUCCGAUAAGAGUAGGUAUUGACUUUGGGUUUUGUCCCAAAUUGGUCUCGCAUUACUUCAGCUAUCUUAUCGGCCCAAUAAGCAUCGGCGUCUUGCCGAUGAGGCGGUUGUGGAUCUGGCACCUACUUAUAUGCUUCCACGUGUCUCUGAGGUGCACGAUCCACAUGGAACAUUGGGUUAACCAUCUGACCACCAAUCUGCUGACCAAGAUUCAUCGGCUGGUUGAUCAACCCUUGAUUCUGAAACCCAGGUUAUAUUUGUCCUUGUUGAAACCCUAUGGCCUGAUGAUUCUGCUGAGGCAUCUGUGGAAAGACCAGCUGCCCUGUCCAUCCACUGUUAGCAUUCAUCGGCAUAGGCUCUGCCGGUGACUGGUAAUUGGGCAUCAUCAUUGAAUUAACAUACCCUGGCUGUGUCAUAAACCUCUGCUGCGUCGGCAUUAGAUCUGCCGAUGCAUUAGGCAUCUGAAAUGUUGGAGCUUGAGAAUUCCCAGUAUAGGGCCUUGCAGUAGUAGUUGUAGUGUACUAGGGACUCUGAUUCAUCGGCAGAUUUGGAGGUGCCGAUGCCAUAGGAGCCUUGCCCGUUACGUCAGCCACUUGAGAUGUUCCAGGAGUCUUUGCCAUCAUCUCUAGAGGCAUACCAUAACCCCACCAAUUAGGAGGAACAGAUCCCGACAUUGCCGAUGCCAAUAGAUCUGUGGCACGCUUGAUUUGCUCGUCUGAUGCUGACGGACUGGUCGUCAUCGGCGUAGAUUGCGCAUUAGUGAGCCCUAAUGUGCUUGGAGGGGAAGUAGCUUCUGUACCCGCAACGGCUGUAGUAGCCUAUGGAGCUGUGACCAAUGAUGACCCUGGCUGAUGAUAGGCAGGACCAACAUAAUUUGGUGGCAAUUGCCCUUCCUUGAAAGUUCUGGCUACCGCAUUGAAAACCGUGUUGGACAGCACACCAGCUUGAUUGAUCACGGCACGAUUAAUAGCACUAUGAACCAUGUCUUGAAGUUUACCAAGAUUGGCUUCAAAACUAAUCUGCCGAGGUGCCGGCAAUGCUUCCUUUUGGAUCACCUCACCGCUCCUGUUAAUAAUGAAGGAUUUCAGGCAUUGCUGCUUGUAUUCCUCUAUGGCUUUUGCCAUGGCUUCCUUCUGCUCAUCUCUAAGAUUGGCUUCUGUCACGGGAAUAACGUUCUCCAAGUUGAAAUCGGUGUUCGACAUGUUGAUCUUGAUCUUGAAUCGGUCCCACUGGGCAUGCCAAAAGAUGUGUUGGUGCAAAAGUUGAUCUGCAAACACAAAGGGCUAAUACCCGAUUCAAACGUUAAGGCGUGCCAGCCGAUUUGACCAUACAAUCGACAAAGGUGGUAACUCGACCACUUUGGGCCCGACAACAGCGAUGCGCCCGGAUGUCACGGCUAAGAGGUGAUCACGCGGAACUUGAGAAUGCGCCGAGUUUGACUCGACGAAUUCCUAAGAACUCGUAGUAAAAAGAAAAAUAUGACGAAGUCGUCGAAAAAGUAGAUGCUGGAAUAUGAGUAAAAACUUAUGUUUGAUUGAUUGAUAGAUCUCUUCAUUACAAGGCCCUAGGGUCUACAUUUAUACCUUGCUCAAAGAGCUACAAUCAGACACGACUAGGACUCAAAUUCCAAAUUAAACGGAACCCGUAUACAAAACGAAUUCUAAUGACUAAGGAAAACAUUAAACUACCCCCUCGUAACCGAUCGGGACACUGCCACGGAUCAAUCGGCAACUUCCACGCUUUUCUUCAGAAUCAUCGGCAAACCACCUGUUACAGCCAUUGGCAAACAUCGGCUCUGGUCAUCGACAUGAACACAUCAUCAACCCUGGACUUAAUCAUAUUCAAUUGUUCCCCUAUCGGCACCAUCCCUCCAUCGGCAACUUCCCUGUAGACUAGUUACCGUUGCUUCAUCUGUCGAUCUAUACUUUACUAACCCCAGGUUCGCGUCCAAAGAUACGUGUCCAAAAAUGGUGUCAACAAAACAUAUUGAAUCUUGUGCAGUUUUAUCUCUUACCAUCUAAAGUAGCAGUUAAUUGGAGGCCAACAUGAUAGCACAUUCAGUUUGUGUUUCGCUUAGCUAAUCUCUGUAUGGCAACCAAGAUAUGCUUUGAUCAUAUAUCUCCUAAAUCAAUCGGACCGUUUCAAUAUUAACAUAAAUAAAGUGUCCCAGGCCUUCCCCCACCUCUGUAACUUGACUAGUGCCAAGCUGUACUGCUAAUCUGCUAAUAUAUUAGUUGAAUUCCUAAAUCCUCAUGUAUGAGGCAUUAGCUGCUGAAUUAUAUAGCCCCCCUGGAAUUAGCGGCAUUAUUGUGAGUUCUGCCUCUUAAUGCUGUUUUGUUCUAGGUCAGACCAUUUUAGGUAAUUUACUUAUUCUAUAGGGUGCUAGAAGACUGAAUGCCUAUUGAGGUCAGAUCAUUUUAGGUAAUUUACUUACUCUUCUUUAGUCUCUAGUCUCUACCCUCAAAUCGAUAGUGCCAACACUUACUACAACUCAUGCAAAUGCAGACAACAAUUGUGAAGCUAGUAAACAAUUUUCUGCAACCAUCUUUUUGUUUCACUUGAUGUAGUUGUCAUUGCUACCUGUCGUGUCUUCAUGUUUCAUUUCUUACUGUAACCGGGCUCAUUGGUUGGUUCCAUUUAUCUUGUUUUAAUUGUAGAGAGGGACCAGAGAUAUGUGCAGAAGCUGUUGCAUUGCCAACACAAGCCUGUUAGGAAACAGUAGUUACUUGACUCCUACUUAUCAUCUUUUAUUUGUAUGGUAGCUUAGUUAAAUUGAUAAACAGAGCUCUAUAAUACAUUUGCAACAAUAGUGUUUUAGAUGGCAGCUUACUUACACAUGACUAGUUGUGAACUUAAUUAACUGAUUUAGUCUAGAGUGUUGUUAAAACAAUGCAUGAUGUUGGUGUAGUGAGAUCAUAUAUGCAUAGAUUAUUGUAACUAUUGUUUGAUUUCUUCCAGCUUACAUAUGAAAAGUUCCUUUUUGACUUUUUAAUUUGUUUCAACAAGUGAUGUUUGUUUCUAAUGUGUUUUCUACAGGAUAUGGAGAAAUUUCAGCAAGCUAAGCUAUUCACUCAAGCUCCUGACACCAAAAGUCACCUAGUUGCCAGCACCUGUUGAACUAUUAGUUUGGUGACUAAGGUCACUUGUGAGAUAGAGAUGUGAGAUUUCCAUUUGUUUAAAUUAUCUGAGAUAACUUUGUGACUAAGUUCACUUAUUGAACUAUAGUUUGGUGUUCGUGAUGAAUGUAAUAAAUAUAUUGAUGAAUGACUUGUGAACCUGUUGGUUUGGUCAUGAAUGGAAUAUAUUGUUGGACAUACAUUUGUUAAUGUGCAUUGUUUGAUGUGUGGGUGGGGUACGUGAUGGCAUGGAUCGAGCUAAAUCAACGAGUCAUCCUACGUGACAAGGCCUAAGAACCUACGACAUAAAAGUAGAAGUCAUAAACGCUUGUGACAUCUGAAACUAGUGUCAUGGUAUUAUUACAUGAACGCUUAAACGUCACAAGUUAUCAUUAAAGACGUGCAUCUUUUGACAAUUCAAUUUUUGUCAACUUGGUGUCAUAAAUGGUAAUCUAUGACUUAUUUUGCAUGAAUUAUGACAUAUAUCAAAUAUCAAAAGAUGACACAUUUGUUGUAGUGACCCCAAAUGCACGCUCAAUAGCCUUUCUACGUGCCUCUUGACGCACAACAAAGUGAGGUUGCUUGUUACUUUGAGGUUUUGAAAUUGUCUUCACAAAUAUAGCCCAUGAAGGAUAUAUGCAUCAGUAAGAUAAUCUCCCAUUGUGUAGUGGUGACCAUUGACAUCAAAGUCCACGGGAGGUGCUUUCCCAACAGCUAGCCUAGCAAACAAAGGAGAUCUUUGUGAGAUCCCAAAGUACGCAUGCCAAUUCCAUUGGUCUUCUAAUGCAACGGCUUCAAGAAUUACUGUUGGAUCAUGACAAUGUCCGUUGAAUUGCCCGUGCCAUGCGACAAGACAAUUCUUCCACUUCUAGUGCAUGCAUUCGAUGCAUCCUAGCAUACCUAGGAAGCCAUUUGAUGGACCAAUCUCCAUAAGUCUUGCAAUAUCCUUUGCAUUUGGUGCUCGCAAAUAUUUCUCUCCGAAGAUCUCUACCACAGACUAGACAAACUUCUUCAAGCUCUUAAUUACAGUGCUCUUAUCAAUAUGAAUCCAAUCAUCGAGGGAAUCAGCCGGACAACCAUAUGCUAGCAAUACUAAUCAGUGCUUCAAUAUGACUUCAAAAGUCCUAUGUAUUUUUCAUCAAUGCUUAACCUCUAUUUUUUCAACAAAUUAGUAUAGCUGCUAAUAACAAAAUUUAACAUAUCAGAACAUAAAACAAGGCCAGUCAUUUUAGAGAUCCUUUUUAUCAUUUAUUUAUUGAAACUUUCCUUAUUAUUUCAAGGAAUACUGUCGGUGUUUUCCCCUGGGGGGUAGCAUCAACGAGUGAAUUUCUGUGUAUGCUCCCUCUUCCGGAUGGUGAUGCAAGAAGAACACAACGAUUUAUCCUGGUUAGGGCAAAAGAAGGCCCUACGUCCAGCGGGGGGAGAGGAGUUUGUAUUAUCUCGCACCGAAGCACUUGUACAAGGGUAAAUACAAGUAUGAAAGGGUGUGAGGUUCUAAGUCCUCAGGACCUAGCAGUGCGUGGCUAGGGUGUUGGCAGUGUUGCGCGUGUGAGCAUGGGUUUCUAUGUGAAGUGCCUGCCCUGUUCCAAGCCCUGGCGUCCCAUUUUAGAGGCCAAGGGGAGGCUCAGGGUUACAUGGUGCAAGAGCUAGUGUAGGUUACAAUAGGGGUGAGGACACGAGUCAACCCGAGGCCUCCGUACCAGUGUGGCUCGACGGGUCUUGUUGCAGUGUACUUGGUGAUGAUGGCACGUGCGUUCUCUUGCGUGAGUUCCUGUAUAACACUUGGCCAUAGUCAUGUACUUAUAUGCACGUGCACAUAGACUCUUAGGUGUCGCAUCAGGAGUGGUUGGAGCGUAGACUGGUCUGGAGGGGUCUUUCCUAGAAUAGCAUCCGAUGGUCUCGAGGAUCGAGUAAACUGGGCAUGCUCCAUACAGGGAAGCGUUGACAAUUAUGCCUCGAGGGAUUGCUCGUCGGGAUGUUACACCGGGCGUGACAGAAAUGCCUUGUACCUUUUCCCAACUUCCACGACAAAGCCGAUAAAAAGCGGGACAUGAUGGGGGUACGACCCAUCAUCACUGCUGUGGCUGCCAUGGUGUUAGGUGAGAGCCUGUCAGGCAUAUUAAAUGCCCUAGAUCCCGUACUGGUGGGAGGUAGUCAGAAUGUGUCCCGCGCUCGAGAUAGUGUAACUCGCUCGACCAAGAUCCCUUAAUCGAGAGGUAUACAGAAUCGAGGGUCAGACGUCUGCUCGAGCUAUUUUCCAUCAUCGAGACAUAUGCAUCAAGUGGCGCAUUGGUUGUGUCUGCUGUAUCUCGAGUGGAGGGUACAACAAGUAUAUACCCAUCUAGGAGCUCGAUGUCUGUUCCUAGGCCGACCCAUGAUGGUUUGGACGUUGGGGUUUUCUCACCUGUCAUAGCGGGUGGGGAUUUUAUUUCCUUUGGUAUAUAAUAUGGGUACCCCUUAUUGAUAUCCUCGAAAGUAGCCCCUAAGCCCCUAUUUGAGCACUGGUGCUUGAGCAGGGGGUCAUGGUCGCGAAUCAGAGUUAUGGGUAUCGAGUUUCCGUGGGGGAUGUGCAAGCGUCCCCCGCGGGGGUAGCCCCUGAGGACUCAGAGGAGUCGGUAGACUCCAUUGAGGGCUGUGUUUAUUUUUCCUAGGGAUGCUUCUCAGUUCUGGGACUUAUUUGUGAUUCUAGGUAGUUUAGACAACAUGAACUGGGGUCAUCACACCUUACCUAACAGGUCCCUUGGGACAUCGAGCCUUGACAUUUUUGACCCUCUCUCGUCGAGGGCCAUCAGACCUUGUGGAGCCCCUGAGCCUCAUAUGUCCAGGGUCUUACCGAUUCCGAUGUUCAUCUCAUGAGUCCUUUCAAUCGGAUGUGAGGCAAGAAACGUGGUGCUACCCUCAAUUGGGCGAGCCUCGACGUUCUCAUUGAGCUGGUAGCGGGGAAUCCAAGUGAGAACCUGAUGAGGACAUCGCCAAUAUGGAGUCCAGGACGACUCCAAUUCAAGAACGGGAGGACGAUGAGGACAUCACCACGCUGGACACGUCAACACCAUCAUUUCUUUCUCAAGUUGCAAUUCAUCCCGAACUCGGCGACCACGUCACUCUUGGAUUCAGCAGACACAUCGUCAGUGUUUCGAUCAUAACUUCUUCAUACGACAUUGAAACAGGGUGAUCUUGGACUUGUUGGAAAGGGGACAACAACGCCGUCGUUUUGGAUCUAGUCCUAGAUCCAGAUCUUUCAUGGAUUAAUCUGUAUGACUAUGACAAUGUGCUACGCCACCUAUUUUGGGCCAACUUGGCCAUGUAUUGAGUCGGGCCUUUAAGCCCAACUAGUGGGUGCCUCCCCCCAGGUCGCCUCCAACCCUAGGUCGUCUCUCUUUUAUAUUCCAUGCAGCCACCGUUGUUUAGACUUAGGUUUUGUUUAGAGUUUAGUUUUCCAUCGAGAAACUGAAUUAUUCAUUGUAACUAUCGUGACAAAUCCUUUUACAGUGAUCUAGGGUCCCCGUUCUUAAUCUCCUCCACUGUGUUGAUUAGUCCUUUGGAACCGAGUUCUUGAACCCUUUUUGAAUAUUUGCUUCAUUCAUAUUUGCAAUUUCAGAUUGCGUGUUUUUAUCUUCUUGCUUGUGUUCUUGAAUUUGCUUGCAGGAACAACCUUCUUGGCGAGGUCAAUCAAGUUGUGCUUGGUUGAUAACCAAUGGAGCAGUGGUGUAAUGGUUGCAGGGUUCGAAUCAUGCUAAUUUGAAGCCGGAUCACCAACGUCGAGUUCUCCAUAAAUCAAAUUUACCAAUUACCUAUCGGAAGAUCAGGCUUGAACCUCAUCAAUUGGUACAAGAUAUCUCAGGUUUACCGCGAGGUAUAAUCUCAUUUGCCCUAUAUUCAUAUUUGUUCAUUACCUACAGUCCACAAAAAGCCCCAAAAAAUAGUUCAAUUUCCGUUGUCCUAUCACCCGUUGUGCCUUGCAAUUUCUCUUUUAGUUUUGCUUUGUUGAGUUUGUGUCCGUGGUUGAGUCUAGUUGCUGGUUUCGAUUGUGUUUGUUGUCAUAGUUCAAUUGCACCGUUGCUGUUCUUUAUUUCCGCCGCUCUCCCAUCCACCAUUCCUAAACAACAAGUCGAAGCCACCAUAUUACUCGACUUGUCCUCGCUAGCCGCCUUGUAUGAACUCUCCCCGCCACUCUAACCCUAGAUACUAGGUUGCCAACCGCUGUUAUUUUACCUGCAUUGCAGCCCUCUUUACAUCAUCAGUCGAAUACCUAAUACUGUUAGUCACAUGGACGAUUCAUCCUAUGAUCGGUGUUGGAGUUUAGGGACGCUUUUCCCUAACUGCCACUGCUGCUGCCACCGUGUUGUGCCUUCCGAAAAACAUAACUUGAGAUAUCUUCGGUAAAAGAGGCAUAACUUUUUGCUCGUUUAUCAAAAAAAUCUGAAAUUUUUACAGCAGCUUCUUGACACAUUUGGACCAGACCCAAACUUGGCUUCACCCUGUUUGGUUUCAUCAAAAUUACCAAAAUAAUCAGGAAAAUAAACAAAAAAAAUUGACAAGGGUUUUGCACGUUUUUCAGAGAACUUGCUGAAUUUCUAUAGACCACAUCUUACCUCAGUUGUAGUUGGCAAUUUUUGUAGUAACAUCUUUUGUGAUCCUUGUUUAGAGGAAAAUAUAAAAAAAUAGUGAAAAAAAUAAAAAAUCUUGAUUCCUACUAGUGCCUUUUGGGAAAAUCUGGGAAAAAUCAGGAUAAAGAAAAAAUCUGCCCUAUUGCUUGUUCGCUAAGUUCUUUCCAUCAUAAUUUGUUUCACCUUGUUGCACUACAUCUAGACACGUCUUAGCCAUCAAUUGUGAUUUAUCCUUUGGAUACUUAUUGAACUUAGCUAACUCUACAUUCGAAUAUUGCUAAUCCUUGCUACUUAUAUUGUGACUAUCCAAAGCUCCACAUAUACUUCUGUUAGCACAGGUUCCUCUUGCAAAUGUUUACCCAUGCUCAACAAUAGAUUGCUUUGUCGAUUUGGUUUUGCUCCUGUUUGGCUUUGGUAAGAACACUUGUAGGACGGUGGUAAGCUGCUUCUAAUUUUAUAUUCCACUUUCAACACCACCACCACUUGGUUCCUUUUAGUUGAUAGGGAUAAUACUUUGCUGUUGUUUUUCCCUAUUUUCUAACCAUGGUAGGAUCUCCAAUGGAUUUCAAUGAUUAUGUGUCCAAGGGUGAACUUACAACGUUCAUCACUAAACAACGCAAUCUUAUGAACGAGCUGACGCGCAAUGUGAACAAUCUGGUCACCCGUAUUGAACAGAUUGAGCAAUGCCCUCAAUCUCAUCGUGGUGAUGAUGAAGAUACUGAUGCAGAUGGAGAUCUAUCUGAUCAUGAAGAUGCGGAUGAUGACGGUGAUGCAUGCAACCGUCGCCGCUACAACUUCAAUCGUCGCGGUAUGGGAGGUAAUAAUCAUGGUAAUAAUGAUCCUUUUGCUAAAAUUAAAUUUAGCCUACCUCCUUUUGCUGGUAAUGUUGACCCUAAAGCAUACUUAGACUGGAAACUUGCUGCUCAAUAAAAAUUUGAUUCUCAUAAUGUUCCUGCUGAGCAUAGAGUUAGACUUGCUACUAGUGAGUUUACUCAUUUUGCUUUAUUUCGGUGGAGUGAUCUUUGCAAUGCUAAUAAUGCUGCUACUAUGCCUCAGAUUUGGAAUGCUUUAAAACAACAUAUAAUCUCGUUUUGUUCCUCUUUAUUAUCAACAUGAUUUACGUCUGAAACUGCAAACUUUAAAACAAGGAGAUAAAGGCGUAGAAGUAUACUAUCAAGAAUUGCUUAUUGGUUUAGCACGUUGUGGUGUAAAUGAAGAUGAUGCUGAUUCUAGUGCUAGAUUCUUUGGUAGUUUAAAUCAUGAUAUCCAAAACAUUCUUGAUUACAAAGAAUGGUGUAAUUUUUCCCAAUUGUAUCAUCUUGCUAUUAAGGCAGAACGUGAAGUACAGAGACGCAAGAAACACCAGUCUUUCAGGUCUAACAAUGGGAGGAAUUUUUAGCAGCCUUCCGAGCCGGAGACGCCUAAGAUUUCUAUUGCACCACAACCAUCUACACCUGCAUUUUCUUCUAGGGUAAGUAAAUAGACUAAUGUGCAGCCCCCACAGCUGAAGAAAGGUGCCACUCUGGGUGCUUCCACUAGCUCCUCCUCGCCCAGCACUAAAAUCAUUUGUCACCGACACAAAGGCAUGGGACAUGUCAUGAAGGACUGCCCUAGUCAUUGAGCUUUCAUUGCUACCGAGGAUGGAUAUGUAAGUGCUAGUGAUGUUGAAGAUGAUUUAGCCCUUGCUGCUAACAUUGCUGUAGAUUCCACUAAGGGCGAUCAAGACACAGAGACCAUCGCCAUUGACUCCAUGGCUACCUUUGUGGGCUAUCCUACCUUCUUGUGCAGCGUGUGUUGAGUUCACAUGUGGGAUAUGAAGAAGAGAUGCAGAUCCAGCGCCACAAUUUGUUCCACAUGUAUCUCAUUACGCAGGGUUGUCGUGUUCUCACCAUUAUUGAUAGCGGGAGUUGCAAAAACUUGGUGAGUUCAGAUUUGGUUGAGAAGCUUGGCUUGACCACACGACAACAUUCGUAUCCAUACAAACUUCAAUGUUUAAAUAAUAGUGGUAAGACUAAGGUAACUAAAUCAGCCCGAAUUAGCUUUUUCACAGGCAUUUAUCAUGAUACUGCUGAUUUUGAUGUUGUACCUAUGUAAGCUUGUUCAAUUUUAUUAGGACAUCCAUGAGAAUUUAAUAAUGAUGCUUUACACCAUGGUAGAACUAAUACAUACACUCUCAUGCAUAAAGACAAGAACAUUACGUUGUUGCCUUUGUCACCUAUGGACGUUGUUAAACAUGCUAAAGAGAUUAACAAUAAACCUCCAAUAGUCAUUGAUAAAUAUAAUGGGAUUAAGUUACAAGGAGGUGAUCUACUUGCUACAACUUCUGCUACUGCUAAGCUAUGUGAUAAUCUAGAUGCACCAUGUUAUACUAUGUUUUGUCAACCUAUUAUGUCUAGUGCAUUGCCUGCUGUCACUAACUGUUUGCAUGAGUUUGUUGAUGGGGAAGAGUCGAGGAUGACUCCGAUUCUAGAAGGAGGGGAUGUUGAGGACAUAACCAAGAUGGAGUCAAGGACGACUCCAAUUCAAGAAGGGGAGGAUGAUGAGGACAUCGCCAUGCUGGACACGUCGACACCAUCAUCUUUCUCAAGAUGCAAUUCAUCUCCAACUUGGCGACCACGUCACUCUUGGAUUCAGCAGACAUGUCAUCAGUGUUUUGAUCAUAACUUCUUCAUACGACAUCAAAACGGGGUACAUCUUGGACUUGUUGGAAAGGGGACAAUGACACCGUCAUUUUGGAUCUGGUCCCAGCUCCAGAUCAUUCAUGGACUAAUCUGUAUGACCACGAUAAAGUGUUGUGUCACCUAUUUUGGGCCAACUUGGCCAUGUAUCGAGUCGGGCCUUUAAGCCCAAGUUGUGGGUGCCUCCCCUAGGUCACCUCCAACCUUAGGUUGUCUCUCUUUUAUAUUCCACAUAGCCACCUUUGUUUAUACUUGCAUUUUGUUUAGAGUUUAGUUUUCCAUCGAGAAAUUGAAUCAUUCAUUUUAACUAUGGUGACAAAUCCUUUUACAGUGAUCCAAGACCCCCGUUCUUGAUCUCCUCCACUUUAUCGAUUAGGCCUUUGGAACCAAGUUCUUGAACCCUCUUUGAAUAUUUACUUCAUUCAUAUUUGUAAUUUUAGAUUGCGCGUUUUUAUCUUCUUGCUUGUGUUUUUCAAUUUGCUUGCAGGAACAGCCUUCCUAGCGAGGUCAAUCAAGUUGUGCUAGGUUGAUAACCAACGGAGUAGUGGUGUAACGGUUGUAGGGGUUCGAAUCGUGCUGAUUUGAAGAUGGAUUGCCAACAUCGUGUUCUCCACAAAUCGAAUUUACUAAUUACCUCUUGGAAGAUCAGGCCUGAACCUCAUCAGAAUCCAUGCCCCGUUCGAUGGGGGUUGGCUACUAGCCCUAAGGCAAUCCCAUUGAUGCUAGACUCAUAGAUGCAUGGAUGCUAGUCCCAUUCGAUAGGGUCUGGUGGCUCAUCGUCUCCCUCCAUGGGGAUUCCUUGUCUUACCGCUUGUCCCAGCCUUAGAUACUCCCAUUGGGGUCUCGAUGAUUCAAUCUCGAGUCAUGCCUCAUGUCAGCCCCCCUCUAGGUGUUCCUGACUCAAGUACUCAAGGGUGUGUGUCAAACCCUAACUGAGGGUCAGUCCUAGAUCCCUCGAGAUUCUGGAGCGGGCCGGGGCCUGCCCUGCCUUCUUACGGAAGGAAGCGUAGCAGCGUUCAGCCUUCCUGCCUGUUGGGCACGCCUUUUUAGAUUGGAACCAUUGUGGCAUGAUCUUCUUCAAGUAGAAACGGCAAGAUUCUUGUCGUGGGAAUCUAGGAACGGUUAGUCAGCGUAAUUAAUGCUGGGAUUUACCUUCCUUUGAUGUCAGAUUUGCCUGUUGCGUCCGGUCUCUAUAAAUUAGUGGGGUCGGACUUGCUACCUCCGCUGCCACCUUUUCGCCAUCACCUUCUUGCCUUUUCCCUCCUGUCUUUCCACACCUAAGAGAGAGAAAGGGAAAGAGGAUGAGAAAAGUGCUAGGGACCUCCCCUAGUCAUUCCACCAUCGACCUAUGCCACCAUGACGGUGACCCUAGUGCCCGCCAACGAGUGGCGCCCAUCGACCGUGACUAUGGAGCACCAACCUCGACUGUGGCCCCUCCUCGACGUUGUGAAGCAGCUUUGCCAGGAGGGUCUGACAGUGGCCAUCAUCCUCUCGGCUAUUCAUCAUUUGUGGGUGCUCCCAUUGAUGGACCAUCUACUGAGGAUGGACGAGAUGGGAGCACGCAUCACGCCUGAGGAUCUCGAGGCAUGCCGCAUGUCGAGGGAGGCAUUGCCCGGUGUGGAGAUCGUGACAAGGGUUAGGGCCAUUAUCGCUAAUGCUUUCCGAGUCGAGAGCGUCAAAUACAUCCCAAUGAUGCCUGACGAGGGCUAUCUUGACCUAGUGAGUGCCUCGAGCUGCACUACUUUGUUUGCCGUUUUCCUCAUGUGUGGAUGUUUCCACAUAGGGGAAAAUCGACUUUAGUUCAUCGAGGCCCCCAGUGAAAGAAGAUAAGGCAGAAUGUGAGGUAAGACGUCUCUUUGACUAGAAACAUAAGAGAGAGCUAGACACGAAGAAGAAGAAGAAGAAGAAGAAAAAGAAGAAAAACAUCAUUCAGCAGGAGCUCGAGCUGCGUCGCGCAAAGUAGAGGCACGAGGGGAAACUCGAAGAAGAAUCCCCUAAUGAUGACGAAGAUGAGGGUGAUGCUGGCGAUGAUGGCGAGGACGUCGAGGCGAUGGCAGCACACCUCGAGCAUCUCCUUCAACCUCCACCUCGGGCUAACAUGUCAUCCAUGCAAGGAGACGUCCCCGUGGAACUGUGGGAAGAGAGGCAAGACGGCUCCAUGUCUCGGAUGGAGUCUUCGUCUCGUCACCCAUGUGGUAGUACUCCUCCUACCCCCAUCUAAGACCAAACUAGGAUGCCCCCAUGUCUGCCUAAGACCUCUGCACUAGGGCCUCGGACUCGAGGCUGGGGGGAGGCGCACAGGGAGAGCUCAAGCCCUAAAGCGCACCGGAGGAUGCAAUCGAGGCCAGCACCCAUUGUCAGCUUGGGUCUUCAGCAAGGUCCGAUGCAUGGUGUUUCCUCGAGGCCCACGGCACUAGGAGGAGAAUCACUCUUCCUGUGGGGUAAGGUUUCGAAGUCUGAUAUUUUCGUUCACCUCUAGGUCUCCAUUCUGAUACUCUUGUGACUUGCCUAUUUGCUUGUGGUUUAGGCUCAAAUGACAACUAGAGGAGGCGUGAUCUUCUCCCGCUAAAAGGCUCAAGAUAGGGGCAGACGCCAAGACGUCUGGUGGUAUCGAGGGUAUGGUUUUAUUUUUCUCUCACCCAUUGACUAGAACCGUACUAGUGCGGGAUGUUUUGGCUCGAGGUGAGCUAAACGGGUGUCAGUUUGGCCGCAGGACCGUCCAACUCGAGGCCUGCUACCGGGAGUGAUACUGCUCUGCCACAAGCACUAGAAGGUGGGGCCGUCCCUAGAGCCUCGAUGCCAGACCACUUCGCCUUGAGUCAGGCUAAGACUUCUCACUCCAAACGCACAGAAGGAGCUCCCGAGGCCCCAAAGUUAGGAGCAAAGGUCGCUCCGUCCGACGUCAGCGGUGAGAAGACAAUGGGGUCACCUCUGCCAGAAUAGCAUCCCAUGGCGAGGAACAUUGAGGCUCCUCAGACUGAGGGGUGGGCACUAUGGCCCAUCAGGCUCCACGUGGCUGAGGAGGAGAAUAGAAAGAAAGAGCAAAAAGAGAGGAGGAAGUUAGAGGGAGAGGAAGAAAAGAAUGAGAAGAUAGGAGAGGGAGAGGAAGAGAAAGAAGAGAGGGAAGAAAGUGAGAAAAAGGGCGUGUCACCGUCGCUUGGUGAACUCGAGGAGGAAGUUCCAGCCUCGAGCCAGACCUAGACCCAACAACAACAGCUACAGUAGCAAGAGCAGGAGCAGGGGUCACGUCAGCUGGAGCUGCGGGCCUAUGGCCCCAAGACUCCUACAAGGAAGAAGACGUGGCAGCCGUUGGCCCAUCCAGUCGAGUCAGGUCGAGAUGAUAAGGUCGCGGCGCUGGCAUUCCUUCCCCACCCCACCGACCAAUAUGGAGUCGGUACCUCAGAGGACUAUGUAUGGUCCCGAGGGGGUCGCCUCGGGCUAUUUCGUGAGCUGGGAGCCAAGGGCAGACGAGGCUGGCUCUUCUGGGUCUGGAGAAGAGGCCCAGAUGUUUCCCACCUUGGUGGACCUGUUGUUGUGCCAUGGAGGCACAACAGAGUUCAUGGAAAACAUCUUGCGCUUGGUGAAGGAGCACGCCAAGGAGGAACUUCCCGACUGGGGGACCCAAAAACUCCAUCUCCUAGGCCUAGCCCUCCUGGAGUUAAUGCUGCUCGAGAUGGACGACUGCAUGGAGGUUGAGAAGUGGGAGCACAUGGAGGAGCUACAGCUUUGGCUAAAACAUGCUAUGGCCUUGUCCGUCGACAUCAUCAGCAAGGAUCUCGCCUAGGCUUUCUUUGUAUGUGCUUUCUUUCCUACGUGCUUUGAUCUUGCAGGUUUCAGAUAUACACCUAGUGACGUUUGACCUCACACCCUUUUUUCUCAGAAUUUAAAGGGGACCUCCUGGGAGAAAUCCUGUUUUAUUCACGCGACCAAGGGUGGAUGGGAGCAAGUUCCCGUUCUAGAGCAUAAGCUCCUCCAAUCUUAAGAAGCGCUUCUCAAGGCACAAAAGGAGCUGCUCCAGGCUUUGACGGAUAGGCAGAAAAAGGAGGACGACCUGGUCGAGGCUCGAGGCACUUUGGUGACGGUUCAAGGCAAGAUCUACACCGCCCAAGACGUUGCCGAGACAGUCAAGGCAGAUGCUAAAAAGGCUCGAGGGGAGGCCACCCAAGCCAAGGAGGAGGUCGCUUGAGCAAGGGAGGAAAAGAAAGAAGCAGAAGGGGACGUCCUCCUGCUCACCGAGCGGAUAGGGAAGCUCGAGGCUGACUUGACUAGAACCACAGAGGGAUACACCAAGGCCCGGUCGUAAGCUUUAGAAUACAUAGCCGCCAAAGGUGCUGCCCUGGUGGAGGAGAAAAAGGCAAAAGAGGAGCUGGAGAAAGAGAAGAGUUGUGCCAAUGCUUUGGCCCUCAACAUCAAUCGGCUGAAGAAAAUCUUGCUGGAGAAGGAGGUAGCCAUUACCACCGCGGGCAAGCUGAUCGAGGACCUAUGGGUCAAGAAGAUGGAGGUGGCUCGCUCUUUCCAAAGGGUUAAGAAGGCGAACACCGACUUGGUUGGUGAGAACACAUCCCUCUAUGAACAUAUCCGUGGUGAGUAUCUCUAUUUGGAUUUAUCUUUCUGGUCUAUUUGUCCAUUGUGACUAACUUUUGUGUUGGCUUUCAGAGCUCGAGGGCGAGUUGCUCGAUGCUCAGACCACCUCCAAGAUGCUCCAAGUGGAUCUCAAGGGGGAGGUGUUGUUCAUCGAUUGGCUCCGGACCACGAUCAACGAUCUCUCUGCUUCCUAGAAGCUCGAGCCUACAAACAAGGCUAGGGAAAUGGCUCGAGGCAAUGCCCUUGUGGAUCAAUUAUGCUAUCUAGGUGCUACCAUGAAGGACCGAGUCCAGGAUGCCCUUCACGUCGGCGUGAUGUGGGCAAUGGCGGUCGUCUACUCUGGAUUCUCUUAUGACAUGGAGGUGGUCUCCCAUGGCUUCAUCUCUGACAUAACGAAGACCGAUGCUGAGAACAAGGAGAGGCUUCAUGCUCUUGUCGAUGACGCUGAGGGAUCUGGUGGGAGAUUGGAGGCGCUGUUUGAGCUGAAAGUUCUACCUCCCGAGGUCGGUGCUGGAGAUGAUGAAGGUGGUGAGGAUAAGGAUGCUGGUGACGACAACCAGGGUCUAUGAGACUCAUCUAGGUACAAGAACCCAUGUAAUAAGUUAGUUCCUUUACUACAUUAUGCUACUAGGGCUUUGAGACAUACACGCCUGCUUGCUAUAAAGUUUUAUGCUUUGAGUUUUUUUCUUCUUUCUUUCCUAGAUUUUGUUUUUUGACUAAGUUUUUGACACAGACUCGUUGACCUCAAGGGUGGGGGAGUGAGUGGAGUUACCAUAGAGCAGAGGCGUAGGGAUCCUCCGGCUCAAUGUCCCUCGACCCUUAAGGGGCUCGACGUCCCUCGACCCUUAAGGGGCUCGAGGUGUUUUCUACUUACUCGCGUAACGUUUUCUGAAUCGUAAAAGAAAGAGGUAACGUUGAGCUUUGAGAAAAACGUUCAAGUUUUUUGAGAGCCUAUGGGGUUCCCCCCUGUGAGCCCGUGAGGAAGUCUUGACUAUGACGUAGCAUAGACAAGGCUCCCUUUCUUUUUAUGAGUAGAAUAGUAAGUGCUGAAUAUCAAAAGCAUUUUCAUUCAUUCGAGAUGCUGCAAGGGUACCUAACACAGGAAAUGUACAAAGCUUUGAGGCUCUAGGGGUAGAAGCGACGUAGUUGUUCGAUGUUCCAUGCGUUGGUGAAGACCGCGCCCUUGUCAUCUGCUAGCUUGUAUGUUCCUGGCUUCAAGACUUAUGCCACCACGUAUGGGCCUUCCUAGGGUGGGGUCAGCUUGUGGCGCCCUUAGUUGCUUUGCCAUCGAUGGAGGACAAGGUCGCUGACUUGCAGGUCCCUUUCACGUACGUGCUUGUCAUGAUAGCGUUGACGCUUCUGCUUGUACCUUGCUGAGUUGAGGAGGGCCAUGUCUCGAGCCUCCUCUGCUGGUUGACUGCGUUUUCCUGGGCCACCUUGUUUGUCUGCUUGUUGUAUGCCUUGAGUCGAGGGGACCCGUACUCGAGAUCUAUGGGUAGAAUAGCCUCAAAUCCAUAGACCAUGAAGAAUUGGGGUGAAUUUUGUGGCUCGACUAGGUGUCAUCCUUAGGCUCCACAGGACCGAGGGUAGUUAAUCAACCCACUUCUUACCGAAUUUGUUCAGCCGAGUGCAGAUUCUAGGUUUUAGACCUUGAAGGAUCAUGUUAGCCUGAUCAACCUAGCCAUCAGUUCAUGGGUGGGUGACCACGGACCAAUUCACAUGAAUGUGAUGAUGGUCGCAUAAGUCCAAGAACUUCUUACCUGUGAACUGUGUGUUGUUGUCGGUGAUGAUGACAUUGGGGACCCCAAAGUGAUGGAUAAUGUCGGUGAAGAACAAGAUGACUUGCUUGGAGCGUUGUUGGUGAUGGGUCGAGCCUCGAUCCACUUGGAAAACUUGUCAACGACUACAAGCAGGUGUGUGUAACCUGCAGUCGUCCUAUGGAGGGGCCCCAUGAGGUUGAGGCCCUAGACCACGAAUGGCUAGGUGAUGGGGAUCAUCUAUAAGGCAUGAGUUGGGAGAUGCGUUUGCUUGGCAUAGAAUUAGCAUCCAUGGCACGAGCGGAUGAGGUCGAAGGCGUCGGUGACGGUAGUAGGCCAGUAAAAGCCUUGCCAAAAAGCGUUUCCAUCAAGGGUCCUAGGCGCCGCGUGGUGGACGCAAGCCCCCCAGUGUAGUUCCUCGAGGAGCUUUCUGCCUUCCUCGACAGUGAUGUAGCACUGGAGGAUCCCUAUUGGGCUUUGUCGGUAUAGCUCCUUGUCAUCGCCAUAGAUCAAGUAGGACUUGGCCCAUCGAGCUAUGCGGUGAGCCUCUAUCUAGUCUUCUGGGAGCUCCCCUUGGAUCAAGCAGUCGAGAAAAGGAUCGUGCUAAUCGAUCGGCUGCUUGACCUCGGUGACCUCAGCUGCCGCCAAGAAGGCCUCGACCGUGUGCGUGGGCUCGGGUGUUGAUGACGUGACACCAGCUCCCGUGCCUAGGUCAACUGAAGGCUCGAGGAGAUCCCUAGAGAACACGUUUGGCAGGAUAGUGCCUCUAUUGACAAUAGAUAAGUACUCUUUUUAACCAUCAAUAUAGCUUGAGAAAGGAGUUAAAUUAGAAUACUAUCUAGCUAUAAGGGUUACACUAACAGAAUUCCACAAGUUUUGGUGAUUGUUUAUUUCUGCGGGGGGUUAUUGGAAUAAGAACAAAAGGAGGUCCACAUGUUAGAUUUACAUAGAGCGAACAUGUUAAACGUCAACUCAGGAAUACUCUAGAAGGCUCAGGAAGUCAGUUUGAUCCAAGGGCUGUGGUGCUUCCUAAGAGACUAUAAAUAAAGACCCUAACCCCCCUAGAGGAGGAGUUCAUAAUUAUCCUAUGAGAAGAUCAGGAGAAAAAUUAGGAAGAGAGGGGGUCCCUCGAAUGGAUCUGUCGCUAUAGGAUUCUUGGCCACCAUCUCAAUUAGAUCUCUAUAGUUCUUUAGCAUAGCUACAUAGGAGUAGAUCUAGAAGGAGUCAAGUUAAUCUUGAGUCCGGAUCUAUCUUCAAUUAUUGGUAAACUCUUAUUCUAUUUGUUAUAUUUAUAUUAGUUCUUGCUACUAUGAAUAUGAUUUUGAUCUAUUUGAUUAUAUCGGAAUUGACUUUAUUCUAUUUGCUUUUGUUCUUAAUUAUAUUGUUAUUAGCUUACCUUGAUUAUAUACUUAGUGAAGUUAGAUUAGAAUUAUGUUUAUGCAUAGGAUCGUAUAGCGCUUACUCAUUAGAUCGAUGGAUAAGUGGUAAAUAUUGUGUAGGCGUGGUGCCUAGACCGUAUUUAUCUAUGAUUACCCCUUAUAGUCUAGAGCUUGAGGUAGAUCGUGGGAGUGACAGUCCUAUUUAGUCCUUUGUAUUCCUUUUCCUGAUUAUAAGGAUUGUAGAGCACCAUUAUUAUAGGGAAGUUUUUGCUAUGUUCAUGAUCUUUCUUGCUAAUAUCACUAUGCAUAGAUAUAACCUUUUCUAGUGAUAAUGCUAGGUGUACUUGCACUAAUCAAAGUAUGCUUUGAUAGUGUAGUUGGGAUACUUAGGAUUUAUUCUUGUAGAUUGUCCUAAUACCAUGCUAGUGCUAUAGACUUAGAGUAAUCUAAUUGAGAUGAUUAUCAUGUUUAUCUUAUGGCUAUGAAUUCUUAUUUAUCCUCUAUCACUUAUUAUUCAUAUUUAUAUAUUUAUCUUAUGUGACACUUACCCUACAUAAGAGAUAGAUAAAGACAUGGUUAAAGUCUCCACGAUUACAUGCAGUGCUCAUUGCCCAUUAUCCAUUGCAAUUCUCUUCCUUGUGUUAAAAAUAUAAAUUACGAUACCUGGAAUACUCAUAGUUAAAAUGCUACAUCAGUAUUAUCUUGGCGCUUGCAGAUCCUUUAUUUAUUUAUGCCUAGAAAACCAUAUAGAUUUAAUACCAGCACUUCUACAUCAUGUUAGGGAUGACAAACUAGCUUAAGUGACGUUAAGUAAUUUUGACGUCGUUGCUAGGGAUAGGUUUAAGAGUCUAGUUUUAGUAGUUGCGUUAAGAAGUGUCAACAGCCUUGAGUGGACGCAAUCUUGGCGAGCUUGUCCGCAGCUUCAUUGUAUCAUCUAGCGAUGUGGUUGAGCUCGAGACCAUGGAACUUGUCCUCUAGCUUGCGUACUUUAUUGCAGUAAGCCUCUAUCUUGGGGUUGUGGCAACUCGAGGCUUUCAUGACUUUGUCGAUGACAAGCUGUGAAUCUCCUCAAAUGUUGAGGCACCAGACCCUGAGUUUGAUGGUGAUCCUCAACCCGUUUACAAGGGCCUCAUAUUCUGUGGCAUUGUUAGAGGCUGCAAAAUGAAUGCGAAUGGCAUACCGCAUGUGGACACCGAGGGGCGAGAUGAAGAGCAAGCCGGUGCCUGCCCCUGUCUUCAUGAGCGACCCGUCAAAGUACAUCAUCCAGAGCUUGGCCUGAACUUGCGCUGGUGGAAGCUGGGUGUCGAUCCAUUCUACGAUGAAAUCUGCUAGUACCUGAGACUUGAUGGUUUACAUGGGGCGUAGGUGACAGCCUCACCCAUGAGCUCGAUCGGGCACUUGGCGAUCUUCCUAUUAGCCUCCUGGUUUUGGAUGAUCUCGCCCAGACGAAAAGACAAGACUACCGUAACCCGGUGGAUGAUGUUGUAGCUUGCGGCGCGCGAGGAUGACCACGUAGACGAGCUUCUAUACUUGUGGAUAGCAUACCUUGAAAUCUGAGAGCACCUCACUCAUGAAAUAAACUGGUCGUUGCACCAGCAUGGCAUGCCCUUCUUCUAGCCUCUCGACCACUACUGUUGCGCUAAUGACCUAAGUGGUUGCCAUGAUGUAGAGGAGGCGCUCGGCAGAUCGAGGUGACACUAAGACUGGAGCGGAAGUCAGCAUGCCCGUGAGCUUGUUGAGGGCUUCCUUAGCCUCUGCAGUCCUGUUGGCGCAAAAAUUGGUAUCUCGCACCAACAAUCUCUGGGGCUCUCAAAGGGAGUGGAGGAGCUGAAGUCCUAGACCUCCUCAGCCACAAACACACGAGUUUGAUAAAUUGAUUGAGGGGUGUGCCAGUCAAUUUGACCUAAAAUUGACAAGGUAGAAGUACAAAAGUCAAAUUAUGGAAUCUGUCGGUUGUUACGAGACAGUUCCAAAGUGUAUGGCCUUGAGAAGCCGUUGAAAUAAAGGAAAUUAACUAGAAAGUCAACUCCUAUUAAUGAUGCAAAAGAUAUUUGUUAUCAAAUAUAUUAAACAAAUGCAUCUUAUAUGUACAAAUGAACGGAUCGGCUAUUUAGCCAAUAUGCUGUGUAUGAAAGAGAGAUAGUUUACGUGUAUUAUCCUCUUAUCCAUUAAACAAAUGAUAAUCUAUUAAGACUGGUCUAGGCCUGUGGUCCUAAUAAAUUACUUUCAUAAUUGUAUUAAACUUAUAUUCACCUGGUCUAAAGGCCAGCGGGCUUCAAUAAAUACAACUUAGAUUACUAGUUCAUCUAAUGUACACACAGGUUCACACACGCGCGCUAUUCGUUUAAGCUUCACUAGAUCGACUAUUUAGCCGAUAUAGGGUCCAUGAAGCAAAAAUAGGAUCUAUCUAUUUUGUUAUAAUUAGAUCUGAUUAUUGUUACCAAAUUAAUUAUAACAAAAAUAAAUAUCCCAAACGCACAACAUGUAACAACCAAGAUUAGCAGGUUUAUCAUCUUAAUUUCGCUUAAUAAUUAUUGUUUGGCUUAGGGUUCAAAAUAAGCGUAUAGAUUUGAAUUUCAAACUAACCUAUUGAAUCUUGAUUGGGCAAUAUUGUUAAAAUAAAUAAAACAUUGAGCUUUAAACAAUAUUGAUAACUUAAUGAAACUAUUGAAUUGCCAAUUUAAUGGAGUCGAUAACUAACUUGAACCAAUAUUCAUAAGAGAUUGAAGCAAUGCAGCCUUACAAAUACAAUUCAAGUCGAUAACUACUUCAUAGUCGAGCUUGAUAUGAGUUCAAAGGAUACAUCAAUGACAAAUUAAAUAUGAACCAUGACAAAACUUACAAGCAAACCAAAGGUCGAAAUCAACCGAUGCAACUCGAUUCGUUGAAGGCCCCGCCAAGAUAUACUGUUACUCCUACUCCUAAGGUUGGUGGCCGAAGCAGAAAAGGGUUUGUAUUGUGAUUGUGUAUAUUUUUUACAAGGAUCGGGUUCCUAAUAUUUAUAGUCUGAAGACCUAGUGUCAUGUCCUAACACGACUCAUCUCGAAAAGGCAACCCAGACUCUAACUUUUCCUUUUACAAUUGAACCCGACACGUCUUCUUCGUCUUGCCUUGAUCUCUCUCCCUUCUGACUGACUAUUUUCAUCACGCCUCUUAUUUAGUCGAUCCACUUAUCCGGCUGUCCCUUCUUCUGCGAAGUAGGCCCACGGGCAGUUUUCGGACUCGCCAAAAUUUGGGAUUAACACAUGGCCCCCAAUUUUAUGAUAAAAUUAAUUUUAUUCCAAAAUUGCCACUCAAAACCGAUAUGGAUAUAUUGAAUACUUUAUUUCCUCCUCUGUCCCCGUUCAUUGGUCUUAAAAGCUAGGGUUUUCCUUCAAGUAUUCCCAGUCAAAAAUUUGAAACCUAUAUAAUCCGCCAAACCUCCACAUGAUUCAACCUCAAUACACCGAAUCCUUUAACUCGGUGACUUUUGCUCCAAUGGCAUCCAUCAACAAUAUCCCCGAGGUACAUCCUCCUCUUCUACACCUCUGAAUCUUUCUUGCUCUGUCAGCUUGUCUUUAUUUCUUUCUUUUUACUUUCAGGAUCUCUAGGGUCAAGUAUUCAUCCCACUUGAUGGUAAUUUGCACAAGAUCUUCCUGGGUCCGAUGGGCGAUCUAGAUCCUAGCACAACAGUUGUCGCUAAGACCAACAAGGUUCCCUUUAAGGCAUCCAACAUGCACCCAAAUCUCCGGGCCAAAAGGGCAUCAAUAAGGAAUUGGCCAUCAAUCAUCCCAGGAUGGAGGAAUUAGUUGAUCAAAGUAGCAGCCAAGAAGAGAAUAGAUUGGACACUUCGAAACUUGGAUCACUGUAUCUCUCUGUCCCUUUCUGAUAUCAAGAAGAAUGAGCCUAUGCUUCGAGCUGCCUGCUUCUUCUGGUCCAACACCGACAACGCUUUCCUCUUCAAAACUGGAGAUUGGUCUCAAUACAUCAUCAUUGCAGGUGUCCACAUGUCGUAUGUCCACAUGCUGUUGACACCGUUUUUGGACACAAAUUGGGAUAGUCAAUGAGGCUUGAAUCGGCAGUCAGAGAGGUGAUGUGUCUGGCCGAUAAGAAGGUUACCGAUAGCCGAUGAUGCCGAUGAUAGAACAACAGGAGGAAGAUGUUGCUAAGUCUGGUGGUAGUUGCCGAUCAUUGCCGAUUACUAAUGAUUGCCGAUGACGAUAAGGAAAGGUAUGGGAAUUGUUAAAAGAGAUAGAGGGCGUGUGCCGAUGAGGACAAUGGUGGUAUGCCGAUCACUAGGAUGGAUAGGUUUAUUAGGGUUUAUUUUAUGUACGAGUCCUGUUUUGUUUGGAAUUAAAUCCUAGUCGUAUACAGUUGUAACUCUUUAAGACAAUAUAAAUACAGGCCUAGUAGCGAUGUAAGAAAACAAUCAAUCAAUAUAUCAUACACAAGUUUUACAUCUACUUUUACAUCUACUUUUCGACGACUUCGUCAACUCACAUAUUUUCUUUUGUUUACGAGUUCUUAAGGAUUCAUUGAGCUAUACUCGGCGAAUUCUUGAGUUCCGCGUGAGUACCUCUUGGCCGUGACAUCCGGGCGUAUCGCUGUUGUCAGGACCAAAGUAUUCAAGUUAUCACCUUUGUCGAUUGCUAGGUCAAAUCGGCUAGCACGCCUUAACAUUUGAAUCAGGUAUUAGCCCUUUGUGUUUGCAGAUACGUUUAUGCAUUAACUCAUCUUUUGGCACGCCCGGUGGGAUCAAUCUAUCAACAAAAUCAACAUGGCUACUGCUGAUCUCGACACGGAGAAUGUCAUUGCUGUGACGGAAGCUGAUCUUAGGGACGAGCAGAAGCAGGCUAUGGAAAGGGCUAUGGAGGAAUACAAGCAGCUCUGCUUGAAAUCCUUGAGCGUCCACAGGAGCGGUGAAGUAAUCCAGAAGCAAAAGUUGUCGAUGCCUCGGCACGUUACUUUUGACGCCAAUCCUGGUAAAUUGCAAGACAUGGUUGACAAUGCUAUUAAUCGUGCUUUGAUCAAUCAAUCUAGUGUGUUUUUCAAUACUGUUUACAAUGCUGUGGCUAGAACUUUUAAAGAAGGACAGAGACCACCAUUAUAUGUUGGCCUGACCUAUCACCAGCUUGUGUUGUCAUCGGUUACAGCUCCAUCGGCUCCUCUAGCCGUUACGGGUACAGAAGUUACUUCUCCUCUAAGCACAUUAGGGUUGACUAGUGGGCAAUCUACACCGAUGAGACCGAAUCCAGCGACAUCAGAGGGACGAGUUCAGCUUAACACAGAUCUAUCAGCAUCGGCAAUGUCAAGAUCUGUAUUUCAUAAUUGUCAAGUUCCUCCCAAUUAGUGGGGAUAUGGUAUUCCUUUGGAGUUUUUUGCAAAUAGUUCUGGAACAUCUCAAGUGACUGACUUAGCAGGAAAAGCUCCUAUGACAUUGGCACCUCUAGUUUCGCCGAUGACUCAAAUUCCUCAGUAUUCUACGACUACUACUGCAAGGCGUGCUACGGGGAAUUUUCAAAUGCCAACGUUCCAGAUGUGUAAUGCAAAUUCAUCGGCAGAUCCAUUGCCGACUCAGCAGAGAUUUAUGACUCAGAUAGGGUAUGUCAACCCAGCAAUGACAGCCAAUUGUCAGCCAUCGGCAGGACCUACGCCGAUGAAUUCUAACAAUGGAUGUACAGGACAGUUUGUCUUUCCACAUGUGACACAACAAAAUCAUCAGGUUGCGGGAUUCCAGCAAGGACAGAUGCAGGUCGGUUUUCAGAAUCAAGGACCGACCAAUCAGCCGAUGAAUCUCGCUCAGCAGAUUGGUGGCCAGCAAGCUAUGGCCAAUGUUAUGUUUCCUAGAGAACGUGCACCUCAGAGACACGUGGAAGCUUAUCAGCAGGUGCCAGAACUUCAACCCGCACAUUGGCAGGAUGCCGAUGCCUAUUGGGCCGAUAAGAUAGCAGAAGAUAUGAGGGAUCAGUUUGGAAUAAAACCGAAGGUCAAAACUUAUUCUUAUCAGACACCGUAUACUCCGGCAUAUGAUUUGAUUCCAGUUCCAAAUCGGUACAAGGUACCGGAUUUCACUAUAUUCUCACUAUGGAACAUGUUAAUCGGUUCAACAUCUAGUGUGGAGAAGCUGCCAACAGAGAUGAAUUAAGAGUUUGUUUGUUUUCAUCAUCUUUGUUAGGAUCGGCAUUCACUUGGUUUAUUUCACUACCUCCAAACUCAGUCAUCACGUGGGCUGAUCUAGAGAAGCAGUUUCACAAAUACUUCUUUUCUGGGGUUCAUGAGAAAAAGAUUACCAAUUUAGUUAGGUUGAGGCAACGUAAUGAUGAAUCAGUGGAAAGUUUUGUGCAGAGGCUGAGAGAUGUGAAGAACAAGUGUUAUAGUCUGGUUCUAGAUGAUCGACAGUUGGCCGAUCUGGCUUUCCAAGGGUUGUUGCCACACAUCAAAGACAAAUAUGCUUCUCAAGAGUUUGAGUCAUUUGGUGCAGAGAAUUUCUAAUGAGGAUAUCAAGGCUUAUGAGCCUAGAAAAGCCUGGAAUAAAAAGGUGUCAUUCGUUGAUGAGGCAAUGAGUUCUGAUUUAGAUGAAGAACCAGUCAUGGGCUCGGCAGAGUGGGUAAAAAACAAAAAGCCGAUUUUUCAUGUCCUUUUGGUCAAAAAGAACCAGAGAAGUUUUCUUUUGAUAUCACCAAGGCCGAUAGGAUAUUUGAUUUCUUGCUUCAGGAGGGGCAGAUUAAAUUGUCCCCUAAUCAUGUGAUCCCAUCGGCAGAGGAGUUGAAGAAAAUCAAGUAUUGCAAAUGGCAUAAUGUAACAUCACAUAACACAAAUGAGUGCAAGGUGUUUAGGCAGCAAUUGCAAUCGGCUAUAGAAUUUGGGAGGAUUAAGUUUGAUAAUUCCAAAGCUCAGAAGCCGAUGAAAACUGAUCAACACCCUUUCCCUGCAAACAUGUUGGAUGCCAAAGGUAAGACUAAAGUCUUAACAUCAGAAACAGCUGAAAAGAACGCACCGGUGGAUCCGCAGCAUCAAGUAACCACCAAUGAUGCUAAAGGCAAAGGUUUGAUCAAGGAGGGUAGCAGCUCUGGGCAGGCCUCCUCGCUCUGGCAUUGUGAUUACUCAUAGGCGACAUCGGGAGACUUGGCAGCAGCGUGAGGAUCGGUAUCGGCAUCAGCAAGAGGAAAGGGAGCGAGAAGAAUGUAAUCGGCAUAAGAAUCACUGGAAUUGCCCGUUCUUCAUUCAUUGUUGGGAGCAAAAUAACAAACUACCGACUGUCAGAGGUUUUCCUGAGUGCAAUGGUUAUCAUCGGUAUGAUUGGUCAGAUCGACUAUUUCAGAACAAUGAUCGAUGAGCCGAUCAGGGGGAGGAUGUCAGUUCAUGAUCGGCUGGGGGCAGGCUUAGCGUGCAUGAUAAGCUUGGUGAACGUGUUGGUUAUUUUCCAAGGAAUCAAGAAGAGCUUGAAGAAAUGGCAAAUGUACGGGUUCCAGAUGAAUUUAUAUUUUGUAGGGAUGCUAAUACUCAUCGGAUGGAGUCAAGGGAGGUUCUCUAUCAGCCAGUGCAAAAGACAAAGCUUCCCCAAUGGUGCCCAGAAGGGUUAACAAUGACAUAGAAAAGAAGGAUGCAGCGAGAACGUCAAGAUGAUUUGAAUAGGGAAGAAAAUUCUUCUAAAUCUGAGAAUCGCAGCAAUCAGACCGCAAGGGUGAAGGACCGUCGGCAGAUGUUAACAUGGUAUUUAUGUUGCCGAUGGAAUUUCUUGCACCCUUUAGCAAUGAUGAGGAAAUAAAUCUCCCUGACCAGAUAGCUCAGUUGGCGCUUGAUCCAUUGACAGCCAUUUUUGAAAAGCCUUCUGAUGAUGAAAGGCAGCAUCUUAAAGCUUUGUUUGUCAAAGGCCAGGUUGAUGGGCAGCCAAUUUCCAAAAUACUUAUUGAUGGGGGAGCUGCAAUUAACAUCAUGCCAUAUGUGAUGUAUCGGAAGCUUGGCAAAGGAGAUCAGGAUUUGACCAAGACUGAUAUGAUGUUGAAAGAUUUUGAAGGAAAUGUGUCUCCAGUUAAGGGAGCUAUAUGUGUUGAAUUAACCAUCGGCAGCAAGACCUUGUCGACGACUUUCUUUAUUAUCAGUGGGAAAGGUGCAUACAAUUUGCUGUUGGGAAGAGAUAGGAUUCAUGUCAAUUGCUGCAUUCCAUCCACGAUGCAUCAAUGCCUUGUUCAGAGGGUAGGUGACAAAAUUGAAAUUGUCCAGGGAGAUUCUUCAUAUGUCAUUGCAUCGGCGGAAUCAGACACCUAUGAGCGGACUAGAUGCAUAUCAGGAGAGGUUUGGGAGAAAGAUUUCCUCAAAGUUGCCGAUUAUGAAAUUCCACCGAUCCAAGCAGUCGGUUCUGAUGAAGAGUUUUAAUGGAUAGGUUCGCUGAUGAUGGGAAGUUAGGACAGGGGUUUACAUUGGCUGAUAAUUUAGUAGAAGUAGAUAUAGGUAACGGUGAUAGGCCAAGGCCUACCUUUAUUAGUGCUAAGUUAGAUUCUGAAUGUAAGCAGCAAUUAACUGAUUUGUUAAAGGAAUAUAAAGAAUGCUUUCCUUGGGAUUAUACCGAGAUGCCUGGUUUAGACCGAUCAAUUGUUGAACAUCGGUUGCCUAUUAAAUCUAGAUUUCGGCCACAUCAGCAGCCAGCACUCCGGUAUAAUCCUAAUAUUCUUCCGGAUAUUAAGGCCGAAAUAACCAAGCUCACUGAAGCUAUGUUUAUUCGGCAAUGUCGGUAUGCCGAAUGGAUUUCCAAUGUUGUCCCUGUCUACAAAAAGAAUGGAAAGCUUCGUGUUUGCAUCGACUUUAGAAAUCUCAGUAAAGCUACGCUGAUGGAUGGUUAUCCGAUGCUAGUUGCUGAUUUAUUGGUUGAUGUUGUGGCUGGGCAUCGAAUUAUUAGUUUCAUGGAUGGUAAUGCAGGGUACAAUCAGAUAUUCAUGGCUGAGGAGGAUAUUCCCAAGACUGCGUUUAGAUGUCCUGGUCAUGUUGGGUUGUUUGAGUGGGUAGUCAUGACUUUUGGCUUGAAUAAUGCUGGUGCUACCGAUCAAAGGGCCAUGAAUUUUAUUUUUCAUGAGUUCAUCGGCAAGUUGGUGGAAAUCUAUAUUGAUGAUGUGGUGGUUAAGUCUGGAGAUUUCACAAAACAUUUAGCCGAUUUGCGAAAAGUGUUGGAAUGGACAAGGUAACAUGGUUUGAAAAUGAACCCUAAUAAAUGUGCAUUUGGCGUAUCGGCAGGACAGUUUCUAGGUUUCAUGGUGCAUCAGAGAGGGAUUGAAAUUAGCAGGAGAUCUAUUAAUGUGAUCGGCAAAGUAGUUGCUCCUACCAAUAAAACUGAUCGGCAAGAUUAAUUUUAUCAGGCGAUUUAUAUCUAAUUUGUCGGGUAAGAUUCAUGCUUUCAGCGUGUUGCUUAAAUUGAAAGCAGAUCAGGAGUUUGUGUGGGGAAGAGAGCAACAAUUAGCCUUGGAUGAAAUCAAGAAUUAUUUGGUAAAUCCUCCAGUCUUGGUUCCACUUCAGCAUUGAAAGCCUUUCAGAUUAUAUUUAUCUACCGAUGAUGCGGUCAUCAGUUCAGCUCUUAUUCAAGAAUUUGAAGGGAAGGAGCAUGUAAUUUACUAUUUGUGUAGAAGAUUGGUGGAUGUUGAGACAAGGUAUUCGGCAAUUGAAAAAUUAUGCUUAUGCUUCACUACUACAGAAUGAGGCAUUGGUCGAUGCCCAAAAUGGCCAAAAACCUCGACCUUUUUUCGGCCCGGGGUUAAAGACCCCUUUAACACCGGUUCGUAACACGAACCGGUGCUAAAGGGUCCUGCCCAACGGCUACUGACAGGUGCUGUCAGGGCAGGGACCCUUUAGCACCGGUUCAUGUUACAAACCGGUGCUAAAGGGUCCCCUUUAGCACCGGCCAGCGCCACGGGCCGAGGCAAAGCCUUUAGCACCGGUUUGUAACACAAACCGGUGCUAAAGGGUCACCCUUUAGCACCGGUUUUUGCCCUGAACCGGUGCUAAAGGUCCGGUUUAUAGGCCGGAUCCCUCUUCUAUUCCCAUUUGAAACCGAGUGCACCAUUCACCAUUGUUGUUCUUGGAGCUUGUUCUUCCUUGUUCUUCAUCUCCGACGCCCAUCGUUGAGAGGGAGUUCUGACCGGUAUCGUUUCUUCGUGUUUGGAGGUGACUAACUUUUGUCUUUCUUGUAUUUUUCAUGUUAUUUUUGGCUUGUGAUGUUCCCUUUAUUUUUAGCUCAAAUCCACAUGUUCUUGCUUAUUUCAUGGUUGACCUAGUAUUAAUGUAGUUUGCAAGAAUGAAUUAUAGUAUCUUUUUAUGAUCUUAGAAAAUAGGAUAAUUCCAAUUAAUUGGUUUGUUAAUAUCACUUGAUUUAUUUUUAUUACUACACAAUGUCCAUUGUAUAAUUUAGAAGAUUUGUUGAAGUAGCUAGACAAAUAAAGGAUAUUAUUAGGUUCUUCUUUAAUCAUACAUGUUUACUAGUAAAUGUGGAAUUUAUAAUUGUUUAAAAAUUGAGUAUGGAUAGUAGAUGGCAACCGUGACCGGGUCUUCGGUCUCUCAACGGGUUCAAAAGCGAUACCAGCCGGAACUCCCUCUCAUUACUUGUGGCAAGUGUGGCCAGAAGAUUGUGAUGGAGUACAAAGUGUCGAAAGAGGGAGUAAACAAGGGUCGUAUAUUCUACAAGUGACCGGAUCGUAAUGUGAGUUAUUUCCAGACAUUUGCUUAUAUAUGUGCAUAUUUUUUAAAUGAUAUUAAUUAAACUUUUGAUUAUCUCUUUUAAUUUCAGUGGGACGGUACCGGCAGAUGUACAGGUUGGUAUUGGGAGGAAGAAUACAUUGAACACAUUAAGAAAUCUUUUGCACAGGUGGUUGAGGCUGAAGGUGGUGAGGUAGUGAGCCGAUGAAAGGAGUUCAAUGAUGUUGAUCAAGUGAAUGAUCUAUCUAUUAUAGUUGGGAUCGGACGCGAACUAAUUAUGUUGCUUAAGUGCAUUUUAGUUUUGGUUUUUUAGUGCUAGAUGCGAUUGUAUUUGUUGUAGCCAAGCUUUCCUGAAUUAAUCAACUAUGUAUCUUAGACAUGUUGUGCAAUAAGAUGAGAAACUAUAUGUGUGCAUGGUUUUCAUAAUAUAUAUGUUAUAUUUAAUGCAGAUGGUAACACGUAAUUGGUUGUAUAAUGCCAAUACCAACCUUAAGUGUGGCCGAGACAAAUAAGAGGGACGGUUUCAUGUGCUGUCCAUGUGCCGUGUGCAAGAAUUUGACAGAAUAUUCUAACUCAAGAACUCUUCAUUCGCACUUAUUAAAGUCUGGUUUCGUACCAAACUAUAUUUGUUGGACCAAACAUGGAGAAAGCGGGAUUAUAAUGGAUGAAGGUGAAGAAGAAGAAGAAGAAUUGGACCAUGCCAAUAUUAUUGCUCAGUACGGUGGCUUCAAUGAUGUGGCAAUGGGGGGAGAUAAUGAAGAAGAGGUAGCGGCAGAAGAUGAUCGGGGCGAUGAUGCUUUUGGUGAUGCCAUCCGUGAUGCACAAAGAGAAUGUGAAAGUGAUAAAGAGAAAGCCAAGUUUGAGCGCAUGCUAGAGGAGCAUAGGAAAUCGCUAUAUCCCACCGCUGAAGAGGGGUAAAAAAAGCUAGGUACCACACUAGAAUUGCUGCAAUGGAAGGCAAAGAAUGGUACAUCUGACAAGGCAUUUGGGCAGUUAUUAAAGAUCAUAAAAAAGAUGCUUCCGAAAGGCAACGAAUUGCCCACCACUACGUAUGAAGCAAAAUAGGUUGUCUGCCCUUUGGGAUUAGAAAUCCAGAAGAUACACGCAUGUCCUAGUGACUGCAUCCUCUACUGUGGGGAGGAAUACGAGAACUUGGAUGCAUGUCCAGUAUGUAAGGCAUCACGGUAUAAGAUUAGACGAGAUGAUCCUGGCGAUGUUGAGGGUGAACAACGUCAUAGGAAGAAAAUUCCUGCCAAGGUUAUGUGGUAUGCUCCUAUAAUACCAUGAUUAAAACGUCUGUUCAGAAAUAAGGACAAUGCAAAGUUGUUACGGUGGCAUAAAGAAUAUCGUAAGAUAGACAAUAUGCUGAGACACCCUGCCGAUGGAUCCCAGUGGAGAGCGAUAGACAGAGAAUUCCCAGAUUUUGCAGAUGAUGCUAGAAACUUGCGGUUUGCCUUAAGUACAGAUGGUAUGAAUCCUUUCGUUGAGCAGAGCAGUAGUCACAGCACUUGGCCAGUUACUCUAUGUAUCCACAACUUUCCUCCAUGGCUAUGCAUGAAGCGGAAGUUUAUUAUGAUGUCGGUGCUUAUCCAAGGACCGAAGCAACCUGGCAAUGACAUAGAUGUCUACCUAAGGCCAUUAGUUGAGGAACUUCAACUUUUAUGGAGCAAACCAGGAGUUUGCGUGUGGGAUGAGUACAAACAAGAGCACUUUGACCUGCGAGCAUUGCUGUUUGUAACAAUCAAUGAUUGGCCAGCUUUGAGUAAUCUUUCAGGCCAGUCAAACAAGGGAUAUAAUGCAUGCACACAUUGUUAUGAAGACCUUGACUGUGUAUUUUUUAAAAAAUGUCGCAAGGUCGUGUACCUUGGCCACCGUCGGUUUCUUCCUGUCAACCACCCAGUACGAAAGAAAGGCAAGCAUUUUAAAGGCAAGGCAGACCACCGGACCAAACCUCUCAAUCGAACCGGGGAUGAUGUACUCGAAAUGGUCAAGGAUAUAAAAGUGGUAUUUGGAAAGGGACAAGGCAGCGAACCUAUUCCUAAGGAUGCUAAGGGACACGUACCCAUGUGGAAGAAGAAAUCCAUAUUUUGGGAGCUACCAUACUGGAAUGUCCUCGAGGUCCGCAACGCGAUCGACGUGAUGCAUUUGACAAAGAAUCUUUGUGUGAACUUGCUCAGAUUCAUGGGUGUCUAUGGGAAGUCUAAGGAUUCACUUGAAGCACGACAAGACUUGCAGCGCAUGAAAGAACGAGACAACCUGCUUCCAGAAAAGACAGAUGAUGGACGUCAUUACUUAAGCCCUGCUAGCUACACUCUGAGCAAAGAAGAGAAGGAAAGCAUGUUUGAAUGUCUUAGCAGCAUCAAGGUCCCAUCUGGAUUCUCCUCCAAUAUCAAGGGAAUAAUUAAUGUGCCAGAGAAGAAAUUCUUGAACUUGAAGUCCCAUGACUGUCACAUUCUAAUGACACAAUUGCUGCCGGUGGUUUGAAGAGGAAUUUUACCUCCACACGUACGUCUAGCCACCGUAAAGCUAUGUGCAUUCCUCAAUGAAAUUUCUCAGAAGGCAAUCAAUCUAGAGCAACUAGCUACUCUGCAAAAUGAUGUCGUUCAAUGUCUCAUCAGCUUUGAGUUGGUGUUCCCUCCAUCCUUCUUCGAUAUCAUGACACACCUCCUAGUUCAUCUGAUCAAAGAGAUUCAGAUUCUCGGUCCUGUGUUCCUACACAACAUGUUCCCCUUCGAGAGAUUCAUGGGUGUCCUAAAGAAAUAUGUCCAUAGUCAUUGACCGGAGGAGGUCAUAGAGUUCUGUGUUGACUUUAUUACAGACCUUGACCCAAUUGGCAUUCCUGAAUCUCGACACGAGGGCAGACUCAGCGAAAAGGGAACACUUGGGAAGAAAACAUAUAUUGGUACGGGAGACGAUUACUUCAAUAAAGCACACUACACAGUUCUCCAGAACUCCUCAUUGGUGGAACCAUAUGUUGAGGUACACAAAGAUUUCCUACGGUCCCAGUGGCCCGGGAAGAAUGAAGCUUGGAUAAUGCGUCAGCACAUGGAAACUUUUGGCGAUUUGUUGCGCAAAAAAUGUCAAGGUGAUGAAAACAUUGAUGAGUAGCUUUAUUUCUUGGCCAGGCAACCAUCAUGGCAUGUCCUCAUGUACAAAUGGUACGAGAUAAAUGGUAACACAUUUUACACAGUUGGCCAAGAUAAAAGGAGCACCAACCAAAAUAGUGGUGUACGCGUGGAUGCCACGAAUCCAAAUGGGAACAGCCAAACAUAUUAUGGACGCAUAGAAGACAUAUGGGAACUAGUCUAUGUAGCUAAUUUUAAAGUUCCUUUGUUCCGGUGCCAAUGGGUGAAGAUGACCGGAGGUGGGGUAACAAUCGACAAGAAGUAUGGGAUGACAACCGUGGACCUUAACAAUAGUGGGUUCAAAGACGAACCAUUCGUCCUUGCUACAGACAUGAGUUAGGUGUUCUAUGUCAAAGAUAUGUCUACGAAACCAAAGAGAGGAAAAAAUGAUGACCACUCAAUCAUCAAUGAGCCAAAGCGCCACAUUGUCCUUCGUGGGAAAAGAAACAUUGUCGGAAUUGGGGACAAGUGAGAUAUGUCAGGCGAUUACGAAAGGGAUGAUCGAAUUUCGCCCUUCAUAGUCAACAAAGACCCAAGCAUUCUCUUAAACAAUGAGGAUACUCCAUGGUUACCGCAGGAUCAUAACCAAGGGUCAUACGUCAAGAAGUUCAGUGUUCUAAAAACCAAUGCUUUGACUUUGGUCAAACUUGAUCAAAUGGCCCAUUUGAUGACUUCAAAUGAAAAAAUUUUGAAUACAAAGUUGUUAGAGAUCAUCAAGAUCUACAUUUUAUAUAUUAUCCAUUUUUACAUUUGGAUAAUUUUGAGCCAAUCCUAAUCACAUUCCUAUAAAAUCCAAGACGGGUUUUGGUCAAACUUGGUCAAAUGACAAACUAAAUUACUUAAAAUAAAAAAAUUUUGAACACCAAGUUGUUAGAUAUCAUCAAGAUCUAAACUUUUUAUAUACACAACUUUUCUAUUUGAGAAAGUUUAAGUUAACAAUACCCACCAAUUCUUGAAUCUCACACAAACUAUAUGAAACUAUAUGUGUUAAUUGUGGAUUUUCAACUACACCUUCCCAAAACUUUGUCAAAUGCAAAAAUGGUCUGUAUAUGAAAUGUAUAUUUUGAUGAGUGGAACAAUAUUGGUAUUCAUGACUUUUCUAUUCGAGACCAUCUAAGGUUCCGAAACCGCUGCGUGGCUAUGAAUUCUCUGAAAUUUCAAAAUUCAGUGGUCCAAACUUUUUCAAAUGAAAAGUUGACCAUGACAAAAUGUAGAACUUGAUGAGUGUAACAAACUUUGUAUUCAUGACUUUUCCAUUUGGGACAAUCUAGGGUUCGGUCAAAGGGUGUUUUUGUAAAAAACAAUGCUUUGACUUUGGUCAAACUUGAUCAAAUGGCCCAUUUGAUGACUUCAAAUGAAAAAAAAUUGAAUACAAAGUUGUUAGAGAUCGUCAAGAUCUACAUUUUAUAUAUUGUUUAAUUUUACAUUUGGAUAAUUUUGAGCCAAUUCUAAUCACAUUUCUAUAAAAUCCAAGACGGGUUUUGGUCAAACUUGGUCAAAUGACAAACUAAAUUACUUAAAAUAAAAAAAAUUUGAACACCAAGUUCUUAGAUAUCAUCAAGAUCUAAACUUUUUAUAUACACAACUUUUCCAUUUGAGAAAGUUUAAGUUAACAAUACCCACCAAUUCUUGAAUCUCACACAAACUAUAUAAAACUAUAUGCGUUAAUUGUGGAUUUUCAACUACACCUUUCCAAAACUUUGUCAAAUGCAAAAAUGGUCUGUAUAUGAAAUGUAGAUUUUGAUGAGUGGAACAAUAUUGGUAUUCAUGACUUUUCCAUUCGAGACAAUCUAGGGUUCCGAAACCGCUGUGUGGCUAUGAAUUCUCUCAAAUUUCAAAAUUCAGUGGUUCAAACUUUUCCAAAUGAAAAGUUGACCAUUAGACAAAAUGUAGAACUUGAUGAGUGUAACAAACUUUAUAUUCAUGACUUUUCCAUUUGGAACAAUCUAGGGUUCGGUCAAAGGGUGUGUUCAUCAAGAUAUAUAUUUUUAUAUGAUAAAUAGAUUUUUUAUUUGAUGAAAACAAUACCCUACUAGCAUUCCGAGUAAUAAAUAACAAAAAUAAAAAGUUUAAUGUCAAUAUGAUGUGAAAAUAGAUUUUCAGUUGAUUGGAUAUAGUUUUUGUAAAUUUAUUGGAAUAAUAUAUUUUUGCAUUAACAAAAUACUAAACAUUUCUUACAAAAUCAUUGCAAAUUAUAAAAAUACAGUAAGAUAUUUAAGGUUAAAAAUUUUCAUUUGUACAUUAAAAAAAUUACAAUAUGUCACUGUUUAAAAAAUAUUAUGCAAAAUAUUUAAUUUACUAUACAAUUUAUAAUAUAAAUUGUAUAUAAACAAUUGAAAAACCCUAAACUAAAAAAUAGGGCCUUUAGCACCGGCCCAUAGUGGGAACCGGUGCUAAAGGGUACUGAAAAUUUCAGAAACCCGCCCUAGCGCGCUCAGGACCAUUUAGCACCGGUCCGUGGCUCGCACCGGUGCUAAAAGGUCCCUUUAGCACCGGCUGGUAACACGAGCCGGUGCUAAAGGGUCACCCUUUAACACCGGCUCGUGUUACCAGCCGGUGUUAAAGACCCUUUAGCACCGGUUCCAGCCACAGACCGGUGCUAAAGGGUCCGCCCCUAUAUAAGCCGCGGGCGCCUUGGAUCUGAGCAGUUACCUUCGUCUUCGUCGAGACACACCAGAACCGCCGCCUCCAUCACCACAGCGCCGCCGCCGUUUCGUCUGCCCACGCCGCCGCGUGGCCGUCUGCAGCGCCGCCGCGGUCAUCAUCGCCACCAGCGCUGUCUCUUUCUCCGCGGUCUCUUUCUCCACGUCGAUCUCCGGCCGGCCGUCGAUGUCCUAGCGCGCCCGCUCUCUCAAUGUAUUUAUCAAGAUCGAACUCCGGCUCUCCGCAAAAUGAAUGAAUAUAUAUUUUUUGCAGAUUAUAUAUAUAUAUAAUCUGCAAAAUGAUGAAUGAAUGUAUAUUAGUUUUUAGUAUAAUAUAUAUAUAUAUAUAUAAUCUGCAGAAUGAAUGUAUAUUAGUUUUUAGUAUAUUAUAUAUAUAGUAGUAGUAUUUUUUAGUAUAUAUUUGUAGUAUAUGAUUCUUGUAUUAUUCUUGUAUCAUAUUUUAUUUUCUAGUGUUUUGUAUAUAUUAUUGUUUGUCAUAUUAUUCUAGUAUUGUUUUUUUGUAUAUUAUUCUAGUGUAUUGCUUGGCUUAAAAGAUUCUAGUAUUAUUUUUAGAGCCGUUUGAGGGCCGCUAUGUAAUCUCUGAGUUUGAGAUAGCUACAGACAGACCACUUGGUGAACAUGCAAAUAAAUAUGUUAGUCACUGUGGAUAUCUUGUGAGAGAUCAAAUACCGAUCAGUGCUCGUGAAUGGAGAGAGAAGCGAGGUGCUCCUAAGAUCAGUUUUGUCUCUGAUUGUGACAAGGAGUUAGUUUGGAAAGCCGUCACAGACGUUUUCACAUUCGACACCAACGAUGAAGAGUUGAAGGUGCGAAUUUAUGACUAGACUAUGAAGAAGAUGGCAGUACUCUUCCAGAAUUGGAAGAAGACUUUGUACAAUAAAUAUGUCAAGAAAAACGAGACUCCAAAUUUCAACCUCAAGCAAUAUGUAAAGCCGAGGGCCUUCUGGGAUGACUUUGUGCAGUACAAAACAUCAGAAGAGGGCGAGGAACGAGCCAUUAGAAACAAAGAGAAUGCAAGUAAAAAGACAUACCACCAUCAUAUGGGAUCAGGUGGUUAUAAGAGUGCUGUUCCCAAGUGAGACCGAAUGGAACAGGACAUGCUUGCUAGGGGGGUCACACCCGAGACAAUAGCAAAGAAUUGGAGCGAGCGCUCCAAGCAUUGGUUCUACGGUCAUGGGGGAAGCGUGGACAUAGACACCGGGGUGCUAGUUUGGGGCCAAGAAAUAUCUAGAGCAGCAGAGAGACUAGUCCAUGCAUGAGAGGCGCUUCAGUCUGGUGAGUUCAGGCCUAACAGGGAGAAGGAUGAACUCACCUAUGCGCUUGAAAAUUCUGAGCACGGUGGGCGUACGAGAGGCUAUGGGGCAGUUCCGUGGCUGCAAUCAUUCCUAGCCGAUCAAGAUACCUAGAGAAGCCGCCAGAGAAAAUAAGGAUGAGGAGGCAGAGCGGAUCCGCUGCCUGGAAGCUUUUGUUCUGCAGUCAGAAGAGCGCGAGAAAGCUCGUGAAGAAUGGAUGCAGACGAAGAUUCAAAGGCAAGUGCAAGCAGCACUUAGUCAAAUGACGAAAGGGCAAGGUACAUCACAGCCUGAGGUCAACGUUAGCCCCCCAGGCCAGUUGAAAAGCAGCUGCGCAUCCACGGAAGUACCAACCAUUUAGGAUGACACGAAGCUAGACUUCCCCGUGGAUGAUGUCACAGAGGCUUUUACUACCUAUGAGCUGCAUGUACCAGAUGGGAAUGCAACAAAAAAGAUGGCUAUCGCUGUUGUCAACCCUAUCGACCGAACGAGAACUACAAGAAUCCAUAAUCGACCAGUACCUGGUGGAUAUGCUAGCGUCUCGGUUGAUAGGGUUGAGAAAGGUUGUGGCAAUGUGCCUCUAGACAUAGAAGGGGGAGACGGAGAGAAGACCUUAGGUGAAGCUGAGAAGACAUUUAUUUGUUGGCGCAAGCACUUCAUAAUUAUUCCUCAACAUAGGUUUGUGUGUGAUUUUACUUCUUAUAUUAUUUAUUAUGUAUUAAAAUUAAAAAAAAAGUUUGCUCACAAAACUUGUAAUUGUUUUCUUUGCAGGGACUCCUCCAACCUAAGUCCAGUUCUCUCACCAGCGCAUCAUAGUGCUACGGGCGAUGACAAUGCUGGAUCUCCUCCAACACCUGCGGCGGCCACACCGACCCCGCCACCGCCUCCACCACGGUCUCCACCUCCUCCAACGAGGUCUCCAACUCCUCCACUGCGUUCUCCAACGCCGAAAAGAUUGGCCCCACCACCUCCACCGCCUGCACCGCCCUCUCCAAAGAGUGCACGGUCGGUCCCCUCGCCUUCAAAGCGAGGUAGUCAGAAGCGGUCCGCCCAAGAACGACCGAAGUCAUCGGUCCCACCUCCAAAGAAGGCUGCCUUAGCAAAGAGAGCUAAGACGCCAGAAAAAUUACCUUACGAAAAGAGUGAAGAGGAGGUAAUUGCUGCAUCCAAAGGUGAGGUGAAACAAUUUUUUGAUAAAUUGAAGGAGGAUAGGAAAAAAUGGCUUAACCCAGAAAAGCCGUACUUUUAUGUAAAGCCAUCGGAACUGAGGCAGAAGGUGGCGGACCAUCAAAACAAGCAACGCGAAGCUCGGAAAAAGCCAGCACUUUCGGACUAUGAGCGGUCUCUGGUCAAGUCUUCACAGCCUAAGAAGAGAGUAGGAAAGGGGGUCCCACAGCUCGGAGAAGUAUCAAAACCGGUGCCCCCUUUGAUUGUGCCAAAUCAAUACGGCUCAAAUGAAGACUUGAUGCCAAAGAAAUCCUUAGCAUUGUCUGAGCUAGACUCGCUUGAGCGUUACUUUGGACAGAGCGGUUUAAAUAUGGAAGAAAUUGCCGCCAUUCUUGGAUGCCAAACAUUUGAAAAAGCCGAGGUAGUUGAUCAAUGGAGGGCAAGAUAUGAACCGGACAGGAGUCUAUUCGACCCUCAGCGUUUACACGAGCUCGGCACACAAAUGUUUGUAAUAAACAAAUAGUGUAUUGAGGCGUCUAAAAGGGGAGAGAAUUGGAUUUCUGUUCGUAUUAGACAACAUCACUACUUCCAUGGAGAUGACCUCAUAUACGUGCAGUUCGAAGAAUUGCACCAAUUAUGUCACCUCGACGCUCUCGACAAAUCUCUUGUCAGCUGCUUUUGUCUGUAAGUAUUUUUUUUCUUUUUAUUAUACUUCUAACUUCUUUAAUUACAUGUAUAUAAACCUUACACACUUAGGAUUUGUAUGUAUAUAUACAGGCACCAAAUGAGAGAGCUAGAAUCAGAAAUGACAAUAAUAUUGGGUUCGUUGACCCUUAUAUUGUUUUCAAAGCUCCGCAGGCAGUGUGGACAGCAGCUCAUGAGACAUAAGUCUGCACCAAUGUUAUGAGGUUCUUUGUGAACCAAAAAGAAAAACAAAAAAUACUCUUCUCCUUCGAGUGAGUUAUGUAGUUAUUAAGUGCAUGCAUAUUUUAUUUUAAUAAUUAUUACUCGAGACAAGUUUUAUAUAGUUAUAUAUAGGCCUGACUAUAUAUAUGUGUGUGUAAACAGGUUUUACUGGAUACUCAUGGUCAUUGAAAUUCCCAAGAACCGGUUGAUAAUCUUUGACUCAAUGAGAAAACCACAAGAAAAUUAUCAACAAAUGGUAAACAUUAUUCAAAGGUACGUAAUGUCGAUCUCAGCUAGAAGAAUAUCAUAAUAUGACUCUAUAAUUAUUAGUUCAUGAUCCACAAUGGCUGUGUGUAGGGUUUGGGAAAGAUUCAUUGACCGUGAACAUCUCAGUGGAUGUAAAGUGCCGCUUAACAUAAUACAUCCACAAGUAAGUUCUACUAGCUAGCAAACUUUCGCUAACUUUUAGCCUUCUUAUUGUCGUCGUUGUGAAUAUUUUAUAUAUAUAUAUCGUACAGUGGUGUUUAAGACAAGAAGGGGGAAACAAUCUAUGUGCAUAUUACGUGUGCAAAUUCAUGAUGGCACAAGUCAAUCAAACACCCACGGAGACACUCAAAGUACGUUACAUGUCUCUUUUCAUUAUCUCCUGAAUUAUAUUGAAUAACUUAGAUAACUAAUACCUUUUUUAUUUAUUUCAAAUUAAAGACGGAAUGGUUGAGAGAAAAGGUCAUACAAAAAGACCGAAUCAAAGCUAUCCAAGAGACGAUAGCAGGAUUUCUCCGCGAGCAAGUGAUCAAUCCAAACGGCGAGUUUCACUUCAACGGCAACGAGACUUUUAUUACAAACAAUGAUGAUCAUUUGUAUCGUUUGUAGACAUUGAGAGAAAAAACUCUAUGUAUAUAUGUGUUACGAAUUUUGUACAUAUAAAACUAUAUAUAUAUAAAGCUUUUUACAUAUCUAUUUAAUUUUUGAUGCCGCCUAUUCAUUUUAUUAUAGGCAAAGCUUAAUUAUUAAGCUAAGCCUAUAAUUUUCAUUUAUAUAUGCUUAAUAUGCGUGUAAUAUAAAUAUAUUAUUGUAUCAGCAAAAACAUGUAUUGAAAAACCUAUUAUUAUUAUAUAAAAAUAAUAAAUGGAACCGAAGAAGUGAACCAAAAAAAAGAAACACUUUAACACUGGUUGGUAACAUCAAAAUAAGAAAAAGGGUCGUGGAAGGGGGCAGACAAAACGGGACCCUUUAACACCGGUUGGUAUUACCAACCGGUCUUAAAGGGGGGGCAUUAGCCCCGGUUCCCUGAACCGGGACUAAAGGGUGGGCCUUUAGUCCCGGAAGGGCAGCACCGGCUCGGGAACCGGGGCAACAGGCCCUUCCCGACCGGUGCUAAUGCCCGAUCAUGCAGCAGUGCUUGUACUUUUCUUGUGUCAAGUUAAGGCAUUACUGGCUAUCGGUCGAAUGCACUAUCAUAUGCAAAGAUGACGUAGUCAGAUACAUGUUGUCGAUGCCGAUUAGGAGUGGCAGAAUCAGCAAAUGGAUGCUAGCGUUAUCGGAAUUUGACUUACGUUAUGAAUCGGCUAAGGCAGUUAAAGGGCAGGUCAUGGCCGAUUUCGUAACUCAGCAUUGUGGUGUAGUGGAUGCUCUGGAAAUUGUUUCUUGGACACUCUACUUUGAUGGAUCUACAUGUGAUCGGGGGGCAGGUAUCAGUAUAGUAUUGAUUUCUCCUCGAGGAAAGAAAUAUAAGUUUUCUUUAACAAUUGUUGCUACGUCGACAAACAAUCAAGCUGAGUACCAAGCCCUAAUCAAAGGGUUAGAAUUAUUAAAGGAGGUUCAUGCCAAUGCUGUCAAAAUUUUCGAUGAUUCUAUGCUUGUUAUAAAUCAAUUGGUCGGGAUUUAUGAAUGCCGAAGUGAAGUUUUGAUAAUAUAUUAUGAAAGGUGCAUACAAUUAUUGAAGGAAUUUAGGGAUUUCCGAUUAGAGCAUAUUCCUUGGUUGCAUAAUGAAGAAGCUAACCGAUUGGCUCAACAUGCCUCGGGGUAUCAACCCAUCAUGGAAAUAUUAUCGGCAGUUAGUGUCGAUGAUUGGAGAAAAGAAAUUACUGAUUAUUUAAAAGAUCCAUCCAGAAAAGUUGAGAGACGUGUUAGGUUUCAAGCUACAAAGUAUGUACUCCUUGAAGAAGAAUUAUAUUAUCAUACAAUAGAUGGAGUUUUGCUUAAAUGUUUAGGUGAUGAUGAAUCCAAAAGCUUGAUGGGUGAAACUCAUGAGGGAGUAUGUGGAGUACCAAAUAUAAUCAUCAAAUAAAUAAAGAAAAGGAUCCAAAUGCAACCAACACCCAGACUUAGGGCUUUAUCUGACGGAAUUCCACGAGUUUUGGUGUUUGUCUAUUUCUGCAGGGGGUUAUCAGGAAAUAUGGAGGAAAGGCCCACAUGUCGGGUUUACAUAGAGAUAUUAACGUGUCGCGCAAUUUUCUAUCAUCUAGAAGACUCCAGAAGCCACGGGAAUGAACGUGAAGACGAACGGGCUCAGGGAUAGGGCGCCCGCCCUGGUGUUUCGGCCAAUCACGUUCUACUUCGCGGAUCAUGCUCCACCGACCUAAAGGAUCAAGGAAAACCGUGCGAUCAAUGUCGGUUUGAUCCGACGGCCUAGAUUCACUUGAGGGGACUAUAUAAGCAGGCCCCCUGGCCCCUGGAGGAGGCACCCCUUCAUCCUUAUUCAUUAUUCAUAGAUAGAGCAAAAGCUAGGGUUUGGAGAUGAGAGCUCUCGUCUCAUCUCUAAACUAGAGUAGAUCUAGAUAGUAGCGAGAUGGAGAGCGAGGGAGGAUUGGAGGAGAGGCCGGCCAGUCGGUUCUUCCUCCGGUUGUACUUCGCCAUGAUCAAGCUCUAAUCAAGCUUGCUCAUGGGAUGAUUCUGGUAAUCUACUUCUAUUUCAUUAUGCAAUUACUAUCCAUGUAUGUUCUGGUUCACAACUCUUUUGAGUACUUUAAUCUAUAGGACGCUAUAGGUGAGAGUUGUAGUAUAGGUGUAAGCGUGGUGCUUAGACCUAGAUUACUUGAGGAUAUCCCCUGUCUAGUCGGUUCGUGUGGUAGGCCGCAUAGGUGACAGCUAUGUUGGUCCCCUGUAGUCCACCUCCCAUUAGCAGGACUAGUAGGGUUUAUCGGCCUAUGGAUAAGCAUCCUUUGUGGUGUAUUCUUAUCAUGUGGUUCGUCCCAGACAUAGACAUACCCCUUUGAAGUAGAGAAACCAUAGUUAUCCUCUCUAUUCUCCUACCAUCGCCCAUAUAUUAGAUUGCUCUACUCUCUAUUCCCAUAUUAUCACCCAUUGUUAUCUUACCUUUAAUAUUAUUCUUAUUCAAUUGUACUAUCUUUCCUAUUUACACCUACCUAUCUAUCUAGGUUAAGUUAGAGCGUAGAUCAGUUCUCCCGUUUCCGUGUGGAUACGAUAAAACCUUUAACUGGGUAAAAGCUACAACGGUAUCCGUGCACUUGCAGGUUUGUCUGUGUGCGUAUAAAUACCAUAGUACACUCUAGUGCCAUGCUGGGGAUGACAACCUAGUAUUCAAGUAGUGUUAGCAAGUGUCAACAAGCUUUUUGGCGCCGUUGCCGGGGAGACGGUUGCUGAGUUGACUACGAACUAGCUUAAUCUAAUCAUUUUCAUAUAUAUAUAUAUAUUUUCCUUUUAUCCUUUGCCUCAGCUCUGCUAUUCUUUCUUUUUAUCUAAUCCUUGAUUUCUGGUCUAUCAUGAAUGCAAACAUGUCUAUCUAUCAGUUUCAUAAACCUACGGGCACACAUCUCGAACCACCAAAAUCUUCAAAGCCUAUCAUAGCAUCUAGUUUUGAGAUAGACCCCGAAUACAUAUAAUUUGUUCAAAAACAACCUUUCUCAGGAGAAGGUGAGGAAAACCCAUACACACACAUAAGAGUGUUUUAUUGAGUCUGUGACCUCCUUCGCGUAGAAGGCAUAUCCGAUGAGACCCUUAAAUGGAAGCUCUUUCUGUUUUCUUUAGUAGGAAAAGCUAGACAUUGGUACAAACUCAAAGUAGGGAGUGUUCAUGGAGAUUGGAAGGAGUUAUAUAAUAGUUUUCUUUUUAAAUAUUUUCCAAUCUCCAAAGUGGCAGAACUUCGGUGUGAGAUUAUUUCUUUCUCUUGGCAAAUCAUGGGACCGCUUUAUUAACCUUACUCUCACUGGCCCAAAGCUUUCUAUUCUAGAAGAAGUUCUUCUAAUUCACUUUUUUGAGGGCCUUAGUAGGGAAAAUAAGCAAACCUUGCAUACAGCCUCUAGAGGAUCCUUCUAUCACGUACCUGCUAGUGAAGCUAAGGAUUUAAUUGAUUCAUUGAGUGGAAAGUUUCCUAGCAUUUAUAUCCCUGAGAAAGAGAAAGAACCAGUUCCUAGACAAGAAGAAGAAGUUUCGAUAGCCAGAUCACAACCACUUCAAUCCCAAACUUUAGCUAUCGAUCCUAAACCAUUAAUACCCCAAAAUUCUCCAAGGGAGGAAGGAAUUCCGACCUUAAAUCUUUCAGAUACUGAUGGUUUAGACUUCUCGUUCCAUAAGAGACUUUCAAGCAUAGAAAAUUCAAAUCCUUGCAAUGAUGGUUCUCUUAGAGAAUGUCCUGGUUCCUAUUAUGAAGAAGUCGAGGAUGACAUAUCAAGUGAAGGAGAGCUAAGCCAUAUAGAAAAUUCUAUUUGCUCCCCUUCCAUGUUCACAAGUUCUAAAUCCAUCCUUGACCUUAGAGAUUCCUCUUAUCCCUCUCCUUUUCAGUCUCAUGAUGAUCCUAGCAAUCCAUCAAGACGAUCAAACCAUAGGAGUCAUAAAGACCAUGAGGAUGACAUGUCAAGUAAUGUCAUAGAAGGAGAGCUAAGCCACAUAGAAAAUUCUAACACCUCCCCUUUCCUGAUCACUAGUUCUAAAUGGCUAGAAUGUGUAGAAUGGAUGGAUAAGGAAGAAGCCUUAAUGGAUUCUGACUUUGGCUCAAUUUCAAAUAGUGAGUUCUUGACUCCCUUUGAAGAUGAGAUUCAUCCAACUAUAGAAGAGGACACAGGUGAGAUCAAUCUAGGAGAAACUCCGAACAUUCAGAUUGGCGACGAAGAUAACAUUAAUGAGCAUGGAAUUUAUUUCAUAGCCACUUUGUUUACUCCAUGCUCAUAUGCAACAUCUUCCCAAUCUAUUGGUCUCUCCAACAUCACCACAUUUGAGAUCUCCAACCCCCUCUUCCUUUCUAUUUAUAAAAACAUUAAAAGGGCGGUUGUCGAUGCAUAUGUCUAUAAUAAAUAUUGCAGAUCUCGUUGAGUUGAUCUUGAUAUAGGUCAACGUUGGAAGGGAAACCACUUCGCCGACAUAAACUGAUUGUUUCCCAAGGACAACCUUAGUGUCCUAAAAUAAGCACUGAUCAGAUCGUAACAUGAGCUUUUAAUUAUUUACAACAAUACCUUGUGUAUUGAGCAUAUAAGGAUAAUUGUAAAAAUAUUCCUUCGGGUAUUCUUGUCACUAACCUUUCCACGAUUGGACCAAGAAGAUUGGAUGAAUGACAAGCACAAGGUAUGUCCAACCAAUCAUCAUACAACAUUGAAUUAAAUCCAAACUUGAAUUUUGCAAAAUUCAAGCUUGGGGGAGUACUUUACAUAAAAACAUCCUUUGCCAUGUUGCUAUGUUGGUUGUCCCUACCUUUGAGACAUGCUCAAUUGAUUAAAUACUAAUCACACUACUUCAUCUCCACUUAAGUAGAUCUCUAUAAAUGCCAUCAUGCUACCUUUGUUUAUCCUAGUAAGUGUUAGUUUGGAAGUACUGCACAUACUUCUAUUGGCUUUUAAAUUAAGCAUGGUGCUUAGGUUAAACAGCCUUCCUUAAUCUGAUUAGACAUGGAGUCUAGUUCAGUUAUUGAACUAAAAACUGCUUGUGUAGACAUUGGUAUAUUUUGUCGGACUAACCCCUGUAGAAAAACUAUCAAUAUCGAUUUGGGAAGUCCUGAGAUAAACUCACAUCGGAGAUGAAGAGAGAGACGCAUGAAGUGUAAUAAUUUGCACAAGAAAGACAUAGCUCAUUCAUCAUAGAGAGAUGAUCCAUGGAAGGAGACAAAGUACAAAAACAAGAUACAUAGCCACUACGAAUGGGAAGCUUCCACAAGGUGAGAUGGUACCAUCACUCUUCAAUUAAGGUAACAUCUUAAGAUAUGUAACUAUCACUUUUAUAAGCUUCUCCUUGGUUUUGGCGUUCACAUAAAUAAAGAGACAAACAUGUAUGAUUUAUAACUCCAAAUUAACCAACCCAACUGAUUUAACAUGUUUAGUCCUUUAAUCUUUGUUCCUAGUACUACCUCCAUGAUCCCACACUUCUAAUCAUAUGAGCUAAAAUGCUGCACACUCAAUCUUUGGAAGAUAUAUAUAAAAAACAUAAAUAUAGAUAGAUUAUCUUUCCAUAAGGAUUGAGCGAUCUGAUCUGACAAAUGUUUUAAAUGAAGAACUUUGUCUUGCUCACUAUGCUGAAGGUUAGAGAAGAACAAAUACACUUUUGGUUCUGUUGGUGUUUUCCACCAAUAGGGCCCAUGCACUUGAUCUCUGCCUUGUCUCUAUGAGCAGAUACACUUAGAGCAAAACAUGGUGGAGUUUUACAACUCCUAGAUUCCACCAAGUGAAGGACCUAGAUCUACGAGCACAAACACACUGAGCAGGAUGCUGCCAACGCCGCACUUCAAAUUGCUGGGCAAACGAAGAACAUGGGUGACAUCGUAUCAAGAGGUGCAGACGUCAAGGUCUGCACCUGAAUCAAAUGAUGCACCUAAAGAAUGAACAUGGUGAGAAGUCUUGUUUAGAAGACUUAAAACAUUGAACCCUCGCCGAAAGGUAAAAUUAGUAGUUAUCCAUAUUUAUCCUUUCUGCUUUCCCUUUUUCCUUAAAUUAUUUACUUUCCUUAAAUGGCUUGUUAGUUAAUCAUGCUAUCUUGAAAAGAAAAUAAAAAUAUUAAAAAUAGUAAGCCCCAUGUGAGUAUGCUCGUGGCAUAAAACCCAUAAGUAUAUUCACUAUGGUGGCGUAAAAAUAAAAAUAUUCAUGUCCUAUAAAAAUGAAAAUAUAAAAAUAAAUUUAUGAUCCUACCAAAAAGAGUAAUAUUUAUUAGAGGAAGCUCAACAUGAUAAAGGCAAAGAGAUUUUUAUGCUAACACUUAACCAGUUCCACAAAGCUUUGUUGUCUAUUUGAGCUCCAUAGAAUUCAAGGAUCAAAGAAAACUAGCAGACGGAGGACAUCCUAAUCGCUGUCAGGAUGCUGCCGACGUUCAAAUACACCUCCGCCACCUGCUAGCUACAUCAGAAGAAAUUACGUCAAAAUCCAUCUUGGGAGAGAGCACCCCCAUUUAUCCAGCUAAGUGUUUCUACUCGCAUUUAUACUGUACUCAAAUAAUAAAAAGAUGCAUAAUCAUAAAAACCCAAAUAAAGAUUUUAUGCUUAUAUAUAUAUCUUUGCUUAGUUUGCUAAAUAAAUAAAUAAAUAAAGUUUGCUAUAAACCCUCAUGAUAAGCUCUCACAUGGAAAUGAUGAAUAGUUGCCCUACCAUGACUAGUUCUCAAAAUUGAAUUCUCUCUCAAAUUUAGGCAUGACUGUUAUGAAUUAAGAUUCGCUCUAAACCUAAACUUGUGGGAAGAGUACUUGAUCUAAAGUCUAAGUCGUUAACGGAUACGAUAUGGGAAGGUUGAGCUGCUGUUUAUCUGUUCCUAGAUAUGCUAGAAUUCUAGAGAAUUUUAUCUUUGAAAAUCUUUAAAAUAUUGCAUGAUGAGUUCCUGUAUGAUGAGAGUUUAAAAUCCUACCAUAGCCAUAUAUACAUGCUUAUUAGACUAUGAACCAUACAUGUACUUUUUACUUCUUAUGAGCAUUGAGUGUGGUCAAGCUGUGUAGACCCUUAGGAGCUUGUCAUGCGGUUAAAAUCAAGAUUCACUUGCAUGUUCACUCAUACAUGCUGCUUCUACUCCGGAAGUACGCAUCCACAUACAUCCACUCAUUUCCAUCUCCAGAUUUACCCAAAAUUAUUCUACUCCUAUCCAGGAGAGAAUAGCCAAAAACAUUAUCCUAUCCCUGUUAUUCCCCGUGAAAUAAAUGCUCGAGAUAUUUUGGUUACUACCACUUGCUACAUUAUUCCAGGAGGGUGAAUGCUCUGAAAAAAAAGUGAAUACGAGGAAAUAAAAAGGGGCAAGUGCCCGAAACCUCGAAGAAAAGAAAAAGUGAGACGAGAGGUAAAAAUGGUCAAGUGUCUGAUAGUAGAAUUAGGGGUACAAGAUACCCACCUGAGAGAAAAGAAAAAAAAUAUAGAGCAUCUCAUUCCCCUCAAAAAGCUUCAAAGUGCAAGAAAGGUAUGUAUCCCCUCAAAAGAGCAAAAGUAGAAUUAGACUUUCACCAUUGUUUUCACCAUUGUCACCAUCAUCACCAUACACCAUUCAUUCACCACACAUGCACAUCUUGAUUUGACUUAUUGACUUGUUUCUCUGGAUCCAUGGUUUGACUAUGCAAUAAAUGUCUUGUAAGUAUGUAUUAGCUGUCUCCCACCUAGGAGCUCCAGAUAUCAAAACCUUAUUAGAGUAGGGUGAGAGAGAAAGCAAUGUCACUAUGCCUCAUACCAAAAAUACCACAUACUUUGAGAGAAGGCAUAUACUAUUAUUGCCUUGGUAAGGAACCAGAAAUACCACAAAAGAGAGAAUUGAGAGAGUCAUACAAGGAACUGGUGCUUGACUUGACCGUUCUAUCUUUUAACUGCUCAAGACACAUGUGACGGUUGCAAGCCCCAUGGUGGAAGGUAAUAUGAGUAAGUUUAAAUCGUAACAGUUUACCUUAACCUAGAGAUGAGAUCUUGUUUGAAUGCAUGUGUACCUUUAAGGCAUAAAACCAUUGUAGAAACUCUUGAGUCCAUCCUUGCUUAGGGACGAGCAAGAGGUAAGCUUGGGGGAGUUGUUGACGGUCCUUAAGUACCAAAUAUAAUCAUCAAAUAAAUAAAGAAAAGGAUGCAAAUGCAACCAACACCCAGACUUAGGGCUUUAUCUGACAGAAUUCCACGAGUUUUGGUGUUUGUCUAUUUCUCCAGGGGGUUAUCAGGAAAUAUGGAGGAAAGGCCCACAUGUCGGGUUUACAUAGAGAUAUUAACAUGUCGCGCAAUUUUCUAUCAUCUAGAAGACUCUAGAAGCCACAGGAACGAACGGGAAGACGAGCGGGCUCGGGGACAGGGCGCCCGCCCUCCCCCCUUGGGCGCCCGCCCUGGUGUUUCGGCCAAUCACGUUCUACUUCGCAGAUCAUGCUCCACCGACCUAAAGGAUCAAGGAAAACUGUGCGAUCAAUGUCGGUUUGAUCCGACGGCCCAGAUUCACUUGAGGGGACUGUUGAUAUUUGGAAACGCAAUAAGGAAUUGAUCCACAAGCGCACGGAUAUCGGUGAGCACUUCACCCGGGAGGUUAUCCAGAGUAUCGUAUUUAUUUUUUUACCACUAGGAGAAAGAGUGCAUCUGACUAACCGGUCUAUUACUACUAACCUUUAGGCACAAAGAAUGUCUUUCGAUGUGAGUGAUAAAUAGAGAAGACUGCAAUCGUAGUCUCCUUCUAACCUUGGUAAGGAUGAUCUACUGUUCUAAUGGGGAGGCUAACAGAAUCUAGACACCACAAAGGAUGUUCAACCCGCACCUAUAAACCCUAUCCUUCCUGCUAACGAGAUGUGAUCUGCAAAGGUAACUCUGAAUUGUCACGUUCCUCACUACUACCACGGUCCAGCUAGUCAGGGAAUAUCUAUGAGUACCCCAGCCUAAACACCACGUUUACGCCAGCAAUGAUUACUCUAAACUCUACGCGAAGAGAUUAAAGUAAACUCAUAAACCAUAAGAACAAUAAAACAAGAACUUACUAGAAUUUAGAAGUCGAAUUACUGAAGAAUCCUAGGAGCAAGCUUCGGGUUAGGAGAACUUGAUCCCGCAGGUACAAGAGUGGAGUAGACACCGACAGGCCGGGCUUCCUCCAAUCUACACCUCCACUCUAUCUCUCUCAAUCUAGUAGAAACUAGAAGAUCUAUUUCUACCUUACAUUGAUUGCUAAGCCUAAAAAGAAAUAUUAAUUAGAGAACAGGUUUUCCUUCGAGGGCACCCCUCAGUCUCUAUGAUAAUUUCUUCAUGUCUUCUCCAGGGGCCAGGGGGGUCUCCUUAUAUAGUCCUCCCCUUCUAUGCGUUUUUGGGUCGAUAGGCGAGGUGGUACUAUGUUUUUCUUGAUCCAAUAGGUCGGUGGAAUAUCCCGAGCGAAGAGAGUCCUGAUUGGCAUCCAGAGGGGGGCGGGCGCCCAGGUCACCAGGGCGGGCGCCCUGGGCCUGGCCCCUUUCGGCCUCCGUCUUCUUCCCGUGGCUUCUGAAGUCUUCUAGAUGGUAGAAAAUUGCGCGGUGCGUUGAUAUCUCUAUGUAAUCCCGACAUGUGGGCCUUUCUUCCUUAUUUCCUGAUAACCCCCUGCAGAAAUAGAUAAACAACAAAACUUGUGGAAUUCUGUCAGAUCAAACCCUAAUUCUAGGUGUUGUUUGCAUAUUGGUCCUUUCUCUUGUUUAUUUGAUAAUUAAAAUUGAUACUUAAGAACCGUCAACAGGGACUAUAUAAGCAGGCCUCCUGGCCCCUGGAGGAGGCACCCCUUCAUCCUUAUUCAUUAUUCAUAGACAGAGCAAAAGCUAGGGUUUGGAGAUGAGAGCUCUCCUCUCAUCUCUAAACUAGAGUAGAUCUAGAUAGUAGCGAGAUGGAGAGCGAGGGAGGAUCGGAGGAGAGGCCGGCCUGUCGGUUCUUCCUCCGGUUGUACUUCGCCAUGAUCAAGAUCUAAUCAAGCUUGCUCAUGGGAUGAUUCUGGUAAUCUACUUCUAUUUCAUUAUGCAAUUACUAUCCAUGUAUGUUCUGGUUCACAACUCUUUUGAGUACUUUAAUCUAUAGGACUCUAUAGGUGAGAGUUGUAGUAUAGGUGUAAGCGUGGUGCUUAGACCUAAAUUACUUGUGGAUAUCCCCUGUCUAGCUGGAUCGUGUGGUAGGCCGCAUAGGUGACAGCUAUGUUGGUCCCCUGUAGUCCACCUCCCGCUAGCAGGACUAGUAGGGUUUAUCGGUCUAUGGAUAAGCAUCCUUUGUGGUGUAUUCUUAUCAUGUGGUUUGUCCCAGAUAUAGACAUACCCCUUUGAAGUAGAGAAACCAUAGUUAUCCUCUCUAUUCUCCUACCAUCGCCCAUAUAUUAUAUUGCUCUACUCUCUAUUCCCAUAUUAUCACCCAUUGUUAUCUUACCUUUAAUAUUGUUCUUAUUCAAUUCUACUAUCUUUCCUAUUUACACCUACCUAUCUAUCUAGGUUAAGUUAGAGCGUAGAUCAGUUCUCCCGUUAACCUGUGGAUACGAUAAAACCUUUAACUGGGUAAAAGCUACAAUGGUAUCCGUGUGCUUGCGGUUUUAUCUGUGUGCGUAUAAAUACCAUAGUACACUCUAGUGCCAUGCUGGGGAUGACAACCUAGUAUUCAAGUGGUGUUAGCAAGUGUCAACACACAUCAAUCAGCUUUUAAGAUGAAGUGGAUGAUUAGAAGGAACGGAUAUUUUGGCCGACUAUACUUGAGGAUUGUUUUAAGUAUUUCAAAGGGUGUCAAGGAUGUUAGAAGUUUGGCAAUAUUCAAAGGGUACCCGCAUCGGCUAUGAAUCCUAUUAUUAAACCUUGGCCGUUCCGGGGUUGGGCUAUUGAUCUCAUCGGUCAAAUUUAUCCGCCAUCGAGUAAAGGGCAUAAGUUUAUCCUUGUUGCCACUGAUUAUUUCACUAAAUGGGUUGAGGCUAUUUCUUUGAAGAAAGUGACAUCGGCCAACAUGAUUGAUUUUGUGAAAGAGCAUAUUGUUUACCAAUUUAGCAUUCCCCAAACAAUCACUACCGAUCAAGGUACUAUGUUUACGUUAGGAGAGUUUGAUGAGUUAGCAGUCGGUAUGGGGAUUAAAGUGUUGAAUUCUUCUCCUUACUAUGCUCAAGCCAAAGAUUGAGGAAAAUCCCAGACGAUGGCAUACUCUGUUAAAUGAAGCCUUAUGGUCAUAUCGGAUGGCGUGUCAUGGUUCGACCAAAGUGUCACCUUAUCAACUGGUGUAUGGACAUGAUGCAGUACUACCAUGGGAAAUUAAAACUGGUUCUAGGCGAAUGUUUUCUCAAGAUCAGUUAACUGCUGGUGACUAUGCUACUUUGAUGAAAGAUGAGUUGGAAGAUUUAGCAGGGCAUCGGUUAAGAGCUUUAAUUAGCAUAGAGGAGAAUAAAAAGACAGUGGCUAAGUGGUAAGAUACCGAGGCUUUUACUUGUCCUCGAGAAAAGGAUGGUUAAGAACAAUAUCUGGGGUAAAUAUUUAAAAACAUUCUUUAUAUUUGCAGGGUGUUAAAAAUUCCACUGUGUACCAUAGUCAGGGAAGUUUAUGAUCAAGAGUAAAGAUCCUUUCUUCUCAAUCCUGUCACUUGGAGCUUUUUGUAUAUUUUUUUUGAAAGAAAGUUAGCAUACUUUUGAUCCUCAUAGGUUCUCUCAGAUCACUCAUUAUCUUUUAUAUAUAUCUCACUAAGGCUGUUUUAUUUUUGCAAAAAUUCUCAUGCAUACUUACUUUGCAUUUAUUGCUUGAUCAAAACGGGAUCCGAGGAGGGGAAUGUCAUACUCUUAGAUCAAAGACUUUGGAAAUUCAAAUCUUUGUCAACUCUUGCUGGCAUAUUGCUUAUUAGAGGGACCAUUGGCUAUCAUUUCAUUUUUUUUCCUUUUUCUUCUUUUUUUUAAGUGGAUACCGAGGUACCCCUAAUUCCACUGCCGGACACUUGUCCAUUUUUUUUCUGCGAGGUUGUCGAGCACUUGCUCCUUUUUAUUUCCUCAAAAUAUCUCUAUUUUUGCAUAGCCCAUGCCUCUAAUGCAAUAAUACUUCGGAAGAGUGAAUCUUUCUAAAUAAAUGUCUUGAUCUUAGGAGCAUGAUAAAUCUCUCAACAAGGGUCUAACUCAUUUUGAACAAACUCAAUACAGAGUAGAUAGCUUUUAUAAUCAUAAUCAAUAUUUUCAGUUUUAUCAGGCAUAUAAAACACUGAGGAUGGUAGCUAGAAUUUUGAAUAUUUUGAAAUAAAUUCUCCAAGUAACAAUGAUAUCAAGAAUAAGAAACUCAUACUCUAUAUUCCAUAUUGACUUAAGUGACACAGGGUUUUAAAAUGAUUUUCAAUAAUUGCAAGUUUUUCAGGAAAUAUCACAGAUUGAGAUUAAUCAUGAUUAGAAAUCUUUUAAUCUUUUUAUUUUAUCAUAUCGGAAACAGUAAUCUGCAUAAUCAAGAUAGUUGUAUGUGUAAAGUGAAGUGUGUAGAGUGUGUACCUGAAUCGUGGAGUGGUGUAGUCGGAGUGUGUUUGGCAUGUUGAGGGAUCUCCCCCAUACUUGUUUUCUGCUUCCUUGCACAAAAAUAAAGUAGAGACACACAAGACAUAAUAAUAAUAAUAAUAAUAGUAAUACUCUUUAUUACUCUUGAGGCGUUUAUUACAAAAGACUAGUAGCAAACUGAUAACAAACUGAUGAUAAUAGCAAACUGAUGAUAAUUGCAAACCUAAACCGAAUUUAAAGAUAGAUAAUGUUGACGGUCCUUAAUGCUCACAAUUAACCAUCAAGUUUUAUCUAAAUGCAACCAACACCUAGACUUAGAGUUUUAUCUAACAGAAUUCCACGAGUUCUGGUGUUUGUCUAUUUCUGCAGGGGGUUAUCAGGAAAUAUGGAGGAAAGGCCCACACGUCGGGUUUACAUAGAGAUAUUAACGUGCCGCGCAAUUUUCUAUCAUCUAGAAGACUCCAGAAGCCACGGGACCGAAGCGGAAGUCGAGAGGCCUCAGGGACAGGGCGCCCGCCCUAGUCCUGAGGGCGCCCGCCCUCCCCCCUGGACCAAUCAGGGUGAAGUUCGGGGAUCAUGCUCCACCGACCUAAUACUUCAAGGAAAACCACACGAUCAAUGUCGGUUUGAUCCGACGGCCCAGAUUCACUUGAAGGGACUAUAAAACCAGACCCCCCUGGCCCCUGGAGAUCAUACCUCUUCUACAGAAUCAAAGUUAGGGUUUCAAUUAUUCAUCCAAGUAGAGAGGAUCCCUCUAGUUCUUCUAGUUCUACCUCUAGUUCAUCUAGAUCUAGUUCUAGUUCAUCUAGUUCUAGUUCUAGUUCCUCUAGUUCUAGUUCUAGUUAGUUCUAGUUGUAAUCUAGAAAAUAGGGAGAGAGAAGAGGAGAGCGGAGGAGGAGCCGGAUCUAUCGGAUCUUCCUCAACAUUAUACUUUUGCAGCAUCUGGUUCGUUCUUCAUCGUUCUCCAGGUUCUUCAAUUCAUAAUUCCUGAGUUCUUUAAUUACUUUUAUUUACAUUCAAGUUAUUUAUUGGAUUCCCGCUUGCAUCAAGUGCUCUAGUCUUUAUAACGCUAGAGUAGUAAUUAAUAGAUUAGACGUGGUGUUUAGUCUUGCGAUUACCUGGAAUUGCACCCAAUCCUGCGGAUUGUUGUGGUAGCCUUAGGGUAGUGACAGCCCUAACGGUCGACGUAUUCCACCACGUUCGGGUCGGUGUUUGUAGGACCGUAGUCAGACCUUCCUAGCCCCCUUCUCAUCUCUUUCUGUGGUUAGUGCUCUGAUGUCCCGAUAUAGAUAAUCUUGAAGUAAUUCUUGAUUCUUAGAUCAACUAGAGAACUCUCAGGAAACUUCCUCUCUUCCCACCAAAAAUAAUUAUAUAGUUAUCCUUGGGCAAUCUUGGAUCUUAAUUAGUACACUCACGUUCUCUGUGGAAAAUCGAUACUCUGGAAUACUCCCGGGUGAAGGCUACAUCGGUAUCCGUGCGCUUGCGGAUUUUUCUGUUUGCGUUUAAAAUACCCAACAAGCUUUCUGGCGCCGUUGCCGGGGAACGGUAGCUGUGCUAGUUUCAAACCAAGUCGUCCGUGUAUCUUUUUUUCUUUUCCUUUUUACCACACUCACCUUAUCAUUUUCACCGUACCACAUGGAUUUCACUCUAAGCAUUAAUGAGCAUGGAAUUUAUUUCAUAGCCACUUCAUUUACUCCAUGCUCAUAUGCAACAUCUUCACAAUCCAUUGGUCUCUCCAACAUCACCACAUUCGAGAUCUCCAACCCCCUCUUCCUUUCUAUUCAUAAAAACUUUAAAAGGGCGGUUGUCGAUGCAUAUGUCUAUAAUAAUUUUUUUGCAGAUCUCAUUGAGUUGAUCUUGAUAUAGGUCAGCGUUGGAGGGAAAACCACUUCACUGACAUAAAUUGAUGGUUUCCCAAGGACAAGCUUAGUGUCCUAAAACAAGCACUGAUUAGAUCAUAACAUGAGCUUUUAAUUAUUUGCCACAUUACCUUGUGAGUUGAGCAUAUAAGGAUAAUUGUAAAAAAAUUCCUUCGGGUAUUCUUGUCACUAACCUUUCCAGGAUUGGAGCAAGAAGAUCGGAUGAAUGACAAACACAAGGUAUGUACAACCAAUCAUCAUACAACAUUGAAUUAAAUUCAUCCAAACUUGAAUUUUGCAAAAUUCAAGCUUGGGGGAGUACUUUAUAUAAAAACAUCAUUUGCCAUGUUGCUAUGUUGGUUGUCCCUACCUUUGAGACAUGCUCAAUUUGUUAAAUAGUAAUCACACUACUUCAUCUCCACUUGAGUAGAUCUCUAUAAAAGCCAUCACGCUACCUUUGUUUAUCCUAGUAAGUGUUAGUUUGGAAGUACUGUACAUACUUCUAUUGGUUUUUAAAUUAAGCAUGGUGCUUAGGUUAAACAGCCUUCCUUAAUCUAGUUAGACAUGGAGUCUAGUUUGGUUAUUGAACUAAAAACUGCUUGUGUAGACAUUGGUAUAUUUUGUCAGACUAACCCCUGCAGAAAAAAAAAACUUUUAACAUCAACCUGGGAAGUCCUGAGAUAAACUCACAUUGGAGACAAAGAGAGACACACAUGAAGUUUAACAAUUUACACAAGGAAGGCAUAGCUCACAAGAGAUGAUCCAUGGAUGGUGCCACAAACACAAUGCACAACCGCUAAGGGAGGAAAGCUUCCACAAGGUGAUACUGUACCAUCACUCUUCAAGUAAGGUAACAUCUUAAAGUACUUGACUAUCACUUCUAUAAGCUUCUCCCUGGUUCUGGCGUUCACAUGAAUAAAAGAGACAAACAUGUAUGAUCUACAACUCUAGAUUAACCAACCCAAUCGAUUCAACAUGUUUAGUCCUUCCACCUUUGUGAUUCCACACUCCUAAUCAUAUUAGCUAAAAUGUUGCACACUCAAUCUUUGAAAGAUAUAUUUUAUAAAAAAAACAAAUCAACAUAAAUAUAGAUAGAUUAUCUUUCCAUUAGGUUGAGCGAUCUGAUCUGACAAAUGCUUUAAAUGCUACACUCAUGAUCUUAUUAUCCAUCAACUUUGUCUUGCUCAUUAUGCUUAAGGUUAGAGAAGAACAAAUACACUUUUAGUUCUGUUGGUGUUUUCGACCAACAGGGCCCAUGCACUUGAUCUCUGCCUUGUCUCUAUGAGCAGGUACACUUCGAGCAAAAUAUGAAGGAGUUUUACAACUCCCAGACUCCACCAAGUGAAGAACCUAGAUAUAUGAGCACAAACACACUAGAGAUACUGGACACUCAUGCAAACACUGCCCUGAGAUGCUUGAGGAUGUAACUACUGGAGUAACCCCGUUGUGGAAGUAAUUACUGACCUUCUGCCGGUCAAGAGAGACAAUCUAGGAUGCACCGUCAUCCCGAUCUCCAUCGGCAUGGUGGACUUCCGAAAAGCACUCUGCGACUUUGGCUCCAGUGUCAACACUAUGCCCAGGGUACUCUAUGAAAAAAUUCUUUACACAUCCUUUAUCAGAAACAACCAUGUGUUGCAGCCUGCAGUCAGACACUAAGUUUCCCAAAGGGAAUAUUGAAGAACCUCUGCGUCCGAGUUGGUACCUUGUACUCCCUAGCAGACUUCGUGGUGAUAGAGACUGGUACUGAUGAGAGGGCACCCGUCAUCUUAAGGAGGCCAUUCCUGAACACCUCAGGAGCUGUCAUCCACGCUAGUGCUGCCAAGAUCCAUUUCUACAUCAAAGGGAGGAAGGAGACAUUUUCCUUCAAGAACAAGACUACACAAAUCUUAGAGCAAUCCUGACGUGAACCAAGGAAAGGACCAACAGGAGGAACAGGAACAAGCAAAUGUGUACCGAGUCAACUAAGAUGGUCACUGCAGCUCAAGGAGGCCAAGAUCGUCAACUCAAGUCACCUUUCUUGAUCAAGAAGGACGACCCUGGUGUUCCAAGCAUCGAGUGCACAAUCAACGGAUAUUCCUUUUAGAAGACACUCUAUGACACCAGAUCUGACAUCAACAUAAUGGGCGCAGUCACUUAUCAGCUCCUGCAUGGAACCAUGCCCCUACAACCAACAUACAUUCAGCUCCACAUGAUUUUAAGGUUAUUGACAUGGGAGAAGACAAGUACGAUCCACCCAUCAUCCUUGGAAGACCGUUCCUCAGCACCGUUAAAGCAAUCAUCUACAUUGGAACUAGAGGAGUCCACAUACAGUUCCCCUCUGAGAAGGUACGCUGCUAUUUUACUAACCCUAACUAUAUAGUUGAAGACUCUAAGCAGGUUAGGACAAGAAGAAGACGACGCAACCGCAACCAGAGGAGGAAAAUCAUAAAGGACGGAUGGGCAGACUAUGAAGGAGAAGUCGUAAGAUCUGAAGACAUACAGCUUGAACAGAACUGUCCUGAGGAGGCCGUAGCACCGAGUCAGGUGUGUAGAGAGAAGAUAGUUAUACACGAAGAGCAGGCUCUGCCGGAACCACCGACUAUGCCAUCCAGCAAAUCCCAGGACGACUGAGGAAACGGAGAGUCCCGUUCGGAGGACUUAAAAACACCGAACGCCUUGCCAAGAGGUAAACUUGGUAGUUAUCCUUUUCCUUUCAAUUAUUUAAAAUAGUUUGCUUAGUUAAUCAGGUUCAUAUCAUCUUCAAAAGAAAAUAAAAAUGUUAAAAAACAGUAAGCCCCAUGUGAGUAUGCUCAUGGCAUAAAACCCAUAAGUACAUUCACUGUGGUGGCGUAAAAAUAAAAUAAAUAUAUUCCUGUCCUAUAAAAAUGAAAAUAUAAAAAUAAAUUUAUGAUCCUACUAAAGAGAGUAACAUUUAUUGAGGAGGCUCAACAUGAUAAAGGCUAAGUAUUUACGCUAACCCUUAACCAGUUCCACAAAGCUUUGUUGUCUAUUUGAACUCCACAGAAUUCAAGGAUCAAAGAAGACUAGCAGACGGAGGACAUCCUAAUCACUGUCAGGGUGCUGCCGAUAUUCAAAUACACCUCCGCCACCUGCUAGCUACAUCAGAAGAAAUUACGUCAAAAUCCAGCUUGGGGGAGAGCACCCUCAUUUAUCCAGCUAAGUGUUCUACUCACGUUUAUACUUUACUCAAAUAAUAAAAAGAUGCAUAAUCAUAAAAACCCAAAUAAAGAUUUUGUGCUUAUAUAUAUCUUUGCUUAGUUUGCUAAAUAAAUAAAUAAAUAAAGUUUGCUAUGAACCCUCAUGAUAAGCUCUCACAUGGAAAUGAUGAAUAGUUGCUCUGCCAUGACUAGUUCUCAAAAUUGAAAUCUCUCUCAAGUUUAGGCAUGACUGUUAUUAAUUAAAAUUUGCUCUAAACCUGAACUUGUGGGGAGAGGACUUGAUCUAAAGUCUAAGUCGUUAACGGAUAUGAUAUGGGAAGGUUGAGCUGCUGUUUAUCUGUUCCUAGAGAUGCUAGAAUUCUGGAGAAUUUUAUCUUUGAAAAUCUUUAAAAUAUUACAUGAUGAGUUCCUGUAUGAUGAGAGUUUAAAUUCCUACCACCGCCAUAUAUACAUGCUUGCAAGACUUUGAGCCACACAUUUACUUUUUACUGCUUAUGAGCAUUGAGUGUGGUCAAGCUGUGUAGACCCUUAGGAGCUUGUCAUGUGGUUAAGUCAAGAUUCACUUGCACGUUCACUCAUACAUGCUGCUUCUACUCUGAAAGUACGCAUCCACAUAUAUCCAUCCAUUUCCAUCUCCACAACCACCUAAAAAUAUUCUACUCCUAAUCAGGGAGAGAAUAGCCAAAAACAUUUCUGUUUUCCCUUGUGAAAUAAAUGCUCAAGUUAUCUUGUUACUACCACUUGCUAUAUUAUCUCAUGAGAUGAGUGCUCUAAAAAAAAGAGAGAGAAAAAAAAAGAAAAAAAGAAAAAAAGAAAAAAAAGAGAUACGAGGAAAUAAAAAGGGGCAAGUGCCCGGAACCUCGAAAGAAAAGAAAAAAGUGAGACGAGAGGUAAAAAUGGACAAGUGUCCGACAGUAGAAUUAGGGGUACAAGAUACCCACCUGAGAGAAAAGAAAAAGAAAAUAUAGAGCAUCUCAUUCUCCUCAAAAAGUUUCAAAGAGCAAGAAAGGUAUGUAUCCCCUCAAAAGAGCAUAAGUAGAAUUAGACUUUCACCAUUAUCACCAUCAUCACCAUACACCAUUCAUUCGCCACACAUGCAUAUCUUGAUUUGACUUAUUGACUUGUUCUUCUGGAUCCAUGGUUUGACUAUGCAAUAAAUGUCUUGUAAGUAUGUAUUAGCUGUCUCCCACCUAUGAGCUCCAGAUAUCAAAAGCCUUAUUAGAGUAGGGUGAGAGAGAAGGCAAUGCCACUAUGCCUCAUACCAAAAAUACCACAUACUUUGAGAGUAGGCAUACACCAUUACUGCCUUGGUAAGGAUCCAGAAAUACCACAAAUGAGAGACUAGAGAGAGUCAUACAAGGAAUCUCUGAGUUUUAUUUGAAAAUUUGCAAAAACCCAGACCUAUAGCUGAUCAAGAAUAAGAGACAUGGUGCUUGACUAGACCGUUCUAUCUUUUAACUACUCAAGACAGAAGUGACGGUUACAAGUCCCAUGGUGAAAGGUAAAUGAGUAAGUUUUAAGUCUUAACAGUUUACUCUAACCAGAGAUGAGAUCUUGUUUAAACGCAUCUGUAUCUUUAAGUUAUGAAACCACUGCAGAAACUCUUGAGUUCAUCUUUGCUCAGGGACGAGCAAAGGUUAAGCUUGGGGGAGCUUGUUGACGGUCCUUAAUGCUCACAAUUAACCAUCAAUUAAUCAUGGAAAAGGAUCCAAAUGCAACCAACACCUAGACUUAGGGUUUUAUCUAACAGAAUUCCACGAGUUUUGGUGUUUGUCUAUUUCUGCAGGGGGUUAUCAGGAAAUAUGGAGGAAAGGCCCACACGUCGGGUUUACAUAGAGAUAUUAACGUGCCGCGCAAUUUUCUAUCAUCUAGAAGACUCCAGAAGCCACGGGACCGAAGCGGAAGUCGAGAGGCCUCAGGGACAGGGCGCCCGCCCUAGUCCUGAGGGCGCCCGCCCUCCCCCCUGGACCAAUCAGGGUGAAGUUCGGGGAUCAUGCUCCACCGACCUAAUACUUCAAGGAAAACCACACGAUCAAUGUCGGUUUGAUCCGACGGCCCAGAUUCACUUGAAGGGACUAUAAAACCAGACCCCCCUGGCCCCUGGAGAUCAUACCUCUUCUACAGAAUCAAAGUUAGGGUUUCAAUUAUUCAUCCAAGUAGAGAGGAUCCCUCUAGUUCUUCUAGUUCUACCUCUAGUUCAUCUAGAUCUAGUUCUAGUUCAUCUAGUUCUAGUUCUAGUUCCUCUAGUUCUAGUUCUAGUUAGUUCUAGUUGUAAUCUAGAAAAUAGGGAGAGAGAAGAGGAGAGCGGAGGAGGAGCCGGAUCUAUCGGAUCUUCCUCAACAUUAUACUUUUGCAGCAUCUAGUUCGUUCUUCAUCGUUCUCCAGGUUCUUCAAUUCAUAAUUCCUGAGUUCUUUUAAUUACUUUUAUUUACAUUCAAGUUAUUUAUUGGAUUCCCGCUUGCAUCAAGUGCUCUAGUCUUUAUAACGCUAGAGUAGUAAUUAAUAGAUUAGACGUGGUGUUUAGUCUUGCGAUUACCUGGAAUUGCACCCAAUCCUGCGGAUUGUUGUGGUAGCCUUAGGGUAGUGACAGCCCUAACGGUCGACGUAUUCCACCACGUUCGGAUCGGUGUUUGUAGGACCGUAGUCAGACCUUCCUAGCCCCCUUCUCAUCUCUUUCUGUGGUUAGUGCUCUGAUGUCCCGAUAUAGAUAAUCUUGAAGUAAUUCUUGAUUCUUAGAUCAACUAGAGAACUCUCAGGAAACUUCCUCUCUUCCCACCAAAAAUAAUUAUAUAGUUAUCCUUGGGCGACCUUGGAUCUUAAUUAGUACACUCACGUUCUCUGUGGAAAAUCGAUACUCUGGAAUACUCCCGGGUGAAGGCUACAUCGGUAUCCGUGCGCUUGCGGAUUUUUCUGUUUGCGUUUAAAAUACCCAACAGAUAACUAAGAUCUAUUGCCUCAAGGUCUAAUCUAGAUAACUUAGCGGCGCUCUAAUUCCUUGAUCUUCUUGUUGGCACUGGCAAGAUCCUGCCUAAGGCCUAGUAUAAUGGUGUUAUGGUUAGAGAGCUGCCUAGUGAGGGAAUUAAUCGAGGACUGGAGAUCUAUGAUAACUCUGUCUAGCCUGCGAACGUCCUCAUCAAUAUCGACUAUAGUCUUCCGACGUUUGGGAGGUGUCUCAAAAGCAUUGAGAGCGUCCUUCGGGGCUGCCUUUGGAGGGAUGAAACGGACUUUGGCUGCUCUAAUCCCUUCGAAGUAAGGCCUUUCCUCCUCUGUAGUGUAGCGUACGCUGCUGAUCUUGCCGCUCCGGUUGGUCUUGACUCCAAUGACCCUCUCAUUGGAUCUAGGUGGAAGGAUCCUUGUGCCGCUUGACACCUUGAUAGCGGUCUUCGUCUUGGAUGAUGAUCCUUUGAGGAGUAGGGGUUGUGGUGGUGCGGUGAGAACUGGUUGAGCAUGGUAAGAUUGGGCGGAGCUGCGUUGGCGUAAUGGCAUGGCUUCUAGCUGUCGCUCUGUGUUGGCCGGGACGAGAGCACGGGCAUCGGGGUCUUCCACAGGCUCCAUGUUGAGGUUGAAGGGGACGACUUCCCAAUCAUCGUGGUACUUCUCGGCCAUUUGAGCAGCAAGGAACUAAUCAAACUCUAAUUGAAGGAGAGCUAAUCAAGCUCUAAUUGAAGGAGAGAAGGCUUGGUGGCUUGGUGUUUGAAAACUGAGGUCAGGGGUCUGUUUAUAUAGGGGUCAAAAGAGUGCCUUCAUGGGUUGUUCGGGUUGCUCCCGUCGACUUGCGUGGGAAACUUUCCAUCUGAGGGAUUAUUCAAAUUACCAUAAGUGCAUUUUCCAUAAGAGAGAAAGUCGGGACCGAGGGGGAACAGGAGCUGGGCGCCCGCCCACUUGAUCUGGGCACCCGCCCUCUCUCUGGCCCCUCUGUGGGCCCACUUUCCGAGCGCGUUUCCAGAUGCGAAAUUAUUUAGAAAAAUAUAUAUAUGACCGAAAAACAUCAGACCAAAAGUGUCGGGCUCUAAUUCUCUAUGGGAAGGUAAAAAUGGACUACGUCUAUUUCUUCUAAUUCCUCAUUGGGCUCUAAAAAUAAUUUAAGACGUUGACCAUUUACCUUGAAUAACGUACCUUCGUCAUUUUGAAGUGUGAUAGCUCCGUGGGAUGAUGAAUUAAUUACCUUGAAUGGUCCUUCCCAUUUGCUCCGGAGUUUUCCAUGCCCGAAAAGCUUCACCCUGGAAUUAAAAAGUAAUACCUUAUCUCCGGGUGUGAACUCCUUCUUCUUGAUUCUCUUGUCAUGCCACCUCUUGACUCUUUCUUUGUAGAUCUUUGAGUUGUGAUAUGCCUUUUCUCGCCAUUCUUCUAAUUCUGAUAGUUGCAUUCUUCUAUAAUCUCCAGCAACAUCUAGGUCCAUAUUCCAUCUCUUUAUGGCCCAGUGUGCUUUGAACUCUAGUUCAACAGGUAGAUGGCAAGUCUUUCCGUACACCAAUUGGUAUGGAGACAUUCCAAUUGGGGUCUUGUAUGCUGUCCGGUAUGCCCAGAGUGCAUCAGGUAACUUGUCUUUCCAUGCCGUUCCCAUUUCAUUUACUGUCUUCUGAAGAAUAUUCUUGAUUUGUUUGUUGGAAGUCUCUGCUUGGCCACUUGUCUGAGGAUGAUAGGGGGUAGCGACGUUGUGACGGAUUCCAUGUCUUGAUAGAUAUUGCUUGAAGUGUUUGUCGAAGAAGUGUGCUGCUCCAUCACUUAUCACUACACUGGGGAAUCCAAAUCUUGAAAAUAUAAUUUCUUCAAACAUCCUCUUUGAACUGACGUUGUCGGCAUGCUUGCAAGGUAAUGCCUCUACCCACUUGGAGACAUAGUCAACUGCCACCAAGAUGUACUCGCACUUCUUUGAUGAAGGAAAUGGACCCAUAUAGUCUAUUCCCCAGACAUCAAAGAGCUCAAUCUGAAGGUUGUUGGUGAGUGGCAUUGCAUCCCUUGUAUUUAUGUUUCCGUGUCUUUGACAUGGCCCACAUCUUCUGAUAUAUUGCUUCGUGUCUUCAUACAUUGUAGGCCAAUAGAAUCCACACUGCCAGAUCUUUGAAUGUGUACGGAAUGCUCCAUAGUGACCUCCAUAUGGUGAUGAAUGACAUCUGUUGAUGAUCUUCCAUCCUUCCUCAGUGGUCACACAUCUCCUGAGUAAGCCAUCAGAGCAUACUCGGAAGAGGUAUGGCUCAUCCCAUAUAUGUGAACGACUUUCUUGAAUAAGCUUCUUCUUGUUUGCUCCUGGUGGUACAUACCCUGAAACCAUAAAAUUAACAAUAUCUGCAUACCAGGGGUCAGACCUGUUAAUCCCGUAGAGCAUGUCGCCCGGAGUGAAUCAUUGAUGGGGGUUUCCUGUGGACUCUUAAAAUACAUUCUAGACAAGUGAUCAGCAACAGAAUUUUCUACUCCCUUUUUAUCUUUUAUUUCUAAGUCAAAUUCUUGGAGUAAUAAGAUCCAUCUAAUCAGGCGAGGUUUAGCAUCUUUUUUAGUGAGCAAAUAUUUCAGUGCAGCAUGAUCAGUGUAAACAAUUAUUUUAGCUCCAACUAAAUAAGAUCUAAAUUUAUCAAUGGCCAGAAGGUCUUUUUCAGUGGUUGCAUAGUUAAGUUGAGCUCCUGUCAAAGUUUUACUGGCAUAAGCAAUUGCAUGAUGCUCCUUAUCUUUAGUUUGUCCCAAUACUGCCCCCACACCAUAAUCACUGGCAUCACACAUAAUUUCAAAAGGCAACGACCAAUCAGGGGGUUGAAUGAUUGGUGCAGAGAUGAGUGCUUUCUUUAAUAAAUUGAAAGAUGUUAGACAUGCAUCAUCAAAUUCGAAAGGAGCAUCCUUGGCUAGCAAAAGAGUAAGUGGUCUAGCAAUAAAUGAAAAAUCUUUUAUGAAUCUACGAUAAAAACCAGCAUGACCAAGAAAGCUUUGAAUUCCUUUUAUGUUCACAGGUGGAGGUAGUUGUUCAAUUACUUCAAUUUUAGCUUUGUCUACCUCAAUUCCUCUUUCAGACACUAAGUGUCCCAGCACUUAUUCCUUCUCUAACCAUAAAAUGACAUUUUCCCAAUUAAGGAUUAAGUGCUUUUCUUCACAUCUUUGCAAAACCUUGUCUAAGUUUUCAAGACAACUAUCAAAAGUUUUUCCAUAAACAGAGAAAUCAUCCAUGAAAACUUCCAUAAUCUCUUCAAUCAUAUCAGAAAAUAUAGACAUCAUGCAUCUUUGAAAAGAAGCUGGUGCAUUACAUAACCCAAAAGACAUUCUACGAUAAGCAUAAGUUCCAUACGGGCAUGUAAAAGUGGUUUUGCUUUGAUCAUCGGGAUGGAUCGGGAUCUGAUGAUACCCUGAAUAUCCAUCUAAGAAACAAAAGAACGAAUGGUUCGCUAAUCGCUCUAGCAUUUCAUCUAUAAAAGGUAAAGGAAAGUGAUCCUUUCUCAUGGCUUUGUUUAGUUUUCUAUAGUCUAUGCACAUCCGCCAUCCUGUGACGGUGCGUUGUGGAAUUAGCUCGUUCUUUUCAUUCAUAAUAACAGUCAUGCCUCCCUUUUUAGGCACAACUUGUACUGGGCUCACCCACUCACUGUGCGGCACAGGAUAUAUAAUCCCUGCAUGCAGCAACUUUAUAACUUCCUUUUUAACUACCUCUCUCGUAGUGUUAUUAAGUCUACGUUAGGGUUCUCGAGAGGGUGAAACAGAAGGAUCUAUUGGAAUACGAUGGGUACAAAUCAUAGGACUGAUUCCUGUAAGAUCUUCGAGUGAGUAGCCGAAAACUGAGUGAUGUUUCUCAAGAAUGGUCAUUAAUCGCAGAGUUUGAUCCUGAGUGAGUUUAUCGCUAAUGAUCACAAGGAACUCUGGAUUAUUGUUUAGGAAAGCAUAGGUAAGAUCGGGUGGUAAAGUUUUAAGCUCUAUGGGGGGUCUAGGUGUUUCUGCAAACUCAUCUAAAGGUUCAGGCUCAGAAGGUUUGUCUUCUUCUUCUGUGAAGAAAGGAGUUUCGUCUUCUAAGUCUGGUUCAUCUAAAAGCUCUAGAGAUGCAGCCUUUACUUCCUCCAUAGGAUCAGGCAAAAGAUAUGACUCGGCCUUAUUGUUUAAGGAGUGUGAAAUUAUUAUUGGGAAUUUAAAGGUUUUUCCAAAAGAAAUGUGUAGCUUUCUAGUAUGACCUUCAUAAAGGAGUCUUCUAAAAGGUUGUCCUAUUAACAGGUCAAAGUCCCAUGUAUCAAAGAUAUAGAAGUUCAAAUGAACCAUGGAGCCUUCUACCGUAAGAGGUAGGACAUUAAUAAUUCCAAGACUGGGGACUAAUCGUCCCGAAGAUUCCUUUAUGACCUUUGUUGUGGGGGUUAAGACAAGAUUUUUAAAUAGUUUAAGUGCAAAAGAUUCAGACAUGAUGUUGAUCCCCACAACAGGAUUAUAGAGAGCAUUAAAUCGAUCAGAAUUAUAAGCACAGCGUAUAGUUAUAGAGGGUGUGUCCAAACAGAUCACAUCAGAGGAAAGUUCUGAUUCCUCCAACCAUUCGCUAUUCAUUACUGAGAUAAGCUCUCUCAAUUGAUAUUCACUUGGCAAAUAAAUGCUAAACUGGCCGUUUUGGGGUUUGUCAAUAGAAUGGUAGUUUGAAAUAUUUCGAAAAUCGGCAAAAAGAUCGGAUUCUAUAUCCAUCAUGAAGUCCGGUGGUGGAAUUUCUUCCUCUUGUGGCUUAGAACUUGGGAUAGCUAAAGUAGAUGAAGAAUUUGGCAGAGUGUCUACUUCGGCUUCGUAGGUUUCAUCAUGAAGGGUAUUAUCCAUCUCAGCUUCUAGGAUUCUAUCUAGGAUCACUCUAGCUUCAUCAGCAGGGAUGCGAAAGAAAGAACCUCUAGACAUUGUGUGUAGCAUUUGUUUGUGAUUUUUCUGAAGACCUCGAAAAACAUGGAAUAAAAGAACAGGGUCUUCAAGAUUAAGGUUUGGACCAGAUUCUAAAAGAUCAGAAAAACGUUUCCAGGAUUUUCCCAAAGUUUCAUUAUCUUUUUGUUUAAAAGAUAGGACUUCGAGUCUAAGGUCGGCUAUACGGUCAAGGGAAUAGAAAUCUAGACAAAAGUUGGCUCGUAAAACUCCCCAUUCACCUUGUUGUUGACUUACCUUCUGACUGUACCAUUGUCUAGCUUCUCCCCUUAAAGAAAAAGGAAAAAGCUUCCAACGUAAAGUUUUAUCAGAAAUGCCUUCAACGCGAAGACAAUCACAUGUUUGCUCAAAAUCUCUAAUAUGAAGGUAAGGGUUUUCGUCUUCCUUUCCCGAAAAAGAUAGGUUUUGAAUCAUGGCAAUCAACCUAGAACUUAACUUAUACUGGGAUGUUUGGAUAGGCUGUGAUGAUUCCCAUGGUAAAAGGUCAGUUGCUAAAGGGAUUGCAGAUUCAUGGAUCGAUUUAGAAUUUUGGUUUUCCAUAAGGUAAGAGAAAAAUAAAUAAAGAAUAUAAAAGAUAAGAAAAGAUAAAAGUAUAGAUACAAGCUAAUAGUAAGACUCAGGUUAUCUCAGCAACCGUCUUUCUCCCCGGCAACGGCACCAGAAAUGCUUGUUGAUAUUUGGGAACGCAAUAAGGAAUUGAUCCGCAAGCAUACAGAUAUCGGUGAGCACUUCACCCGGGAGGUUAUCCAGAAUAUCGUAUUUAUUUUUUACCACUAGGAGAAAGAGUGCAUCUGACUAACCGGUCUACUACUACUAACCUUUAGGCACAAAGAAUGUCUUUCGAUGUGAGUGAUAAAUAGAGAAGACUGCAACCGUAGUCUCCUUCUAACCUUGGUAAGGAAGAUCUACUGUUCUAAUGGAGAGGCUAACGGAAUCUAGACACCACAAAGGAUGUUCAACCCGCACCUAUAAACCCUAUCCUUCCUGCUAACGAGAUGUGAUCUGCAAAGGUAACUCGGAAUUGUCACGUUCCUCACUACUACCACGGUCCAGCUAGUCAGGGAAUAUCUAUGAGUACCCCAGCCUAAACACCACGUUUACGCUAGCAAUGAUUACUCUAAACUCUACGCGAAGAGAUUAAAGUAAACUCAUAAACCAUAAGAACAAUAAAACAAGAACUUACUAGAAUUUAGAAGUCGAAUUACUGAAGAAUCCUAGGAGCAAGCUUCGGGUUAGGAGAACUUGAUCCCGCGGGUACAAGCUUGGAGUAGACACCGACAGGCCGGGCUUCCUCCAAUCUACACCUCCACUCUAUCUCUCUCAAUCUAGUAGAAACUAGAAGAUCUAUUUCUACCUUACAUUGAUUGCUAAGCCUAAAAAGAAAUAUUAAUUAGAGAAGAGGUUUUCCUUCGAGGGCACCCCUCAGUCUCUAUGAUAAUUUCUUCAUGUCUUCUACAGGGGCCAGGGGGGUCUCCUUAUAUAGUCCUCCCCUUCUAUGCGUUUUUGUGUCAAUAGGCGAGGUGGUACUAUGUUUUUCUUGAUCCAAUAGGUCGGUGAAAUAUCCCGAGCGAAGAGAGUCCUGAUUGGCAUCCAGAGGGGGGCGGGCGCCCAGGUCACCAGGGCGGGCGCCCUGGGCCUGGCCCCUUUCGGCCUCCGUCUUCUUCCCGUGGCUUCUGAAGUCUUCUAAAUGGUAGAAAAUUGCGCGGUGCGUUGAUAUCUCUAUGUAAUCCCGACAUGUGGGCCUUUCUUCCUUAUUUCCUGAUAACCCCCUGCAGAAAUAGAUAAACAACAAAACUCGUGGAAUUCUGUCAGAUCAAACCCUAAUUCUAGGUGUUGUUUGCAUAUUGGUCCUUUCUCUUGUUUAUUUUAUCAUUAAAAUUGAUACUUAAGAACCGUCAACAGGGACAAUAUAAGCAGGCCUCCUGGCCCCUGGAGGAGGCACCCCUUCAUCCUUAUUCAUUAUUCAUAGACAGAGCAAAAGCUAGGGUUUGGAGAUGAGAGCUCUCCUCUCAUCUCUAAACUAGAGUAGAUCUAGAUAGUAGCAAGAUGGAGAGCGAGGGAGGAUCGGAGGAGAGGCCGGCGUGUCGGUUCUUCCUCCGGUUGUACUUCGCCAUGAUCAAGAUCUAAUCAAGCUUGCUCAUGGGACGAUUCUGGUAAUCUACUUCUAUUUUAUUAUGCAAUUACUAUCCAUGUAUGUUCUGGUUCACAACUCUUUUGAGUACUUUAAUCUAUAGGACUCUAUAGGUGAGAGUUGUAGUAUAGGUAUAAGCGUGGUGCUUAGACCUAAAUUACUUGUGGAUAUCCCCUGUCUAGCUGGAUCGUGUGGUAGGCCGCAUAGGUGACAGCUAUGUUGGUCCCCUGUAGUCCACCUCCCGUUAGCAGGACUAGUAGGGUUUAUCGGCCUAUGGAUAAGCAUCCUUUGUGGUGUAUUCUUAUCAUGUGGUUUGUCCCAGAUUUAGACAUACCCCUUUGAAGUAGAGAAACCAUAGUUAUCCUCUCUAUUCUCCUACCAUCGCCCAUAUAUUAGAUUGCUCUACUCUCUAUUCCCAUAUUAUCACCCAUUGUUAUCUUACCUUUAAUAUUGUUCUUAUUCAAUUCUACUAUCUUUCCUAUUUACACCUACCUAUCUAUCUAGGUUAAGUUAGAGCGUAGAUCAGUUCUCCCGUUUCCCUGUGGAUACGAUAAAACCUUUAAUUGGGUAAAAGCUACAAUGGUAUCCGUGUGCUUGCGGUUUUAUCUGUGUGCGUAUAAAUACCAUAGUACACUCUAGUGCCAUGUUGGGGAUGACAACCUAGUAUUCAAGUGGUGUUAGCAAGUGUCAACACACAUCAAUCAGCUUUUAAGAUGAAGUGGAUGAUUAGAAGGAACGGAUAUUUUGGCCGACUAUACUUGAGGAUUGUUUUAAGUAUUUCAAAGGGUGUCAAGGAUGUUAGAAGUUUGGCAAUAUUCAAAGGGUACCCGCAUCGGCUAUGAAUCCUAUUAUUAAACCUUGGCCGUUCCGGGGUUGGGCUAUUGAUCUCAUCGGUCAAAUUUAUCUGCCAUCGAGUAAAGGGCAUAAGUUUAUCCUUGUUGCCACUGAUUAUUUCACUAAAUGGGUUGAGGCUAUUUCUUUGAAGAAAGUGACAUCGGCCAACAUGAUUGAUUUUGUGAAACAGCAUAUUGUUUACCAAUUUAGAAUUCCCCAAACAAUCACUACCGAUCAAGGUACUAUGUUUACGUUAGGAGAGUUUGAUGAGUUUGCAAUCGGUAUGGGGAUUAAAGUGUUGAAUUCUUCUCCUUACUAUGCUCAAGCCAAUGGAUAGGCCGAGGCUUCUAACAAAGGAAUUAUUAAGUCAUUAAGCGAAAGAUUGAGGAAAAUCCCAGACGAUGGCAUACUCUGUUAAAUGAAGCCUUAUGGUCAUAUCGGAUGGCGUGUCAUGGUUCGACCAAAGUGUCACCUUAUCAACUGGUGUAUGGACAUGAUGCAGUACUACCAUGGGAAAUUAAAACUGGUUCUAGGCGAAUGUUUUCUCAGGAUCAGUUAACUGCUGGUGACUAUGCUACUUUGAUGAAAGAUGAGUUGGAAGAUUUAGCAGGGCAUCGGUUAAGAGCUUUAAUUAGCAUAGAGGAGAAUAAAAAGACAGUGGCUAAGUGGUAAGAUACCGAGGCAGUAUCUUGGUUGAUGCAUGAAAGUAUAUAUGCCGAUAACAGUCCUAUCGCUUGUAAUACUCGAUUUUAAGGACAAAAUCAGAUAUGCACCAUAUGCGAGUUUUAAAAGGCAAAUCUCACAUAUAGCUACAAAUAAGGGGUAAUAUCAAAGGAAAAUGCGUAAACAUAUAACGUACUUAGUAUAAAAGAGAUAACCUUUAGUAUCAAACAGCGGAUAGACAACUCCAACUUCGGGUAUUAACUUCUCUCUAUAGGAUCCAACUGACUGGUUGAUCACAAGCCUAAACUUCUCCUGAGGUUUGGGGGAAAUAGCAAGAGUGAGUCCAUGUCGAACUCCACAAGUAUAGCAACUAGAUUAUAUAGAUCCCACAAUCUCAUGAUCAAUGUGACAUAAAUAAUGUAGAGUAUUAAACAAUAAACAAUGAGCAUAUUUAACACACAAGAUUCAUCACCCUUAAUGUAGAUGUCCCCAAGGCCGCUCCUGACCGUGAGCUCGGCUAGUAUACUAGUUUUUAACACUAUGCGAAGGUUGUACAUCUUUACCCAUGAGUCAUGAUUUACCCUUUCGCCCGAGGUAGCUAAUCUCUUAACCCCCUUCCAAGGGAGGUCGGUAGAGAUCACUAUGAAGUCUUUCAAAGGUUCGUCUAACAAGUUAGGGCCGCUUGGUUUCAUUAGUCAAUCCAUGUGAUUCACCCGCAAGAAUCCACGGUCUGCUAUUCCCCAAUUGUGCCACACGGGUAACCGCUAACGAGCUAGAAAAGUUACUCAUACUUAACUAAAGCCAGAGCCAUUAUAGCCCUCAUGGUUGCAUUGUUGUCCCGGGUGAUCAUGUACAGAUAAAUCAUCAAGUUGCUAAAAAGUCAUUUUUACCGUUUAUUACUUAACAUUAAUCCAGUCACAAGAUCAUGGUCACAGAAAUAAAAUCCAAAUGCUAUACUUGCCUUGAUCCAAAUGCUCUUGCUGAUCUUGCUAAAUGUCCAAGUACUGAUCUUGCUUGUUGUAGCACUCUUGAUCACCACAGAUUAUUCACCGUCUAAUCACGAUCAUCGAUCACUCAAAUAAUCGAAGAAAACAUACAUGAAACAAACAAGGCUACAAUUAGAACAGUACACCAAUCAUAUGAAAACAGUAUGGAAAGUUUGUAAAACAAUUCUACGCAUCGCUACGAUCUCACAGACGUAAAGAUCACGAAAAUCGGAUUUAAAACGGAGAAGAUAUGAAUUUUCUAAGAUUUUAUAUAGAAAAACAAUUAAUUAAAUAGUACCACAAAUUUAAAAAGUUUCAAAACAGUGAGAUAGUAUUUUUAACAUAUAGAGCUCGUAAAUACGAACCUAACGCAAUUUGAAUGAACCAAAUCGGAUUUAAAAUGAGCAUGUUAUAAGCAAUUUAAAUCUGGUGGCAAAACUGUAAAUACUGUAAAGCGUAUUUUGAACUCAGCCGGGUCGUUUUACGUUUUCAGAAUCGAGAAGAUGUAUUCUAGGCUUUACGCAAAGGACUGCGGGUUACAUAAUGAAAAAGGUCGGGGUUUCUUUAGCAAAACUGUCAGGCCAAAGGGGUAUCGGCCUCUAUGGGCCAUCGGAUUAGAAACGGAUGGCGCAGAUUAGAUCGGGAAGGGAGAGAGAGAGAGCUCCGGGCGGCUACAGUGGCCAGCGCGGUGGCGCCAUUGCCGGAGUUCGUCGUCCCGAUGAUUUCGUGCGCCAAACUGAAAAAUAAAACCACCGGGAUAAAACUUAGGUCAAGGCGAACUCACCCAAAGACGUUUUGGAGGCAGAGAGAGUUCGAGGACAACCGACUUUGUGAUAUGGCGGACGCAAACCUCCUAAGCACAUCGGCGACCAUAAGUGGUUGAAUCAAAGCACAAGAGAAAGAAAGAGGUAUCUUGGAGACUCGUGGGAGCGUUGUGAAGCUCGGCCGAGAUUCGAAUUCGACGGCACGACCGCGUAUAGGGCGCUCCACGGCGGCGGCUUCCUACACCUUUCAGCGAGAUCCGAAACCCGGCUAGAGCACGUCCAGGGUCGCGGAAAUGGGAAAGAGAAGCGCAGAGAAGGUUUAGGUCUUUAUAGGGGUGGCUUACGCGCGUUUGGAGGCAGCAAAUCCCGUGCUAAUCGGGAUUUGGUGGCACCGUACGGAGUCCUGCUCGAGGACGACGUGACGAAGAAGAAGGAAGGAAAGGUGGGUCGCUGACGUGCGGGCCCGAUUGGCAGCGAGAGGAAGGCAGGGGGGAAAUGUGCUGCUCGGCUUUUGCUGGGCUUCUGCUGACUUGGGCCGAGGCCGAGAGGGGAGGGGAGGGCGCUGGUCCGCGCAGAGGGAGGCGAGGCCUCUAGGCCUGAUUCCAGGAAGGGGUGAGGGGCUUCCUUUCUUUUUUUUUUAUUUCGAAGCCUAUUUCCAAACAAUUUGAAAACCAUUUUAAAGUCACUUUGAAUUAUUUUGAAUCUUGGGAUCAAAUUACUCAGCAAACAAAAAAAUGAAUUCUCCAGCAUGAAUGCACAUUCAUGUUACUAGGUCCUAUGAUAAUUUUUACUAUAAAGAAAAAUAUUAUUUCACCUAUAUUUUCAUGAGUACAAAAAUGCAGAAUUAAAUCAAUUUUCAUUUAUUUCAAAAGGAACAAUUUUUAGGGUGUUACAAAUCUACCCCCCUUAAAAUGAAUCUCGUCCUCGAGAUUCGAAAAAGAUACGGAUUCCAAAAGAGAAACAAGAACAAGAGCUUGAUAUCUAUUUCAACUUCACAACUUGUAUUCCAAUGUAAACACUUACGUCUCGGGAUCACAACUUGUAAACAAAACAUCCAUAAAAUGUCUAUUAUUCAUAAAUGAUUAAAAUCCAUCUUGACUACCAACGUUUUGACUUAUACAACUCAAAGACAUGAUAACUUAGCAUGGAUAUGCCUCCUCAUGUAGGAGUGGACCAUCUUGAUACUCAAUUCUUUUCCCUGAUGGUGCGGUUAAGAAAAGUUUCCACUGGGUAGCAUAGAUCACUGCCUUGUGUGCAUAUAACCAUCCAUUGCCAAGAACCAAAGAAAUAUUGAGUGACUCUAGCACAAUGGGGUUUACUGUGAAGUUCUCCUUGCUUAUGACCAGAUUAAUAUUCGAGCAAACCUGGUCUGCCUGUAUUUCUCCCUUUGGAGUUUGAACUAACAAAGACUUCCUUGUUGGACACUUCACCCACUCAAUUGUUAUUACCAAGUUGGCAUAAAUGAAAGAAUGGGAAGCACUUCGGUCAAACAGAGCAAAAACCAACACUGAGUCCACUUGAACAUAACCACCCACCACUUUGGUGACUCCUUGAAUGUUAUUCAUAUCCACAUUGUUUAGUCUUUCAUUGAUAUAAUUUUGCUGUACUUUAUUUCCGUGAGCAGGCUUCUUACGAGCUUUCCUUUUACGCUUCCGUCGUUGUGGAUUUUGAUUUGAUUCAUUGUCAACUUGCUCCUCAAUAUUAUUAUUUUGAUAACACUCAGCUUUGUCAUACUCAUAGCAUCUUUCUUCAAAGGCAAGAUGAUCAUAAUCUUCCCACCUAUCCAUGAGAGGCAUCAUAUUGUGCUCCGGAUUCAUGGGACACUACACUCCCUGUCAUCAAAUGACCAACGUCAGUAACACGGCAAGGAUAGAUGAUCAUAACCAUAGAAUAUCUCAGAAGACAAUUAUCACUUCAAGCUAGUUUUAAAAUGCAUCAUCUGUGAUAUCAAGGUACUACCCCCCUUAAAAUUAGAUUGAUUGGGGGACACUAGAGACUAGUUCUCCUAUCCUUUUUGGACGCCACACAUCAUAGUCUUUUACAUUCGUGGUACCGAGUCUCUUGAUCCAACAUUAUCCAAUUCUUCUCCAUGUAACCCCUUUAUUUAGGCUACCCCCCUUAAGAAAGGUCAACUAGGGGACACAAGAAAGGUAGCUAGCAUGUUUUCCAGACAAGUUAACUAACAUUGAGAACGUAUGACAUCCCAAAGAGCUUCCGUGCAAGAGAACUAACAUGUAUCCUGAAAUUUUCCCGCGAUAUGAAAAAACACCAGCAUAGAAAAACAGGUAUAACUCUCAUUCUGUUAAUCCAAUAGAGUUAUAGCUUGUAUCGUUAGAAAACUUAUGAAAUUCACCUCAACUUUCCUGUAGUAGACCUCCUUAGAUUCUGUCUUUAAGCUUAGGUAAAACAACCAAACAUAAUAUCCUUCCUGAUAAUGUCUCAGCAAAGGUGCUGUAACUUCCAAAAAUAAUAUCUCGAGCUACUUACCUAAUCUGGAGAUGAUCCUUACAUUUUUGAAAAGCUUAGGAAAUCCUCUACAACUUUCGUACACCACGUUUUCCCAGUUUCAGUUUUUAUCUUGGCUGAGAAUAGGAAAUGCCAGAUCUGUCCAGAUUAUGAAACAGAACAGAGACAUCCAGGUGUAAAUAUCAUAUCUCAGGUUCUACUAAUCCAAAUGAGUUCUAGCUUAUACCGUUGGAAAGCGUAGAAAAUUUUCUACAACUUUUCUAUAGAAUACUUUUCCAAAUUCUAUAGUUAUAUUUGUCUUACACAUUAAGUAACAAAAACUGGUCCAGAUUCUUGACAGCACAUCUGUAUCAUCUUGUGAUUUUUGUAACUUCCAAACCAUAACAGCUAUGAGGGUGAUUCUUGCGGUCAGAGAAAGAUCCUGAAGUCUGGUUGUUCCCAGAAACAUUUGGUAAACUUUGCACGAUCAGAUCUUGGUAUACAGUAUGAUUAUUGCAGACUGCUCCAGAAAACAGCAAAAGAUAGAAAUAGGAUAUAACCAAACCGAACUACUUAUGUCAUUACUCCUUAUGCCUUAGUUCUAUAAACUAAAUGAAAUUGUGAAGAACUCACAAAAUCAUUACACUCAUUACAAAGAUCCAAAUCAAACAUACACAUAAUAGCAAGCAAUUAAGCAUUAAAGGUUCACAAGGCAUACAAACUCAACUUUCGCUACUAGCGUUUUUAUUACACAAGGGGACACAAACUCCUAAAUUUUAGGCUCGGUGUGGCUACUUUCAUGAUGCAUCAGUUGCUUCUUUUGUGGACAAGAGCUUAUAUAAUGUCCUUCUUGUUGACAGUGAAAACACCUUCUCUUAGCUGGAUCCUUUGUGAUGUUACUUUCCACUGAAGUGUUGCUAGGUGUGUUACCAACUCGCUGACUCUGAUGGUUUAUCUUUGUAUGAUUAGAUUUCUUCCUAUAUUGCUUGAUCCUCCGAGGUUGAAAUUCUCUAUAAGUAAUUGUCCACCCAUCUAUGCAUACCUCAUGAGCAGUGGGGUUAACUUGAGAAGUUUCUUUAUCUCCAAGGUUUGAAUUUUUCUGACAAGAAUUCGAAGCUACAUGUGACAUCUUGGGAUUUGGGUGUUGAUCACUUCCCAGUGUCGGCUCUAGUGCUUUUGCCUUCCUCUUCUUAUCCUUAUUAGUCACACAAGUUGGUUUUGUCUUAACUUCCUUUUUAGAUGACAUAUUCCGAAGACAAGGAAGACCAUAAUGCUCACAACAGUGGCAUCGAUCAUGAUAUCCUGAUGUAUUACUCCCAACGCUUCUAUGAUUUCUCAUAUUGUUCCAAGCUUCUGCUACUUGUCUCCUCACUGGUCCUGAGAUGCAUUGUUGAGAGUUCUUGUUCUGAGUUAUUCCUUUCACUACUUGUGUUUGCAUGGCUAGAAGCUUCUCCCUGUCGAAUGCUUUUAUGGUUGGCAAUUCUAGGUGCUUUUGUUCCUUCUUGUCAAAGGUCUCCUCGUUAUGAUCCAUCUAAAGAGACAACGAGGGAGGAUUUAGAAUAGAGACAAGAUUUUAUAAAAGAACUGGGCAAGAAGUAAGCAUAAAUUUUAGCAACUAUCAAGGUCAAGGUGAAAGCAAGAAGUAUGCAAAGAUAGAAGCAUGCUAAAACGUCCAGUUCUACCUAGGCUUGCGUCCUACAGUCAGCAUUGCUCUGAUACCACUUUGUAAUACCCGAUUUUAAGGACAAAACCAGAUAUGCACCAUGUGUGAGUUUUAAAAGGCAAAUCUCACAUAUAGCUACAAAUAAGGGGUAAUAUCAAAGGACAAUGCGUAAACAUAUAACGUACAUAGUAUAAAAGAGAUAACCUUUAGUAUCAAACAGCGGAUAGACAACUCCAACUUCGGGUAUUAACUUCUCUCUACAGGAUCCAACUGACUGGUUGAUCACAAGCCUAAACUUCUCCUAAGGUUUGGGGGAAAUAGCAAGAGUGAGUCCAUGUCGAACUCCACAAGUAUAGCAACUAGAUUAUAUAGAUCCCACAAUCUCAUGAUCAAUGUGACAUAAAUAAUGUAGAGUAUUAAACAAUAAACAAUGAGCAUAUUUAACAGACAAGAUUCAUCACCCUUAAUGUAGAUGUCCCCAAGGCCGCUCCUGACCGUGAGCUCGGCUAGUAUACUAGUUUUUAACACUAUGCAGAGGUUGUACAUCUUUACCGAUGAGUCAUGAUUUACCCUUUCGCUCGAGGUAGCUAAUCUCUUAACCCCCUUCCAAGGGAGGUCGGUAGGGAUCACUAUGAAGUAUUUCAAAUAUUCGUCUAAUAAGUUAGGGCCGCUUGGUUUCAUUAGUCAGUCCAUGUGAUUCACCCACAGGAAUCCACGGUCUGCUAUUCCCCAAUUGCGCCACAUGGGUAACCGCUAAUGAGCUAGAAAAGUUACUCAUACUUAACUAAAGCCAGAGCCAUUAUAGCCCUCAUGGUUGCACUGUUGUCCCGGGUGAUCACGUACAGAUAAAUCAUCAAGUUGCUAAAAAGUCAUUUUUACCGUUUAUUACUUUACAUUAAUCCAAUCACAAGAUCAUGGUCACAGAAAUAAAAUUCAAAUGCUAUAGUUGCCUUGAUCCAAAUGCUCUUGCUGAUCUUGCUAAAUGUCCAAGUACUGAUCUUGCUUGUUGUGGCACUCUUGAUCACCACAGAUUAUUCACCGUCUAAUCACGAUCAUCGAUCACUCAAAUAAUCGAAGAAAACAUACAUGAAACAAACAAGGCUACAAUUAGAACAGUACACCAAUCAUAUGAAAACAGUAUGAAAAGUUUGUAAAAUGAUUCUACGCAUCGCUACGAUCUCACAGACGUAAAGAUCACGGAAAUCGGAUUUAAAACGGAGAAGAUAUGAAUUUUCUAAGAUUUUAUAUAGAAAAACAAUUAGUUAAAUAGUACCAUGAAUUUAAAAAGUUUAAAAACAGUGAGAUAGUAUUUUUAAAAUGUAGAGCUCGUAAAUACGAACCUAACGCAAUUUGAAUGGACCAAAUCAGAUUUAAAAUGAGCAUGUUAUAAGCAAUUUAAAUCUGGUGGCAAAACAGUAAAUACUGAAAAGCGUAUUUUGAACUCAGCCGGGUCGUUUUAUGUUUUCAGAAUCGAGAAGACGUAUUCUAGGCUUUACGCAAAGGACUGCGGGUUACAUAAUGAAAAAGGUCGGGGUUUCUUUAGCAAAACUGCCAGGCCGAAGGGGUAUCGGCCUCUAUGGGCCAUCGGAUUAGAAACAGAUGGCGCCAUUGCUGGAGGGCAGAACUCCUCGCCGGAGUUCAUCGUCCCGAUGAUUUCGUGCACCAAACUGAAAAAUAAAACCACCGGGAUAAAACUUAGGUCAAGGCGAACUCACCCAAAGACGUUUUGGAGGCAGAGAGAGUUCGAGGACGACCGACUUCGUGAUAUGGCGGACGCAAACCUCCUAAGCACAUCGGCGACCAUAAGCGGUUAAAUCAAAGCACGAGAGAAAGAAAGAGGGAUCUUGGAGACCUCGUGGGAGCGUUGUGAAGCUCGGCCGAGAUUCGAAUUCGACGGCACGACCGCGAAUAGGGCGCUCCACGGCGGUGGCUUCCUACACCUUUCGGCGAGAUCCGAAACCCGGCUAGAGCACGUCCAGGGUUGUGGAAACGGGAAAGAGAAGCGCGGAGAAGGUUUAGGUCUUUAUAGGGGUGGCUUACUCGCGUUUAGAGGUAGCAAAUCCCGUGCCAAUCGGGAUUUGGUGGCACCGUACGGAGUCCUGCUCGAGGACGACGCGACGAAGAAGAAGGAAGGAAAGGUGGGUCGCUGACGUGUGGGCCCGAUUGGCAGCGAGAGGAAGGUUGGGGGAAAUGCGCUGCUCGGCUUUUGCUAGGCUUCUACUGACCUAGGUCAGGGCCGAGAGGGGAGGGGAGGGCGCUGGGCCUCGCAGAGGGAGGCCAGGCCUCUAGGCCUGAUUCUAGGAAGGGGUGAGGGGUUUCCUUUCUUUUUUUUAUUUCAAAGCCUAUUUCCAAACAAUUUGAAAACCAUUUUAAAGUCAGUUUGAAUUAUUUUGAAUCUUGGGAUCAAAUUACUCAGCAAACAAAAAAAUGAAAUCUCCAGCAUGAAUGCACAUUCAAGUUACUAGGUCCUAUGAUAAUUUUUACUAUAAAGAAAAAUAUUAUUUCACCUAUAUUUUCAUGAGCACAAAAAUGCAGAAUUAAAUCAAUUUUCAUUUAUUUCAAAAGGAACAAUUUUUAGGGUAUUACACGGCUAGACCAAAUUAUUAAUGUUUUUGAGAAAGAAGUUAAACAAGUUGCCGAUGAAGAGUUUAUAGGUCCAUCAAGGUUUGGAUGGUCGAUAUUGCCCGCAGACGAAUCUGGUUUGCCUCAUCUAUCUCUCGGGUGUCUUCAUCGGUCGAACCUUCCACUGGCUUCAGCUUCUUCAUUUCCAAUGGCUUACGAGCUUGGGCAUCCCUCUCUUGUUGAAGAGUCUUGAGCACAUCGGGCAGUUGGAUUUCCUCUUGUUGAGCUUGAGUCAGGGCUUCCUCCAAUUGUUUGAGUUCAGCCAGCAGAGCCUCCCUCUUUGCCGAUAGAUCGAAGAUUCUCUAUUUUAGUUCGGCACUUGAAGAUUGCAGAAUGUCAAUGCUCUUAUGCUUCUCAUCGGUUGCAUGCUUCACUUGCAGCAUCUCCUGUUUAAGCUGGGCAUGAGCGGCUCUAUCAACAAGACGCUAGACGGACUUUUGUUAUUGGAGCUGGUGACUCUCUAGGUGAGCCGCUUGGAAGAGCAUCUCUUCAUCAUUGGCAGGAAUUUGGCCACGGAGAUUUUGAAUAUGUCUUUGGCGGGAUCAGAGUCAUCCACUAGCUGGGCUGUGUCUUGCUGCAAUAGGGCUAGUAAAUCUUCCAGCCUGGACUUGAUCUCAGCCGAUGCGAUUCCAAUUGCCAUUGAGGAGCUUGCCUCUUCGAUUUAAUCAUCCGAAAUGGCGAUAACAAAAGAGAACAAGCUAUUGGGGGAAUCUUGCUCCUAGAAAAGGGAGAGGAUAAGUUACCUAGGAUUAAGUGUCGGUAAUGCAAAGUCUGAUAGAUCAGGUGACUUACUUGUUUCAGAGCAAUUUCUUGUCUCUAGCGUGGAGAUGCGGCUGGCACUAUGAUUUGAUCGGUUGGAGCUGCCGAUGGAAUAUCUUCAACUGAAAAUUACUAAAGAUGACGAUGGUAUUUGUCACAGAACCGACCAAAUUAUAAGAUUUCAAGUGCAGAAACGAUCGCCAAGCAAUCAAGUUUCUAAACUUGAGCCCAUAUAAUCCCGGUAGUCAAUCGAAAUCACGAAGGACUUCAAACCAACUCGCAACAAACCAAGAUCGUAAUAGUUCAACAUAAACACAACGAAUGUUACAUAGUCAUUCAUUGCCGUCGAAGCGGCACCACAUCGGAGUCAUUAAGUUAUUACAACCCAAGUUCGAAGUAGCGGAAGCAAAAUAAUUACACACACUUAUUCAAAGAUCAGUUCGCAAGUUUUUGUUACUGCCAGAGUCUAUGCCAUCCUUCCAAAAGCAUCAAAGACGAGAAGAUUAGAGAACCGUGCCCAACGGUUAGUCCUCAUCCCCAGCGGGAUGGAGACAGGUCUUGCAGAAUCCGUCAUAGAAGAUGUCAUCUGCAACAGGUGGGAAUAAACCCUGAGUACGAGAAUGUACUCAGCUAGACUUACCCGUCUAGUAAAACAUAAAAGACAUCAAGGAUCAUGCAAGGCUAAAUCUCAAGUGGAGCUAGUUGACUCACCUUUUGCCCAAAAGCUUAACUUACAACUAAGUUAUUUUAAGAGCAUCAUAUUUAUUUAUCAUCAGCCUACCACUAGAUUAGCACCUGUACUACAGCACAUCACUUGAUUAUUACAAACAAUAAUAACCAUAUCAAAUUCAUCAUAUGUUCUUCUUGCUAUCAUCAUUAUCAUGAACCAAAUUCAUUAGUGAAUGCUACGUUUCCCGCUGCUCUGUCAAGUUCUCACUAACCGGGAGAGACGGCGAUUCGAAUUGAAUUCCUAUCCAGCUGGAGGAUUAUUCCUAGCACUCACCCAAGCUUCCCCUGCCGGAGAGCCAACGGGUCACCUUUGGUACAACUCAGGAAUCGUGGCUCCGAUCAGCGCCGCACUCCUAGGGCUACCACUCUGCCAGGGAGGUCAGGAAUUUUAACUCACCUGCCUUUGGGCUUACGCCAAUGGUCCCCCGCAUACCGCACUUCCUCCGGUAGUGCGCACUUUAUACUUGCCGGUCUUCCGGCCUGAGUCAUACUACUCGGCUUCGCGGUCGGAACGAGUUAUCCGGCCAGCUAAGUGUUAGGCAUGCGUUCAACAUGACAAGAGGACGUACAACGAUCGGUCCUUAGCUGCCACAGACGGAGUUACUACACACUUGCAAAACUCCGCCCGGCUCAAAUCAAUUUAAUCAGGUUCCAUCCACGAUAGCACAUAUAGACCACCGUGAUCCGACAUAACCCUAUAUCGCGCGGAUGACAGGAUAUCACCCGACUUCUACCGAUUAAAGCGUCGCUAAGCUGCUACUCGAUCCUAACUCUACAACCAGGGAGGGUGAGUUAUCUGGACAAGGAUAGAGUAGAAUGCAGCAACAGUUUCAUCACAACUCCUAUACGUAAUGCAUCAAUAGAUAUAACAUAUUAAGUAAACUUUCAAAAUUAGAGGGAGGCUUAGAAUGCUCCGGGGCUUGCCUUUCACGAACGAUGCCGGCUCAUGAUUCGGGCACUCAACUUCUUCUUCGGGCUCCUCGAGUCCGACUUGCUGGACCUCCACCUCCUGGUUGCCUUCCUGGCCUUCGGGGUUCGCUUGGAGCUCGAAGGAAACUGCCACGUCCGGUGCACCUAUUGCAUGCUCGAACAAUAAGAAGAUGCACAUGCUAACGAUGAAUGCUUAAUAACACAAGCAACUCACUGGACACUCAUUUACGGAACAAAAGUUAUACUAACUCGCAUAAUAAAUAAGUUGACACAGCCCAAAACCUAUCAUGACACUAAAGCAGCAAACAACACAAAACAAGUAUGCUCAGUAAAUAAAUCAUAACUAAUGAUAGACAGAUCCAACAAACAUGCGUGCAGACAUUCUGAAAAGCUUAUGAAAUUGUCUACAACUCAUCUUUAAACAUGAUAGCAAGAUUCAUACAUGAAACUAGUCAUUUAAACAAAGUUCCAGGUUCUGUCCCAGAAAAACAGAGAACACCUAUUUCUGGAACCCAACUUGGAACAGCUAUAACUUUUAAACUACUUGGCCAAAUGACCUCAAAUUUAAACCACAGCUAGUUCAAUAAGUUUAGAACAACUUUGAUUUAGGCAAGUUUCACAGAAAGUCAAGUUAUCAUUAAGUAAAGUUAAAUCCUUUCCUUGCUGUCCAGGACAGCAUUUAACCCUUUAGUUAAUUAUGUAAUGACAUGAUCAAAACACAAACCAUGCCAACCACAUGGCCUAUGAGCACAAAUAUAUUACAAGGUUACCAGAUCAUCAGAUGACAACCCAAAAACAAUUACUUAACAAGGCAUUUAUUAAUUAACUCUAGUUAAGAGCAUAUUUACAGGAUACUAGUUAAACUGCUCAGAAAAAUCUACAAAAAUUACAGAGGCACAAGUAUAACAUCAGAGCAUCACCAUAAAAAUUUCAGAGCAAAUGCACAUGCCAAAUUAAAGAUAUGUAUUUAACAUGUGUCAAGGCAUUUAUUUCAUAAAAUCAGAAACAUCACUUAUAUGGUGUCAAACAACAGAUUUCAGAUUAUUUAGAUCUUAAGAAUACCAUACACAAGUUUACCACCAAAGUAGAACACCAGCAUAAUGACCAAUUAUUUUAUAUGAUUUAAUUAAAGAAACAAGCCAUAUUUCAAACACAAAUUACAUAUCACAACUGCAGUGCUCCAAAAAUCAUGAAAUAAUUACCAGAGCACUCUAAUGCCCUGCAAAGGUUACCAUAAUUUUUUCAGAGCAAACUAAGCAGUAAAACAAGAGAUAUGCAUUUAACCAAGAAUAAGAAGAUUAAAUCCUUAAUAAAUAAUUUCCCAGAAAACAUGAUUCAUUUUAUAUUUUUAUUAAAUACUAGCCAUCUCAAGAAAUACCACAAAAUUUGUUUCACAAUUUUUGGAUCUCAGAAACAGGAGAUAUGAUUUUUGCAAGAAAGCCAAAAAUCCAGAUUUUGAAUAAAAGAAAAGGAGGGAAAGAGGUGACACUGACAGUGGACCCCCACUGUCAGGUCCUUCUUCCUCGCGGCCGAGGCGACUUUCGCCGGCGAUUUCUCCGCGACGGCGAGGUCUCCGGCCAAACCAAGGGCAUCAGCGUGAUCCCCAAACCCUAACGACUCGAUUGACCCCCUUUUCCCCCCGGCGGAGCCACCGGAAGGAGCUUGCUGUCGACGAGGGCGGCUCGGCGGAGGUGCUCGGCGUUACGCCGGAGCCCUCAGGCUGGUAGAGCGUGACCUAAGGCCUUCUACAGCACCAGCAGACUACGGCGAAGCUUCCUAGGUACACGGCUUGGCCUGGAUCCUCGUGGAGCACGCUGGCCACGAGAGCACCCAACUCCGGCGGAAGCACAGCGGCGCUGCGCACCGUGUCCGGCGACGGAGAACCUGGUAGAGCGUCCACCAAGUGGCGCAAAAGCUUGCUAAGGACCUAAGCUACCUCUAGGACCUAACCAGAGACGACGAGAGGCUUCAUAGAGCUCGGCAUUGAGUUCGCCGGAGAAGAAGGUCACGGCGACCCGAUUUGGGGAAAGAAGGAAAUGUCGGCUCACCGGUGGGUUUCUCGGCGAGUUAGAGGGUGGAGGUUGGAGAGCGGCUCACGGCGGAGCUUUGGGUGGAGUUUGGUGGACAGAGACGCAGCGAGGAGCGCACACGAGCUCGCCGGAGUGAGCUCGCGGCGGAGAGCUCGCUGCGGGCGAGUUUCAGGCGAGAGAGGGCGAGGCAGAGCGAAUGGACGCGUCCACUUCGCUCGGGACGUCGCCGUCGAGGUCAUGCACGCGACGGGAGCUGACAAGCGGGGCCAGACGCGGCGUACGGUCGACAAAUGGCGACGGAGCUCUGCCGGCGGUCGGCCACGUCGACAAGCUCAGGUUCGAUUCAGAAGAAACAGUGUUUGUCUGACAGAGCCACUUCACCGACGAUUAUCUCCCAAACCAGAGCGAAUUCGGAGAUGGCGUAGUUGACAAAGUUGGAGUACUAGGCGAGAUCUACAACUUUGUCAAUUGGAGCAAGAGCUAAAUCGGCCUGGAUUGAGAGUUAUUAAGUUUUCAAUAUCAAUCGAGCAAACUGGUUUCGUUCCAAGACUUAGAAAAUUUUCUAAGUGUUGAAAACAGCCCCAAAUCUGCCUUGUGGGUCACUUUUGAGCUAUUUGUGAUCAUUUUCAUGAGAUGGCCAUAAAACAAAUUUUGUUCCUUAUAAAAUUUUCUACAACUUUGCUGUAGGAAGGUUUGACAUGCAAACAUUUUAUGAAACACUUUUUAAAAGCCUAAGCAAAAGAGGUUUCUAGGGCCUAUUUUCAUAAGUAUGACUUAGAAGCAUAUUUUGGAGAAGUGAUCAACAUGAACAUUGUUCCCAAGAUUAAGUUAAGCAUAGAUAAACUAAUUACCAAAGCAUAGGGCACAAACACAAGCAUUGUUCACUCAAACAUAAGCAUAGGAAGACUAUUUAAGCAAUUUAAACCACAUCUUUGCACAGAAUGACAUGUCUCAAGAUAGAUGAUGAUCAUGGAUGCUUUGAAUGGAUGAUGAUGCUCAUGCUAUGCACAUGACUAAUGCAAUCAUAACACUUGGGGUGUUACAGCCCUCCCCCCUUACAAAAAUCUCGUCCCGAGAUUUGAAAGCUUACUGAUUUUCGAAGAAGGUUUUGUAAACUUCUUUUAAAUAAUCCUCCGUCUCCCAAGUGGCAUCUUCUUCCCCGUGGUUGCUCCACAACACCUUGUAGGGCUUAACCACACGAUUACGCGUUUCCCGUUCCUUGCGAUCAAGAAUCGCUACGGGCUUCUCCUCAUACACCAAGUCUGACUUCAACUUGAUAUCUCGAAUUUCCACUCGUUCCUCCGGUACACGAAGGCACUUCUUCAAUUGUGAUACGUGGAAGACAGGGAAGAUAGCUCGAAGCGCAACUGGGAGUUGAACUUUGUAUGCCACAUUCCCUUACUUUUCGAGAAUCCGAUAAGGUCCCACAUAGCGAGGUGCAAGCUUUCGCUUGACGCCGAACCUUUGGACACCCUUCAUCGGAGACACCUUGAUGUACACAUGGUCACCAACUGAAAACUCAAUCGGCUUCCUUCUCUUGUUGGCAUAACUUUUCUGACGAGCUUGAGCAGCUUCCAGAUGUUGCUGGAUAGUACGGACUCUCUGCUCCGCUUCGUUCACGAAAUCGAUGCCAUAAAACCUUCGCUCUCCAGCUUCUACCCAAUUCAACGGGGUUCGACACUUCCGACCGUACAAAGCUUCAAAUGGAGCCAUCUUGAUACUCUCCUGGUAACUAUUGUUGUAGGAGAACUCAGCUAAUGGCAACCACUUAACCCAAGAACCUUUUGAAGAGAGAGCACAUGCCCUUAACAUAUCUUCAAGGAUCUGGUUAACUCGUUCAGUUUGACCAGCUGUUUGGGGAUGAUAAGCAGAGCUGCGGACUAAAUGAGUACCAAUUUGCUCAUGCAAACAUUCCCAAAAACGAGCAGUGAACUGUGGUCCACGAUCGGAUAUGAUUGUUCGAGGCACACCAUACUGACGAACAAUGUGCUCGAAAUACAACUCCGCAUACUGAUGUGGACAAUAGUCAGUCCGGACUGGAAUAAAUCGAGCAACCUUGGUCAAACGAUCUACAACCACCCAGAUGGAAUCGUAACCCUUAACAGAAAUUGGGAGUCCACUGAUGAAAUCCAUGCUGACUUCUUCCCAUUUCCAACCAGGAAUUGACAAGGGUUGAAGCAAACCAGCUUUCAUGUGAACAGCCUUCACGCGACAACAAUUGUCACAACGAGCGACAAAAGCAGCUAUCUCCUUUUUCAUCUUUGUCCACCAAAACAAAGGUUUCAAAUCCUGAUACAUCUUGCUACUACCAGGAUGGAUAGACAAUUUGGAUGAAUGAGCUUCAGAUAGGAUCUGGUUUCGCAGCCCACGGUCUUUUGGGACCACAAGUCGAUCCUUGAACCAAAGUAUUCCGUUCUCAUCGACUCGGAAAUGCUUGGUUUCUUCUUCUUUCAUUUUCCUCUUUAUAUGGUGGAUGCCUACAUCUGUCUGCUGCAAUUCGAUGACUCGAUUGCGAAUGGUACUUUCCAGAGAGAUCUGGUGGAGCACAAGUGGAUGCAUAAGAUGUGACAACAACGGAUCUUCCACUUGGAUUGAGUGACAGUGCACUUUCCGACUCAAGGCAUCCGCCACCACGUUUGCCUUGCCCGGAUGAUAGUGCACUUGAAGAUUAUAAUCUUUAAUCAACUCAAGUCACCUUCGCUGCCGCAUGUUCAGUUCAGGUUGAGUGAAGAUAUACUUGAGGCUCUUAUGAUCGGUGUAGAUAUUACACAGAUUACCCAGCAGAUAAUGCCUCCAGAUUUUCAAAGCAUGAACAACCGCUGCCAAUUCUAAGUCAUGAGUAGGGUAAUUGACCUCAUGCUUUCGAAGUUGGCGUGAGGCAUACGCGAUAACGCGACCUUCCUGCAUCAACACACAGCCUAAACCAAUGCCCGAUGCGUCACAAAAGACAUCGAAGGGCUUCUCGAUAUCAGGUUGAGCUAGGACAGGAGCUGAUGUCAGCAAUGUCCUCAACUUGUGGAAUGCCUCUUCACACUCAGGUGUCCACACAAACUUCUCAUCUUUCUGAAGCAGGCGAGUCAUAGGCUUGGAUAUUUUGGAGAAUUCCGGAAUGAAUCGACGGUAAUAUCCAGCAAGACCGAGAAAACUCCGAACCUCGUGUACGGAAGUUGGAACUUUCCAAUCCAGCACUUCUUGCACCUUGGCCGGAUCCACCGAUAUGCCCUCUUCAGAUAAGACAUGGCCCAAGAAAGGUACUUUCUUUAGCCAAAACUCGCAUUUGCUAAACUUGGCAUAAAGCUGAUGUUCGCGCAAACGCGACAACACUACACGCAGAUGCUUUGCAUGCUCCUCUUCAUUGCAAGAAUAUACCAAGAUAUCAUCAAUGAAGACCACCACAAACUUGUCCAAUUCGGGCAUGAACACCGAAUUCAUAAGAUACAUGAAAUGAGCAGGUGCAUUUGUAAGACCGAAGGACAUGACAAGGUACUCAUACAACCCAUACCUCGUCGAAAAAGCCGUCUUAGGUACAUCCUCAGGACGGAUCUUGAUAUGAUGGUACCCAGAUCGCAAAUCAAUCUUGGAGAAUACCUUAGCUUUGGACAACUGAUCAAACAAGAUAUCAAUGCGAGGAAGAGGGUAUUUGUUCUUGAUAGUCACCGCAUUUAGGGGACGAUAGUCCACACACAUGCGCAAAGAUUGAUCCUUCUUCUUCACAAAGAUAGCCGGACAACCCCAAGGAGAAGAACUAGGACGAAUAAGACCCUUCUUCAACAACUCAUUUAGUUGGGUCUUAAGCUCAGCUAACUCAUUGGGUGGCAUUCUAUAAGGUCUUCUAGAGAUAGGAGCGGUGCCUGGAAUCAAUUCAAUUUUGAACUCCACAUCCCGAUCCGAAGGAAGCCCGGGUAGAUCAUCAGGAAAAACAUCCGGAAACUCACACACCACCGGAAUAUCCUGAAUAGCCUUAGAUGUAACUGCAUUCACAGUGCUACGGAUUUGAAUAUCACGAGGGAGUUGCACUAGAAAUGCCUCCUUGGUAUUUGGGUCUUUCAACAUCACUACACGAGUGGUGGUGUCGAUAAGAACUCCAUUGCCACUCAUCCACUUCAUCCCCAGGAUUACAUCUAUGCCCACACCGGGUAGAACAACCAAAUCAGCAAGAAACUGACGGUCUCCUAUUUCCAGAGUUGCCCCCAAAACCACUUGAUUGGUGGAAAUAUCAUUUCCCGCAGCACUAAUACAAUAACUGCCCUUAUCAAGUGUAACGGCCUUGAUGCUAUGCUUAGACACAAAUUCAGAACUCACAAACGAAUGCUAUGCUCCAGAAUCAAAAACACAAGUGCAUCAUGUUGAUUGACCAGAAACUUACCAGCCGUGACUACCUCACCAGUAGGGAUUGCCUCCACAGUUGUGUAAUGAACACGCCCCUGACGGACGUUCCCCUGGUUGCCCUUCUUUGGCGGGUAAGGACAGUUGCUCUGCUAAUGCCCGGUCUGAUUGCAGUUCCAGCACGGACGGUUGGCAGGUGGAGUCUUGGCAUAGUUGGGACCCGUAUUGCCCCUAGGAAGAGCAAUAGAGUACCCCUUGUGAAAACCCGUCUUGGCCUGAUUCUUCUUCACCGGAGGGCGGUAUCGCUGGUUGGGGGUUGGAGCACGGAAUGGGGCUUAGCUGCCACUGGAGCCUUGGACUGAGAUGACCCGGCACCGGCCUCAAAAGCCCUCUUGCGAGUCUUGGUCGCAGUGUACACAGUGUUAUAGUUCUCUUGGGUGAGAGCAUCACUGACAAACUCAUUGAAAGUUGCACACUUAGUGCGGCCCAUAGUCUUCAGCAAUUUGGGGCCCAAACCCCGCUUGAAACUAGCGAUCUUUUUCGUCUCCGUGUUCACAAACUCAGGAGCAUACCUAGACAAAUGAUUGAAAGCAUGCAAAUACUCCUUCAGAGUCCUGUUGCCCUGAGUUAACUGCAUGAACUCGGUGUGCUUCAUCUCCAUAACACCAGGAGGAAUGAAAUGCCCUUUGAACGCCUCACGGAAAAGAUUCCAAUCAAGCACGGUGCCGGCUGGAAGAGCUUCCCGAUACUGAUUCCACCAGAUACCUGCCGGUCCUUGCAGUUGGUGAGCCGCAUACUCCGCCUUCAAACCCUCAGUCAACCGAAGUAGGCGAAACUUUUGUUCCACCGUAUUCAGCCACUCUUCAGCUUGAAGGGGUUCUUCAGCUUCUCGGAAAGGUGGGGGCUUCGUAUCCAUGAAGUCCUUGAAGCUACUGUAUUGGUUAGGAGCUGGCCCUUCCUGUGCAUUACGACCACCCUGAUUUGCCAUACGAUUGAUGGUCUCAGUGAGCAUCCUCUGAUUUUACACCAUCAUUUGCAUCAAUUCAGCUGGAUUUGGUGGUGGGGAAGGAGGGGGUGGAUUCAUGUUUGCACGCUGUUCCGCACCUCGGGUGCCACGAGACAUUUGUAAAGACACAGUCAGUGAGCAUUGAUGAUGACAAGAUUUGUCGUAGAACUUAUAUUCAUGCCUGAAAGUAUUCGAGAGAAUAGCUUUACAGAAAGGCACAACAAUUCAAUUCCACAAAACAACAUCACCAAUCCAACACAUGACAUAGAUAUCUGUAAUACGCACCACAACGGAAAACAUCGUCAUAACAUAACAAACAUGUUAAGAUUGCACAUUGGGUCCUCAAAGUUAUUACACCAUCACAGUACAUGCCAUGAGUCAAGGUCAAAGUUUCGGAUUACAACAUGGUUACAAAAGCACCACGGCUGACUGGCACACUACAAAAGAUCCUCACAACACUACCCACUACUCCUACACUCCAGGCUCGUCGUCCGAGUCAGCGUCGAAGAUUGCCUCUCCAUCCUCGUCGCUAACCGGCUCAAGCUCCUCGUCCUCCAUGUCCUCGUGCAAAGGUGGUGCGGCCGCUGCUGGUCCAUCGACCUCCAUACCAUCAUCAUCGGCCACAAUCACCUGAGGUCCCACCUCUGGAUACACGGGUAUAGGGCGAGGAAUAGGGUGUAGCAAGUUGUUGAGACGGUGAAUCUCCACAAGACCAGCCUCAAUCUGAUCCUGCAGAUAGUUCUCCCGCUCAAGCGACUGAACUCGGUGCAUCUCCCAUGCUUGGCGCCUGUUCUCCGACACACGGAGUGCAGUAUCCCUCUCACGAGUUAGCUGCACCAAGCGCUCCUGCAAGGUCUCCCUCUCUCUAGCUAACUGGCUCAUCUGAUCCUGCUUAUGAUCUCUCUCCCUAAUGGCUUUCGCCCACUGCUGCCUACGGUACUCCGCAAUGCCUUCCCAGUCAUUGCGGUCCUUCUGAGCUUGCUCCAGGAGUCUAGCUUGCUUGCGAAACUUGCGAGCAUGCUUUUCAACCUUCCGCUGCAUCUCCUGGGCUCUGCGAACAGCCACCAUCACCUGUGCAUAGGUGCCCUCUCGCUGACUAAUCAGCUUGAGCACAGCCAUCAUAGCACUCAUAGCAGGACUAGAGCUAUCAGAUCUCUCUCCCCUGCCUCGAACCAAAGCACAGCCGUCAGCCUGUCUCCACUCUGCGGCUGCUGGGUCAGCACUAGGAAUGGAGGCCGCUGGUCCUCCCGUCAGCUCGUCACCACACCUCUGAUAGAUAUCGAGCAGGAUAGUCUGGGCUGCAACCUGAACUGCCUCCCAGGGAGUCUGCCCAUCUGAGCUGCAAGACCAGCCAGUCCAUGCAGGCUUGUCCCCAUGUGGAGGGACAACUCCCUGCACAGCAAACCACUGGAUACCUCCUGUGCUCUCCAUCUCCCACCAAGAAUACUGAGGUGGCUCAGUAUACCCAACAGUCCGUAACACUCUCCAGAGCAGGGUAGGAGUACCAAACUCGUGCAAGAAAGUGUCACUGGGACGGGGUGAAGCAGGUGCGUCCAUCUGUAGAAAGGAAUAGGAAUACCAUGGGUAAAAGAGGAUUAGUUUAAGCAACAUUUAUUUAUUGGAAAGAGACGAAAUUGUAAGGGAAGGAGUAGACAGAAUGUAUGUAUGAAUGCGACAUGAUGCAUGCACGAACCGUACGUCCUCACAAACUUAGAAAAUUAAUAUUCUAACGGAUAUACGGUGGCAUACAUUCGUCUCUCGAUACGAUAACUAUCGGUUUACACGUGCGCUGUUAGAGUACCUGCAGAAAACUUCAUUUCAGCCCAACAGUUCCCAAAAUAUCACAUAAGAAAGCAGUAAACUAAGUGCACAUUGCUUGGACAUGCCCCACAUGCACAAACAAUGACACCACAUCUACCCGAGAAAUUAAGUACUCCCCAAUUAAGUUUCUUUCGUGGUUCCAUGGUUUCAACAUGUAACCACUCUAGAAAACCACCGCGAACACUCCCCUAGACCGUCGUUUGGACGAUCAUGCUCUCACAGCUCACACUUACCUGCGCGUAGGUGCGACGUUGCAUAAUUUAAAUCUAGCGACAUAUGUGGCUAAUUCACAUAUGAAGGCUACCUCCACCAUUAGACCACAGGGUAGCAUAGUGCGGUCAUCACACAUCCAUACCUGAGUACUGCCGGAGAUGCAUAAAUAAAACCCCCAAGUCAGUACUUAAAUAGCCACCUAUAGUCAUUAUGUGGGCAAGGAGGAUUCGACCACUAGCAUAACUUAAUUAUAUAUUUUACACCCUUUUAUUUAAAAACUCUUUUGUUAAAAUACACAAACGCUGCAUUUAUAAUGCUGAACUUGCUCCGAUGCCAGCUGUCACAGAACCGACCAAAUUAUAAGAGUUCAAGUGCAGAAACGAUCGCCAAGCAAUCAAGUUUCUAAACUUGAGCCCAUAUAAUCCCGGUAGUCAAUCGAAAUCACGAAGGACUUCAAACCAACUCGCAACAAACCAAGAUCGUAAUAGUUCAACAUAAACACAACGAAUGUUACAUAGUCAUUCAUUGCCGUCGAAGCGGCACCACAUCGGAGUCAUUAAGUUAUUACAACCCAAGUUCGAAGUAGCGGAAGCAAAAUAAUUACACACACUUAUUCAAAGAUCAGUUCGCAAGUUUUUGUUACUGCUAGAGUCUAUGCCAUCCUUCCAAAAGCAUCAAAGACGAGAAGAUUAGAGAACCGUGCCCAACGGUUAGUCCUCAUCCCUAGCGGGAUGGAGACAGGUCUUGCAGAAUCCGUCAUAGAAGAUGUCAUCUGCAACAGGUGGGAAUAAACCCUGAGCACGAGAAUGUACUCAGCUAGACUUACCCGUCUAGUAAAACAUAAAAGACAUCAAGGAUCAUGCAAGGCUAAAUCUCAAGUGGAGCUAGUUGACUCACCUUUUGCCCAAAAGCUUAACUUACAACUAAGUUAUUUUAAGAGCAUCAUAUUUAUUUAUCAUCAGCCUACCACUAGAUUAGCACCUGUACUACAACACAUCACUUGAUUAUUACAAACAAUAAUAACCAUAUCAAAUUCAUCAUAUGUUCUUCUUGCUAUCAUCAUUAUCAUGAACCAAAUUCAUUAGUGAAUGCUACGUUUGCCGCUGCUCUGUCAAGUUCUCACUAACCGGGAGAGACGGCGAUUCGAAUCGAAUUCCUAUCCAGCUGGAGGAUUAUUCCUAGCACUCACCCAAGCUUCCCCUGCCGGAGAGCCAACGGGUCACCUUUGGUACAACUCAGGAAUCGCGGCUCCGAUCAGCGCCGCACUCCCAGGGCUACCACUCUGCCAGGGAGGUCAGGAAUUUUAACUCACCUGCCUUUGGGCUUACGCCAAUGGUCCCCCGCACACCGCACUUCCUCCGGUAGUGCGCACUUUAUACUUGCCGGUCUUCCGGCCUGAGUCAUACUACUCGGCUUCGCGGUCGGAACUAGUUAUCCGGCCAACUAAGUGUUAGGCAUGCGUUCAACAUGACAAGAGGACGUACAACGAUCGGUCCUUAGCUGCCACAGACGGAGUUACUACACACUUGCAAAACUCCGCCCGGCUCAAAUCAAUUUAAUCAGGUUCCAUCCACGAUAGCACAUAUAGACCACCGUGAUCCGACAUAACCCUAUAUCGCGCGGAUGACAGGAUAUCACCCGACUUCUACCGAUUAAAGCAUCGCUAAGCUGCUACUCGAUCCUAAAUCUACAACCAGGGAGGGUGAGUUAUCUGGACAAGGAUAGAGUAGAAUGCAGCAACAGUUUCCUCACAACUCCUAUACGUAAUGCAUCAAUAGAUAUAACAUAUUAAGUAAACUUUCAAAAUUAGAGGGAGGCUUAGAAUGCUCCGGGGCUUGCCUUUUACGAACGAUGCCGGCUCGUGAUUCGGGCACUCAACUUCUUCUUCGGGCUCCUCGAGUCCGACUUGCUGGACCUCCACCUCCUGGUUGCCUUCCUGGCCUUCGGGGUUCGCUUGGAGCUCGAAGGAAACUGCCACGUCCGGUGCACCUAUUGCAUGCUCGAACAAUAAGAAGAUGCAUAUGCUAACGAUGAAUGCUUAAUAACACAAGCAACUCACUGGACACUCAUUUACAGAACAAAAGUUAUGCUAACUCGCAUAAUAAAUAAGUUGACACAGCCCAAAACCUAUCAUGACAGUAAAGCAGCAAACAACACAAAACAAGUAUGCUCAGUAAAUAAAUCAUAACUAAUGAUAGACAGAUCCAACAAACAUGAGUGAAGACAUUCUGGAAAGCUUAUGAAAUUGUCUACAACUCAUCUUUAAACAUGACAGCAAGAUUCAUACAUGAAACUAGUCAUUUAAACAAAGUUCCAGGUUCUGUCCCAGAAAAACAGAGAACACCUAUUUCUGGAACCCAACUUGGAACACCUAUAACUUUUAAACUACUUGGCCAAAUGACCUCAAAUUUAAACCACAGCUAGUUCAAUAAGUUUAGAACAACUUUGAUUUAGGCAAGUUUCACAGAAAGUCAAGUUAUCAUUAAGUAAAGUUAAAUCCUUUCCUUGCUGUCCAGGACAGCAUUUAACCCUUUAGUUAAUUAUGUAAUGACAUGAUCAAAACACAAACCAUGCCAACCACAUGGCCUAUGAGCACAAAUAUAUUACAAGGUUACCAGAUCAUCAGAUGACAACCCAAAAACAAUUACUUAACAAGGCAUUUAUUAAUUAACUCUAGUUAAGAGCAUAUUUACAGGAUACUAGUUAAACUGCUCAGAAAAAUCUACAAAAAUUACAGAGGCACAAGUAUAACAUCAGAGCAUCACCAUAAAAAUUUCAGAGCAAAUGCACAUGCCAAAUUAAAGAUAUGUAUUUAACAUGUGUCAAGGCAUUUAUUUCAUAAAAUCAGAAACAUCACUUAUAUGGUGUCAAACAACAGAUUUCAGAUUAUUUAGAUCUUAAGAAUACCAUACACAAGUUUACCACCAAAGUAGAACACCAGCAUAAUGACCAAUUAUUUUAUAUGAUUUAAUUAAAGAAACAAGCCAUAUUUCAAACACAAAUUACAUAUCACAACUGCAGUGCUCCACAAAUCAUGAAAUAAUUACCAGAGCACUCUAAUGCCCUGCAAAGGUUACCAUAAAAUUUUCAGAGCAAACUAAGCAGUAAAACAAGAGAUAUGCAUUUAGCCAAGAAUAAUAAGUUUAAAUCCUUAAUAAAUAAUUUCCCAGAAAACAUGAUUCAUUUUAUAUUUUUAUUAAAUACUAGCCAUCUCAAGAAACACCACAAAAUUUGUUUCACAAUUUUUGGAUCUCAGAAACAGGAGAUAUAAUUUUUGCAAGAAAGCCAAAAAUCCAGAUUUUGAAUAAAAGAAGAGGGAAAGAGGUGACACUGACAGUGGACCCCCACUGUCAGGUCCUUCUUCCACGCGGCCGAGGCGACUUUCGCCGACGAUUUCUCCGCGACGACGAGGUCUCCGGCCAAACCAAGGGCAUCAGCGUGAUCCCCAAACCCUAACGACUCGAUUGACCCCCUUUUCCCCCCGGCGGAGCCACCGGAAGGAGCUUGCCGUCGACGAUGGCGGCUCGGCGGAGGUGCUCGGCGUUACGCCGGAGCCCUCAGGCCGGUAGAGCGUGACCUAAGGCCUUCUACAGCACCAGCAGACUACGGCGAAGCUUCCUAGGUACACGGCUUGGCCUGGAUCCUCGUGGAGCACGCUGGCCACGAGAGCACCCAACUCCGGCGGAAGCACGGCGGCGCUGCGCACCGUGUCCGGCGUCGGAGAACCUGGUAGAGCGUCCACCAAGUGGUGCAAAAGCUCGCUAAGGACCUAAGCUACCUCUAGGACCUAACCAGAGACGACGAGAGGCUUCAUAGAGCUCGGCAUUGAGUUCGCCGGAGAAGGUCACGGCGACCCGAUUUGGGGAAAGAAGGAAAUGUCGGCUCACCGGUGGGUUUCUCGGCGAGUUAGAGGGUGGAGGUUGGAGAGCGGCUCACGGCGGAGCUUUGGGUGGAGUUUGGUGGACGGAGACGCAGCGAGGAGCGCACACGAGCUCGCCGGAAUGAGCUCGCGGCGGAGAGCUCGCUGCGGGCGAGUUUCAGGCGAGAGAGGGCGAGGCAGAGCGAAUGGACGCGUCCACUUCGCUCGGGACGUCGCCGUGGAGGUCAUGCACGCGACGGGAGCUGACAAGUGGGGCCAGACGCGGCGUACGGUCGACAAAUGGCGACGGAGCUCUGCCGGCGGUCGGCCACGUCGACGAGCUCAGGUUCGAUUCAGAAGAAACGGUGUUUGUCUGACACAGCCACUUCACCUACGAUUAUCUCCCAAACCAGAGCGAAUUAGGAGAUGGCGUAGUUGACAAAGUUGGAGUACUAGGCGAGAUCUAAAACUUUGUCAAUUGGAGCAAGAGCUAAAUCGGCCUGGAUUGAGAGUUAUGAAGUUUUCAAAAUCAAUCGAGCAAAGUGGUUUCGUUCCAAGACUUAGAAAAUUUUCGAAGUGUUGAAAACAUCCCCAAAUCUGCCUUGUGCAUCACUUUUGAGCUAUUUGUGUUCAUUUUCAUGAGAUGGCCAUAAAACAACUUUUGUUCCAUAUAAAAUUUGCUACAGCUUUGCUGUAGGAAGUUUUGACAUGCAAACAUUUUAUGAAACACUUUUUAAAAGCCUAAGCAAAAGAGGUUUCUAGGGCCUAUUUUCAUAAGUAUGACUUAGAAGCAUAUUUUGGAGAAGUGAUCAACAUGAACAUUGUUCCCAAGAUUAAGUUAAGCAUAGAUAAACUAAUUACCAAAGCAUAGGGCACAAACACAAGCAUUGUUCACUCAAACAUAAGCAUAGGAAGACUAUUUAAGCAAUUUAAACCACAUCUUUGCAUAGAAUGACAUGUCUCAAGAUAGAUGAUGAUCAUGGAUGCUUUGAAUGGAUGAUGAUGCUCAUGCUAUGCACAUGACUAAUGCAAUCAUAACACUUGGGGUGUUACAAUAUUUAUAAAAGAAAUCAUUGGUAAUGAUUCUGUGAUCGGCGCUUUACCUUGAGGAGGAAUAGUAACUGUUUGCUCAGGGGGAACAGCCGAUGAUGCGCCCAGGUCAACUGGGUCGGUAAUCUGUUUAGACGUAUCGGUUGGGUCUGCUUGUGUCUGAGGCACUGAUGGAGGAGGAGAAGGUAUUUCUUGCGUCUGGGGCACUGGUUGAGGAGGAGAAGGUGCUGUUUGGAUCUGGGAGUUGGAUGAGGUGGAGAAGAUGGUGCUAUCUUCUACCACUUUGGCUGAGUCUUGGUACUUUUGGGAGCCUUCCUCUUGGGUGGAGCCUAACUGUACUGGGGGGCAUCGGCACCCGAUGAUCGAGCGCUUUUGGUUUUUGCUGAUGCACCAGACUGUUGUUACAAAGAUCAAAGUCCUAUGGGUUAGAUGUAAAAGUAGGGAAAUAUUAUUGAAAUUUGAAAGAACAGAAUGUUACCGAUGACGUUCUGGUUGCAGCCGAUGCACCCUAAAAGGACAAUGUAAGUAUAGGAUGGAGUCAGUAUGAUUGAAAAAUUAAGAAUUUACCUUAAAAGCUUGUGCCAGAGUGGCGGCAGCUACCGAUGGAGAAAUUUUCAACCGCUUGGUGGUCGUCUUCUUGAAGCGGAUGUUUCGGUGCAUCAGGGCUGCUAAACUUGGUGCAUUGUGGCCAAUUACAGAGAUUGGACCUGGUGGAAGAAGGUCGAUCGGUCUCCCACUUCUGCUUAUUGUCGACGCUGGGUCAUCGACCUGUUAAAAUAAAAGGGGUUAGUUACCGAUAAAGUCAAGGUUAACAAAAGGACUAAAGUAUCGGUAAGAGACUUACAACAUCAUUUGGAACUUCAUACUCGGGAUCGAUCAUGCUGCGGUACAUGUGAGCCGAUACCUGGAACAGAUGCUCUUUCCAUUCUUCCCACCACCAUUUGUAUGUGUGAGUGAUGAAGAGAGCUGGAACCCAAGCUGAUAGAUCAAUGUCUAACGUAUCGGCGUCUGGUUAGAGCUAAGCUAUUCUGAUCCACUCGAGUCCACUGGUUAUCACCUCUCUCGGCUUAACCACAUCGGCAUAACAAAGCUUGAUGGGUAGCUGGCCAAAAGCCAACUGGUGAGCUAGUGCCGAUGGGUUGUAAAACUCAUAGGUGGUGUUGGUGUUCUUUCCACUACCAAAGUUAUUCACCGAAAUUGCUCUUGGGUGACGAUUGCCAUCAUCACAUCAUUAUCUUUGUUGAGAGCAUCAUCGAAGGGAUGGAAAUUGAGCGGGAAUCUGGACUCUGGGUCUUCAUAGGGCAUCCAUGCUCGCUGAUCUUUUGAAAGACCAUCAUACAGAGUUUGAAAGAAUCGAUCGACCUAGUUUUUGUUUGCAUCAGUACCGGUGAGCACUAUAAUAGCUUCGCCAGAAUUAAGAGGUGAGCGUGUUGCCGAUUCAUCCUCUGCUAGUUCAUAAUCUUCGGUAAUGUCACGUGGGAAUUGUUGUGUAAAGAAAUCCCACCGAAGGCAUUUAUGCAUAUGAGCGUUGAGCCACAUGUUAAUGAACCACCAAGGACCUCCCAGGUUGCCGAUGGGUUCACCAAACAGGAGUUUCUCGGCUACUUGGUGGAGGAGAUGAUAGACUGAACCCAGCAGAUAUCAGCCAAGAGGGAAUCGGUUACCAUUAGCUAGUCUUUCUACUGUCGAUAAGUAAAUAGAGGUUGGCCCUACCGAUCGGCAGUAGAAUAUAAAUUUGUCUAACUACAUGUUCAGAAAGAUGGCAUGCUCUCUCUGACCGACUGAUCCAGUUUGCCAAUAUUUCUGAACAUAUCCUGACCAGCUGCCGAUGUUGCGGGUUUCUACUCUAUAUUCGGUUUUUCAGCCAAAAAUACCGCCAUCAUCGGCAGUUGCAGUAUCUAAGCCAGUAAGCAUGAGAACAUCGGCAAGUGUGGGGGAAGCUGGGCCGUGACCAAAAAUGAAAGCGUUGAAGGUGUCUGACCAAAAAUAUAAAGAUGCUAUCGUCAUCGACUCAUUCUUCUCCAUAUCGGCAAUGGAGAGUCUGAUGCAUUGGUCUAAUUUGCGUUCCCCCAAUAUGUUUCAUUUGUUUUGCGAACUCUCAGAAACCAAUCUUUCCAUCCUUUAGUGGGUUUUGGCCACGAUUGGAAAGUGUCCUUCCAUAGAUCUAAAGAGAAGUUCUCAGCUCUAAAAGGGAUCCUAUUGGUUUCUGCGUUAAUCAGAUCGGUGGGAUCUGGGUCACCUAUUGGGCCAAGACAUUGGAGGUGGGGUUGUUCGGUGGGAAUAACAAUUUUCUCACUUAAAUCCUGGAGUUUGGAGAUCAAAAGAACCUAAAGAAAUGGGGAGAAAAGGCUGAGUAAAUAAACUUGCAAAAAAUUAAAAGGAUUGCAGUAAAGGAAAAAGAGGAUGGGAAUAGAUUGACCUCAAGCACGGUGAAGUUGUCAGCCAUUUCUUCCCAAGGAAGAAGAAGAGUCGAAGACUUGAAGAUUCUGGGGAAGGCUUUUGCUGUUGGGGUUCUUGAGUUCUUCGUCAAUGCCGUCGUCGGGGAGAUGAAUUUGGGAAUGGAGGAUGGUAAGGUGAAGAAAGAGUGUUGAGGAAGGAAGUAUUUAUAGGUUGAAGUGAGCAGGUGUAUUUUUGACUUAUCUCUUUGCCGUAUCCGUGAAAUUUGAGGUUGUUUAGAUGGAUAUGGUAACUGUUUGCACAGUAAUCAAGGGAUAGUACAUGUGAUUUGACAGCAUGUAAUCAUGAUUUUAGGGGAUACUCCACUAUACACGAUCUUUUGGUCGGUCCAUCGGCAAUCAACCCUAACAGAACAGUUGUCGAUGAGCGUGUUUCUAUGAGAUUUGGCUUGGGUGGUUGAGAGGUUCGAGGUAUUUGCUGGAGAUCCAAAUUAAGGUUGUUUGGAUUUGGUAAUUAAUUGUUGCUAGAAGGAAAUAAUUGUGAAAAGGUCAUCAUUAUCAGGAGAGAAUUUCAGAGCAUUAAUGAUUUCAUAUUCUGAAAUUGGGGGGCAUGUGUUGACACUAUUUUUGGACACAAAUUGGGAUAGUCAAUGAGCUUGAAUUAGCAGUCAGAGAGGUGAUGUGUCUGGCCGAUAAGAAGGUUACCGAUAGCCGAUGAUGCCGAUGAUAGAACAACAGGAGGAAGAUGUUGCUAAGUCUGGUGGUUGUUGCCGAUCAUUGCCAAUUAAAAUGAUUGUCGAUGCCGAUAAGGAAAGGUAUGGGAAUUGUUAAAAGAGAUACAGGGCGUGCGCCGAUGAGGACAAUGGUGGUAUGCCGAUCACAAGGAUGGAUAGGUAGUUAUUUUCCAUAUCUAUUAGGGUUUAUUUUACGUACGAGUUCUGUUCGGUUUGGAAUUAAAUCCUAGUCGUAUACAGUUGUAACUCUUUAAGACAGAUUAUAUAUAUAGGCCUAGUGCAAUGUAAGAAAAGAAUCAAUCAAUAUAUCAUACACAAGUUUUACAUCUACUUUUCGACGACUUCGUCAACUCACAUAUUUUCUUUUGUUUACGAGUUCUUAAGGAUUCAUCGAGCAAUACUCGGUGAAUUCUCAAGUUUUGCAUGAGUACCUCUUGGCCGUGACAUCCGGGCGCAUCGCUAUUGUCAGGACCAAAGUAUUCAAGUUAUCACCUUUGUCGAUUGCUAGGUUAAAUCUGCUGGCACGCCUCAACAUUUGAAUCGGGUAUUAGCCCUUUGUGUUUGCAGAUACGUUUUUGCAUCAACACAUGCUUACAAGCCGCAACAUUGCAAGACACAUCAACCCCUUUGGUUUGAGGGUGAAGCCUUCUGUCAAGCUGGAUAGCAUAAGAAGUGGAGAUUGGUCUCAAUACAUCAUCAGCCACAAAUCUAAUAAUAGGUCUGUGUGUGCCAGAGAGCACACAGCUUUCCUGAACAUGUGGCUGGAUAGAUAUAUCUUCUAUGGAUAGGCCUGUUCUGCAAUAUCCAAUUAUCUUACCUUGGCAGAAAAGAUAUUAGGCAACUCUAAAAUUCCACUUGGCAAGAACCUCCUUGGAGCUUUGUAUAGUCUUCUAAAUAGUGUUUGUCAACAUAUAAUGCAGAAUAAAAAUGUCCCAACAAUCACAUGCCCCUGGUGGCUGUUGCAAUUAUGGCUCAAUUUACAUCUGCACAAGCUAGUGGCCCCAGAGCUGAUCAAUCUGUCUUACCCCUUAGAAUACCCAGAAGAGCAAGAAGAUCAGCUCCCAACAAAUCAGAAAUUUUGUCGAUGCAUGUCUUUUGGUGAGGCAGCAUCAACAAUCACUAUCGACAGAUCAAUUACUAAUUUCUUCAAGCUCUUCUACAGAAACUCUCUAGAAAUAGCUCUAGAAUGGUUUGUCUACUCAUACAUCCCAGUAUUUAAACUCCCAUCAUCAUUUAGAUUCGAGAACAUUUAUAGUGAUAUUGAGGAAUUCAAAAUUUUACGCGAUCUAGCAAGGCCCUGUCUUCUGCCUGUUGAAGUUAGGCAUGGUAGAGAGAAACCUCCAACUUUCUAUGAAUUAUUCUAUCCUUGAGUAGUGGCCAGACAAAUGGGCUUUGGCCAAUUGCCCCCAGCUUUGUUUUUUGCUGAUAAGAUGAAGCUGAGGGAAACUGUCAAUGUUGGAAUAGAGUACAACAGAAUUUUUCACUUUGAACAAUCUCUGCUGCCAGAAGCCAUUAGUGGAUGGGAAUGUACCCAUUUCACUUCUACAGCUUUUGAUCAUUGGUGGCAAGAGUGGAGUCAACACAUCUUCAAUGACCCAGUAUCUGUUUACUGCUCCUCGAUCUAAACUUUCAAGCUACUCCUAAGGUAUGUUUCUAUACAUUGUAUUUCUAGAAUUUCGCACCUCAGAAUAUGUUCACUUAUUUAAAUUGUUUAUAGGAUCUUGCUGGCUUGGUCCCUCCAUGGGUGAACUAUGACAUAUGGUGUCCUAACCCCAGACUAGGCUCUGAUGCACCUUCCCUCAAUGUUUUGAUGAAGAAGCCAACAUCAGACCUACCUGAUGAUCAGCCGAUUGCUACACUAAAAAGAAAGCAACCGACUGCUUCUCAAAAUACAACCUCAAAGAAGACUAAAGUCACUUCUUCAAAAUAGCUUAAGUCUUUAGCUAAUGCAGCCACUGAGGUAACCUUUCUGUUAACUCAUAAGUAUACAAUAUACCUACACAUUAGCUAGUUCUUGACUCUUCCAAGAUGUUGCUCAAAAACAGACUACUGAAAAGGGACCUGAAUUUCCUGACCCACUAGAAGUCUUAUCUUUUUCCAGCAGUGAUGAUGAUGUUAUCCCCAACCUAGGCAAUAUUCCAUAAGUUUCUUCAGGUAACAUCACAUAAUAGCCGAUAGGAUAAAUCCUUUUGCUUAUAUUAACUUGCAUAUAUGAAUUCAAACCUUCAACUUCUUGAAGUUACUUCAUCGGCUAUUCCUAGUUCCACCACUGAUAUGACCAUGACAGCAAGCAAGAUGUCACAAGCUCCAAGUCAAGCUACAACCACUCAAGUUUUACCUACACCGACGCCAGCCCAAGUCAUCGAUGGACCGGUUACACGUAGUCGUGCAAAGAAGCUACAACAAGAGGUCCACGCGCUACUUUGUGAGAUUCAUUUUAAUGUUAAUGAAAAUUAUAUUGUACCUAAGUGUUCUACCUUGAUUGUACUCAGGUAUAUAGAAGAAGAGAAGGAUGAAUCGGACCCUGAAGAACGAACCAGUGCAAGUCCUAGAAGACACGUCAAAAACGGACCAGUGGAAGUCAAAAACGGACCAGUGCAAAGAAAUCUUCAUAACUUUUUAAUUACAGAAGCUAUUGAAAGGUCCUUGUUUGGUUUAGGUAAUUGAGUGACAACUUAGGUGGACUAAUAGUGUUUAUGUGAGAUACACAGGAGAUUAGUCCACAGGUGAUGAUGUGAUGAUGGAGGAGCUCAUUGCAUAUGAGACAUGACAUGGAGUCAUGUGACCAAGGUGGAUAAGAUCAAUAUGAGGCUUGGCUUGAUGGACCGGUUGCAAGAGUGAAGGGAAAGUCAGAGGCUUUGAAGUGAGUGACCGCGUGUGACGGUGAAGCUUGAGCAAGACUUGGCGCCGAUGGACCGAGGCAACGGUGAAGAGCAAGUGAGGUCAAGAUCGAUGAACCAAUACGGUCACGUGAUGAUAUGAAGUGGAUCAUAUCAUUUGGUGAUUGGUUGGUGCAUGUGUUGCAUCAACAUUGGAGGAGAUGAAAUCAAAUGUGCAAGGCAAAGGUAUAACCUAGGGCAUUUCCAUUUCACCGGUCAUAGGUGUGUAGAGAAGUUUAUGACCGGAUUUAGGAUAGAUGGUCGUACUAUCAAGAGGGGCAAACUAGUUUGCAUAUCGGUCAUCUAGUGCCACUUGAGCGAUCUAACUUUGCAUAUGUGUUAGGAUCGAGUGGCAUGGCAAGUUGAGAGGCUAACUCCUUUGAGAAAAUGUUUGUGACAAUGCUAACACACUUGCACAUGGUGGUGUACACUUGGUGGUGUUGGCACAUUUACAAAGGAGGUGGAGUUCCUAGGGUUGAGAGGGGUGUGUUCGGCGCUUUUGAGAAAAUUUAGUGCAUGUUUUAUAUUGCGCCGGUGGGAAAUUUGGAGAAGUCGUGGGAGUGUUUCUUGCCGAGAAACACUCACCGGACGCUGAUGGUGGCAGCACCGGACGCUGGUCCAGAGCGUCCGGUGUGGUGUCUGUGGCUCAGGUGUGCAGAGCGCACCGGACGCUGGCACCGGACGCUGGGCGGUUACUGUUCGAGCGUCCGGUGGUGUGCGAUGUCAGCGAGUGCACGCGAGGUGUUUCUGAUCAGUGAGCACCGGACGCUCAGGGUGCGUCCGGUGGCUUGCGUCCGGUGACCGUGCGAGUUUGCGGAGCUCUCUGCGCACGAGUCCGAUGUGCACCGGACGCGUCCGGUGUGGACUAGUUGAGCAUCCGGUGGUGCUGUGUCAGGCGCGAGCGCGAGGUAGCCAUUGGCGGCAACGGUCGAGUUCAAACGGCUAGUGACACGUGGCUGACGCCAGAGCACCGGACGCUGGGGGUUGAGCGUCCGGUGGCUCCUUGCGAGCGUCCGGUGCCCACGUGUUUUGCCCAGUGAAGGGGCAACGGCUAGUUUAGCCAUGGAGCUAUAAAUAGAAGUAGUGGCCGGCCUUGGCUGGUGCUGAGCACCCUUGGGACUUAGUGUCCAUGCUUGGGGAGUGCUAGUAAAGCCUCUAACUCACAUAUGCUUGAUAGUGAUCAUCCGAUUGUGUGAGUGAGCGAUUCUAGUGCGUUGCAUUAAGAGAUUGCAUAGAGUGGCACUAGAUGUUCGUGUUGCAAGCUGGUGGUGCUUGUUAAUCUUGGAGGUUGCCACCUCCUAGAUGGCUUGGUGGCUUGUGACUCCGUCGAAGCACGCAAGGAGAUUGUGCGGUGCUCCGGGGAAGAGAUUGUGAGGGGUACGGUGCUCACCCGCGGGGAUCGCGAAGAGCAACUCUAUUGGAUCGUGCGUGUCAUUGAGCUACCUCACUUGUGGGUAGGUUCUUGCGGUGUCCUAGUGGGGACGAGGUUCGUGUAACACCUCUUAGCCGCCGAACCACCAAGUGUUGGUCGACACAAUGGGGACGUAGCUUGGUGGCAACCAAGUGAACCUCAGGAGAAAAUUAUCGUGUCAACAUUGUUCUUCCCGUUGGUUUGCAAGUCCCUAACACAAGCUUGUUCUUACUUCAUAUAUUUGUGCUUGUGUAGUUGCUCUUGUAAUUAGUUAGCUUGUGUAGCUUGCUACUUACCUUCUUGCUUGUGUAGCUAGAAGUAGUUCCCUUGCGUGACUAAUUUGGUUUGUGUAACCUUGUUAGUCACUUUGCUUAGUUUGUGUAGCUAAGUAAGUUGCGCUCUCUAAUUUGGCAUUAGUUGCCUUGUUUUUGAGUUUGCUAGUGAGCUUAGGCUUUGUGCGCUUUGCCUCACUAGUUUGUGUAGGAGCUCCUCCUGUUUGCAAAGUACUAGUUGCAUAGGUUUGUGUGACCUUGCUCCUAGAAUUGUUUAGGUGAGCUCUUGCUAAGGUAGCACCUUGUUUGCUUGUUUAGGAUCUUUUACAAGGUGCUGGAGAACUUAGAUAGAGGGGUGUAGUCUUGGCUAGACCGAUAGUUUUAAUUCCGCAUUUGUUUCGGUUAGUCGACGUAAUAUUUUUUAGAAAGGACUAUUCACCCCCCCUCUAGUCUGCCAUCUCGACCCUUCAAGUGGUAUCGGAGCUAGGUCUCACAUUUGUGGUCUUCACUGACUCGAGAGGAUGGCGGCUUAUGGGCUAGAUGUUGAGUGUCCACAUAUUUUUUAUGGCACACACUUUGCACUGUAGAGAAAUUGGAUGCAAUGCAAUUUUAAGUUUAUUUCUCCUCAAGUGUGGUGGAUCGUAGAUGUGGGCUUUUCUUGUGCAAUUGAUAAAAAGGUUGCAACUCAAGCGCAAAAGAAAUGCCUACAUCUUGAUUGCCAAGCUACUAACAUCUUCUAAUCAUCUAUGAAAGAUAAUAUAUUUGGUGAGAUCAUGGAUAUGAAGUCCGCCCAUGAGAUUUGGGUAUUUCUCAAUGAGAAAUAUGAGGCAAUAUCCAAAGAAGAUGAUGUGCCAAAGGUGGACGCAAAUGAGGAUGUUGAGCAUGACCACAACAUGGUGGUUGUGGAGGAUUGCUCCACCUCAUGGUCAAGUGAAGAAGAAGAUGAUGAUCAUUCUACAAGAUCACUUGACAAGGAUGAUGAUGAUGCCUCAAGUGAUGCAAAUGAUGAUGCUACCUCAUGCACACUUGAUGGUGAAGAUGAUGGCUUUGAGAGUGAUGCUUCCACAAGCUCAUCUACUACAUCACCACAUUGCUUCAUGUCACAUGGUGACACUAAGGUAUCUAUUGGUGAUGUGAUUAUUGAUUGUGAUGGUCCAAAUUUUGAGCUUGUAUGCAAACUCUCAAAAGCUUUAAGAAAUGAGUUAGCAAAAACAAAUAAAUUGAAAAAUGAAAACUCAUUUCUAAAGACCACAUGUGAACAACAAAAGCAUCUACUUUAUGUUACUACUUGUUCACAUGAGGAGCUAAAAUUGGUUCAUGAGGAACUUUGUGUUGCUCAUGACAACUUGGUAAAAGAUCAUGCUUUUCUCACUAAGAAGAUUUCUAAUGAAGAAAUUAAAACUAGUGAGAGCUCAUCACUUGGGUCAAAUGUGUUGACGGUCCUUAAGUAUUAAAUUUAAUUAUCAAAUAAACAAAGAAAAGGAUCCAAAUGAAAUCAACAUCUAGACUUAGGGUUUUAUCUGACAGAAUUCCACGAGUUUUGGUGUUUGUCUAUUUCUGCAGGGGGUUAUUAGGAAAUAAGGAAGAAAGGCCCACAUGUCGGGAUUACAUAGAGAUAUCAACGCACCGCGCAAUUUUCUACAAUCUAGAAGACUCCAGAAGCCACGGGAAGGAAGCGGAGGCCGAAAGGGGCUAGGCCCAGGGCGCCCGCCCUGGUGACCUGGGCGCCCGCCCCCUGCUGGAUCCUGUUCGGUACUCUCUUCGCACACGAUGUUCCACCGACCUAUUGGAUCAAGGAAAACAUAGUACCACAUCGCCUACCGACCCAAAAACGCAUAGAGGAGGAGGACUAUAUAAGGAGACCCCCCUGGCCCCUGGAGAAGACAAGAAAUUAUCAUAGAGAUUGAGGGGUGCCCUCGAAGGAAAACCUCUUCUCUAAAUAAUAUUUCUUUUUAGGCUUAGCAACCAAUGUAAAGUAGAAAUAGAUCUUCUAGUUUCUACUAGAUUGAGAGAGAUAGAGUGGAGGUGUGGAUCGGAGGAAGGCCGGCCUGUCAGUGUCUACUCCGAGUUGUACCUACGGGAUCAAGUCUCCUAACCCGAAGCUUGCUUCUAAGAUUCUUCAGUAAUUCGACUUCUAAUGCUAGUAAGUUCUUGUUUUAUUGUUCUUUGGUUUAUGAGUUUACUUUAAUCCUCUUCCGGUUGAGUAUUAGAGUAAUCACUUGCUAGCGUAAACGUGGUGUUUAGGCUAGGGUACUCAUAGAUAUCCCCUGACUAGCUGGACCGUGGUAGUAGCGAGGAACGUGACAUUUCCGAGUUACCUUUGUAUCCCAUAUCUUGUUAGCAGGACGGGUAGGUUUAUAGGUGUGGGUCGAACAUCCUUUGUGUUGUCUAGAUUCCGUGAGCCUCCCCAAUAGAACAGUAGAUCAUCCUUACCAAGGUUAGAAUGAGACUACGGUUGCAGUCUUCUCUAUACAUCACUCACAUCGAGAAACAUUCUUUGUAGCCUAAAGGGAUGGUAGCAAUAGAUUUGGUUAGUCAGAGGCACCCUUUCUCCCAGUGGUAAAAAUAUAAAUACGAUACUCUGGAAAACCUUCCAGGUGAAAUGCUCACCGAUAUCCGUGCGCUUGCGGAUCAUUUCCUUAUUGCGUUACCAAAUAUCAACAAGCAUUUCUGGCGCCGUUGCCGGGGAGAAAGACGGUUUGCUGAGAUAACUUUGAGUCUUGCUAUUAUCUUGUAUUAUACUUUUAUACUUUUAUUCUUUUAUCUUUUUAUUUUUAUCUUUAUGGAUAACUCAAAUUCCAUACCUAUUAUUGAAUUCUUUGCACCUUCGGAGACCAGCCAUAGACCAUGGGAGUCAACACGUCCUGCCCCUAAUUAUGAUCUGUGUCCGGAGUUGAUUGCAAUAGGUCAAAACCAACCCUUUUCUAUAGCUGAGGUCCUAUCUUUUAAUCAAGAAGAUAAUGCACUUUUAGCUACACUAGGGAAUCUUUUAAUCUUUCUAUAAAUUCUGGUUUAGACCUAGUCCUACAAGACCAUGUUUUUCCUAGAUAUUUUCACAUUGGUCUUAAUCAUAUAACCUUUGGUAGAGUCCUUCUUUCUUUAUCUAUUAGUAAAGGAAGGUAUGUCUUCAUUUGUGGACAUCCUUCUUGCACUAGUCUUCAUAGAAAAAUCUUAGAGAUAGAGAAGGAAUCAUCUCCCAAACAAGGAAAGGAAGUUUCAAUAGCCGAUUUCCAAACAUUCCAAUCCCAUGAUUCGGCUAUCCAAUCCAUCAUUGAGCCUAAUAAUUUCUACUAUGAUCUUUCUCUUGAACCUCCCGAUGAUCCUAUGAAUCUCUCUAGACAUCCCAUGCAUAAGAGUCACCAAGACCAUAAGGAGGAUCGAGAAGAGCAACAUCAAUGGCAUUAAAAAUUCAUGUGCUAUCACCACAUUUGAGAUCUCCAACCCUCUCUUCUUUUCUAUUUAUAAAAACUUUAAAAGAGCGGUUGUCGAUGCAUAUGUCUAUAAUAAAUAUUGCAGAUCUCGUUGAGUUAAUUGAUGGUUUCCCAAGGACAAGCUUAGCUAAAACAAGCACUUCUAAUUAUUUACAUUGCUUUGUGUAUUGAGCAUAUAAAGAUAAUUGUAGAAAUAUUCCUUCGGGUAUUCUUGCCACUAACCUUUCUAGGAUUGGAGCAAGAAGAUCAGAUGAAUGACAAGCACAAGGUAUGUCCAACCAAUCAUCAUGCAACAUUGAAUUAAAUUCAUCCAAACUUGAAUUUUGUAAAAUUCAUGCUUGGGGGAGUACUUUACAUAAAAACAUCCUUCGCCAUGUUGCUAUGUUGGUUGUCCCUACCUUUGAGAGAUGCUCAAUUUGUUAAAUACUAAUUACACUACUUCACCUCCACUUGAGUAGGAUCUCUAUAAUUGCUCUCAUGCUACCUUUAUUUGCUUUAGUAUAUGUCUAGGUUUGGAGUAGUUUCAUUUAUCUCUUAAAUCAAGCAUGGUGCUUAGUUUAGGAAUGAUGAUCUUACUUCCAAAGGAUUUUUUAAAUUAAACAUGGUGUUUAGGUUAAAAUGCCCCCUUAAAUCAAAUUAGACAUGGUGUCUAGGUUGAUUUUUGAGCCGAUAGUAUGCUAUAGUAGAUUUGGGAUAUUUUAUUGGACUAACUCCUGCAGGAAAACUUUCAAUAUCAACCUGGGAAGUCCUGAGAUACAAACUCAUUGGAGAUAAAGGAGACACAUGAAGUUUAACAAUUUGCCCAAGAAAGACGUAGCUCAUAAGAGAUGAUUCAUGGAGGGUGCCACAAACACGAUGCACAACCGCUAAGAAAGGAAAGCUUCCACAAGGUGAUACUAUACCAUCACUCUUCAAGUAAGGUAACAUCUUAAGGUACUUGACUAUCGCUUUUAUAAGCUUCUCCUUGGUUCUGGUGUUCACAUAAACAAAGAGAUAGACAUGUAUGAUUUAUAACUCCAAAUUAACCAACCCAAUUAAUUCAACAUGUUUAGUCCUUUAAUCUUUGUUCUUAGUACUACCUGCGUGAUCCCACGCUCCUAAACAUAUAAGCUAAUAUGUUGCACAUUCAAUCUUUGGAAGAUAUAAACAAAACAUAAAUAUAGAUAGAUUAUCUUUCCAUUAGGUUGAGCCAUCUGAUCUAACAAAUGUUUUAAAUGCUACACUCAUGAUCCAUUAACUUUGUCUUGCUCACUAUGCUUAAGGUUAGAGAAGAACAAAUACACUUUUGGUUCUGUUGGUGUUUUCCACCAACAGGGCCCAUGCACUUGAUCUCUGCCUUGUCUCUAUGAACAGGUACACUUCAAGCAAAACAUGGAGGAGUUUUACAACUCCCAGACUCCACCAAGUGAAGGACCUGGAUCUAUGAGCACAAACACACUGAGCAUGAUAUUGCCAACACCGCACUUCGAACUGCUGGGCAAUCGAAGAACAUGGGUGACACUGUAUCAAGAGGUGCAGACGUCAAGGUCCACACCUAAUCAAAUGAUGCACCUAAAGGAUGAAGAUGGUGGAAAGUCCUGUCCAGGAGACUUAAAACCUUGGAUCCUUGUCAGAAGAGGUCAACAUCGUCGACUCAAGUCACCUUUCUUGAUCAAGAAGGACGACCCUGGUGUUCCAAGCAUCGAGUGCGCAAUCAAUGGAUACUCUUUUCAGAAGACACUCUACGACACCGAAUCUGACGACAACAUAAUGGCCGCAGUCACUUAUCAGCUCCUGCAUGGAACCAUGCCCCUACAACCAAUAUAUUCAGCUCCAGAUGAUUUUCAGGACAUUGACAUGGUAGAAGACGAGUAUGAUCCACCUACCAUCCUUGGAAGACCGUUCCUCAAAUACUAUCAAAGCAAUCAUCUAUAUUGGAACUGGAGAAGUCCACAUGCACUUCCCCUCUGAGAAGGUACGCCACUAAUUUAAUGAUUCUAACUAUAUAGUUGAAGAUUCUAAGCAGGUCAGGACAAGAAGAAGCCAACACAACCGCAACCAGAGGAGGCAAAUCAUCAAGGACGGAUAGGUAGACUACGAAGGAGAAGUGAUAAGGUCUGAAGACAUAUAGCUUGAACAGAACUGUCCUGAGGAGACUGUAGCACCGAGUUAGGUGUGGAGAGAGAAGAUAGUUAUACACGAAGAGGAGGCGCCACCGGAACCACCGACUACGCCACCUAGCGAAUCCCAGGACGACUGAAAACACAAGGAGUCCCAUUCGGAGGAUUUAAAAACACCGAACGCCUUGCCAAGAGGUAAACUUGGUAGUUAUCCUUUUCCUUUCAAUUAUUCAAUUAUAGUUUGCUUAGUUAAUGAGGUUCAUGCUAUCUUGAAAAGAAAAUAAAAAUGUUAAAAAAUAGUAAGCCCCAUGUGAGUAUGCUCAUGGCAUAAAACCCAUAAGUACAUUCACUGUGGUGGCAUAAAAAUAAAAUAAAUAAGUUUUCAUCUUACAAUAAAAAAUAUAAAAAUAAGAAGUGCCUGAUCCUGCUAAAUAAGUAACAUUUAUGGAGGAGGCUCAACAUGAUAAAGGCUAGAUAUUUAUGCUAACACUUAACCAGUUCCACAAAGAUUUGUUGUCUAUUUGAGCUCCACAGAAUUCAAGGAUCAAAGAAGACUAGCAGACGGAGGACAUCCUAAUCGAUGUCAGGGUGCUGCCGACAUUCAAAUACACCUCCACCACCUGCUAGCUACAUCAGAAGAAAUUACGUCAAAAUCCAGCUUGGGGAAGAGCACCCCCAUUUAUCCAGCUAAGUGUUUCUACUCGCGUUUAUACUUUACUCAAAUAAUAAAAGAUGCAUAAUCAUGAAAACCCAAAUAAAGAUUUUGUGCUUUUUAUAUAUUUUUGCUUAGUUUGCUAAAUAAAUAAAUAAAUAAAUAAAGUUUGCUAUGAACUUUCAUGAUAAACUCUCACAUGGAAAUGAUGAAUAGUUGCUCUGCCAUGACUAGUUCUAAAAAUUGAAAUCUCUCUCAAGUUUAGGCAUGACUGUUAUGAAGUAAGAUUUGCUCUAAACCUGAACUCGUGGGAAGAGUACUUGAUCUAAAAGUCUAAGUCGUUAACGGAUAUGAUAUGGGAAGGUUGAGCUACUGUUUAUCUGUUCCUAGAGAUGCUAGAAUUCUGGAGAAUUUUAUCUUUGAAAAAUCUUUAAAAUAACACAUGAUGAGUUCCUAUAUGAUGAGAGUUUAAAUUCCUACCACAGCCAUAUAUACAUGCUUGCUAGACUUUGAGCCACAUAUUUACUUUUUACUGCUUAUGAGCAUUGAGUGUGGUCAAGCUGUGUAGACCCUUAGGAGCUUGUCAUGUGGUUAAAAUCAAGAUUCACUUGCACGUUCACUCAUACAUGCUACUUCUACUCCGGAAGUACCAUCCACAUAUAUCCACUCAUUUCCAUCUCCACAUUCACCCGAAAUUAUUCUACUCCUAAUCCGGGAGAGAAUAGCCAAAAAUAUUUUCCUAUCCCUGUUAUUCUCUGUGAAAUAAAUGCUCGAGUUAUCUUGGUUACUACCACUUGCUAUAUUAUUUAAGGAGAUGAGUGCUCUAAAAAAAGAGAGGAAAAAUACGAGGAAAUAAAAAGGGGCAAGUGCCCGGAACCUCGAAAGAAAAGAAAAAGUAAGACGAGAGGUAAAAAUAAAAAGAGGCAAGUGUCCGACAGUAGAAUUAGGGGUACAAGAUACCCACCUGAGAGGAAAGAAAAAGAAAAUAUAGAGCAUCUCAUUCUCCCUAAAAAGGUUCAAAAAGCAAGGAAGGUAUGUAUCCCCUCAAAAGAGCAAAAGUAGAAUUAGACUUUCACCAUUAUUAUCACCAUCAUCACCGUACACCAUUCAUUCGCCACACAUGCACAUCUUGAUUUGACUUAUUGACUUGUUUCUCUGGUCCAUGGUUUGACUAUGCAAUAAAUGUCUUGUAAGUAUGUAUUAGCUGUCUCCCACCUAUGAGCUCCAGAUAUCAGAACCUUAUUAGAGUAGGGUGAGAGAGAAGGCAAUAUCACUAUGCCUCAUACCAAAAAUACCACAUACUUUGAGAGAAGGCAUAUACCAUUACUGCCUUGGUAAGGAUCCAAAAAUUCCACAAAAGAGAGAUCUAAGAGAGUCAUAUAAGGAAUCUCUGAGUUUUAUUUGAAAAUCUGCAAAAACCCCAGAGCUAUAGCUGAUCAAGAAUAAGAGACAUGACGCUUGACUUGACCGUUCUAUCUUUUAACUGCUCAAGACACAAGUGACGGUUACAAGACCCAUGGUGAAAGGUAAAAUGAGUAAGUUUUAAGUCUUAACAGUUUAUUCUAACUCAGAGAUGAGAUCUUGCUUGAAUGCGUGUGUACUUUUAAGGCAUGAAACCACUGCAGAAACUCUUGAGUUCAUCCUUGCUCAGGGACGAGCAAGAGGUAAGCUUGGGGGAGUUUGUUGAUGGUCCUUAAGUAUCAAAUUUAAUUAUCAAAUAAACAAAGAAAAGGAUCCAAAUGAAAUCAACAUCUAGACUUAGGGUUUUAUCUGACAGAAUUCCACGAGUUUUGGUGUUUGUGUAUUUCUGCAGGGGGUUAUGAGGAAAUAAGGAAGAAGGGCCCACAUGUCGGGAUUACAUAGAGAUAUCAACGCACUGCGCAAUUUUCUAUCAUCUAGAAGACUCCAGAAGCCACGGGAAGGAAGCGGAGGCCGAAAGGGGCCAGGCCCAGGGCGCCCGCCCUGGUGACCUGGGCGCCCGCCCCCUGCUGGAUCCUGUUCGGGACUCUCUUCGCACACGAUGUUCCACCGACCUAUUGGAUCAAGGAAAACAUAGUAUCACAUCGCCUACCGACCCAAAAACGCAUAGAGGAGGAGGACUAUAUAAGGAGACCCCCCUGGCCCCUGGAGAAGACAAGAAAUUAUCAUAGAGAUUGAGGGGUGCCCUCGAAGGAAAACCUCUUCUCUAAAUAAUAUUUCUUUUUAGGCUUAGCAACCAAUGUAAAGUGGAAAUAGAUCUUCUAGUUUCUACUAGAUUGAGAGAGAUAGAGUGGAGGUGUGGAUCGGAGGAAGGCCGGCCUGUCGGUGUCUACUCCGAGUUGUACCUACGGGAUCAAGUCUCCUAACCCGAGGCUUGCUUCUAAGUUUCUUCAGUAAUUCGACUUCUAAUGCUAGUAAGUUCUUGUUUUAUUGUUCUUUGGUUUAUGAGUUUACUUUAAUCCUCUUCCGGUUGAGUAUUAGAGUAAUCACUUGCUAGCGUAAACGUGGUGUUUAGGCUAGGGUACUCAUAGAUAUCCCCUGACUAGCUGGACCGUGGUAGUAGCGAGGAACGUGACAUUUCCGAGUUACCUUUGUAUCCCAUAUCUUGUUAGCAGGACGGGUAGGUUUAUAGGUGCGGGUCGAACAUCCUUUGUGUUGUCUAGAUUCCGUGAGCCUCCCCAAUAGAACAGUAGAUCAUCCUUACCAAGGUUAGAACGAGACUACGGUUGCAGUCUUCUCUAUACAUCACUCACAUCGAGAAACAUUCUUUGUAGCCUAAAGGGAUGGUAGCAAUAGAUUUGGUUAGUCAGAUGCACCCUUUCUCCCAGUGGUAAAAAUAUAAAUACGAUACUCUGGAAAACCUCCCGGGUGAAAUGCUCACCGAUAUCCAUGCGCUUGCAGAUCAUUUCCUUAUUGCGUUACCAAAUAUCAACAAAAUGAUCAAUCAUAUAUUGUUACUAACCCUUGUGAUGUAGGAAAGAAGCAUGUAUCCACCUCUUGUGAUGAUUUAUUAUCUAUGUCAUGUUCUUCAAACAUAGAUGCUUGUUCUACUUCCAUGUCUUGUGAGACUAACCUUUUGAAAGAGAACAAUGAGCUUAAUGAACAAGUGAAGAAUUUGAGCAACAAGUUGGAGAGGUGCUACUACUCAAAAGUCACCUUUGAGAAUAUAUUGAAGACCCAAAGAAACUAUGGUGACAAAUGUGGCCUUAGCUUCAAGAAGAAGAUGACAAAGGGAGAAAGAAAGUAAGAAAAGAGGAAGCUUUCUCAUUUCAUGUGCUAUCAGUGCUAUGAAGUGGGACAUCUUGCUAAUAGUUGCCCAAACAAAGAGAACCUCAAGAAGAUAAAAGAAGAAGAAAUUGGUGAAGCAACAAGAAGAGCCUCAACCUAAGCCACAAGUUGAGCAAGAAAAGAAGCCCCAAGCUCAUGUCAAGUUCAACGAUCACGGUGAUUUGAUGAUGAAGAAGAAGAAAACAAGAAGGGGUGGAAGAGCAAGGCAUCCAAUGCAAAUCCAAGAUGCCAAGAUGGUGAGCAAGAAUGAAGACAAGAAGAAAGGUUAUGCUCACAUCAAGUGCUUUGAGUGCAAGGAUUAUGGACACUUUGCCUCGAGGUGUCCUACCAAGCUUGAGAAGAAGGCUCAAGCAAUUCUCAAAGGCAAGGCAAUGAGAAGCAACACAUGAGCAAGGAAGAAAAGGCUCAAUCUAAAAGAAGUUGCUACUUAUGCCGGGAAAGGGGACACAUGGCUCAUUCAUGUCCCCUAGGUAAUAAUUCUAAGCCUAUUUCAAUUGAUGAUAUUACUAUGCUUAGAAAGGAUGGUAAUGGUACCUCUAUGGUUGCUAUUGCAAAACAUCCCGCUAUUCAUACUAAGGCUAUGCCUAAGUAUGUUGCACCUAACUUGAGAGGACCCAAACUAGUUUGGGUACCAUCAAAAAGUGGAUGAUUGUUUGUAGGUACCAUCGGCAUUGGAGGCUUAUUUCAAUUGAUACUAUAUUGUUCAUCAUAUGAUUGAACCAAGUAUUGAAGCCUAGUGCACAUCCAAACCCAAUGCCAUGACAAGAUAGUGAAGUCCAAAUGUGCUACAACAUACAAGUGUCAUAUUCAAGUUGUGGUAUUUUAUUGGAUUAUUUGAUGGCUUGCAAAUACAUGAGUUGAAUCUUGCAAAUUAAAUGAUCAUGAGCUAACCAAGGAAUAUAUUUGUUGAUCACAUUCAUUUGGGUGCAUAUAGGUUGAUUGAAUUGGAUAUAUAUGCAAUGUUGCUUGCUAUAAGAUGAUUGAAUGGAUUAAAUGCUUAGUAAUCAAGUUUGGAUUGGUAUGAGAUGGAUAAGUUCAUGAGAUGACUUUUAGUGAGUGGAUUGAAUGGAUAUAUGUCUUGUGAAAGUAUUCAAUCAAGUUGAUUUCAAGUUUGAUUCAAUUUGAACAAGUAUAGCUCAAUUGCUUGAAAUCUGUCUAAAUUUGAAAAACUGAGCUAGCAGUGAUCAAGUCUGAGUUUGAGUGAUCAAAUCUAUUUGGAAUGGCUUGAAAUUUGGUAUGCAUGCUGUACACCUAUCAUAGAAGAUGCUGUAGAAAUUUCAUGAGGAUUGGAUAAGGGAUACUUCGGUUUUGGAGUGGAUCUUAUCAGCUAUAGUGCAGCAGUUUUCAGCAUGUAGCAGUGGUGGAAGAAUUGAAAUCUGGUAGCAAUCUAGAAGUCAAAUGAAGCUCAAAUUUUUACAGCUGCUAAAAGACUUAGUGAAUCACAUCUCCACCAAAUUUCGUAGCAUUUGGAUCUGUACAUUGUGAGAUAUAGAUAUUUCUUUAAAGGGUACAGAAUCUAUCAGAAAAGUGACAAAUAUUGGAUUGAUCUAGAGUCACUUAAAUUGAAAGGUCCUCAAGUUGGAAAUAUGAUUAUAAGUGUUUGAGGCACCUAAGUUUGGUUUUGAAUUGAUCUAGAAGCAUGACAAUUAAUGAGUACAAGGUCAUUUGAUUGUGGAAUGUACUUGGUGUACACAUUUAGUACUCAAAUUGAAGAUCAAGAUCAAACUCAAGAUGAAGAUGAAGUUUAAGUUCUAGUAACUAUUGGAAAUCAUUUGGUAGAAAGAAAAGGACUUAAACUAGUAGAAAUAAAAGGACUUAAAAAGAAAAGGGAUUCAUGGUUACUCAUCACAUUAAGUCCGUCACUUGAAUCAAUCAAUCAAAGGCAAUUCAAAUAAGUGUCAAAAAUGGUUCUUUGGAGAGAGGUCACUUCUCCCUAUGUGAGGGGCGUGCCGCCCGAGGAGUGGGUAAACCAAGUGUGGUGCUUGGAAGGCUGACAUGGAAGUGGUGAUCUAAAGGGCAUUUGAGAUGCUUAGUUGAAGCAAUCAAAAGGAUUGAUCAAGAAAGCAAGCAACAACCCAAAAGAGAGCUAGUCAUGCUAUUUCAAGUAAUAUUCUUAAUAGUUCUCUCAUGCAAGCAAUGGUCAAAAGAAAAAGCAAGCCAACCACAACAAGAUAGUGCACUUGAUCAAGAAGUGGUUCUCCAUUCAUAUGGGUGAAGAUUUGAUCUAUCAAUUGGCAUUUAUAUUUGGUCUUCACCAAGCUUAUAGUUGGACUUCACAUUGCUAUUUGGAGCUAAAUUGGAAUCUUAUUGACUAUCCUCUGCUCCAAGAUAGCAAAGGUACCAUUGUAAUGUGCAUGAUCAUUUCAUCCCUUACUAGUAUGCGGUUAGUGCACAUAGUACAUGCUUAAUAGGAUCAUGCAUGACAAAUGAAAAGGUUUAAAUUCAUAACCUACCACUAUUGCUUGAUUGACUAGUUGAUCUAGUGGUAUGUAUAUGAGUUUGUUAAUGAGCUAGUGAACCCAAGUACUUGAUCUAUUUCGGAUUGUUAACAAGUGACAAGUACAACAUUGGCAAGAUAACCCUUAAUGUGAGGUGUGAAAAAGCUUGUCAUUGGUUCAAAUCGGACUUGGAAGCUUAGGCAAUCAACUUAGUUCAAGUCAACAAUUAGAAGCUCAUGAAGAUAAGAAUACAAGAACAAGACAACAAUGCAAGCGGAUAUCUAGAUUCAAAUGUUUCUUCAAUUGGUAUCCUACAAUUUGUACUCAUGAUAGCAAAUGUUCAAGAUUGCAAAUAAGUGGUUCCAUACUAGAAGAUCCUUAAUUGGUAGAAGAAUCCCAUAUGGUAUCAGACAAGAUAUUUCAAGUGAUAUCACAUUUAUACAUAUGGUAUCUAUCAUACAAGAAGGUGGUUCCACAAGUGAUCCUUAACUUUAAGUGAUCAUCAAGCAAAGAAAGUUCCCUCACCAACAAGAUUGACAAGUGAAUGACCCAUGCUAUGACAUAGGGGGAGUGCCCCACCAAAUGGUAUCAAGGUCAAAGAUCCUAUGUGGUAUCUGUUGACGGUCCUUAAGUAUCCAAUUUAAUUAUCAAAUAAAUAAAGAAAAGGAUCCAAAUGAAAUAAAGAUCUAGACUUAGGGUUUUAUCUGACAGAAUUCCACGAGCUUUGGUGUUUGUCUAUUUCUGCAGGGGGUUAUCAGGAAAUAUGGAAGAAAGGCCCACAUGUCAGGAUUACGUAAAGAUAUUAACGUGCUGCGCAAUUAUCUUACAUCUAGAAGACUCCAGAAGCCACGAGACCGAAGCGGAGGCAAAUCGGGGCCAGAGACAGGGCGCCCGCCCUGUCCAACUGGGCGCCCGCCCUGCCCCUAAGUCCAAUCAGGACUCUGCUUUGCAGGAAGUCUCCACCGACCUAAAGGAUGAAUCUAAACCAUACAAUCUAUGUCGGUUUGAUCCAAGGGCCCAUAUUCAGUUGAAGGGACUAUAAAACCAGACCCCCUGGCCCCUGGAGGAGAGAGCCUCUCAACCCUAAUUCAUUGUUCCAUCAAGGGAGAAGAAGCCUCUGAUCAAGAUUAGAGCCACCAUAUCAAUUAGAUAUCUAGAUUAGCAUAGCUACAUAGGAUUAGAACUAGAAGGAGUCAAUCUUCGAUUGGUUUCCGGAUCUGUCAGGAGGAUUAUUGGUAAUUCUCUAAUUGUGCUUCUAAUUGCUUUCUAAUUAUCUUUGUUCUUCAAUAUUAUGAAUAUGACUUUGUUCUACUUCAAUAUAUUGCUUAUGACUUUGCUCUAUUUGCUUAUAUUCAAGAUUAUAUUGUUCUUAGUUUAUCAUAGUUAUGUACUUGGCUUAGUUAGAUACGAUCUAUAUACAUGCUUAGGAUCGUAUAGCGUUUAUCCAUCGGAUCCAUGGGUAAAUGAUAGAUAUUGUGUAGGCGUGGUGCUUAUACCGUAUUUAUCUGCGAUUGUACCCAAUAUGCCAGAUCAUGGGGUAGUUCGUGAUAGUGACAGCUUCAUUGAUUCUUAUAUAGUCCCCCUCUCGUGUAUUGGGCUGGCAGAGCAACAUUAUUACAGGGGAGUGAUUGCUAUGUUUCUCAUAUUCCUUGCUAAUAUCACUAUGCAUGGGCGUAGUCUUGUCUCGCAAUGAUUGCUAAGUAUGCUUGCACUAACUAUGAUAUGCUAGACUAUAUAGUUAAGAAUAACUUAGGGAAUAUUCUUGUAGUUCAUUCUAAUACCAUGCUAAUGACUUUCUAGAGUAUCUAAUUGAGGUGCUUAUCAUAUUUAUUAUGUGGCUAGAUCAGAUUAGUUAUCCUUGUCACUAUUAUCAUUUCAUAUAUCUAUUAUGUGACACUUAUCCCUGUAUGAAGAGUUAGAUAUAAUGUUCUCAAUUAUACAUGCAAUGAUAGAUGCUCAAUCUCAUAUUCUAUUCUGUAAUCAAUAGUGAUGAUUGAUUAAUCCCUUCCCAGUGGUAAAAAUAUAAAUAACGAUACCUGGAAUACUUCCCGGUUAAAAUGCUACAUCGGUAUUAAUCUGUGCGCUUGCAGAUCCCAUUCAUUAUUUAUUUAGAAGAGCAAUUGCAUAUUUCAAUACCGCGUCUCUCAUGUCAUGCUGGGGAUGACAACUUGGCUUAAGUGGUGUGAGGGAUAGGUUUGGCAUUUUUGGCACCGUUGCUAGAUUUAGAACUUAGUCUACUUUUGGUAAUGAUGUUAAGAAUACCCAACAAGCAUUUUUGGCGCCGUUGCCGGGGAAGGUUGAUUACCAAUCAGGAAUGGAAUAAAAGAUUUUGAGUUAUCAUUCGCAUCACUAAUAUGAUUGAGCUUAUCUAUUCUCUCAUACAGUUUUACCCCGAUAUUUUUCUAUUUUAUCUUAUGUAGGUGAAUGUAUGAAUAGAAGACAUCUUCCAGGAAAUUUUGUUGACAAUCCUGAAGCAUUAUUCAAGAAGACGAGGGCCAAGCUAAAGAAAUCAUCAACACUUCACGAAGAAGCUUCAUCCAAUCAAGAAGAUCACCGGAACUUGUCUUCAGAGUUCGAAGCCAUGGCGAACAAAUCGAUCCGCGAGUUCUCAGCUCCCACUAUGGACAACAUCCGCACUGGACCUGCUGCAGAGAUCGAUGGCAACUUUGAGCUCAAGCCUGGACUUAUCAACAUGGUGCAAUCCAACCAGUUCUGUGGGAAGGCACACGAAGAUGCUAGUGCUCAUUUACAACACUUCCUGGAGAUUUGCAACACAUUCACCAUAGCAGGAGUUUCCAAAGACGCUAUACUACUUCGCCUCUUCCCAUUCUCACUGUUAGGAAGAGCGAAGCAGUGGUUCUACGCUACAAAGGAGAAGAAUACUACGUGGGCACUCUGCUCAACAAACUUCCUGGCAAAGUUCUUUCCCAUGGGCAAGACCAAUGCUCUCCGUGGGAAGAUUACAAGUUUUCAGCAACAAAAUGAUGAAUCUGUUCCAGAAGCAUGGGAGCGCUUUCAAGACUACAUCCUAGAAUGUCCCCAUCAUGGAAUGGAGAGUUGGCUAUUGAUGCAGACAUUCUAUCAUGGGCUCAGCAACAGUGCCCGAGAGACCAUGGAUGCUGCAGCUGGAGGAGCAUUCUUAUCACUUACUAUACCACAAGCCACAGCUCUUGUGGAGAAGAUGGCAUCCAAUCAAAGCUGGAAUGAAGAGAGGACCCAGACACGCAAGAGAGGUGGAGGUAUGCAUCAGCUGAAGAAGGUAGACAUGCUGUCUGCAAAGCUAGACCUGCUCAUGAAGAAGCUCGAUGAUAAAGCUGGAGACAAGAAAGAAGUUAUGCACAUCUACGACUCUCACAUGACUUGUGAGGAGUGUGGAGACACUGGACACUCAGGCAACCACUGCCCUGAGAUGCUUGAGGAUGUGAACUACAUCAACAACAACAACUACUACAACCGUCCUCAACAAAAUCAAGGUUGGAAUCAACAGAGGCCUAACUACUCAGGUAAUUAUCAAGGUAACAAUUCUUACAACAAUAAUAAUAAUUUUCCACCUUUGAGAGAGUUAGUGUCUAAUCAAGGAAAGCUAAUGGAUAACCUAUCUAAGAAAUUGGCAUCUAAUGAUAAAAUGCUAGAAAAUAUAAAUAAUAGAAUGGAUAAUUUCUCUACUGCCAUCAAGAAUCAAAUUAGCUUUAAUAAAAUGAUUGAAUCUCAGUUAAAUCAGAUAGCUGCUGCUGUUCCUACUACUAACCCCGGUAUACCAUCACAACCGGAAGGAUUAGAAUCUACAAAUCUUGUAGACAUGUUUGAUGCAGGUAAUUGGAGUAACCCCGUCAAUGAAUUUUCUACUGACCGUCUGCCGGUCAAGAGAGGCGAUCCAGGACGCCCCGUCAUCCCGAUCUCCAUCGGCAUGGUGGACUUCCCAGAAGCACUCUGCGACUUUGGCUCCAGUGUCAACAUUAUACCCAGGGUACUCUAUGAGAAAUUCUUUACAUAUCCUUUAUUAGAGACAACCAUGUGUUUGCAGUUUGCAGAUCAGACGAUAACUUUUCCAAAAGGAAUAGUGAGGAACCUUUGUGUCCGAGUUGGUACCUUGUAUGCACCAGCAGACUUCGUAGUGGUAGAGACCGGAAAUGAUGAGAGAGCACCUAUCAUCCUAGGGAGGCCAUUUUUGAACACCACGGGAGCUAUCAUCUACGCCAGUGCUGCUAAGAUCAGUUUCUACGUCAAAGGGAAGAAGGAAACAUUUUUCUUCAAAAACAAGACUACACAAAUUCAAGAUCAAUCCAGACGUCAAUCAAGGAAGAGGACCAACAGGAGGAACAGGAACAAGCAAGUGUGGACCGAGUCAACUAAGAUGGUCACUGUAGUCCAUGGAGGCCAAGAUCACCAACUGAAGUCACCGUUUUUGACCAAGAAGGACGACCCAGGAAUGCCAAGCAUCUACUGCUCCAUAAAUGGAUACAACUUCUACAAGACGAUUUGCGACACCGGAUCAGGCGUCAACAUAAUGGCCGCAGUCACCUAUCGGCUCUUGUUCGGGACCAUGCCACUAAGACCAACAUACAGCUCCAGAUGGCAGAUCAGACAUUUCGAGAAGUUCAAGGAAUAGUAUCUGAUGUCCCAGUCAAAAUAGACGAUCAUUUUGUCUACACAGACUUUCAAGUUGUUGACAUGGGAGAAGACGAGUAUGAUCCACCCAUCAUCCUUGGAAGACCGUUCCUCAGCACCGUUAAAGCCAUUAUCUACAUUGGAACCGGAGAAGUCCAUAUGCACUUCCCCUCAGAGAAGGUACGCUGUUAUUUUACUGACCCUAACUAUAUCAUUGAAGAAUCUAAGCAGGUAAGAAAACGACGCAACUGCAACCAGAGGAGGCAGAUCAUUAAGGACGGAUGGGCAGACUAUGAAGGAGAAGUUGUAAGGUCAGAAGACGUAGAGUUUAAACAGAAUUAUCCAGAGGAGAUUGAAGCACCGAGUCAGGUGUGGAAAAUGAAGAUAACUAUACAAGAAGAGGAGGCGCUGCCGGAAGUACCGACUACGCCACCCAACGAACCUCAGGACGAUUAAGAAAUUGGAGAGUCCCGUUCGGAGGACUUAAAAACACCGAACGCCUUGCCAAGAGGUAAACUUGGUAGUUACCCUUUCCCUUUCAGUUAUUUUAAAUAGUUUACUUAGUUAAACAUGCUCAUACUGUCUUAAAAAGAAAAUAAAAAUUUGAAAAAUAGUAAGCCCCAUGUGAAUAGACGAGUGGCAUAAAACCCAUACGUACAUUCACUGUGGUGGCAUAAAAAUAAAAUAAAUAUUUUUUCUGCUUUAUAAAAUAAAAAUAUAAAAACAGGAAGUAAUAAUUAUUAAGGAGUCUCAAGAUGAUAAAGGCUAGAUAUUUAUGCUAACACUUAAUCAGUUCCACAAGCUUUGUUGUCUAUUUGAGCUCCACAGAAUUUAAGAAUCAAGAAGACUAGCAGACGGAGGACAUUCUAAUCGCUGUCAGAAUGCUGCUUUCAAAUACACCUCUGCCACCUGCUAGCUACAUCAAGAGAAAUUACGUCAAAAUUCAGCUUGGGGGAGAGCACCCCCAUUUAUCUCGAUAAGUAUUUCUAUCUAUCUAUCUUAUAUUUAUAUUAUUUUAGAAUAUUAAUACACAUGUUGACACCAUUUUUGGGCACGUGUCUAGGAUGGCAGGAUAGGGUGGCAGUACGAUGCGGGUUGCUGAUGAGGAUGGUUGCCGAUGAGGGAGAGGUUGAAUGUGACUAAGUCCACAGGCAGUAAUAUGGUGCCGAUAGCUGGAUAAAAAGGUCUGCCGAUGACUAUGGCAAGGGGAUUGCCGAUGAUGCGAGGGAGGAGUGUGGAAGCUGCCAGUUGUCAUGUGGAGGAGUUUCGGUUUGUCACGAAGGAUAGUUUUAUUAUUUCCUUAAUUAUUUGCAUCGUUUUGUAUACGGAUUCCGUGUAAUUUGGAAUUCGAAUUCUAAUCGUGUCUGGUUGUAGCUCUUUGAGCAGGGUAUAAAUAUAAACCCUAGGACCUUGUAAUAAUCAAUCAAGAAAUCAAUCAAACACACGUUUUUACUCAUAUUCCAGCAUCUACUUUUCGACGACUUCGUCAUACUUUUUUCUUUUUAUUACGAGUUCUUAGGAAUUCGUCGACUUAAGCUCGGCGUGUUCUCGAGUUCCGCGUGAGUACCUCUUAGCCGUGACAUCCGGGCGCAUCGCUGUUGUCAGGACUAAAGUAUUCGAGUUAUCACCUUUGCCGAUAGCAAGGUCAAAUCGGCUGGCACGCCUUAACGUUUGAAUCGGGUAUUAGCCCUUUGUGUUUGCAGAUCAGUUUUGCAUCAACACAUCUUUGGGCACGCCCGGUGGGACAGAUUCAGGAUCAAGAUCAACAUGUCGAUCUCUGACCUCGAUCAAGAGAACGUCAUCCCCGUGACGGAGGCCAACCUCAAGGAUGAGCAAAAGCAAGCUAUUGCCCAAGCCAUGGAAGAAUUCAAGCAGCAAUGCCUGAGGUCUUUCAGCAUAAACAGGAGCGGCGAAGUGGUCCAGAAAGAUGCACUGCCGGCACCACGGCAGGUCACCUUUGACGCCAAUCCUGGCAAGCUUCAAGAUAUGGUUGACAAUGCCAUCAAUCGAGCGUUGAUUAACCAAGCUGGUGUACUGUCUAAUACGGUUUUCAACGCCGUGGCAAGAACUUUCAAGGAAGGACAAAUCCCGCCAGAUUAUGUGGGGCCCUCCCAUCAUCAGCCAACGGCACCAGAGGUCACGGCUCCAUCGGCUGCCUUGACGAAUGCAAGUGCACAGUCUGCCGUCCCUCCAAGUACAUUGGGGACUACUGGUGCACUAUCUAUGCCGAUGGCAACCAACCCACAAAUUUCAGUUGGGCAGCAUAAACUGACAACAUAUAUGUUGGCAUCGGCAAUGUCAGGGUUAACUCUUCCUCCCAACUGGUGGGGUUAUGGUAUGCCUCCAGAGUUGACGCCGGGAACAUCACAAAUAACUAACAUGAGGGGCAAAACUCUUAUGACAUCGGCACCUCCCAAUGCGCCGGUGAACCAGAGUCCUCGGUAUACCACAACUACUACUGCAAGGCCUCACACUGGGAAUCCUCAAGAUUCAAUGUUUCAAAUGCCCAACGCAUCGGCAGAGUCAAUGCUGAUGCAACAGAGGCCUAUGGCCCAGUCGGGGUAUGUCAAUUCAACGACGGUACCCAAUUACCAAUCAUCGGCAGCACCUAUGCCGAUGAACGCUAAUAAUGGAUGGCUUGGACAGCAAGCCUUUCCACAAUCGCCCCAGCAGGGUUAUCAGACUACAGGGUUCCAGCAAGGGCAGGUCUAUCCCGAGUUCCAAGGUCAGGGGAUUCCCAACCAGACAAUAAAUUUUGGACAGCAACUCGGAGGACAGCCAAUCAGUGGACAGCAGUUUGGUAGUCCGCAGAUUGGAGGACAGGUGACCAAUACAAUGUUCCAUGCAGGUCACGUCCCAAACAGACACGUGGAGGUUCGCCACCAAGUGCCAGAUCCGCAGCCGCCUCAUCGGCAAGAUGCCGAUGCGUAUUGGGCCGAUAAGAUUGCUGAAGUAAUGAGGGAACAAUUUGGGAUAAAACCCAAAGUCAACACUUAUUCUUAUCGGACACCGUAUCCUCCAGCGUAUGAUUUGAUCCCGCUUCCACAUCGGUACAAGGUACCGGAUUUUACAAAGUUUUCCGGACAGGACGACACGUCAACCAUGGAGCAUGUCAACAGGUUCAUUAUUCAAUGUGGAGAGGCUGGUAACAGGGACGAAUUGAGGGUUUGUCUAUUUUCAUCAUCAUUGUCUGGAUCGGCCUUUACUUGGUUCAUAUCAUUACCUCCCAACUCAGUAAUUACUUGGGCCGAUCUAGAGAAGCAAUUCCACAGAUACUUCUUCUCGGGGGUUCAUGAGAAGAAGAUCACCGACUUGGUCAAGUUGAGGCAACGUAAUGAUGAGUCGGUUGAGGGAUUUGUGCAGAGGAUACGAGAGGUCAAGAAUAAAUGCUAUAGCCUGGUUCUGGACGAUCGGCAGCUAGCCGAUUUGGCUUUCCAGGGUUUGUUGCCACAUAUCAGGGAUAAGUAUGCCUCUCAGGAGUUCGAAAGUUUAAGUCAUUUGGUGCAGAGGAUAUCUGAUCAAGACAUCAAGCCUUUCGAGCCUAAGAGGGCAUGGAAUAAGAAAGUGUCAUUUGUUGAUGAAGCAACAAGCUCAGAUUCCGAUGAGGAACCAGUAAUCGGUUUGGCAGAGUGGGUAAAAAACAAGAAGCCGAUGUCUUGUCCUUUUGGGCAGAAGGAACCAAAGAAGUUUGCCUUUGACACCGCCAAGGCCGGUAGGAUAUUUGACUUUCUACUUCAGGAAGGUCAAAUCAAACUGUCACCUAACCACGUGAUCCCGUCGGCAGAAGAGUUGAAGAGGAUGAGAUAUUGCAAGUGGCAUAAAAAUAAAAUAAAUAUUUUUUCUGCUUUAUAAAAUAAAAAUAUAAAAACAGGAAGUAAUAAUUAUUAAGGAGUCUCAAGAUGAUAAAGGCUAGAUAUUUAUGCUAACACUUAAUCAGUUCCACAAGCUUUGUUGUCUAUUUGAGCUCCACAGAAUUUAAGAAUCAAGAAGACUAGCAGACGGAGGACAUUCUAAUCGCUGUCAGAAUGCUGCUUUCAAAUACACCUCUGCCACCUGCUAGCUACAUCAAGAGAAAUUACGUCAAAAUUCAGCUUGGGGGAGAGCACCCCCAUUUAUCUCGAUAAGUAUUUCUAUCUAUCUAUCUUAUAUUUAUAUUAUUUUAGAAUAUUAAUACACAUGUUGACACCAUUUUUGGGCACGUGUCUAGGAUGGCAGGAUAGGGUGGCAGUACGAUGCGGGUUGCUGAUGAGGAUGGUUGCCGAUGAGGGAGAGGUUGAAUGUGACUAAGUCCACAGGCAGUAAUAUGGUGCCGAUAGCUGGAUAAAAAGGUCUGCCGAUGACUAUGGCAAGGGGAUUGCCGAUGAUGCGAGGGAGGAGUGUGGAAGCUGCCAGUUGUCAUGUGGAGGAGUUUCGGUUUGUCACGAAGGAUAGUUUUAUUAUUUCCUUAAUUAUUUGCAUCGUUUUGUAUACGGAUUCUGUGUAAUUUGGAAUUCGAAUUCUAAUCGUGUCUGGUUGUAGCUCUUUGAGCAGGGUAUAAAUAUAAACCCUAGGACCUUGUAAUAAUCAAUCAAGAAAUCAAUCAAACACACGUUUUUACUCAUAUUCCAGCAUCUACUUUUCGACGACUUCGUCAUACCUUUUUCUUUUUAUUACGAGUUCUUAGGAAUUCGUCGACUUAAGCUCGGCGUGUUCUCGAGUUCCGCGUGAGUACCUCUUAGCCGUGACAUCCGGGCGCAUCGCUGUUGUCAGGACUAAAGUAUUCGAGUUAUCACCUUUGCCGAUAGCAAGGUCAAAUCGGCUGGCACGCCUUAACGUUUGAAUCGGGUAUUAGCCCUUUGUGUUUGCAGAUCAGUUUUGCAUCAACACAUCUUUUGGCACGCCCGGUGGGACAGAUUCAGGAUCAAGAUCAACAUGUCGAUCUCUGACCUCGAUCAAGAGAACGUCAUCCCCGUGACGGAGGCCAACCUCAAGGAUGAGCAAAAGCAAGCUAUUGCCCAAGCCAUGGAAGAAUUCAAGCAGCAAUGCCUGAGGUCUUUCAGCAUAAACAGGAGCGGCGAAGUGGUCCAGAAAGAUGCACUGCCGGCACCACGGCAGGUCACCUUUGACGCCAAUCCUGGCAAGCUUCAAGAUAUGGUUGACAAUGCCAUCAAUCGAGCGUUGAUUAACCAAGCUGGUGUACUGUCUAAUACGGUUUUCAACGCCGUGGCAAGAACUUUCAAGGAAGGACAAAUCCCGCCAGAUUAUGUGGGGCCCUCCCAUCAUCAGCCAACAGCACCAGAGGUCACGGCUCCAUCGGCUGCCUUGACGAAUGCAAGUGCACAGUCUGCCGUCCCUCCAAGUACAUUGGGGACUACUGGUGCACUAUCUAUGCCGAUGGCAACCAACCCACAAAUUUCAGUUGGGCAGCAUAAACUGACAACAGAUAUGUUGGCAUCGGCAAUGUCAGGGUUGACUCUUCCUCCCAACUGGUGGGGUUAUGGUAUGCCUCCAGAGUUGACGCCGGGAACAUCACAAAUAACUAACAUGAGGGGCAAAACUCUUAUGACAUCGGCACCUCCCAAUGCGCCGGUGAACCAGAGUCCUCGGUAUACCACAACUACUACUGCAAGGCCUCACACUGGGAAUCCUCAAGAUUCAAUGUUUCAAAUGCCCAACGCAUCGGCAGAGUCAAUGCUGAUGCAACAGAGGCCUAUGGCCCAGUCGGGGUAUGUCAAUUCAACGACGGUACCCAAUUACCAAUCAUCGGCAGCACCUAUGCCGAUGAACGCUAAUAAUGGAUGGCUUGGACAGCAAGCCUUUCCACAAUCGCCCCAGCAGGGUUAUCAGACUACAGGGUUCCAGCAAGGGCAGGUCUAUCCCGAGUUCCAAGGUCAGGGGAUUCCCAACCAGACAAUAAAUUUUGGACAGCAACUCGGAGGACAGCCAAUCAGUGGACAGCAGUUUGGUAGUCCGCAGAUUGGAGGACAGGUGACCAAUACAAUGUUCCAUGCAGGUCACGUCCCAAACAGACACGUGGAGGUUCGCCACCAAGUGCCAGAUCCGCAGCCGCCUCAUCGGCAAGAUGCCGAUGCGUAUUGGGCCGAUAAGAUUGCUGAAGUAAUGAGGGAACAAUUUGGGAUAAAACCCAAAGUCAACACUUAUUCUUAUCGGACACCGUAUCCUCCAGCGUAUGAUUUGAUCCCGCUUCCACAUCGGUACAAGGUACCGGAUUUUACAAAGUUUUCCGGACAGGACGACACGUCAACCAUGGAGCAUGUCAACAGGUUCAUUAUUCAAUGUGGAGAGGCUGGUAACAGGGACGAAUUGAGGGUUUGUCUAUUUUCAUCAUCAUUGUCUGGAUCGGCCUUUACUUGGUUCAUAUCAUUACCUCCCAACUCAGUAAUUACUUGGGCCGAUCUAGAGAAGCAAUUCCACAGAUACUUCUUCUCGGGGGUUCAUGAGAAGAAGAUCACCGACUUGGUCAAGUUGAGGCAACGUAAUGAUGAGUCGGUUGAGGGAUUUGUGCAGAGGAUACGAGAGGUCAAGAAUAAAUGCUAUAGCCUGGUUCUGGAUGAUCGGCAGCUAGCCGAUUUGGCUUUCCAGGGUUUGUUGCCACAUAUCAGGGAUAAGUAUGCCUCUCAGGAGUUCGAAAGUUUAAGUCAUUUGGUGCAGAGGAUAUCUGAUCAAGACAUCAAGCCUUUCGAGCCUAAGAGGGCAUGGAAUAAGAAAGUGUCAUUUGUUGAUGAAGCAACAAGCUCAGAUUCCGAUGAGGAACCAGUAAUCGGUUUGGCAGAGUGGGUAAAAAACAAGAAGCCGAUGUCUUGUCCUUUUGGGCAGAAGGAACCAAAGAAGUUUGCCUUUGACACCGCCAAGGCCGGUAGGAUAUUUGACUUUCUACUUCAGGAAGGUCAAAUCAAACUGUCACCUAACCACGUGAUCCCGUCGGCAGAAGAGUUGAAGAGGAUGAGAUAUUGCAAGUGGCAUAAUGCAACUUCACAUGACACCAACGAGUGCAAAGUAUUCAGACAGCAGCUGCAAUCGGCUAUAGAGUCAGGGAGAAUCAAGUUUGACAGUUCUAAAGCCCAGAAGCCGAUGAAGAUAGACCAACAUCCUUUCCCGACAAACAUGUUGGAUGCUAAGGGGAAGGCUAAGGUCUUAACGUCGGAGACAGCUGAGAAGAGUGCAUCGGUAGAUCCUCAGCAUCAAGUUACUACUGCCGAUGCAAGAAGUAAGGGCUUGGUCCAGGAAGGAACUAGCUCAGGAAGGCUUCCUCGAUCUGGCAUCGUCAUAACUCAUAGGAGGCCUCGAGAAAAAUGGCAACAACGGGAAGAUCGGUAUCGACGCCAGCAGGAAGAUUAUCAACGGGAAGAAGAAAGACGCCGACAGGAGUGGAAUCGGCACAGGGAUCAUUGGAAUUGCCCAUUCUUCAUCCAUUGUUGGGAGGAAAAUAUCAAGCUUCCUACUGUCAGAGACUGCCCUGAAUGCAACGGUUAUGAUCGGUACGAUAGGAACGAUCGGCGUUAUCAUGAUGAUGAACGGCGAGCUAAUGGGCCGAUCAGAGGAAGGGUGUCAGUUCAUGACCGGCUGGGGGGCAGAUUCAGUGGGCACAACAGACUUAGUGACCGUGUCCAGUAUUUUCCCAGGAACCAAGAGGAGCUCGAAGGAAUGGCUGAUGCGCGGGUUCCCGAUGAAUUCAUAUUUUGCAGGGAUGCUAACACGCAUCGCAUGGAGUCAAGGGAGAAUCGACGCCCGACGGCAAGGCAAAGGCCACUUCCUCCAUGGUGCCCUCAAGGAUUAACCAAGACACAGAAAAGGAGAUUGCAACGAGAAAGGCAAGAGGAGCUAAACAAGGGAGAGAACUCUGGAAGUCGGCAGCCGUCAGACACUAAGAGGGAAGGUCCAUCGGCAGGCGUCAACAUGGUCUUCAUAUUGCCGAUGGAGUUUCUUGCACCAGCCAGUGACGAUGAGUUGGAAUUUUCUGAUCAGAUAGCUCAGUUGGCUCUGGAUCCGAUGACGGCUAUCUUUGAGAAACCUGCCGAUGACGAGAGGCAGCAUCUUAAAGCUUUGUUCCUCAAAGGAAGGGUUGAUGGGCAGCCAAUGACCAAGAUCCUAGUUGAUGGUGGAGCUACUAUUAAUAUUAUGCCGUAUGCAGUAUAUCGGAAGCUUGGGAAAGGGGAUCAAGAUUUGACCAAGACCGAUAUGAUGCUCAAAGACUUUGAAGGAAACGUGUCUCCAAUCAAGGGGGCGAUAUGUGCAGAGUUGACCAUCGGCAGCAAAACCUUGCCGACAACUUUUUUCGUGAUCAGCGGAAAAGGUGCCUACAAUUUAUUAUUGGGGAGAGAUUGGAUUCAUGCCAAUUGUUGUGUCCCAUCUACAAUGCUUCAGUGCUUGGUUCAGUGGGUAGGUGACAAGAUUGAGAUCGUCCCAGGAGAUUCUUCUUAUGUUAUCGCAUCGGCAGAAGCGGAUACUUACGAAAGGACCAGGUGCAUUUCAGGAGAAGCUUGGGAGAAAGAUUUUCUCAAAGUUGCCGAUUAUGAGAUUCCACCAAUCCAAGCAGUCGGUUCUGACGAUGGUUUUUAAUGGAUAGAUUCGCCGAUGAUUUAAAAUUAGGCCAGGGAUUCACAUCGGCCGAUGAUUUGGUAGAAAUAGAUAUAGGUAGUGGUGAUAAGCCUAGGCCUACUUUUAUUAGUGCUAAAUUAGAUCCUGAGUGUAAGCGACAAUUGAUUAGUUUGUUAAAGGAAUAUAAAGAUUGCUUUGCUUGGGAUUAUACAGAGAUGCCUGGUUUAGACCGAUCAAUUGUCGAACAUCGGUUACCCAUCAAGUCUGGAUUUCGGCCACAUCAGCAACCAGCCCGCCGAUGUAAUCCUAACAUUCUACCUGAUAUUAAGGCCGAAAUCACUAAACUUAUUGAAGCUAAGUUUAUUCGGCGGUGUCGGUAUGCCGAAUGGAUUUCCAAUGUUGUUCCGGUUUACAAGAAGAACGGGAAGCUACGGGUGUGCAUUGAUUUCAGGAAUCUCAAUAAAGCUACGCCGAUGGAUGGAUACCCAAUGCCUGUCGCCGAUCUACUGGUUGAUGCUGCGGCUGGCCAUCGGGUCAUCAGCUUCAUGGAUGGUAAUGCGGGUUACAAUCAAAUAUUCAUGGCAGAGGAGGAUAUUCCAAAAACCGCAUUCAGGUGUCCUGGUCAUGUUGGACUAUUUGAAUGGAUAGUCAUGACUUUUGGGUUAAAGAAUGCUGGUGCUACUUAUCAAAGGGCUAUGAAUUUUAUAUUUCAUGAGUUCAUCGGCAAGCUCGUAGAAAUUUAUAUUGAUGAUGUGGUGGUUAAGUCUGGAGAUUUCUCAAAGCAUCUUGCCGAUUUACGAAAAGUGUUGGAGUGCACAAGGAAGCAUGGAUUGAAGAUGAAUCCCAACAAGUGUGCAUUUGGCGUAUCGGCAGGGCAGUUUCUUGGUUUCAUGGUACAUCAGAGGGGUAUUGAAAUUAGUCGAAGAUCUAUUGAUGCCAUCAAUAAAAUAGUGGCCCCUACCAAUAAAACCGAGCUCCAAUCCUUGAUCGGCAAGGUGAAUUUUAUCAGAAGAUUUAUAUCGAAUUUAUCUGGGAGGAUUCGUGCUUUCAGUCCUCUUCUUAAAUUGAAAGCCGAUCAAGAGUUUGUUUGGGGAGAAGAACAGCAGUUGGCUCUGGAUGAAAUCAAAAAGUAUCUAGUAAAUCCUCCAGUUUUAGUUCCACCUCAACAAGGGAAGCCCUUCAAAUUGUAUUUAUCUACCGAUGGAUCGGUUAUCGGUUCAGCUUUAGUUCAAGAAUUUGAAGGGAAAGAGAGAGUAAUUUAUUAUUUGAGUAGGAGGUUGAUUGAUGCUGAAACCAGGUAUUCGGCCAUUGAGAAACUGUGCUUAUGCUUAUAUUUUUCAUGUAUCAAGCUGAGACAUUACCUGUUGUCGGCUGAAUGUGCUGUUGUUUGCAAAGAUGACGUGGUCCGAUACAUGCUAUCUAUGCCGAUUAUGAGUGGUAGGAUCGGUAAAUGGAUUUUAGCGCUGUCGGAGUUCGAUUUGCGUUACGAAUCGGCUAAGGCAGUCAAAGGGCAGAUUAUGGCCGAUUUUGUGACUCAGCAUUGCGGUCUAGUGGAAACCUUGGAAAUUGCACCCUGGACGCUCUUCUUUGAUGGAUCUACCUGUGACCGGAGGGCAGGAAUCGGCAUUGUAUUAGUUUCUCCUAAGGGGAGGAAGUAUGAGUUUUCCUUGCCGAUUGUUGCUACAUCAACAAAUAAUCAGGCUGAGUAUCAAGCUCUGAUCAAGGGAUUGGAGUUGUUAAGAGAAGUUCGUGCUGAUGCUGUUGAAAUAUUCGGGGAUUCUAUGUUGGUUAUAAAUCAAUUGGCCGGAAGCUAUGAAUGCCGAAGUGAAGUUCUCAUAACCUAUUUCGAGAGAAGUAUGCAACUGUUAAAGGAAUUCAAGGACUUCCGAUUGGAGCAUGUUCCCCGAUUGCAUAAUGAAGACGCUAAUCGGUUAGCCCAGCAUGCCUCGGGAUAUCAGCCAAUGAUUAAUGCGACAUCGGCAGUCAGUGCCGGUGAUUGGAGGAAAGAAAUUAUUGACUAUCUAAAAGAUCCAUCCAAAAAAGUUGAAAGACGGGUUCGAUUUCAAGCGACCAAGUAUGUGCUCCUUGAAAAUGAAUUGUAUUAUCGAACUGUCGACGGAAUUCUUCUCCGAUGCUUGGGUGAUGAUGAAGCCAGAAGUUUGAUGGGGGAAAUCCAUGAAGGAGUGUGUGGAGCGCAUCAGUCAGCUUUUAAGAUGAAGUGGAUGAUUCGAAGGAAUGGAUAUUUUUGGCCAACCAUACUUGAAGAUUGUUUUAAAUAUUUCAAGGGAUGUCAAGGUUGUCAAAAGUUCGGUAAUAUCCAGAGAGCACCCGCAUCGGCUAUGAAUCCUAUAAUAAAACCUUGGCCGUUCCGAGGAUGGGCCAUCGAUCUGAUCGGCCAGAUUUAUCCACCAUCUAGCAAAUGGCAUAAGUUCAUUCUAGUUGCCACUGACUAUUUCACUAAGUGGGUCGAAGCUAUUCCUUUGAAGAAAGUCACAUCGGCCAAUAUGAUUGAUUUUGUGAAGGAGCAUAUUAUUUACCGAUUUGGGAUUCCCCAAACGAUUACUACCGAUCAGGGCACCAUGUUCACGUCAGGGGAGUUCGAUGAAUUCGCAAUCGGUAUGGGAAUUAAAGUGUUGAAUUCUUCUCCUUACUAUGCUCAAGCCAAUGGGCAGGCCGAAGCGUCUAACAAAGGAAUUAUCAAGCUUAUUAAACGAAAGAUUGAAGAAAAUCCUAGGCGGUGGCAUACAUUGUUAAAUGAAGCACUAUGGUCUUAUCGGAUGGCUUGUCAUGGAUCAACCAAGGUGUCACCCUAUCAAUUGGUGUAUGGACAUGAUGCAGUGUUGCCUUGGGAGAUUAAGGCUGGACCUAGGCGAUUAUCUUUUCAAGAUCAAUUGGCUGCCGAUGAUUAUGCCACUUUGAUGACCGAUGAGUUAGAUGAUUUAGCAGGGCAUCGGUUAAAGGCUUUAAUGAGUAUAGAAGAAAAUAAGAAGAGAGUUGCUAGAUGGUAUGAUAAGAAAGUAAAGGCUAAGGAGUUUGCCGAUGGGGAUUUGGUAUGGAAGUUGAUUUUGCCAGUCGGGACUAAAAGUUCGAAGUUUGGGAAGUGGUCUCCUAAUUGGGAAGGUCCUUAUCGGAUAAGACACUCGGCUCCUGGUAAUGCCUAUAUUCUAGAAACUCUCGAAGGAGUUGAAUUUCCCAGAGCAUUAAAUGGCAAAUAUUUAAAGAAGUACUACCCCAGCAUAUGGGUCGAUGCAUAAAAGUUUAAGUGCCGAUAACACUCCUAUCGGCUAGAUUUAAAUGUUUGGGGGCAGACUUAAUGUUUCAAAAGAUGCCGAUAACAGUCUUAUCGGCUAGACUAAAAGCUAAAAGCGGGAAAACAAAGGUGUGUUGCCGAUGAAAGCUUCAGAUGUUCAGCAGCGCUUGGAUUGCCGAUAUGGCGCGCAGCCGGAUCUGAUUGGCUGUCUCUAUCUCUUUGAUAUCAUCAUCGGCAGAACCUUCUAUCGGCUUCAGCUUCCUCUUCAGCUGCAGCGCUUUGCGGCCGUGGACGUUUCGUUCUUGUUCAAGGUGCUUGAUGGUCUCCGGCAGUUGACUCUUUUCUUGCUGGGCUUGGGACAGAGCAUCCUCUACUUGCUUGAGUUCGGCCAGUAGAGCUUCUCUUUUUGCCGAUAGAUCAGAUACUUUCUGCUUCAGUGCAUCACCUGAGGACUUUAAGGUGCCGAUGUUCUUAUGUUUCUCGUCGGCUAAGAGUUUUUCUUUCAUCAUCUCCUCAGAAAGCUGGAUUUGAGCGGCUCUAUCGGCAAGGCGUCGAGUGGCUCUCUGGUACUGUAGCUGGCGGCUUUCUAGGUAUGCAGCAUGGAAGAGGGUUUCUUCAGCAUCGGCAGGAAUUUGGCCUCUAAGGGUUUUGAACAGGGCCUUGGCUGGGUCAGAAUCGUUGACCAGUUGAGCAGUGUCUUGAUGAAGUAUGGCCGAUAGCUCCUCCAGCUUAGCCCUGGUUUCUACCGAUACAGUUCCAAUUGCCCGAGAGGAGCUUGCUUCCUCACCUUCUUCUUCGAAGAUAUCAAUGGCGAAGGAGAAUAAGCUAUCGGGAGAAUCUUGUUCCUGAAAAUGAGAAUGAAAUAAGUCAUUUUUAUGGUCAAAGCUUCGGCAGACGAUGCUGUGGAAAAAUUGGAUGACUUACUUGUUUCAGGGCAAUUUCUUGCCUUUGACUCAAAGAUACCGAUGGAGCUACAGGUUGAUCGGCAGAUGUUGCCGAUGGAACGAUAUCGCCAAAAAGAAGACAGGAAGGGUUAUGAGACUAAAUGAGAAUAAGUUUAUCGGCGGAAGUAUUGUUGAGAUAUGUUACCCGGAGGAGGAACAACAGUUGUCUGAAUUGGGGAAACCGCCGAUGAUAUAACUGGACCUGCCGGGCCAGUUGUUUGUUCACCCACGUCAGCUGAUGUACCUUCUGUUUGAGGUUCUUCCUGCUGGGGUUCUUCCAUCUGUGGUGCUUCCUGCAUUGGUUGGGGAGAUGGUGCUUGCUGUGUCUGGACUUCUGGAGAAGAAGGGGAAGAUUCCACCGGGAUUGGAGACACCGGAGGAGAAGGGGGAGUUGCCACUUUCUGGCGCUUUGUUCCAGCCUUAGCACCUUGGGUGCCCUUCCUCUUUGGCUGGCUAGACUGGGGGGCAUCGGUACCUUGGCGUUUGGCUUUUGCCGAUGCACCAGUUUGCUGCAACAACAAAAAGGAGUUUAUGAGCAUAGAUAGCCGAUACAAAGAUAGUUAGCAUAAAUGAAAAGGGUUUGACAAAUUGCCCUGAAAGCUUGCGCCAGAGUGGAAGCAGCUACCGUUGGCGAUGUCUGAGUUUUCCUGGUGGUAACUUUCUUGAGGCGCGCACCCCGAUGCACGAUGGAAGCCAGAGUGGGAGCAUUAUGGCCGAUUGAGGAGAUCGGGCCUGAUGGGAACAAGUCGAUCGGCUUGCCACUCCUGCUAACCGAUGGGGGGGUGUUGUCAACCUGCAAAAGGAAUACAGGGGUAAGUUACCGAUGGAAAUAGUAUUGGAAAAUGAGACAUCGGUUUAAAAUACUUACAGUGUCAUCAGGGACUUCGUAUUCGGGGUCGAUCAUGCCGCGGUAUGAGAGGGCCGAUCUGCAGAAUAGAUUCUCUUUCCAUUCUGCCCACCAUAGCUUGUAUGCCUGAGUGAUAAAGGCAGCUGGAACCCAUUCUGACAGAUCUACAUCUGUAUCGGCAUUUGGUGGUAGCUGGGCUACUCGAGUCCACUCGAGAAGGUUGGCGAUGGGUUCUCUGGGCUUUAUCACAUCGGCAUAAGGAAGUGCAAUCGGCAACUGGCCGAAAGCUAGCUGGCGAGCUAAUGCCGAUGGAUUAUAAAAUUCAUAGGUUUGGGGAGAGGUUUUUGUGCUACCGAAGAAAUUCACUGGUAUGGCUCUGGGAGUCACAAUUGCCAUCAUCACCUCAUUGUCCCUGUCGAGAGCUUCAUCAAAUGGAUUGAAGGUCAGAGGGAGCAUGCUAUCUGGGUCGUCAUAAGCCAGCCAUGGUCGUUCAUCUCUGGCCAGACCCUCAUACAGAAUCUCAAAGAAUCGGCCGAUCUGAUCCGGACUGUUCCCUAAACCGGGUAAGACUAUAACGGCUUCGCCAAAGUUCAAGGGGGCACGCGUUGCCGAUUCCUCUUCACCCAACACAUGAUUUUCGGCUAUAUCUCUUGGGAAGUGCUGUGAGAACAAGUUGAAAUCAAGGCGCUUAUGCAGGUGCAGAUUGAGCCACAUAUUAAUAAACCACCAGGGGCCUCCCAAGUUGCCGAUGGAUUGGCCAAGCAGGAGUUUCUGGGCUACCUGAUGAAGAAGGUGGUAAACAGCGCUGAGCAAAUAUCGGCCGAGAGGAAAUUGGCCACCGCUAGCCAGUCUUUCUGCUGCCGAUAGAUAGACAGAAGUCGGUCCUGCCGAUCGACCACAGAAUACAAACUUGUCCAGCCACAUGUUCAGAAAGGUGGUUUGCUCCUUUAUGGUGACAGGCCCUCUCCCGCGGUACUUCUGGAUGUACCCUGACCAACCGCCGAUAGCGCGAGUCUCCACUUUGGCACUGGGGGCAGUAUCAAAAAAGUGGGUGCUAUCGGCAGAAGAUAUAUCUAGCCCAGUAAGCAUGGCUACAUCGGCAAGGGUAGGAGAAGCAGGGCCGUGGCCAAAAACAAAAGUAUUGAGAGUGUCUGACCAAAAGUAGGAUGCAGCUAUCAGCAGUGACUCGUUCCUGUGCAUAUCGGCAAUGGAUAGCCUAAUGCAUUGAGCUAGCUUCCUCUCACCCCACUGGACUUCAUAAGAAUUGCUGACCCUCAAGAACCAAUCUUUCCACCCUACAGUAGGGCUGGGCCAAGAGCGAAAGGUGUCUUUCCACAGAUCUAAAGAAAAGUUUUCGGCUCUAAAGGGAAUCCUGUUGGUUUCUGCAUUGAUAAGGUCGGUUGGAUCUGGAUUCCCUAGAGGGCCGAGGCACUGAAGGUGUGGUUGAUCGGUAGGGAUGACAAUUUUGUUGGACAACUCCUAGUGUUUUGGGGAAUAAAAAUACAAAGAAAAAGGAAAAGGAAGAUAUUCAGUAGGAUGAAUCGCAGAUGAACAGGAAUGCGAGAAAAGGUACAGGAGAUGAGAUGGAAGUCUGACCUCAGGGACGACGAAGCCAAUGGCCAUCUUGUCGUGAAGAGGACGUUGGAGGGCACCGGAGUUGAUGAAGAGGAAUGCUUGUCGGAGAUCUUGAGGGUUGUAAAUGGCGCCGCCGCUGGAAAAGCAAAGUUGGAUAGUAGAAUGGUGUAAUGGGGGAGGAGUACCCAAGAAGGAACUAUUUAUAGGACAAGACGGGCAAGGGCAAAUCCGACUUAUCUCUUUGCCGCAUCCGAGAAGCCCGAGGGUACUCAGGUAGAUAUGGUAACUGUUCGCACGGUAAUCCAGGGAUUGUGCAGGUGAUUUGACGGGAAGCGGUCAUUAUCUAAAGAUAAUUUACUGUGCGAGAUCUCCUGGUCGGUCCAUCGGCGAUAUUCUAUAACGGUCAUCUUGUCGAUGGGCGGAUAGAGGGGAGGUAACCGUUUUUGCGAAUAUCCUGGUCAGAGCAUCGGCAGAUCUUUGUAACGGUAUUGUUGCCGAUGUACGACCAAGAAAGAUGCCCGUUUAGGAAGUUGGGGAUUUCGAGGAAUCUGUGGAGGAUUAGGAUCAGAGUUGUCCAGAUUGAGGUUGUCGGUUACCAGAUUAGGAGCAUUAAUUGCGGAGAAGGCAUCAUUACUGCAGAGAAUUUCGGAGCAUUAAUAGUUUUAUACUCCGAAACUGGGGGGCAUGUGUUGACACCAUUUUUGGGCACGUGUCGAGGAUGGCAGGAUAGGGUGGCAGUACGAUGCGGGUUGGUGAUGAGGAUGGUUGCCGAUGAGGGAGAGGUUGAAUGUGACUAAGUCCACAGGCAGUAAUAUGGUGCCGAUAGCUGGAUAAAAAGGUCUGCCGAUGACUAUGGCAAGGGGAUUGCCGAUGAUGCGAGGGAGGAGUCUGGAAGCUGCCAGUUGUCAUGUGGAGGAGUUUCGGUUUGUCACGAAGGAUAGUUUUAUUAUUUCCUUAAUUAUUUGCAUCGUUUUGUAUACGGAUUCCGUGUAAUUUGGAAUUCGAAUUCUAAUCGUGUCUGGUUGUAGCUCUUUGAGCAGGGUAUAAAUAUAAACCCUAGGACCUUGUAAUAAUCAAUCAAGAAAUCAAUCAAACACACGUUUUUACUCAUAUUCCAGCAUCUAUUUUUCGACGACUUCGUCAUACCUUUUUCUUUUUAUUACGAGUUCUUAGGAAUUCGUCGACUUAAGCUCGGCGUGUUCUCGAGUUCCGCGUGAGUACCUCUUAGCCGUGACAUCCGGGCGCAUCGCUGUUGUCAGGACUAAAGUAUUCGAGUUAUCACCUUUGCCGAUAGCAAGGUCAAAUCGGCUGGCACGCCUUAACGUUUGAAUCGGGUAUUAGCCCUUUGUGUUUGCAGAUCAGUUUUGCAUCAACAACACAUAAACUAUGGGAAAACCAAAUAAAGAUUUUAUGCUUAUAUAUAUAUAUUACUUAGUGUGUUUAAUUAAUAAAUAAAGUGGCUAUGCUAAUCUGUAUCUAAUAAAACUUAAGCAUAGAUAUGAUGAAUAGUUGCUCUGCCUAAUUUGCACAUUUUAAGUUCUCUCUCAAGUUUAGACAUAACUGUUAUAAUUUAAAGCUUGCCCUAGACCUAAACUUGUGGGAUGAAAACUUGAUCUGAAGUCUAAGUUGUUAACGGAUACGAUAUAGGAAGGUUGAGCUGCUGUUUAUCUGUUCCUAGAGAUGCUAGAAUUCUGGAGAAUUUAUCUUUGAAAAUCUUUAAAAUGUUGCAUGAUGAGUUCCUGUAUGAUGAGAGCUUAAAUUCCUACCACAGCCAUAUAUACAUGCUUGCUAGACUUUGAGCCACACAUUUACUAUUUACUGUUUAUGAGCAUUGAGUAUGGUCAAGCUGUGUAGACCCUUAGGAGCUUGUCAUGUGGUUAAAUCAAGAUUUCACUUGCACGUUCACUCAUAUAUGCUACUUCUACUCUGGAAGUACCAUCCACAUAUAUCCAUACAUUCCAUCUCCAGAAUCACCCAAAAAGAUUCUACUCCUAAUUUGGGAGAGAAUAACCAAAAAUAUUUCUGUUUUCCCCUUGUGAAAUAAAUGCUCAAGUUAUCUUGUUACUACCACUUGCUAUAUUAUCUCAAGAGAUGAGUGCUCUAAAAAAAAGAAGAAGAAGAAAAUAAUACAAGGAAAUAAAAAGGAGCAAGUGCUCGGAACCUCGAAAGAAAAGAAAAAGUGAGACGAGAGGUAAAAAUGGACAAGUGUCCGACAGUAGAAUUAGGGGUGCAAGAUACCCACCUGAGAGAAAAGAAAAAGAAGAGCAUCUCAUUCUCCUCAUAAAGUUUCAAAAGCAAGGAAGGUAUGUAUCCCCUCAGAAGAGCAAAGUAGAAUUAGACUUUCACCACCAUUGUUUUCACCAUUGUUUUCACCAUUGUUAUCACCAUCAUCACCAUAUACCAUUCAUUCGCCACACAUGCACAUCUUGAUUAAACUUGUUGACUUGUUACUUUGGAUCCAUGGUUUGACUAUGCAAUACAUGUCUUGUAAGUAUGUAUAUUUUAUCUCCCACCUAUGAGCUCCAGAUAUUAAAGCCUUAUUAGAGUAGGAUGAGAGAGAAGGCAAUGUUACUAUGCCUCAUACCACAAAUACCACAUAUCUUGAGAGAAGGCAUAUACCAUCAAUGCCUUGGUAAGGAUCCAAAAAUACCACAAAAGAGAGACCUGAGAGAAUCAUACAAGGAAUUCUGAGUUUUAUUUGAAAAUCUGCAAAAAUCCCAGAGCUAUAGCUGAUCAAGAAUAAGAGACAUGGCACUUGGCUAGACUGUUCUAUCUUUUAACCACUCAAGACAGAAGUGACAGUUACAAGUCCCAUAGUGAAGGUAAAGUAAGUAAGUUUUAAGUCUUGACAGUUUACUCUAACUCAGAGAUGAGAUCUUAUUUAAGAGCAUGUGUACCGUCAAAUUUUUAAAGAUAUUGCAGCAACUUCUGAUCCAUAGCUGAGUCUAUCCUUGCUCAGGGAUGAGCAAGAGGUAAGCUUGGGGGAGUUUGUUGACGGUCCUUAAGUAUCAAAUUUAAUUAUCAAAUAAAUAAAGAAAAGGAUCCAAAUAAAAUAAAGAUCUAGACUUAGGGUUUUAUCUGACAGAAUUCCACGAGUUUUGGUGUUUGUCUAUUUCUGCAGGGGGUUAUCAGGAAAUAUGGAAGAAAGGCCCACAUGUCAGGAUUACGUAAAGAUAUUAACGUGCUGCGCAAUUAUCUUACAUCUAGAAGACUCCAGAAGCCACGAGACCGAAGCGGAGGCGAAUCGGGGCCAGAGACAGGGCGCCCGCCCUAUCCAACUGGGCGCCCGCCCUGCCCCUAAGUCCAAUCAGGACUCUGCUUUGCGGGAAGUCUCCACCGACCUAAAGGAUGAAUCUAAACCAUACAAUCUAUGUCGGUUUGAUCCAAGGGCCCAUAUUCACUUGAAGGGACUAUAAAACCAGACCCCUUGGCCCCUGGAGGAGAGAGCCUCUCAACCCUAAUUCAUUGUUCCAUCAAGGGAGAAGAAGCCUCUGAUCAAGAUUAGAGCCGCCACAUCAAUUAGAUAUCUAGAUUAGCAUAGCUACAUAGGAUUAGAACUAGAAGGAGUCAAUCUUCGAUUGGUUUCCGGAUCUGUCAGGAGGAUUCUUGGUAAUUCUCUAAUUGUGCUUCUAAUUGCUUUCUAAUUAUCUUUGUUCUUCAAUAUUAUGAAUAUGACUUUGUUCUACUUCAAUAUAUUGCUUAUGACUUUGCUCUAUUUGCUUAUAUUCAAGAUUAUAUUGUUCUUAGUUUAUCAUAGUUAUGUACUUGGCUUAGUUAGAUACGAUCUAUAUACAUGCUUAGGAUCGUAUAGCGUUUAUCCAUCGGAUCCAUGGGUAAAUGAUAGAUAUUGUGUAGGCGUGGUGCUUAUACCGUAUUUAUCUGCGAUUGUACCCAAUAUGCCAGAUCGUGGGGUAGUUCGUGAUAGUGACAGCUUCAUUGAUUCUUAUAUAGUCCCCCUCUCGUGUAUUGGGCUGGCAGAGCAACAUUAUUACAGGGGAGUGAUUGCUAUAUUUCUCAUAUUCCUUGCUAAUAUCACUAUGCAUGGGCGUAGUCUUGUCUCGCAAUGAUUGCUAAGUAUGCUUGCACUAACUAUGAUAUGCUAGACUAUAUAGUUAAGAAUAACUUAGGGAAUAUUCUUGUAGUUCGUUCUAAAACCAUGCUAAUGACUUUCUAGAGUAUCUAAUUGAGGUGCUUAUCAUAUUUAUUAUGUGGCUAGAUCAGAUUAGUUAUCCUUGUCACUAUUAUCAUUUCAUAUAUCUAUUAUGUGACACUUAUCCCUGUAUGAAGAGUUAGAUAUAAUGUUCUCAAUUAUACAUGCAAUGAUAGAUGCUCAAUCUCAUAUUCUAUUCUGUAAUCAAUAGUGAUAAUUGAUUAAUCCCUUCCCAGUGGUAAAAAUAUAAAUAACGAUACCUGGAAUACUUCCCGGUUAAAAUGCUACAUCGGUAUUAAUCUGUGCGCUUGCAGAUCCCAUUCAUUAUUUAUUUAGAAGAGCAAUUGCAUAUUUCAAUACCGCGUCUCUCAUGUCAUGCUGGGGAUGACAACUUGGCUUAAGUGGUGUGAGGGAUAGGUUUGGCAUUUUUGGCACCGUUGCUAGAUUUAGAACUUAGUCUACUUUUGGUAAUGAUGUUAAGAAUACCCAACAGUAUCUCAAGAGCAAUUCAAGUAAUGUCAUUCCAACACAUAUGGUGAUGUCCAUCAAAAAUACAAGAUUCAAGCCUCAACCAUCUAUCCCAAUGCAAUCCUUCGUCACAAUGAGAUUCACACUUUUUCAAUUGGUAUGAAGUGAUUUGAUUGGUAUCACAUACCUUUUAUGGAAAUUGAUGACAAAGGAGGAGAAGUUGGAACAAAGAUAUGAUCAUGGGAGAUGUUGGACAACAAAAGAUUGGAAGUUGUAUGGACAUGGACAAAGAGGGAGCAACAUUAAGGAAAAAGUUGGAUCAAAAGUCUUGGACAAAAGAAAAGCACACAAGUAGGGGGAGCAAGCUCAUGAACCUUGUUUGUUUGCAUUUGAUCUGUGCAUAUUCAUGUGCUUGCUUGCAUUGCAUAAGUUUUUAAAUUCAAUAUGCAUGCUUGUGUGGUGUAUGCUAGUUAUAGAACUUGAUUGAUGAUAUGAUAACUAGCAUGCAUAGGUUGGUAGCUAGACUUGUGUUCUUCAAGUAAAGACUAGACCCUUGCUUAUAAUGUUGAUCUCACGGGGUUUCUAGUGUUUUUGUUGUCUAGCUACACAUGGUGCUAAGGAUGGUGUACAAUUGAAUGCUUCAAAUGCUAUCGAUUUUGGUAUUGAGCUACAAAGGUUUAUUCUAUACACCUUAGCACUUAGUAGGGUUUUAUGGUGCUUAUCCAAAUUUUGACAUAGAGCUUAAAUGUUGGAUAAGUAGCAUAAAAUCCAAAACAAGUUAGCAAUUUACACUUGUGUGAAGUGCUAGCUUGAAAAAGCUUAAUUUCCAUAACUUUAUAGAGUUGUCAACAAUUACCAAAAAGGGGGAGAUUGAAAGGUCCUUGUUUGGUUUUGGUAAUUGAGUGACAACUUAGGUGGACUAAUAGUGUUUAUGUGAGAUACACAGGAGAUUAGUCCACAGGUGAUGAUGUGAUGAUGGAGGAGCUCAUUGCAUAUGAGUCAUGACAUGGAGUCAUGUGACCAAGGUGGAGAAGAUCAAUAUGAGGCUUGGUUUGAUGGACCGGUUGCAAGAGUGAAGGGCAAGUCGGAGGCUUUGAAGUGAGGGACCGCGUGUGACGGUGAAGCUUGAGCAAGACUUGGCGCCGAUGGACCGAGGCAACGGUGAAGAGCAAGUGAGGUCAAGAUCGAUGAAUCAAUACGGUCACGUGAUGAUAUGAAGUGGAUCAUAUCAUUUGGUGAUUGGUUGGUGCAUGUGUUGCAUCAACAUUGGAGGAGAUGAAAUGAAAUGCGCAAGGCAAAGGUAUAACCUAGGGCAUUUCCAUUUCACCGGUCAUAGGUGUGUAGAGAAGUUUAUGACCGGAUUUAGGAUAGAUGGCCGUACUAUCAAGAGGGGCAAACUAGUUUGCAUAUCGGUCAUCUAGUGCCACUUGAGCGAUCUAACUUUGCAUAUGUGUUAGGAUCGAGUGGCGUGGCAAGUUGAGAGGCUAACUCCUUUGAGAAAAUGUUUGUGAAAAUGCUAACACACUUGCACAUGGUGGUGUACACUUGGUGGUGUUGGCACAUUUACAAAGGAGGUGGAGUUCCUAGGGUUGAGAGGGGUGUGUUCGGUGCUUUUGAGAAAAUUAAGUGCAUGUUUUCUAUUGCGCCGGUGGGAAAUUUGGAGAAGUCGUGGGAGUGUUUCUUGCUGAGAAACACUCACCGGACGCUGAUGGUGGCAGCACCGGAUGCUGGUCCAGAUGGUGUCUGUGGCUCAGGUGUGCAGAGCGCACCAGACGCUGGCACCGGACGCUGGGCAGUUACUGUUCGAGCGUCCGGUGGUGUCCGAUGUCAGCGAGUGCACGCGAGGUGUUUCUGACCGAUGAGCACCAGACGCUCAGGGUGCGUCCGGUGGCUUGCGUCUGGUGACCGUGCGAGUUUGCGGAGCUCUCUGCGCACGAGUCCGGUGUGGACUAGUUGAGCGUCCGGUGGUGCUGUGUCAGGCGCGAGCGCGAGGUAGCCAUUGGCGGCAACGGUCGAGUUCAAACGGCUAGUGACACGUGGCUGACGCCUGAGCACCGGACGCUGGGGGUUGAGCGUCCGGUGGCUCCUUGCGAGCGUCUGGUGCCCACAUGUUUUGCCCAGUGAAGGGGCAACGGCUAGUUUAGCCCUUGGGGCUAUAAAUAGAAGUGGUGGCCGGCCUUGGCUGGUGCUGAGCACCCUUGGGACUUAGUGUCCAUGCUUGGGGAGUGCUAGUAAAGCCUCCAACUCACAUAUGAUUGAUAGUGAUCAUCCGAUUGUGUGAGUGAGCGAUUCUAGUGCGUUGCAUUGAGAGAUUGCAUAGAGUGGCACUAGGUGUUCGUGUUGCAAGCUGGUGGUGCUUGUUACACUUGGAGGUUGCCACCUCCUAGACGGCUUGGUGGCUUGUGACUCUGUCGAAGCACGCAAGGAGAUUGUGCGGUGCUCCGGAGAAGAGAUUGUGAGGGGUACGGUGCUCACCCCGCGGGGAUCGCGAAGAGCAACUCUAUUGUAUCGUGCGUGUCAUUGAGCUACCUCACUUGUGGGUAGGUUCUUGCGGUGUCCUAGUGGGGAUGAGGUUCGUGUAACACCUCUUAGCCGCCGAACCACCAAGUGUUGGUCGACACAAUGGGGACGUAGCUUGGUGGCAACCAAGUGAACCUUAGGAGAAAAUUAUCAUGUCAACAUUGUUCUUCCCGUUGGUUUGCAAGUCCCUAACACAAGCUUGUUCUUACUUCAUAUAUUUGUGCUUGUGUAGUUGCUCUUGUAAUUAGUUAGCUUGUGUAGCUUGCUAGUUACCUUCUUGCUUGUGUAGCUAGAAGUAGUUCCCUUGCGUGACUAAUUUGGUUUGUGUAACCUUGUUAGUCACUUUGCUUAGUUUGUGUAGCUAAGUAAGUUGCGCUCUCUAAUUUGGCAUUAGUUGCCUUGUUUUUGAGUUUGCUAGUGAGCUUAGGCUUUGUGCGCUUUGCUUCACUAGUUUGUGUAGGAGCUCCUCCGGUUUGCAAAGUACUAGUUGCAUAGGUUUGUGUGACCUUGCUCCUAGAAUUGUUUAGGUGAGCUCUUGCUAAGGUAGCACCUUGUUUGCUUGUUUAGGAUCUUUUACAAGGUGCUAGAGAACUUAGAUAGAGGGGUGUAGUCUUGGCUAGACCGAUAGUUUUAAUUCCGCAUUUGUUUCGGUUAGUCGACGUAAUAUUUUUUAGAAAGGACUAUUCACCCCUCUCUAGUCCACCAUCUCGACCCUUCAGCUAUGAAGGCCUAUGAGGACUUGUUGGAAAGCUUGUCGAGUCUACUUUCCAAUGAAUCUAGUGGUGACCAGUUUGGAUACUCCGUAUUGCCUGCAGACCAGAAUUCGUACAGACUGCUCAGAAGGUCAACAGUCUGUCGUGACAGAGUGUUGGUACAAAUUGCCAUGCAAAACUGUACCAAUCUACAAUGUUUCGUGGUGCAUGGCAUAUAUUGCUGGAAAGCACUUGGAGUCUAGUUUCACACCCAAGAAACGGUUCAUCAUUUGGACUUCCCAAUAAGAAGUUAUGGCCAGUUUAUUGGAAACUGCUCUGGAGGCCAACAAUCACGCGAAGCCAUUUCGGGAGUCCAUUCCGAGGGGGCCUUUCACAUUGCCUUCCCUCAGAAACUCUAUUUCGUUUUCAUACCUAUCUAGGAGGGUUGUUCCUAGUAUAAAUAUACCCUACCUCUAAGCUAUCAGCAACCUUUGAUCAUUUGAUAAACUACAUGAUAUUGCAGCCGCGCUGCUGACUGCCUUACUCAACCUUUCUUCUUCCUUGUUCUUCUUGGACUUGUGAAGAGAAUCCUCUGGGUUCCCCUACUUCGUGCUCUACGGCUUCCGUUCGGCUGCGCCGUAUUGUGUGGAUUAGUUCCGGAUUGUGGUUCUGCGGUCGUUCGGAGAUCGAGUCGAAGUCUUCGUGGUUUCGGUGCCUAUCUCCCCGUCGCUUGGUCGCAUCCAACCUUUGUCACGUAUAAAGCUAGGUACCCGCUGUUCGCAGCAAGUUAUCCUUGUUCUUUUGAUCUACUGUCAUGAAGAUCGGGCCACCCUCGUGCCGAUUCAUAUCGGUACCCUAUCAACCACUGUUUCAGUAGAACAGGUAUGUUAGACCACUUCUUUUUAUCUAGUAAUAUCUUCUGAUAAACACUAAUCUGCUCAUCCUAAUAUAGGAAUAGGUUUCUUCACCUGAUCUGCUAUUCUCCUUAGAUGAAUAUCUUGAUGAAGAACCAAUCGUGAUCUCAGAAGAUACUCCACCAAAGAUCCCUGACUACAUCAAAGCUUAACUACAACAGUUGAUCACCCAUCUAGAGCUAGAUGUUUCAGUUUUGGUUCAAGAUGUAGGAUCUAUCAGAGAUAUUUUCAAUCAGAUUAAAGAUGAUCUCCCUUCUUCUUUGAAAGGAAUGAUUCAGCCAGCUGCAUUCUUGGAAGGUAAUGACCCCAAAUUCCUUAGUGCCCAAUCCACAUUAGCAGAUAGAGAAGCUAAAAAAACUCAACUGCUGGUGAAGGCCAAUGCAUCUAAGAAAUCCUAUCAGUUAAGAAAAUAGUCGAUCUCCUUAAAGAAUUCCUUGUUGAAAUCAAUAAAGAUCUAGCUGCUCUUAACAAAUAAAGGACACAACUAUUAGCUUAGCUGAAGACUGUUGAAGAUGCAAUCAGACAGAAGGAAGAAGCCUUAUCUCAGAUCCCUGCAUCGUUAGCCGAUCAUAAGAAGAACAUGGCAUCCUUGAAAGCUAGGCUUGACAAAGUUAAGCAAGACAAGAAAGCCAAGACUCCUGGAUCAGCUGAAGAAGAUCAGCAACAGAUAGCCGAAGUAGAUAACAUUAGGCUUUCGACUUCAAAUUUCAUCAAGUCUGUUCUAAAUGUGUAAUUUAAACACUUUCUUCAUUUACUUUGCAUCUUGUAAUCCUCAGACUUAACUUUUGUUUACUUAGACUCAUUUUUUCUUCUUUAGCAAUUAUAUACUUUUGUUUAAAGUCUCAUCAGAAAUACCAACCGAAUCUAAGUAAAGUAGAACACUAUCGGCAAAGUUAGCCAAUCCACUACUCAGGUCUUCCGCACUCACAGUUAAGUUGAUCAGCUAUUUUCUAUCGUCCACAUCCCUAGGAUUACGGGGACGUUUUAACUUUAGCCGAUCCACUCACCCCAAAUUCAAGGAACCAUCUUCAUGAUAGCCGAUCCACUUUCUCUAUCUUUCUGUGACAUUGCCCAUCAAGGCAAUUCCUAGUAUGAUUCUGUAUCAGCAAAACUUCUCUGUGUUCCUAAUUUUUGUGCUAAAGGCGAUAUCUGUUAUAUCGGCUAUAAAAUUUUAGGUCUAAACACUAAAUAUUAUAGUCUCUGCAUCAAUUCCUUUACUGCCCAAACCCUUAAAUUUUUGAACUAAAGGCGAUACUCAUUGUAUUGGCUAUGUUCCUGACAACUUAACACUUUGAAUUUUUAUACUAAAGGUGACACUUGGUGUAUCGGCUGUCAAAACAUCCCUUCUGAAUAACUUGAUCAACUAAAGCAAACCAACCUAGACGCUAGGGUAAUACUUCUUAAAAUAUUUUCCAUUAAUAGCUCUAGAAUACUCUUCUCCUUCUAGAGUUUCAUGAAAGUAAGCAUUUCCAUGAGCAACCUUAGUAAUCUGAUAUGGUCCUUCCCAAUUAGGUGACCACUUGCCAAAUUUACUGUCUUUAGAUCCAAUUGGCAAAAUUACCUUCCAAACCAGUUGACCUUCACUGAAUCUUCUUUCUCGAACUUUCUGAUUAUAGAACUUGGCAAUCCUGAUUUUGUUAGCUCUAAUAUUUUCUAAAGCCUUUAGCUGAAGAAACUUCAAAUCAUCUAAAUUUUCCAACAUAAGAUUCUUGUAGUCAUCGGCUAUCAAUUUGUCUUGUUGUGAUAUCCUUCGAGAUCCUAGAUUAAUCUCCCACGGCAAUACAGCUUCAUGCCCAUAAACCAACUCAUAAGGUGAAUAUUUAGUCAAUCCAUGACAAGCCAUCCUAUAAGACUAAAGAGUUUCACUAAGUACUGAAUGCCACUUCCUUGGAUUUUCUUUGAUCUUUUUCUUGAUGAUCUUAAUAAGAAUCUGAUUAGAAGCUUCUGCUUGUCCAUUAGCUUAGGCACAGUAAGGAGAUAAAUUGAUCAAUUUAAAACCUGUACUGGCAGCAAAGUCUUCAAACUCCUUGGAUGUAAACAUCUUCCCUUGAAUCAGUUGUAAUGGACUGAGGGGCCCCAAAUCUAUAAAUACUAUGUUGAAGAUGAACUCAAUCACAUUAGCUGAUGAUGCUACCUUUAAAGGAAUAGCUUCCAUCCAUUUAGUAAAAUAAUCUGUUGCUACCAAUACAAAUUUAUUUGAAGAUAGAAAUACCUGGCCAAUCAGAUCUAUUCCCCAACCUCUAAAUGGCCAUGGUUUCAUAAUAGGAUUCAUAGCCGAUGCUGGAGACUUCUUAAUACUGCAAAACUUUUGACACUCUUGACAUCCUUUAUAAUCCUUGAAGCAAUCCUCCAACAUGGUCGGUCAAAAAUAACCUGCUCUUCUAAUCAUCCACUCCAUCUUAUGAGCAGACUGAUAGGCACCACAAACUCCUUCAUGAAUCUCUCCCAUCAAAACCUUAGUUUCUUCUUGGUUAAGACACUUAAGGAGCACACCAUCAACUGUUCUAUGAUAUAGCUGAUCAUCAAUUGCAUCCUGUCGCUGGUAUAAGUAGAGGGUGUAUUAAACUCUGUAUCGCGUAAGGCUGGUUGUAAACCUGUGUGGACUCUGUGUUCUAAAGAGCGAAAAGGGGCGCUGUCGCCCUGGCGGUUGCCGUGCGUUCCACCGAGUUCAUUGAGCUUUCAUGUGUUUUGCUUAGCCAGUUUGAUCAUUAGUGCUGUGAUUGUGAUCCUGAGGCCAUCACUGAAUACGUUCGCAAGAAGAAAAUAGAAGUCUGAACCGUCAUUAGGUUUUCAGCUGUGCCUUGCUUAAUGGGCUUGUUCGAAAUGCUCUUGUGGCCUUGUGAGCUGCAGCCUGUCGAAGCUUUUACAGUUUUGCCUGUUCGUUUUCUAGCGACCAGCGCAAACGACACGGCCGCCUGGCACAGGACCGCUCCAAAUUCCUAUCCUGCUAUCGCGAGGAAGAGUUCGUGACUUUGCCGACUGCGAGCCGGUGGCCGGCGAUGCGGCAAUCACGUGCCUUCGCCGAUCCGUUUUGGGCUGCGACUGCGACAGGCCGAGAAAGCGAGCCGGCGAGCGGACAUCACACACCACACAACGAGCUGAUCAUCAUGGUAAGUCCUCCAACUCAAAAAUCUGACACUUUUAUAAUUGUCUAGUAAAACAUUUUGAGAGACCAUCUAUAUGUUCAAGACUUUGCUCUACCUUAGAUUUUUUUUUCAUACUCCGCCACUGAAUGCAAUAAUCAAUAUUGAUGAUUUAACUCAGUUAAAAGGAUACAAACACUACCAUAUUGGUGGAGUUCUCCUAGUGUUUCUAAUUAGUAACAAAACACUAACACUAGUCAUAGCACUAGGGAAUCCUCACUAGGAGACAUUUACUAGGAAAAGUUUAUACUAAAAUUUGAAUGCUAAAACACUAGGAGAAGUCCACAUUGCUAGGAGAAGUUGAAAAUUUUGGUUGUGAAAUUUACUAUUGUAAUAUACAUAUGUGAUAUGAACUUCUCUAGUACACACCCAGCGGCGCAUAAAUCAAUAAGACCGCACCUCGGGACUUGCUCUCCUGUCCUGGCCAACUUGUACGAGCAGCAUUGCAGAUAUAAUGAGUAAAGAUGUUAACUAGCUUGCUAGAUUUUAAUUACAUAUGAUCAACGAAAUAAAUUUGCAAGAGGGACCAGAGAAGAUCUAGAUCUUCUUCUUGAAGCCCUCCCUUGCAGAUACAGAUGAAGCUUUGCGGCCCCAAAAAGGUCAUACUACUCGCAUAGCAUCAAGAGCAAUCAGCCUUACAGGUAUCCUUCUCCCUUACCAGAAUGACUGCUCAUGAUGUUAUGUUUCCCAGCAACCAUGCACCACCCUUGUGAUGAUACUUAGAGAGCUGUGUCUACCUGUGGCCUCAUGAACAUAUACUUGCACGAAACAGCAGCUCGCCACAUCAAGACAACGACUAUGCAUGCAUGCUUCAGUGGUGGUGAAUGCUCUAGCGGAGGAUCCCACCGAGCGGCGCCGGGGCCCAGUAGUCAGCGGCAUUGUCCCCUCCAAAGUGCGAUGUACAUGACACCGGGACGAGGCACAGCCCUCGGCUCCUCAAGUCCUUCUUCAUGUCGUCAUUCACACCCUUGACGAAUAUAUGUAAAUAUACCAAGUCAUCAGCUAUACUUUUUUCAGAUUAUUCCUAACAUAGUAUAAAUGGGAAAAAGAUCUACCAAUGUUGAAGUAAAAUGUGUUGGGACCUGCAUGCCCUUGGGAAAAAAAAUGCACAUGCAUGAUUAUCGUGUUAUUUGUUUUUAUGUAGAAUAGUGGGUACAUAUAGCACUACCCUAGCUAUAUAUAUGUACACGUGUAUGCAGAUGAUUGAAAAUGACUUGGAAGCAAAGCAAAGUGGGCUUGAAUACCUGCUGCUCAUCAGGCUGGACUGCUGCAGGCUGCUGUGCUCCAGUGUUGUUAUUAUGGUUUAGCAACUGCGCAAGGAACCAGGCGCAAAAGAUGUAUAUGAAUGAAAAGCGGUUUAAGCAGGGCUGUAAAGGGCUAUAUUCUUACAUCAGGAAUCAUGUGCAAUCACAGGGGUUUAUAGGUUACCUGGCCCGGGAAUUCUGGGAAGAGCCCUGCAGGGUUCCUUUCUCCAAUUGGUCCCUGUAUAAAUGAAUAAUUAAAAAGAAAGCACCGUGUCACAUGUCAACGUUGCACGUACAAGCGUGCGAGAAAAGCCGCAGAGAAUAAUCUCCCAGAUGGGAUAAAUAUGAUUGAACCCAUGAGGAGUACUGGCCCAUGGUUGUCUCAAUGCAAGCAAGCUGACCUAGGGUUGUGCAAGCUGAAACAAGCUGUUAUGGCCAUAUCAGUGCAGUUUUAUACUUCUGUUUGUUACUGUUUGGGAUCUCCCAGGAUCACUAACUUUUAAUAAUCUCCUUCUUUGCUAGUAAAAAUGGUCCAUGGGCUGUGCCCCGUUCGUUAAAAGAAAAGUUAUGGAGCUUGCAGAUUUUGUCCCUCUCUCCCAUCGUACCCAUUCCCCUCCCUCACCUCUCUCCCAACUAGUCUAGCACCCAUUCAUGCUCACUCCUUCCACACACGCAGAUCUCUCUCACUAAUGCCGUCGUGGUCGCGGAGGCCGGGGCCGCGGCAGCGACGACGUGUGUGGUGUGUAUACAAGCAAGGAGAGAGAAUGUGGAUAGGAUAGGUUGGAGGACAAAGUGUGACUUUCCCAUCGAUUAGCCCAUUCAGCUCCCAUUGGCUAGCUAAUAAUUAGCUUACACCGGGUAUUUUUUAGCCAUACCCAUUUGGAUACGUCACCGACAAAAUUUUAGCAGCUAGUAGCUAGUCAGUAAUAUCCAAAUAUGCCCUUCAUUAGUGGGAUAAAAAUGUGAACCUAAUGAUUUGAAAUAUUUGUGGUGAUGAUCUAUAUGUUAAGUUAAAAAGUAAUAUAAGGAAAAGGUACAUUUUUCAUUGGUACCAUAUUUUUUCAUAGUGAUGUAUGGAGCUUUUUCUUAUGGAAUAGGCAACAUCAAGUACAAUAUGAUUAGUUUUUCUAGUGCAUAUGUGAAACAUGUACUAAAUUGAGAUAAUUAGCUUUUUCGUAGUAAUAAUGUGGCUUCAAGUUCCUCCAAAGAUUAUGGACUUACUUGUAGACUAAGUUCAUUUUAUGCUCUAAUAAUGUGAAUCGAUAACAAAUUCCACAAAUCUACAAUGUCUAACAAAACACUAAACCGUUGGUGAAAUGUUGUGUUUAGUAUAUUCAUACUAUACACCUUUUAAAUGGUCUAAGCGACACUGCAUGAUCAUUGUUUAAAGGAAUAUAAAGGCGUUCCAUAUAAUAUUUGUACAACUAAACCUAUGCCUGAAUGUCAUAAAGAAAUUCAGAUAUAUAUGAUCAGUCUUUUCUUACUUGAAAACAAUGCUUCACAUAGGUUUUAUUUAUAUGGGCCUUUAUCUCAUAUCACCUAUUAUCUCAUAGUCAAUUCAAAUCUAUUUUUAACGGAAUAAGAAAACGCUGUAUCAAUAACCUUAGAAACAAACUCCGUUUGUAAGUACACAAUUCAGUUAUCUAAUUUUGCAUCAUUUUCCAUUCCCUAACCAUUCACAAAAAUUUCAUUAUUCUUCAAGUAGCACACCCACUUUUGUUCAAGAAUUAACGAACUAAUUAAAAUUACCAAUCCAGCUUUGAAUAAAAGUUAAGGUAAAUAUUUAUCAUUGUUAGUUCCUCUAAUAUUAGUAUCAAUGUAUGUUUUACAGCAAGACGACAACGCAUAAUAUAUUCUCAUACAUGUUUGAACCAUAUAGAAACAUUUAGACCAUAAAUUCUUAUAUUUGCAUGCAUAUUGUGGUGGUUCUCCGUUAACAUCUGUUUUGUAAUGUCUACUGUGUAUAUAUUUCAGAGAAGAAUAGAAAUUCAAACAAGCUUAAAAUUUACUUUAAAAUUAGCCAUAUUUUAUGAAAAAAAUGUUAUUUGUUAAUGGGUUAGUACACGUGAGCUCUCUUAUUACAUGCAGUCAAAAUAAUCUAACAGACAUGUACGUAUUUACCAAGGACUUAAUAUUGCAAAGUAUUAAUCAUAGCUUUAUCUACAGGUAACACAAACUCGCAGAACUUAAUUAUGUUUACUGUUUGUUGUGGGAAAAAAUCGUUUUUUGUUCUAUUACCACACACAUGAUAAAGAGCCUAAAAGGUCUAAAGUCCUUUUUGACAAAGGUUAACAAAUAAAAGGAUCAGUUCUACUGAGGAAGCCUUGGUAAAAGGCUUCUUUAAUUAGAAAUACCUUUGGCAAAGUAUAUUUUUGGCCAACCUUUGCUAAAGGUUUUGCUAAGGCACUAUUGUUGUGUCCUCCCUACAUACAAAGUGUGCCAAAGUCUAGACCGGCUAACAAUUUUACAUACGAAUGCACGUGCAUAGGCAUAUUAAUUGUUAACCUCGCACGUAAGAUUCCUUCCAGCCUGCGCUCGUGUGUGUGUGAGAGAGAGAUAGAAAGAGAUAGAGAGAGAGAGAGGGGCAUGCAACAUACAUUUUGAAUGGAGGUCCCAUGGCCCAUGUAGGGGUAGCUGAGAGCCUGUCAAAGAAGGAAGAAAAAAACUACACUGGUCAUGAAAUAUGAGAGAGAGAGAGAGAGAGAGAGCAUGCACAUAGUCCAGUGCAGUCGUCCCUGAAACACAAGACGCUACAAGACAGAGCAGCGCAUCGGUUCAUCCAUCUCGCUGCUGCAGUUGCUGAUUCUGCGUGCGCGCGCGCGCCCAUGCAAAGCGAUCAACUUUAACAGCGUGCUCUUGCACCCGUCCCUACCCUCCCCAUGCAUAUUCUCUUUUUGUUUCCCGCGCACCCAGCUUUUUUUCCCAACUCUCUGCGGUAACAACACCUAGCAGCUGCUAUUGCUGCCACUGGCAUGUGGGCCGGAAUAGACAGCGUUGCUGUUUGUGGGGUCAGCUAUAUAAGCAGUGACAACAAGAAGGGUUUAAUUUUUUACUGUGCUGAUUGCUUAAGGUAGAAACAUCUUCAAACUGGCAUGUGGGGAGUGCGAGGGCCACAUUGUUCUUUGUUCACCCAUACUGCAUGCUCUUCUGAUGGUCCUAGCUAGCUAUAUGACCAUGACUUAUGAAUUUUUCCUUUCCAACAUACACACAAAAGCACACGAUGAGAGAGAGAGAGAGAGAGAGAGAGAGUUGGACCUCAAUUUGGCCCAGGAGGAAUCUGAUAUAGCCAAUGGUCUCUUGCAGUACAGACGCCGUGUCAGUCUGUAAAAAAGAGGCACGUGUGUCAGGGAAAUGCUUUAGAUGGACACAACCCCUCGAGUGAAAGCAGGAGCAAAACAAGUUAAAGCAGAUGCAUGGCAACAACUAUAGACAACUGCAACAACACAUGUAUCUACUGUGGUCGGAGCGAGGAAACACAUGCACUCAGAUCAAACGACUGAUCUACCGUAUCUUUCUUUCUACUAGUCACAACCUCACAAGCUGCUGCUGGCUAUUUACAUAAUGAAUCGGUCCAUGCAUGUUGUAUUUUUUUUUUGUUCUGACUAACCUUGCCGAACGGGGAAACAAUCUGGUGAAGAGCAGUUAUUCUAUCACCCAAUCUCUCCUUUCUCACCUGCAUCAAACCAUAAGUCACACAGUCAUAUCUAAGUAAAUAAGUUAUAGCUAGCAUGCUAUAUAUAUAUAUAUAUAUAUAUAUAUAUAUAUAUAUAUAUAUAUAUAUAUAUAUAUAUAUAUAUAUAUAUAUAUAUAUAUAUAUAUAUAUAUAUAUAUAUAUAUAUAUAUAUAUAUAUAUAUAUAUAUAUAUAUAUAUAUAUAUAUAUAUAUAUAUAUAUAUAUAUAUAUAUAUAUAUAUAUAUAUAUNNNNNNNNNNNNNNNNNNNNNNNNNNNNNNNNNNNNNNNNNNNNNNNNNNNNNNNNNNNNNNNNNNNNNNNNNNNNNNNNNNNNNNNNNNNNNNNNNNNNAUAUAUAUAUAUAUAUAUAUAUAUAUAUAUAUAUAUAUAUAUAUAUAUAUAUAAGUUAUCACUAUUAUAUCACAUGUCAAAUUCUCAGUGUACUCUUGCUGCACAAAUUUUGAGAGAGAGAGAGAGAUAUGCACACAAAAGAUGAGCCCGGUUUGGGUUAUGGAAAGCAGUGAGAUGAAGAAGAAACCUUUAGAGUAGAUUGUGCCGAAGAGGAGGCCUGAACCCUAGGCUUCUUGUUGGCUGAACCUGUAGCAGUGCUGUUGCACUAGAGAAAGACAAAGAAACAAAGCAAGAACAAUCAUGAUCUCAUUUCGACCUGUCCCAUGAAACAACACACUAACUCUUGGUAAAGUGAAUUCAUUCCCAGUGGUUCUAGCUCUCAAUAUAAUGCGGACAAGCUAUGGGAUCAUGUACCAGGACCAUAUAAAUAAUAAAUAAAACAGUAGGUCAAGAAAUGUGCUAAAUCCGUCUAGGAAAGAAUACCAUUCCAACUAUAUUAAGUCAAACCAUCUUCACACCGACAAAACCUAAAAUUGCAUUUUUCUCAAAAUUAUAAAGAACCAAUAUUGUGUAAUCAUAAGUAGAUUUGUUAUGGAAUAUAUUCACACAAUAUACCUAUUGUAAUCAUAAAUGAUGCUACAAUUUCCUUUAACCAUACCUAGAAUUACAUUUUUUUUGGUGUGUCUGGGGUGGGGCGUGGGGGGUGAGGGAGGAUGGAGGGAGUAGUAAAUUAGUAGAAACAAAAAGAGGUAGCCCUUUCAAUAUGGGUGCAUGCCGUAACACUCUGACCAAGAGAUUAUGAAAUAGCGUGCAUGAAAAUACCACCAGCUUGGUUGACAAAUAAAGUGGAUUUGCAUAUGACAUGGAAACAUGCAUGUCUGUACUACUAGCAAAUAAAGCAUCUUUUCAUGAAAAGAAGCAUAGUACUACUGCCUUUAUUUUGUUUCAGUUAAUGGAAGAUAGAAUGCACCGUCACCAAGAGAUCUUAUUGACAGUAUAGCCCCCCACCCCCCAUCCCAUCCUAGUCGUCGGUUAAAGAUGAGAUAACAUAAUCAUGGUAUAUCUUUCCAUCUCAAACUAAGAUGAAUGGAGUGCCUUUUGAAAGUACCAUCUCUUCCCGAGGGCGAUCAAGAUGAAACAUUGUGUAAUAAAGUAGGCAUAACGAAUGCAUUCCAUGUCGAUCGGAGCUUAAAUAAUUAAUUUGAAUCUAAAUACAUGUCUUCCAUAUGCAUGAAUAAAGUCGAUAAAUUCCUUGAUGAAUGUAAGUUUCUUCUUUAAUUUUUAAAAAAGAAUCAAAAGACGAAAUUGAUAAUGUUGAAAAAAAACAAAGGGAUUGGAAAGAACAAAUCAGAAAACAUCCUACGAACUAGCAAUGGUUGACAUUAGUUUCCCGGAUUAUAGACCAAGGUAGCUCAUCUCACCUCGGAUGAGUUAUCAGAGAUAUGAUGGUGGCUCUUUAGCUCCGGAAGUGGCGCGCUGUUUGAGAAGUCGAGCAUGUUGCUGCCGAGGCUGGUGGUGAUGCACGACCUAGGAGACGAGGCCAGGAGCAUCUGGCUCAGCUGAGACUUGCUGGCCCCUCCUGGCGCCGGCAUCUCAUGGUCACCAGCAGCGACGUGGCUGUGGCUCCCAUAGAAGUUGUACGGAGGUUGAGGCAUGGCGGAGCCCUCCUCCUUCAUACCACCACCACCCACCAUGCAUGCACUUGCUGCAGUUUCAGCGUGAUCCCCCCAAUUCUCUAUGCCCUUUGACGGGAGAGCUGCGGUGGCGCUGUAUCGCUCAUGGUCUCCUGCAACUAACCCCCCUCUGCACAUGUAGUUAUAGAUGAGCACAGACAGAUGAGUCCAUGGGGAUAAGAACAACUGCAAGUUAGCAUCAGAGUAAAACGAACAUGAAUAAGAUGAUUAGAGACAGGAAGGUAGAUUAACACUGGGAAAGGCUUGAUCCGCUAUAGGACAAAGUGGGUUAACCACUUUAUUCCUUCACCUAGAGCUACUGUUAAGUAUAGCUAGGGUACAUGGAUUGUGGAGGUCUGUAAUUGUGGAUCUGUUGCAUGAAUAAAUCUUAAAAGAUUUAACCAGUAAAGAACGAAUGAGGGCCGCUGGGGAAGAGACUCAAGAGAGAGAUAGACAAAUAAGAGAGAGAAGAGUGCUUACAGAAGCAUCUGGCUCCAUGAUUCUGGCAUGUGGUUCUCCUGACCGCUGCCGCCGUCUUGCAGACUUGGAAGAGAACCAGCCGCGCCGCCGUUGAUAUGACCUAGCUGGCCUGAAGAGGUACCGGUGUGCAGAAACUGCUGUGGGAAGAGCAUGGAUGGAGACGACAAGGAGGGCAGGAUGGGGGAGGCCUCUUGAUCCUCAUGGCACGACUUGAAGCUGCUCAUGAUAUUAUUGCUGCUGGCUGUGGCAGUAUUGCCGCCGCCACUGCCGGUACCGCUCCAGAUCAUCUGCUGGACAAGGGAGGUCUGGAAUUCUCCUCUGUUCAUCACCGGCCGCGCGCUGGAGAGAGAGGAGAGCUAGAGAUGAGCUCUCUUACUUCAACAAAUGCUAGCUGCUGCUAUCUCUUCCUUGCCAGAGGCUCUCUAGCUCCUCUUGCACUCUUGGUGUGGAAGUAGUCUCAGGUCAAUCUUAAAGGGGCCAGCAGUGUCGCUCGUCGCAAUUUCCUUGAGGGAGAUGGGCUGGGCAGGGCAUAUAUCUUCUCUUCCUCCUAUAGAGAGGGGGGGAGAGAGAAAGAAGGGAACAACAACAAUACCAAACAGAAGAAAAAAAGAGGUGAGAGGAGCUGAAUAAAAAAGCAUAGGCGCUGUUCGGAGAGGAAUCUGGGCUUUGUUUUGUUUUCCGCUUCCUUUUGCUUCACUCCUUUAUUUGUGAACUUUCCCUUGCUUUCCUCCAGCCCCUUUCUCUCUCUCUCUACAUACCCCCUCCUCCUCUUUCUCAUUCUUCUUUUGUAUGUUAUACACAGACACACACAAUUAUAUAUAUUUUUUCUUUAUUUCCCUUCUCCCUGUCACUUUUGCUUUAUCACAAUAAAGUGAUGUAGGAAAGGUAUGUGAGACACAGCAUUUGGGACCAAAAGGAGCCGUUUCAAGACGUGGCGGUGCUUGUUAAUCUAUAUCAUCUCAUCCAGCUUGUGUAUGUCACCACCUUUCAAACCACCAAUUAAGUAGACGCCACCUGAUAAUUGCAGUUGCACGCAGUGAUGAAUGAAGCUUAGACUAGCUAGAUGCACACGUACAAAGAUAUAACCUCCACAACACGCACAUACACAGGAACACAGUAGUGCACGCAUGCACGCACAAAAAUAAAGUGGGAUCGGAAGGCAUGCCGAUGCGGAAAGAAUGUCCCAUCCGAUCGGUUUUGGCUUCAUAUAUUCAUCCCUCUAACUUGUUACAUGCAUCAGGGAAACCGAAAUGAUGUACUUAUCUUGCUAGAUUUAAAUUGUAUAUGAUCGGACGAAAUGUAUGUCGAUGAAGUAUAUGAUUAUACUAUAUAUAUAUAUAUAUAUAUAUAUAUAUAUAUAUAUAUAUAUAUAUAUAUAUUGUAUAUGAUCGGAUGAAAUGUAUGUCGAUGAAGUAUAUGAUUAUACUAGACCAUUUAUGUGAUAUAUAAGUUAAGUAUGCAUGCAUACAUAGAGUAUAUGGUUAUACUUAUUGUAUAUAAUAUAGUAGAGACAUUAUAAGUAUUAUUUUAAAAUUAUGAAUUUCUUUGGAAAAUUUUCGCGUGGUAAGAUCUAGAGUAUCUUAAUAUGAGUAUAUAAACAUACUCAAACUCAUAAACAAGUAUGAACACAUACACAAUGUGGUUUAUUGAAAAUAAGAGUAACUACAUGUACGUGCGGAAAAGAAUUUCAUAUAUAUAUUUGAGUAUAUAUAUAUAUACCGUACUCCCGGGAGUAAUUACUCUCAUCUUCAAUAAACCACAUUACAUAUAUUCAUACUUGUUUAUCGGUUUGAGUAUGUUCAUAUACUUAUAUUAAGAUACUCUAGAUCUUACCAUACGAAAAAUUUUCAAAGAAAUUCAUAUUUUUAAAUAUAUUACUAAAAUGCCACUACUGUAGUAUAUAUAAUAAGUAUAACCACAUACAGUAUGUAUGCAUACAUACUUAACGUAUAUACUACCUUAGAUGGUUUAGUAUGAUCAUAUACUUCGUCUAUAUACACUUCAUCGGGCCAUAUACGACAUAAAUCUAGAGAUAUACACAUAGAAGUAACUACUAUUGGGAGUAAAAAGGAAUUAUCCUAUAUAUAUUUUGUCAUAUAUGGCCACCAUUAGCCAUUUUGAAAGAACGGUCUAACGGAAGUAGCUACACCUUUAUUAUAUUUUGUCAUAUCAGCUAACACUACUACAGAACAGGGCUUUGGACGAUGCCUGAAAUCUACAAUUGUCUCAGCUUUUUUUUGCCUCGGGGUUAAAAAGACCUUUAGUCCCGACCCGUAACACGUGCCGGGACUAAAGAGUCCUGCCCAACGGCUGCCUAACGGCUACCUGGCAGGGCUAUCGGGGGAGGGACCUUUAGUCCCGGGGCAAGCCACCAGCCGGGACUAAAGAUUUAGCCCCGGUUGGUGGCUUGCUUUGGGACUAAAGGGAGCCCGUUUAGUCCAUGUUCUUUCUUCAGCUCGGGACUAAAAGCCCACACUGUAAAUCACGGUCCCUUCUUCCUGGUCGAGACUGAGCCCAUUCAAAUUUCAGUGAGCUAUUCUUGCUCUUGCCAUUGCUAGUUCUUGCUUGUUCUUCAUCUUUGGCGCCCAUUGGUGAUCAUCUUCGACGCCACCAUCGUUUUCCCCCGGUCUAGGGGUAACUAACUUCAUCAUCCCUUGUCAUUUUCAUGUUAUUUUUCUCUUUGUGAUAUCGCCGCCAUUUUUUUGAGCUCAAAUUCAAUGGUCAUAGUUUGAAUCAACGUCACCGGCACCCAUUGGUGAUACCGCCCGGGAUUAAUGGGGGCCUUUAGUCCCAGAAGCGUAGUCUCGGCUUGGAAUCCGGGGCUAAAGCCCCUUCCCGGCCGGGACUAAAGCCCCUUUCUGCAGUUGUGUAAAAAGUGAUAUGCCAAAGUUCCUAAUUGACUAGCUUUGCACACGAACAGAUAUUCAUUUAUUAACCUAUAUUCUGUUUGCUGAAUCAAAAUAUGAACUUUCUAAUGAAUUAUUACUCCACCAAGUCAAAACUAUAAGGUUUUGUUUACAUGCUAGCGUACGGACGGAUAAUUAUUAAGCAUGUGGUAACCACAUGCUAGAUCGAAAACACCAGAAGUUUCACAACUAGAUCCAAACCCCCUUCUCAACCAGUGGUUGUGAUACCAUGGGUAUCUAUCUUGGUUUGAAAACCUAAAUAGAAAAAUACAACCAUGCCUACCGGUUCCUGACUCGAUCUCGGACCAGUUAUGUACCUAAGAGCUCGACAACCGGUUGGUAUCAAGAAUCAAGAUGUAAGCAUCUUUGUUCCCAAGACAAGUGGUAAUUUUGGUGAUUGCUGAUUAUUUGUGAUCCUUGGUCUAAAAAAAUAAUUAGUAACCAUAUAGAUAUUGAUGUAGCUUUUACAGUAACAAAAACAAUUUUUAGAAAUGUCCCUUUUUUAGAGGCAGGGAAUGUUCUAGUUUGGUUUUGGUAAUUGAGUAACAACUAUUGUACUAAUGCUUUCAAUAGAGAUGAUUGAGCUAGGUCCACAUGAAGGAGUUGAGCAAGGCUAGGACAUGGUGAAGAUGAUGAUAAUGACUGUAUGUCGUGAGGUGUAUGUCCACGUGGAUUUCGUGGUGCUUGACACGCGGAACAUCGAAGACAUACCCCUCAUCCUUCGGAGGCCAUUGCUCGAGACCACGAACAAAUGAAUUUAUGUGGGUCUACACAAAUCCAUUUCUAUGUUGCCAAAAAGAAGGAGAAGUUCGCUUUCACCUCUUCCGUUCCUACCUAUCAUACUAAUAAGGAGGUCAAUGCAAAUUGGUCCAAGAGGAAGCCCCGAUCCACAACAUGAAGGAGGUACUAACCUUAGAAGAAGAAGAAGGUCAGACCGCCAAGCCAUAACCAAAACCCAAAUGGGUUAGGUGGAAGGAGAUGCAACCAUCUCCGUCCCCAUCUACAUGACCAACUGAUGCACCCGAACAAUGAACCCAAAUGAGAAGUCCUGCUCUAAGCACUUAAAACCAUUAACCCUCGAUCACUAAAAGGUAAUUCGAUAUGUAUCACAUUUUUACUAUUUCACUUUGAAUUUUUCAUAUUUUAUUUUUUUUGACAAACCAUUUUCCUUAUCUACACAUAAAUUUGAGAAAACAUUUUCAAAAAAUUUGAGAAAUCCAAGAGAAAGCAUCUUGAUUGUUUGUGAAGGAGGAAGAGGGGAUCCCAUGAGGCCUCCAAGCCACUGCCUUCUAUGGCUAUAAAAGGCCUUGCAUUGGUGCCUCAUCUCCAUACUCAAAGCUUUAGAAACAUUUCUAGUUUUUCCUCCCCAUUUCUCUCAAGUUCUUCUGAAGUUUCUCUCAAGUUUAGCCACAAAAAGAAAAUGCUAUUAAAUAUUUUUUGUUUUUCCUUCUCACCUUAUAGUUCCUCUUUCAAGCUUGUCUUUUGAUCUUGAUUUGCUCUCCAAGAAUGUUUGUGGUGGUCUUAUAUCCCACUAGAAUGAUUUCUGGAGUGUAGCAACCAUAAGAACAGUUUGUGAAGGCAACCACACCCCACUAGAACAACAAACUUAGGAUGACUAACCACAAACACUAAUGCUAAUCAUUGUUGUCCUAGUCUCAUUUCUAUUCUCUCUUUAUUUGAUGCAAGAAUGAAGAGCCCAUUCAGGAAGAUAGUCAACAAGGCAAGAGAGGCCGAAAGUGGGAGCUCACCAAGGCGCUCCCACCAUUUCCAUAACGGCUCUCAAGGAAGGAUGCCUUCUCAUGACAACGAGAUUUGACUCUCGGGGUCAAAUGAGGAACAAGGAGGUGCCUCCCCCCAUGACACCAAGGUUUGACUCUCAAGGUCAAAUGAGGAAGUGGGAAGCGAAGGACAAUACCAUGGUGUAUAUGGAUAAGCUACACAAGUGGUGGAUCUUGAGAUACAACUCAAGUUCUACAAUGAACAAGAGUGCAACAACUUCCUCGCCACCAGGAACCAAGGUUUUGACCACACCAAGGUAUAAGAUCCAAACCUCCUCGUCAAGACAUGUAUAGACCCAUAAUUCAAAACUAUUUUUAAUGUUAUUGGGUUGCAAUGUUUUGUGGCAUGGUGAGGUAGCAAGCUUCUCACCAUAGAGUUCCUAUGCUCUUUGCAAUAUUCUCUUGAUGAAGUUUAUUUUCUAUCACACCCAAACAUUUCAAUUUCGGGUUGUAAAUAGAAAACAUUAAAUAAAAUGAAUGGAUUUAAUAUUUGGACAAAAUUUCUCAAGUUUAGUUUAAGUUAACACAAAUUUAGUUAUAAGAAAAUGUUAGUUUUUAAACUUUUCUAAAUUAUAAUUUGAUGGGUGUUUCGAUGUUGUGGUGUUUGAAUAUUGCAUGAGUUUGUGUGUUGUUAGUAAAUUUUUUUUAAAACACAUUUUGUCUUUGUCUUUUUCUAGAAUCAAAUUCAUUGUUUCCCAACUUAAUCGUUGCAUUUGAAGUUUCCCAUAAUCUUUUUCCUCUGCUCUAAACACUCCUUUUGGCUCAUCAUUCAUCAACCAAUCUCUAAAAACUUCUUGAGUAUUUUUUCUGGCUUCUUCUAGAUCUUUUUUCAACUUGUUUAUGAGCAGAAUCUAAUUUUUAGAUGCUCUAAAAUAUUUUUUUCAGGAGCUCUAAAUACUUUAUUUGAGUUCCACAUGUUCCGAUAUGUCUCUAGGAUUUUUUUUUGUGAAUUUUGGGUGCUUACGGAGGUUUUUUUGGCUUCAAUAUAAAGUCUAGACUUUUUUAAAAAAUAUUUUAUUUAUGAAAUUAAUUAUUUCUAAAAAUAAUUAAAUAUUCUAUUCUUUCACUUGCUAAAACCGUAGAUGUAUAUAUGCUGGCGCUCAACGUACGUGCUCGGCACUCCUUUUAAAAGUGCAGCUCGUUUUCGUAGUCGCUGCUCCUAUUGUCUCAAAUCUAAAGCCAAAGUUAGAAAAGCUAUGUUUUUGGCGAGUUUUGGCUGUCAACCCAUUAUGUUUUGAUGCAAAUCACCAUUCGUCUGGUUGUUGUCUAUGCUGCGGUGUUUUCCUUUUAGCAAAUCCAUACCCGAAUCAUCUAUUAUCUCGUUUUCCUCUCUUUUGCUAGCGAGUUGUCCGGUGAACUCUAUAGAUCACUACUGCACACACAUUGAUCUGUGUAACACUCUAAAUUUUGCUUCUUUAAAAAUAAAGCUAAAAUAAUUUAUUUUAUAUUUCUGUGUUUAUGAAAAUAUAGUAACAUGAAAAUUUUCCUUAAAUUAAAAUUCAUCAUAGGGUUUAGCAACGUUGUUGUGCAUACAUGCUGGUACAUAUAUUUUAUAUGUUUUAUGUGAUGUUUGUUUGUUGCUCCUUUGUGUGUUGAGACUAAGCAAAGUUUUUAAAAUUUCGUUUAGUAGAACGAUCUUCAUACAUCUUUAUCUUUAUCUACAACCAAAUUCCUUGUUUCUAAGCUCAAGUUUUUAUCAGGAGCUUCCUAAAAUCUUUUCUUUGUCACUCAAAGCACUUCUUUUAGUUCCUCGUCCAUCAAGUAGUCUCUACAAACUUUGUAGGAAUUUUCCAGCUUCCAUUCUCACUUUUCUGUAAGCAUAAUAUAAUUUUUAGAUGCUCCAAAUUAUCUUGUCAUGAGAUUCAAAUACUUUAAUUGGUUUUCUCAUAUUCCAUAAUGUCUCCGAGAUUUUUCCUUGAAUUUCUAGAAUAUUUGGAGUAUUUUUUCAUGGCUUAAAUCAUAAUUCUGGACUUUUCUAGGAUUAUUUUAUUCGUCAAAUUAAUUAAUUUCGAAAAUAAUAAAAUCUUUCAUUUUAUCCCACGCUCAAGCCCAUUAUCUUAAUGGUCAAUGUCUUUAUUUACCAAUGGGCUUUAAUAAUUAAUUAGGCCUAUUAGUAAAGAUAAAGGUUGCAAAUCAAUUAGUACCAUAUCGCUAGUUGACGUGGAGGUGGGGAGUUUUUCUCCAUAUAUAUAUAUAUAUAUAUAUAUAUAUAUAUAUAUAUAUAUAUAUAUAUAUAUAUAUAUAUAUAUAUAUAUAUAUAUAUAUAUAUAUAUAUAUAUAUAUAUAUAUACUAACCCCUUAGGCAAAGCACAUCAAAGACUAUCAUAUGGGAAGCCUCUAAUUUGAGAAUUCCUAAGAUAGUAAAAUAAAAUUUAUAUUUUCUUCUCUACAACGUGAUCGCCAUCGUCUCUUCUAUACACGACAUCUACGAACGGUCGGCUGCUCCGGCGUUGCUGUAGCUCCAAGAAAGCGUCACUGCCGGCUGUCCACCAACGUAAGCCCCAAUCACUUUGUCUUUCAGUUUGAAAAACACAAACAGCUCGGUUUUAGAUUAAAAAUACGUUUUCACUAUUUACAGAAUUGCCACUGACUUUCUUUUGGCCAUAAAAUAUUCAUCUUAACUCCAUUUUGACCCAUUCAAAUUGCGUUGGAUUCGUAUUAAUGAGCUCUACAUGUUAGUAACAUUAUUUUCUCAGUUUGAAACUUUUUAUUUUCGUGACCCUAAUUAAUUAAUUACUUUUCUAUAUAAAAUCUUAGAAAAUUCAUAACUUCUCCGUUUUAGCUCCGAUUUUCGUGAUCUUUACGUCUAUGAUAUCGUAGCGAUGCGUAGAAUCAUUUCACAAACUUUUCAUACUGUUUUUAUAUGAUUGCUAUACUGUUCUAAUUGUAGUCUUGCUUCGUGUAUGUUGUCUCCGAUUAUUUGUUUGUGUGAUCGAUGAUCGAGUUUAGACGGUGAGCAAAUCGUGGUGAUCAAGAGUGCUCCAGUGAUCAAGAUCAUAGCCUUGGACAACUAGUAAGACCAGUGAAAUCAGCAAUAGCAUUUGGACUAAGGCAAGUAUAGUAUUUGGGUUUUAUAUUCUGUGACAAUGAUCUUAUGACUAGAUUAAUGUUAAGUAAUAAAUGGUAAAAAUGUUAAGUAAUAAACGGUAAAAAUGACUUUUUAGCCAUUUGAUGAUUUAUCUGUAAGUGAUAACCGGGACAACAGUGCAACUGUUGAUGGUCCUUAAUGCUCAUAUUUAACCAUCAACUAAUCAUGGAAAAGGAUCCAAAUGCAACCAACACCCAGACUUAGGGUUUUAUCUGACAGAAUUCCACGAGUUUUGGUGUUUGUCUAUUUGUGCAGGAAAUACGGAAGAAAGGCCCACAAGUCGGGUUUACAUAGAGAUAUUAACGUGUCGCGCAAUUUUCUAUCAUCUAGAAGACUCCAGAAGCCACGGGAAUAAAGCGGAAGCCGAGAGGCCUCAGGGACAGGGCGCCCGCCCUAGUCCUGAGGGCGCCCGCCCACCUUUUUCCACCAAAUAGAGUCCAAUUCAGGGAUCAUGCUCCACCGACCUAAAGGAUCAAGGAAAACCGUGCGAUUAAUGUCGGUUUGAUCCGAGGGCCUAGAUUUAUUUGAAAAGACUAUAUAAGCAAGCCCCCUAGCCCCUGGAGAUCAUACCUCUCCUACAGAAUCAAAGCUAGGGUUUUAAUUCUUCAUCCAAGUAGAGAGGAUCCCUCUAGUUCUUCUAGUUCUACCUCUAGUUCAUCUAGUUCUAGUUCUAGUUCAUCUAGUUCUAGUUCUAGUUCCUCUAGUUCUAGUUCUAGUUGUAAUCUAGAAAAUAGGGAGAGAGAAGAGGAGAGCGGAGGAGGAGGAGCCGGAUCUGUCGGAUCUUCCUCAACAUUGUACUUUUGCAGCAACUGGUUCGUUCUUCAUCGUUCUCCAGGUUCUUCAAUUCAUAACUCCUGAGUUCUUUAAUUACUUUUAUUUACAUUCAAGUUAUUUAUUGGAUUCCCGCUUGCAUCAAGUGCUCUAACCUUUGAAACAUUAGAGUAGUAAUUAAUAGAUUAGACGUGGUGUUUAGUCUUGCAAUUACCUAGAAUUGCACCCAAUUCUGCAGAUUGUUGUGGUAGCCUUAGGGUAGUGACAGCCCUAACAGUCGACGUAUUCCACCUCGUUCGGAUCGGUGUUUGUAGGACCGUAGUCAGACCUUCCUAGCCCCCUUCUCAUCUCUUUCUAUGGUUAGUGUUCUGAUGUCCCGAUAUACAUAAUCUUGAAGUAAUUCUUGAUUCUUAGAUCAACUAGAGAUCUCUCAGGAAACUUCCUCUCUUCCCACCAAAAAAUAAUUAUAUAGUUAUCCUUGGGUGAUCAUGAAUCUUAAUUAGUACACUCACGUUUCCUGUGAAAAAUCGAUACUCUGGAAUACUCCCGGGUGAAAGCUACAUCGGUAUCCGUGCGCUUGCGGAUUUUUCUGUUUGCGUUUAAAAUACCCAACACCCACCUCGUUGCGUGCGCCCACCGGCGCACACCCCCUCCUCGGUCCACCGUGGACCUUUGGACCACGCCUCAGCCACGGUCCAUAGUGCCGCCCGUAGACCGGCCAGUGCCGAGAAGCCACGUGGCCAGCUUGGCCAGCUGCCCGCGCCGCUCCCUGGCCGUUUUGCAAAAAGCCCCCUGCAGAUUUUUGUAAUCAACCCGCCAUCCAAAGCAGUUCAAAAUAAUAAGAAAUAUGUCCCUGCCUUUUCUGUUUUAGCCCCUGUGUUUUAGAGAAAUGGUGCCCGCAGUCCAAAACUUCUAAAAUGCCGUCUGAUUUAUUUAAAAUAUAAAAACAUGUUCUGUUUAUUCACAGUUUUGCCACUCAUCUUGUUUUGGCCAUAGAAUCCGCGUGUUAACUCCGAUUGAGCCCGUUCUUGUCGCGUUAGGUUCGUAUCGACGUAAACUACGCUUUAGCAGUAAUAGUUACCUCGUUUGACCAUUUAGGUUUUCACCAUAAAUAUAAAAUGAUUAAUGUCUAAUUAAAUGCCUUUCUAAUCUAUGCAAGUAAUUUAAGUUUAUAACUUUAGUUUUUCUUAAACAAAUAUUAAUAUGUUUAAUGUCAUUGUGAUUUGUCUUUUUAAGUGUGACUUACUUAGUCUAACCUCUUUUCAUAAAUGCUUUGUACAAGUUAUGUCACCAAUUAUAUGUUUUCUAGGCUAUAAAAGAUAAAGUGACUUAAAUGGUAUAUAAUUGUUUAUAAUUAGAAGAUGACUAAACAUUUAGUCCUAACCUUUAUAAUUCUUUAUAAUUUGGUAAACUCAACUUUCAGAUAUUUCUUUGAAUAAUCCAUCACCUGUUUUCUUAAAAUACGACCAACAUAUAGUCGUCUUCUCCGUUUCACUUCGAACCUCAAAAAUCGUGUCCGUUUAACUAUAGCUCUGUUCUCAAUCAUUCUUGCGUUGUCACGAUCGUAGCAUUAAGUCGUGUCGUUUAGUGCGCUCUUUCCAAGCUUUUCUUUUGAUUGUCGUUUGUUCUUAAUCGUGAUUGUUUGUUUGUCUGUUCGUGUUGCUUGGUUGCUACGAGUAGAAGCGUGGUUGAUCAAUAGUGAAGACCAAGAGCUAAGGACCGACAAUUGAAGCAGAAGUUGAAGAUCUGGAAGAUAGAAACCGAAGACUUCUAAGCAGUUAUACACUGGGAAUAAAGGCAAGUGCAGGCACCCUUUGAUCAUAUUGUACCUAUGAACUUUAAAUACAUUUACUUUCAUUGCAUGUGUCUUAAUACUGCAAACCCUAAGGACCUGACUAGUCUUCUACUAUAUUUCUUGUACUCCUGGGUUUUAUACAUGGGUAGAAUAGUGAACAGUAGUUAUGCUUAGCUGCUCUACUCAUCUAAUCUAUAUGAUAAUAAAAGUAAUAAUCUUGCCUAAUGAAUUCUUCAAUGAUGAUUAAUGUUUAAAUGAUGAACAAUGGUCACUUCGGUGACGGAGAUGUUGCGGUGCUUGUGAGCAUCGUGGUUUGUUGAGGAAAGGGGGAGCGGGUAUUGUUGGUUGGCCCGGUUGCCAUGCGUACCCGUCUCUACUCUCCGUAAGGACUUAGUCAUGGAGCGGCCCCCUGGGACAUACAGUGCAGCUCCAAGCUAUAUGGCUCUGGCUUGACUAAUUAUCAGGACCUCCACUGGUAGGGUGUUACUUUUCGGGUAGGCGUAAGGAAGUAGCUUGGGUAUUUAUAUUAAGAGGUCGGUCAGUUCGGGGUCCCAUUACUAUGGGCACGACUGCCGCGCGCCCCGGCAAAAACUUACGAGUGGCAUCCUAUUAGUUGGACCCUGUGAAAGGUCUCGUAGUGAAACCUUGCCUGCUCACCUUGGCAGUGUUUUGGGGAGUCGCGACCCCGGGCGAAUGGGAAUCAUGACUUGGAGUGAACGUGCACACCUCUGCAGAGUGUAAAACUGAUAUAUCAGCCGUGCUCACGGUCACGAGCGGCCCAGACCCUCACAUGAUGAACAAAUUGGAAUCACAUGGAACUUGGAGGCAAAACUUGGUUGAGGUUGCUACUUCGUGCUUUGGCAGAAUGGCUAUUCCGUGUUGGCAGGAUUGCUAUCCUGUGCUCUUAAUUGGGAUUGUUAUCCCAUAAUCUUAAUGGGGUUGCUAUCCUGAGUUACUAUUCGAGGUUGCUACCUCAGUGAUCUUAAUAAUAAUAGUAAUUAUAAUGAUGACUAAUAAUAUUGCUAAUUAACCUUGAUCUAAAUAAGGGUUGGGAUGCUCUACUCACAACUAGUAAUAGGUUGUUUAAUAAUAAAGUUGUAAUAAAAUUUUACCAACUAAAAAGCUCACCUACAGUCAAACAGUGUCAGCUUUUCCUUUGAUUAAGCCUUGCAUGUCAUUAUACUUUCCACCUGUACUUGUUGAGUUCGACAUGAACUCACCCUUGCUAUUUCCCCCACACCCCAGUGUGUAGUAAAGUGCUGCUCAGAAGAAGGACAUAGAUGCUAUGGAGUUUUCUAGAAGCUUAUCAGAAGUGCUUGGUGUACGGAGCCCCCGGUCAACCGUCCCUGAGAAGAUUGGAGCCUAAGAAGUUUAGCUAUUGUUUCCGCGUACUCUGAUGUUUGUAAGUGUUAAUAUAAAUAUGUUUUCCGCUAUAUAUAACAUUAUUUUUGAUAUUUCCAUUCUUUGUUGUAUGUGUGGACUUCCUGGGCACACAUAUGACGACUCUGGUCUUAUUUUAAAAACCAGGGUGUGACAUACAUUUAGCUCCAGAUGGCAGAUCAGACAUUUCGAGAGGUUAAAGGUACAGUAACUGAUGUCCCUGUCAAAAUAGACGAUCAUUUUGUCUACACAGACUUUCAGGUUAUUGACAUGGGAGAAGACGAAUACGAUCCACCCGUCAUCCUUGGAAGACCGUUCCUCAGCACUGUUAAAGCAAUCAUCUACAUUGGAACUAGAGAAGUCCAUAUGCACUUACCCUCAGAGAAGGUACGCCGCUAUUUUACUGACCCUAACUAUAUCGUUGAAGACUCUAAGCAGGUGAGGACAAGAAGAAGACGACGCAACCGCAACCAGAGGAGGCAAAUCAUCAAGGACAGAUGGGCAAACUAUGAAGGAGAAGUUAUAAGAUCUGAAGACAUACAACUUGAAUAGAACUAUCCUGAGGAGACCGUAGCACAGAGUCAGGUGUGGAGAGAGACGAUAACUGUACAUGAAGAGGAGGCGCCACUGGAAGCACCGACUGCGCCACCCAACGAAUCCCAGGACAACUGAGAAAAUAGAGAGUCCCGUUCGGAGGACUUAAAAACACCGAACGCCUUGCCAAGAGGUAAACUUGGUAGUUAUCCUUUCCCUUUCAAUUAUUUAAAAUAGUUUACUUAGUAAAUCAUGUUCAUACUAUCCUAAAAAAGAAAAUCAAAAUGUUAAAAAAUUGUAAGCCCCAUGUCAGUAUACGAGUGGCAUGAAACCCAUAAGUACAUUCACUGUGGUGGCAUAAAAAUAAAAUAAAUAGUUUUUUCUGCUUUAUAAAAUGAAAAUAUAAAAAUAGAGAGUAACAUUUAUUGAGGAGGCUCAACAUGAUAAAGGCUAGAUAUUUAUGCUAACACCUAAUCAGUUCCACAAAGCUUUGUUGUCUAUUUGAGCUCCAUAGAAUUUAAGAAUCAAGAAGACUAGCAGACGGAGGAUAUUCUAAUCGCGGUCAGGAUACUGUCGACUUUCAAAUACACCUCUACCACCUGCUAGCUACAUCAGAAGAAAUUACAUCAAAAUUCUGCUUGGGGGAGAGCACCCCCAUUUAUCUCGCUAAGUGUUUCUAUCUAUCUAUCUUUAUACUUAUACUAUAUUAAAAUAUAAAUAUACAUAACUAUGAAAAACAAAUAAAGAUUUUGUGCUUAUAUAUAUAUAUAUAUCUUUUGCUUAAUGUAUUUAAUAAAUAAAUAAAGUGUAUAUGCUAAACUGGAUCUUAAUAAUAAAACUCUAGCAUGGAUAUGAUGAAUAGUUGCUCUGCCUAAUUUUAAAAUUUGAGUUCUCUCUCAAGUUUAGACAUAACUGUUACAAUUUAAAGCUUACUCUAAACCUAAACUUGUGGGAAGAAAACUUGAUCUGAAGUCUAAGUUGUUAACAGAUAUGAUAUGGGAAGGUUGAGCUGAUAUUUAUCUGUUCCUAGAGAUGCUAGAAUUCUGGAGAAUUUUUAUCUUUCAAAAUCUUUAAAAUAUCACAUGAUGAGUUCUUGUAUGACUAGAGUUUAAAUUCCUACCACAGUCAUAUAUACAUGCUUGCUAGACUUUGAGCCACACAUUUACUUUUUACUGCCUAUGAGCAUUGAGUGUGGUCAAGCUGUGUAGACCCUUAGGAGCUUGUCAUGUGGUUAAAUCAAGAAUCACUUGCACGUUCACUCACAUAUGCUGCUUCUACUCCGGAAGUACACAUCCAUAUAUAUCCACCCAUUUCCAUCUCCAGAACCACCGAAAAAUAUUCUACUCCUAAUCCGGGAGAGAGUAGUAAAAAACAUUUCUGUUUUUCCCCUGUAAAAUAAAUGCUCCAGUUAUCUUGGUUACUACCACUUGCUAUAUUAUCUCAUGAGAUGAGUGCUCUAAAAAAAGAAAAAAAGAGAUACGAGGAAAUAAAAAGGGGCAAGUGUCCGGAACCUCGAAUAAAAGAAAAAGUGAGAUGAGAGGUAAAAAUGGACAAGUGUCCGACAGUAGAAUUAGGGGUACAAGAUACCCACCUGAGAGGAAAGAAAAAGAAAAUACAGAGCUUCUCAUUCUCCACAAAGUUUCAAAAGAGCAAGAAAGGUAUGUAUCUCCUCAAAAGAGCACAAGUAGAAUUAGACUUUCACCACUGUUAUCACCAUACACCAUUCAUUCGCCACACAUGCACAUCUUGAUUUGACUUAUUGACUUGUUUCUUUGGAUCCAUGGUUUGACAAUGCAAUAAAUGUCUUGUAAGUAUGUAUACUUUAUCUCCAAUCUAUGAGCUCCGGAUAUCAAAAGCCUUAUUAGACUAGGGUGAGAGAGAAGACAAUACCACUAUGCCUUAUACCACAAAUGCUACAUAUUUUGAGAGGAAGGCAUAUACCAUCACUGCCUUGGUAGGGAUUCAGACAUACCACAAAAGAGAGAUAUAAGAGAAUCAUACAAGGAAUCUCUGAGUUUUAUUUUAAAAUCUGCAAAAAACUCUAGAGCUAUAGUUGAUCAAGAAUAAGAGACAUGGCACUUGACUACACUGUUCUAUCUUUUAACUACUCAAGACAGAAGUGACAGUUACAUGUCCCAUGGUGAAAGGUAAAGUAAGUAAGUUUUAAGUCUUGACAGUUUACUCUAACCCAGAGAUGAGAUCUUAUUUAAAAGCAUGUGUACCGUCAACUUUUAAAGGCAUUUCAACAACUUCUAAUCCAUCGCUGAGAUUAUCCUUGCUCAGGGAUGAGCAAGAGGUAAGCUUGGGGGAGUUUGUUGACCGUCCUUAAGUAUUAAAUUUAAUUAUCAAAUAAAUAAAGAAAAGGAUCCAAAUGAAAUCAACAUCUAGACUUUGGGUUUUAUCUGACAGAAUUCACGAGUUUUGGUGUUUGUCUAUUUCUGCAGGGGGUUAUCAGGAAAUAUGGAAGAAAGUACCUUAUGUCAUGUUUACAUAGAGAUAUUAACGAGCCACGCAAUUAUCUUACAUCUAGAAGAGUCCAGAAGCCACAGGAAGGAAUGGGAGAACGGACGGGCUCGGGGGCAGGGCGCCCGCCCUCCCCCCUUGGGCGCCCGCCCUGGCCAAGAGUCCAAUCAGAACUCUCUUUUGGGAUUAUGCUCCACCGACCUAAAGGAUCAAUGAUAAUCGUUCAAUCAAUGUCGGUUUGAUCCAACGACCUAUAUUCACUUGGAGGGACUAUAAAACUAGACCCCUUGGACCCUAGAGGAGCAGAGCUCUCAACCCUAAUUCAUUAUUCAUCAAGGGAGAAGAAGCCUCUGAUCAAGCCUAGAGCCACCACAUCAAUUAGACAUCUAGAUUAGCAUAGCUACAUAGGAUUAGAACUAGAAGGAGUCAAUCUUCUAUUAGUUUCCGGAUCUGUCAAGAGGAUUCUUGGUAAUUCUCUAAUUGUUCUUCUAAUUGUUCAUCUUUGUUCUUCAAUAUUAUGAAUAUGACUUUGUUCUACUUCAAUAUAUUGCUUAUAACUUUGCUCUACUUGUUUAUAUUCGCAAUUAUAUUGUUCUUAGUUUAUCAUAGUUAUAUACUUGGCUUAGUUAGAUUGGAAUUAUAUACAUGUUUAGGAUCAUAUAGCGUUUAUCCAUCGGAUCCAUGGGUAAAUGAUAGAUAUUGUGUAGGCGUGGUGCUUAUACCGUAUUUAUCUACGAUUGUACCCUAUAUGCCAGAUCGCGGGGUAGUUCGUGAUAGUGACAGCUUCAUUGAUUCUUAUAUAGUCCCCCUCUCGUGUAUAGGGCUGGCAGAGCAACAUUAUUACAGGGGAGUGAUUGCUAUGUUUCUCAUUUACCUUGAUAAUAUCACUAUGCUUGGGCGUAAUCUUGUCUCACAAUGAUUGCUAAGUAUAAUUGCACUAACUAUGAUAUGCUAAACUAUAUAGUUAAGAAUAACUUAGGAAAUAUUCUUGUAGUUUGUUCUAAUUCCAUGCUAAUGACUUGCUAGAAUAUCUAAUUGAGGUGCUUAUCAUAUUUAUAUGUGGCUAAGUUAUGCUGAUCAGAUUAAUUAUCUUUGUCACUAUUCAUCACUUUAUAUAUCCUUUAUGUGACACUUAUCCCUGUAUGAAAGAAUUAGAUAACUAUUCUCAAUUAUACAUGCAAUGAUAGAUACUCAAUCUUAUAUUCUAUUCUAUAAUCAACAUUGAUGAUUACUAAUCCCUUCCCAGUGGUAAAAAUAUAAAUAACGAUACCUGGAAUACUUCCCGGUUAAAAUGCUACAUAGGUAUUAAUCUGUGCGCUUGCAGAUCCCAUUUGUUAUUUAUUUAGAUGAGCAAUUGCAUAUUUCAAUACCGCGUCUCUUAUGUCAUGUUGGGGAUGACAACUUGGCUUAAGUGGCAUGAGGGAUAGGUUUGGCAUUUUUUGCACCGUUAUCAGAAUUAGAAAACUAAGUCUACUUUUUGUAAUGAUGUUAAGAAUACCCAAUAGUAGUCCGCAUAGGUGACAGCUGCGUCGGUUCCUCUUUAGUCCACCCCCCGUACAUAGGGCUAGCAUGGGCGCGGUCGCGAAGGAGGUGAUGGUUGCGUCUUAAAACCCUCAUUAGUUGAUGCCUCUUUACAUGUAAUUAUGAUAGAGGGUUGACUUAACGAUGAUUUCUAGAUGUAAUUUAACUAAUUAAAGUUAUUCAUUGGUGUAGUUAUAGAAUUACCUUUGAUCCAACUCCCUAGUUUAUCCAUUGGCUAACUAUUAUUAUGACUAGUAGAUGCUCUGAUGAUUAUCCUUAAUUAUGAUACUUGAUGACUAUGCUAUCACUAUUAUUUACCUAUAUUUAUCUUGUGACCUCUACCUGUUAUGAAGUAGACUAUACGACUUGGGUAAUAUCAUUUAUUCAUCCUAUAUAGUUUCUUAUCAAUAUAAUAGAAUAUAGUUUACACUUAGCCUUCCUAGUGGCAUAAAUAUAAAUCUACAACCUAGAUACUUCCCUAGGUAAAAUGCUACAAUGGUAUGAUUAUCUGUCCGCUUGCAGAACCCAUUUAGUUUAUAAUUAUAUUCAUAUUUGUUAUUCUCUGUAUUAAAUUAGGGAUGACAACCUACUUCAUGCUUAGGAAUGUUAGAGUGGUUUGUUGCUAUUUGAUAAGUUAAUGAUAUACCGUGCAUUUCUGGUGUUGUCGCUGGGAGUACAGUUUAUCUCUAUUUUUAGUGAUGAUGGUAGUAAAUGUCAACACUUACCUAGAGAUGUUACCUUUAGUAUUGAAGCAUGUUGAAGCCAUAACAUCUUGUGGAAGCUUUCCUCGCUUGGCUAGUCACGUGUCUUGUUCAUGGACAGCUUGUCUCCUUUAUUGUACUCCUUUCUUACCUUAUGCCCUUAUUGUUUGCUCUCUGUCUAAAUUGUGCUUGGACCUUUAGCUCUUCUUAUACUUUUAUCCUUGCAAAUCAUUAGUGGACAACAUACCCGAAGGAAUAUACAAGUAAUAAUAAGAGCAUUGUUGUAACAAAGCUAAGGUCACUUUCUAUGCUACAAAGAACUUGCUUGAUAGCACAUUUAUUAUUCACAAUUACUUCUUCGUAAAGGAUUGAUUUUAUCUUAUGUUUUGAUUCACAAAUAUAGGCAUCAUGAAUCAACUCAAACUUAUAGAAAUAAAGUAAUAGUGAAUUUAGAGAUUGCAAACUAGCGUGUGGAGCGAUGAGAAAGAACUUGGUUGGAUCAGCUAGAGGACUUGGCCUUUCUUCAUCAUGUCUUAGCUUCAUGACCUCAAUGGUGAGAGUGCAGAUCUUUACAUGCUUUUCUCUUCUCAAUCUUUUCUUGAUUCCUGAUAAUUAGUGAUUAACAAGAGAAUGCAACUCCAUGGAGUGAGUGCUUUGAUCAUGGAUCAUGUUUUGUAGCACCCUUCUUUCUUCUUGGCCAUGAGUGAGUUGUCACCCUUGUGCAAAAUUAUGUUGUCUCUCUUCAUCACCAGAGUGAGUUCAUAUCAGGACUUUCCCAUUUUGAAUUUGGUAUUAAAUGUUUUCAUGCAGGGGUUAGUCCAACAAAAUAUCCAAUAUAUACUACAGCAUACCAUCUGCUAAAAAAUCAACCUAGACACCACGUCUAAUUUGAUUCAAGAAGGCAUUUUAACCUAAGCACCAUGCUUAAUUGAAAAUCCUUUUGAAGAAAGAUCACUACUCCUAAACUAAGCAUCAUGCUUCAUUCAAGAGAUACGAACAUACUUCAAAGCCUAUGCAUACUAUAGUAAACAAAGGUGGCAUGAAAGCAAUAUAGAUGUUUACUCAAACAGUGAUGAAAGAGCAUGAUUAUUGUUUAGCAAAUUGAGCAUAUCUUAAAGGUAGGGACAACCAAGAUGAUUUAGCAACAUGGCAAGAGAUGUAUCUAUGAAAACAUUUCCCCUAAGGUAGACUUUUGCAAAAAUCAAGAUUGGAUGAAAGUAAUUCAAUGUUGCAUAAUGAUUGGUUAGACGUACCUUGCAUUUGUCACUCCUUUGAUCUUUUGCUCCAAACCUGGUAAGGUUAGUGACAAAAAUACCCAAAGGAAUAUUUUCAAAAUUAUAGUUUUAUGCUCAAUUAACAAGGGUAACACAGGAGGAAGGUGAACACUCAUGUCAUGGUCUGAACUAUGCUUAUUUUAGGACACUAAGCUUGUCAUGGGGAAACCUUCAAAAUGUGAUUUGGUGAAGUGGUUUCCCUUCCAACACCAAUCUAACUGCACUACUCUCAAGAUUCACCACAGUGAGAUCUAAAAUAUUUAUGAUAAGCAUAUGUGUCUACAACCACCCUUUCAAAAACUUUAGGAAGAGGAAGCAUGAGGGGGUUGAAGAUCUCAUGUGGAGCAAUGUUAGAGAGACUAAGUGAAUCAGGAGAUUUUUCAUAUGAGAAAGGAACUGAUGUGGUGUUAAUGAAGUAGCUCCCUAGCUCAUUGAAGUCUUCAUCAUUUUCUACUUCCAAGGGUGAUUCGUCAUAAAUGUUAAAAACCUCCCUUGGAUUGCCUUUCAAAUUGGUCUCAUAUAAGGCCUCAUCCUCACAUUCAAUGGCAAUAGCAUAUUGGUUUUUAAUGCUCAUUAGCCAUUGAUGUUGCUCUUCUCGAUCCUCCUUAUAGUCUAGAUGAUUUCUAUGUGUGGGGUGUGUAGAUGGAUUUCUAAGAUUGUCACGAGGUUUAGGAGAAAGAGCAUUAGAGGAUUCAUUUGAGUUUAGGAUGGGUUCAAUGGUGGGUUCAUAAAAGUCAUCUAAUGUGAGCAUAGAAGGGGAGAAGAUAGGAUUGUAUUCUAGGUGGUUUUGCUCUCCUACUAUGGCAUCACUAGACUUUCCAUCCUUCCAUCUUCUAAAGGAAGUAUUAUCAAGACCCGUAUAAGGAUGUUGGAGAAGAACAAGGUCUUGUAAGGCUAGGUCUAAACCUAAAUUUAUAAGAAGACUGUAAAAUUCCCUUAGUGUAGCCAGAAGUUUAUUACCUUCUUGACCAGAAGAUAUGACUUUGGCUAUAGAAGAUAUUCCCAUGCUUCUAGAAUGGUUUCUAUCUUCUGUUGCUGAAAAUUGGUAAUCCUUCCUCUUAAGGCAUUGGUCUUACCUAUCAGGAAGAAUCUUUCUAGAAGGGCCUUCGAACACUUUGCCCAUGUGUUGAUGUCUUCUUUAUUGGCAUAAAACCACUGCUUCUUUCUUCCCACUAGUGAGAAUAGAAAGAGGUGAAAUAGUAUGAUACCUUGAUUAACUUCUUCUAUGGCGAUAGUGCUUCUAAUCUCCAGGAAAUUCUACAGAUGUGCACUUGCAUCUUUAUGUACCUUUCCACUAAAUUGAGUAGCUUGCACCAUAUUGAUGAGGCUUGGCUUGAGUUCAAACUCAAGAUUUUCUAUUUCCAGUGCUAGACCUGUGCGGAUAUUCUCAACUCUAGGAGCAGAGAAUUCACGUAGGGUUCCUACAGCCAUAGCUUCAGGAAUUGGUCACGAGCUUCUUCCUUGAUUGAUCUAAUUCUGAUGAUGUAGAGUUGAGUGAAUCAAAAUCAAUCCUACUAAUACCCUAUAUAAGAUAUAAAUAUAGAAAAACAAUAGGGUGAUACUAUCAAAGUAGAGGUACCUUAUUAUGAUUUCUCAUUUUCUAAUAAUCUAUUUAUGCAAUUUUCUCAAAAGUUUAUUUCUUCCCUGGCAACGGUGCCAGAAAUGCAAACACUUCUAAUGCCACUUCCUUGUUUAGAUCCAAAAAGUUUUUGAAUUUUAAUAAUUUAGCACUUUCAUUUUUAUUUGACAAACAUUGUCCAAUCAUGGAGUAACUGGGCUUAAAUGAUUCGUCUCGCGAUUUACAGGUAAAGUGUGUAAUUAUUUUUUGUUUUCAUCUAUAUUUAAUGCUCCAUGCAUGUGUCGCAAGAUUCGAUGUGACGGGGAAUCUUGAAAAGUUUUUGGUUUUUGGGUUGAACUAAACAAGGCCUAAGUUGUCAUCCCUAGCAUGAGACCAGAAGUGUUUGGUAUAGAACUGCUCCGCCUAGAAUAAAUAUGGGAUCCAGAAGCAUACAGAUAAAAUACCAUUGUAGCACUUCAUCAGGAAAUAUUCCAGGUAUCGUUAAUUUAUAUUUAGCUCGAGGGAAAGAACUAAGGACUUAAACUCAAGAUGGAUUUGCAUAAUACAUCUACUUUUGAGAAAUCAAUCACACAAUCACUUAUUUUUGUAGGGGUAAGCCAUAAGGGAUAAAUAAAGAUAAUGAAUUAUAAAGCACAGGGUAUAAAUCAUGGAGAGAUUAGAGAUAGACUACUCAUCAUAAAGGUAGGCCGAUGUCUGAUUAGUUCAAGAGAUAAAAAUCUAGGUAGGUUCUAAUCUACUAAGCUAUUCGUCUACUCUAGCAAACACACAAUCAUAUAUAGUGUAAAGGCCCUUCAUCUAUGUAACUUCAAUUUUCCCUAUCCUAUCAAUGGGGGGUGGACUAUAUAAAACUCAACAAAGCUGUCACUUUUGUGAACAACCACAUGACCCUACCAAUAGGAUACAUUCAUAGGUAAAUAGCAUCUAAGCACCAUGCCUACAUGUGAUCUACCACUUAACUCCCUCGUGAAGAAAGCUAAGCACUUUGCAAACUUAUACAAAAACUCUUUAUCAAUCAUAACCAUAUAUCAAAUGCACUACUAGAGGAAACUAGGACCAUAAUAAAUAGAAACAUAAUGAUAUUUAGAAUAAAGUUAUAGAGCAAAGAUACAAGAUAGUACCAAUACUUUGAUGAUGAAGAUCUGAAUCUCAAUCACAAUCGCCCGACUCUUCCUCUAUCUAGUCUAAACCUAUGUAGAACUUGAAGAACUGGAGUAUCUAUUCUAAUUCUCUAGUGGAGAGAACUCUCUCUAAACCCUAGCUUUGUUGACGGCUUCCUCUAAUGAGUUUUUAAUGAAUUCUAUCUAAAUAAGGGUUUCUCCUAGGGUCAGGGGCUCUGUUUUAUAGCCCUCUAGGAAGCACCACAACCCUUGGAUCCAACCGACCUUGAUCUACAAUUAUUAUUCAUCCUCAUAGGCGGUGGAGGCAGAAUCCGUGAGGUCGCUCCUAAUUGGUUCUCUGUCCUUGGCGGCCGCCCAAGGGGUGGGGGCAGGCACCCCACCCGUCAGGCUAGAUGGCCUCCUGAAAGGUCCUAAUAUGGCUAGAGGGGGGGUGAAUAGCCUAUUUAAAAAAUCUACAAACUCACUAGAGCAUGAGGUUAGUAAAUAACAAAGCGAAGCUUUUUGCUCUAGCUCUAAAGGGGUGUUUGCAAGCCACCUAUCCAACAAUUCUAGUUGAUAUGAUCACUAGGCACACAAGAGCUAUGUCACUACUUACACUAGAAAGCUACCUAAAGUUUCUAUACAAGUAAGUAAGCUACUCUAGUUUACGGGAAUGUAAAAGAGAUGGUUUGAUCUUUAUACCGUCACGUAGAGGAGAUGAACCAAUCAAUAAUAUGAAGUCCAAUUACUGGGAGAAAUCCAAUGAACAAACUAAAUGGAGACACACAAUUUUCUCUCGAGGUUCACGUGCUUGCCGACACGCUAUGUCCCCGUUGUGUCGACCAACACUUGGUGGUUCGGUGGCUAAGAGGUGUAGCACAAACCUCGUCUUCACUAGGACACCGCAAGAACCUAUCCACAAGUGAGGUAGCUCAAUGACACGCGCAAUCCACUAGAGUUGCCUUUGGCUCUCCGCUGGGGUAGGCACAAAACCCCUCACAAUCACCGGGAGAUGGCCACGAACAAUCACCAACUCGUGCCAAAGCUCUUCCACUGCUCCAAACCGUCUAGGUGGCGGCAACCACCAAGAGUAACAAGAAAACCACAGCCAAAUCGAUCCCCAAGUGCCACUAGAUGCAAUCACUCAAGCAAAUGCACUUAGAAUCACUCCCAAUCUCACAAAGAUGUUUAAUCUAUGAAGGAGAUGAGUGGGAGGUGUUUGCUUAGGCUCACAAGGAUGUCAAGUAUGCUAAAAUGCCAAGAGUGUGAGCCCUAAGCCGGCCAACACGCAUUUAUAAGCCCCUCAAACAAAUAGAGCCGUUGGCUCUUUUACUGGGCAAAACACGGGGUCACCGGACGCUCAAGCAGGAGACACCGGACGCUCAACCCUUGUGUUCGGUGCUCCAGAAACGGCCACAUGUCGCCUAUUGAAUCUCACGCGUUGGAGUCUAACAGUAACCUGCAAAGCACCGGACGUUGUCAAGUGUGCACCGGACGCCUCCGGUGCACACCGGUCUUAAACACAGAGAGGUCUGCAAACUCGCAGGGUCACCGGACGCACCCCACCGGACGCACCUGGAGCAUCCAUUGCUCUCAGUUAGGAUUACUCACAGAAGACAGAUAACACUGGACGCAUGAACAGGAGUCAACCUAUGUCCGGUGUUCAUCGUCCGGUUCUUAACCCUAGCCGAGUUAAGCACAACAACACACCGGACGCUUAGGCUCAGCGUCUGGUACUGCGUCCGGUGAGUAUUUCUCCGCAAGAAACACUCCCGAGACUUCUCCAAAUUUCCGACCGGCGCAAUAGAAAAUAUGCACUUUAUUUUCUAAAAAAGCGCUGAAUCCCCCUUCUCAAAGUAUGCCAACACCACAAUGUGUAAACCAACAUGUGCACGUGUGUUAGCAUUUUCACAAAUCAUUUUCUUCGAAGGAGUUAAGUGAGCUCACUAGGUUCUAAAUGCAUGCACAUGAACAAUGACACCUAGUGGCACUUGAUAACCACUUAGCCAAAGAAUUCACCUCUUUAUAGUAUGACUAUCUAUCCUAAAUGUGAUCACACCCUCUAUGGUGUCUUGAUCACCAAAACCAAAACCCUAAGCAAUACCUUUGCCUUGAGCUCCAUAGGGUUUUGUUUUUCUCUUUCUUCUUUUCCAAGUUGAGCACUUGAUCACCUUGUGGUCAUCACUAUCAUCACCAUGAUCAUCUCUUGCUCCAUCACUUGGCAUGUACCAACCUCAUUAAGUCUACACACACUUAGUAUAGAGGUUAGUACUACGGUUUCAUCAAUCAUCCAAAACCAAACUAGGGCUUUCACCUCCGUCUUCGCAGGGUUGCCUUCCAAGUAUUUUAGAUUCCAGAAAAGUUAUUUAUAGUUUUUUGUCUGUAUGUAAACCUGACUUGUGGGCCUCUUUUGGUUGUUUCCCGAUAACCCCCUAUAGAAAUAGACUUUCACCAAAACUCAUAGAAAUUGUCAGUUAAAACCCUUAAGUCUAUGGUGUAGCUUAUUUUAACCCGUGUUUUGACUCUUUGUUGACUUAUAAAAUUGAUGGUUAAGAAGUAUUAAUAGUUGGCAUUAUAGUAAUUUCAUUAGAAUCCUUGGCCUCAUCAAUCCAUUCUUGACUUACAAUAGUGGAUGGAUUCUCCAACUGCCAUUGUUUCUCUACUUGGUGAGAUUUAUGGCCCUCAUGACUUCCAUGCCUUGGGUGUCUUAGUUAAUCUCCAAAGAUAAUGACUGGAUCAUCAUAGGACUUACAAAGAGGGGCACCGUUGGGAUUAUCAGGAUCAGGGAUGAGUUUAGAGACGAGUUCAAUGGACAUGCCAGAUGUGGGCAUAGAAGAGAAGAGGAUAGAUGUUUUCUUUUAUGCAUCUUAGUUUUUCUUCUAUGGGUGCAAAAGGCAUUUCUUUUGGAAGUUCAUCCAGGAUCCUAGGUUUUUCCUAAUGUGCUACUUGAGAACUCGAGGCAUAAAAUGGUGUUGAUUUGGGAGGUUUCCAAAGAGAUUUCUUCUUAAGAGGGUUUGAAAAGUGUUUCUUGGAAGGUCUCUUAUGGGAAUUCCCAAAACUAGUGGGAUCAUCUGAGAGUUUGGUCUCGAAAUCGAAGGAGUGAUUUAGAGGAUGGGUUUCUUCCUCCUUCGAUGUUUGUGGUAUUUGUAGUUCUAGUUUGAUAGCUAUAGAGGUGGAUAAUGGAGUUUUGGAUGUUGUGGUUUCAUCUCUAGGAGUUUGAUCUGCCUUAGGAGCUUCAUUAUGAUCAUCAAUGUAGGGGGUGUUCUUGAGAAUAGUCACAAGAACGUCCUUACCUUCACUAAUGGGUAGAUGAAGGAAUGCUCCCUUAGAGGAUAAAUCAAAGAAUUGUGCAGAGGUUUGUCUAAGACCAAGGUAGAAAUGUUGCAUAAGUGUUGGCUCAGUUAUAGAUAAAUCUAGGCCGGAUGAUGCUGAGUUUGUAAGAUGUGCCCAGGCCUCACCUAGAGACUCAUUUUCUUCUUGCUUGAAGUUUAGGAUGUCUCUAUGAAGAUGAGAUACGCGGGAGAUGGGGAAGUGAGUUAAACAAAACUUGGCUUGUAGCUUCUCCCAUUCUCCUCCUACACUACGUACAUAGCGCGUAUACCAUUGUCUGGCUUUUCCCAUAAAAGAGAACGGAAAUAGCUUCCACUUAAGGGUUACUCACCUAAUCCCUUGGAUGUGAAUACACAAACAAAGUUGUUUGAAAUCGCAUAGGUGUGUAUAGGGAUUCUCAUCUCCUUCUGCCAAAAAGGGAUUCUCCUGAACCAUCGAUAUAAGACUGGGGUGAAGCUCAUAGUGAACGGCCAAAAUGGCAUGUGUGAACUAGGCGGCUCCAACUCAAUUCCCGAUGGAGCAGCGUAAUCGAAGAGGGUUGUUUGAUCCAUUUAUAGGUGUGGUAAAAUGUUUUAAUCAAACAAAGAUAACUCAUCGAUUUUUACCCUAGUUAAAACAUCUACCAUUCCUCGGCAAUAGCGUCAGAAAGCUUGUCGACACAAGAAGUGGCAAACGGAUAUACCGCAAGCGUACGGUAGUCAAUGUAGCCUUCGCUGGGAGUAUUCCAGGUAUUUUAAUUUCCAUAGAGAACGUGAAGUGGUUCAAGUAGGUUCAAGAUCGUCAGGUGAUGAUUGAAGGGUUUAGGAUUAGGUAUAGAGAGGUUUGUCUAGUAGAAAUAUCUGACCACAGUAUUCUAUGUAUAACGAGGUAUUAUAGAGAGGGCUCAGGUUUUUCACUCUAGGGUGUGGAUGAAAAAGUAGGAGAUAGAACCCCUACUAAGGCAACUACCAUGCUUAGCCCCGCUAUUAUGGACAACUUGCCUAACAAUACAUAUGAGGAACUCUAGACACUAGCUAGGCCUGUCACCCCUUACGCUAGCAUGUCUCACAAUGCGACAAGAAGCUCACACUAGUAAGAUCUAGUCUAGACUCUAUGUCUACACUAAUAUCACUACUCUAAGCUUAGCUAAAGCAUCAAGCACUUCAACAAGUAAAGCAGUAUGCUAGUAAGAAGACCAUAUACUUAAAGUAACAAACUAGAAUAUUAAAUACUAGAUGGAGUGAAAUGUAAAACUUACAAGAAGAUUUGCUUCCGCUAAGGCAUACCUUGGAGAAGACUCCCAAUAGGCAGAGACUCCACCUUGGAGACUCCUUACUAUCUUCCAUCUAUCAUUGUACUAAAGCUACUAAAGUAGUAUUUCUUCCUAAGAUGCACACCCUAGAGUGAAGGCCUAUGGGGGUAUUUAUAAGGGGAGAUGGAGUAGCACCAUGUCAUCAAUCAAUGUGCCUUUUCUCCUUGACCUUUGGAUAAACCGAUGUUGAACUGACCUUGGAUGGACGCCUUGGAUUCACCACGUGCACCAUUGCCUGCUUGAAGUCGGUGGGAGGAAGCUAAGCUUCCAAGCUGCCAAGGUGGGGCCGACCGACCCCAUCUAUGGCCGGUGGGCCCCAAGUUGGGUGUCCCCACAUGUCAUUGAGUCUAACCUAGAUAUUGUUUGAAUUGUUGUAACAUCGGUUCUUUAGUUGUGGGACUAUGGAUCCAUGUGCUUUGAUCUUCCAACAUUGAUUUCAAGCACACUUGUGAUCCAAGGGUGGAGAUUGAGCUUGAAGUGCUUCACUUGGAUAGUGCAAGCUUAGCAUGGUCUGGGCCCACAGGACAGGGGUUGGGUGACCCCCUCUUUGUGGCCCUAGCAUGUCAGCCUUUGCACAUUGCUCCUUUCUUACAUGGAACUCAUAUUUAUGUAGUCAACUUGUAUUUCUUGAUUAUUGCUACUUCUUCCCUUUUAGGCUUCUAGACCCUGAAAAGUACUUGUUCUAGUACCUGCAACCAAAUAAUGCCAUGUACAUGUGGAACCAGGUUAUUUGUACCUAUAUCACUACUUGUUUGGUAGUUUCUUCCCCAUAAUUAGUGUUUGGUUGAUGAUUAUGUUGGUAGAAAACAAGGUACAAUUAUCGUCAACACUCACAGACAUGAGCGGCCUUGGGAACAUCUACAUUAAGGAUGGUGAUGCUUAUUAUGUUAAUAUGUUUAUUCACUUAUCAUUUAUGUUGAGUUAAUUAUACUUAUAUUGAUCAUGUGGUUAUGGGAUUAUAUGCUACCUUAUUGUUGCUACUACUUGAUAAAUAUGAUACAUACAUAAAUGCUAAAUGCAGUCAAACCAGUGUCAGCUAUUUAAGCCUCAUGAACCCCUGGUUAUGCUUGUUGAGUACGAAAUAUGCUCACUCUUGCUAUUUUAUAAAACCACAGGAUGUGCUACUGAAGAUGACUAGAAUGAGGACUAUCAUAAUGAGUACUAGGCUUGGAGUCAACCAGUCGACGUUUCUCCCCGUGUGGUGCUUCCAUUAAGAGACUAUCUAUUACUAUUAGUAUUAUUGUUUAAGACUAUGUGCUAACUAUUCAUUUGUUAUGUAAUAAACAUUGUGAUGAUGUUAUUUGAGAUUUGUCAAUUUAUGUGUGUGACUAUUUCUAGGGUGCAUAUGAGACUUUUAUACAUUCUAUUUUGUCCUAGAAAUUUGGGUGUGACAAGGGUGUAGGCUCUGCGGGCGCAUCCGCCAGUAGGGCAGACCCCAUGGCCAUGGCACGCGUGGUGGCAGCCUAGACAUCACGUGGGGAUGCGGGAGGUUGUCCAUGGGAGCAUGGAGGCCAUGUCUGGGAGGUUGUCACGCUCCAUUCCUUCGCCAAGGGCAAGCCAGGACACCUUCUAGCACCACUCUAUCCCUGUGCACCCUGUCCCACAAGCUCUACCCACCAUGGCCACUUGUGCCCUGGCCCGCCAUUGUCGACGGUCCUCUCUCUUUCUAUUCAGGUGAAGGAGAAGAGGCAAAAGAGGAUAAGAUAUAGAGAAAGGGUGAGACGUGGUAUUUUGGACAUCUUUACUGGUCAGGCUCACAUGUUAGAGCUGCUAAAUGGUGAAAACUCGACGGAAGAUAGACGAAAUGGCUUGGGAGGAAAAAAAAGAAAAGUGUCAUAGUACAGAGGUCUGCUCCAAGUUUUUAGUUGCAUGGAGGAAGGGACCAUAUUUUUUAAUGGCACACAAGGAAAAGCCUCCAGAGCAUUGGGCUUUUUCGUGCCAUAUGUCGUUUAGAUUUGACUUUUGCCCCAUUCUAUGCUCUCCUCUAUUUGUUCAAUAGGGUCCUCGUUCUAUUCUAAACCCAUUGCCAUCCAUAGUUUCCUUGUCAACGCGAAGGGGCAAGUUAUAGGGCUCCAAUUUCUCUAAGUAAGGACUGAUAUGUAAGCAUCAACCUAGGACUUAUAGUACAACCACGAUGACUACAUAUUUUUGUUCUUUUUCUUAAUACUCUGAGCUUUUCUAGCUUGUUAGUGGUUACCAAAUGUAGUAAAAUGGGUGUGACAGGGGUGACCGAAUCGGGCAUAGGAUGACUCCUAAUGUUGAAUACUUUUGCGCAAGUGUGCCAUGAUGUUAGGGGGGUCUAUGUUUUUGGGCCAUGGAAAACUAGUGGAGAUCAAGUUUUUCAUUGUUUUUAGCUUCACCAUUAGAAUAUCAACUUACAUCGUGCCAUGUACUACUGAAUUAAGUAAAAAAAUGUUGUAUUUAAUUGGGUUUAUCCAAUUUUUAUUAAGCAAUUAAAUCAAAGAAAAUUCCAAAAUCAAAGUUAAUACUAGAUAUAUUUUGUUGGGUCCUUUAUGCAGUGUAAUUGAUGGUUUGAUGAGUGUUAAGUGCAUGGCGACCAUUAUGUGUUAGUGGAUUACGAUGACUGUUGUUUUAGUGGUUUCUGUUAGUAGUAACAGACAUUGAUUUGUUAGUUUCAUAAGUUACUAGUAACGGACAACAGUAUGACGGUCACUAUCUCUUCAUGUGCUUGGCUCUUCAUCUUCAUCUUCCUCGGUUGCUAAAUAAAAAGGGCACUCUUGUUUGUGAGUGAGAAGGCACAACCAAGAACACCACCUUGCUGUUGUUGUGCUAUUCGAGCUUUCCUGUCCUGGUUCCUCCGUGGAUAUUGAAAGGGAGAGGAGGUCUCCAAAACCACCCCAUCCUCUGUUUUCGUCUGCUGAUUGAAUCCCGACAGUCAAGGUUUUGGAGAGCAUCUUCCACAUGGCUGCUCAACCUUCUUCCUGAUGGUUGCUAAUUCUUCUUCCAGCUACUUCCUGAUGGUUGGUCUCUUGUGGUGGUGAUCGGCAUUGCUAUUUUUUACGCUGCAAUGAGUAGGACGACUACAUCAAUAAAUGUUAUGUCGACCUACAAAAAUGGCUCGGGUGCGGUUGGUUAUGCUACUAUAGCAACCAUCUUUCUCUUUUCUAUGUUUGAAUCCAUGCUUAGUAUCAUGCUCGUUAACUUGCUUGCAACUUGAUCACACAUGCACCUCUCUGAAGUCAGAAACAUGUUGUUAAUAUUUUUUUGGAUUAAAUUAAAACUGAGUUUGCCCAAAUUUCUAACAAAGUAAGUUCUAUUUAGUUUUGAAGUUUUAAUAAUCUCUCUAUUCCAAAUUAAUUAUAAGAGAUUUGGCUUUCGAACACAUACAUUGCUUUUGCUAUGUAUAUGUAAGUUGACAUAAUGUAUAUCUAAGUAUAUGUAGCAAAAAUUAUAUAUAUUUUUUUUGAAUUACUUGAGAGAAGUUAAAACAUCUAUAUAUAGUUUGAAAUGGAUGGAGUACUAUAUUAAUUCUAGAGUUAAAUCUUGGACGAAGACAACCCCAAAGAAAACGGAGAUGAGCCUUGUAAUACCUGAUUUUAAGGACAAAACCAGAUAUGCACCAUAUGUGAGUCUUAGAAGGCAAAUCUCACAUAUAGCUACAAAUAAGGGGUAAUAUCAAAGGACAAUGCAUAAAUUAUAUAACAUACUUAGUAUAAAAGAGAUAACCUUUGAUAGCAAACAGUGGAUAGACAACUCCAAACUUCGGGUAUUAACUUUACUCUACAGGAUCCAACUAACUGGUUGAUCACAAGCCUAAAGAAUCUCCUAAAGUGUGGGGGAAAUAGCAAGAGUGAGCACAUAUCGUACUCAACAAGUAUAACAAGGGGUUCAUGAGGCUCAAUAAGCUGACACUGGUUUGACUGUGUUUAGCUUAUACAUAUAUAUAGCAUAUUAAAUCAUUGGAAAGCAAAUAUCAAUGUAGCAUAAUUAAUCCCAUAACCACAUGAUCAAUGUAUACAAAAAUUUAAGAAUAACACAUAUAAACAACAUAAUAAUCCAUCAUUUAUCAUCAUUAAUCAUGUUCAUCACUGUUCAUCUAUUCCGUCAGUUUUUCGGGCCGCCCGUAUCCGUGGGCACGGCUAGUAUACCAGAUUUAAACACUCUACAGAAGUUAUACAUCUUUACCCAUGAGUCAUGAUUUACCCUUUCGCCCGAGGCCCGUCGACCUCUUAACCCACUACCAAGGAGGUCGGCAGGGAUCACUAUGAAGUCUUUUAAAGGUUCGUCUAACAAGUUAGGGCCGCUUGGUUUCAUUAGUCAAUCCAUGUGAUCCACCCGUAGGAAUCCAACUAGAAAAAAUUACUCAUACUUGACUAAAGCUAGAGCCAUAUAGCCCUCAUGGUUGUACGUGUUGUCCCAGCUUUUGCCAAGGGAUAAGUCCUUAUGGAGGGUCAAGAUUAGUCUAGCAAAAGCCAGAGUUCUUUCCACUCUUUAUAUUCAAGUUGCUAGAAAGCUUAUUUUAUUGUUUAUUGUAUAUCCAAACAUUCAUGUUACAAGAUCAUGGAUUAUAAUCAAGCACUAGCAAGAACUACCCAAAAUGCAUAUCCAAAUAGGUAUCAAGGAAUUCAAGAUAACAAUCAUCUAUGAUUUUACUAGGGUUGUCAAGGUGGACACAUGCAUAUGAUAUAUGUAUUAAAAGUGUAUAGGUAACAAGGAUGGUCCCAAGUUAUACUUGCCUUGAUCAAAGCUCUCCUGAGCCUGCUGGUCGUCAAAAGUUUGAUCUUGCUCACCAACGUAUGACUCACCGUCUAUCCACAACAUCAAUCAACAACACGCAAUCUAAUGUAAGCAAUCAUACACAAAGCAAACAAAGCUACAAUUAGAACAGUACACCAAUCAUAGAAAAACAGUAUGAAAAGUUUAUAAAAUGAUUCUACGCAUCGCUACGAUCUCACAGACGUAAGGAUCACAAAAAUCGGAGUUAAAACGAAGAAGUUAUGAAUUUUCUAAAAUUUUCUAUAGAAAAAUAAUUAAUUAAAUAGGGUCACAAAAUUAUAAAGUUUCAAAUUAGUGAAACAGUGAGACUAUCAUGUAGAGCUCAUUAUUAUGAAUCCAACGCAAUUUGAACGGGUCAAAUCGGAGUUCAAAUGAAUAUUUUAUAGCCAAAAGAAAAUUAGUGGCAAACUUGUAAUUUGCUGAAAACGUAUUUUCAACCAACCCAGGCUGAAUUAGGCUUUCAAAGUCAGAUUGCGUAUUUUAUAAAAGACGUUACGGAGCGCGGGUUUUAAUACAGAAAAAGGCAGGGUCUCUUUAGAGAAAUUUACCCUUAAGGGGUAUCUUCUAAUGUGGGCCCUUGAUCUUGAUCUGGACGGCUCAGGUUAGAUCGGGGCUUGGGGAAAGAGGGCGCCGGCGGUUACUGUAGCCUGACGGCGGCGCCAUCGCCGGAGGCUCGCCGGAGUUGGGCGAGAAAACGCUUUGGUGCACCAAACUUGAAUCCGAAGGCAUGGGGAGAAUGAAGAGAGCAAGGGGAAAUCACCUAGGGGGUUAUCGAGGCUCGGGCGAUCUCUGGGGAGGCACGCGACGCAAAACCACGGACGGCUCUUCCUGUGCAGGUUCGGCGCUGAUGUGAGAACAAACGAUCACGGUAGAAAGUUAGGGAAGGAGCUUGGAAGCUUCGUUUCCUCAACGCGAAGCUCGGCAGGGGAUCCAAUUCGUGCAAUGGCAGCGAAACGCGAACUGCUUGAUGGCGGCCGUGUCCAAGCUCGACGAGAUCAUGUUCUCGGUAUCUAUAGCGGCUAGGGUCUCCAAUGUUGCAACAAGAGAGAACGGGGAGUGGAGCGAUAUCACAGAGCUUAAUAGGGCAACUCGGCUCGCUCCCACAUGACGAAUCCCACAAGAAUCGGGAUCACGCGGAUUUGUUUACCGUGAUGAGGUCCGGCUUAAGCACGACCUAGGGGAGAAGACGGAAGGGGAAGGGGAACACUGACAGGUGGGGACCGGCUAGCAGAGAGAAAAGGAGAAAGGGGUGGCGCAGGGCUUGUCCCAGCUGGGCUGUGCUAUGGCGUACUGGGCCGGUUACGCAAGAUGGCCAAUGGGCUGAGGAAGAGAGGUGGGGAGGGGGAUGGCGUGGGCUCGUUGCACGGGCUGGCCACUCAGCCGAGGGGGAAGAAGCCAGGCCUUCGUGCCAGAAAGGAGAUGGGGAAGUUUUUCUUUUUUUCUUUUGUUUUGUUUUCUUUUUUUGUUUCUUUUUUAUUUCAAAGCCAUUUCAAAAACAAAUUUGAAAAUCAUUUUAAAAUCAGUUUGACUUACCUUGAAUUUUUAAUUAAAUCCACACAAUGCAAUAAAACAAAUGCCCCAAAAAUGAAUGCACAAUCAUGUUGUUAAAUCCUAAAAUAAAUUUUAAUUUAAUGAAUAUUAUUAUUUUCUCUAUAUUCCAUGAGCACAAAUAUACAAAAUUAAAUCAAUUUUUACCUAUUUCAAAAGGAACAAAUUUUAGGGUGUUAGAAAUCUACCCUCCUUAAAAUGAAUCUCGUCCUCGAGAUUCGAAAGAGAUACGGAUUCUCUGAGAGAAGACAGAAUAAAGAUCUUGAUAACAAUUUCAACUGUACAACUUGCAUACCAAAGAUAAACUCAACUUUUCUGUAGAAUGUCUAUUAUUCAUAAUUGAUCAAACUCCAUCUUGACUACCAACUUUCGACUUAUACAACUCAAAGACAUAAUAACUUAGCAUGGAUAUGCCUCCUCAGGUAGGAGUGGACCACCUUGAUACUCAAUUCUUUUCCUUGAUGGUGCGGUUAAGAAAAUCUUCCACUGGGUAGCAUAGAUCACUCCUUUGUGUGCACAUAACCAUCCAUUACCAAAGACCAAGGGAAUGUCGAGUGACUCUAGCACAAUGAGGUUUAUAGUGAAGUUUUCAUUCUUUAUGACAAGUUUGAUAUUCGAGCAAACCUGAUCUGCCUAUAUUUCUCCCAUUGGGGUUUGAACUAACAAAGGCUUCCUCAUCGGACACUUCACCCGUUCGAUCGUCUUUACCCAGUCGGCAUAAAUGAAAGAAUGCGAAGCACUUCGGUCAAACAGAGAAAAAACUAGCACUGAGUCCACUUGAAUAUAUCCACCCACAACUUUGGUGGCUCCUUGAAUGUUGUUGCUAUCCACAUUGCUCAGUCUUCCAUUGAUAAUUUUGCUGCACUUCACUUCCAUGAGAAAGCUUCUUAUGAACUUUCCUUUUACGCUUCUGUCGUUGUGGAUUCUGAUUUGAUUCAAUGUUAACUUGCUCUUCUGUAUUAUUAUUUUGAUAGCACUCAGCUUUGUCAUACUCGUAACAUCUUUCUUCGAACGCAAGAUGAUCAUAAUCUUCCCACAUAUCCAUGGGAGGUGUCAUAUUAUGCUCCUGAUCCAUGGGACACUACACUCCCUAUCGUCAAGUGACCAAUGUGAGUAACUCAGCAAGGAUAGUUGAUCAUAACCAUAGAAUAUCUCAGAAGACAAUUAUCAGUUCAAGAUAGUUUUAUAAUGCAUCAUCCUGUGAUAGGAGCUACCCCCCUUAAAAUGAGAUUGAUUGGUGGAUGGUAGGGACUAGUUCUCCUAUCCUUUUUGGACGCUACACAUCAUAGUCUUUUACAUUCGUUGUACCGAGUCUCUUGAUCCAAGGUUAGUUUCAUCACUAAGUUCCAAUUAUCGGUACCUUUAUCACGGUUAAGUUGCUUUACUCUCACAUUAUACAUAUAGCUUUGUAAACUUUGGUGUCAUCUGAUCCCCAUACACAACUCUUAAUCUAUGAGUAUCACCAACGACAUAUACCUCCAUUGUUAUUUUCUAAAUGAGAUGAUAUCUUGAAACAAAACUAAAUUCACCAAACACUUGUGAUCCUCACAUAUGAUCCAACAUUAGCCAAUCCUUCUCUUUGUAACUCCUUUAAUUAGGCUAGCCCCCUUAAAAGGGUCAACUAGGGGAGACAAGAAAGGUAGCUUGCGUAUUUUCCAGACAAGUUAACUAACAUUGAGAACUUCUGACACCCCAAAGAUCUUAUGUGCAAGAGAAUAAACAAGUAUCCUAAAAUUUUCUCAUGAUAUGAAAACACCAGCGUAGUAGAAUAUACAUAACUCUUAUUCUGUUAAUCCAAUAGAGUUGUAGCUUAUUCUGUUAGAAAACUUAUGAAAUUUCCUACAACUUUCAUAUAGAAUACUUCCUUAGAUUCUGUCUUUAAGCUUAGGUAAAACAACCAACUUAAUAUUUAUCCUGACAAUGUCUCAGCAAAGGUGCAGUAAAUUGCAGAAGUUAUAUCUCGGUCUCCAUAAAUCCUUUGGUGACGAUCCUUACAUUGUUGAAAAGCAUAUAAAAUCCUCUACAAUUUUGGUAUACAACAUUUUCCCAGAUUCUGAAUUUAAUUUAGCUAAAAAUGGGAAAUACCAGAUUUGUCCAGAUUUUGAAACAGAACAGAGACAUCUAAUUGUAAAUAUUAUAUCUUAUGUUCUACUUAUCCAAAUAAGUUCCUGCUUAUAACGGUGGAAAUCUUAGAAAAUUGUCUACAACUUUUCUAUAGAUCACUUUACCAAAUUCUAUAGUAUAUUUGUCUCAAACAGUAAGCAACCAAAACUGGUCCAGGUUCUUGACAACACAGUUGUAUCAUCUUGUGAUUUUUGUAACUUCCAAACCAUAACAGCUAUGAGGGUGAUUCUUACGGUCAGAGAAAGAUCUUGAAGUACGAUUUCAUUCAAAAGUUUCUCAUAAUUUUUGGUUAUCUGAGAACAGAGACAUGGACCGAUAAAGAGAGGAUACUCCGGAAAGACAUGAUAAGAUAACAAAAGAAGAACCAAAACCCAACUAUUUAUGUGAUUAAUCCUUAUAACUUAGACCAACUAAAUGAAAUUGUGAAGAAACUCACAAUAUCACUACACUCAUUACAAAGAUCCAAAUUAGGCACAAGUAUAAUAACAAACCAACUGAGCAUUGAAGGUUCACAAUUCACUCAACUUGCGAUACUAUCGUUCUCUUCAGAGUAAGGGUAAAGAUCCUAAAACUCCUCUUCUGAUUAUGCAAGCAGGUGGUAAGAGAAGAUUCUAAAAGCAUAACAAAUCAAGGAAUGACUAUGAGAACAAGUACUUUCAAAAUAAGCAUCAAGGUAAAGAUGAAUAGCAAUGGAAAGAAUAUAGUGUAGAGAAAAAUAUUAAGAUUUACAGAACAAGGAUUUUAUAGCAAUUUUAAAAUCUUAAGACAACCAAUUUCUAACUAGGCUUACGUACUACAGUCAGCAUUGCUUUGAUACCACUUUGUAAUACCCGAUUUUAAGGAUAAAACCAGAUAUGCACCAUAUGUGAGUUUUAGAGGUCAAAUCUCACAUAUAGCUACAAAUAAGGGGUAAUAUCAAAGGACAAUGCAUAAAUUAUAUAACAUACUUAGUAUAAAAGAGAUAACCUUUGAUAGCAAACAGCGCAUAGACAACUCCAAACUUCGUGUAUUAACUUCAUCUACAGGAUCCAACUGACUGGUUGAUCACAAUCCUAAGGCAUCUCCUGAAGUGUGGGAGAAAUAGCAAGAGUGAGCACAUAUCGUACUCAACAAGUAUAACUAGGGGUUCGUGAGGCUCAAUUAGCUGACACUGGUUUGAUUGCGUUUAGCUUUUAUAUGUAGAUAGCAUAUUUAAUCAUUGGAUAACAAAUAUCAAAAUAGCAUAAUUAAUCCCAUAACCACAUGAUCAAUGUAUACAAAAAUUUAAGAAUAACACAUAUAAACAACAUAAUAAUCCAUCAUUUAUCAUCAUUAAUCAUGUUCAUCAGUGUCCAUCUAUUCCGUCAGUUUUUCGAGCCGCCCGUAUCCGUGGACACGGCUAGUAUACCAGAUUUAAACACUCUACAGAAGUUGUACAUCUUUACCCAUGAGUCAUGAUUUACCCUUUCGCCCGAGGCCCGUCGACCUCUUAACCCACUACCACGGAAGGUCGGCAAGGAUCACUAUGAAGUCUUUCAAAGGUUCGUCUAACAAGUUAGGGCCACUUGGUUUCAUUAGUCAGUCCGUGAGAUCCACCCGCAGGAAUCCACGGUCUGCUAUUCCCCAAUUGCGCCACACGGGUAACCGCUAACGAGCUAGACAAAAUUACUCAUACUUGACUAAAACUAGAGCCAUAUAGCCCUCAUGGUUGUAUGAGUUGUCCUAGCUUUUGCCAAGGGAUAAGUCCUUAUGGAGGGUAAAGAUUAGUCUAGCAAAAGCCAGAGUUCUUUCCACCCUCUAUAUUCAAGUUGCUAGAAAACUUAUUUUAUUGUUUAUUGUAUAUUCAAACAUUCAUGUUACAAGAUCAUGGAUUAUAAUCAAGCACUAGCAAGAACUAUCCCAAAUGCAUAUCCAAAUAGGUAUCAAGGAAUUCAAGAUAACAAUCAUCUAUUGUCAAGGUAGACACAUGCAUAUGAUAUAUGUAUUAAAAGUGUACAUCGUAACACCCUAAAAUUUACUCCUUUUGAAAUAUAGAUAAAAUUAUUUAAUUUUGUAUUUUUGUGUUCAUGAAAAUAUAGGAAAAAUAAUAUUUUUCAUUAAAUUAAAAUUUAUCAUAAGGCGUAGCAAUAUUAUUAUGCAUACAUGUUGGUGCAUAUGUUUUGAUGUGAUGCUUGCUUGUUGCUCCUUUAUGUGUUGAGUGAGCAAAGUUUUUAAAAUGCGUUUAGAAAAUCGAUCUUCCUUGACCAGUACGUCUUUAUCUUUAUCUAUAACCAAAUUCCUUGUUUCUCAGCUCAAGUUUUUAUUAGGAGCUUCCUAAAAUAUUUUCCUUGUUAUCCAAAUCACUUCUUUUAGUUCUUGGUCCAUCAAGCAAUCUCUAUAAACUUCUCGAGAAUUUUUCUAGCCUUUUCCGUGGAGCAUAAUCUAAUUUUAGAUGCUCCAAAUUAUCUUAUCAUGAGCUCUAAAUACUUUAUUUUGGUUCUUCAUGUUUCAUAAUGUCUCCGAGAUUUUUUCCUUGAAUUUUUGGAGCAUUUUGAGUAUUUUUCAUGACUUAAAUAAUAAUUCUGGAUUUUUUAGGAUUAUUCUAUUUGCCAAAUUAAUUAAUUUCCAAAAUAAUAAAAUCUUUCAUUUUAUCCCAUGCUCAAGCCCAUAAUCUCAAUGGUCAAUGUCUUUAUUUACUAAUGGGCUUUAAUAAUUAAUUAGGCCUAUUAGUAAAAAUGAAGGUUGCAAAUCAAUUAGUACCAUAUCGCUAGUUGACGUGGAGGUGGGGAGUUUCUCUCCCUAUAUAUAUGUACCAACCCCUAAGGCAAAGCACACCAAAAACUACCAUGAGAAAAGCCUCUAAUUUGAGAAUUCCUAAGGUAGUAAAAUAAAAUUAUAUUUUCUUCUCUACAAGCGAUCGCCAUCGUCUCGCCUAUACACGACAUCUACGAACGGUUGGCUCCUCCGGCGUUGUUGUAGCUCCAAGAAAGCGUCACUGCUGGUGAACCUACUCCCUGUCCACCAAGGUAAGCCCCAAUCAAAAACACAAACAGCUCGGUUUUAGAUUAAAAAUACGUUUUCACUAUUUACAGAAUUGCCACUGACUUUCUUCUGGCCAUAAAAUAUUCAUCUUAACACCGUUUUGACCCAUUCAAAUUGCGUUGUAUUCGUAUUAAUGAGCUCUACAUGUUAGUAACAUUGUUUUAUCAGUUUGAAACUUUUUAUUUUCGUGACCCUAAUUAAUUAAUUACUUUUCUAUAUAAAAUCUUAUAAAAUUCAUAACUUCUCUGUUUUAGCUCCGAUUUUCGUGAUCUUUACGUCUAUGAUAUCAUAGCGAUGCGUAGAAUCAUUUCACAAACUUUUCAUACUGUUUUUAUAUGAUUGUUGUACUGUUCUAAUUGUAGUCUUGUUUGCUUCGUGUAUGUUGUCUUCGAUUAUUUGUGUGUUGAUGAUCGAUGAUCGAGUUUAGUCGGUGAACAAUUCGUGGUGAACAAGAGUACUUCAGUGAUCAAGAUCUGAGCCUUGGACAACUAGUGAGACCAACAGGAUAAGCAAGAGCAAUUGGAUUAAGGCAAGUAUAGCAUUUGGGUUUUAUUUCUGUGACCAUGAUCUUGUGACUAGAUUAAUGUUAAGUAAUAAAUGAUAAAAAUUAAUUUUUAGCCACUUGAUGAUUUAUCUGUAAGUGAUAACCGGGAUAACAGUGCAACCAUGAGGGCUAUAAUGGCUCUGGCUUUAGCUCAGUAUGAGGACCUUUUUCUAGCUUGUUAGCGGUUACCUUAAAUGGCGUAAGAAUGGCUAGACACGUUGGGUAUAGUGUGGCCUCUAUCCGUGUGUAUAGGCUGCGGGUUAUGUGCCAUGGAAGGGGGGCUCUAUAUCUGCCUGCCGAGUGAAUCUAAUGGCCCUAACUUGUUAGACGAAACCUUUGAAAGGCUUCAUAUUGAUCCCUGCCGACCUCCCUAGGAAGGGAGUUAAGAGAUUAGCUACCUCGAGCGAAAGGGUAAAUCAUGACUCAUAGGUAAAGAUGUACAACCUCUGCGGAGUGUUAAAACUAGUAUACUAGCCGUGCUCACGGUCAAGAGCGGCCUUGGGGAUUCUUACACCAAUGAUGAUGAUUCUUGUUGUGUUAAAAUACUCAUUGUUUAUUGUUUAAUGCUCUACAUUAUUUAUGUCACAUUGAUCAUGAGAUUGUGGGAGCUAUACAAUCUAGUUGCUAUACUUGUGGAGUUCGACAUGGACUCACUCUUGCUAUUUCCCCCAUACCUCAGGGGAAGUGUUAGGCUUGUGAUCAACCAGUCAGUUGGAUCCUGUUGAGUGAAGUUAAUACCCGAAGUUUGGAGUUAUCUAUCCACUGUUUGCUAUCAAAGGUCAUAUCUUUUAUACUGAGUACGUUAUAUAUUUAGGCAUUGUCUUUGAUAUUACUCCUUAUUUGUAGCUAUAUGUGAGAUUUGACUUCUAAAACUCACAUAUGGUUUUCUGAUUUUGUCCUUAAAAUCGGGUAUUACAAAUUGGUAUCAAAGCAAUGCUGACUGUAGGACGCAAGCCUAGUUAGAAAUUUGCCGUCUUAAGGUUUUGGAAUUGUCAUAAAAUCCUUGCUCUAUAAACCUUGGUAUUUUCAUCUAUACUAUAUCCCUAUCCUUGCUCUAUUUGUCUCUACCUUGUUGCUUAUUUUAAAAGUACAUGUUCUCACCUUCAAUCCUUGAUUUGGUAUGCUAUUAGAACCUUUUCUUCCCUCUUCUUGCGUCUUUGAAAUAUAAGUUUUAGGAUCUCUACCCUUACUAUGAAGAGAACGAUAGUAUCGCAAGUUGAGUGAAGUGUGAAGCUUCAGUGCUUAAUUGGUUGUUAUUAUGUUUAUGCUUAAUUUGGAUAUUUGUAAUGAUUGCAAUGAUCUUGUGGAACUACUUCACAAUUUCAAUAGUUCAUAGGCCUAAGGCAUAAGGAGUAAUGAAAUAAGUAGUUGGGCAUGGUUAUAUCUGUUUCUGUCCUUUGCUGAUUUCUAGAGCAGUCUGCAAUUGUUCUAGUGUAUCUCAAGAUCUGAUCGUGCAAAGUUUGUCAACUUUUUCUGAGAACAAAUAGACUUCAAGAUCUUUCUCUGACCACAAGAAUCACCCUCAUAUCUAUUAUGGUUUGGAAGUUACAAAAAUCACAAGAUGAUACAGAUGUGCUGUCCAGAAUCUGGACCAGUUUCGGGAACUUGCUGUUUGAGACAAAUAUAACUAUAGAAUUUGGAAAAGUGUUCUAUAGAAAAGUUAUAGACGACUUGCUAAGAUUUCCAACGGUAUAAGCUGGAACUUAUUUGGCUAAGUAGAACCUGAGAUAUGAUAUUUACAAUUGGAUGUUUCUGUUCUGUAACAAAGUCUGGACAGUUUUGGUAUUCCCUAUUUCCGGCCAAGUUAAAAACAGAAUCUGGGAAAACAUGGUAUACGAAAGUUGUAGAGGAUUUACUAAGCUUUUCAAAAAUGUAAGGAUCAUCUCCAGAUGAGUUAAGUAGCUCAAUAUAUAAUUUCUGGAAAUUACUGCACCUUUGCUGAGACAUUAUCAGGAAGGAUAUUAUGUUUGGUUAUUUUACCUAUGCUUAAAAACAGAACCUAAGGAGGACUUCUACAUGAAAGUUGUAGGGAAUUUCAUAAGUUUUCUAAUGAUAUAAUCUGCAACUCUAUUGGAUUAACAGAAUAAGAGUUAUACCUGUUUUACUGCACUGGUAUUUUUCAUAUCGCGAGAAAAUUUCAGGAUACCUGUUUACUCCACUGCACAUAAGUUCUUUGGGAUGUUAGAAGUUCUCAAUAUUAACUUGUCUGGAAAGUAUGCAAGCUACUUCUUGGUCCCCUAGUUGACUUUUCUUAAGGGGGGUAGCCCAAUUAAAGAACUACAAGGAGAAGAAGUGGUUAAUGACGCACAUCUACAAGGACAUCAAGUGCUUGGUAUGUUGGUUUGUUUCAAGAUAUCAUUCUAUUUGGAGUGUGCUAAUACCAAUGGAGGUUUAUGUCAUUAGUGAUACUCAUGGAUUAAGAGUUGUGUAUGAGGAUCAGAUGACACCAAAGUCUACAGAGUUGUAUGUAUAGUGUGAGAGUAAAGCAAUUUAACUGUGAUAAAGGUACCGAUAUUUGGAACUUAGUGAUGAAACUAACCUUGGAUCAAGAGACUAGGUACAGCAAAUUUAAAAGACUAUAUGAUGUGUAGUGUCUAAAAAGGAUAGGAGAAAUAAGUUUAAAGAAGGAUCGUACCUACUACACUAGGUGUCUCGUCAAUAUUUUAGAGGCUACUUGGAGUAAGAGAGUGGAAUCAUUGCUAUGAAGAUAUAACUACUCAAGAAAGUGAAAAAGAUUCAAAAUCUACAUCUCUUUGAUAACUGUCUUCCGAAUCUCGAGGACGAGAUUCAUCUUAAGGGGUAGAACAUAACACCCUAAAAUUUACUCCUUUUGAAAUAUAGAUAAAAUUAUUUAAUUUUGUAUUUUUUGUGCUCAUGAAAAUAUAGGAAAAAUAAUAUUUUUCAUUAAAUUAAAAUUUAUCAUAAGGCUUAGCAAUAUUAUUAUGCAUACAUGCUGGUGCAUAUGUUUUGAUGUGAUGCUUGCUUGUUGCUUCUUUAUGUGUUGAGUGAGCAAAGUUUUUAAAAUGCGUUUAGAAAAUCGAUCUUCCUUGACCAGUACGUCUUUAUCUUUAUCUAUAACCAGAUUCCUUGUUUCUCAGCUCAAGUUUUUAUUAGGAGCUUCCUAAAAUAUUUUCUUUGUUAUCCAAAUCACUUCUUUUAGUUCUUGGUCCAUCAAGCAAUCUCUAUAAACUUCUCGAGAAUUUUUCUAGCCUUUUCCGUGGAGCAUAAUCUAAUUUUAGAUGCUCCAAAUUAUCUUAUCAUGAGCUCUAAAUACUUUAUUUUGGUUCUUCAUGUUUCAUAAUGUCUCCGAGAUUUUUUCCUUGAAUUUUUGAGCAUUUGGAGUAUUUUUCAUGACUUAAAUAAUAAUUCUGGAUUUUUUUGAGGAUUAUUUUAUUUGCCAAAUUAAUUAAUUUUGAAAAUAAUAAAAUCUUUCAUUUUAUCCCACGCUCAAGCCCAUAAUCUCAAUGGUCAAUGUCUUUAUUUACUAAUGGGCUUUAAUAAUUAAUUAGGCCUAUUAGUAAAGAUAAAUGUUGCAAAUCAAUUAGUACCAUAUCGCUAGUUGACGUCGAGGUGGGGAGUUUCUCUUCCUAUAUAUAUGUACCAACCGCUUAGGCAAAGCACACCAAAAACUACCAUGAGGGAAGCUUCUAAUUUGAGAAUUCCUAAGGUAGUAAAAUAAAAUUAUAUUUUCUUCUCUACAAGUGAUCGCCAUCGUCUCGCCUAUACACGACAUCUACGAACGGUUGGCUGCUCCGGCGUUGUUGUAGCUCCAAGAAAGCGUCACUGUCGAUGAACCUACUCCCUGUCCACCAAUGUAAGCCCCAAUCACUUUGUCUUUCAGUUUGGAAAACACAAACAGCUCGGUUUUAGAUUAAAAAUAAGUUUUCACUAUUUACAGAAUUGCCGCUGACUUUCUUUUGACCAUAAAAUAUUCAUCUUAACUCUGUUUUGACCCAUUCAAAUUGCGUUGUAUUCGUAUUAAUGAGCUCUACAUGUUAGUAACAUUGUUUUCUCAGUUUGAAACUUUUUAUUUUCGUGACCCUAAUUAAUUAAUUACUUUUCUAUAUAAAAUCUUAGAAAAUUCAUAACUUUUCCGUUUUAGCUCCGAUUUUUGUGAUCUUUACGUCUAUGAUAUCGUAGCGAUGCGUAGAAUCAUUUCACAAACUUUUUAUACUGUUUUUAUAUGAUUGUUGUACUGUUCUAAUUGUAGUCUUGUUUGCUUCGUGUAUGUUGUCUCCGAUUAUUUGUGUGUUGAUGAUCGAUGAUCGAGUUUAGUCGGUGAACAAUUCGUGGUGAACAAGAAUACUUCAGUGAUCAAGAUCUGAGCCUUAGACAACUAGUGAGACCAACAGGAUAAACAAGAGCAAUUGGAUUAAGGCAAGUAUAGCAUUUGGGUUCUAUUUCUGUGACCAUGAUCUUGUGACUAGAUUAAUGUUAAGUAAUAAAUGAUAAAAAUGAAUUUUUAGCCACUUGAUGAUUUAUCUGUAAGUGAUAACCGGGAUAACAGUGCAACCAUGAGGGCUAUAAUGGCUCUGGCUUUAGCUCAGUAUGAGGACCUAUUUCUAGCUUGUUAGCGGUUACCUUAAAUGGCGUAAGAAUGGCUAGACACGUUGGGUAUAGUGUGGCAUCUGUCCGUGUGUAUAGGCUACGGGUUAUGUGCCAUGGAAGGUGGGCUCUAUAUCUGCCUGCCGAGUGAAUCUAAUGGCCCUAACUUGUUAGACGAAACCUUUAAAAGGCUUCAUAGUGAUCCCUGCCGACCUCCCUAGGAAGGGGGUUAAGAGAUUAGCUACCUCGGGCGAAAGGGUAAAUCAUGACUCAUGGGUAAAGAUGUACAACCUCUGCAGAGUGUUAAAACUAGUAUACUAGCCGUGCUCACGGUCAAGAGCGGCCUUAGGGAUUCUUACACCAAUGAUGAUGAUUCUUGUUGUGUUAAAAUACUCAUUGUUUAUUGUUUAAUGCUCUACAUUAUUUAUGUCACAUUGAUCAUGAGAUUGUGGGAGCUAUACAAUCUAGUUGCUAUACUUGUGGAGUUCGACAUGGACUAACUCUUGUUAUUUCCCCCAUACCUCAGGAGAAGUGUUAGGCUUGUGAUCAACCAGUCAGUUGGAUCCUGUUGAGUGAAGUUAAUACCCGAAGUUUGGAGUUAUCUAUCCACUGUUUGCUAUCAAAAGUCAUAUCUUUUAUACUGAGUAUGUUAUAUAUUUAUGCAUUGUCUUUGAUAUUACUCCUUAUUUGUAGCUAUAUGUGAGAUUUGACUUCUAAAACUCACAUAUGGUGCAUAUCUGAUUUUGUCCUUAAAAUCGGGUAUUACAUACAUGUAACAAGGAUGGUCCCAAGUGGCCUGCUGGUCGUCAAAAGUUUGAUCUUGCUCACCAACGUACGACUCACCGUCUAUCCCCAACAUCAAUCAACAAUCGGAGUUCAAAUGAAUAUUUUAUAGCCAAAAGAAAAUUAGUGGCAAACUUGUAAUUUGCUAAAAACGUAUUUUGAACCAACCCGGGGUGGAUUACGCUUUCAACGUCAGAUUGCGUAUUUUAUAAAAGACGUUAUGGUGUGCGGGGUUUAAUUAAGAAAAAGGCAGCGUCUCUUUAGAGAAAUUUACCCCAAAGGGGUAUCUUCUAAUGUGGGCCCUUGAUCUUGAUCUGGGCGGGUCAGGUUAGAUCAGGGCUUGGGGAAAGAGGGCGCCGGCGGUUACUGUAGCCCGACGGCGGCGCCAUCGCCGGAGGCUCGCCGGAGUUGGGCGAGAAAGCGCUCUAGUGCACCAAACUUGAAUCUGAAGGCAUGGGGAGAAAGAAGAGAGCAAGAGGAAACCACCCACGGGGUUAUCGAGGCUCAGGCGAUCUCGGGGAGGCACGCAACGCAAAACCGCGGACGGCUCUUCCUGUGCAGGUUCGGCGCCGAUGUGAGAACAAACGAUCGUGGUAGAAAGUUAGGGAAGGAGCUUGGAAGCUUCGUUACCUCGACGUGAAGCUUGGCAGGGGAUCCAAUUCGGUGCAAUGGCAGCGAAACACGAACUCCCCGACGGCGGCCGUGUCCAAGCUCGGCGAGAUCCUGUUCUUGGUAUCUAUGGCGGCUAGGGUCUCCAGUGUCGCAACAAGAGAGAACGGGGCGUGGAGCGAUAUCACAGAGCUUAAUUGGGCAACUCGGCUCGCUCCCACGUGACGAAUCCCGCAAGAAUCGGGAUCAUGAGGAUUUGUUUACCGUGAUGAAGUCCGGCUUGAGCACGACCAAGGGGAGAAGACGGAAGGGGAAGGGGAAGGGGAACGCUGACAGGUGGGGACCGGCUGGCAGAGAGAAAAGGAGAAAGGGGUGGCGCGGGGCUUGUCCCAGCUGGGCUGUGCUACAGCAUACUGGGCCGGUUGCGCAAGAUGGCCAAUGGGCCGAGGAAGAGAGGUGGGGAGGGGGAUGGCGUGGGCUCGUUGCACAGGCUGGCCACUGGGCCGAGGGGGAAGAAGCCAGGCCUUCGGGCCAGAAAGCACAUGAGAAAGUUUUCUUUUUUUUCUUUUCUUUUGUUUUCUUUUUUUGUUUCUUUUUUAUUUCAAAGCCAUUUCAAAAUCAAAUUUGAAAAUCAUUUUAAAAUCAGUUUGACUUACCUUGAAUUUUUAAUUAAAUCCACACAAUACAAUAAAACAAAUGCCCCAAAAAUGAAUGCACAAUCAUGUUGCUAAAUUCUAUAAUAAAUUUUAAUUUAAUGAAUAUUAUUAUUUUCUCUAUAUUUCAUGAGCACAAAUAUAUAAAAUUAAAUCAAUUUUCACCUAUUUUAAAAGGAACAAAUUUUAGGGUGUUACAAGCCCUCAUCCGCCUUUUGGUAAUAGCUCGGAAUGCCUAUAUCUCUCUAGAAUAUAUAUUAACAAGACAUCUACAGAAAGGAUUGGCUGUCCAGCGGACGGAAAUUUAAAGCAUGCUCCGGUGCUAAUACGUUUGUUAUUAUGCACGCUUUCGUACCAAAAGAAAUAUAUAUUAGUAGAAGGAAGAAAAAUAGGUGAGGACGGCAGGACAAAACUGUCAAAAUCGAGCAAAACUUUCACGGAGCCGUCGGCAAAAUUGACACAUACACAUGGCUUGAAAGUGAAGUGUCGGAGCUAAGUUUAACAUCAUGGUCAUGCUACGUGGAGGCUCCGGUCCAGAAAUAUACUCCGUCCCGUCCUCCUGCAAGAAAAUCGUAGGCUGCACGCAAACAAGGGAGUAAUACAAAGCCAUGAAUAAUGAUAUAUUGAUGCACAUGACAACUUUUGAACAUUCCCAAUUAAUAAAUUGCAAGUCUAUAUAUAUCAUCAUCACUAUGUAACAACGCUACUGAUCACUCCAUAAUCGCCACUGUCUCCGUCAAUCAGUCAUAUCAAGAAAGUUUGUAUAUAUGCACGUGUUGACUACAUAUUGAAUGGAUCGUGUAAUUAUUACAAAUUAGCGAAGGCAACCGAAUUAAAGAUAUCAUGGCAGGCCUCUAUAUUUAGGAUAUGUUUGGUUGAGGUGUAACUUUGGGGUUUCUUAAGAGGUGGCUAUCUGACUUUUAGCUUCUAUUUUUUUUUUGGCUAUUCGUUUUUUUAUAAAUUUUAAGCUUUUUAGCACAUCAAAACCUAGAAAACCUCAUAUGUUUUUCAGCCUUUAGUCCAUUUCCUCAUAAGCGAACUUUUCAAAAGUCAUCUCAAUAACUAGGGUCUAUUUGGCAAAGUUCCCAGAGCUUCUCAGCUGAAUCUUAGGGAGUCUACUAAAGAGUUUUUUUUACUAAGAAAGUGAUUAUGUGAAGUGUAGUUCUCAAAAGGAACUAGGAGAGACUAGAGGCUAUAAAAUGUAGCUUAUCCUGAAUCACUCCACACAUAGAAUUAUUAUAGAGUUGUUUAUCCUAGAGAAUUAUAUAUAGAGAAUCAAUUUCAGUUAGAGAAUCACUUGUCACAAAGAAUCGGUUUCUAUGGAGAAUCUAGAGCAGCAGGAGCUAUGUCAAAUAAGUCCUUAGGUUUGUUUUAGCUUCUAUCUUCUGACUAACAAAAGUAAGACAAAAUAAAAGCUAAAACAAACAUGACCUUAGAACUCCAUGAGUUUUAUGCACCAUCCAACUCACCUAAAAUUCAGAUCUAGUCAGACAUGAUAAAUUUUACAAAACCAACAUGAAUUCAUAUAUAGCCCAUUUAUUAGUUAUAAUACAAUAUAAUCGCGAUUCAUAAUGGAAAAGUGUAAGAAUCUAGGAGUAAUCAGGAAUGGAUACUCUGGAUAACGACGCCUGAUUUGAGGCCGGGUGAUGAGAUGCAGGCCGAGCUUACGCGUAAUGAUUUUUGCUUUCCGAUGAAGUCAGAAGAGACAUGGAUCGGAUGUGAAAGCAAGCAGGUACAUGAACGAAGCAACAUUUGGUGUCUUUUUUCUUGUGCGUAGAUCUAGUGUAACGAUGGAUGGAUAGAUAGAUUGUACUUUAGGUGAAAGCCGCUUUAGCUGAAAGGUCCCUCCUCCGGCCCUGCUUUUGCUCCUCGCGGCUUUUGAGAUCUUGGCUUACAUGAACCCACACACUUGUCGCGAGCAUGGACGAUUCCAUGAUUCCAUCCUCCUUAAGCCCCUGGUGUCUGCUUGUUCUUCAUAUAUAGGCCAAUCCAGUUCUGAUUGCAUCUAGAGUAGAAGCUCAUGGGCUAUAGUAUGUACAUGUUUAGACGUGUUUGUUUGUGUUUUGUUUAUUUCACGAAGAUAACUUUUAAAGGCAGCUGUAAAUAAAAGGCCAACUUUCGAAAAUCCGAAGAGAAGCUUUGCGUUGACUUUUAAUUGAAUGUAAUGUGUACAAUACAUGUAGUAGGUACCCACCGUUACAGAUACAUGCUUUUUGCUUUUGAUACAAACACAUCUUUCACUUCUCAUCGCAAGCUAAUUUCAAAAGCUUCAGCAGAACAAAAUAGACCUCUUAGUCUUUGAAAUAAAAGGAUGUGCUACUAUAUAAUUACUACGUAUCUAGAAAAGUCAAAACGUCUUAAUUUGGAACCGAUGGAAUAUUAUUGCAGCAUCCAUGCUCCUACAUAGAAACUGCUCAUUUGAUUAGAACAAUGUAACUUAACCAAAUACUAUAUUCAAUUCCUAUCGUUUUCCAUUUGUGUCUAUGGGUGAAAAGACACUUGUAUUUAGCUGCUGCUUGGGCAAGAACCUUUUUAGAAAGGAGAAUAUAUUUAAUAUCUCAGUUUCUGCAUCAAUCAAUAUGUAUAGCUAUUCUUUAUUAUAAAUAGAACUAAAACGGUCUACGAAAUCUCAAAAACAAAAUUUUGCACCAUAAAAGAAAACAAAACAAAAGCCAAAAACCGAGUCUAUUGCUAAAACUCUAGCAGUGCCUUGCAAACAAUUCUAUCGCGACUAUCUCAAUGGUCUUGCAGUCCAUCUUCAUCAAAUAGCCAUCCUCCUUCUGUAACAGAGACUAGAACCUGGUCCGGUAAAUCCCGUGAAGAUAGCAUGCAAGUAUGAUGGUGCUACAACCUUGUCAAACACGAUGCCAUUUCAGGUUAACCAAAUCGCCCAACAAAUUGCGCCUGCACCCAUAAAAAUCUGAGAUUUCAGUUUCUUAAUUAUUCCAUCCAACCAGCCUGCACAAGAUCCUAAGUGUGUUUCCAAGCAACUUUGAUCCCCCAUCGUUUUUGUGUUUGCGCCGCCUUUUUAGAUCAAGGUAACUACAGUAAUCUUUGGUUGGUACAUGCUUCUUUUGUAGCAGCUAUAUAUAUAUAUAUAUAUAUAUAUAUAAAAGCAAAUAUGCUCAUGCGUUGUACUGGGAGAAAAAAAUAUUAUCACACAUAUCUGCAAUGGUCACAACAACUUAAUUUGUAUAGAUGCUAGUUUUUAUAUUGUGAUUGUUGCAGCAAUUGAACAGACUCAUUAAUUGAAACAACGAUGGCAAUGUUAGAUAUCUAUUUAUUUUUUACCCUUUCUAUAAAAUUUUAAAGCUAUACUUUACUUUAUGAUAAUCCUAGUAUCCAUAAUAUGACACUGUCUUAUUAAUUCUAUAUUGAAACAACCUUGAUAAUUUUUUUCUUUUGUUGUAAUGCACAAGAAUAUUUACUUGCAAAUGAUCACACCUUUACUUUUCGUACUAUGUGGUGGUCAAGUUCCAUGGGUUCUUUUGAGAAUCCAUAAAUUUUGUUAUAAUUUUAAUAUAUAUGUUAUUAAAGUCAGCAAGGGGUAAGUCAUCAUAGUGUCUCAAUUUUCAUAUGUUAGCCUUGUAGAGAGUUGCACUGGUAUACAUGGACAGCUUAGAUAUUUGCAUUAUGCAGAUAAUUUGGAGAAACAUUUUUUAUUAGGUUGAUGACAAACCAUUUAGUUUACGGUUUAAUUAGUUAGGACAUUCAUGCUAUAAUAAUAUAAUAUAACAAUAUAUCUGUCAAUAAAACUAACAUCUGAGUAAUAGAAAUAUUUAUUUAUUAGGAGCCAAAGUUAUAAAGAACUAUAAUACAAUAUUUAUUAUUUAUCUCUGUCUUUACAAGAAAAGGCAUGGUCACUUCAUCAGGAAAGAAAAAAUUAAAAAAAAAACACAAAAGGGAUAGAAAAGUCACGUAAUUCUGUAUUGAAUUGAAAGACAAACAUAAAGUGUUUCUUUUGUUGUAAGGCACAAGAAUAUUUAUUUGCAAAUGAUCAUAACCACUGCUGCAUGAUCGGGCAUUAGCUCCGGUCGGGAAGGGCCUGUUGCCCCGGUUCCCGAGCCGGUGCUGCCCUUCCGGGACUAAAGGCCCACCCUUUAACACCGGUUGGUGUUACCAACCGGUGUUAAAGGGUUUCUUUUUCUUUUUUUUUAGUUCACUUCUUCGGUUCUGUUUAUUGUUUAUAUAUAAUAUAUAAUAAUAGGUUUUUCAAUACAUGUUUUGCUGAUACAAUAAUAUAUUUAUAUUACACGCAUAUUAAGCAUAUAUAAAUGAAAAUUAUAGGCUAAGCUUAAUAGUUAAGCUUUGCCUAUAAUAAAAUGAAUAGACCACAUCAAAAAUUAAAUAGAUAUGUAAAAAGCUUUAUAUAUAUAUAGUUUUAUAUGUACAAAAUUCGUAACACAUAUAUACAUAGAGUUUGUUCUCCCAAUGUCUACAAACGAUACAAAUGAUCAUCGUUGUUUGGUAUAAGAGUUUCGUUGCCGUUGAAGUGAAACUCGCCGUUUGGAUUGAUCACUUGGUCGCGGAGAAAUCGUGCUAUCGUCUCUUGGAUAGCUUUGAUUCGGUCUUGUUGUAGGACCUUUUCCCUCAGCCAUUCCGUCUUUAAUUUGAAAUAAAUAAAAAAGGUAUUAGUUAUCUAAGUUAUUCAAUAUAAUUCAGGAGAUAAUGAAAAGAGACAUGUAACGUACUCUGAGCGUCUCUGUGGGUGUUUGAUUGACUUGUGCCAUCAUGAAUUUGCACACGUAAUAUGCACAUAGAUUGUUCCCUCCUUCUUGUCUUAAACACCACUGUACGAUGUAUAUAUAUAUAAAAAUAUUCAUAACCACGACAAUAAGAAGGCUAAAAGUUAGCGAAAGUUUGUUAGCUAGUAGAACUUACUUGUGGAUGUAUUAUGUUAAGCGGCGCUNNNNNNNNNNNNNNNNNNNNNNNNNNNNNNNNNNNNNNNNNNNNNNNNNNNNNNNNNNNNNNNNNNNNNNNNNNNNNNNNNNNNNNNNNNNNNNNNNNNNNNNNNNNNNNNNNNNNNNNNNNNNNNNNNNNNNNNNNNNNNNNNNNNNNNNNNNNNNNNNNNNNNNNNNNNNNNNNNNNNNNNNNNNNNNNNNNNNNNNNNNNNNNNNNNNNNNNNNNNNNNNNNNNNNNNNNNNNNNNNNNNNNNNNNNNNNNNNNNNNNNNNNNNNNNNNNNNNNNNNNNNNNNNNNNNNNNNNNNNNNNNNNNNNNNNNNNNNNNNNNNNNNNNNNNNNNNNNNNNNNNNNNNNNNNNNNNNNNNNNNNNNNNNNNNNNNNNNNNNNNNNNNNNNNNNNNNNNNNNNNNNNNNNNNNNNNNNNNNNNNNNNNNNNNNNNNNNNNNNNNNNNNNNNNNNNNNNNNNNNNNNNNNNNNNNNNNNNNNNNNNNNNNNNNNNNNNNNNNNNNNNNNNNNNNNNNNNNNNNNNNNNNNNNNNNNNNNNNNNNNNNNNNNNNNNNNNNNNNNNNNNNNNNNNNNNNNNNNNNNNNNNNNNNNNNNNNNNNNNNNNNNNNNNNNNNNNNNNNNNNNNNNNNNNNNNNNNNNNNNNNNNNNNNNNNNNNNNNNNNNNNNNNNNNNNNNNNNNNNNNNNNNNNNNNNNNNNNNNNNNNNNNNNNNNNNNNNNNNNNNNNNNNNNNNNNNNNNNNNNNNNNNNNNNNNNNNNNNNNNNNNNNNNNNNNNNNNNNNNNNNNNNNNNNNNNNNNNNNNNNNNNNNNNNNNNNNNNNNNNNNNNNNNNNNNNNNNNNNNNNNNNNNNNNNNNNNNNNNNNNNNNNNNNNNNNNNNNNNNNNNNNNNNNNNNNNNNNNNNNNNNNNNNNNNNNNNNNNNNNNNNNNNNNNNNNNNNNNNNNNNNNNNNNNNNNNNNNNNNNNNNNNNNNNNNNNNNNNNNNNNNNNNNNNNNNNNNNNNNNNNNNNNNNNNNNNNNNNNNNNNNNNNNNNNNNNNNNNNNNNNNNNNNNNNNNNNNNNNNNNNNNNNNNNNNNNNNNNNNNNNNNNNNNNNNNNNNNNNNNNNNNNNNNNNNNNNNNNNNNNNNNNNNNNNNNNNNNNNNNNNNNNNNNNNNNNNNNNNNNNNNNNNNNNNNNNNNNNNNNNNNNNNNNNNNNNNNNNNNNNNNNNNNNNNNNNNNNNNNNNNNNNNNNNNNNNNNNNNNNNNNNNNNNNNNNNNNNNNNNNNNNNNNNNNNNNNNNNNNNNNNNNNNNNNNNNNNNNNNNNNNNNNNNNNNNNNNNNNNNNNNNNNNNNNNNNNNNNNNNNNNNNNNNNNNNNNNNNNNNNNNNNNNNNNNNNNNNNNNNNNNNNNNNNNNNNNNNNNNNNNNNNNNNNNNNNNNNNNNNNNNNNNNNNNNNNNNNNNNNNNNNNNNNNNNNNNNNNNNNNNNNNNNNNNNNNNNNNNNNNNNNNNNNNNNNNNNNNNNNNNNNNNNNNNNNNNNNNNNNNNNNNNNNNNNNNNNNNNNNNNNNNNNNNNNNNNNNNNNNNNNNNNNNNNNNNNNNNNNNNNNNNNNNNNNNNNNNNNNNNNNNNNNNNNNNNNNNNNNNNNNNNNNNNNNNNNNNNNNNNNNNNNNNNNNNNNNNNNNNNNNNNNNNNNNNNNNNNNNNNNNNNNNNNNNNNNNNNNNNNNNNNNNNNNNNNNNNNNNNNNNNNNNNNNNNNNNNNNNNNNNNNNNNNNNNNNNNNNNNNNNNNNNNNNNNNNNNNNNNNNNNNNNNNNNNNNNNNNNNNNNNNNNNNNNNNNNNNNNNNNNNNNNNNNNNNNNNNNNNNNNNNNNNNNNNNNNNNNNNNNNNNNNNNNNNNNNNNNNNNNNNNNNNNNNNNNNNNNNNNNNNNNNNNNNNNNNNNNNNNNNNNNNNNNNNNNNNNNNNNNNNNNNNNNNNNNNNNNNNNNNNNNNNNNNNNNNNNNNNNNNNNNNNNNNNNNNNNNNNNNNNNNNNNNNCAUCCCAUCUGGUACAUGCAGCUCACAGGUAGUAAAAGCCUCUGUGACAUCAUCCACGGGGAAGUGUAGCUUCGUGUCAUCCUGAAUGGUUGGUACUUCCGUGGAUGCGCAGCUGCUUUUCAACUGGCCUGGGGGGCUAACAUUGACCUCAGGCUGUGAUGUACCUUGCCCUUUCGUCAUUUGACUAAGUGCUGCUUGCACUUGCCUUUGAAUCUCUGCCUGCAUCCAUUCUUCACGAGCUUUCUCGCGCUCUUGUGACUGCAGAACAAAAGCUUCCAGGCGGCGGAUCCGCUCUGCCUCCUCAUCCUUCUUUCUCUGGCGGCUUCUGUAGGUAUCUUGAUCGGCUUGGAAUGAUUGCAGCCACGGAACUGCCCCAUAGCCUCUCGUACGCCCACCGUGCUCAGGAUUUUCAAGCGCAUAGGUGAGUUCAUCCUUCUCCCUGUUAGGCCUGAACUCACCAGACUGAACCGCCUCACGUGCACGGACUAGUCUCUCUGCUGCUCUAGAGAUUUCUUGGCCCCAAACUAGCGCCCCGGUGUCUGGGUCCACGCUUCCCCCAUGACCGUAGAACCAAUGCUUGGAGCGCUCGCUCCAAUUCUUUGCUAUUGUCUCGGGUGUGACCCCCCUAGCAAGCAUCUCCUGUUCCAUUCAGUCCCACUUGGGAGCAGCACUCUUAUAACCACCUGAUCCCAUAUGAUGGUGGUAUGCCUUUUUACUGGCAUUCUCUUUGUUUCUAUUGGCUCGUUCCUCGCCCUCUUCUGAUGUUUUGUACUGCACAAAGUCAUCCCAGAAGGCCCUCAGCUUUACAUAUUGCUUGAGGUUGAAAUCUGGAGUCUCGUUUUUCUUGACAUAUUUAUUGUACAAAGACUUCUUCCAAUUCUGGAAGAGUACUGCCAUCUUCUUCAUAGUCCAGUCAUAAAUUCGCACCUUCAACUCUUCAUCGUUGGUGUCGAAGGUGAAAACGUCUGUGACGGCUUUCCAAACUAACUCCUUGUCACGAUCAGAGACAAAACUGAUCUCAGGAGCACCUCGCUUCUCUCUCCAUUCACGACAACUGAUCGGUAUUUGAUCUCUCACAAGAUAUCCACAGUGAUUAACAUAUUUAUUUGCAUGCUCACCAAGUGGUCUGCCUGUAGCUAUCUCAAACUCAGAGAUUACAUAGCGGCCCUCCAACGGCUUCUUUGGUCCUCGUGGAGGUACGCUUCUCCCCGUAGAGGUCGAUCCAGAAGGCUACACGUACAUAUAGAAACAAAAAUACUAAAUUAAUAACCAAGUAAUAAGUCUAAAACCUAAUGUAAGAGAUGCAUUAUUUAUAUAUGUUUACAUUUACAUACCUCGCCAGUAUUUUCUUCUUGUUGCACGACAAGUUGUUGCUCAGGGGCAUUGCCCUCUUGUUGCUCAGGGGCAUUGCCCUCUUGUUGCUCAGUACGAUUGCCUUGCAUGAUGUCGUGGUAAUCAACAAAGUACUGACUACCGUCGUCGAUCAUAUUUUGAAUGGCAGCUUCCAUAUAAUCAGGAUCAUCAUGAGGACGGUCAGCCAUUUCUAUGUCUGCAACCAUACAUAUAUAUAUUCUAUAUAAGAUAAGAAAUACACUAAUACUACUACAAAUGAAAGUGUUGGAGUGCUCUAAAAAUAAUACUAGGAUCUUUUAAGCCAAGUAAUACAUUAAUAAGAAAUACACUACAAUUCAUAAUACACUACAAUUCAAAACACUACAAUUCAUAAUAUACUAGAAUAACAUACUAAAAAGUCUUUUAAGCCAAGUAAUAUACUAGAAUAAUAUACUAAAAUAUAAUACUAAAAAAUAAUACUAUAAUAAUAGUAUAAACUAAUAGUAUAUGUUUUAAGCCAAGUAAUACACUUGCACAUAGAAUAAUGUACUAAAAAAUUCAUACUACUACAAAUUGAUACAAGAAUAAUAUAAGUGCAUAUAUAUACAUAAUAAGAAAUACACUAGAAUAAUAGAAGUGCUAGAGUGCUCCAAACUAAAAAGUAAUACUAAAAAAAUAAUACAGACAAUAACACUAGAAUAAUAUACUAGCACACAAUAUAUUUCAUAAUAAUUCAAAACACUAGCACAAAAUAUAUUUCAUAACAAUUCAAAACACUACAAUUCAUAAUAUACUAGAAUAACAUACUACAAAGUCUUUUAAGCCAAGUAAUAUACUAGAAUAAUAUACUAAAAUAUAAUACUAAAAAAUAAUACUAAAAUAAUAGUAUAUAAACUAAUACACACUUGCACAUAGAAUAAUGUACUAAAAAAUUAAUAAUACUACAAAAUGAUACAAGAAUAAUAUAAGUGCAUAUAUAUACAUAAUAAUACAAAAUAAUAGUAUAUAAACUAUUCGGUAUGAAAUAUAAGUGCAUAUAUAAUGAUACAAAAUAAUAGUACAUAAUUAAGUGCANNNNNNNNNNNNNNNNNNNNNNNNNNNNNNNNNNNNNNNNNNNNNNNNNNNNNNNNNNNNNNNNNNNNNNNNNNNNNNNNNNNNNNNNNNNNNNNNNNNNNNNNNNNNNNNNNNNNNNNNNNNNNNNNNNNNNNNNNNNNNNNNNNNNNNNNNNNNNNNNNNNNNNNNNNNNNNNNNNNNNNNNNNNNNNNNNNNNNNNNNNNNNNNNNNNNNNNNNNNNNNNNNNNNNNNNNNNNNNNNNNNNNNNNNNNNNNNNNNNNNNNNNNNNNNNNNNNNNNNNNNNNNNNNNNNNNNNNNNNNNNNNNNNNNNNNNNNNNNNNNNNNNNNNNNNNNNNNNNNNNNNNNNNNNNNNNNNNNNNNNNNNNNNNNNNNNNNNNNNNNNNNNNNNNNNNNNNNNNNNNNNNNNNNNNNNNNNNNNNNNNNNNNNNNNNNNNNNNNNNNNNNNNNNNNNNNNNNNNNNNNNNNNNNNNNNNNNNNNNNNNNNNNNNNNNNNNNNNNNNNNNNNNNNNNNNNNNNNNNNNNNNNNNNNNNNNNNNNNNNNNNNNNNNNNNNNNNNNNNNNNNNNNNNNNNNNNNNNNNNNNNNNNNNNNNNNNNNNNNNNNNNNNNNNNNNNNNNNNNNNNNNNNNNNNNNNNNNNNNNNNNNNNNNNNNNNNNNNNNNNNNNNNNNNNNNNNNNNNNNNNNNNNNNNNNNNNNNNNNNNNNNNNNNNNNNNNNNNNNNNNNNNNNNNNNNNNNNNNNNNNNNNNNNNNNNNNNNNNNNNNNNNNNNNNNNNNNNNNNNNNNNNNNNNNNNNNNNNNNNNNNNNNNNNNNNNNNNNNNNNNNNNNNNNNNNNNNNNNNNNNNNNNNNNNNNNNNNNNNNNNNNNNNNNNNNNNNNNNNNNNNNNNNNNNNNNNNNNNNNNNNNNNNNNNNNNNNNNNNNNNNNNNNNNNNNNNNNNNNNNNNNNNNNNNNNNNNNNNNNNNNNNNNNNNNNNNNNNNNNNNNNNNNNNNNNNNNNNNNNNNNNNNNNNNNNNNNNNNNNNNNNNNNNNNNNNNNNNNNNNNNNNNNNNNNNNNNNNNNNNNNNNNNNNNNNNNNNNNNNNNNNNNNNNNNNNNNNNNNNNNNNNNNNNNNNNNNNNNNNNNNNNNNNNNNNNNNNNNNNNNNNNNNNNNNNNNNNNNNNNNNNNNNNNNNNNNNNNNNNNNNNNNNNNNNNNNNNNNNNNNNNNNNNNNNNNNNNNNNNNNNNNNNNNNNNNNNNNNNNNNNNNNNNNNNNNNNNNNNNNNNNNNNNNNNNNNNNNNNNNNNNNNNNNNNNNNNNNNNNNNNNNNNNNNNNNNNNNNNNNNNNNNNNNNNNNNNNNNNNNNNNNNNNNNNNNNNNNNNNNNNNNNNNNNNNNNNNNNNNNNNNNNNNNNNNNNNNNNNNNNNNNNNNNNNNNNNNNNNNNNNNNNNNNNNNNNNNNNNNNNNNNNNNNNNNNNNNNNNNNNNNNNNNNNNNNNNNNNNNNNNNNNNNNNNNNNNNNNNNNNNNNNNNNNNNNNNNNNNNNNNNNNNNNNNNNNNNNNNNNNNNNNNNNNNNNNNNNNNNNNNNNNNNNNNNNNNNNNNNNNNNNNNNNNNNNNNNNNNNNNNNNNNNNNNNNNNNNNNNNNNNNNNNNNNNNNNNNNNNNNNNNNNNNNNNNNNNNNNNNNNNNNNNNNNNNNNNNNNNNNNNNNNNNNNNNNNNNNNNNNNNNNNNNNNNNNNNNNNNNNNNNNNNNNNNNNNNNNNNNNNNNNNNNNNNNNNNNNNNNNNNNNNNNNNNNNNNNNNNNNNNNNNNNNNNNNNNNNNNNNNNNNNNNNNNNNNNNNNNNNNNNNNNNNNNNNNNNNNNNNNNNNNNNNNNNNNNNNNNNNNNNNNNNNNNNNNNNNNNNNNNNNNNNNNNNNNNNNNNNNNNNNNNNNNNNNNNNNNNNNNNNNNNNNNNNNNNNNNNNNNNNNNNNNNNNNNNNNNNNNNNNNNNNNNNNNNNNNNNNNNNNNNNNNNNNNNNNNNNNNNNNNNNNNNNNNNNNNNNNNNNNNNNNNNNNNNNNNNNNNNNNNNNNNNNNNNNNNNNNNNNNNNNNNNNNNNNNNNNNNNNNNNNNNNNNNNNNNNNNNNNNNNNNNNNNNNNNNNNNNNNNNNNNNNNNNNNNNNNNNNNNNNNNNNNNNNNNNNNNNNNNNNNNNNNNNNNNNNNNNNNNNNNNNNNNNNNNNNNNNNNNNNNNNNNNNNNNNNNNNNNNNNNNNNNNNNNNNNNNNNNNNNNNNNNNNNNNNNNNNNNNNNNNNNNNNNNNNNNNNNNNNNNNNNNNNNNNNNNNNNNNNNNNNNNNNNNNNNNNNNNNNNNNNNNNNNNNNNNNNNNNNNNNNNNNNNNNNNNNNNNNNNNNNNNNNNNNNNNNNNNNNNNNNNNNNNNNNNNNNNNNNNNNNNNNNNNNNNNNNNNNNNNNNNNNNNNNNNNNNNNNNNNNNNNNNNNNNNNNNNNNNNNNNNNNNNNNNNNNNNNNNNNNNNNNNNNNNNNNNNNNNNNNNNNNNNNNNNNNNNNNNNNNNNNNNNNNNNNNNNNNNNNNNNNNNNNNNNNNNNNNNNNNNNNNNNNNNNNNNNNNNNNNNNNNNNNNNNNNNNNNNNNNNNNNNNNNNNNNNNNNNNNNNNNNNNNNNNNNNNNNNNNNNNNNNNNNNNNNNNNNNNNNNNNNNNNNNNNNNNNNNNNNNNNNNNNNNNNNNNNNNNNNNNNNNNNNNNNNNNNNNNNNNNNNNNNNNNNNNNNNNNNNNNNNNNNNNNNNNNNNNNNNNNNNNNNNNNNNNNNNNNNNNNNNNNNNNNNNNNNNNNNNNNNNNNNNNNNNNNNNNNNNNNNNNNNNNNNNNNNNNNNNNNNNNNNNNNNNNNNNNNNNNNNNNNNNNNNNNNNNNNNNNNNNNNNNNNNNNNNNNNNNNNNNNNNNNNNNNNNNNNNNNNNNNNNNNNNNNNNNNNNNNNNNNNNNNNNNNNNNNNNNNNNNNNNNNNNNNNNNNNNNNNNNNNNNNNNNNNNNNNNNNNNNNNNNNNNNNNNNNNNNNNNNNNNNNNNNNNNNNNNNNNNNNNNNNNNNNNNNNNNNNNNNNNNNNNNNNNNNNNNNNNNNNNNNNNNNNNNNNNNNNNNNNNNNNNNNNNNNNNNNNNNNNNNNNNNNNNNNNNNNNNNNNNNNNNNNNNNNNNNNNNNNNNNNNNNNNNNNNNNNNNNNNNNNNNNNNNNNNNNNNNNNNNNNNNNNNNNNNNNNNNNNNNNNNNNNNNNNNNNNNNNNNNNNNNNNNNNNNNNNNNNNNNNNNNNNNNNNNNNNNNNNNNNNNNNNNNNNNNNNNNNNNNNNNNNNNNNNNNNNNNNNNNNNNNNNNNNNNNNNNNNNNNNNNNNNNNNNNNNNNNNNNNNNNNNNNNNNNNNNNNNNNNNNNNNNNNNNNNNNNNNNNNNNNNNNNNNNNNNNNNNNNNNNNNNNNNNNNNNNNNNNNNNNNNNNNNNNNNNNNNNNNNNNNNNNNNNNNNNNNNNNNNNNNNNNNNNNNNNNNNNNNNNNNNNNNNNNNNNNNNNNNNNNNNNNNNNNNNNNNNNNNNNNNNNNNNNNNNNNNNNNNNNNNNNNNNNNNNNNNNNNNNNNNNNNNNNNNNNNNNNNNNNNNNNNNNNNNNNNNNNNNNNNNNNNNNNNACUUUGUAUCAAACUUUUUUCAUUUCAAGUCAUCAAAUGGGCUAUUUGACCAAGUUUGACCAAAGUCAAAGCAUUGGUUUUUACAAACACACCCUUUGACCGAACCCUAGAUUGUCCCAAAUGGAAAAGUCAUGAAUACAAAGUUUGCUACACUCAUCAAGUUCUACAUUUUGUCUAAUGGUCAUGUUUUUAUUUGAAAAAGUUUGAACCACUGAAUUUUGAAUUUUCAUAGAACUCAUAGCCACGCAGCGGUUUCGGAACCCUACAUGGUCUCGAAUGGAAAAGUCAUGAAUACCAAUAUUGUUCCACUCAUCAAAAUCUACAUUUCAUAUAUAGACCAUUUUUGCAUUUGACAAAGUUUUGGGAAGGUGUAGUUGAAAAUCCACAAUUGACACAUAUAGUUUCAUAUAGUUUGUGUGAGAACUUAGAAUUGGUGGGUAUUGUUAACUUAGAUUUUCUCAAAUGGAAAAGUUGUGUAUAUAAAAAGUUUAGAUCUUGAAGAUAUCUAACAACUUGGUAUUCAAAAUAUUUUCAUUUGAAGUAAUUUAGUUUGUCAUUUGACCAAGUUUGACCGAAACCCGUCUUGGAUUUUAUAGAAAUGUAACUAGAAUUGGCUCAAAAUUAUCCAAAUGGAAAAAUGGACAAUAUAUAAAAUAUAGAUUUUGAUGAUCUCUAACAACUUUGUAUUCAAACUUUUUUCAUUUCAAGUCAUCAAAUGGGCUAUUUGACCAAGUUUGACCAAAGUCAAAGCAUUGGUUUUUACAAACACACCCUUUGACCGAACCCUAGAUUGUCCCAAAUGGAACAGUCAAGCCGACACAACAGUGAACUUCUUCUUGACGUAUGACCCUUGGUUAUGAUCCUGCCGUAACCAUGGAGUAUCCUCAUUGUUUAACAAAAUGCUUGGGUCUUUGUUGACUAUGAAGGGCGGAAUUCGAUCAUCCCUUUCGUAAUCGCCUGACAUGUCUGACUUGUCCUCAAUUCCGACAAUGUUUCUUUUCCCAGAAAGGACAAUGUGGCGCUUUGGCUCAUUGAUGAUUGAGUGGUCAUCAUUUUUUCCUCUCUUUGGUUUCGUAGACAUAUCUUUGACAUAGAACACCUGACUCACGUCUGCAGCAAGGACGAAUGGUUCGUCUUUGAACCCACUAUUGUUAAGGUCCACGGUUGUCAUCCCAUACUCCUUGUCGACUGUUACCCCACCUCCGGUCAUCUUCACCCAUUGGCACCGGAACAAAGGAACUUUAAAAUUAGCUGCAUAGACUAGUUCCCAUAUGUCUUCUAUGCGUCCAUAAUAUGUUUGCCUGUUCCCAUUUGGAUCCGUGGCAUCCACGCGUACACCACUAUUUUGGUUGGUGCUCCUUUUAUCUUGGCCAACUGUGUAAAAUGUGUUACCAUUUAUCUCGUACCCUUUGUAUGUGAGGACAUGCCAUGAUGGUUGCCUGGCCAGCAAAUAAAGCUGCUCAUCAAUGUUUUCAUCACCUUGACAUUUUUUGCGCAACCAAUCGCCAAAAGUUUCCAUGUGCUGACGCAUUAUCCAAGCUUCAUUCUUCCCGGGCCACUGGGACCGUAGGUAAUCUUUGUGUACCUCAACAUAUGGUUCCACCAAUGAGGAGUUCUGGAGAACUGUGUAGUGUGCUUUAUUGAAGUAAUCGUUUCCCGUACCAAUAUAUGUUUUCUUCCCAAGUGUUCCCUUUCCGCUGAGUCUGCCCUCGUGUCGAGAUUCAGGAAUGCCAAUUGGGUCAAGGUCUGGAAUAAAGUCAACACAGAACUCUAUGACCUCCUCUGUUCCGUAGCCCUUGGCAAUGCUUCCUUCUGGCCGGGAACGACUAUGGACAUAUUUCUUUAGGACACCCAUGAAUCUCUCGAAGGGGAACAUGUUGUGUAGGAACACGGGACCGAGAAUACGAAUCUCUUUGACCAGAUGAACUAGGAGGUGUGUCAUGAUAUCGAAGAAGGAUGGAGGGAACACCAACUCAAAGCUGACGAGACAUUGAACGACAUCAUUCUGCAGAGUAGCUAGUUGCUCUGGAUUGAUUGCCUUCUGAGAAAUUGCAUUGAGGAAUGCACAUAGCUUUACGGUGGCUAGACGUACGUGUGGAGGUAGAAUUCCUCUUAAAACGACCGGCAGCAAUUGCGUCAUUAGAACGUGACAGUCAUGGGACUUCAAGUUCAGGAAUUUCUUCUCUGGCACAUUAAUUAUUCCCUUGAUAUUGGAGGAGAAUCCAGAUGGGACCUUGAUGCUGCUAAGACAUUCAAACAUGCUUUCCUUCUCUUCUUUGCUCAGAGUGUAGCUAGCAGGGCUUAAGUAAUGACGUCCAUCAUCUGUCUUUUCUGGAUGCAGGUUGUCUCGUUCUUUCAUGCGCUGCAAGUCUUGUCGUGCUUCAAGUGAAUCCUUAGACUUCCCGUAGACACCCAUGAUCCGAGAAAGGGUGGGNNNNNNNNNNNNNNNNNNNNNNNNNNNNNNNNNNNNNNNNNNNNNNNNNNNNNNNNNNNNNNNNNNNNNNNNNNNNNNNNNNNNNNNNNNNNNNNNNNNNNNNNNNNNNNNNNNNNNNNNNNNNNNNNNNNNNNNNNNNNNNNNNNNNNNNNNNNNNNNNNNNNNNNNNNNNNNNNNNNNNNNNNNNNNNNNNNNNNNNNNNNNNNNNNNNNNNNNNNNNNNNNNNNNNNNNNNNNNNNNNNNNNNNNNNNNNNNNNNNNNNNNNNNNNNNNNNNNNNNNNNNNNNNNNNNNNNNNNNNNNNNNNNNNNNNNNNNNNNNNNNNNNNNNNNNNNNNNNNNNNNNNNNNNNNNNNNNNNNNNNNNNNNNNNNNNNNNNNNNNNNNNNNNNNNNNNNNNNNNNNNNNNNNNNNNNNNNNNNNNNNNNNNNNNNNNNNNNNNNNNNNNNNNNNNNNNNNNNNNNNNNNNNNNNNNNNNNNNNNNNNNNNNNNNNNNNNNNNNNNNNNNNNNNNNNNNNNNNNNNNNNNNNNNNNNNNNNNNNNNNNNNNNNNNNNNNNNNNNNNNNNNNNNNNNNNNNNNNNNNNNNNNNNNNNNNNNNNNNNNNNNNNNNNNNNNNNNNNNNNNNNNNNNNNNNNNNNNNNNNNNNNNNNNNNNNNNNNNNNNNNNNNNNNNNNNNNNNNNNNNNNNNNNNNNNNNNNNNNNNNNNNNNNNNNNNNNNNNNNNNNNNNNNNNNNNNNNNNNNNNNNNNNNNNNNNNNNNNNNNNNNNNNNNNNNNNNNNNNNNNNNNNNNNNNNNNNNNNNNNNNNNNNNNNNNNNNNNNNNNNNNNNNNNNNNNNNNNNNNNNNNNNNNNNNNNNNNNNNNNNNNNNNNNNNNNNNNNNNNNNNNNNNNNNNNNNNNNNNNNNNNNNNNNNNNNNNNNNNNNNNNNNNNNNNNNNNNNNNNNNNNNNNNNNNNNNNNNNNNNNNNNNNNNNNNNNNNNNNNNNNNNNNNNNNNNNNNNNNNNNNNNNNNNNNNNNNNNNNNNNNNNNNNNNNNNNNNNNNNNNNNNNNNNNNNNNNNNNNNNNNNNNNNNNNNNNNNNNNNNNNNNNNNNNNNNNNNNNNNNNNNNNNNNNNNNNNNNNNNNNNNNNNNNNNNNNNNNNNNNNNNNNNNNNNNNNNNNNNNNNNNNNNNNNNNNNNNNNNNNNNNNNNNNNNNNNNNNNNNNNNNNNNNNNNNNNNNNNNNNNNNNNNNNNNNNNNNNNNNNNNNNNNNNNNNNNNNNNNNNNNNNNNNNNNNNNNNNNNNNNNNNNNNNNNNNNNNNNNNNNNNNNNNNNNNNNNNNNNNNNNNNNNNNNNNNNNNNNNNNNNNNNNNNNNNNNNNNNNNNNNNNNNNNNNNNNNNNNNNNNNNNNNNNNNNNNNNNNNNNNNNNNNNNNNNNNNNNNNNNNNNNNNNNNNNNNNNNNNNNNNNNNNNNNNNNNNNNNNNNNNNNNNNNNNNNNNNNNNNNNNNNNNNNNNNNNNNNNNNNNNNNNNNNNNNNNNNNNNNNNNNNNNNNNNNNNNNNNNNNNNNNNNNNNNNNNNNNNNNNNNNNNNNNNNNNNNNNNNNNNNNNNNNNNNNNNNNNNNNNNNNNNNNNNNNNNNNNNNNNNNNNNNNNNNNNNNNNNNNNNNNNNNNNNNNNNNNNNNNNNNNNNNNNNNNNNNNNNNNNNNNNNNNNNNNNNNNNNNNNNNNNNNNNNNNNNNNNNNNNNNNNNNNNNNNNNNNNNNNNNNNNNNNNNNNNNNNNNNNNNNNNNNNNNNNNNNNNNNNNNNNNNNNNNNNNNNNNNNNNNNNNNNNNNNNNNNNNNNNNNNNNNNNNNNNNNNNNNNNNNNNNNNNNNNNNNNNNNNNNNNNNNNNNNNNNNNNNNNNNNNNNNNNNNNNNNNNNNNNNNNNNNNNNNNNNNNNNNNNNNNNNNNNNNNNNNNNNNNNNNNNNNNNNNNNNNNNNNNNNNNNNNNNNNNNNNNNNNNNNNNNNNNNNNNNNNNNNNNNNNNNNNNNNNNNNNNNNNNNNNNNNNNNNNNNNNNNNNNNNNNNNNNNNNNNNNNNNNNNNNNNNNNNNNNNNNNNNNNNNNNNNNNNNNNNNNNNNNNNNNNNNNNNNNNNNNNNNNNNNNNNNNNNNNNNNNNNNNNNNNNNNNNNNNNNNNNNNNNNNNNNNNNNNNNNNNNNNNNNNNNNNNNNNNNNNNNNNNNNNNNNNNNNNNNNNNNNNNNNNNNNNNNNNNNNNNNNNNNNNNNNNNNNNNNNNNNNNNNNNNNNNNNNNNNNNNNNNNNNNNNNNNNNNNNNNNNNNNNNNNNNNNNNNNNNNNNNNNNNNNNNNNNNNNNNNNNNNNNNNNNNNNNNNNNNNNNNNNNNNNNNNNNNNNNNNNNNNNNNNNNNNNNNNNNNNNNNNNNNNNNNNNNNNNNNNNNNNNNNNNNNNNNNNNNNNNNNNNNNNNNNNNNNNNNNNNNNNNNNNNNNNNNNNNNNNNNNNNNNNNNNNNNNNNNNNNNNNNNNNNNNNNNNNNNNNNNNNNNNNNNNNNNNNNNNNNNNNNNNNNNNNNNNNNNNNNNNNNNNNNNNNNNNNNNNNNNNNNNNNNNNNNNNNNNNNNNNNNNNNNNNNNNNNNNNNNNNNNNNNNNNNNNNNNNNNNNNNNNNNNNNNNNNNNNNNNNNNNNNNNNNNNNNNNNNNNNNNNNNNNNNNNNNNNNNNNNNNNNNNNNNNNNNNNNNNNNNNNNNNNNNNNNNNNNNNNNNNNNNNNNNNNNNNNNNNNNNNNNNNNNNNNNNNNNNNNNNNNNNNNNNNNNNNNNNNNNNNNNNNNNNNNNNNNNNNNNNNNNNNNNNNNNNNNNNNNNNNNNNNNNNNNNNNNNNNNNNNNNNNNNNNNNNNNNNNNNNNNNNNNNNNNNNNNNNNNNNNNNNNNNNNNNNNNNNNNNNNNNNNNNNNNNNNNNNNNNNNNNNNNNNNNNNNNNNNNNNNNNNNNNNNNNNNNNNNNNNNNNNNNNNNNNNNNNNNNNNNNNNNNNNNNNNNNNNNNNNNNNNNNNNNNNNNNNNNNNNNNNNNNNNNNNNNNNNNNNNNNNNNNNNNNNNNNNNNNNNNNNNNNNNNNNNNNNNNNNNNNNNNNNNNNNNNNNNNNNNNNNNNNNNNNNNNNNNNNNNNNNNNNNNNNNNNNNNNNNNNNNNNNNNNNNNNNNNNNNNNNNNNNNNNNNNNNNNNNNNNNNNNNNNNNNNNNNNNNNNNNNNNNNNNNNNNNNNNNNNNNNNNNNNNNNNNNNNNNNNNNNNNNNNNNNNNNNNNNNNNNNNNNNNNNNNNNNNNNNNNNNNNNNNNNNNNNNNNNNNNNNNNNNUUUGGCCAUUUGGGCAUCGACCAAUGCCUCAUUCUGUAGUAGUGAACUUAACUUUUUAUACUAUCUAUGUGUUGGUUAAGUUUCGUGGCUUUUUUUGAAAAUCUAAUAAAAUUAUGUAUAUUUCUACUUAAUGAAAAAUGUACCUUUUCACAUGGUCAGUCUUGUAGAGAGUUAUACUUGUAUGUGCGGAGAACUUAGAGAUUUGAACGUGGGAAUAGCUUGGAGAAAUAUUUAUUUUGAUUAGAUUGAUGACAACCUGCAGUUUGAUCAGUUAGGCCAUUCAUGUAGUAGUAGUAUUAGUAGUAGUAGUAAUUUAAUCCUAAUUAAAACUAACAACCUAGUAAUAGAAAAAUAUGUAUUAGGAAUAUUUUUUAUUAAGUAAUAAUAAGAAUUAAAGUUUUAAAGAACUACAAUGUUGUAUUUAUUAUUCAUCUUUAUUCAUAUAAGAAAAGAUAUAGUUACUUCAAAGAGAAAAAAAGUCAAAGACACCACCAAAGGGGGGGGGCGACCCUUUUAGACCCAGGUAUGCAGCACCUAUGAGCCACAGAAAAAAAUAAAGACUUAGGUAAUCAUGCUGAACUCAGACAUAACAUUGGUGAUUGGCUGCACGAAAAAAUUUUAUAAGCUCCCUGCUGGCAUGUGGUGCACGCUUUCCCGAGAAGAAACUUCAUCUACGUACUAAUCAUUCAACGCACCUUAACACAUAGGUAGAUAUAUAUAUAGCUAUAGAUAAUUGUAAAUAUUUGCUGCGUUGUCGGCCCUUAUAAUUAAUGAUUGGCUUAAACUAGACGCCAGUUGAAGACAAAGAAACCCCAGAUUAUAAAGCAUGAUUGGUAAAAAUCAAGCAUAAAGUAAACGUUUCCAGCGUGUAUAUAUAAAGAUAUAUACACACAACAAAUGCGUGGGGCAUAAGAGGCCGAUGCACAACACCAGCUAGUAUAUGGUGUACAGGAGUAGUAGCCAACUAGCUCUUACCCUCCACAGGCCAAAUAUGCAUUAAGGUUGCUUACAAAAUCUUUUAAAGGUAUUCCAUCGACAAAUAUGAUGACUUUAAUUCGCAUAAAAAAAAGGAUGACUUUUGAUGUUCAAAUAGUUCUUAGAAAUGUAAGGAUUUCCCCCAAUUUCUGACUAUGUUCAUUCGUUCAAGAAUUUGUUUACUCGAUGUCAUUCCUUUUAACCUCUUAUUUUUAUAAAAAUAUUUAGGAAAAAUAAUAUAUAUAUAGAUAUAUAUAUAUGUAUAUAUAUAUAUACUUUUAUGAAAGUAUUUUCAAGACAAAUCUAUUUAUAUAAUUUUUAGAUUUUCAAACUCAACAAUUUAAAAAUUAUUAAUGAUUUAUAUUCUCAAUGUUUGUCAAAUCUGUCCAAAACGACUUCUAAAUCCUAUACGGAGGGAGUAGCGCCAAUUAUGAGCUCAGCUUCUUGCUUCAAAGGGACAUGAAAAUCUUUUUCCUCCCUAUUGAUUUGUCCUAAAAUUCAUACCCUACCCCAGCGGCCGGCACCAUUGGGCCAUCGCCGCUUCAAGCAAAUUACCAUUGUGUGACAUGAAAUAUCUCUGGUGAUCUUAUAAUAAGGAUGCGUCAAUAUAAUACACUAAAAAAUGCUUCUUCAUUUCUCCCAGCACACGACCGCCCGGUUAUCCCUGGAGCGUCGGUUCUGGAUCGAAGGGCCAGCAUGGUUUCGCUCAAAGUCACCAUGCAUUGCCACAUAAAGUGGAAACAAGCAGCAAGCAAGGUAGAGAGGCUCAACUUCCAUCGAAAAAAAGGGUAAGAGAGGCUCAACUCUCACUCCUCGAUCCUCGUUGUGCUUCCAAACAUUCUUACAUCGAUCGGCGUAAUAAUAAGCAAAAGAAGAAGCUUUGGCAGAUAGUACUAUAAUUGCAUAGAACGUAGAGCCAUUGAUGUGCCCGUAAUUGGGCGCCUGUUUUCUCGUGGCGGUGCCGACCCAUCAUUGAUCAUACUCCAUAAACAAAGCAUGCAUGGUUGGUGACUAACCGUAUCAAGUACUACUCCUAGUAGUUAACGCCUUGUUUAGUUCACCCAAAAAUCAAAAACUUUUCAAAAUUCUCCGUCACAUCAAAUCUUAAGGCACAUACAUGAAGCAUUAGAUAUAGACGAAAACAAAAAUUAAUUACACAGUUUGCCUAUAAAUCACGAGAUGAAUCUUUUGAGCCUAGUUAGUCAAUAAUUAGAUAAUGUUUGUCAAAUAAAAACGAAAAUACUACGGUAUCGAAAUUCAAAUUUUUUUCAAAACUAAACAAGGCCAAAACUUUAUAAGAUUCCCCGUCACAUCGAAUCUUACGGCACAUGCAUGAAGUAUUAAAUAUAGAUAAAAAGAAUAACUAAUUGCACAGUUUACUUGUAAAUCACGAGAUGAAUCUUUUAAGCUUAGUUACUCUAUAAUUAGAUAAUGUUUGUCAAAUAAAAACAAAAAAUGCUACAGUGUCAAAAUUCCAAAAUUUUUUUGCAUCUAAACAAGGCCUUAAGUAUACUAGUACUAUAUAGGAAUUCGUGGCGCCGUACGCUGCUGCGAGCAAAAUCUUUGUCGGGCAAGGGUUCUUUUCGUCCAAAGGGGAACCCAUCUUUUCCUGCUUCGGCUUCGUUGAAACCAUCCUUAUACAUGCAUGCAUCGAUGAUCAAUCUACAGCCUACUACAUACACUCCGGCCCCGCUGAGCUUGUUUAAUCUCUCAUAUAUAUACUCCAAUAUAUAUAAAUUCACUAUGAUGACCGCCCUAUCGAGGAGGGAAUCUUGAGCUGCUGAAGCGCUUUUCCUUUGGUUUUGUCAUGUUUCUUCAAGCUAUAUUCUCCUCCCCGGACGGAGACGAGCUGGGCCGCCCGGCCGGCCAGGUACCUUGGCUCGCUCCUACGUCAGUCGUCACUCACUCAGUCACUCACACGUCACAAUCCAAGCGCAGGAAUCUCGAAUACAGGAAUUGAAGGUGGGGUUGCUACUCCAGCGCUACACCGGACAUAUAGUCUCGACACUACUUCAGGUUUAUUAGAAGUUAUAGGAUCCUCUACUAGCCUCGAGCUAUAUAUAUAUAUAAGGACAGGGACUGUAUAUAUACUGGCAUCUAUCUGGAGCUAGAUAAUUGUUGCUCAACAAAUCAUCCCUGUGGGUCCAUUCCUGCUGGGUAUGCUGGAACUGAUAGUGAUCCAAGUUUACUUGCACCUAAGGCUUGAUACAUUUUGUAAAACUUCCUUCCACUUAAAUUGCUUGCUUGAAUCCACUCUUGUUCAAGCUAAGGAUUGUGUUCGCCCCUAUACACUAGCAUAGAAAAGCUCUCUAUGCAGGCAGUGGGGGUCUAAUUUACACUACUACAAUAUUUUUAACCAAGGUGGGCAAAUUAGGUAACCGUGGCGGGCAAGCCAACCGUCUCGGAUCAAAGGUCACAGUUAAUCGUGGCCUUAAUCGAGGCGGUUGGUCAACCAGACCGUCUUGGUUAAUAUAUUAACCUAAGUGGUUUUGCUAAGAUGCCCGCCUCGGUUAAUACGUUAACCGAGGCAGUCUUUUUUAUUUUCUCGUCUCCUUUAAGUGUAUCCAGAUUAAAAAAACUUUUUUAAUUUAUUUUUGAAUUCGAAACCGAAAUUUGUUAGAUUGAAACAUAUACAAAGCAAAUACAUACGUACAAAGGAUAACCACAUAUAUUACAUCCAUUCAUAUAUCGUCUUUAUCAUUAAACGGUACAUGUCACACACUAAGUUCAUAUUACAUGAAUGUACACAAUGUUCAUAAAAAGCACAUCUAAAUAAUGUUCACUAAAAAAUAUCCGGCAACUUAUAGUUGUUCAUAUCUCAAUCGUUGGUUCUCCAGUUGCGUAGCUUUUUGAACUUCUUCUCUCUCACUAGCUCGCUCCUGGUAUAGAAGAACUGUCCGUCCACAUGACAACAUUGAUCCGUGACAAACUUACAAAUGUCAGCUACCGUGACUCUUUGAUGAAUCGUUUUCUUUUCCCACCAACUUUGGGAUUUCUGCAGUUGCCGCUAGCUAUUGUUGAAUUUCCCGCAAGCCCUGAGGUACUCACAAGCAUAGUACCAACACAGGACUGAGCCAUCAGGUUGCUUAGCGCACUGCAUGCGUGGGGUGUAAUUUAAGCUGUUUCAAUUAUCGAGCGCCAGUGUAAAGGAAACGGCCGCCCCGACUCUAGAAACGUCAACUGCCUGUGGAAAUCGAUUUCCACUCCUGUAAAAUUUGGAAAGAUCCAUUUCCACUAGUCCCUAACAAUGGCAGUUCUAAGAAACACUUGUAGAAAUAGCUUACAAGCCACCUGUACAAAGCUUCAUUGUACUAUGAUGUUUACAAGAUCACCAAUUGUCCACCUUCCCCCGUAUUUAGAAUAUAGACAUAUAAACACUCCUCGUGGAUCCUUGAACUCCUCAUUUGACAUUGCUGCCAACUUAUUAACACCUUUCUAUUGUCACCAAUGUUGGGUAUUCUUAACAUCAUUACCAAAAGUAGACUAAGUUUUCUAAAUCUAGUAACGGUGUCAAAAAUGCCAAACCUAUCCCUCACACCACUUAAGCCAAGUUGUCAUCCCCAGCAUGACAUGAGAGACGCGGUAUUGAAAUAUGAAAUUGCUCUUCUAAAUAAAUAAUGAAUGGGAUCUGCAAGCGCACAGAUUAAUACCGAUGUAGCAUUUUAACCGGGAAGUAUUCCAGGUAUCGUUAUUUAUAUUUUUACCACUGGGAAGGGAUUAGCAAUCAUCACUAUUGAUUACAGAAUAGAAUAUGAGAUUGAGCAUCUAUCAUUGCAUGUAUAAUUGAGAACAUUAUAUCUAACUCUUCAUACAGGGAUAAGUGUCACAUAAAAGAUAUAUGAAAUAAUAAUAGUGACAAGGAUAACUUAUCUGAUCUAGCCACAUAAUAAAUAUGAUAAGCACCUCAAUUAGAUACUCUAGAAAGUCAUUAGCAUGGUAUUAGAACGAACUACAAGAAUAUUCCCUAAGUUAUUCUCAACUAUAUAGUCUAGCAUUAUCAUAGUUAGUGCAAGCAUACUUAGCAAUCAUUGCGAGACAAGACUACGCCCAUGCAUAGUGAUAUUAGCAAGGAAUAUGAGAAACAUAGCAAUCACUCCCCUGUAAUAAUGUUGCUCUGCCAGCCCAAUACACGAGAGGAGGACUAUAUAAGAAUCAAUGAAGCUGUCACUAUCACGAACCACCCCACGAUCUGGCAUAUUGGGUACAAUCGCAGAUAAAUACGGUAUAAGCACCACGCCUACACAAUAUCUAUCAUUUACCCAUGGAUCUGAUGGAUAAACGCUAUACGAUCCUAAGCAUGUAUAUAGAUCGAAUCUAAUUAAGCCAAGUACAUAACUAUGAUAAACUAAGAACAAUAUAAUCUUGAAUAUAAGCAAGUAGAGCAAAGUCAUAAGCAAUAUAUUAAAGUAGAACAAAGUCAUAUUCAUAAUAUUGAAGAACAAAGAUAAUUAGAAAGUAAUUAGAAGCACAAUUAGAGAAUUACCAAGAAUCCGCCUGACAGAUCCGGAAACCAAUCGAAGAUUGACUCCUUCUAGUUCUAAUCCUAUGUAGCUAUGCUAAUCUAGAUAUCUAAUUGAUGUGGUGGCUCUAAUCUUGAUCAGAGGCUUCUUCUCCCUUGAUGGAACAAUGAAUUAGGGUUGAGAGGCUCUCUCCUCCAGGGGCCAGGGGGUCUGGUUUUAUAGUCCCUUCAAGUGAAUAUGGGCCCUUGGAUCAAACCGACAUAGAUUGUAUGGUUUAGAUUCAUCCUUUAGGUCGGUGGAAAUCUCUCGCGAAGCAGAGUCCUGAUUGGACUCAGGAGGUGGGCGGGCGCCCAGGGUCAGGCCCCGUUUCGCCUCCGCUUCGGUCUCGUGGCUUCUGGAGUCUUCUAGAUGUAAGAUUAUUGCGCGGCACGUUAAUAUCUUUACGUAAUCCCGACAUGUGGGCCUUUCUUCCAUAUUUCCUGAUAACCCCCUGCAGAAAUAGACAAACACCAAAACUCGUGGAAUUCUGUCAGAUAAAACCCUAAGUCUGGAUGUUGAUUUCAUUUGGAUCCUUUUCUUUAUUUAUUUGAUAAUUAAAUUUGAUACUUAAGGACCGUCAACAAACUCCCCCAAGCUUACCUCUUGCUCGUCCCUGAGCAAGGAUAGACUCAGCUAUGGAUCAUAAGUUGUUGCAAUUUCUUUAAAAAUUUGACGGUACACAUACUUUUAAAUAAGAUCUCAUCUCUGAGUUAGAGUAAACUGUCAAGACUUAAAACUUACUUACUUUACCUUCCACCAUGGGACUUGUAACCGUCACUUCCAUCUUGAGUGGUUAAAAGAUAGAACAGUCUAGCCAAGUGCCAUGUCUCUUAUUCUUGAUCAGCUGUAGCUCUAGAGUUUUUGCAGAUUUUCAAAUAAAACUCAGAGAUUCCUUGUAUGACUCUCUCAAAUCUCUCUUUUGUGGUAUUUCUGGAUCCUUACCAAGGCAGUGAUGGUAUAUUCCUUCUCUCAAUAUAUGUAGUAUUUGUGGUAUAAGGCAUAGUGACAUUGCCUUCUCUCUCACCCUACUCUAAUAAGGCUUUAAUAUCUGGAGCUCAUAGGUGGGAGAUAAAAUAUACAUACUUACAAGACAUUUAUUGCAUAGUCAAACCAUGGAUCCAAAGAAAUAAAUCAAUAAGCCAAAUCAAGAUGUGCAUGUGUGGCGAAUGAAUGAUGUAUGGUGGUGAUGGUGAUAACAAUGGUGAAAACAAUGGUGGUGGAAGUCUAAUUCUACUUUUGCUCUUUGAGGGGAUACAUACCUUCCUUGCUUUUCGAAACUUUAUGAGGAGAAUGAGAUGCUCUUCUUUUUCUUUUCUCUCAGGUGGGUAUCUCGUACCCCUAAUUCUACUGUCGGACACUUGUCCAUUUUUACCUCUCAUCUCACUUUUUCUUUUUCUUUUGAGGUUCCGAGCACUUGCUCCUUUUUAUUUCCUCGUAUCUUUUUUUUUCUUUUUUUUUCAGAGCAUUCAUCUCUUGAGAUAAUAUAGCAAGUGGUAGUAACAAGAUAACUUGAGCAUUUAUUUCACUAGGGAAAACAGAAAUAUUUUUGGUUAUUCUCUCCCAGAUUAGGAGUAGAAUAUUUUUGGGAGAUUCUGGAGAUGGAAAUGGAUGGAUAUAUGUGGAUGGUACUUCCGGAGUAGAAGUAGCAUAUAUGAGUGAACGUGCAAGUGAAAUCUUGAUUUAACCACAUGACAAGCUCCUAAGGGUCUACACACCUUGACCACACUCAAUGCUCAUAAGAAAUAAAAAGUAAAUGUGUGGCUCAAAGUCUAGCAAGCAUGUAUAUAUGGCUUUGGUAGGAAUUUAAACUCUCAUCAUACUGAAACUCAUCAUGCAACAUUUUGAAACUUUUCAAAGAUAAAAUUCUCUAGAAUUCUAGCAUCUCUAGGAACAGAUAAACAGCAGCUCAACCUUCCCAUAUCAUAUCCGUUAACAACUUAGACUUCAGAUCAAGUUUUGAUCCCACAAGUUUAGGUGUAGAGCAAGCUUUAAAUUAUAACAGUUAUAUCUAAACUUGAGAGAGAACUUAAAAUGUGCAAAUUAGGCAGAGCAACUAUUCAUCAUAUCCAUGCUUAAGUUUUAUUUAGAUACAGAUUAGCAUAGCCACUUUAUUUAUUUAUUAAACACACUAAGCAAAAGAUAAAUAAGCACGAAAUCUUUAUUUGGUUUUUCCUAGUUUAUGUAUUUUAAUAUUCUAAUAUAAUAUAAGUAUGAAGAUAGAUAGAAAUACUUAUCGGGAUAAAUAGGGGUGCUCUCCCCCAAGCUGAAUUUUGACGUAAUUUCUCUUGAUGUAGCUAGCAGGUGGCAGAUGUGUAUUUGAAAGUCAGCAGCAUUCUGACAGCGAUUAGAAUGUCCUCCGUCUGCUAGUCUUCUUGAUUCCUAAAUUCUGUGGAGCUCAAAUAGACAACAAAGCUUGUGGAACUGAUUAAGUGUUAGCAUAAAUAUCUAGCCUUUAUCAUGUUGAGACUCCUUAAUAAAUAUUACUCCCUGUUUUUAUAUUUUUAUUUUAUAAAGCAGAAAAAUAUAUAUUUAUUUUAUUUUUAUGCCACCACAGUGAAUGUACUUAUGGGUUUUAUGCCACUCGUCUACUCACAUGGGGCUUACUGUUUUUUCACAUUUUUAUUUUCUUUUUAGAAUAGCACGAACAUGAUUAACUAAGUAAACUAGUUGGAAUAAUUUGAAAUAAUUGAAAGGGAAAGGAUAACUACCAAGUUUACCUCUUGGCAAGGCGUUCGGUGUUUUUAAGUCCUCCGAACGGGACUCUCCAUUUUCUUAAUUGUCCUGAGGUUCGUUGGGUGGCGUAGUCGGUACUUCCGGCAGCGCCUCCUCUUCUUGUAUAGCUAUCUUCAUUUUCCAUACCUAACUCGGUGCUUCAAUCUCCUCUGGAUAAUUCUGUUUAAAUUCGACGUCUUCUGAUCUUACAACUUCUCCUUCAUAGUCUGCCCAUCCGUCCUUGAUGAUCUGCCUCCUCUGGUUGCUGUUGCGUCUCUUUCUGACCUGCUUAGAUUCUUCAACAAUAUAGUCAGGGUCAAUAAAAUAACGGCGUACCUUCUCUGAGGGGAAGUGCAUAUGGACUUCUCCGGUUCCAAUGUAGAUAAUUGCUUUAACGGUGCUGAGGAACGGUCUUCCAAGGAUGAUGGGUGGAUCAUACUCGUCUUCUCCCAUGUCAAUAACUUGAAAGUCUGUGUAGACAAAGUGAUCGUCUAUUUUGACUGGGACAUCAGUUACUAUUCCUUUAGCUUCUCGAAAUGUCUGAUCUGCCAUCUGGAGCUGAAUGUAUGUUGGUCUUAGUGGCAUGGUUCCGAACAAGAGCCGAUAGGUGACUGCGGCCAUUAUGUUGACGCCCGAUCCGGUGUCGCAAAUUGUCUUGUAGAAGCUGUAUCCAUGUAUAGAGCAGUAGAUGCUUGGCAUUCCUGGGUCAUCCUUCUUGGUCAAAAACGGUGACUUAAGUUGGUGAUCUUGACCUCCAUGAACUACAGUGACCAUCUUAGCUGACUUGGUCCACACUUGCUUGUUCCUGUUUCUCCUGUUGGUCCUUUUCCUUGAUUUACGUCUGGAUUGAUCUGGAAUUUGUGUAGUCUUGUUCUUGAAGAAAAAUGUCUCCUUCUUCCCUUUGACAUAGAAACUGAUCUUGGCAGCACUGGCGUAGAUGAUAGCUCCCGUGGUGUUCAAGAAUGGCCUCCCUAAGAUGAUGGAUGCUCUCUCAUCAUUUCCGGUCUCUACCACUACGAAGUCUGCUGGGGCAUAUAAGGUACCAACUCGGACACAAAGGUUCUUCACUAUUCCUUUUGGAAAAGUUAUCGUCUGAUCUGCAAACUGCAAACACAUGGUUGUCUCUAAUAAAGGAUAUGUAAAGAAUUUUUCAUAGAGUACCCUGGGUAUAAUGUUGACGCUGGAGCCAAAGUCACAGAGUGCUUCUGGAACGUCCACCAUGCCGAUGGAGAUCGGGAUGACGGGGCGUCCUGGAUCUCCUCUCUUGACCGGCAGAAGGUCAGUAGAGAAUUCAGUAAUGGGGUUACUCCAAUUACCUGCAUCAAACAUGUCUACAAGAUUUGCAGAUUCUAAUCCUUCCGGUUGUGAUGGUAUACCGGGGUUAGUAGUAGGAACAACAGCAGCUAUUUGAUUUAACUGAGAUUCAAUCAUUUUAUUAAAGCUAAUUUGAUUCUUGAUGGCAGUAGAGAAAUUAUCCAUUCUAUUAUUUAUAUUUUCUAGCAUUUUAUCAUUAGAUGCCAAUUUCUUAGAUAGGUUAUCCAUUAGCUUUCCUUGAUUAGACACUAACUCUCUCAAAGGUGGAAAAUUAUUAUUAUUGUUGUAAGAAUUGUUACCUUGAUAAUUACCUGAGUAGUUAGGCCUCUGUUGAUUCCAACCUUGAUUUUGUUGAGGACGGUUGUAGUAGUAGUUGUAGUUGUUGUUGAUGUAGUUCACAUCCUCAAGCAUCUCAGGGCAGUGGUUGCCUGAGUGUCCAGUGUCUCCACACUCCUCACAAGUCAUGUGAGAGUCGUAGAUGUGCAUAACUUCUUUCUUGUCUCCAGCUCUAUCGUCGAGCUUCUUCAUGAGCAGGUCUAGCUUUGCAGACAGCAUGUCUACCUCCUUCACCUGAUGCAUACCUCCACCUCACUUGCGUGUCUGGGUCCUCUCUUCAUUCCAGCUUUGAUUGGACGCCAUCUUCUCCACAAGAGCUGUGGCUUGUGGUAUAGUAAGUGAUAAGAAUGCUCCUCCAGCUGCAGCAUCCAUGGUCUCUCGGGCACUGUUGCCGAGCCCAUGAUAAAAUGUCUGCAUCAGUAGCCAACUCUCCGUUCCAUGAUGGGGACAUUCUAGGAUGUAGUCUUGAAAGCGCUCCCAUGCUUCUGGAACAGAUUCAUCAUUUUGUUGCUGAAAACUUGUAAUCUUCCCACGGAGAGCAUUGGUCUUGCCCAUGGGAAAGAACUUAGCCAGGAAGUUUGUUGAGCAGAGUGCCCACGUAGUAUUCUUCUCCUUUGUAGCGUAGAACCACUGCUUCGCUCUUCCUAACAGUGAGAAUGGGAAGAGGCGAAGUAGUAUAUCAUCUUUGGAAACUCCUGAUAUGGUGAAUGUGUUGCAAAUCUCCAGGAAGUGUUGUAAAUGAGCACUAGCAUCUUCGUGUGCCUUCCCACAGAACUGAUUGGAUUGCACCAUGUUGAUAAGUCCAGGCCUGAGCUCAAAGUUUCCAUCGAUCUCUGCAGCAGGUCCAGUGCGGAUGUUGUCCGUAGUGGGAGCUGAGAACUCGCGGAUCGAUUUGUUCGCCAUGGCUUCGAACUCUGAAGACAAGUUCCGGUGAUCUUCUUGAUUGGAUGAAGCUUCUUGCUGAAGUGUUGAUGAUUUCUUUAGCUUGGCUCUCGUCUUCUUGAAUAAUGCUUCGGGAUUGUCAACAAAAUUUCCUGGAAGAUGUCUUCUAUUCAUACAUUCCCCUGCAUAAGAUAAAAUAGAAAAAUAUCGGGGUAAAACUGUAUAAGAGAAUAGAUAAGCUCAAUCAUAUUAGUGAUGCGAAUGAUAACUCAAAAUCUUUUAUUCCAUUCCUUAUUAGUAAUCAACCUUCCCCGGCAACGGCGCCAAAAAUGCUUGUUGGGUAUUCUUAACAUCAUUACCAAAAGUAGACUAAGUUUUCUAAAUCUAGUAACGGUGCCAAAAAUGCCAAACUAUCCCUCACACCACUUAAGCCAAGUUAUCAUCCCCAGCAUGACAUGAGAGACACGGUAUUGAAAUAUACAAUUGCUCUUCUAAAUAAAUAAUGAAUGGGAUCUGCAAGCACACAGAUUAAUACCGAUGUAGCAUUUUAACCGGGAAGUAUUCCAAGUAUCGUUAUUUAUAUUUUUACCACUGGAAAGGGAUUAUCAAUCAUCACUAUUGAUUACAGAAUAGAAUAUGAGAUUGAGCAUCUAUCAUUGCAUGUAUAAUUGAGAACAUUAUAUCUAACUCUUCAUACAGGGAUAAGUGUCACAUAAAAGAUAUAUGAAAUAAUAAUAGUGACAAGGAUAACUAAUCUGAUCUAGCCACAUAAUAAAUAUGAUAAGCACCUCAAUUAGAUACUCUAGAAAGUCAUUAGCAUAGUAUUAGAACGAACUACAAGAAUAUUCCCUAAGUUAUUCUCAACUAUAUAGUCUAGCAUUAUCAUAGUUAGUGCAAGCAUACUUAGCAAUUAUUGCGAGACAAGACUACGCCCAUGCAUAGUGAUAUUAGCAAGGAAUAUGAGAAACAUAGCAAUCACUCCCCUGUAAUAAUGUUGCUCUGCCAGCCCAAUACACGAGAGGGGGACUAUAUAAGAAUCAAUGAAGCUGUCACUAUCACGAACCACCCCACGAUCUGGCAUAUUGGGUACAAUCACAGAUAAAUAUGGUAUAAGCACCACGCCUACACAAUAUCUAUCAUUUACCUAUGGAUCCGAUGGAUAAACGCUAUACGAUCCUAAGCAUGUAUAUAGAUCGAAUCUAACUAAGCCAAGUACAUAACUAUGAUAAACUAAGAACAAUAUGAUCUUGAAUAUAAGCAAGUAGAGCAAAGUCAUAAGCAAUAUAUUGAAGUAGAACAAAGUCAUAUUCAUAAUAUUGAAGAACAAAGAUAAUUAGAAAGUAAUUAGAAGCACAAUUAGAGAAUUACCAAGAAUCCUCCUGACAGAUCCGGAAACCAAUCGAAGAUUGACUCCUUCUAGUUCUAAUCCUUUGUAGCUAUGCUAAUCUAGAUAUCUAAUUGAUGUGGUGGCUCUAAUCUUGAUCAGAGGCUUCUUCUCCCUUGAUGGAACAAUGAAUUAGGGUUGAGAGGCUCUCUCCUCCAAGGGCCAGGGGGUCUGGUUUUAUAGUCCCUUCAAGUGGAUAUGGGCCCUUGGAUCAAACCGACAUAGAUUGUAUGGUUUAGAUUCAUCCUUUAGGUCGGUGGAAAUCUCCCGCGAAGCAGAGUCCUGAUUGGACUCAGGAGGUGGGCGGGCGCCCUGACCAACUGGGCGGGCGCCCAGGGUCAGGCCCCGUUUCGCCUCCGCUUCGGUCUCGUGGCUUCUGGAGUCUUCUAGAUGUAAGAUAAUUGCGCGGCACGUUAAUAUCUUUACGUAAUCCCGACAUGUGGGCCUUUCUUCCAUAUUUCCUGAUAACCCCCUGCAGAAAUAGAAAAACACCAAAACUCAUGGAAUUCUGUCAGAUAAAACCCUAAGUCUGGAUGUUGAUUUCAUUUGGAUCCUUGUCUUUAUUUAUUUGAUAAUUAAAUUUGAUACUUAAGGACCGUCAACAACCAAGACUUGAUCUCCUCCAACUUUAGCAUUAUAGGGGGAUAUGCUCCACUUACUGGUCGCUUGAUAUUGGAAUGUUUCUUUAUUGAAGAAGCAUUUUAUUAACUCAAGAUAAUUACAUCGAGAUAUUGACGCGGAUGGGGAGGUAGAGCAAAAGACACCUUCCCCAACUCAUUUGUGAAGAGGGAAAGAUAAGGAUGGGGGCUGAAUGGAAGGAGACCCGAGAACGUGGUGGUGUCAAGAGGUAGUGUGGUACUGUGUAACAAUGUGGAGAGCAAGUGUGCCACUAACCCUAUGCACACUGCCUUUACGUCUAGUAGCCAAGACCCAUGUUGGUUGCUUGUUUCUCAUGGAGCAAUAAUUUAUCUAUCACUUGUACAAAAACACUAAGCAAUAAUUUAUCUAUCACACAUAGAAAAUUAAAAAUUUUCUUGUGUGUCCCAUCGAUAUCGAUAGGAAAUUUCAUUUUUGUUCUCAGGUACUAUUGUUUUCUUGUGUGUUUUGUGAAAACUGAUAAGGAAAUUUUUCAUUUUCCUAUUGGUUUGGUUAUAACUAUGCAUUAAAAAAUCAUCGCCCAAAGGGAUAUUUCAGUUUCCAAUAGUUUACGACCUAUCUGUUUACGCAUGCUCUUUUUACUUGUCAUCAACUAAAGUAUGUCUAGGUCAUAGGUCAUGUGCUAAACUAGAGAGGUUGUAGAACUAGAUAGUGAUUUUUUGCUACUUGCCAAAGGAGUUUAGCAUAGGUACAAUAAAAAAAGAGGUGCCUAAUUGUUUCAUCUAUACAACAAAACACACAUGAUUUGUUCCCUCUCUAAUUCAUUCAUGCUAACUUAUCCUUGCUUAAAAUCACUCUUCAAGAACCACUAAAACAAUAUUUAAUUUCCAAAAGGUAUACUUAAAUGCUAGGUUUUCUGUGAGAUGAUGAUGCCCAUAUUGAUAAGUGUUUGUAAAUGGAAUUUAUUGUGAAUGAACCAUUGCUUUUCAAUUGACAAAAAAGUAUCCCUUUCAACUUGUAAACUAAUGUUUGCAAUUUAUUCUACAAGAUUAUUCCACUUUAACAACUUCCACCCUAUUAAUGCCCAUCUGAAUGAAACAUUAAGAGAAUAAAAUAGUAUUAAGAGGUGAAGCCAAUUUAGUUUGUUUUUGUCACACAAUAUGCUUUUUUUGGAUGUCUUCCCAACCAGGUGUCCUUUAGUAACCUAGUUUGAGAACCAUCAUCUAGUUAAAAUUUUUGUAACUUUAUGGAUUUUGCUUGGUUUAUAAAUUUCCUAGCUUUACGAAUUGGUACUUCACGUCAUUAAACUCAUCCAAAAAUAAGAACCACAAGCUCUUUUUGGAAAACCUUGUUAGGCAACCUACCUGUGGAUACAAAAAUGCCUACACAUGAGUUAUUCUCAAUAUGAGCCAUUGUCAAAUUGUGUCAACAUUCUUGCGGUCUGAACAUUCAGAUCGGAGCAACAUGCUAGCAAGCGCCCUCCACAUGUUGGUGAGUAGGCAUGAAUUGGCCCAGUAUAGCCUAGAGGCUCAUCAACGCAGCUGUUGGUAGCUCUCCCUCCCUCCGACAUCUCUCUCCCUCCCUCAUCUCCAACUCUCGCAGCUCACGCCCUCCCUCAUCUCAAUCUAUGAUGGGCAUAGAAGGAAGAGGAUCAUGGAAGGGAGGCCAACCAGGCAGUGAGGAUAGUGUAUGGGCGGUUAGGGGCCCUAGUGUUAGUGGAGGCGCAGCGGCUAGUCUAGGUCAGGGCGAGGGUGUCGCUACGGUGGUCAUCGCUGAGCAUGGCCAUGGAGGCAGUGGCGAGAGUGGGGGCAGGGAGGGGAAGGAGGAGGCCACGGUUGUGGAGCUCCAGUGAGACCCUACCUUGCCGUGGCUAGGCGGAGGGCAGUUGCAGAGCCAAGAGGAGAAAGAAAAACGAUAAUGAGGGGCGGGGGCGAGAGGUGGGAGAAAAAUAGUAAUAGCGACAGGUGGACCAUGUGCGAGGUGGGACACGAGGGAAGGGGUGGGCCGAGCGCGAUUGCCUACAAGCAUCUCUCAUCUCAUGGGCCCGUGUAUAACAUGCCCCAAAUUGUGUCGGAGGCCGUUGUGCUUGGAUAAUUAGUUCCAUAAUGUCGAGGAUGUCAAUAGGGGGUACCCCAGCCAGCGCUAGGAAUGUAAAGACCCACAAAUAAAUUUGAGGCUCAAGCUCGAUGCUCCGACAUAAAUAUGGGAUCACCAGGGCAUUGUAUCGACCAUAGCCUCGAACACAGAGACAAGGUUGUGCGAAUCGACAAGGGCUCGAUAUCAACAACCGUCGACUACGGAGAUAGCCUCGAGCGAAUCGAUAGGCCUCGAGCGCAAAAGCGCUCCCCCACUGCCUGUCUCGGGUACGGAAGCCAGGGCAUUUAAUGCGACUGCCAUGCUCCCACCUAACCUGACAGUCACAGGAAGCGCGAUAGGGGAACAAGAACCCGUCAAAAUCUUCACUUUUUCUAGCUUUAUCCCCAAGGUUGGAUAAAGGUACGACUCGGCACAGUGCUGCAAGUGUAAUAUCCCAUCGUGGCACCCCUUGAGACACACAAAGUCAACGCUCCCACGUGACAAGGCCGCCUGUGUCGUCCGACCCUCGAGCAGACACGUUCCUUCCCAGGAAAGGAUCGGGCAACGGAAGUCAGCGCUUCAACAACCCUAGACGUGACUACCGCCAUGACAUACAAGCGUGCUCGCGCCUAAGCCAAUACCAGACGAUGUACAGGAGAUGAAUUCAAGAAACGUACGCACCAUCAUCACCAAAGUACCCCGUAACAAGACGACUCAAGGCCACGCCGGUACGGAAGCCUCGAGUAGGCUGAUGCUAUACCCCUAUUGAGGCUUAUUCUAAUGCCUACACCCUGUAACCUAGGUCUCCCCUUGGAACUAUAAAAGGGGACACUCAGGACGACAUUUGGGAGGGGACACAACGCAUAGAACAUGAUUCUCAUACCACCUGCACCACCGGCUAGGACUUAGAACUCUUAACCACAUCCACUUGCAUAUACCCCUGUACAAGCACUUAGGUGCAAGAUAAUACAAAGUCUCCCCCUGCUGGACGUAGGGCCUUCUUUUGCCCAAACUAGGAUAAAUCUUUGUGUCACUCUUUUAUCACCAUCCGAAAAAGGGAGCACGCACACAAAUUCACUCGUUGGUGUCACCCCCAGGGUCAAAACACCGACAGUUAGCGCGCCAGGUAGGGGUCCUGCGUGUUACCGCCGAUUUCCCAUCUCUUUCUAGAUGGCCACUCAUGUCUCACCAAUCCCACGCUCCACGGUGAUCUGGUUUGGGAGUCUUGAGUUCAUGUCCACCGGCUUCGACUACGACAUGAUCCUGCUCUUAGUCAAAGGACCAGGAGGGGCUCGCAUCAUGCCCACGCGAUCAAAGGCCCCGCGACGGCCUCACCACCACGCAUCCCCAACCAAGAGGAGGCGUGAUCAGCAUCGCCACCGCCCCACCACUGCUGCACGAUCGCCGCCACGUAAGGAACAAGCAACGAUGGAGGGGCCCACAGCUCCACGCGCCGAGACCACAGUCACGACGGUCAGAUGACAGAGCGGCCACGCGACGGUCUCAGGGGGCAGCAUACCCCGCGCACCCUCGCUACCAUCCACAUUGCUACCACAUGGUCUGUUCGCCACAAGGUAGAUGCUCCCAUUCGGCUUGGACAACGCUGCGAUGUCGCUCGCUAGGACAAUAUGUCCAGGUGCCGGGACGUGCGUGGAGUGACCACUGGUCUUCUCGUGCAACACAAAGACGCAGCAGCAAACUCAGCAAGUGGUCGAGCAGUUAGGUUUUCCCUAGAUACGCAGUCCUCGACGCCUGGGACCUAGGCGAUACACCAUCACCACGCUCAGACAGUAGUUAGUGGAGGAGGGGCACGGAUGUUUCUACACCGCCGAGCCAGACCCCGACUCUGAAUACGACUGCUACGACCGUACAAGGGAGUGCUUCAACAUUGAUGGGGCCGUGGCUACCACGGAUGACACGAAGGACGUCACCGCCGGUGCUCGAGCUCCCGCCGCCAGAGAAGAUCCCAGGACACCUGAGAACGAUGGGUAGGCGGACCCACCGCCUCAGGACGACAAAGCUGCGCAACUUGCACAGCUACGAGAGCUCAAAGCUAAGCUAGACGAGGAUCGCGAGUGCCUCAGCUAGCUUGAGUGAGCCCUUGAGCGAGACCAACCGCACCCGCACGGCGAGGGCGCGCGUGGUCGUGCUCGGGAUGUGUACCAAUAGAUCAUCGAGGACGAGGAGCCUGAGCCGCUCGUAAGCCGUUUCCCUCGAGCUGGUCAAAACAUCAAGGCAGCAGCCAUGAUGCUAUGCAACAUGCCUAAGCCCUCAAACUCUUAGGCACGGCGCAUUCGAGAUGAGGUGCAAGGCCAGCUCCACAUGGCAGCAGCCCAGCAAGCUGAGAGGUCUGCUUCUCGACAUCGAGGGGCAGCCACAGAAAAGCGCCCUAAGCCAGCCUGAAAUGAGAGGGAGGUAUCGAUUCAUCAGGAGUCGCCACCUCGAGGCAAGAAAAUAGCGCCCGUCCAGGAGCGCCUCGUUGAAAAUCGAGGACAACAUGACGCUCGACGUGACAUCAAUGAGCAUUGACACCGCAGACACGGGGACACUGAGGAGCGGGGCCAUAAUAUCUCCUCGGUCCUAUGAAGCUUCGACGCUACCACGACAAGCACGUGCGCAAGAGAGACCUGAACGUGGGCGACCUCGUCCUACAUCGACGGCAAAGCAAUCAAGGACGCUACAAGCUGACUCCACCCUGGGAGGGCCCAUAUGUGGUGGCCGAGGUCUUGAAGCCAGGAACGUACAAGCUCGUGGACGAAAAAGGGGCGGUCUUCACCAACGCAUGGAAGAUCGAACAGCUACAUCGCUUCUACCCCUAGAGCUUCGAGGCUUUAUAUUUUCAUGCGCAUCUUGUAACAUCAAGGCCCUCUAAAUAUGUGAAUAAACGAAAGUACUUUUUCAAGUAAGGCGCAUUAUUACCAGUUAGAUCUCAACGUUAGGAGGAAGUCUCAACUAUGACCCAUCAUAGUCAACACUCCCUCGGGGGCUAGCAGGGGGGAACCCCCCCAUAGGCUCCUAAAAAUCGAACGAUUUUUCAAAAAGCUCAACGUUGUCUCUUCCCUUUCAAUCCCUAAGGAAACCCCGCACGAUCGAGUAGUAAAGGCGCCUCGAGCCCCUUAAGGGCCGAGGGACGUCGAGCCUGAGAACCCCUACGCCACCGGGCUAUGGUAACUCUACUCACUCCCUUAUCCUCGAGGCAAUCGAAGUCGUCCUAAUGAAAGAUCGAUUGAGGAACACGAACUUAGGCAGCAAAGGAAAUAAAGGAAACUCGAGCAUAAAAGUAAGAAGAAUAUAUAGAAACCACGAAUCUUAAGGCCACAUAGGCCACAAUGUUUAGUGCUAAGUAUAUUACAAUGGGUCUAAGUACCCAGAUUUGGCUUGUAGGCCUCAGUCUUCAUCUCUACCCUCACCACCGUCUUUCGUGCCCAUGCCGGUCUUGGGAGGGAGUACCUCUGGCUCGAACAGCUUCGCCAGCCUUUCGCCAGGAACCUCUGCAUCAUCGAUCAAGGCAUGGAGCCUCUCCUUGUUCUCAGCAUCGGUCUUGGAAAUAUCGGUGACGAAACCGUGGGACACUACCUCCAUAUCAUAGGAGAAGCCCGAGCAGACAACCACCAUAGCCCGCUUCCCCCCAGUGUGGAGUGCGUCCCGCACUCCGUCCCUCAAAGUGGCGCCAAGGUAGCACAACUGGUCGACCAGGGCUUCGCCUCAAGCCGCCUCCCCCGCCUCAUCUGCCGGCUCGAGCUCCCAGGAGCUCGAGAGGUCGUUGAUCGCCGUCCUUAGUCGACCAGUCAAGGCAACCUCCCCCUCGAGCCGAGACUUAAAAGACUGGGCAUCAACCUAGGCGGCCAGUAGAUCAUCCUUAAGCCCUAUAGAGAUCGAGACAGGAAAUCAGAUGAUAGAAAAUAAAAUGAGAUCCAACAAAGAAAACACAAUGGCAUGGAAGACUUACCGCGGAUCUUCGCCUCGAGAGCUGUAUUCUCACCAAACAGGUCGGUGUUGGCCCUCUUGAUCUUCUUAUAGGAACGAGCCAACUCUGUCUUAUCGACCCGCAGGUCCUCGAUCAUCUUGCCCGAUUGUAGGAUAGCUUCUCCUUUCUCUCGCAGCGCUGUCUUUCAACGAUCAACGUCAUUAGAAAGGCCACGAGAGUAGGCCUGCUCUGCCUCGAGAUCCUCACGGGCCUUCUUCUCAGCCUUUUCCACGGUGCCUCGAGCCAUCUCGCUGUUCAAAAGUGCCUCCUUCAGCCCAGCAUAACCGCUCCGGGCGGUGGCAAGGUUGGACUCAAUGAGCCUUUUUCUUUGUCCAACUCGACGGCCUCACCCUUAUACCGCGCAGCCUCCUCCCAAGCCUUAGUGGCUGCCUCCUCGGCCACAAUGGCUGCUCGCUCGACCGAGCGGCUUCCUCCUUUGCUUUCUCCGCAUCCUCUCGAGCGGCAUGGGCAUCUUCGUCCACCCGGGAGACCCCUGCCAUUCAUACUAGUUAGGGUCUUCCGAGCGUUGGUCAGAGCGGCCUCCUUCUCCCGCUUCUCCUCCAGGGCCACAGUAAGAUCCUUGUACACCUUAAGGAGCUUUUCCUAUGACUCGAGGAGCUAAUCCUUGAGAAGAGGAAGCUACUCCUAGCCACCCCUUGUUGCAUGAAUAAAGCCCGAUUUCAGCCGGGAGGUCUCUUUCAAGUCCUGCGAUAAAGCACGAGGCGGUAAACGCGCUAGUUCAAUGAAAAAACUAAAAAAUAACGAAGAUCGAGGGGUACUUACAAAGAAGGCUUGGCCUAGGCCAUUAUUGAUGAUGUUGGACAUGAGGCCCACAACGUGCUUCAUCCAAAGAUGAAGCUCCUUGAGGUCCUCCCAUUUCUCGACCUCCUUCCGAUCGUCCACUAUGAUGUUAGGCUCGUUCGGGGAUGUGGAGGCUCGAAGGUGGAUCCUUCCUGGACCCCAGUGCUCGAGCUCCUCCUCCGUAGGCGCCUUGAUGCCUCGGAUAAGUUCCUGCACCGUCUUCAGUGAACCCCCAUGGCACAGAAAUAGAUCGAUAAGAGAGGGGAAUGGCCCAUCGUCAUCGAUGGACUUCCAGGUUCCGGUCUCGUCCGCCUCGCCACUACCAGAGGUCCCAGCCUUGUCUUCCCCUCCAGCGCCGGAAGUCCUGGCCACCUCUAGCCAUGGCCGUCAACCCUCUAAGAAGCCCAGGGCGAUCCCCUCGAUGCCAUAGAGGGUGCCUUUGCUCUCAGAACUUGGAUCAGCCAGAGUGCGCAUGGCGAGCGCCAAUGCCACGACUCCGUCCUCCCGCCGUGGCUCAACCUGGGAUGAUGGUGGCCCCCCAGGACGAAGACACGUGGGAGUCGCGUGGCCAUAAACUGGCAGCUCCUCCUUCCCCGCCACGAGCCUCUGCUCUUCCUCGUGCUGCUGCUGCUGCAGUGGUUGCUGCUCAUGUAGCCCCUGUGGUUGCUGCUGCUGGAGCAGUUCCUCUAACUAUUGCUGCUGCUGCUAUUGCUGUAGUUGCAGCUCCUGCAGCUCAUGCAGCCAGUGCUGCUCCAGUUGUUCCUCUAACGAUGCUGCUUUUCCUCUUCCCUCCUCCUCCUUUGCUCCUCCUCCUCAUUCUUCCUCUUCUUCUCCUCCUCGAUGGAAUGAAGCCCAAUGGGCCACGGCAUCCGCCCCUCGAAACGGGGAGCCUCGGCCCUCUCGUCCGUGGUAUGAUCGCUUGUCGAGUGCGAACCGCCCCCGGAUUCAUCACUAAUAGUGAUCGGGUCGCCCUCACCUCCCAACUUGGGCAGCUCGGGGGCUCCAUCCCAACCUUGGGGGCGAGACGUUUCAUCUCGGCUAGGGGACGACAAGACGGUUUUUGAGCCAUCGCCCCCCUCCGACGAAUGAGGCGGGGUCUCGCCACCACCAGCAGGCAGUCGGGGGUUAGAAGAACCUGCAUACACCCCAAAACCACACGUCAAUCACAAGGAAUCUCUGCGCUAAGCAGAGCCAACCCUAAAACCACAAGAAAGAGGCCAUUCGCUUACCCGGAGCCUGGGAGCUCGCCCCGCCUUGAGCCUCUUGACGAUCGAGGGCUGGGCCUUCUCGAGCUGCCUCUUCAGCCUGAGCGGGAAAGAGACUGACACCAGUUGAUCAGCGUCAACAAAUAAAUGAAACAACAAAGACAGAAUUGAGGUUUUUUACAAUCUUACCCCACAUUGAGAACGACCCUCCUACCAGUCCUGUGGCCAGCAGGUUUCGAGCUGCCGCGAGUCGAGGCCCUCGGUUUCUCCAAGACAGGAGUGGGCCUCGGUUCAACUCCUCCCGUCUAACGGUCCUCGGGACUAGCACUCCUUCGACGCCCUCCUCCCUGGCUCGAGGCCACCGUGGCAGCACGGGCCCGAGUCAACGGCCCCGCUGCUAACGUUUUGACCCUAUGGCCCGGGCCAGGUGUUUGGGGUGGUCAUGGCGGGAGAGCGCCCCGACCUUGGGUAGCGGCGGGAGGCAUGUCGGCACACGAGCGGCGAGGUGAUGCCUCUUUUUUGUGCCCAUCACGAUCCCCGCCUUGCGGCCCCCUCGAGGCUUCCGCGUGCGACGAGGAACUAUCGGUCAGCGGAAGGCCCUGUAGGACCCAGAUGAGGCAGGCCGCCAUCCCCUCGGAGUCGCGUCGUCAUCGUCGUCAUCACCCUCGUCUUCAUCGGGGGAUUCCUCCUCCGGCUCCCCCUCACACCUCUGCUUGGACGAUCGUACCUCGAGCGCCUGACGCUCGAGGUUCUCCCUCUUCUUCUUCUCCACUGUGUCUUUUACAUAUUUCUGCUUCUCCGCGGAGACGCACUGUUGACGGUCCUUAAGUAUCAAAUUUAAUUAUCAAAUAAAUAAAGAAAAGGAUCCAAAUGAAAUCAACAUCCAGACUUAGGGUUUUAUCUGACAGAAUUCCAUGAGUUUUGGUGUUUGUUUAUUUCUGCAGGGGGUUAUCAGGAAAUACGAAUGAAAGGCCCACACGUCGGGAUUACAUAGAGAUAUUAACGUGUCGCGCAAUUAUCUUACAUCUAGAAGACUCCAGAAGCCACGGGAACGAAGCGGAGGCGAAACGGGGCCUGGCCCUGGGCGCCCGCCUAGGAGACCAGGGCGCCCGCGCCCCUAUAGAGUCCAAUCAGAACUCUCUUUCGGGAUCAAGCUCCAUAGACCUAAAGGAUCAAGGAUAACCAUUCAAUCAAUGUCAGUUUGAUCCGACGGCCCAUAUUCACUUUGAGGGACUAUAAAACCAGACCCCCUGGCCCCUGGAGGAGAGAGCCUCUCAACCCUAAUUCAUUAUUCCUCAAGGGAGAAGAAGCCUCUGAUCAAGCCUAGAGCCGCCACAUCAAUUAGACAUCUAGAUUAGCAUAGCUACAUAGGAUUAGAACUAGAAGGAGUCAAUCUUCGAUUGGUUUCCGGAUCUGUCAAGAGGAUUCUUGGUAAUUCUCUAAUUGUUCUUCUAAUUGUUCAUCUUUGUUCUUCAAUAUUAUGAAUAUGACUUUGUUCUACUUCAAUAUAUUGCUUAUGACUUUGCUCUACUUGUUUAUAUUCGCAAUUAUAUUAUUCUUAGUUUAUCAUAGUUAUAUACUUGGCUUAGUUAGAUUGGAAUUAUAUACAUGUUUAGGAUCGUAUAGCGUUUAUCCAUCGGAUCCAUGGGUAAAUGAUAGAUAUUGUGUAGGCGUGGUGCUUAUACCGUAUUUAUCUGCGAUUGUACCCAAUAUGCCAGAUCGCGGGGUAGUUCGUGAUAGUGACAGCUUCAUUGAUUCUUAUAUAGUCCCCCUCUCGUGUAUAGGGCUGGCAGAGCAACAUUAUUACAGGGGAGUGAUUGCUAUGUUUCUCAUAUUCCUUGAUAAUAUCACUAUGUAUGGGUGUAAUCCUGUCUCGCAAUGAUUGCUAAGUAUACUUGCACUAACUAUGAUAAUGCUAGACUGUAUAGUUGAGAAUAACUUAGGAAAUAUUCUUGUAGUUUGUUCUAAUUCCAUGCUAAUGACUUGCUAGAAUAUCUAAUUGAGGUGCUUAUCAUAUUUAUAUGUGGCUAAGUUAUGCUGAUCAGAUUAAUUAUCUUUGUCACUAUUCAUUACUUUAUAUAUAUCUUUUAUGUGACACUUAUCCCUGUAUGAAAGAGUUAGAUAAAUAUUCUCAAUUAUACAUGCAAUGAUAGAUACUCAAUCUUAUAUUCCAUUCUAUAAUCAACAUUGAUGAUUACUAAUCCGUUCCCAGUGGUAAAAAUAUAAAUAACAAUAACUAGAAUACUUCUCGGUUAAAAUGCUACAUCAGUAUUAAUCUGUGCACUUGCAGAUCCCAUUCAUUAUUUAUUUAAGAUGAGCAAUUGCAUAUUUCAAUACCGCGUCUCUCAUGUCAUGCUUGGAAUGACAACUUGGCUUAAGUGGUAUGAGGGAUAGGUUUGGCAUUUUUGGCACCGUUAUCAGAAUUAGAAAACUAAGUCUACUUUUGGUAGUGAUGUUUAGAAUACCCAACAAGCACUUUUGGCGCCGUUGCUGGGGAAGGUUGAUUACUAAUCAGGAAUGAAUAUAAGAUUUUGAGUCAUCAUUCGCAUCACUAAUAUGAUUGAGCUUAUCAAUUCUCUCAUACAGUUUUACCUCGAUAUUUUCCUAUUUUAUCUUAUGCAGGGUAAUGUAUGAAUAGAAGACAUCUUCCAGGAAAUUUUGUUGACAAUCCCGAAGUGUUAUUUAGAAAAACAAGAGCCAAGCUCAAGAAGAGAUCAUCAACACUUCAGCAAGAAACUCCAUCCAAUCAAGAAGAUCACCGGAACUUGUCUUCAGAAUUCAAAGCCAUGGCGAACAAAUCGAUCUGUGAGUUCUCAGCUCCCACUACGGACAACAUCCGCACUGGACCUGCUGCAGAGAUCGAUGGCAACUUUGAGCUCAAGCCUGGACUUAUCAACAUGGUGCAAUCCAAACAGUUCUGUGGGAAGGCACACAAAUAUGCUAGUGCUCAUCUCCAACACUUUGUGGAGAUAUGCAGCACAUUCACCAUAUUAGGAGUCCCCAGAGAUGCUAUACUACUUCGCCUCUUCCCAUUCUCAUUGUUAGGAACAGUGAAGCCAUGGUUCUACGCUACAAAGGAGAAGAAUACUACGUGGGCACUCUGCUCCACGAACUUUCUGACUAAGUUCUUUCCGAUGGGCAAGACCAAUGCUCUCCGUGGAAAAAUUAUAAGUUUUCAGCAACAACAUGAUGAAUCUGUUCCAGAAGCAUGGGAGCGCUUCCAAGACUACAUCCUAGAAUGUCCCCAUCAUGGAAUGGAGAGUUGGCUACUGAUGCAGACGUUUUAUCAUGGGCUCGGCAAUAGUGCCCGAGAAACCAUAGAUGCUACAGCUGGAGGAGCAUUCUUAUCACUCACCAUACCACAAGCCACAGCUCUUGUGGAGAAGAUGGCGUCCAACCAAAGCUGGAAUGAAGAGAGGACCCAGACACGCAAGAGAGGUGGAGGUAUGCAUCAGCUCAAGGAGGUAGACAUGUUGUCUACAAAGCUAGACCUGCUCAUGAAGAAGCUCGAUGAUAGAGCUAAAGAUAAGAAAGAAGUUAUGCACAUCUACGACUCUCACAUGACUUGUGAGGAGUGUGGAGAUACUGGACACUCAGGCAAUCACUGCCCUGAGAUGCUUGAGGAUGUGAACUACAUCAACAACUACUACUACUACUACAACCGUCCUCAACAAAAACAAGGCUGGAAUCAACAGAGGCCUAACUACUCAGGUAAUUAUCAAGGUAACAAUUCUUACAACAAUACUAAUAAUUUUCCACGUCUGAGAGAGUUGGUGUCUAAUCAAGGAAAGCUAAUGGAUAACCUAUCUAAGAAAUUGGCAUAUAAUGAUAAAAUGCUAGAAAAUAUAAAUAAUAGAAUGGAUAAUUUCUCUACUGCCAUCAAGAAUCAAAUUAGCUUUAAUAAAAUGAUUGAAUCUCAGUUAAAUCAAAUAGUUUCUGCUGUUCCUACUACUAACCCUGGUAUACCAUCACAACCGGAAGGAUUAGAAUCUGCAAAUCUUGUAGCCAUGUUUGAUGUAGGUAACUGGAGUAACCCCAUCACUGAAGUUACUACUGACCUUCUGCCGGUCAAGAGAGGCGAUCGAGGACGCUCCGUCAUCCCGAUCUCCAUCGGCAUGGUGGACUUCCCACAAGCACUCUGCGAGUUUGGCUCCAGCGUCAACAUUAUGCCCAGGGUACUCUAUGAAAUUUUUUUUACAUAUCCGUUAUUAGAAACAACCAUGUGUUUGCCAUUUGCAGAUUGGACGUUAAGUUUUCCAAAGGGAAUAUUGAAGAACCUCGGUGUCCGACACUACAAGAAAAAGUGGCAGUAACGACGGGAUAUGUGGUCGUUAAAAGUUGAUAUGUGGUCGUUAAAAGUUUUUAACGACCACAAAAAUGUGGUCGUCCAUGGUCGUUAAAGGCUCGGUCGUUAAUACAAUUAACGACCACAUAUAAUUUCCCGUCGUUAACUUUUCAACGACGGGAUAAUAUUUGGUCGUUGAUACUAUAGCAUUAACGACCACGUUUACAGUAACAACGACCAUGUUUGUCACCGUUAAUAUCAUAGUGCCAUCUUGCAUAAUGCAUUAACCACCACAUUUGUGGUCGCAAAUUGUUUCUAGAAGGUAAUGUAGCGGGUAUUAGUGACCACUUCUAUAGCAUCAACAACCACAUAUUUAUCACUAAUAAUUUUAUAUCGGAAUGGCACCUAUAUAGCACCAGCAACCAUUAUGCAACAUAACAAUGGCAUGUUUCACACAAUAGGCAAUAAAUGAAUUAAUUUUCAACAUUUCACAAAUUCAACUUCACAAUGGUCCUGGAUAGUUCAUGUGACCAAGGAAAAAACACAAUUGAAAUCAUGAAACUAAUAGUGGCUAACAUAAGGUAGUACUAAGCUAUGCUUGAAGGGAUCCACCCAUCAAAUGCCUUCUGAUGAACAACUGUGAGAUCAUGCUAGAAACGAUGCUCUUCAUCUUGCUCCCUGCAAUAUGUAAAUUUCAUAUCAGCAACAAAUAAAUAAAUCAAGAGAUCAUGUAUAAAUAAUCUUUGUAGAUGUAGAUGCUUACAAAUAAUCACUCUUUAUCCACGAGUUAAACUAGCACUCAUAUUGCUCUUUAAUUCUGCUCAUUCUUCUUCCAUUCGGCUAACACGACUAGUAAUCAUCCGAUUUUCCUCGUGAAGUGUUUGAUUAUCUUCUUGAAGUUCUUUCUUUUCCUGUUCAGACUGUGUAAGUUUUUCUAUUAGUUCAGCUUUGGUAACAGUCGGACUCCGUAUGUCUCUUGCUCUUAUUCCACCACCAUAACCAACAACAUGGUCACGCCUAUUAGAUUCAAAGCACUUGUCCAUAAGUUCCACGUUAGAAAGGGUAGGGUUCAAUAGCCUUUCCACCUCAAUCUCUGCCUGUGAACAAAGCAAUUGGAAUUAGGUGCUUCUACCAACACAAGUGUAUUUAUUCUUGUGUAACUAAUCUACAAUAAUGUCCAGCAAAAUGAAUUCAAAUGCAACUAUAAACUUACGUGCUUGGUAGAGGUUUCAGAAUCCACAAAGGUGCCAUCCUUCAUAUGAGUGAGAGAAAAUAAUUUAUCCAAAGUUGGAGGAUUGUUUUCCUUGCCACCCUAUUAAAGGUACAACAUUAGAACACAAGUACUGAGAGGUAAUAACUGAAAAAAGUGAGCACAGAAUACUAUACAUACAUUGUCCCAUAUGAUCUGUCUGUAUGGUUUGCUACCACUGUGAUGAAGAAUUUUCAAGUUGGAUCUAUUUUUGGAGUUUCUCUUGCUCCUAUCCUAAAGUUCCAUGAAAUACAAUGGUCACUAGGGAUAAAUCGUGCAGCACACAAGUUGUCAGUAUGUAACUGAGAAGAUUUAUACUUACUAUGAAAUCCUUGCUGUAGAAAUGUUCCUUGACAAGCCACUCCCAAUCAGGUUGUUUAAUCCCUUUAGGGCAAUUCUUAAUAGCUUGCUGCAUAUUCCUUGCUGGCUUAACAAAUUGCCGAUUCAAGUCUCCACGCCAAUUAUUCCAUAGAUCUCUAGCGUGCUCCAUGAUCUCAGCUUUGUAUACAUCAAUUUCAAUAUCCGGAUUUGCAUUUUCAAACUUGUCCUGCAUAUAUAGGUAUUAAACCAAUAUUUCAAUACGAGUACAAGAUUCUUGAAGGAAAAAACUGAGUAUGCUGGACUUAAUAUGUAAGGAAGCGUGUACCUUAAUUGCAUCAAAAAUAUGUUUUUGAGCUGCUGGACUUAUAUCAGUCCAUUUCUUCACUCUAAUUGGAGUAAUGUUAGAAUCACGGACUAUUCUACCCAACUGCCUUGGGAAUGUUUUAGAUAAAGCCCGAUUGUUGUAGAACACUACUUUAAUUUUCUCGCCUGCCUUGAGUUUUGCAACCUUCUUACAUUUGUUUCUUCCACGGCCUUGCCGUUUCUGUACUGUUUUGCCACCUAAAACAUAUAUAGAAAAAGAGUCAAAUUCAAUUUGGUGAAGAAAAGUAUUUUUUUACUUGGUUGAGUGUCCAGACCAUUUGAUGUAUCCACAGGCCGCUGCUGCUCUUGUAAGUCCUCAGUUUCCAUGUUGUCAUUAUGCGAUAAUUCAUCUAAAAGUAAAUGGUCCAAAUGGAGUAUCUUUCAGUAAAUGAGUAUUGUAACAUGUGCACUAAUAAACAAUUAUUCCUGAUUAUAUUAUUAGCACCUCAUUAUGAUUUCUCAUUAUCCACGAUUGGUAGUUUUUGUUGCAACAUGCACUUUCAAAAAAAUAAAUGUUUAUCUACAAAGUGUUUCACAUAAGUAUUUAUUUCCAUACCAUCCUGCAUUGAAUAUGUAGAACUCUGUGGAAUCCAUCUCCUUUCGGCAUGCGUAUUUUCUUGAUCAAUGGCCCUGUGAUCAUUGCUGCUCCGUUCAGCACGUGCCCUGUACUGAUCAAUAGGCCUGCUGUCAUCUCUGCUCCUUCCAGCAAAUAUCCUAUCUUCAUCAACAACCCUAUAGUCAUCUCUAAUGAAGGUGGCUGCAACACAUAAGUGCUAACUGUAAAUAAUGAAAAAUAGUUUGAUAUAGAUUUUCUACUCAUUUAAGAUGCCAGAGUCUAACAUUUGAACUUUUUUGUUUUCCUGUUCCAUCCAUGCCAUUCAUCUGUUGCUUCUUCGUCAUCUGAAUUUUCGCUAGCAUCUGAAGAACAUGGCUGACUUGCAUAUUUGGAUUUCUUUGCUUUUACUGGCCUAUCAAACAAAGUAUCUAAUGCACCUCCAUGUUCUGAGUCAUCUACAAGAAUACAAAGAAGAGUGAAACAACAGGUUAUGUAAACUAUUUAUAAGACAUACAUUGUCAUGAACUUCUAGUUAAAUAGAGAGAACUUAGAUAUAGCAUCUUUAACCUGGUUCUGGUGAUGCAUGGACAUUAUUGGUGUCUUCAUUUAGACUGUUGUGGAUUGUUCUGUCAUUACUAAUGUUUGGGUAGGUUCGCCUCACUUGCUGUUGACGAAGCAAUCCAGGACUUAUGAAUUUUGAUCUCCUCAAUGCUGUGGCUGUGAGAUUUCCAUACCUACCCGGUUGCAUCGUGAGGACCUGCACAAAUAGCAACCAUAUCAGUUAAUUUAUAAGUGUGUGAGUACAAGAGUAACAUCAAUGUGGUAAGCACUGAACUCUGCAAUUGCACUGAAAGUUGAAGAAGAUUAUGGGAACAAAUAAAUCACUAAAUAUUAUAAUAGUUGUUGUCUAACUCGACUAGUAAAAGUUCCAAAACUAAUGUAAAUGUGACAAAUGCUCCUAUGUCUAGUCUAGAAAUGUAAAACAUUGGAUCAUCGUUUUCUCUUUCCACAGGACAAUAUGGCUGAGGCAUCUUCAGGCAUGUCCUCUUCAUCAUCUCCAUCAUUAUCCUCAGGUUCAGCACCUUCAUCAUCUGAAUCUCCAGGGGGUACAUCAUAAGUGUCACGUGGAUGCAUUUUGGAGACCAUGUGCCAUCCUUUGAUUAGAUUGUCCUUAGCAUAAAAUACUUGGGAGGCUUGGCUAGCUAAGACAAAUGGCUCAUCUGUUUGAAGUAAACAUUUGAAGUUUACACUAACAAGCCCAUAAACAUUUGUCUUUAUCCCUCGGGUUUUAUUAAAUAUGUCAACCCACUUGCAGCGAAAUAAUGGCACUCGCCUUCCACCUAAAAACUGAAGCUCAAGUAUCUCUGUCAAGACACCAUAGUAGUCUACAUGGUCACCAUCCAUAUUUUCCUCUGAAAUAACAGCCACCCCACUAUUCUGUGUGCAGCGAUUUCUAUCAAGACUUUCAAUGCGAAAUCUAUAUCCAUGCGUGUCAAAGCCAGAAAAAGAUGUUAUAUUUGUCAUAGGGCCCCGUGAUAGUGAUAAUAGGUCUUCCAUUUGUUGACUUUUAUCACUUUCAUGUAACUGAUGUACCUGCAAAUUGAUAAUAAAUCAUGUAAAGCUCCUGAAAUAAAUUUACACAACUUUUGUUUUAAAAACAAAAACACUGUCAUGUACCUUAUCUUUAAACCACAUAAUAAAAUUUUGAUUCCAGCUGGGUGUAAAUGGCGGCAACUUAGAGCCCUCUUGACUGCUGUUGUACUCACUGCAAUUCAACAUAAUAAUGAGAGUAGGUAGAUAAACAGUAUGUUAGAAUAAGAAUGACAGCAAAAAUAAUACCUUAUAAAUGGUUGGACCUCAUCACAAUUCCUGAGUACAUAAAUAUGAGCCUGUUGUAACUCAAGCAUAUCAAGAUCCCGUGUUUUGUGAGCACCAAGUGGUCGUCCAGUAGAAGAGAAUAUUGAUAAAUAGAAGUUUUCUAGGUCUGAUGUAUCAUUGAUUCGUCCAUCACGAUUGUGCAUUGUCUCUACAUCAUCCAAGUACCUCGAACUCAGGUUUAUAAAUUCAUAUGCAAUGUAUCCCUCUGCUAUCGAACCCUCAGGGUGUGCAAAGUUGCGAAUUAGAGAUUUUAGAAAUUUUAUUUGUCUCUCAAAUUGAUACAUCCAACGAUAUGCUGUAGGUCCACCAAUCAAAGCUUCAUUAGCCAAAUGGACAGGCAAAUGCACCAUUGGAUCAAAAAAAGAAGGAGGAAACUCCAUUUCAAGCUUACAUAAUGUUCUUGCUAUUAGAGAGUCAAGUUGCUUCAACUGUUCAACUGAUAAUGCUUUGGAGUUCAAUGUGCAGAAGAAUUGGGAAAGCUCUACCAAAGGUUCGUAAAUACUUGUUGGUAAAAGUCCUCGUAAGGCCAAAGGAAGUAUAUGAUUCAAGAUGACAUGGCAAUCAUGGCUCUUUAAUCCAGAAAGCUUUUGCUCCUUCAAAUUAACGCAUCGACUAAGAUUGGAAGAAAAGCUAUCUGGAACUUUCAGUUCUUUGAAGAACUGUAAUAGUAUUGACUUCUUUUCUGGAGGAAGAACAUAAGGUGCUGGUGGAAAAUUAGUCUUGCCACCAUCUUCAAUAGGAUGCAGAUGUGGUUUUAAAUUCAUUUGUUGCAAAUCAAGACGACUAUUAGCAUUAUCUUUUGUCUUUCCCAUUAUGUUGAGAAGAGUUCCAAGAAUACUCUCACAAAUAUUCUUUUCUAUAUGCAUCACAUCUAGAUUAUGACGCAGCAAAAGUGUGUUGAAAUAAGGUAAACGGAAAAAUAUGCUUUUCUUUAACCAAUUAUCUCCUCUUUCACUAUGUGAUAUCUUGGUCUUCUUACUAGGAUCUUUUGAUAACACUAUCCCUUCUAGAUUGUUCACCUGCUGUAGCACCUCAUCUCCAGUUAAUGGCUCUGGUGGGUCACGAGCCUCUUUGUUACCAUCAAAAGAUGCUUUAUUUUUUCUCCAUUUAUGAUCUUUAGGAAGAAAUCGUCGAUGGCCCAUGUAGCAAAAUUUUUUACCCUUUGAUAACCAUAAGGAACAAGUUUUGUUUUGACAAACAGGACAAGCCAGUCGACCCUUAGUGCUAUGUCCAGAUAGAUUUCCAUAUGCUGGGAAGUCAUGAACCAUCCAAAGAAGGGCUGCUCGAAGCUUGAAAUUAGUCUUUGUAGAUGCAUCAUAGGUGUCAACACCGUCCUCCCAUAACACAAUCAAUUCAUGAAUCAAUGGUUGCAGGUAAAUAUCAAUUGCAUCUCCCGGACCAUCUGGCCCAGAAAUCAACAUAGAAAGCAAUACAUUUUGCUGCUUUGUGCACAGCCAAGGUGGCAAAUUGAGAGGAACAAGGAAUAUAGGCCAAAUGCUAUAUGAGCUUUUAGUGGUAGAAAAUGGUUGGAAACCAUCACCGGCAAGGCAUAGCCUUAAAUUGCGAGGUUCAGAUUUAAAAUCGGGAUGAGUCUCGUCAAAAUGUUUCCAUGCUUUAGAAUCAGCAGGAUGACGCAUCACACCAUCAUCAACCCUGCCAUCUAUAUGCCAUCUACAGAAAAAUGCAAUUUUCCUACACAUAUAUAGUCGCUGAAGUCUUGGUGUAAUAGGAAAAUAUCGCAUAAUAUGUUCUGCAAUCUUCUUCCCUUUGGUUGACACUAUGUCCUCACCAGAGUGCUUACUUUUCUUCCAUCUUGAUCUUUCACAUACUUUGCAGAACUGAGCACCUAUAUCUUCUCCCAAGUACAGCAUGCAAUCAUUUUUGCAAGCAUCGAUUUUCUGGUAGCUUAGUCCUAGGUCCUUCAUGAUUUUUUUUGCUUCGUAAUAAGAAUUUGGCAAAGUAGAGUUUUCUGGUAGGAAGUCCUUACAGAUUAAUUCCACUAACAUGGUAUAGGACUUGUUACUCCACUUUCCCAAAUUCUUUGUAUUAAGCAAUUUAACUAUACCAGAUAGUUUGGAAGUACGAGACCCUUCGUGGAGAGGCUGGUUCAAGUCAUCAAGGAGUUUAUAGAACUUUUGCGCUUCAUCAUUUGGCUGUUCUUCAAAUGCUUCAUUUGGUGAUGAUGUACCUUCAUUGAUUGGCUGGUUAAUUUGCUGAGGAAAUAAAUCCAUUAGCAGCUCCUCCAUUCCAUUAUAACCUUCCUCAGUUGCUCCCUGGGAAUCAGGAUGCUCUUCGACAUCUGAAUCUGACUCAGCCUCACCCGAAACUUCUCCAUGAUGAUACCAAAAUCUAUAGUUUCCUAUUAUUCCAAAUAUUUUAAGAUGAGAAUACACUACUUCACGAGACCUAGAGUAUGUAUUGCAGCAUCUGACACACGGACAUUUGAUUUCAACAUCCCCACCAGUCCUACUGAAGGCAUAAUCCAGGAACUUUUUAACACCCGCUAAAUAAAUAUCUUUUUUUGAGGUGUUUCCAUCUAAACAGUCAUCACUAAUACGAUCAUCAACUAGGUCCAUCCAUGCUUUACUUGGUGCCAUAUAGCAUAUAUAUGAUUGACUAUAAAACUACCUGUGAGAGUAAAUAUGGAGUCAAAAUAGAGGUAUCUAGCAGCCUGAGUGAAUGGAAAUCAGCCACUAGGCAACAGAUUACACAUUCUUUCAAAUUUUUCACAGUAAAUAUGUUUUGAUAAUAAAGAGCAAAUACGUACUGCCUUUUUAGGAUCAGAGGAUGCACUCCCUUUGAUAACACACUACAGCCUUCUCAACUACAGGAAAAAAACAAAGAACUAUGAGUAAUCAAAAUGUGCCCUCAAUUACAAUCCCUGUAUCCAUGACUUUUUAACACAAAUGCGUUAGAAUCCUUGAAUCAAUAUGUAUACUUGUUUAGAUGAUCUUAGAUCGAUACAACAAAAGUAAACAAAUGAAAUUGUGAAAUGAUAUUGAGUCAAAACAGAGCCAUCUAUCAUCUUUGUUUGGAUCAGUUAAGCCUACAUUACUGUCAAAGCUUAGCAAAAGGCAAAAAAAAUGAAGAACAAUGAAUCAGGUAAUAAAGAAAGAAUACAUGCUGCCUUGUUUAGGACCACCGGAUGCAAUGUCCACAACAACCUUCUCUAUACACAACUGCAGCUUAAAAGAAAAGAACUAUAAUCAAGAAAAACCUGUAAUUUUAGAUCUCUGUAACACUAAUUUCAAGUGAACAAAGGGGCAUCAGAUCCUAAGGUGCAGAGUUUUAUAUCAUAUCAAUGCAGAGAAAUAGGAUUGAGGAGAUGGUAUUGAAGCUAACUGACCUACAGGGCACAGGUGGACAACGAUGGGGAGGCCACUGCAGUACGAGUAGAGAAGGGCUCCUCUGGGCUGGUGCAGGGAAGCAGUAUGGACUGCCCACGGUCGGAGGGGCGGCGAGGACGGCCGUCGCAAGAAGGGCUGGUGAGGCGGCGGCUCCACGAUCCGCGUCAGGAGGAGAUGACGGUAGGAGGAGGUGUAGGGAAGCUGUGGACUGCUGCGGCAGGAGGCGCACAGAUGGAAGGGCAGCCAGAGGACGGACGCCGCAGGAGGGCGAGGGUCUUGUGAGGCGGCGGCUCGAUGAUCCACGCCGCCGUAGAAACCGUCCUUGCGGAUACGCUAGAGUUCAGCGGUGGCAAAGGUUGGAUAGAUAUGAGAUUUCUUGUUUAUGUACCUAAAAAAAAUAUUUGCGCCAACAAGUGAAGAGAUAAUUCCACAUUUUUUAGCGCCAAAACAGAAUGGAUCAGCAUCCCGCAUUAUUUUAGCGCCAAAAAAGAAGUGCAUACUAUUUUUUGACGGAGACCAAAAUAUACGAGGGGAAAGUUUUCAUAAUAUAACAAAAUAUGUGUACAAAGAAUUUCUUUUGUUAAAAUCUCACUUCAUAUAUUCAAAUACAUAAAUCAUAGUAUAUGAAAAUUAUUGUACUCCCUUCAUCCCAUUGAAACUGACAUUUUGGACUCCGGAUCUUCUUGUUUGACCAUUCGUCUUAUUCUAAAAUUUUGUAUAAAUAUUAUUUAGUUUGUUAUGACAUAUUUUAUCAUUAGAGAUACUUUAAUAACUAUUUAUUUUAUAAUAUUAUUUUUUUAAUAAGACAAAUGGCCAAACACAGUAUUCAAAAAGUCAAAAACGACACUUUUAAUGGAACGAAGGGAGUAAGAUUGAAUUUAGUCUUCUUGGGGUUUGCCCGGGUGCCAUGUUCCUCUACUCCUCCCUCUGUUGUUCGUGGUGUUGUUGGCGAGCAUACAUGCAGUGGGCCACGCUAGCGCAUGGCGGCGAGCCAUGGCUGGCUCCUCAGUGGGCGACGCUGAACGACAAGUGGGGUGGCAGCGAGCCGUGGGUGGCGCCUGGCAUUGGACGAUGACGUCUGUGUGACCACGUCGAUGCAGAAUUAGGGGUUUAGCAAGUUGAGCGCGAAAGUCAAACGAUGUUGGAGGAUUGUGGAUUUGGCGAGCCAAAGUGGGCCCUUUGUUUGCCUCUUGUGCUAACCUUAAGUAACAAAAAAAAGGCUCAAUUCCCACUAUUUAGCUAAACCAACCGGUCAUCAUCUUCUUUGCUACUUUUGGUACUUACGGCUCGCUCUCACUCGGCACCAUGUUGGCUUGUCACGGUGGCUUGGCCUCUGCUUAACAGCUCGGUAGCCGGAGCUAAGGAAGAAGAGGGGGGCCAGGGGUCUUGAAAGACGCUACUAGUAGCUAGGGUGGAGAUAUCGAGCACGAAUAUAGCUUGGAGGUGUGCAAGUGCGACUUCGAGAAGCUCAGACUCGUGAUCAUGGAGUCGAUGAGGCUGAAGUUUAGGGUGGGGCAAUGUCAGCAGCAAUGGCCAUGACGUGGGGAUGAAGCUGUGGAGGACUAGCUGAUUUAGAUUUUCGUUCUUAUGGAGCUACUAGAUCAAGCUUUAAUUAAACUUAAUAUCACUUCUAAAUUUCGUGUAUAAAAUAAUCUACAUUCCUACAUUAAGUCAAACGUGGAAACACCCAAGUGGUUAAGCUCGCAAUGGCUAUUCGAGAGGUAACCAGUUCGAUCCCAUUUGCUUCUUCUUUAAACUUUUUUAUAUAUAUUUUUAUUAAUUCAUGUCCUCCUACUUCACUCCGUGAAAAAUGACUGCGAUGAAACACAAGACAUUGUAUAUGAAAACCAGAGGCAAAAACCAUCGCGGGAAACUAAAAAAAGUGCGGGAAAAUAAAAAAAGUGCCAAGGCUCACGCGAUAACGACCACAUUCGAUGUCUGGACAACGACCACCAAGAUUGUGGUCGUCGGGCAACAUCUAAAGUCCGUAGGAAACCAGCUAAGGGCAUCCGACGACCACAUAUUAUAUGUGGUCGUUAGAGUCUAGUCGUUGAUGUUUGGUUUUCUUGUAGUGUUAGUUCCAAAAAUUUUUGGAAAAUAGACAUUGUAGCACUUUCGUUUGUAUUUGACAAAUAUUGUCCAAUCAUGAACUACCUAGACUUAAAAGAUUCGUCUCGUCAGUUCCGACCAAACUAUGUAAUUAAUUUUUAUUUUCAUCUAUAUUUAAUACUCUAUGCAUGUGUCUAAAGAUUCGAUGUGACGGAAAAUCUGAAAAAUUUUGCAAAAUUUUUCAGGAACUAAACAAGGCCUUAGUAGAUUUGACACAUAAGUUGAAGCCAAUGACCAGCUAGACAUGACCACUCCUGCAUACACGCUAUCUCUGCCCACCCAUACGCUACCUCUGUCACCUGCCAGCGAAAUUAGCACGCCCUUUCUUUUCAUCCCACCCAAGUGCGAAGCCGAGCCCAUCCGUCCGCGCCAUCGUAGUGGUGGCGCCGAUCGAUCCCUUCGGCGCGAAGCCGAGGCGAGAGCCCGCUGGAGGAAUUUUUAAUUUGCAAGGCGGAAACGAUACGUCGCGCGGCUCACCGCCGUUGCGUCCAAAACUUGGGUUUCGGAGCUCCCUCCAGCAGACCCCGCUCGAGGGAAACAGGCGGUGUAGUAUAGGAGAAGGGAAGGAGAGGGAGAAGUUUGAUAGAAUCUGCUGUGCGUACACCAGAGUUUACCACAGGUAGUAAUUUCUCAGCAUUUCCUGCUUUAUUAAUUUUGGACCAAAAAAUUAGCAGGUACUAAUUUCUCAAUAUUUCCUGCUUCAUUAAUUUUUGAACGAAGAAAUGCAGUACUAGCGCUGCUUAUUUGAGCUUUGCAUGCUUAUCUUGGCAAAAGGGUGUAUGUCUCUUUUUUUAUGAGGAACUGUAAUGUCGUGAGCUCUGACUAAAUGAUUUUGGCAAAAGGGUGCAUAGCUUCAAAAUCAUGUAAUCCAAAAGUUAUUGGAUUUUUUUUUGGAUUUAGUUGAUGUAGCAUUUUCGUUUGUUUUUGACAAUUAUUGUCCAAUCAUAGACUAGCUAGAUUCAAAAGAUUCGUCUCGUAAACUACAGAUAAAUUAUAUAAUUAGUUAUUUUUUUAUUUAUAUUUAAAUGCUCUAUGUGCGCCACAAUAUUUAAUGUAACAAAAAAUAUUGAUUUUUUUAGAUUUUAAAUGUAACUAAACAAGACCGAGUCACCGCUGCCUUCGGUCGAGGGCUACUGCUGUAAAUCGCGAGACGAAUCUUUUGAUCCUAGUUAGUCCAUAAUUGGACAAUAUUUGCCACAAACAAACGAAAGUACUACAGUAGCGAAAUCUAAAAUCUUUUCGCAUCUAAACAAGCCUUAGUUUAUGAAGUAUUUUGUAAAAAAAAAACUAAAAUCCAAAACCUUGAGCAACCCACCAAAUUCUAACACCAAUUUUUUUGGGUUUUGAUGUUUACUUUCCAAAAAGUUUUGCAAAAUUUUUUAAUUAUCUGUCACAUCGAAUCUUACGGCACAUGUAUAAAGCAUUAAAUAUAGAUAAAAAAUAACUAAUUGCACAAUUUAUAUAUAAUUUGUGAGACAAAUCUUUUGAGCCUAAUUAUUCUAUUAUUGGACAAUAUUUGUCAAUUACAAACGAAAGUGUUACAAUGUCCAUUUUGCAAAAAAAAAAAAAACAGAACUAAACAAGGCCUUAAUGUCCCUAUUUAAUUUUCCAUAAAAUUUAGGACCGAAAUAUUUUAGGUAUGUUUACUUUCAAAAUACAAAAUAUCAAAGAAAUUUUAUAUUUAGCACAAAAUAUUUUGGAACUAAACAAAGCCCUAGACUCGUCGUUUGGGCGGCUGGCCGGAAGAGAUCCUCCUCCACAAUCCAGAGUGCAUGGUAGCCAGUUGGCCAGGGAGACGAAGGCUGAGGCGUUUGGCUAAUAAGCCAUGACACUGAUGGUUGAUUUGUUGUGGAAGAAAAAAAACAUUAUUGAAUGACUGACAAAUUUAAUAGAGGCCUUGUUUAGUUGGCUUGGUGAAAAAAGUUUAGGUAUUGUCGUACUUCUGUUUCUAUUUGAUAAUUAUUAUCUAAUUAUGGACUAACUCGGCUCAAAAGAUUCGUAUCACAAAUUAAAGAUAAACUGUGUAAUUAGUUAUUUUUUAUCUAUAUUUUAAUGUUUAAUGCAUCUGCCAUAAGAUUCGAUGUGCCGCAAGAUUCUAGUCUUCCAACAUCCUACCAAACAUUCAACGUAACAUCUAAAAAAUUUUCGUACUCCAAACUAAACAAGCCCUGAGAUGGACCGCCUCUAGUUUUUUUAACUGCUGUAAAUAUUGGAAAAAAAAAUCCAAGGAGAAGUCUUGCUGAGGAAGGAAAGACCACGACCGGCCGGCCAGCUAGGGAGCUUCCUAGGAUUUCAGCACAUGACCUCGCACAAGCCACUCACCAGUAUACAUCACUCCAAGCAGGGCUCUCUCUCCAUUCCAAACAGGGCUUUCUCUAGCGUUGCCUGCCAGCCACCGCGCGCCGCCACUCCAAGCAGGUCUCCUCUCCUCAGCUACUUCCUGAAAUCGACGGCGGAAGGAACCUCAAUAGGAGGCGGAGCAGUAAGCUGAGGCGGGACGGGGCCACGGGGCUCCGUGGUUGAGGAUGCCUGUGCUGCGUAGCACAACGCGAAGGGACCGAGAGGCGCAGGGGAGUCCGGCGGCGGCCGCAGCAGCACAGGNNNNNNNNNNNNNNNNNNNNNNNNNNNNNNNNNNNNNNNNNNNNNNNNNNNNNNNNNNNNNNNNNNNNNNNNNNNNNNNNNNNNNNNNNNNNNNNNNNNNUGUAGAUAGCUGCCCAGUCCGUGUUACUCUACUCCGGAAGUACGCAUCCACAUAUAUCCACCCAUUUCUACCUCUAGAACUACCCAAAAAUAUUCUACUCCUAAUCCAAGAGAGAAUAGCCAAAAAUAUUUCUGUUUUUCCCCUGUGAAAUAAAUGCUCAAGUUAUCUUGGUUACUACCACUUGCUAUAUUAUCUCAUGAGAUGAGUGCUCUAAAAAAGAGAUACGAGGAAAUAAAAAGGGGCAAGUGCCCGGAAGCUCGAAAGAAAAGAAUAAGUGAGACGGGAGGUAAAAAUGGACAAGUGUCCGACAAUAGAAUUAGGGUUACAAAAUACCCACCCGAGAGAAAAGAAAAAGAAAAUACAGAGCAUCUCAUUCUCCUCAAAAAGUUUCAAAAGAGCAAGGAAGAUAUAUAUCCCCUCAAAAGAGAAAAUGUAGAAUUAGACUUUCACCAUUGUUAUCACCAUCAUCACCAUACACCAUUCAUUCACCACACAUGCACAUCUUGAUUCGACUUAUUGACUUGUUUCUUUGGAUCCAUGGUUUGACUAUGCAAUAAAUGUUUUGUAAGUAUGUAUACUUUAUCUCCCACCUAUGAGCUCCAGAUAUCAAAAGCUUUAUUAGAGUAGGGUGAGAGAGAAGGCAAUGUUACUAUGCCUUAUACCACAAAUACUACAUUUUGAGAGAAGGCAUAUACCAUCACUGCCUUGGUAAGAAUCCAAAAAUACCACAAAAGAGAGAUAUGAGAGAGUCAUACAAGGAAUCUCUGAGUUUUAUUUGAAAAUCUGCAAAAACUCCAGAUCUAUAGCUGAUCAAGAAUAAGAGACAUGUGAAAGCCCAAGUUUGGUUUUGGUAAUUAAUGACACCAAGUUGCUAAUGCCUCGUGUUUAAGUGAUUUGAGUUAUGCAUAGCAACACAUGUGAUGAAGGUAAAUGGUGGCACGGAAAGGUGGCCACAUGAUCACAAAGGGAUGAAGCAUGAAGUAAAGAUCAUGGUGAUAGACGAGGAGCAAAGUGAUCAAGGCAAAGGUAUAAACAUAGGGUUUUACAUUUGUCAAUCUAAGAUGAGUAGAGAAGUGAUUGACCGGGUUUAGGAUAGAUAGCCGACUAUCAAGAGGGGAAAUCACGGUUAUCUCUCGAAUCAAGUGCUACUAGGUCUACAUCUUGAGCAUAUGCAUUAGGAUCUAGUAAAGUGCUAACUUAACUGCUUUGGGAAAAUGUUUGUGAAAAGCUAACACACAUGCACUUUGGUGGUGGACACUUGUUGGUGUUAGCACUUGUGCAAAGGAGGUGGAGUUCCUACGGUUGAGAGGGGUUUGGGUUCCUCUCUCUCUAUGUUCUAUUGGCGCUUUUGAGAAAAAUAAGUGUUUAUUUUCUAUUGCGCCGGUGGGAAAUUUGGAAAAGUCGCGAGAGUGUUUUUCUCACUGAGAAACACUCACCGGACGCUGAGUGCGGAGGCACCGGACGCUGGCCUCAGAGUCCGGUGUGCUUGACCCUGCUAGGGUUGAGCACCGGACGCACUCUGAGAGCGUCCGGUGGUUCGCGUCCGGUGUGUGGGCAUUUUGCGACCCUCUCUGCGCAUGGGUCCGGUGAGCACCGGACGCUACCGGUGCUUAGCGUCCAGAGACCCGUAGGAUUGCGGAACUCUCUGCGCAUAAUUUCGGUGUGCACCGGACGCGUCCGGUGUGGACCUGCAGAGUGUCCGGUGAUCCGCAGGUGACCGUUGGAGACUGACGCGCGAGAUUCAAAGAGGACACGUGGCCAACCCCUGAGCACCGGACGCUGGAGGCCGAGCGUCCGGAGAUCACUUGGUAGCGUCCGGUGCCCCCGUUUUGAGCCCAAUGAAAGUGGCCAACGGCUAGUUCCUUGAGGGGCUUAUAAAUAGAAGGUGGCCGGCUUUGGGAGGCUCACUCUUGCACAUUUGAAUACUUGAGGCAUACAUUGAGCUAGAGAACAGUCCCUCCACUCAUCUCCUUGCUUGAUUGCUAAUCCUAGUGAGAUUGAGUGACAUUCAAGUGCAUUGCUUUGAGAGUUGCAUUUAGUGGCACUUGAUUCUUGAGUUUGCUGCCGAUUUCUUGUUACUCUUGGGUGUUUCCCGAUGCCCUAGAUGGCUUGGAGCAGCGGUGGUGUUGAGCUCGUGAUUGGAGAUUGUUUCGAGCCUCACCAAGUGAUUUGUGAGGGGUUCUUGAGCCUUCCCCACUGGAGAUCGCAAUUGGCUACUCUAGUGGAUUGCUCGUGGCUUGUAGGAUCCCCAUCUUGUGAGUGGAUGUGCGGCACCCGCUGAGGGUUUGGCUUGUAGGAUCCCCAUCUUGGUGGCAUGGAAGCAAGUGAACCUCGGUAAAAAAUCUUGUGUCGUCACUUGCCGAGGAUUCUCUUUGUGAUUGUGAGUGAUGGGUUGGAUAUAUCUCUACUCUACAACGUUGGUAUAACAAUCACUCCCCUCUCCUUUACUUAUCUAUAUACCUUGCUAGUUGUUUAGCUUGUUUAGUUUAGUCUUCUUGUUUAGGAGUGUAGCAAGCUUCUAGUUGUGCUUUCUUGUUGUAACUAGUGUUUAGCUUUCUUGCUAGACUUGUGAUGGUGGCUUGCAUAAGUUAGUUGUGCUAGUGCUAGAAUAGCUUCGCCUUUUGUUUUACUAAUCAACUUGUCUAGUUGAAGUUUGUAGAAUUUUUAAAUGGGCUAUUGACCCCCCCUCUAGCCAUUUGGACCUUUCAAGUGGUAUCAGAGCCGAGGCACCGUUUAUUUGAGGCUUAACAUCCUACGGUGAAGAAAUAGCUCUAAGUUUUCAUAUCAACAACACCAAGAAGGCACCUUUCUUGGAUGGCACAAAUUAUGCAUAUUGGAAGGUCAAGAUGACAGCACAUCUUAAGUCAAUCAAUAGAGAGGUUUGGAAGGUGAGCAAAACAAAGUUUGAGGUUGCAAAUGAGAAUGCACCAACAUCGGUUGAAGAAAAGAAGCUUCAAUGCAAUGACAUUGCAAUUAGUGCUCUUCAUGAAGCUCUUGAUGACAAGACCUUUGAGAAAAUCAAGAACAUUGAGGUUGCUCAUGAUGCAUGGGCAAAAUUAGAAGAAACAUUUGAAGGCACUAAAGGUACCAAGACCGCCAAAGCUUACAUCCUCCAAGAAAAGUUCUCAAGCUUCAAGAUGCAAGAAGAUGAAAGUGUGCCGGAGAUGUUUCACCGGUUGCAAGUCAUUGUGAAUGAACUCAAGGCACUUGGGGAAGAAGUAAAAGAUAGUCAAUUCUCUAUGAAGUUCUUGAGAAGCUUGCCUAAGAGAUUUGACACAUUGAUCACCGUGCUAGUCAAGACAACACUUAGUGAUUCAACUCCCCAACAAGUCUUCCAAGAGGUGAUGACCGAUGAUGCUUAUAGGGAAGAUGAUGAGAAGGAUGAGUUGAUCAAGAAGAAGAAGAAGGAUGGUGAGAAGAAAGAUGAUGAGAAGAAGAAAAGUGUGGCAUUCAAGGCCUCCUCAUCCAAGGGCAAAGCCAAGAUAGAGUCAUCAAGUGAAGAAGAAGCAAGCUCUUGUGAUAGUGAUGAAGAUGAGGAGAUGGCUCUUCUUGUCAAAAGAUUUGGCAAGUUUAUGAAGAAGAAGGGUUAUCGGGCAAGAAGAAAGAAGAGCUCCUCCAAGAAGAAUGAUCAUUCCAUGAGGUUCUUUAGAUGCCAUAGCAAGGAUCAUCUCAUCGCCAAGUGUCCUUAUGAUAGUGAUGAUGAAGAUGCUAUCAAGAAGGAAAGAAAGAAGCAAAAGAAGAAGCAAGAAAAGAAGGAAGGCUGAAACAAGAAGAAGGGUGAUGCCCAUGUUGCAACUUGGGAUAGUGAUGACUCCUCAAGUGAUGAUGAGAGCACCAAGAAGAAGGCGCAUGCUAGCAUUGCAAUUCAAGGAAAGAGCUCCAUCUUCGACACUCCAUCAUGCUUCAUGGCUAAGGCCACUAAGGUAUCAUCCGAUGAUGAGAGUGACCAAGAUAGUGAUAGUGAUAGUGAUGAUGAUGAACCAACGAAAAAUGAACUAAUCACUAUGCUAGAAGAUUGCACUCAUCACUAUAAAGAAACUAGAAAGGAGUGCAAGGCCUUGCUUAAGGAUAAGAAAAUCCUUGAGCACAAACUUGAUGAGCUUAGAGCAUCUUAUGAGAGUCUAAAGGAAGACCAUAAGAAGCUUCAAAAGGCUCACACUAAGCUUGAAGAAGCUCAUUCCUCUCUAGUUAACAAAUGUGAAAAUGAGCCAACUAAAAUGGAGAAAGCUAAAACUUGCAACAUAGGGCUAACAUGUGAUAUCUUAAGUAAGCCUAUUGUUGUUGCUUCUACUAACCAUUCAUGUAGCAUAUCUACAUCAUCCUCAUCUAGUAGUGAUGGUUUCACUUGUGACACCACACUAAAAGUUGAGAAUGAAAUUCUCAAGAAGGAGGUGAAAGAGCUCAAUCACACCUUAGCCAAGGCUUAUGGUGGUGAGGACCGCUUGCUUGUGUGCUUGGGUAGCCAAAGAGCUUCUCUCUAUAAAGAGGGAUUCGGCUAUAACCCCAAGAAAGGCAAGGCCGCCUUUGCUCCUCACAAGACUAGUUUUGUGAAGAACAAUGGCCGGUAUUGCAAAGCUUGCAAGCAAGUUGGUCACUUAGAGCAAUAAUGCAUGAACAAGAAACCCAAAGCUAAUGUAUCCUCAAUUAAGCUUAAUUCUUUCCAUGUACUUACCAAGGAUACAAAAGGUGUUCAUGCUAAGUUCAUUGGUGCACCAUGGAUGGGCUCAAAGAAGAAAGCCAUAUGGGUACCAAAGAGCUUAGUUGCUAACCUUGGAGGACCCAAUCAAGUUUGGGUACCUAAAAAGAAUUGAUCUUGUCUUGUAGGUCAAUUACAAAGCCAGAGGAAGGCAUUGGGUCCUUGAUAGUGGGUGCACUCAACAUAUGACUGGAGAAUCUUGUAUGUUCAAAUCAAUUGAUACAAAUCAAAAUGGUGGCUUUGAUUCUAUCACAUUUGGCAACAACAUGAAAGGCAAGGUCAAAGGGUUUGGUAAAAUUGCUAUCUCAAAUGACAUGAGCAUAUCAAAUGUGUUGGUAGUUGAGAGCCUUGAUUUCAAUCUCUUGUCAAUUGCACAACUUUGUGACCUUGGUUUCAAGUGCAUCUUUGGUAGUUGAUGGAUCAAACUUGAUAUUCAAAGGAUUUAGGCAUGGUAGCUUAUACUUGGUUGAUUUCAAUGAUAGUGACACUCAAUUGACAUCUUGCCUAAUUAGCAAAUCAUGUUUGGGAUAGUUGUGGCAUAGAAGGCUUGGUCAUGUUGGAAUGAAACAAUUGAAUAAACUAUUGAGGCAUGACUUAGUUAGAGGCUUGAAGGAUGUCACCUUUGAGAAGGAUAAACCAUGUAGUGCUUGUCAAGCCGGAAAGCAAGUUGGAAAUGCACAUCCUAAGAAAAGUGAAAUGAGCACAUCAAAGGCAUUUGAGCUAUUGCACAUGGAUUUAUUUGGGCUAACAACAUACACUAGCAUUGGUGGCAACAAGUAUGGUUUUGUGAUAGUAGAUGACUACACUAGAUACACUUGGGUGUUCUUUCUCUAUGACAAGAGUGAUGUUUGUGAUCUAUUCAAGUCUUUUGUCAGGAGGGUGCAAAAUGAGUUUGAAACCACUAUCAAGAAGAUUAGAAGUGACAAUGGUAGUGAAUUCAAGAACACAAGAAUUGAGGAAUUAUGUGAUGAUCUUGGCAUUGGACAUCAAUUCUCUCCAACAUACACUCCUCAAUCAAAUGGUGUAGUUGAAAGGAAGAAUAGAACCUUGAUUGAUAUGGCUAGAUCAAUGCUUAGUGAAUACAAUGUUAGCCAUUCAUUUUGGAGUGAAGCUAUCAACACGGCUUGCUAUUGUAGCAACCGUCUCUAUUGCCAUGGGAAGCUUGGGAAGACACCAUAUGAGCUAUUAAAUGGAAGAAAGCCCAACAUUGCAUACUUUAGAGUGUUUGGUUGCAAAUGCUACAUUCUCAAGAAAGGCACUAGAUUGAGCAUGUUUGAUAAGAAAUGUGAUGAAGGGUUCUUACUUGGUUAUUCCACUGCAAGCAAGGCAUAUAGAGUUUGGAACUUGGCAAGUGGCACAUUGGAAGAAGUCCAUGAUGUUGAGUUUGAUGAAACCAAGGGAUCUCAAAAUGAAGCUCAAAAUCUUGAUGAUGUGAGAGGAGAUCAAUUGGCAAAUGCAAUGAAGAACAUGGAUGUUGGUGACAUAAGGCCAAUGCAAGUUGAUGAUGAUAAUGACAUUCACAUGAUCAAUCAAGAAGUGCAAAUUGAUACAAAUCAAGCUAGUACUAGUGGCUCUCAUGAAGAUGAUCAAAAUCAAAAUCAAGCAAGUGGAAGCAAUCAACUCCCAAUACUCCAACCUACAAGCAUAGCAAGAGAUCAUCCAUUGGAUCAAGUCAUUGGUGGUAUUCAAAGUGGUGUACAAACAAGAUCAAGGCUAGCAUCCUUUUGUGAGCACUACUCAUUUGUCUCAUUUGAGGAGCCAAAGAAAAUAGAAGAUGCAUUGAAGGAUUCCGAUUGGGUAAAUGCCAUGCAUGAAGAAUUGAACAACUUCACAAGAAAUCAAGUGUGGGAGCUUGUUGAGAGGCGAAAGAACUACAAUGUGAUUGGUACCAAGUGGGUAUUUAGAAACAAGCAAGAUCAAGAUGGUGUGGUUGUGAGAAACAAAGCAAGACUAGUAGCACAAGGUUACACUCAAGUUGAAGGUCUUGACUUUGGAGAAACAUAUGCACCGGUGGCAAAAUUAGAGGCAAUUAGAAUAUUAUUAGCAUAUGCUUGUGCCCACAACAUCAAGCUCUAUCAAAUGGAUGUCAAGAGUGAAUUUCUCAAUGGAUACAUAAAUGAGUUAGUUUAUGUUGAACAACCUCCCGGUUUUGAAGAUGACAAGAAACCCACCCAUGUUUACAAGCUCAAGAAGGCAUUGUAUGGUUUGAAGCAAGCACCUAGAGUAUGGUAUGAGAGAUUGAGAGAUUUCCUUCUCUCCAAAGGAUUCAAGAUGAGAAAGGUUGACACUAUCCUGUUCACCAAGAAGUUAGGCUAUGACUUGUUUGUGUUGCAAAUCUAUGUUGAUGAUAUCAUCUUUGGAACAACCAAUCAAGACUGUUGUGAAGAGUUUGGAAGAAUGAUGGCAAAAGAGUUUGAGAUGUCCAUGACUGGAGAACUUAGUUACUUCCUUGGACUUCAAAUCAAGCAAAUGAAGGAUGGCACUUUUGUAAGUCAAGGCAAGUACAUCAAGGACAUGAUCAAGAAGUUUGGGUUGCAAGAAGCUAAACCAAUGAGCACACCUAUGGGCACAAAUGAUCAAUUAGGUAGUGAUGCAAGUGGCAACAUGGUAGAUCAAAAGCUAUACCGGUCCAUGAUUGGAAGUUUGCUCUAUGUCACCGCAUCAAGGCCGGAUGUGAUGUUUAGUGUGUGCAAAUGUGCAAGAUAUCAAGCUUCACCAAGAGAGAUUCACUUGAAGGCAACCAAGAGGAUAUUGAGGUAUCUUAAGGGCACUCAUGAUGUUGGAUUAUGGUAUCCCAAGGGGUCUAUCUUUGAAUUGAUUGGAUAUUCGAACUCCGACUAUGGUGGAUGCAAGAUUAAUAGAAUGAGCACAAGUGGUACUUGUCAAUUGCUAGGAAGGUCUCUAGUUUCAUGGUCAUCAAAGAAACAAAAUAGUGUUGCACUAUCAACCGCCGAGGCCGAAUACAUUAGUGCCGGUAGUUGUCGUGCACAAUUGCUUUGGAUGAAAGCUACCUUGAAUGACUUUGGAAUCAAAUUCAAGAAUGUGCCUUUGCUAUGUGACAAUGAGAGUGCAAUCAAGAUGACACAAAAUCUGGUUCAACAUUCAAGAACCAAGCACAUUGACAUAAGGCACCAUUUCAUAAGGGACCAUCAACAAAAGGGUGAUAUUAGCAUUGAAAGCAUUGGCACCGAAGAUCAACUAGCCGACAUCUUCACAAAGCCACUUGAUGAGAAGAGAUUUUGCAAGUUGAGAAAUGAAUUGAACAUACUUGACUUCUCCAACUUGAGAUGAGUGCACCCCCACAUUUAUAUAUGACAUGCCUCUCCUCCAACAAAGCAAGGUAAAGUGGGUUGACAUAGCAUUCAUACUUUGCUAAGGACAUGAUUAGAACAAAUAGACAUAUUUGCAUGACAAUAGGCUCAUUCAUGAAAAUCAAAAGAAUUUGAUGUAUGUAUGGUACCACUAUUGUUUCUAUGAUUGAUUGAUCUAGUGGUAGCAUAUGACAUGUUUGUGAGCUUGUAAGCCUAGUGUUGAAUCUAGAAUAUGAGCUUAUGAUGUGUAAUUCAACAUGGUCAAGAUAACCCUUAUACUUCAUGAGGUGUGAAAAAGCUUGUCCUUGGAUCAAACCGAAUUACAUGUUUUAGGCAAGUGAUCUAGAUUGAACCAUAAUUUUUUACCCUCACAUUGAUUGACUUAAUUCUCACUAAAAUUUGAACCUUUGUGGUCAUUGAUGACAAAGGGGGAGAGAAACAAAGAUAAAGUCAAAAAGAGGGAAGAGAAACAAAGAUAGGGAUAGAAAACACCUUUAAACUUGAGCACACAAAUAGGUGGAGCAAGCUCAUGAACCAUUUGUUGCAUUUGAAUGUGCAUUAACAUAAUAAGGUGUUGCAUUGCAAGUUUCAAUUCACUACUCUGGAUUGAUUGGUGCUUGCUAGAAAUAGAACUUGAAUGAUGCUUUGUUUUCUAGCAUAGAGUUUUAUUUUCAUGUGGUAUCUAGACAUAUAAUGUGAUCUCACGAGGUAUCUUGAGCUUUUAAUGUAUGUCUAGCUACUUUGGUGCUAAGGAUGGUAUAUUGGCAACUCCGAUUGGUAUCACGCUUCAAAGGUCCAUUCUAUAUACCUUAGCAUCAUUUUGGUAGUAAUAAAUCUCCCAAAAUUCCAAAUUAUGCAUAUGUGCAAACUUGAACCAAACUCAUGGAAGCACAUAUGUAGGGGGAGCUAGUACUACCAAAACCGAAAUUGAAAUGUUUGUCCAACCUUGUCUCAUGAUUAAAAAGCUUUGGACAAGCAAUUCAAGUUCAUUAUGAUUUCAUUUCAUAUCUUUGUGAUGGUUGUCAUCAAUUACCAAAAAGGGGGAGAUUGAAAGCCCAAGUUUGGUUUUGGUAAUUAAUGACACCAAGUUGCUAAUGCCUCGUGUUUAAGUGAUUUGAGUUAGGCAUAGCAACACAUGUGAUGAAGGUACAUGGUGGCAUGGAAAGGUGGCCACAUGAUCACAAAGGGAUGAAGCAGGAAGUAAAGAUCAUGGUGAUAGACGAGGAGCAAAGUGAUCAAGGCAAAGGUAUAAACAUAGAGUUUUACUUUUGCCGGUCUAAGAUGAGUAGAGAAGUGAUUGACCGAGUUUAGGAUAGAUAGCUGACUAUCAAGAGGGGAAAUCACGGUUAUCUCUCGAAUCAAGUGCUACUAGGUCUACAUCUUGAGCAUGUGCAUUAGGAUCUAGUAAAGUGCUAACUUAACUCCUUUGGGAAAAUGUUUGUGAAAAGCUAACACACAUGCACUUUGGUGGUGGACACUUGUUGGUGUUAGCACUUUUGCAAAGGAGGUGGAGUUCCUAGGGUUGAGAGGGGUUUGGGUUCAUGAAGGUCAAGAUCAUCGACUUAAGUCGCCGUUUCUGACCAAGAAGGAUGACCCAGGAAUGCCAAGCAUCUAAUUCUCCAUAAAUGGAUACAACUUCUACAAGACGUUUUGCAACACCGGAUCGGGCGUCAACAUAAUGGCCGCAGUCACCUAUCGGCUCUUGUUCGGAACCAUGCCCUUAAAACCAACAUACAUUCAGCUCGAGAUGGCAGAUCAGACAUUUCGAGAGGUUAAAGGUACAGUAACUAAUGUACCUGUCAAAAUAGAUGAUCAUUUUGUCUACACAGACUUUCCGGUUAUUGACAUGGGAGAAGACGAAUACGAUCCAUCCAUCAUCCUUGGAAGACCAUUCCUCAGCACCGUUAAAGCAAUCAUCUACAUUGGAACUGGAGAAGUCCAUAUGCACUUACCCUCAGAGAAGGUACGCCGCUAUUUUACUGACCCUAACUAUAUUGUUGAAGACUCUAAGCAGGUUAGGACAAGAAGAAGACGACGCAACCACAACUAGAGGAGGCAAAUCAUCAAGGACGGAUGGGCAGACUAUGAAGGAGAAGUUAUAACAUCUGAGGACAUACAGCUUGAACAGUAUUAUCCUCAGGAGACCGUAGCACCGAGUCAGGUGUGGAGAGAGAAGAUAACUAUACAUGAAGAGGAGGCGCCACUGGAAGUACCGACUGCGCCACCCAAUGAAUCCCACGACAAUUGAGAAAACAGAGAGUCCCGUUCGGAGGACUUAAAAACACCGAACGCCUUGCCAAGAGGUAAACUUUGUAGUUAUCCUUUCCCUUUCAAUUAUUUCAAACAGUUUACCUAGUUAAUCAUGUUCGUACUAUCCUAAAAAGAAAAAUAAAAAUGUUAAAAAAUAGUAAGCCCCAUGUGAGUAUACGAGUGGCAUGAAACCCAUAAGUACAUUCACUGUGGUGGCAUAAAAAUAAAAUAAAUAUUUCUUUUCUGCCUUAUAAAAUGAAAAUAUAAAAAUAGGGAGUAAUAUUUAUGGAGGAAGCUCAACAUGAAAAAGGCUAGAUAUUUAUGCUAACACUUAAUUAGUUCCACAAAGCUCUGUUGUCUAUUUGAGCUCCACAAAAUUUAAGAAUCAAGAAGACUAGCAGACGGAGGACAUUCUAAUCGCUGUCAGGAUACUGCCGACUUUCAAAUACACCUCUGCCACCUGCUAGCUACAUCAAGAAAAAUUACGUCAAAAUUCAGGUUGGGGGAGAGCACCCCCAUUUAUCCCGCAAGUAUCUCUAUCUGUCUUUAUACUAUAUGGAUAUACAUAACUAUGAAAAACCAAAUAAAGAUUUGGUGCUUAUAUAUAUAUAUAUCUUUUGCUUAGUGUUCUUAAUAAAUAAAUAAAGUGGCUAUGCUAAACUAAAUCUUAAUAAUAAAACUAUAGCAUGGAUAUGAUGAAUACUUGCUCUGCCUAAUUUUCAAAUUUAAGUUCUCUCUCAAGUUUAGACAUAACUGUUAUAAUUUAAAGCUUGCUCUAGACCUAAACUUGUGGGAAGAAAACUUGAUCUAAAGUCUAAGUUGUUAACAGAUAUGAUAUGGGAAGGUUGAGCUGCUGUUUAUCUGUUACUAGAGAUGCUAGAAUUCUGGAGAAUUUUAUCUUUGAAAAUCUUUAAAAUACUACAUGAUGAGUUCCUGUAUGAUGAGAGUUUAAAUUCCUACCACACCCAUAUAUACAUGCUUGCUAGACUUUGAGGCACACAUUUACUUUUUACUUCUUAUGAGCAUUGAGUGUGGUCAAGCUGUGUAGACCCUUAGGAGCUUGUCAUGUGGUUAAAAUCAAGAUUCACUUGCACGUUCACUCACAUAUGCUGCUUCAACUCCGGAAGUACGCAUCCACAUAUAUCCACCCAUUUCCACCUCCAUAACUACCCAAAAAUAUUCUACUCCUAAUCCGAGAGAGAAUAGCCAAAAAUAUUUCUGUUUUUCCCCUGUGAAAUAAAUGCUCAAGUUAUCUUGGUUACUACCACUUGCUAUAUUAUCUCAUGAGAUGAGUGCUCUAAAAAAAAGAGAUACGAGGAAAUAAAAAGGGUCAAGUGCCCGGAAGCUCGAAAGAAAAGAAAAAGUGAGACGAGAGGUAAAAAUGGACAAGUGUCCGACAAUAGAAUUAGGGGUACAAAAUACCCACCUGAGAGAAAAGAAAAAGAAAAUACAGAGCAUCUCAUUCUCUUCAAAAAGUUUCAAAAGAGCAAGGAAGAUAUAUAUCCCCUCAAAAGAGCAAAACUAGAAUUAGACUUUCACCAUUGUGAUCACCAUCAUCACCAUACACCAUUCAUUCGCCACACAUGCACAUCAUGAUUCGACUAAUUGACUUGUUUCUUUUGAUCCAUGGUUUGACUAUGCAAUAAAUGUCUUGUAAGUAUGUAUACUUUAUCUCCCACCUAUGAGCUCUAGAUAUCAAAAGCUUUAUUAGAGUAGGGUGAGAGAGAAGGCAAUGUUACUAUGCCUUAUACCACAAAUACUACAUUUUGAGAGAAGGCAUAUACCAUCACUGCCUUGGUAAGGAUCCAGAAAUACCACAAAAGAGAGAUAUGAGAGAGUCAUACAAGGAAUCUAUGAGUUUUAUUUGAAAAUCUACAAAAACUCCAGAUCUAUAGCUGAUCAAGAAUAAGAGACAUGUGAAAGCCCAAGUUUGGUUUUGGUAAUUAAUGACACCAAGUUGCUAAUGACUCGUGUUUAAGUGAUUUGAGUUAGGCAUAGGAACACAUGUGAUGAAGGUACAUGGUGGCAUGGAAAGGUGGCCACAUGAUCACAAAGGGAUGAAGCAUGAAGUAAAGAUCAUGGUGAUAGACGAGGCGCAAAGUGAUCAAGGCAAAGGUAUAAACAUAGGGUUUUACUUUUGCCGGUCUAAGAGUAGUAGAGAAGUGAUUGACUGAGUUUAGGAUAGAUAGCCGACUAUCAAGAGGGGAAAUCACGGUUAUCUCUUGAAUCAAGUGCUACUAGGUCUACAUCUUGAGCAUAUGCAUUAGGAUCUAGUAAAGUGCUAACUUAACUCCUUUGGGAAAAUGUUUGUGAAAAGCUAACACACAUGCACUUUGGUGGUGGACACUUGUUGGUGUUAGCACUUUUGCAAAGGAGGUGGAGUUCCUAGGGUUGAGAGGGGUUUGGAGAAAAAUAAGUGUUUAUUUUCUAAUGCACCGGUGGGAAAUUUGGAGAAGUCACGGGAGUGUUUUUCUUACUGAGAAACACUCACUGGACGCUGAGUGCGGAGGCACCGGACGCUGGCCUCAGAGUCCUGUGUGCUUGACCCUGCUAGGGUUGAGCACCGGACGCAUUCUGAGAGCGUCCGGUGUGCGGGUGUUUUGCGAUCCUCUCUGCGCAUGGGUCCGGUGAGCACCGGACGCUACCGGUGCUUAGCGUCCGGUGACCCGCAGGAUUGCGGAACUCUCUGCGCAUGAGUCCGCUAUGCACUGGACGCGUCCGGUGUGGACCUGCAGAGCGUCCGGUGACCCGCAGGUGACUGUUGGAGACUGACGCGCGAGAUUCAAAGAGGACACAUGGCCUACCCCUGAGCACCGAACGCUGGAGGUCAAGUGUCUGGAGAUCACUUGGUAGCGUCCGGUGCCCCCGUUUUGAGCCAAGUGAAAGUGGCCAACGGCUAGUUCCUUGAGGGGCUUAUAAAUAGAAGGUGGCCGGCUUUGGGAGGCUCACUCUUGCACACUUGAAUACUUGAGGCAUACAUUGAGCUAGAGAACGCUCCCUCCACUCAUCUUCUUGCUUGAUUGCUAAUCCUAGUGAGAUUGACUGAGAUUCAAGUGCAUUGCUUUAAGAGUUGCAUUUAGUGGCACUUGAUUCUUGAGUUUGCUGUCGAUUUCUUGUUACUCUUGGGUGUUUCCCGACGCCCUAGACGGCUUGGAGCAGCGGUGGUGUUGAACUCGUGAUUGGAGAUUGUUUCGAGCCUCACCAAGUGAUUUGUGAGGGGUUCUUGAGCCUUCCCCGCGGGAGAUCGCAAUUAGCUACUCUAGUGGAUUGCUCGUGGCUUGUAGGAUCCCCAUCUUGUGAGUGGAUGUGCGGCACCCGCUGAGGGUUUGGCUUUGGAUUGCCAAUAAGCUCGUGAUCCAUCAAGUGGGUGUAUCGCCACAACGAGGACUAGCUUGCUGGGAAGCAAGUGAACCUCGGUAAAAAAUCUUGUGCCAUCACUUGCCGAGGAUUCUCUUUGUGAUUGUGAGUGAUUGGUUGGAUAUAUCUCUACUCUACAACGUUGGUAUAACAAUCACUCCCCUCUCCUUUACUUAUCUGUAUACCUUGCUAGUUGUUUAGCUUGUUUAGUUUAGUCUUCUUGUUUAGGAGUGUAGCAAGCUUCUAGUUGUGCUUUCUUGUUGUAACUAGUGUUUAGCUUUCUUGCUAGACUUGUGUAGGUGGCUUGCAUAACUUAGUUGUGCUAGUGCUAGAAUAGCUUCGCCUUUUGUUUUACUAAUCAACUUGUCUAGUUGAAGUUUGUAGAAUUUUUAAAUAGGCUGUUCACCCCCCUCUAGCCAUUUGGACCUUUCAACAUGACACUUGAUUAGACCGUUCUAUCUUUUAACUACUCAAGACAGAAGUGACGGUUACAAGUCCCAUGGUGAAAGGUAGCUAAGUAAGUUUUAAGUCUUGACAGUUUACUCUAACUCAGAGAUGAGAUCUUAUUUAAAAGCAUGUGUACCGUCAAUUUUCAAAAGUAUUGCAGCAACUUCUGAUCCAUCGCUGAGAUUAUCCUUGCUCAGGGAUGAGCAAGAGGUAAGCUUGGGGGAGUUUGUUGACGGUCCUUAAGUAUCAAAUUUAAUUAUCAAAUAAAUAAAGAAAAGGAUCCAAAUGAAAUCAACAUCCAGACUUAGGGUUUUAUCUGACAAAAUUCCACAAGUUUUGGUGUUUGUCUAUUUCUGCAGGGGGUUAUCAGGAAAUACGGAAGAAAGGCCCACAUGUCGGGAUUACAUAGAGAUAUUAACGUGCCGCGCAAUUAUCUUACAUCUAGAAGACUCUAGAAGCCACGGGAACGAAGCGGAGGCGAAACGGGGCCUGGCCCUGGGCGCCCGCCCCCUGUAGAGUCCAAUCAGAACUCUCUUAUGGGAUCAAGCUCCACCGACCUAAAGGAUCAAGGAUAACCGUUCAAUCAAUGUCGGUUUGAUCCGAUGGCCCAUAUUCACUUGGAGGGACUAUGAAACCAGACCCCCUAGCCCCUGGAGGAGAGAGCCUCUCAACCCUAAUUCAUUAUUCCUCAAGGGAGAAGAAGCCUCUGAUCAAGCCUAGAGCCACCACAUCAAUUAGACAUCUAAAUUAGCAUAGCUACAUAGGAUUAGAACUAGAAGGAGUCAAUCUUCGAUUGGUUUCUGGAUCUAUCAAGAGGAUUCUUGGUAAUUCUCUAAUUGUUCUUCUAAUUGUUCAUCUUUGUUCUUCAAUAUUAUGAAUAUGACUUUGUUCUACUUCAAUAUAUUGCUUAUGACUUUGCUCUACUUGUUUAUAUUCGUAAUUAUAUUGUUCUUAGUUUAUCAUAGUUAUAUACUUGGCUUAGUUAGAUUGGAAUUAUAUACAUGUUUAGGAUCGUAUAGCGUUUGUCCAUAGGAUCCAUGGGUAAAUGAUAGAUAUUGUGUAGGCGUGGUGCUUAUACCGUAUUUAUCUGCGAUUGUACCCAAUAUGCCAGAUCGCGGGGUAGUUCGUGAUAGUGACAGCUUCAUUGAUUCUUAUAUAGUCCCCCUCUCGUGUAUAGGGCUGGCAGAGCAACAUUAUUAUAGGGGAGUGAUUGCUAUGUUUCUCAUAUUCUUUAAUAAUAUCACUAUGCAUGGGUGUAAUCCUGUCUCGCAAUGAUUGGUAAGUAUACUUGCACUAACUAUGAUAAUGCUAGACUGUAUAGUUGAGAAUAACAUAGGAAAUAUUCUUGUAGUUCAUUCUAAUUCCAUGCUAAUGACUUGCUAGAAUAUCUAAUUGAGGUGCUUAUCAUAUUUAUAUGUGGCUAAGUUAUGCUGAUUAGAUUAAUUAUCUUUGUCACUAUUCAUUACUUUAUAUAAAUCUUUUAUGUGACACUUAUCCCUGUAUGAAAGAGUUAGAUAAAUGUUCUCAAUUAUACAUGCAAUGAUAGAUACUCAAUCUUAUAUUCCAUUCUAUAAUCAACAUUGAUGAUUACUAAUCCCUUCCCAGUGGUAAAAAUAUAAAUAACGAUACCUGGAAUACUUCUCGGUUAAAAUGCUACAUCGGUAUUAAUCUGUGCGCUUGCAGAUCCCACUCAUUAUUUAUUUAAGAUGAGCAAUUGCAUAUUUCAAUAUCGUGUCUCUCAUGUCAUGCUGGGGAUGACAACUUGGCUUAAGUGGUAUGAGGGACAGGUUUGGCAUUUUUGGCACCGUUAUCAGAAUUAGAAAACUAAGUCUACUUUUGGUAGUGAUGUUAAGAAUACCCAACACGCACCUCUUCUCGCGCUCAACGUCAUCCUCCUUCACCGGAGGCCUAGAGGACCGGGCGUCGAUCGCCCCCUAACAAGAUAGGCACGAGUCUAAGAAAAAAUUAGAAAGAAGGAGACCGACAACAAGGGUCAAGAGACAAUAACUCGAGGGACUUACCAAAUCAUAGUAACCUUCCUCUAGCUUCAUGGGAAAGCUGUUCACCUGUUCUGGCUGGAAGUCGCCUGCGACGGCCGCCCUAACCCUGGCGGCAACCUCCUCAUCUGGAGGCGCCUUGUUAGACAUUCGGCAUGCCUCGAGGUCCCGCAGCGGAACGCCGGGGCCCAUCUCAUCCAUUCUCAGCAGUUGAGACAUCAACGGGAGCACCCGUCGAUGAUGGACCGCUGAGAGAACGAGUGUGGCGGUCAUGCCCUGCUCACGCAGCUUCUUCAGGGCAUCGAGAAGGGGGCGAAGCCGGCCUGGAGAGUCUUGACAACACCAUAGUUCCAGUUCUCUGGGCGCUCUGAGAUCAACUGCCCAGUGUAGGCGGGGAAGAGGUCGUCGUCAUUGCGGAGAUAGAACCACUGAGAAUCCCACUGGGAGUGGUUGGACGUCAGCCCAAUAGGAAUGUACUCUCGAGGCUCCUCUACGUGGCCUGUCUUUUGGACUAAGUUGAGGCAGUCAGCCCGCACCGGCUUCCUCACCCCAGCGGUCCCACCGGGAGCACGAAAUAGCUCGCCCCGGUAGUGGUGGAGCCACAAGUCCCAGUGCAGCAUCACCCCCAAGUAGCCCUCACACACCGUGGCAAAGAUCGCCGCGGCGGUGAUAGCAUUGGGGGAGAAGUGCUGGAGCUCGACACCGUAGUGGUGGCAGAGCGCCCUCAUGAAGCGGCUCGGAGGGGAUCCGAGCCUGUGGUGGUGGAACUUGGCGAAGGAGACGACGUAGCCCUUCGGCGGGUUUGACUCCUGGUGAUCCGCCGGCGGCAAGAUCCACUCAGGCCGCGUCGAAGAAGCACGGGGGCGUAGGAACCCCUCCUCCAAGUCACGCAGCCGGCGCUCCAUCAUGGUCGACGGGCGCCAAUCGUCGGCGGUGAUGAGUCUCACCAGCAUCUCGUCAGGAGGUGGAGGGCGACUCUACAAAUCUCUCCGCUCGAGGGAGUGUGGUGCUUCAGGCACGCAAGAAAAUGCAGAGGAAGCAAGGGCGAGAGCAAUGGUAGGAGACGGAAGAGACGACAGCCGGACGACCCCUCGAUAUUUAUAGACACCCCCAGCGGGCGGAUCCGACAAAUGUGGUAACUUCCUCAAUAAAUGCGCCUCCUAACGGUUCUAUUUCUCUCUGGCAGGGCAUUGCAGACUCUGCCAACGGACCAGCGCUGCAACGGCUCCCUCCUAAAAAGGUGCUUCCAACGGGCAAGAAAGCAAACUGCCACAACUCUUCCUUCCGUCGCAAGGUAAGAUGGGCGCACGCCACCAUAGGAACCUCGAGGGAGCGUAGACCGGCCCACUGGAUGGGUUCGACGAUCGCCCUUGAGUACCCGAGUCAGGGGCACCUAGCGAGGUGUCGAAAUGAGGGAAACCUCGAGAACUCGCUGGGAGUAUCCAAGGCAGAGGCAAGAAGGUCGAGAGGAAUCCCCACGGAGGGAGGCGUCGAGCCGCUGGACUCUAUCGAAUGAGACCAGUAUCCUCGACUGCGCUAGCCUAGCUUUAAUGAGGAUGCCUCCGGGCUGCAGCCAACCCCAUCGAAUGGGGCAUGGAUUCUCGCUUGGAUUACCCGAUAAAAGCUCACCCAGGUCGAUGACGCUCGCUCCAUCGGCAGUACGUUGCGCUCCUAGCCUCGAAAAGGUAAAAACGGCCCAUGAGGGUUGAGGGCUCCCUUCCAGAAUGAACGCCCUGUAGAGGAAAGAAAUUUUGAGAGAGGACACAUCGGAAAAAGCGAUACAGCCCUCGAAGGAGUUCAAUAAUCCUUCAAGGUCUCGGGGGCUACCCCCACGGAAACUCAACCAUCAGAAGAACCCCUGCUCGAACACAAGUACUCGAACAAGGGCUCGGGGGCUACUGUCGAGGAUGUCAAUAGGGGGUACCCCAGCCAACGCUCGGAAUGUAAGGACCCACAAAUAAAAUUGAGGCUCAAGCUCGACGCUCCGACAUAAAUACAGGAUCACCAGGCAUGGUAUCGACCAUAGCCUCGAACCCAGAGACAAGGUCGUGCGAAUCGACAAGGGCUCGAUACCGGCAACCGUCGACUAUGGAGAUAGCGUCGAGCGAAUCGACAGGCCUCGAGCGCAAAAGCGCUCCCCCGCCGCCUGUCGCGGGUACGGAAGCCAGGGCUUUUGAUGCGACUGCCAUGCUCCCACCUAACCCGACAGUCACGGGAAGCAUGAUAGGGGAACAAGCACCCAUCGAAAUAUUCACUUUUUCCAGCUUUAUCCCCAAGGUUGGAUAAAGGUACGACUCGGCACAGUGCUGCAGGCAUAAUAUCCCAUCGCGGCACCCCUCGAGACGCACAAAGUCAACGCUCCCACGUGACAAGGCCGCCCGUGCCGUCCGACCCUCGAGCAGACACGUUCCUUCCCAGGAAAGGAUCGUGCGACGGAAGUCAGCGCUUCAACCACCCCAGACGUGACUACCGCCACGACGUACAAGCGUGCUCGCGCCUAAGCCAAUACCAGACGAUGUACAUGAGAUGAAUUCAGGAAACGUACGCACCAUCAUCACCAAAGUACCUCGUAACAUGACGGCUCGAGGCCACACCGGUACGAAAGCCUCGAGUAGGCUGACGCUAUACCCCUAUCGAGGCUUAUUCUAAUGCCUACACCCUGUAACCUAGGUCUCCCCUUGGAACUAUAAAAGGGGACACCAUGGACGACAUUCGGGAGGGGACACAACGCAUAGAACACGAUUCUCAUACCACCUCCACCAUCGGCUAGGACAUAGAACUCUUAACCACAUCCACUUGUAUUCACCCCGGUACAAGCACUUAGGUGCAAGAUAAUAUAAAGUCUCCCCCCUCGCUGGACGUAUGGUCUUCUUUUACUCGAACCAGGAUAAAUCUUUGUGUCACUCUUGUAUCACCAUCCGGAAAAGGGAGCACGUACACAAAUUCACUCGUUGGUGUCAGCCCCAGGGUCAAAACACUGACACAUAAUUUGAAAUGAGGAGGCAAGGGAACAAACUAAACUCUAAGGUAACAUGAUUGGUAGGUGGCAUAAGCGUGCAUGUGUGCUUUCCAUCAGAAAGCUACUAUGGCACCACUCUAUAACACUAUGUAAUAUUCUUGCGCAUCACAGCAGAUAAGUCAAAUUGUUAUGCACAACGGUAGGUGGUAAUAACGACCUUUUGUCCUACAUAUAUUCGUUCUCUUUACGCUUGCCGUAUGUUGCAUGCAUGCGCGUAUAUGGUGGUCUGGAUAACUGUAACUGAUUCCGCAGGGGCCCCGCUGAUGGAUCAUCAUUGAGUACUGCCUUUGCAAUGUAUUGAAAGGUCAACAACAACAACGUACACGUGGAUCAUUGUCGUCGUAAAGCCGUACGUACGUAUAUACAAACCACACAAUAUUAAUGCAAACAUGCAUAUAUUCCCCAUGCAGUUACAUACCCAAAACUUUACGCGUGUGACCCGACGCGUCCCUUCGUUACUCUAUGAUUUGGCACCGAGAGACAAAUCUUAAAAAUACAUCGGGAGCAACCAAUGCUUGUCACCAAAUAUAUGGAACAUGUGUGUAAACUAGUAGCACUACUACAACUUCGCCUUCAUGCAUGUGGGGGUACUUGUGCAUUACUGGUUUGCCGGUAAGUGGGACCAGCACAAAAGAAUUGAAACCCUAGCCAGACAGAGCUAGCUACGUGUUUCGACGUACCAUCAUGCGGGCGUUACAUGGGCCAUGGCAAUGCAACGAGAAGAAGCAAUGUCAGCUUGCUGGUCUGGUAUACAUGCAUGGAUGCAUCUAUCGGUGAUGGAUCUCUAUAUAUCUGCAUGUGUCUGCCACCGCAAAUAAUUGCUACCACUCGAAUGCAUCUCGAUCUGUGUAUUAGUAACAGUAAUAUACAUGUUGUGGAUAUAGCUAGCUAGCUUCAGGAGUAUAUUAUCUUGUGCCCUGAAGUGACUUGGCAGCAAAGCUCCGCCUCCGGUGAUGUCAUGAGAGCUGCUAGGUGUCUAUAUACCCCCUCUCUAGCUUAGCUUGUUGUUAUCUCGGCUCGUCGAAACGGCGACCGGCGGUCAGGUCGAAAGAGUUGUUGGCGUGUGUUUGUUUUCAUGGUCGAAUGAUUAAUCUGACUGGACAAGAAGAAUAUAAUCCGGUAUGGUACUAGACUAGAUUGCUUCUGUAACAGCUAGAGAGCGCUGGUAUAUAUAUUGUGUCUCUGUUUGGUGGUGUUGGACGAUAAGGUGGCAGCUUUGUUUGCAUUGUACUUCUACUCAUCAGGACCGGUAUGCGUGCCCCGAUUUAGGAUGGAGUAAUUCAGAGGAACACUUCACACAUGGUUGGGCUUGGGCAUUAGAAGACAUGCAUGAAACUCAUUCGUGCAAGGGAAUGGGGAGACCGAACUUUCUGAAUAAAAUCUAACAACUUAAAAAUGAUUAAUAAGCAAUUUGUAAUCCUUAGAUUGGGUUUAAUAAUAUACAAUAUCAAAAGAUCAUUCAACAUUCAAAUUAGUUAACUAGUGCUUGAAAUUUAUUGGAAAAUUUUCAAACAUGUUGUUAUUUGGGUGAUUGAAGAAGCCGGACGAUGGGCUUGGGCCGAAACCUAGGUUACGCGGCGGCCGCCCCCCACUCCGUGCCGCUGGCCGCCUCGCCGACAACGACGGCCCCCUCCACUGCCUUGCCACCCUUGCAGAACCUGCAUCCUCCUGCUACUCCGCCAAUUCUGCGAUGGGACGCCACUGCUCAACCUCGUCGCUGCUGGACUUCGGUCCGGCGCCAUCGACCCCUCCUCACCUCCCCCUCUCCGUUCCUCUGAUGGGGUUGGAUCUCUCGUGCUCCGGCAAGGCACUGGCAAAAAUGCGGCUCGGGGGAGGACCACUACUACAGAAAUAUUUAACCGUGGCGGGCAAAACAGGUUAACAGAGGUGGCUGUUUUAAAGCAACCGCUUCCGUUAAUAUGGUAACCGAGAUGGUUUUUUAAAACUGCUUUGUUAAUGUAUUAAUAGAGGCGGUUUUUGCAACUUGCCCGCCUCCUUUAAGUGUAUCCAGAUUAAAAAAACCUCAUUUCAGUUUAUUUUUAAAUUUGAAACAAAAAUUUGUUAGGUUGAAACAUAUAUAAAGCAAAAUACAUAUGUAUAAAGGAUGACCACAUUGAAUCCGAAAUUUGCAAAAGAUUGAAACAUAUACAGAGCAAAAGACAUAAGGAUAAGCACAUAUAUUACAUCCAUCAUAUACAGAGCAAAAGACAUAAGGAUAAGCACAUAUAUUACAUCCAUAUAUGUCAUCUUUAUCGACGGUCCAUGCAUGUCACAAACUAUGUUCAUAUUACAUCAAUGUACAUAAUGUUCAUAAAAAGCACAUCUAAAAUAAUGUUCACUCAAAAAUACCCGACAACCUAUAGUCGUUCAUAUCUAAACUGUUGGUUCUCCAGUUGCGUAGCUUCUCGAACUUCUCUUCUCUCGCUAGCUCGCUCCCGGUAUAGAAGAACUGUCCGUCAACGUGACAACAUUGAUCCGUGACAGACUUACAAAUGUCAGCUACAGUUUGUGUGAUGGUCCUUUGAUCAAUUGUUUCGUUUUCCUACAAACUUUGGAAUUUCUGCAAUUGCCGCUAGCUAUUGUUGAAUUUCCCGCAAGCCCUGAGGUACUCACAAGCAUAGUACCCACACAGAACUGAGCCUUCAAGUUGUUUAGCGCACUGCAUGCAUGAUGAAGGUAACACAUGAAAAUUAUGACUGGUAGAAGUAUCCCUACAAGACAACUAUAAGUAGUAGUAGAACUAAAGGCAGGCAGAGUAAGUACCAGGAAGUCUCGCCUCACUAACAAUUUGUGGCCAUACUUUUGCUUGUCUUUCUCAGACCUCCGAUCAUUGCAGCUGGGGUCGUCCACGUACUUUUGGUAAGCACUGUAUGAAAACUACUAGUGUUAACAACAGAUUUCAUACGUAUUUGAGUGCAUGAGGUGUGUCGUCACUUACCAUCGCAGGAUACUUUCGAAAUGCUUGUAUCCUUCUUUGUUCGAGUGUCGCAAGGAGUCGAAUACGACAGCCUUCCCAUCCUGAGGAUAGAUCAUAAAUACAAUCUAGGGGCCCAUGACGCCUAAGCUGUACCAUUGAAAUAAUAUUGAUCUCAAAUCUUCAAAUAUAAAAAGUGACAAACCUAGUAGCUAUUGUAAGUAUCAUUUUGACAAUAGCCCUUUGUGUUUGCAGAUCAGUUUUGCAUCAACACAUGUUUUGGUACGCCCGGUGGGACAGAUUCAAGAUCAAGAUCGACAUGGCGAAUACCGAGUUCGAUUUGGAGAACGUCAUCCCUGUGACGGAAGCCAAUCUCAGAGAUGAGCAAAAGCAAGCUAUUGCAAAAGCCAUGGAGGACUACAAGCAGCAAUGUUUGAAAUCCUUCAGCAUCAACAGGAGUGGCGAAGUAAUCUAGAAAGAAGCAUUGCCGGCACCUCGGCAGGUUACUUUUGAAGCCAAUCCUGGUAAACUUCAAUACAUGGUUGAUAAUGCUAUUAAUCGUACCUUAAUCAAUCAAGCUGGUGUGCUGUCCAAUACGGUUUUCAGUGCCGUGGCUAGAACUUUCAAAGAAGGACAAUUGCCACCAAAUUAUGUGGGCCCUGUCUAUCAUCAGCCAAGAUCACCAGUGGUUACAGCUCCAUCGGCUACUACAGCCGCUGCGGGUUUAGAGGUUACUUCUCCUCCAAGUACGUUAGGAGUCACUAAUGCACAAUCUACACCGAUGACGACCAAUCCAUCAACAUCGGACGAGCAAAUCAAGCUUGCCACAGAUCUAUUGGCAUCGGCAAUGUCAGGAUCUGUUCCUCCUAACUGGUGGGGUUAUGGUAUGCCCCCAGAGAUGAUGUUGAAGACUCCUGGAACGUCUCAAGUGGCUGACUUGACGGGCAAGGCUCCUAUGACAUCGGCACCUCCAAAUCUGCCGAUGAAUCAGAGUCCCCAGUAUACUACAACUACUACUGCAAGACCUUACACUGGGAAUUCUCAAUUUCCAACGUUCCAAAUGCCUAUGCAUCGGCAGAUUCAAUGCCGACGCAGCAAAGGUUUAUGACACAGCCAGGGUACGUCAGUUCAAUGAUGAUGCCCAAUCACCAGUCAUCAGCAGGGUUUAUGCUAAUGAAUGCUAACAGUGGAUGGAAUAGACAGCUAGUCUUUCCAGAGAUGCAUCAGCAGAAUCAUCAGACUGCAGGGUUUCAACAGGGACAAAUCCAACCUGGGUUUCAGAAUCAAGGGUUCGCCAACCAACCGAUGAACCUCGGUUAGCAGAUUGGUGGUUAGAUGAUCAACCCCAUGUUCCAUGCAGAUCGUGCACCCCAGAGACACGUGGAAGCAUAUCAGCAGGUGCCAGAUCCGCAACCACCUCAUAGGCAAGAUGCCGAUGCCUACUGGGCCGAUAAGAUAGUUGAAGUAAUGAGAGACCAAUUCGGGAUAAAACCCAAAGUCAAUACUUACUCUUAUCGGACACCAUAUCCUCCUGCAUAUGACCUGAUUCCACUUCCAAAUCGGUACAAGGUACCAGACUUCACUAAGUUUUCUGGACAGGAUGAUACAUCGACUAUGGAGCAUGUCAACAGGUUUAUCAUUUAAUGUGGCGAGCUGCUACAGAGAUGAGUUAAGGGUUCGACUGUUCUCAUCAUCUUUAUCUAGAUCGGCUUUCACUUGGUUUAUUUCGUUACCUCCUAACUCGGUGAUCACUUGGGUCGAUCUAGAGAAGCAGUUCCACAAGUACUUCUUCUCUGGAGUUCAUGAGAAGAAAAUUACCGAUUUAGUCAGGUUGAAGCAACGCAAUGAUGAAUCGGUUGAAUGUUUUGUGCAGAGAUUGCGGGAGGUCAAGAAUAAAUGCUAUAGUCUGGGUCUAGAUGAUCGGCAGCUAGCCGAUUUGGCUUUCCAGGGUUUAUUGCCACACAUCAGGGACAAAUAUGCUUCUCAAGAGUUCAAGAGCCUGAGUCACUUGGUGCAGAGGAUUUCGAUCAGGAUAUCAAACCCUUUGAACCUAAGAGAGCUUGGAACAAAAAGUGUCAUUUGUUGAUGAAGCAGCAAGCUCAGAUUCUGAUGAAGAGCUAGUGAUCGGCUUGGCAGAAUGGGUGAAGAAUAAAAAGCCGAUGUCUUGCCCUUUUGGGCAUAAGGAGCCAGAAAAGUUUGCAUUUGAUAUUACCAAGGCUGAUAGGAUAUUUGACUUUCUACUUCAAGAAGGGCAAAUCAAAUUGUCGCCCAAUCAUGUAAUUCCAUCAGCUGAGGAAUUAAAGAAGAUGAAAUAUUGCAAGUGGCAUAAUGCGACAUCUCACAGCACGAAUGAGUGCAAGGUUUUCAGGCAACAGCUGCAAUCGGCUAUAGAAUCUGGGAGGAUCAAGUUCGAUAGUUCCAAACGUCAGAUGCCAAUGAAAAUUGAUCAACAUCCUUUCUCGACAAAUAUGCUGGAUGCUAAGGGAAAAACCAAGGUCUUGACGUCAGAAGCAGCUGAGAAGUGUGCACCGGUAGAUCCUCAGCAUCAGAUUACUGCUACAGAUGCAAAGGGAAAGGGUUUGAUCCAGGAAGGAACUAGCUCAGGAAGGCCGCCCCGAUCUGGCAUUGUGAUAACUCAUAGGAGGCAUCGGGAGACUUGGCAGCAACGAGAAGAUUGGUAUCGGCGUCAGUAGGAGGAUUACCGUCGGGAAGAAGAAAGACGUCGACACGAGUGGAAUCGGCACAAGGACCACUGGAACUGCCCGUUCUUUAUCCAUUGCUGAGAACAGAACAUCAAAUUGCCCACUGUUAGGGACUGCCCUGAGUGCAAUGGUUAUGAUCGGUAUGACAGACCUAAUCGGCAGUAUCAGAAUGAUGAUCGGCGGUUUAAUGGGCCGAUUAGGGGGAGAGCGUCAGUUCAUGAUUGACUGGGGGACAGACUCAGUGUGCAUGACAGACUUGGUGAUCGUGUCGAGUAUUUUCCUAGGAACCAAGAGAAACUUGAGGAGAUGGCCAAUGCACGAGUUCCCGAUGAGUUCAUAUUUUGCAGAGACGCCAAUACCUAUCGAGUGGAGUCAAGGGAAAAUCGUCGCCCAUCGGUGAGGCAGUCACAGGUUCCUCCAUGGUGUCCAGAGGGGUUGACUAGGACACAGAAAAGGAGGCUGCAGCGCGAAAGGCGAGAAGUGCUAAACAAAGGCGAGAAUUCUGGCCAAUCUGGAGAUCAGCAGCAACCGGAUCCUAAGGGAAAAGGGCCAUCGGCAGAUAUUAACAUGGUAUUUAUGUUGCCGAUGGAGUUUCUUGCGCCAUCCAGAGAUGAUGAGGAGCUGGGUUUUUCCGACCAAAUAGCUCAGUUGGCGCUGGAUCCGAUGACAACUAUCUUUGAAAAGCCUACUAAAAAUGAAAGGCAGCAUCUUAAGGCUUUAUUCGUCAAGGGACAGGUUGAUGGGCAGCCGAUGACCAAGAUAUUAGUCGAUGGUGGGGCCGCCAUCAAUAUUAUGCCAUAUGCAGUCUAUCGGAAGCUUGAAAAGGGGAAUUAAGAUUUCACCAAGACCGAUAUGAUGCUCAAGGACUUUGAAGGAAAUGUGUCUCUAGUUAAGGGGGCGAUAUGCGUCAAGUUGACAAUUGGCAGCAAGAUUUUGCCGACAACUUUCUUCGUGAUCAGUGGAAAGGGUGCUUACAAUCUGUUGCUAGGGAGAGAUUGGAUCCAUGCCAAUUGUUGCAUCCCAUCGACAAUGCACCAAUGCUUUGUUCAGUGGGUAGGUGACAAGAUUGAGAUUGUCCUGGGAGAUUCUUCUUAUAUCAUUGCAUCGGCAGAAGCGAACACUUAUAAAAGGACUAGGUGUAUCUCGGGAGAGAUCUGGGAAAAGGAUUUCCUCAAAGUUGCCGAUUAUGAAAUUCCACCGAUCCAAGCAGUCGGUUCUGAUGAGGAGUUUUAAUGGAUAGGUUUGCCGAUGAUGGAAAAUUAGGCCAGGGGUUUACAUCGGCUGAUGAUUUAGUAGAGGUAGAUAUAGGUAAUGGAGAUAAGCCUAGACCUACUUUUAUUAGCGCUAAGUUAGAUUCUGAGUGUAAGCAACAGUUAACCGAUUUGUUAAAGGAAUAUAAAGAUUACUUUGCUUGGGAUUAUACUGAGAUGCCUGGUUUAGACCGAUCGAUUGUUGAACAUCGGUUACCGAUCAAGUCUAGAUUUCGGCCACAUCAGCAGCCAGCUCGCCGAUGUAAUCCUAAUAUUCUUUCUGAUAUCAAGGCCGAAAUAACCAAACUUAUCGAAGCUAAAUUUAUUCAGCAAUGUCGGUAUGCCGAGUGGAUUUCCAAUGUUGUUCUAGACUAGAAGAAAAAUGGGAAGCUUCAAGUUUGCAUUGAUUUCAGGAAUCUUAAUAAAGCUAUGCCGAUGGAUGGUUACCCGAUGCCGGUUGCUGACUUACUAGUUGAUGCUGCGGCCGGGCAUCGGAUCAUAAGCUUUAUGGAUGGCAAUGCAGGAUAUAAUCAAAUAUUCAUGGCUGAAGAAGAUAUUCCAAAGACUCCUGGUCAUGUUGGGUUGUUUGAAUGGAUAGUCAUGACCUUUGGGUUGAAAAAUGCUGGUGCUACCUAUCAAAGGGCUAUGAAUUUUAUCUUUCACGAGUUCAUCGGCAAGCUGGUAGAAAUUUACAUUGAUGAUGUGGUGGUUAAGUCUGAGGAUUUCACAAAGCAUCUUGCCGAUCUGCGAAAAGUAUUGGAGUGCACCAGAAAACAUGGUUUGAAGAUGAAUCCUAAUAAAUGUGCAUUUGGUGUAUCGGCACGGCAAUUUCUUGGUUUCAUGGUGCAUCAUAGAGGAAUUGAAAUUAGUAGACGAUCUAUUGAUGCUAUCAGCAAAAAAGUUGCUCCUACCAACAAAACUGAGCUCCAAUCUCUGAUCGGCAAAGUAAAUUUUAUCAGGCGGUUUAUCUCCAAUUUAUCUGGUAAAAUUCAUGCUUUUAGUCCUUUACUUAAAUUAAAAGCCGAUCAGGAAUUUAUAUGGGGAGAAGAGCAACAGUUGGCCUUAGAUGAAAUCAAGGGAUAUUUGACAAAUCCUCCAGUAUUAAUUCCACCUCAGCAAGGAAAGCCUUUCAGAUUAUAUUUGUCUACCGAUGGGAUGGUCAUCGGUUCGGCUUUAAUUCAAGAAUUUGAUACUAUUUAAGCAGAAGACUGAUUGAUGCUGAGACCAGGUAUUCGGCUAUUGAGAAAUUAUGUUUAUGCAUAUAUUUCUCAUGCAUUAAGUUGAGGCACUAUUUGCUGUCGGCCGAAUGCACUGUUAUAUGCAAAGAUGAUGUAGUCCGAUAUAUGCUGUCUAUGCCGAUUAUGAGUGGCAGGAUCGGUAAGUGGAUUUUGGCGUUGUCAGAAUUCGAUCUGCGUUACGAGUCGGCUAAAGCGGUUAAAGGGCAAAUUAUGGCCGAUUUUGUGACUCAACAUUGCGGUGUAGUGGAAACUUUCGAAAUUGUACCUUGGACGCUCUUCUUUGAUGGAUCCACGUGCGACGGGGGGCAGGAAUCGGCAUAGUGUUAAAUUCCCCUCAGGGAAGGAAGUAUGAGUUUUCUUUGCCGAUUGUUGCCACGUCAACAAAUAAUCAAGCCGAAUAUCAAGCUUUGAUCAAAGGGUUGGAAUUGUUAAAAGAAGUUCAUGCUGACGCUGUUGAAAUCUUCAGAGAUUCUAUGCUGGUUACAAAUCAAUUCGCUGGAAGCUAUGAAUGCCGAAGCGAAGUCCUGGUAACUUAUUACAAAAAGAGUAUGCGACUAUUAAGGGAAUUCAAAGAUGUCCGAUUAGAGCAUGUUCCUCGGUUAUAUAAUGAGGAGGCUAAUCGGUUGGCUCAGCAUGCCUCAGGGUAUCAACCCAUAUUGAACACAUUAUCGGCAAUCAGUGCCAAUGAUUGGAGAAAAGAAAUCAUUGAUUAUUUAAAGGAUCCAUCUAAGAAGGUUGAGAGGCGGAUUCGGUCUCAAGCUACCAAGUAUGUGCUCCUUGAAGAUGAAUUAUAUUAUCGAACAAUUGAUGAAGUUCUUCUCAAGUGCUUAGGUGAGGAUGAAGCUAAAGUUUGAUGGGAGAGCUCCAUGAAGGAGUGUGUGGAGCACAUCAGUCUGCUUUCAAGAUGAAAUGGAUGAUCAGGAGAAAUGGGUAUUAUUGGCCAACUAUACUUGAGGAUUGUUUUAAGUAUUUGAAAGGGUGUCAAGAAUGUCAGAAAUUUGGCAAUAUUCAAAGGGCGCCCGCAUCGGCCAUGAAUCCCAUUAUUAAAUCUUGGCCGUUCCGUGGAUGGACUAUUGAUCUAAUCGGCCAGAUUUACCCGCCAUCAAGCAAAGGGCAUAAAUUCAUCUUGGUUGCCACCGAUUAUUUCACCAAGUGGGUUGAAGCUAUUCCUUUGAAGAAAGUCACAUCAGCCAAUAUGAUUGAUUUUGUGAAAGAGCAUAUUAUUUACCGAUUUGGUAUUCCUCAAACAAUUACUACUGAUCAGGGUACUAUGUUUACAUCGGGGGAGUUUGAUGAGUUUGCAAUCGGUAUGGGAAUUAAAGUGUUAAAUUCUUCUCCUUAUUAUGCUCAAGCUAAUGGGCAGGCCGAGGCAUCUAACAAAGGAAUUAUCAAACUUAUUAAACGGAAGAUUGAAAAGAAUCCUAGGAGGUGGCAUACAUUGUUGAAUGAAGCUUUAUGGUCAUAUCGGAUGGCUUGUCAUGAGUCGACCAAAGUUUCACCUUAUCAGUUGGUGUAUGGACAUGAUGCAGUGCUACCUUGGGAAAUUAAGACUGGAUCUAGGCGACUAUCUUUUCAGGAUCAAUUGACUACCGAUGACUAUGCUACUUUGAUGACAGACGAGUUGGAUGAUUUAGCAGGGCAUCGGCUGAGGGCUUUGAUGAGUAUAGAAGAAAAUAAAAAGAGAGUUGCCAGAUGGUAUGAUAAGAAGAUAAAGGCUAAAGAGUUUUCCCAUGGAGAUUUAGUAUGGAAACUAAUCUUACCGAUCAGGACUAAAAGUUCAAAAUUUGGGAAGUGGUCUCCCAACUGGGAGGGUCCCUAUUGGAUAAAUCGAUCUACUCCUGGCAAUUCUUAUAUUUUAGAAACUCUCGAAGGAGUUGAAUUUCCCAGAGCAUUGAAUGGCAAAUACUUAAAGAAAUAUUAUCCUAGCAUAUGGCUUGAUGCAUAAAAAUUAAAGUGCCGAUAACAUUCCUAUCGGCUGGAUUAAAGUGUAUCUGGGACUGGACUCAAUGUUUUAAGGGUGCAGAUAACAGUCCUAUCAGCUAGACCAAAAUAAUCAGGAGUGUUUUAAAAGGAAGAAGCAAGACACGCCGCUGAUGAAGAGUUCAUAUGUUUAGCAGAGCCUGGAUCGUCGAUAUGGCGCGUAGACGAAUCUGAUUGGCUUCUUCUAUCUCCUUCAUGUCUUCAUCGACAGAGCCCUCCACUGGCUUCAGUUUCUUCUUCAUCUAUAGUGCCUUGCGAGCUUGGAUGUUUCGCUCCUGUUCCAGGGUCUUGAUUGCUUCAGGGAGCUGGCUUUCUUCCUGUUGAGCUUGGGACAGAGCUUCUUCCACUUGUUUGAGUUCUGCCAACAGGGCUUCUCUCUUUGCCGAUAGAUCAGAGAUCUUUUCCUUCAGCACAUAUCCUGAGGAUUUCAAAAUGCCGAUGCUCUUAUGCUUUUCAUCAGUAAGGAGCUUUACUUUCAUCAUCUCUUCUGAGAGCUGGGCGUGAGUAGCUCUAUCGGCAAGGCGCUGAGCAGCCUUUUAAUACGGAAGCUGUCGACUCUCCAAGUGAGCAGCCUUGAAGAGGAUCUCCUCGGCAUCAGCAGGAAUUUGGCCUCUGAGAGCCUUGAACAGGGCCUUGGCCGGAUCGGAGUCAUCAACCAACUGGGUCGUGUCUUGAUGAAGGAGGGCUGACAAAUCUUCCAACUUUGCUCUAAUCUCUGCCGAUGAGAUUCCAACCGCUCGAGAAGAACUUGCCUCCUCGCCUUCAUCCUCAGAGAUUUCGAUGGCGAAGGAGAACAAGUUGUCACGAUAAUCCUGUUCCUAAAAAGGAAGAUAAAAUAAGUUAUUUUAUGAUCAAGUAGUGGUGAUGAUAAAAUAGAGAUCGGCUAACUUACUUGUUUCAGAGCUAUCUAUCGCCUCUGACUAGUUGAGGCCGAUGGAACCACAGGUUGAUCGGCUGGAAUUGCCGAUGGGGCUAUGUCAGGUGAAAGAUUGACAUAAGUGAUUAAUAAAGUGGAAAGAUGGGUCCAUUGGCAGUGGUUUCACGGAUAGUAUUUUACCUUGAGGGGGUGCGGUACUUGUCUGAAUUAAGGAAACUACCGAUGCUAUGAUUAGGCUUGCUGGAUCGGUGGUAUGCUCGUGUACAUCAGCCGAUGUUUCUUCUAGAUGAGGUUCUUCUGGCUGGGGCUCUUCUUGUGAUUGAGGGGGAGAUGGUGCUUGCUGUGUCUGGGCUUCUGGAGAAGAAGGGGAUAAUUCUACUGGGAUCAGAGACCUUGGAGGAGGAGGAGGCGUUGCUGUUCUCUGGCGCUUUGCUUGUGAUCUGGUACUCUUGGAACCUUUUCUCUUCGGUUGACUGGACUGGGGGGCAUCGGCAGUCGUACUUCUGGUCUUUGCCGAUGUGCCGGUAUGCUGAUACAACAAUGAAAAGUUUAUGAGUACAAGUGUAACAGGGUAUUGAUGGAGUUCUGAUUAAAAUAAUCAAAGUUACCGAUGAAAUUCCCAUGUAAGCAUAAAAAUGGAAUCGGUAUAAGUUGAAGAAUUCGAUAGUUUACCUUGAAGGCUUGUGCCAAAGUGGUGUCAGCUACCGACGGGGAUGUUUUCAUUCGCUUGGUGGUGAUUUUCUUGAGACGCACACCCCGGUGCAUUAAAGCAGCCAAGGUUGGAGCGUUGUUGCCGAUCAAAGAGAUCGGGCCCGAUGGAAGGAGUUCGAUCGGCUUGCCACUUCUGCUAACUGAUGGUGGCGUAUCAUCGACCUGAAUGAAACAAAGAAAGUGAGUUGCCGAUAGAAAGUGAAAGGAUUGAAACAUCGGUUAAAAUACUUACAGUAUUAUCGGGGACCUUGUAUUUGGGGUCGAUCAUACCAUGAUAUGUCGGUGUUUUCCCCCUGGAGGGUAACACCAACGAGUAAAACUACUGCGUGCUCCCCUUUCCAGAUAGUGAUGCAAGAAAAGACACAAAAAUUUAUCCUGGUUCGGGCAAGAGAAGGCCCUACGUCCAGCGGGAGGGAGAGUGUUUGUAUUAUCUUGCACCUAAGUGCUUGUAUAGGGGUGAAUACAGGCGUGGGAUGGAUGGAGAUGGAGUAUGGGUGCUCUACUACGUAUGUCUUCCCCUUCGUAUCUGCUCCUGAGCUUCCCCUAGGUUACAUGCAUAGGCAAUAGAGUAGGGGUCGAUAGGGGUGCGGCGCGCUAACCUACUCGGGGCUCCCGUACCGGCAUGGCCUCGAACCGUCUUGUCUCGGUACCCUGAUGAUGAUUACGCGUGCCCCUGAAUCCUGCUCCUGUGCGCCGUCCUGGACCGGUUUAUCUGUUGCAUGCUUGUACGUCGCGACUGCGGCCGUGUCAGAAUGGUUGAGGUGUCGUCCUUCGCUGCCCGACCCUUCUCUGGGAAGGAACAUGCCUGCUCGAGGGUAAAACGUCGCUUAAAGCCUUGUUGAGCGAAGCGCUGACUUUGGAUGUCUCGAGGGGGGUCUUAACGGGACGUUUCGACUACCUCGCUGCUCCCGGCCACGCUCUGGCUCGUUCGGUGGGCAAGGCUGCAAAAAGAACGAUUGGACGGGUGCUGGUUUCCUAUCACGCUUCCCGCGACUCACGGGUUAGGUGAGAACGCGGCAGGCGCAUUAAAUGCCCUGGUUCCCGUGCCCGCAUCAGGUGGCGGGCGGCAUCCUUGCGCUCGAGGCCUUUUGAUUCGUACGAGCCUGUUUCCGUAUUCGACGGUAGCCGACGCUUGAGCCCCAGUCGAUUUGCAUGAUGCUCUUUCCGCGUUCGAGGCUACGGGCGUUGGUAACUGUGCGCGCGACCGGGGGGCGUCGAGUCAGGGGUCCUUGAUUUGCGUACGGGUGCUCUCGUCAUGUGCAUCAGUUAGGGUACCCCUUACUGAUACCCUCGACAGUAGCCCCCAAGUCUCUGCUCCAGCGCUUGCGCUCGAGUAGAGGCUCUUCUCAUUGGUCGAGGUUCCGUGGGGGUAGCCCCCGAGCCCUUGGAGGAGUUUUGACUCCUUCGAGGGUUAUGUUGCCCAAUCUGCGGAAGCGCUCUUGAUGUUCAUUGCGGAAGGUGGGUUAGAGGCUUAGAUUAGUUGACGCUCCCCGUGAUGCCCUUGAUGUUCGCGUUAGGGUUGUGACGUACUCCCGAUGGAGCGAGCGCCAUCUACCCUAGAUUGAGCUCCUAGCAGGUGAUCCAAGUGAGAACCUGUGCCCCGUUCGAGGGGGUCAGCUGUAGCCCGGAGGCGUUCUCAUAAAGCGGGGUCGACGUCGUCGGGGUUACUGGUCUCGUUCGAUAGAGUCCAGCGGCUCGAUGCCUCCCCUCGGGGGGAUUCCUCUCGACCGUCUCGUCCUCGCCUUGGACAUCCCCAGCGAGUCCUCGAGGCUGGCCUCGUUUUUCGACCGCUCGCUGGGCAUCCCUAUCUUGGGUACUCGAGAUCGGCUGUCGAACCCGUUCGGUGGGUUAGCCUGCGACCUCUCGAGAUUCUCAUUAUCAUGAGUACAUACCUGGGCUUAGAGGGGAAGGAAAGGAUCGCGGCGGUUCGCCUUUUUGCCCGUUGGGCGUGCCUUUUUAGGCGGGAGCCGUUGCGACACUGUACCGGCGCAGGAUUCGUAGCGUCCCGUCUGUGAGAGAGAGAAGGACCAUUAGGCCAGCCGUCUAUAAAUAUCCCUAAGUCUCCUGAUCGUUACUCCUUCUGUCUUUUGCCUUCAGCCUUUGCUCUUUCCUCUGCCUCCUUACCAUCUCACGCACGCAUGCACCCUCGAGCAGUAGCUCAAUUGUUCUUCUUCCUCCUCAAGAUGCCGGUGAGACUCAUCGCCGCCGAUGACUAGCGUCCGUCGUUGAUGACGGAGCGCCGGCUGUUGGAGCUCAAGAGGGAGGGGCUCCUGCGUCCCCACGUUUCGUCGUCGAGGCCAGAGUGGAUCUCGCCGGGACAAGGGCUACGUGGUCUCCUUCGCCAAGUUCCACCACCACGGCCUGGGCUCCCCUCCAAGUCGUUUCAUGCGGGCGCUCUGCCACCACUACGGGGUGGAGCUCCAGCAUUUUUCGCCGAAUGCCAUCACCGUCGCGGUGUGUGAAGGCUACCUCGGGAUGAUGCCACACUGGGACCUGUGGCUCCACUUGUACUGGGGCGAGCUCUUCCAUGCCCCCAGUGGAACCAUAGGGGUGAGGAAGCCGGUGCGGGCCGGGUGCCUCAACCUGGUGCUGAAGACCGACAAGGCGGAGAAACCACGUGAGUACAUCCCGGUGGGGUUGACGUCGAACCACGCCGGGUGGGACUCCCAAUGGUUCUUCCUGUGGAACGACGACGACCUCCUCCCUGCCUACACCGGGCGCUUGAUCUCGGAGUGCUCGGACCACUGGAGGUAUGGUGUUGUCCAGGCCCACCAACCAAGGCUCGACCCCAUCCUCGACGCCCUGAAGAAGCUGCGUGAGGAGGGCCUGACGGCCGCACUCGUCCUUUCCGCCGUUCAUCACCGACGGGUGCUCCCGUUGAUGUCUCGGCUGUUGAGGAUGGACGAAAUGGGCCCUGGCAUCUCGUCUCGCGUUUUCGAGGCUUGCUGGAUGUCUAAUGAAGCGCUUGCAGACGAUGAGGUUGCUACCAGAGUCAGGGCAGCCGUUGCAGGUGACUUUCAGCCUGAGCACGUCAACGGCUUCCCUAUGAGGCCCGAUCAGGGGUCGAUUGACCUGGUAAGUUAUUUUCCUAUUUAUGGUUCUGAUUCUCGAUUUUCUUCGAUCUUCUUUAAGACUUAUCUUUGCUCAUGCAGGGAUCGAUCGAUGCUCGAUCCUCGAAGCCUCCAGUGAAGGAGGAUGACGUGGAUCGCGACAAGAGGCGCGAGUCCGCGAAGAAGCUAAAGUCCACAAAGGACUUGGAAAAGAAGAAGGAAAAGAAGAAGAAUCUUGCGCGACAAGCAUUGGAGAAUCGUCGAGCGAAGUCCAGCUAGAGGGGGAGCCUGAGGAGGAAUCCCCCGAUGAGGAUGAUUGCGUCGAUGGUGACGACGACAGCGACGACUCCGAGGGGAUGGCGUCCCGUCUCGAUAGGAUCCUUGAGGAUCCGCCUCAGACCGGCGUCGACGUCCCGCGGACGAGAGUCCCUAAGGGGGCGCCAAGCGGGCCUCGUGAGAGUCAACAGAGGGAGUCAUCUCCACGCCGCUCUCGCGCCGACACUCCCCCAGCGCCUGCGCAAGGUCGGACCGUCCCCCGCCCCCAACCUCCUCCCGCAUCUAAGGUGGGCCACCGGGUUAAGUCUCUGGCGACGGGGUCGUUGACCUGUGGCCGCGCCGCGGCCUCGAGUAAGGGGGAAACGGGUCAUGGGAGUACUAGUCUAGUCGCUGGCCAGGCAGAAGACGCCGAGCCGAGACUUGCGCCCGUUCGUGAGGGGCCCGGAGCCUCGACGCGGGGUAGCUCGAGGCCUGCUAGUCGAAGCGCUGGUAGGUGGGUCGCUCUUCCUGUGGGGUGAGAUCUUCGACAUCAUGAUUCUUACCUUCCGAUGUCUUUGCAUUUUCUCGGGUAACGGCUUUUCUUACGCUUACUCCUCUUUCCUUAGGUUGAAGCGGCCGCUCGAACAGGCCCAGCCCUCGAUGGCCAAGAGGCUUAAGGUGGCAGCGGCUUCCAAAGACUUAGGUUAGCAAUUCAUUCCCGAUAUCAUGGGAGUUGUGUUACCCGAAAGUCAAUCAUCAUGGCGACUGACUUUUUGCUUUUGAGCGCUUACAUGCUCUUCCGAUCCUCGGCCGUCGACGGGUGUCGAGAGCACCCCGCCUCGUCCAUCGGUGGGGGAGUCCACCCCGCCAUCGCCGAAGCGGGUCGAGGCGCCUCGCUCCCAAGAGCAGGAGGGAGCCCCCAAGCCUCCCCGUUCUGGGGUCGAGGGGGAUCCUAUCACUAUAAGUGGCUGGUCCGGUGGCGACAGGCUUUCGAAGGACGCCCGCUCCACGGACGAGGAGGUCGAGGCUUCCCCUGUCACGAAGCGGACGCCUUGGACCAUCGGGCUCCACUCCGUCGAGGAGAAGAGGAAGCAGGAAGAGGAAGAGCGUGAGCGGGAGACGCAGCAACGACUGCAGGAGGGGCAGCAACAGCCGCACCAGGGAGGAGAAGAAGAAAAAGAAGGGCGGCGACAACAAGGGGACCAGCUCGAGGAGCUGCUAGAGCAGGAUCGGCAGCAGGAGCUACGGGAGCUCUAGAGGCAGCAGCGGCAGAAGAGUCAGCAGUUAGAAGAACUGCUCAAGCCACUGCCACGCAGCCUGUCAUAGCCAGUGCCGCCGUCGCCACAGCGGCCUGAGACCGGGGAGGAAGGUCUGCCGGUCUAUGGUCCGCCAACCCCUACGUGGCUCCGUCCGGGAGCGCCCGUUUCUAUCCCGGCUGAGACAGGGCGGGCAGAUGGCGUGGUGGCGCUAACUUGCAUGAUGCGCACCCCGGUGGACCCUCAGUCUGAGAUCAAGGGCACGAUCUACGGCAUCGAGGGGAUCGCUCCCAGAUUUCUUCGAGAACGACGGCCGUGGGAGUAUCAUAAACCCGCCGAGGAAGAUGAAGCCGGGACAUCGGGUGGUGGCGCUACCGACGAGACCGGGACCUAGAAGAUAGUGGAUGAUGACGGGGGAUUCCCCUCCCUUAUUGUGGGGGUAUAGACCCCUAUACCCUUACGGCUAGACUUGGGCCAGGAGGCUUGGCCCAUAAUGAAGACAGUCUGAGGCUUGAUCCAACUGCUCGGAGUUUCGCACAAGGAAACAAGGCGUGGAAAUCAAGCCGGAUUCUAGUCGGAUAGAAUAGGAAUUGAUAUUGUACUAUCUCUGGCAAUUGUAACCGACUAGGAUUAGUUUCCAGAUUUGUAACCCUGCCCUCCGGAGUAUAUAAGGAGGGGCAAGGGACCCCCUAGGACACAUUAUCUCUCAACACAAAUCAAUACAACCAGACACAGGAUGUAGGUAUUAUGCCCACACGGCGGCCGAACCUAGAUAAAAAGCUUGUCCGUAUCUUGCGUCACCAUCGAGUUUGUAGCUUGUGCUCUGUCUACCGAUAAACUACUACCGUGGGUAUACCCCAAGGUAGACUGCCGACCAGCUUUCAUCGACAGUGGCGCGCCAGGUAGGUGGUGUGCGUACAGCUCUCUUGUUGAACAAGAUGGUCAUCGUUCCAGCUUUCACGACCGUGCCUGAAGGCCUCACGUUCACCGUCGGCCAGAUCACGUGGACGACCCAUGGUGGCGGCCUCACGACCACGACUUCGGAAGAAACCCAAAUCCGAUCUGGGACGACAGCGGCAUCGACUCCGAUCACGCCGACACCGAGCACUCGACCUCCGCUCCCUCGUUAGAAGGGAAAGAAGGUCGAUGACUCGGAUCUUUUCCGAGCCCUUGAUUGUGCUGAUCUCAGGCUCCUCGAAGCUUCCCGACUGGUAGAUGGGAUCUCGCAUUGAUCUGAUCAAGCCACGCCGACAGACUCUUUUGACUCCAACCGACCAACUCGUGUCGUCACACACGAACAGCUAGGGACGUCUCUGACAAUAACGUCCACCCCCACGGGGCGGUCCGUUGAGAUCAAGGCAGACCCAGACCGAUGUCCUCCCUACGGACUAAACAAUACAGCCGUUCACUACUCACGGCACAUCCAAUCCCUUUUCAACAGGGUGGGCUGUUCGCCGAGACAGAGCAGCCGAGCAGCUCGCCAUUAUGUCAACAUGGUGUCAAUCCAAGUACUGCCGAACGAUCAGGCUUUCAGUACAAACUCUAGCACAGGGUCUGUCCCUACCGAGGUUAUAAAUUCUGAGGACGAAUAUUACGACCUGGAUUUACCACCGCAUCCUCUGGGUUUUUCUCGAUUCCCUGUCUUUCCGCCUCGACGGGGAGAUCUUAUCUUCAAUUUCAGCAAUGACGAACCGGUUGUCGACAGAGAAACAGAUGAGCAGAAGCAGCUCCGUGAACAGCGCAACGCCGACCGCGCUUGACGGCGCGCAGACGAGGAACGGCAACUUGCACCGUAUAACCUCAGUGAUGCUUUCGACAUGGUCGGAGAUCAGCAAGUCUACAAAACAUCGAGUGCUAACGUGGCUGUUGCUAUGGCAAACCUAGACCGACUCCCUGAUACUCCUGAGUGCCAAGGUGUCCGAUCCAGUGUACGCGCACACCUGAUCGCCGUGAUGCGACAGUCAGCCACCUUACUCAAAAGGGUCCAAGCUAUCUCCUACACAGAGGUCUCUUCCGACCAGAUUCAUCGCAGCCGAACUUCACCUCAACCCAGCGAGCGCCACCGUAGCCGCUCUCCCAACAAUUGCAGGAAGGAUGUGGGGCGCGACAACCGUGGUCAGGACGGUGGCGGCUACCGUGAGCAGAAGCGUGGGCGUGGUCAGGAAGUAAACCAGGACAGGGAUCUAUGAUACAACAUCCCUCCCAAGGACGCCCGGGAUUGCAUCAACAGGCGCGCCACGGAAAGAGCGGUGCACGAAAACCUACGGCGCAUUGAGUACGAUGUCGCGCACGGCCCCCCCGGCCUAAGACAGUUUUCUUCACACCUUUGCUAAGUCGUAUGGCCCCGCAACUUUAAACUCGAGAAGCUCAAAAAAUACGACGGCAAGGAAAACCCAGAAAAUUGGAUCACUCUCUACGAGAUUGCAGUCCAGUCAACAGCAGGAGAUGAGCAUGUCAUGGCUAACUACUUCCUAGUUGUCCUCGACCAGGCUGGUCAUCAGUGGCUCCUUGGCCUGCCCAAGGACUCUUUCGACUCUUGGGAAGAACUGCGCCAGGCGUUUAUUGACAAUUUCAUCGCUACCUACGAACAGCCUGGGAACAAGUACGACCUCGAGAGAAUAAGGGACUGGAAAAACGAACCUCUGCGCGAUUACAUCCGACGAUUCUCGGAUAUGCGUCUUAAAAUUCUGAAAAUUUCUCAUGAAGAGGCCAUUUCGGCUUUCAUCAAAGGGCUACGCUUCCACGAAGCGUUGAGGAACAAGCUACUGUGCAAAAGGCCGACCACGAUGGCCGAGCUCCUUGCCACGGCAAAAAACUACGCUGACGCAGAUGACACAGAAAAGCUCAUCCGAGAGGAUGAGAGAGGUCCCGACCAACCUACUCGACGGGACGACAGUCGUGGUCAUUUUGACAACAGGAACCACCAUCGCCCUGACAACCGCGACCAUAGAGAAGGUUGGGAUAGGUGGCGUGACAAUCGCGAUGACUUCAGGGGCAAGCGCCCUCGCGACCACGACCAUGAGGUGAAUACGGUCAAGCGCCCCAAGGGGCGGCGAGACUACUAGGAAGAUUACAACAAGACGUGGAAGGGACCGUGACAACUCCACCCCAAGUCUAAUCACACGAUGGAAGAAUGCCGUGUCCUCAAAAGCAUCUACAUGCAGCGGGCUGCUCAAGACGAUUCUGCCAAGAAAAACGGGAAGCAGGACGGGCGUGGUCACGAAGAUGAAGACGACGACCAGGAUAGAGACCCACGACACCAGUACGUCAGUCCCACCGAUGUGGUCCACUCCAUCUUCGGAGGUAAAGUUUUCAUCAAGUCUAAGCGAGAAAGAAAGCUCCUGAAGAGAGCCUGCCUCAACGUGGACAGCACAGACAGUCUUAUCGCCGAUCCAAAAUUUCCUCCCUGGUCGCACAGGGAGAUCUCCUUUAGCAGGAAGGAUCAAUGGGCCGCCAUCCCGGAGCCAGGACGUUUCCCUCUAAUCCUGGAUCCUUGCAUCAACAGCGUCAGAUUCGAGCGCGUGCUCGUUGACGGGGGAAGCUCCAUCAACAUCCUCUUUCACAACAGCUUACCUGCUCUCAAGAUAACCCAGGCACAGCUAAAGUAGUAUGACGCUCAAUUCUGGGGAGUUCUGCCUGGUCAAAGUUCAGUACCCCUCGGACAGAUAACAUUGCCUGUCCAAUUUGGAACACCUGACCACUUUCGAACAGAGUUUGUCAACUUUGUGGUUGCCGAUUUUUAUGGCACUUACCAUGCAAUUCUAGGCCGACCAUCGCUGACAAAGCUCAUGGCAGUUCCACACUACUCAUACCUGGUCCUCAAAAUGCCAACAGAGAAGGGCGUCCUAACUGUAGAGGCAAUGUCUAUACCGCAUAUACUUACGAGGAGGAAAGCUUCAAGAUCACCGAGGUAAUUGACCUCUCGAUCCGCAUGGCAGAAACCAUAGCCCAAGCCGCGCAGCUUCCACCCGACCAGCUUCGACCACCCGAGCAGGAGACUCCGAGGAAAAAUUCAAAGUCCAAAGAGCACAAGGAGGUACAGCUGGUCGACGGCAGCCCCAAGAAGACGACCCUCAUCGGGGCCAACCUGGAUCCUAAAUAGGAAGACGCGCUCGUCAGGUUUCUUAGGGACAACAUGAGAGCUUUCGCAUGGAAACCCGCAGACAUGCUCAGCGUCCCACGAAAUCUUAUCAAGCACUCCUUAAACGUCUCGAACACCGCAAAACCCAUCAAGCAAAAGCUAUGACGGUUCGCUCGUGACAAAAAGGAGGCUAUUAGGACAGAAAUAACGCGGCUUCUAGCAGCCGGAUUCAUUAAAGAAGUGUAUCGUCCCGAUUGGCUUGCCACUCCGGUUCUUGUAAGAAAAAAGAACAAUGAAUGGAGAAUGUGCGUUGAUUACACUGAUCUCAAUAAACACUGUCCUAAAGAUCCUUUUGGUCUCCCUCGCAUCGACGAGGUGGUCGACUCAACGGCCGGAUGCGAACUCCUCUCUUUAUUAGAUUGCUACUCUGGUUAUCACCAGAUCUCACUAAAAGACGACGACCAGAUCAAAACAUCUUUUAUCACCCCUUUCGGUGCGUAUUGCUACACAACCAUGUCCUUCGGACUCAAAAAUGCUGGAGCUACUUAUCAACGAGCCAUUCAGCAAUGCCUCCACGACGAGAUUCGUGAUGACCUCGUCGAGGCUUAUGUAGAUGAUGUUGUCGUCAAAACAAGGGACGCGAGCACUCUAAUCGACAACCUAGACCGAACCUUCAAGGCACUAAAUAAAUACAAGUGGAAGAUUAACCCCAAAAAAUGUAUCUUUGGGGCCCCCUUGGGACUACUACUCGGCAACGUCGUCAGCCGCGACGGCAUACGGCCGAAUCCCUGAAAAGUAAAGGCAGUACUCGACAUGCGACCACCAAAGAAUGUCAAGGACAUUCAAAAGCUCACCGGUUGUAUGGCUGCUCUCAGCCGUUUUAUCUCUAUACUGGAAGAAAAAGGCCUCCCCUUCUUCAAACUUCUAAAGGCGUCGGAAAAAUUCUCCUGGACGGAGGAAGCUGACGCUGCGUUCACCCAGCUCAAAACUUUCCUCACUUCAGCACCUGUUCUCACAGCACCUCAACCUAAUGAGGACCUACUCCUUUACAUAGCAGCAACAGAUAGGGUUGUCUCCAUGGCAAUGGUGGUCGAGCGGGACGAGCCAGGCCACGUAUACAAAGUCCAGAGACCAGUUUACUUCAUAAGUGAUGUCUUAAAUGAGUCCAAGACUAGGUACCCUCAGAUACAAAAGCUCAUCUACGCCAUCUUAAUAACUUCAAGGAAGCUGAAGCAUUACUUCGAUGGUCAUCGAGUCUUGGUAACCACUAGUUUCCCUCUGGGGGACAUUUUGCGCAACAAAGAUGCCAAGGGCAGAAUUGUAAAAUGGGCAAUGGAAUUAUGCCCAUUCUCCCUGGAUUUCUAGAGCCGCACUACCAUCAAGUCCAAGGCCCUAGUCGAUUUCUUCGCAGAAUGGACGGACCUCAACGAGCCCCCCUUUUCCGACACUUCCGACCACUGGUCAAUGUUCUUCGACGGUUCCCUAAACAUCAAUGGUGCCGGCGCCUGAAUACUCUUCGUAUCGCCGACAAACUACGCUACGUCCUUAGGAUCCUCUUUCCGGCGUUGAACAACAUCGCCGAAUAUGAGGCAUGCCUACAUGGCAUACGACUGGCUGUUGAACUGGGAGUCAAACGCCUCUACGUCCAUGGCGACUCUGCCCAGGUCAUCAACCAGUUAAAUAAGGAAUGGGACACAACCCACGAAAAGAUGGACCUCUACUGUAAAGGAUUUCGCAAAUGGGAAUCCAAUUUCUACGGCAUAGAAUACAUCCAUGUGGUCCAGGAUAGGAACCAGGCAGUAGAUACGUUGUCAAAGAUAGGAUCAUGCCGGGCCCAGAUUCCGCAAGGCGUUUUCGUUCAGGACAUCCACGCGCCAAGUGUGGGUACAGACCUGGUCGAAAAACAACCCGAUGAGGCAAUGCUCAUAAACGACACUAUUCCGACAACUAACAGCCAUGAUUGGCAUGCCCCCUUCAUCAGGUAUAUAUCGGAUGGAUCAGGUUUUCAAGAUAAAACAGAAAAUGAGCGCCUCAUCCGGCGGUCCAAGAAUUACAUACUGGUCGAUGGUAAACUUAUGCGAAAAAAUGCAAGCUCCGAAGUAUUGCUCAAAUGCAUAUCCCAAGAUGAUGGCGUCAAGCUCUUAGAUGACAUACACGCCGGGUCCUGCGGCAACCACGCUGCCUCCAGAACACUGGUCGGGAAGGCCUUCCGAGCAGGCUUCUACUGGCCAACCGCAGUUGCCGACGCCGAGAAACUGGUCCAACAUUGCGAAGGAUGCCAGUUCUUUGCCAAGAGGACUCACAUGCCUGCUCACGAGAUUCAAACUAUUCCGUCAUCCUGGGCUUUCGCCUGUUGGGGCCUUGACAUGAUCGGGCCAUUUAAGCCGGCCCCCGGUAACUUCAAGUUCGUCUUCGUGUUAAUCGACAAAUUCUCGAAGUGGAUCGAGUACAUGCCACUGGUCAAAGCAACCUCCGAGAAGGCUGUGGAAUUCCUCAAUCAAAUCAUACACAGAUAUGGGGUUCCCAACUGCAUAAUUACUGACCUAGGCACUCAGUUCACUGGCACUACAUUUUGGGACUUCUGCGAUGACAGGGGCAUAGUCAUAAAGUAUGUGUCAGUAGCUCACCCACGGGCCAAAGGUCAAGUAGAGCGAGCGAAUGGAAUGAUUAUUGAUGCUCUAAAGAAAAGGCUGUACACCGAGAACGACAGAGCACCAGGACGAUGGAUAAAGGAGUUACCGGCUGUGGUCUGGGGUCUCCGAACACAGGCUAGUCACAAUACAGGUGUAUCACCCUACUUCAUGGUUUACGGCGUCGAAGCAGUGCUUCCGUCCGACGUAACCUUUGGAUCUCCAAGAGUCGAAAAUUUCGACCAGUCUUCGGCUGACAUCGCCAGGGAGCUUGAAAUCAACUGCAUGGAAGAAAAGCGCCUAAUCUCAUGCCUUCGAACAGCAAAGUAUCUCAAAGCCACUAGGCGGUAUCACACACAGGAACAUCAAAGACCGAUCCUUCGUCGUCAGUGAUUUGGUACUCAAGUGGAAAACAAGCCAAGAAGGAACACACAAGUUAUCCACACCUUGGGAAGGACCCUUUGUGGUCGCCGAAGUCACACACCCUACAUCUUACAGACUGGCGUACCCAGACGGAACACGCCUGCCCAAUUCUUGACACAUAGACAAACUGCACCGUUUCUAUCCAUAAGUUCCAGUACUUUUUCGGUUGUAAAUUUCUUAUGAUUAGCAAUAAUAAAGUCUUUUCUUUUUCGCUAUAUACUUUUCUACACGCAGAACUUUCGACAAGUGCAACAAUCUCCUUCUAGGACCAAGAUCCUUAAGGAUUAUUAACCCGAUUCAGUGAUACAUCACUCAGACAACAUUGCAGCGCUCAAAACCAUGGUUGCGACAAAUCAAUCUUUAUUACAAACUUUAUAUACAAAGUUUACAAUAAACAACCCUCUGGGCGGUCCCUAGUCUAUUCCUACAGACUACUCUACAGGUCUACUGAUCGGGCUGAUCACCCGCACGGCCUUGCCGCCCAGUCGAAGCGUUCGGGGCCGCCGGCGCCUGGCUGGUCGAGACCGCAGGCGUCGACCGCCCAUCUCCGGCAAUGGACGCUCCCGACAUCUCCCUGGCUAACCUAUCUGACCCGUGCUGGUCGGGGGGAGUUGCUGUCUCGUAGAGGUUGAUGUCGCCGAUCACUGUCGACGACAGAUCAAGCAGACCACACGAAGGUUGUCUGCCUCCUGUGGACCAACCUCCUUGGGGUACCCCCUCUCCAGUCGGGACAGGUCGACCAGAGGAUAGUGGGCGCGCACCAAGCUGAGGACGUGCGCACCGGCGAAUUCCCCGGUGUCCUUAACAAACUGCUGGAGCCAGUCCCAUGCCCGUUGCGCCGUCUCGACCGGAGUCAGCUUCGGUGCGCGGGGCUGGUCCACAGGGAGCUCGGGGCUGAUCAAAUCAAGAACCGGGGCCACUCCUUUCAAAAGCUUGAUGCAGUUGGCCUUCGAGGAGUCCCGGUCCUUGUUCAGUUUGUCGAGGUGCUUUUUAGUAUUUACUUUGAGCACUGUGAACCAAUCAGGACGUCAGUGCACACACCAGACAAGGAACGUUGAGUAGUCAAAUAAGAGGGUAACACGGUUUUUACCAGUCAACUCCCGACUCUUGUUGCUUAACUCCUCACCAGCUCGCCGCCCGGCCUCCAGCGCGCUGGCAUGCUCCUGGUCGAGCGUUUCCUUUUCUUAUCGGAGGCGCGCAACCUCCUCCUCCAAGUCUGUAGGAGCAAUUCCUGGUCAACAAAAAUGACUACGCCGUUAUAUACAACCGCUCGGAAUACACGACUGACCUUUCCUUUCCCGAUCUUUGUCGGCCAACUACCGAUUGAGAUCGAGCAGGCGCUCUUCCUGAGCACCCAUCUCGGCCAUCUUCUCCUCGGCCUCCGACCGAAGACGGUCUACCUCCGCGGACAUGGCCUUGUUCUCGGCCACAAUCCCCUCAAUCUGGUCGAAGCACCUUUUUUGGUACUUCACCGUUUUCAUUGCGCCCUACAGGAAUCACGCAUUAAAGUAAGCAACAGUGCAUAUACAUCUCGGGCAGAGUGCAAGACCACUUACCUUAACCUCGUCAACAAGACGCUUGGCUGCACGCUCCACCCUCACGGCCUCCUCCGUCUCCGCGAGUUCUUCAUGACUAAUGAAAUGGUCCCCGUGUUGGCGCCACACGUAAACGUGUUGGCGACCAUCAUGGGGAUGGCCUUGGAUCUCUUCUACCUCGUCGUCGGAGGCUGCCCGGGUCUCUUCGCCUUUCGCGCUACCCCCAGCCGCGGUCACAGGUAUUACCGGACCCUGAUCUCGGCUAGGGGAGCCCUUUGGUGAAGAGGCCUCUUCUCGGGGUGGAGUCGGGACCCUCCUCCCUUCAGAAGGCGGAGUAGUCGGAGCUCUGUUUUCCUCCUCCACGACACUGCUCGGGGGAGGCAUCCUCGCAGUCUCAUCACCCCUUGCAAGGGUGCUCGCUCGGGUCCUCGUCGGAGCUGGAUGCUCCUCGGCACUCCCAGCCGCGAUCACCGCCGCGGGCAGCUCCUCAGGUUGCUCCUGGGCGGCUUGCUACGCUACGUCCUCAAUGACAGCCGCCGGUUCGGCCAUCCUCUAGCCAGCGACGUUGUCGGGAUCAACGAUAGACACCGCACUAACAGAAAUACGGCAUUUUACCAAUGUCAAAAUGCUGUAGUAACAAACGCAGAAACAAUAAUAAUGAUAGGAGAAUGUGUCAAGACGAGAUUGUUCUACUUACAGAUCGGAGCGCCUAUGCGUCGCUAUAAAGACCCUCCUCCUGGUCCUACCGGCCGCCGCUGCCGCCUCUGUCGCCCCAAGACGCGUCGGCUCGGUGUGAGGGGCAGGGGGGUCACUAGUCGCCCGAUCGCCAGUGAUCGAUGCGACAUCCGGAUGACUACGCGGCCUUCGGACCAAAGAAGGCAUGGCCUCCUCUUCCUCAUCAUCAUCGUCGAUGAUCCUGACGAGCCGACGACGCUCCGGAGCUUGGCUGCUCUCUACUGGCAGCGCCUCUGCAGGGGACGGAUCUACCACCAGUGGCCUUUUCCCCGCUACCGUGUCCUCGGUGGUCGGGGCAGGGCGGUUCUGCUCCUCCUCACGGCUGGUGUAUUGAGGACACCGAGCAACGUCACCCUCUGGCGGGUCCAUCCCCACAGGAUUUUCGAUACCAGGUGCCAGUGACACAUACACUGCGCACCGGUGAACGUCUACAAUCUGCGAUAGAACCAAUGACAUGUCAUCAACUAGUAGUCAACAAUAUUCAUAUAACAAUACUAGUCAAUAACAAUAUUUAUUUACAUUAGGAGCUAGUUGUCCCAGCUUGAAGGCGUGCAUCCAAUCACUGCUUCGAACAAAGUUGUCAUCUGUUAAGUUGAACAGCUCGUUCAUCAGUUGUUGCACCUCUGCCUUCUCCAGACCAUCGGGGCUCAUCCUGGUCGGGUCCUGGCUGCCCGCAUACUCGUACGCUGAAUGUACCCUCCAUUGGCAGGGUAUCACACGACGCACAAUGAAGUUCCCGACCACUCUAGGCCCGUCUAGGCGGGGCCAGUCGAUCAGGCUCAUCAGGUCUGCUACCUGCCUAGCGAAUUCUGGGCGGUCUGUCCAACUGACCCUCUUCUCGGGGAUGUAGCCCACAUCACAGAACGUGGCGCUGCCCGGCUCCUCCCUGAUGUAGAACCACUUCUUGUACCAUUCGGUCAAAGAGGUGUUCCAUGGGCAGCUGAGAUACCGGUUCUUCAUCCCAUCACACAGAUUGAGGUAUACUCCACCUGCAAUCUUGGAGCCUCCAACUGCCCCCUUCUUUCUCAGACAAAAUAGAUAACGAAAAAGGUCGAAGUGCGGCUCUAUUCCAACAUAAGCCUCGCACAAAUGAAUGAAGGUGGAGAUGAGAAGAAUAGAGUUUGGGUGCAGGUUGCAGAUCCCGAUCUCAUAGUAAAGAAGAAGGCCCUGGAGGAAAGGGUGGACAGGAAUCCCAAAGCCCCUCUUGAAAAAAUCUUCAAAAACUACAAUCUCACCGGCACGGGGGUCGGGGUAGCUUUCCCCAUCCGGCGCCCUCCAGCCGCCGAGCUCUUGGUUGUGAAGUAGCCCCAUUCCGACAAGGUCGUUGAGGGACCUCGUGCUACUUCGAGACUUCUUCCACUCCUUCGCCAUCAUAUCGGCCCUUUCUUCGAGUCACUCUUCGCCAUUGACGCUGUAGAAACGACUACGAGCUGGACGAUUAAAGAUGGAGGUUGCACGAGGCAGGAAUGGCAAGAACAGAAGGUUCGAAGGCAAAGGCGGGGUAAAUAUUACGAGCGCUGUGUUGAGCCUUUUAUAACAACAGCUCCACCCUUCCACUUCCUGCAUUCUAGGGAAGUGGGCAGGCCCUGCGGCGGAUGCGACGUUUUGGUUUUCAAUAGUUACCAGCAGUUAAUAUGGUGGAUUUUUUCGCAUAAUUGGUGGUUUCCUUUUUCUUGAACCACGCAAAGAGCGGCUGCACAGUUACCAGGCGCACCUUUUUACGCAACUGUCUGACAAUACGCCUGGAUGCCUUGUCAUAUCGCCCAUUAAUGUGGCAAGAUGCUUUUUCCAAACGACAUGUAGAUUUGAUGGAGGACUGUGUAUGACAUUCCUGGGGACUGUACUGACCAAUCCGAGCACUAUACGCUCGGGGACUGGUCGACCAGCCCACCAAUUUUAGAACAUGGAGACUGUACCGAUCAAUCCGAGCACUAUAUGCUUGGGGACUGGUCAACCAGCCAACCAAUUUGAGAGUUUGGGAACUGCACCAACCACCGAGCACUAUACGUUCGGGGACUCGUCGACCAGCCCACCAAUUUGAGAAUUCGGGGACUGUACCGACCACCGAGCGUUAUAUGCUCGGGGACUGGUCGAUUAGUCUAUUCAAUUGCAGACGAGCAUGAUAUGCUCGGGGACUAGUAAAUUCAAUUUUUUAGACCUUGCUACAAGGCUCAUACUUCGCCUUCCAGCAAGCUCGGGGACUACAUCGGUACGAUGCAUCUGGCGAUGCAUCUCAGUUUUAUAAUUUCUAUGAAGACUUUUUUGACCCUAGCACCACAUGUCUAUGCCACCUACUACCAGGCUCGGAGACUAAGUGGGCACACUUCACCUUGCGGUGAACAUGCUUGCUUUUUGAGGUGUGUACUUUUUAGGAAAGUAAAGUGGGCACACUUCACCAGGGGAAAGAAUAUUUUUUCUCAAGAGCACCAUGCAUUCUUUGAACAACCAACUUCUUCGACAUUGAUGUUGGUCAACUGAUUUUCAAGUUGGUCAAAAUACCGUUGCAACUGUCUUGGUGACUUUCCUGGUCGUCAAAAAUCUCAAUUCUUGCUGGUCGAAGAAGCUCAAGACGGCGUGUUACAUCACAAUACAUGGUGCUCGAGGACUAGCUGUGGGGGUGUAGACACCUAUACCCUUACAGCUAGACUUGGGCUAGGAGGCUUGGCCCAUCAUGAAGACAGUCCAAGGCUUGAUCCAACUGCUCGGAGUUUCGCACAAGGAAACAAGGCGUGGAGAUCAAGCCAGAUUCUAGUCGGAUAGAAUAGGAAUUGAUAUUGUACUAUCUCUUGCAAUUGUAACCGACUAGGAUUAGUUUCCAGAUCUGUAACCCUGCCCUCCGGACUAUAUAAGGAGGGGCAAGGGACCCCCUAGGACACAUUAUCUCUCAACACAAAUAAAAAACAACCAGACGCAGGACGUAGGUAUUACGCCCACACGGCGGCCGAACCUGGAUAAAAAGCUUGUCCGUGUCUUGCGUCACCAUCGAGUUCGUAGCUUGCGCACCGUCUACCGAUAAACUACUACCGUGGGUAUACCCCAAGGUAGACUGCCGACCAGCUUUCGUCGACAUUUAUCGACCUAUUUUUACGUCAUGGGGGGUCACUCGAGACUGUCCAAGAGCUCAUCUGGGGUGUCAAGGCGUGCACGGAGGAGGAGAUGGAAAACUAGUGCCCCGACCGGAUCCGCAUUCGGGCCUCCACUGACCCAUCCGAGCCUAACAUCUUUAUGGAUGAUCGGAAGGAGGCCGAAAAGUGGGAACAUCUCGAGGAGCUUCGCCUCUGGAUGAAGCACGUGGUGGGGCUCCUGUCUGACAUUAUCAAUAGCAGGCUCGGUCCAGCUUACUUGGUAAGUGUCGUUGGGUAUUAGUUACCGUAGGACGUUUUGGUUUUGUGUUCUUACUGUUCCAUUGCUGGCUCGCAGGAUCUGAAAGAGACCUCUCGCAUAAAGUCGAGUUUUAUCCACGCGACGAGGGGCGGCUGGGAGCAACUCCCUCUUCUCAAGGACCAACUCCUGGAGUCGCAGGAGAAGCUCCUCAAGGCCUACAAAUAGCUUUUGGCGCUCGAAGAGGAGAAAAAGGAGAGGGAGGUCGCUCUGGCCGAGGCUCGGGAGACCUCGAGGAAGGCGGUGGAAGAGACUACGCGGCUGAGGGAGCGGACCAUGAUGGUCGAGUAGGCUGCAUCCAAGGACCAGGAAGAGGCCGCAUUCUAUAAGGAAGUCACCGCCGAUCUUGACAAGGAAAAGGUCCGUAUCAAGGCUGACCUCGCCUCUACCCGAGAAGCCUUCCAAGAGAUGAAGCUGGAGUGUGUGAAGGGCGAGAUUGCCCGGAGCGCCACAGAGGAGGCCAAGAAGAAGGCCCUCGAGGAUCUCGAGGCGGAGCGGGUUCGAUCUCGCAGCCUCUCUGAUGACGUCGAUCGUUUGAAGAGGGUGUUACUGGAAAAAGAUGGAGCUGUCGUGCAGGUGGGCAAGGCGAUCGAGGACUUGCGGGUUGCCAACACCGACCUUGCCCGCUCUCACAAGGAGAUCGAGAGGGCCAAUACCGAUUUGGUUGGUCAAAACACUGCUCUGGAGGAGAGGAUUCAUGGUAGGCUUCUCUAUACCUCUUUUUCCAAGGUAUUUUUUUGGUGUCGUCUAAUUUCCAUGUAUCGGUCUCCAUAGGGCUUAAGGACGAGCUUUUGCCUGCUCAGGUCGAGGCUCGCUCUACCAAGGAUCAGCUCGAGGGGGAGGUUGCAUUGAACGGUCGAUUAAGGACCGCGAUAAAUGACCUCUCGGCCUCCUAGGAGCUCGAGCCUAUGGACGAGUCAAAGGAGGAGGUUCGAGGCGAUGUGCUGGUCGAUCAGCUGUGCUACCUAGGCGCGACGCUGAGGGAUCAGUGCGGGACGCUCUUCAUACCGGGGUGAAGCGGGCAAUGGCGGUUGUCUGCUCAGGAUUUUCUUAUGAUAUGGAGGUGGUGUCCCAUGGCUUUGUCACUGACAUCUCCAAGACCGACAUAGAGAACGAGGAGAGGCUCCACGCCUUGAUCGACGAUGCGGAGGCCCCUAGGGAAAGGUUGGCGAAGUUGUUCGAGCCAGAAGUCCUUUCUCCCGAGAUUAGCUCAGGCGCGGACGAUGGUGGUGAGGGUCGAGACACAGCCUGAGGCCUGCGAGCCUAUUCUAGGUGCUGAGGCCCCUUGUAUAGUACUUUUUAUCUUAGGGAAAUGUUAUGUCUUUAAGUCGUUUAUGAGAUCUGUGAAUAUCUGCUAACUUUUGUGCUUGGAACUCCUUUGCUUCCUCGUUUGGUUUUUUGUUAAGGCGUCCUUGAGUUCCUCGAGGGUGAGGGAGUGAGUAGAGUUACUGUAGCUCGGGGGCGUAGGUGUUCUUAGGCUCGUCAUCUCUCGGUCUUUAAGGGGCUCGGGGUGCCUUUACUACUCGACCGUGUGAGGCAUACUUUAAAGGGAGAAAUCGUUCGGUUUUUAGGAACCUGGGGGGUCCCCCCUGCUAGCCCUCGAGGGGGUAUUGACUAUGAUGGGUCAUAGUUGGUACUCCCUUCUAACAUUGAGAUUUUGACCAAUAGAAAAGUAAAUUACUCGAGGGAAAGAUCUCAUUUAUUCAUGCAUUCAUUCAUAAGGUCUCGAUACAGAAUGUACAUGAGAACAUAAAGCUUUUAAACUCUAGGGGUAGAAUCGAAGUAGCGGUUCAAUGUUUCACGCAUUAGUGAAGACUGCCCCUUUUUUCUCCGCGAGCUUGUAUGUCCCUGGCUUCAGGACCUCGGCCACCACGUAUGGGCCCUCCCAGGGUGGAGUCAGCUUGUGGCGCCCUUGGUUGCAUUGUCGCCGCCGUAGGACAAGAUCGGCCACGUUCAGAUCCCUUUUGCGCACGUGCUUGUCGUGGUAGCGUCUAAGCUUCUGCUGGUAUCUGGCGGAGUUGAGGAGGGCCAUGUCUCGAGCUUCCUCGAGCUGGUCGACCGCGUUCUCUCGAGUCUCCUUAUUUGACCGCUCGUUGUAGGCUUUGAGUCGAGGGGAUCCAUACUCAAGGUCUAUUGGAAGCACGGCCUCGGAGCCGUAGACCAUGAAGAAUGGGGUGUAUUUCGUGGCCCUGCUAGGCGUCGUCCUUAAGCUCCAUAGGACCGAAGAGAUCUCUUCGACCCAUUUCUUGCCGAAUUUCUUCAACCGGUUGUAGAUUCUUGGUUUUAGCCCCUGCAAUAUCAUGUCGUUGGCACGCUCGACCUGGCCGUUAGUUUGGGGGUGGGCCACUGUGGACCAGUUCACACGGAUGUGAUACCGGUCACUGAAGUCCAAGACGUUUUGUCGGUGAACUGGGUGCCGUUGUCGGUGAUGAUGACGUUGGGAAUCCCAAACCGGUGGGUGAUGUCGGUGAAGAAGAGGACGACCUGCUCAGAGCAGAUGUUCGUCAUGGGUCGAGCCUCGAUCCAUUUGGAGAAUUUAUCGACGGCCACCAGCAAAUGGAUGUAUCCUCCUACUGCUUUCUGUAGAGGCCCUACUAGGUCGAGACCCCACACCGCGAAUGGCCACGUGAUAGGGAUCAUUUGGAGGGCAUGAGCGGGGAGAUGCGUGUGCUUGGCAUAAAAUUGGCACCCAUGGCAUGAGCGUACGAGCUCUAUGGCGUCAGCUACGGCCGUUGGCCAGUAGAAGCCUUGUCGGAAAGCGUUCCCUACGAGGGUCCGCGGAGCGGCGUGGUGGCCACAAGCCCCAGAGUGUAGAUCCUCUAGGUGCUUUCGGCCUUCUUCUAUGGUGAUGCAGCGCUGCAAAAUUCCCGUCGGGCUUAGUCGGUAUAGUUUGUUAUUUUCACCAUAGAUUACAUAUGAUUUGGCCCGUCGAGUGAUACGGCGGGCCUUGGAUCGAUCCUCUGGUAACUCGCAUCGGAUUAGGCAAUCGAGGAACGGUGUGCGCCAGUCGAACGGUCGACCGGGCCGCUGUUCCACCUCCAUUACUUUGGCUGCCGCCAGUAGUGCUUUGAUGGUGUCAGUUUGUUGGGGGGUGGUUGUUUCGACAUCAACCCCCGAGCCUAAGUUGACGGAUGGCUCAUGCAGAUCUCUUGAGAACGGGCGGGACCGUGCCUCGAGUCGAGGCGAUCUUGGCGAGUUCAUCGGCCGCCUCGUUCUAGCGUCGGGCGAUGUGGACGAGCUCGAGGCCGUGGAACUUGUCCUCGAGCCUACGUACUUCCUUGCAAUAUGCCUCCAUUUUCGAGUCGUGGCAAUUGGAGGCCUUCAUUACUUGGUCGAUGAUGAGUUGGGAGUCGCCUCGAACGUCGAGGCGCCGAACUCCUAGCUCGAUGGCAAUCUUUAGCCCAUUGACAAUGGCCUCGUACUCCGCGAUGUUGUUGGAUGCGGCAAAAUGUAUUCUGAUGACAUACCUCAUAUGGACGCCGAGGGGUGAGAUGAACAGCAGACCUGCCCCAGCCCCCGUCUUCAUGAGAGACCCGUCGAAGUACAUCGUCCACAACUCCGCUUGAACUUGGGUCGGGGGGAGCUGGGAGUCCGUCCAUUCCGCGACGAAAUCCACCAGAGCUUGAGACUUGAUGGCUUUGCGGGGCGCGUAAGUGAGGGUUUCACCCAUGAGCUCGACCGACCACUUGGCGAUUCCUCCCGUGGCCUCCCAAUUUUGGAUGAUCUCUCCCAAGGGGAACGACGAGACCACCGUGGUAGGGUGGGCGAGGAUGUAGUGUUGCAGCUUGUGUCGGGCGAGGAUCACCGCGUAGAUUAGCUUCUCGAUCUGUGGAUACCGUGCCUUAGUUUCUGAGAGUACCUCACUGACCAAGUAGACCGGCCUCUGGACCGGUAGCGCAUGUCCUUCUUCCUGCCUCUCGACCACCACCGCCGCACUGACCACUUGGGUCGUCAAGGCGACGUACAGAAGCAGAGCUUCUGCGGGCUGAGGUGAGACCAAGACCGGGGCAGAGGUAAGCAUUUUCCUUAGGUUGUUGAGGGCUUCUUCAGCUUUAGGGGUCCAAGAAAAACGCUUGGCUUUUUUCAGGAGCCGAUACAGUGGCAAUGCUUUCUCCCCCAAUCUCAAGAUAGAACGACUUAGCACCGCCAAACAUCCCGUGACUUUUUGCACUCCCUUGAUGUCUCGGAUCGGCCCCAUUCUCGUAAUGGCCGAGACUUUCUCGGGAUUGGCCUCGAUGCCACGUUGGGAAACUAUGUAACCCAAGAGCAUGCCUCGAGGUAUGCCAAAGACGCACUUCUCGGGGUUGAGCUUGAUCUUGUUGGCGCGUAAGUGUUGUCGGUUCUUAAGUAUCAAUUUUAAUUAUCAAAUAAACAAGAGAAAGGACCAAUAUGCAACCAUCACCUAGAAUUAGGGUUUGAUCUGACAGAAUUCCACGAGUUUUGUUGUUUAUCUAUUUCUGCAGGGGGUUAUCAGGAAAUAAGGAAGAAAGGCCCACAUGUCGGGAUUACAUAGAGAUAUCAACGCACCACGUAAUUUUACAUCAUCUAGAAGACUCCAGAAGCCACGAGACCGAAGCGGAGGCAAAGCUGGGCCAGGCCCAGGGCGCCCGCCCUGGUAGCCUGGGCGCCCGCCCCCCUCUGGAGCCAGAUGAGGACUCUCUUCGCUCGGGAUAUUCCACCGACCUAUUGGAUCAAGAAAAACAUAGUACCACCUCGCCUAUCGACCCAAAAACACAUAGAAGAGGAGGACUAUAUAAGCAAGGCCCCCUGGCCCCUGGAGAAGACAUGAAGAAAUUAUCAUAGAGACUGAGGGGUGCCCUCGAAGGAAAACCUCUUCUCUAAUUAAUAUUUCUUUUUAGGCUUAGCAAUCAAUGUAAGGUAGAAAUAGAUCUUCUAGUUUCUACUAGAUUGAGAGAGAUAGAGUGGAGGUGAAGAGUGGAGGAAGCCCGGCCUGUCGGUGUCUACUCCAAGCUUGUACCUGCGGGAUCAAGUUCUCCUAACCCGAAGCUUGCUCCUAGGAUUCUUCAGUAAUUCGACUUCUAAAUUCUAAUAAGUUCUUGUUUUAUUGUUCUUAUGGUUUAUGAGUUUACUUUAAUCUCUUCGCGUACAGUUUAGAGUAAUCAUUGCUGGCGUAAACGUGGUGUUUAGGCUGGGGUACUCAUAGAUAUUCCCUGACUAGCUGGACCAUGGUAGUAGUGAGGAACGUGACAAUUCCAAGCUACCUUUGUAGAUCACAUCUCGUUAGCAGGAAGGAUAGGGUUUAUAGGUGCGGGUUGAACAUCCUUUGUGGUGUCUAGAUUCCGUUAGCCUCCCCAUCAGAACAGUAGAUCAUCCUUACCAAGGUUAGAAGGAGACUACGGUUGCAGUCUUCUCUAUUUAUCACUCACAUCGAAAGACAUUCUUUGUGCCUAAAGGUUAGUAGUAAUAGACCGGUUAGUCAGAUGCACUCUUUCUCCUAGUGGUAAAAAAAUAAAUACGAUACUCUGGAUAACCUCCCGGGUGAAGUGCUCACCGAUAUCCGUGCGCUUGCGGAUCAAUUCCUUAUUGCGUUCCCAAAUAUCAACAAGCAUUUCUAGCGCCGUUGCCGGGGAGAAAGACGGUUGCUGAGAUAACCUGUGUCUUGCUACUAGCUUGUAUCUAUACUUUUAUCUUUUCUUAUCUUUUAUAUUCUUUAUUUAUUUUCUUUAUUCUUACCUUAUGGAAAACUAAAAUUCUAAAUCGAUCCAUGAGUCUGCAAUCCCGUUAGCAAUUGACCUUUUACCAUGGGAAUCAUCACAGCCUAUCCAAACAUCCCAGUAUAAGUUAAUUUCUAGGUUGAUUGCCAUGAUUCAAAACCUAUCUUUUUCGGGAAAGGAAGACAAAAACCCUUACCUUCAUAUUAGAGAUUUUGAGCAAACAUGUGAUUUUCUUCGCAUUGAAGGCAUUUCUAAUAAGACUUUACGUUGGAAGCUUUUUCCUUUUUCUCUAAGGGGAGAAGCUAGACAAUGGUACAGUCAGAAGGUAAGUCAACAACAAGGUGAAUGGGGAGUUUUACGAGCCAACUUUUGUCUAGAUUUCUAUUCCCUUGACCGUAUAGCCGACCUUAGACUCGAAGUCCUAUCUUUUAAACAAAAAGAUAAUGAAACUUUGGGAAAAUCCUGGAAACGUUUUUCUGAUCUUUUAGAAUCUGGUCCAAACCUUAAUCUUGAAGACCCUGUUCUUUUAUUUCACUUUUUUUGAGGUCUUCAUAAAAAUCACAAACAAAUGGUUCACACAAUGUCUAGAGGUUCUUUCUUUUGCAUCCCUGCUGAUAAAGCAAGAGUGAUCCUAGAUAGAAUCCUAGAAGCUGAGAUGGAUAAUACCCUUCAUGAUGAAACCUACGAAGCCGAAGUAGACACUCUGCCAAAUUCUUCAUCUACUUUAGCUAUUCCAAGUUUUGAGCCACAAGAGGAAGAAAUUCCACUACCGGACUUCAUGCUGGAUAUAGAAUCCGAUCUUUUUGUCGAUUUUGGAAAUAUUACAAACUACCAUUCUAUUGACAAACCCCAAAACGGCCAGUUUAGCAUUUAUUUACCAAGUGAAUAUCAAUUGAGAGAGCUUAUCUCAGUAAUGAGUAGCGAAUGGCUGGAGGAAUCAGAGCUUUCCUCUGAUGUGAUCCGUUUGGACACACCCUCUAUAACUAUACGCUGUGCUUAUAAUUCUGAUCGAUUUAAUGCUCUUUAUAAUCCUGUUGUGGGGAUCAACAUCAUGUCCGAAUCUUUUGCACUUAAACUAUUUAAAAAUCUUGUCUUAACCCCCACAACAAAGGUCAUAAAGGAAUCUUCGGGACGAUUAGUCCCCAGUCUUGGAAUUAUUAAUGUCCUACCUCUUACGGUAGAAGGCUCCAUGGUUCAUUUGAACUUCUAUAUCUUUGAUACAUGGGACUUCGACCUGUUGAUAGGACAACCUUUUAGAAGACUCCUUUAUGAAGGUCAUACUGGAAAGCUACACAUUUCUUUUGGAAAAACUUUUAAAUUCCCAAUAAUAAUUUCUCACUCCUUAAAUAAUAAGGCCGAGUCAUAUCUUUUGCCUGAUCCUAUGGAGGAAGUAAAGGCUGCAUCUCUAGAGCUUUUAGAUGAACCAGACUUAGAAGACGAAACUCCUUUCUUGACAGAAGAAGAAGACGAACCUUCUGAGCCUGAACCCUUAGAUGAGUUUGCAGAAACACCUAGACCCCCCAUAGAACUUAAAACUUUACCACCCGGUCUUACCUAUGCUUUCCUAAACAAUAAUCCAGAGUUCCCUGUGAUCAUUAGCGAUAAACUCACUCAGGAUCAAACUCUGCGAUUAAUGACCAUUCUUGAGAAACAUCACUCAGUUUUCGGCUACUCACUUCAAGAUCUUACAGGAAUCAGUCCUAUGAUUUGUACCCAUCUUAUUCCAACAGAUCCUUCUGUUACACCCUCUCGAGAACCCCAACGUAGACUUAACAACACUAUGAGAGAGGUAGUUAAAAAGGAAGUUAUAAAGUUGCUGCAUGCAGGGAUUAUAUAUCCUGUGCCGCACAGUGAGUGGGUGAGCCCAGUGCAAGUUGUGCCCAAAAAGGGAGGCAUGACAGUUAUUAUGAAUGAAAAGAAUGAGCUAAUUCCACAACGCACCGUCAUAGGAUGGCGGAUGUGCAUAGAUUAUAGAAAACUAAACAAAGCCACGAGAAAGGAUCACUUUCCUUUACCUUUUAUAGAUGAGAUGCUAGAGCAAUUAGCAAACCAUUCAUUCUUUUGUUUCUUAGAUGGAUAUUCAGGAUAUCACCAAAUCCCGAUCCAUCCUGAUGAUCAAAGCAAAACCACUUUUACAUGCCCAUAUGGAACUUAUGCUUACCGUAGAAUGUCUUUUGGGUUAUGUACUGCACCAGCUUCUUUUCAAAGAUGCAUGAUGUCUAUAUUUUCUGAUAUGAUUGAAGAGAUUAUGGAAGUUUUCAUGGAUGAUUUCUCUGUUUAUGGAAAAACUUUUGAUAGUUGUCUUGAAAACUUAGACAAGGUUUUGCAAAGAUGUGAAGAAAAGCACUUAAUCCUUAAUUGGGAAAAAUGUCAUUUUAUGGUUAGGGAAGGAAUAGUGCUAGGACACUUAGUGUCUGAAAGAGGUAUUGAGGUAGACAAAGCUAAAAUUGAAGUAAUUGAACAACUACCUCCACCUGUAAAUAUAAAAGGAAUUCGAAGCUUUCUUGGCCAUGCUGGUUUUUAUCGUAGAUUCAUAAAAGAUUUUUCAUUUAUUGCUAGACCACUUACUCUUUUGCUAGCCAAGGAUGCUCCUUUCGAAUUUGAUGAUGCAUGUUUAACAUCUUUUAAUUUAUUAAAGAAAGCACUCAUCUCUGCACCAAUCAUUCAACCCCCUGAUUGGUCGUUGCCUUUUGAAAUUAUGUGUGAUGCUAGUGAUUAUGCUGUGGGGGCAGUAUUGGGACAAACUAAAGAUAAGAAGCAUCAUGCAAUUGCUUAUGCCAGUAAAACUUUGACAGGAGCUCAACUUAACUAUGCAACCACUGAAAAAGAGCUUCUGGCUGUUGUCUUUGCCAUUGAUAAAUUUAGAUCUUAUUUAGUUGGAGCUAAAAUAAUUGUUUACACUGAUCAUGCUGCACUAAAAUAUUUGCUCACUAAAAAAGAUGCUAAACCUCGCCUGAUUAGAUGGAUCUUAUUACUCCAAGAAUUUGACUUAGAAAUAAAAGAUAAAAAGGGAGUAGAAAAUUCUGUUGUUGAUCACUUGUCUAGAAUGUAUUUUAAGAGUCCACGGGAAACUCCCAUCAAUGAUUCACUCCGGGACGACAUGCUCUACGGGAUUAACAGGUCCGACCCCUGGUAUGCAGAUAUUGUUAAUUUUAUGGUUUCAGGGUAUGUACCACCAGGAGGAAACAAGAAGAAGCUUAUUCAAGAAAGUCGUUCACAUAUAUGGGAUGAGCCAUACCUCUUCCGAGUAUGCUCUGAUGGCUUACUUAGGAGAUGUGUGACCACUGAGGAAGGAUGGAAGAUCAUCGACAGAUGUCAUUCAUCACCAUAUGGAGGUCACUAUGGAGCAUUCCGUACACAUUCAAAGAUCUGGCAAUGUGGAUUCUAUUGGCCUACAAUGUAUGAAGACACGAAGCAAUAUAUCAGAAGAUGUGGGCCAUGUCAAAGGCACGGAAACAUAAAUACAAGGGAUGCAAUGCCACUCACCAACAACCUUUAGAUUGAGCUCUUUGAUGUCUGGGGAAUAGACUACAUAGGUCCAUUUCCUCCAUCAAAGAAGUGUGAGUACAUCUUGGUGGCAGUUGACUAUGUCUCCAAGUGGGUAGAAGCAUUACCAUGCAAGCAUGCCGACAACGUCAGUUCAAAGAGGAUGUUUGAAGAAAUAAUAUUUCCAAGAUUUGGAGUCCCCAGAGUAGUGAUAAGUGAUGGAGGAGCACACUUCAUCGACAAACGCUUCAAGCAAUAUCUAUCAAGACAUGGAAUCCGUCACAACGUUGCUAGCCCUUAUCAUCCUCAGACAAGUGGCCAAGCAGAGACUUCCAACAAACAAAUCAAGAAUAUUCUUCAGAAGACAAUAAAUGAAAUGGGAAUGGCGUGGAAAGACAAGUAACCUAAUGCGCUCUGGGCAUACCGGACAGCAUACAAGACCCCAAUUGGAAUGUCUCCAUACCAAUUGGUGUACGGGAAGACUUGCCAUCUACCUGUUGAACUAGAGUGCAAAGCACACUGGGCCAUAAAGAGAUGGAAUAUGGACCUAGAUGUUGCUGGAGAUUAUAGAAGAAUGCAACUAUCAGAAUUGGAAGAAUGGCGAGAGAAGGCAUAUCACAAUUCAAAAAUCUACAAAGAAAGAGUCAAAAGGUGGCAUGACAAGAGAAUCAAGAAGAAGGAGUUCACACCCGGAGAUAAGGUAUUACUUUUUAAUUCCAGGGUAAAGCUUUUCGGGCAUGGAAAACUCCGGAGCAAAUGGGAAGGACCAUUCAAGGUAAUUAAUUCAUCAUCCCACGGAGCUAUCACACUUCAAAAUAGCGAAGGUAUGUUAUUCAAGGUAAAUGGUCAACGUCUUAAAUUAUUUUUAGAGCCCAAUGAGGAAUUUGAAGAAAUAGACGUAGUCCAUUUUUACCUUCCCAUGGAGAAUUAGAGCCCAACACUUUUGGUCUGAUGGUUUUGGGUCAUAUAUAUAUUUUUCUAAAUAAUUUCGCAUCUAGAAACACGCUCGGAAAAGUGGGCCCACAGAGGGGCCAGAGAGAGGGCGGGCGCCCAGGUCAAGUGGGCGGGCGCCCAGCCCCUGCUCCCCCUCGGUCCCGACUUUCUCUGUUAUGGAAAAUGCACUUAGGGUGAUCCGAAUAAUCCCUCGGAUGGAAAGUUUCGUACGCACGUCGACGGGAGCAACCCGAACAACCCAUAGAGGCACCCUUUUGACUCCUAUAUAAACAGACCCCUGACCUCAGUUUUCAAACACCAAGCCACCAAGCCUUCUCUCCUUCAAUUAGAGCUUGAUUAGCUCUCCUUCAAUUAAAAUUUUAUUAGUUCCUUGCUACUCCAAUGGCCGAGAAGUACCAUGAUGAUUGGGAAGUCAUCCCCUUCAACCUCAACAUGGAGCCUGUGGAAGACGCCGCUGCCCGUGCUCUCGUCCCGGCCAACACAGAGCGUCAGCUAGAAGCCAUGCCAUUACGCCAACGCAGCUCCGCCCAAUCUUACCAUGCUCAACCAGUUCUCACCGCACCACAACAACCCCUACUCCUCACAGGAUCAUCAUCCAAGACGAAGACCACUAUCAAGGUGCCAAUCGGCACAAGGAUCCUUCCACCUAGACCCAAUGAGAGGGUCGUUGGAGUCAAGACCAACUGGAGCGGCGAGAUCAGCAGCGUACGCUACACUACAGAGGAGGAAAGGCCUUACUUCGAAGGGAUUAGAGCAGCCAAAGUCCAUUUCAUCCCUCCAAAGGCAGCCCCGAAGCACGCUCUCAAUGCUUUUGAGACACCUCCCAAGCGUCGCAAGACUAUAAUGGAUAUUGAUGAGGAAGUUCGCAGGCUAGAUAGAAUUAUCAUAGACCUCCAGUCCUCGAUUAAUUCCCUCACUAGGCAGUUCUCUAACCACAACACCAUUAUACUAGGCCUUAGGCAGGAUCUUGCCAGUGCCAACAAGAAGAUUAAGGAAUUAGAGCGCCGCUAAGUUCUCUAGAUUAGACCUUGAGGCAAUGCAUCUUAGUUAUCUAUCUUUAAAUUCAGUUUAGGUUUACUAUUAUUAUCAGUUUGCUAUCAGUUUGUUAUCAGUCUUUUGUAAUAAAUGCCUCAAGAUUAAUAAAGAAUAUUAUUAUUAUUAUUAUGUCUUGUGUGUCUCUACUUUAUUUUUUGUAAGAAAGCAGAAAACAAGUAUGGGGGAGAUUCCUCGACAUGUCAAACGCACUCCAACUACACCACUCCACCACUCAGGUACACACUUUGCACACUUUACUUCAUACAUACAUUUAUUCUGGAUUAUGCAGAUUACUGUUCCCGAAUGAUAAAUUAAAAAAAGAUUAAAAUAUUUCUAAUCAUGAUUAAUCUCAAUCUGUGAUAUUUCCUGAAAAGUUGCAAUUAUUAUAAAAUCAUUUUAAAACCCUGUGUUACUUAAGUCAAUAUGGAAUAUGUGAUGAUAGAGUAUGAGUUUCUUAUUCUUGAUAUCAUUGUUGCUUGGAGAAUUUAUUUCAAAAUAUUCAAAUUUCUAGCUACCAUCCUCAGUGUUUUAUAUGCCUGAUAAAACUGAAAAUAUUAAUUAUGAUUAUAAAAGCUAUCUGCUCUGUAUUGAGUUUGUUCAAAAUGAGUUAGACCCUUGUUGAGAGAUUUAUCAUGCUCCCAAGAUCAAGACAUUAUUUCAGUAAGAUUCACUCUUCCGAAGUAUUAUUGCAUUAGAGGCAUGGGCUAUGCAAAAAUAGAAUUAUUUUUGACGAAAUAAAAAGGAGCAAGUGCUCGACAACCUCGCAGAAAAAAUGGACAAGUGUCCGGCAGUAGAAUUAGGGGUACCUCAGUAUCCACUUAAAAAAAAGAAAAGAGAAAAAAAAUGAUAGCCCAUGGUCCCUCUAAUAAGCAAUAUGCCAGCAAGAGUUGACAAAGUUUUUAAUUUUCAAAGUCUUUGAUCUAAGAGUAUGACAUUCUCAUCCUCGGAUCCCGUUUUGAUCAGGCAAUAAAUGCAAAGUAAGUAUGCUUGAGAAUUUUUUUUGCAAAAAUAAAACAACCUCAGUGAGAUAUAUAUAAAAGAUAAUGAGUGAUCUGAGAGAACCUAUGAGGAUAAAAAGGUAUGCUAACUUUCUCUCAAAAAUACACAAAAACUCCAAGUGGCAGGAUUGAGAAGAAAGGAUCUUUACUCUUAACCAUAUACAUCCCUGACUAUGGUACACAGUGGAUUUUUAACACCCUGCAAUUAUAAAGAGAAUGUUUUAAAAUGUUUACCCCAAAUAUUUUUCUUAACCAUCCUUUUCUCGAGGACGAGUAAAGGCCUAAGUAUGGGGGUAUUUGUUGACGGUUCUUAAGUAUCAAUUUUAAUUAUCAAAUAAACAAGAGAAAGGACCAAUAUGCAACCAUCACCUAGAAUUAGGGUUUGAUCUGACAGAAUUCCACGAGUUUUGUUGUUUAUCUAUUUCUGCAGGGGGUUAUCAGGAAAUAAGGAAGAAAGGCGCACAGGUCGGGAUUACAUAGAGAUAUCAACGCACCGCGUAAAUUACAUCAUCUAGAAGACUCCAGAAGCCACGAGACCGAAGCGGAGGCAAAGCUGGGCCAGGCCCAGGGCGCCCGCCCCUCUGGAGCCAGAUCAGGACUCUCUUCGCUCGGGAUAUUCCACCGACCUAUUGGAUCAAGAAAAACAUAGUACCACCUCGCCUAUCGACCCAAAAACGCAUAGAAGAGGAGGACUAUAUAAGCAAGGCCCCCUGGCCCCUGGAGAAGACAUGAAGAAAUUAUCAUAGAGACUGAGGGGUGCCCUCGAAGGAAAACCUCUUCUCUAAUUAAUAUUUCUUUUUAGGCUUAGCAAUCAAUGUAAGGUAGAAAUAGAUCUUCUAGUUUCUACUAGAUUGAGAGAGAUAGAGUGGAGGUGAAGAGUGGAGGAAGCCCGGCCUGUCGGUGUCUACACCAAGCUUGUACCUGCGGGAUCAAGUUCUCCUAACCCGAAGCUUGCUCCUAGGAUUCUUCAGUAAUUCGACUUCUAAAUUCUAGUAAGUUCUUGUUUUAUUGUUCUUAUGGUUUAUGAGUUUACUUUAAUCUCUUCGCGUAGAGUUUAGAGUAAUCAUUGCUAGCGUAAACUUGGUGUUUAGGCUGGGGUACUCAUAGAUAUUCCCUGACUAGCUGGACCGUGGUAGUAGUGAGGAACGUGACAAUUCUGAGCUACCUUUGUAGAUCACAUCUCGUUAGCAGGAAGGAUAGGGUUUAUAGGUGCGGGUUGAACAUCCUUUGUGGUGUCUAGAUUCCGUUAGCCUCCCCAUCAGAACAGUAGAUCAUCCUUACCAAGGUUAGAAGGAGACUACGGUUGCAGUCUUCUCUAUUUAUCACUCACAUCGAAAGACAUUCUUCGUGCCUAAAGGUUAGUAGUAAUAGACCGGUUAGUCAGAUGCACUCUUUCUCCUAGUGGUAAAAAAAUAAAUACGAUACUCUAGAUAACCUCCCGG
Molecule: long non-coding RNA, 409289 nt
Filed under: Sorghum bicolor (sorghum)
Lineage: Eukaryota; Viridiplantae; Streptophyta; Magnoliopsida; Poales; Poaceae
Description: long non-coding RNA (SBIC_LNC015702)
Rfam family: MIR5387 microRNA precursor family (bases 123556-123649)
Source: RNAcentral